GUGACUACAGUUCAAGGAGGUCAAGAUCGUCGACUUAAAUCACCGUUCCUGACCAAAAAGGACGACUCAGAUAUCCCAAGCAUCCAGUGCUCCAUUAAUGGAUACAACUUCUAGAAGACACUUUGCGACACCGGAUUACGCAUCAACAUAAUGGCCGCAGUCACCUAUCAGCUCCUGUUCGGAACCAUGCCCCUAAAACCGACAUACAUUAAGCUCCAGAUGGCAGAUCAGACAUUCCGAAAGGUUGAAGGAGACCGUUCCUCAGCACCGUUAAAGCAAUCAUCUACAUUGGAACCGGAGAAGUCUACAUGCACUUCCCCUUUGAGAAGGUACGCCGCUAUUUUACUGACCCUAACUAUAUAGUUGAAGACUCUAAGUAGGUCAGGACAAGAAGAAGACAAUGCAACCGCAACCAGAGGAGGAAAAUCAUCAAGGACGGAUGGGCAGACUACGAAGGAGAAGUAGUAAGGUCCGAAGACAUACAACUUGAACUGAACUAUCCUGAGGAGACCGUAGCACCGAGUCAGGUGUGUAGAGAGAAGAUAGUUAUACAUGAAGAGCAGGCGCCGCCGGAACCACCGACUACGCCAUCCAGCGAAUCCCAAGACGACUGAGAAAACGGAGAGUCCUGUUCGGAGGACUUAAAAACACAAAACGCCUUGCCAAGAGGUAAACUUGGUAGUUAUUUUUUUUUCUUUUCAAUUAUUUUCAAUAGUUUGCUUAGUUAAUCAGGUUCAUAUCAUCUUGAAAAGAAAAUAAAAAUGUUAAAAAUAGUAAGCCCCAUGUGAGUAUGCUCAUGGCAUAAAACCCAUAAGUACAUUCACUGUGGUGGCGUAAGAAUGAAAUAAAUAUAUUCCUAUCCUAUAAAAAUGAGAAUAUAUAAAUAAGAUUGUGAUCCUACUAAAGAGAGUAACAUUUAUUGAGGAGGCUCAACAUCAUAAAGGCUAGAUAUUUAUGCUAACACUUAACUAGUUCCACAAAGCUUUCUUGUCUAUUUGAGCUCCACACAAUUCAAGGAUCAAAGAAGACUAGCAGACGGAGGACAUCCUAAUCGCUGUCAGGGUGCUGCUGACAUUCAAAUACACCUUCACCACUUGCUAGCUACAUUAUAAGAAACUACGUCAAAAUCCAGCUUGGGGGAGAGCACCCCCAUUUAUCUAGCUAAGUAUUCUACUCACGUUUAUACUUUACUCUAAUAAUAAAAAGAUGCAUAAUCAUAGAAACCCAAAUAAAGAUUUUGUGCUUAUAUAUCUUUGCUUAGUUUGCUAAAUAAAUAAAGUUUGCUAUGAACUCUCAUGAUAAGCUCUCACAUGGAAAUGAUGAAUAGUUGCUCUGCCAUGACUAGUUCUUAAAAUUGAAAUCUCUCACAAGUUUAGGCAUGAUUGUUAUUAAUUAAGAUUUGCUCUAAACCUGAACUUGUGGGAAGAGUACUUGAUCUAAAGUCUAAGUCGUUAACGGAUACGAUAUGGGAAGGUUGAGCUGCUGUUUAUCUAUUCCUAGAGAUGCUAGAAUUCUGGAGAAUUUUAGCUUUGAAAAUCUUUAAAAUGUUGCAUGAUGAGUUCCUGUAUGAUGAGAGUUUAAAUUCCUACCAUAGCCAUAUAUACAUGCUUGCUAGACUUUGAGCUACACAUUUACUUUUUACUGCUUAUGAGCAUUGAGUGUGGUCAAGCUGUGUAGACCCUUAGGAGCUUGUCAUGUGGUUAAGUCAAGAUUCACUUACACGUUCACUCAUACAUGCUACUUCUACUCCAGAAGUACCAUCCACAUAUAUCCAUCCAUUUCCAUCUCCAGAACCACCCAAAAAUAUUCUACUCCUAAUCCGGGAGAGAAUAGCCAAAAACAUUCUCCUAUUUCUGUUUUUCCCUGUGAAAUAAAUGCUCAAGUUAUCUUGGUUACUACCACUUGCUAUAUUAUUUCAGGAGAUGAGUGCUCUAAAAAAAAGAAAAAAAAAAGAGAAAAAAAGAGAUACGAGGAAAUAAAAAGGGGCAAGUGCCCGGAACCUCGAAGAAAAGAAAAAGUGAGACAAGAGGUAAAAAUGGACAAGUGUCCGAUAGUAGAAUUAGGGGUACAAGAUACCCUCCUGAGAGAAAAGAAAAAGAAAACAUAGAGCAUCUCAUUCUCCUCAAAAAGUUUCAAAAGAGCAAGAAAGGUAUGUAUCCCCUCAAAAGAGCACAAGUAGAAUUAGACUUUCACCAUUGUUAUCACCAUCAUUACCAUGCACCAUUCAUUCGCCACACAUGCACAUCUUGAUUUGACUUAUUGACUUAUUUUUCUGGAUCCAUGGUUCGACUAUACAAUACAUGUCUUGUAAGUAUGUAUACUUUAUCUCCCACCUAUGAGCUCCAGAUAUUAAAGCCUUAUUAGAGUAGGGUGAGAGAGAAGGCAAUGCCACUAUGCCUUAUACCACAAAUACUACAGAUUUUGAGAGAAGGCGUAUACCAUCACUGCCUUGGUAAGGAUCCAGAAAUACCACAAAAGAGAGACUAGAGAGAGUCAUACAAGGAAUCUCUGAGUUUUAUUUGAAAAUCUGCAAAAACUCCAGAGCUAUAGUUAAUCGAAGAACAAGAGACAUGGUGCUUGACUAGACUGUUCUAUCUUUUAACUACUCAAGACAGAAGUGACGGUUACAAGUCCCAUGGUGAAAGGUAAAUGAGUAAGUUUUAAGUCUUAACAGUUUACUCUAACCAGAGAUGAAAUCUUGUUUAAACGCAUGUGUAUCUUUAAGUUAUGAAACCACUGCAGAAACUCUUGAGUUCAUCUUUGCUCAGGGAUGAGCAAAGGUUAAGCUUGGGGGAGCUUGUUGACGGUCCUUAAUGCUCACAUUUAACCAACAACUAAUCAUAGAAAAGGAUCCAAAUGCAACCAACACCUAGACUUAGGGUUUUAUCUGACAGAAUUCCACAAGUUUUGGUGUUUGUCUAUUUCUGCAGGGGGUUAUCAGGAAAUACGGAAGAAAGGCCCACACGUCGGGUUUACAUAGAGAUAUUAACGUGCCGAGCAAUUUUCUAUCAUCUAGAAGACUCCAGAAGCCACGGGACCGAAGUGGAGGCCGAGAGGGCUCGGGCACUGGGCGCCCGCCCUCCCCCCUGGACCAAUCAGGGUGAAGUUCGGGGAUCAUGCUCCACCGACCUAAUACUUCAAGGAAAACCACACGAUCAAUGUCGGUUUGAUCCGACGGCCCAGAUUCACUUGAAGGGACUAUAAAACCAGACCCCCCUGGCCCCUGGAGAUCAUACCUCUUCUACAGAAUCAAUGCUAGGGUUUCAAUUCUUCAUCCAAGUAGAGAGGAUCCUUCUAGUUCUUCUAGUUCUACCUCUAGUUCAUCUAGAUCUAGUUCUAGUUAAUCUUGUUCUAGUUCUAGUUCCUCUAGUUCUAGAUGUAAUCUAGAAAAUAGAGAGAGAGAAGAGGAGAGCGGAGGAGGAGCCGGAUCUGUUGGAUCUUCCUCAACAUUAUACUUUUGCAGCAUCUGGUUCGUUCUUCAUCGUUCUCCAGGUUCUUCAAUUCAUAACUCCUGAGUUCUCUAAUUACUUUUAUUUACAUUCAAGUUAUUUAUUGGAUUCCCGCUUGCAUCAAGUGCUCUAGUCUUUAUAACGCUAGAGUAGUAAUUAAUACAUUAGACGUGGUGUUUAGUCUUGCAAUUACCUGGAAUUGCACCCAAUCCUGCGGAUUGUUGUGGUAGCCUUAGGGUAGUGACAGCCCUAACGGUCGACGUAUUCCACCUCGUUCGGAUCGGUGUUUGUAGGACCGUAGUCAGACCUUCCUAGCCCCCUUCUCAUCUCUUUCUGUGGUUAGUGCUCUGAUGUCCCGAUAUAAAUAAUCUUGAAGUAAUUCUUGAUUCUUAGAUCAACUAGAGAACUCUCAGGAAACUUCCUCUCUUCCCACCAAAAAUACUUAUAUAGUUAUACUUGGGCGAUCUUGAUUCUUAAUUAGUACACUCACGUUCUCUGUGGAAAAUCGAUACUCUGGAAUACUCUCGGGUGAAAGCUACAUCGGUAUCCAUGCGCUUGCGGAUUUUUCUGUUUGCGUUUAAAAUACCCAACACCAGGGGUGCCGCCGAGGACGUAAAGAAGAAGGCCCUCGAAGAUCUCGAGGCGGAGCGGGCUCGAUCCCGCAGUCUCUCUGAUGACGUCGAGCGUCUGAAGGGAGAACUACUAGAGAAGAGUGGGGCCAUUGCUCAGGCUGGCAAGGCGAUCGAGGAUCUCCGUGUUGCCAAUACUGAGCUGGCACGCUCCAACAGGGAGAUCGAGAGGGCCAAUACCAGAUUGGUCGGCGAGAACACAGCCCUGGAGGAAAGUAUUCGCGGUAUGUUCCUGUUGCUAAAUUUCUUCUUCGAGGUGCGCUUGGUUCUCCCUAAAGUUUCUUGGUUUGAUGUUUACAGGGCUCAAGGACGAGCUCCUAGCCGCCCAAGCCAAGGCCCGUAAUGCCAAGACCCAGCUCGAGGCUGAUGUUGCUUUGAACCGUCGAGUGCGGACGGCGAUAAGCGACCUCUCGACCUCCUGGGAGGUCAAGCCUAUGGAUGAGUAGAGGGAGGGUGCUCGAGGCGACGCGCUGGUCGACUAGCUGUGCUACAUAGGCGCGACGCUGCGAGAUCGGGUGCGGGAUGCCCUCCACAUCGGGGUGAAGCGGGCGAUGGUAGUUGUCUGCUCGGGCUUCUCCUACGACAUGGAGGUGGUGUCCCACGGCUUCGUCACCGACAUUUCCAAGACCGACGCGGAGAACGAGGAGAGGCUCCACGCCUUGAUCAACGACGCGGAGGCUCCUGGGGAAAGGUUGGCUAAGCUUUUUGAGCCUGAGGUGCUCCCUCCUGAGACUAGCUCGGGCGGAGGCGAGGGCGGUGAGGAUCGUGCCGCGGACUGAGGCCUGUGAGCCUGCUCAGGGCGCGUGGGGCCCCUUGUAUGAUACUUUGUUAAUUCUGUUGCUAAGUGAUACAGUAUCUUUUUGUAAUUGUUAAAUGCUUAUUUGUCUUUCUGCUCGAGGUUCUUUUAUUUCUCUUUGUUCCUAUGUUUGUAUCCCCUGCUCGAUCUUUCGUCAGAAACAACCUCGAUCACCUCAAGGGUGAGGAAGUGAGUAGAGUUUCUGUAGCCCGGGGGCGUGGGAGUUCUCCGGCUCGUUAUCCCUCGGCCUUUCAGGGGCUCGAGGCGCCUUAGAUACUCGAACCGUGCAGGGUUUACUAAGUAAGAAAAGAAAAUUUCUUGGUUUUUUCGACGCCUGGGGGGGGGUCGUCCCCCUGGUAGCCCCCGAGGGGGUGUUGACUAUGAUGGGUCAUAGUCGGCACCCCCUUCUAAUGUCGAGAUUAUGACUUGUAAAUCUUUUGGCGCAAAAAGAAGUUGCUCGAGGGAAAGACUUUAUUUAUUUAUUCAUUUACAAAGUCUUGGUACAAAAUGUACGUAGGAACAUAAGUUUAGAACUUCUAGGGGUAGAAUCGACGUAGCUGUUCGAUGUUCCAUGCGUUGGUGAAGACUGCCCCCUUCUCGUCCGCCAACUUGUACGUUCCCGGCUUCAGGACCUCGGCCACCACAUACGGGCCCUCCCAAGGUGGAGUCAGCUUGUGGCGUCCUUGAUUGCUUUGCCGGCGUCGUAGGACAAGGUCGCCCACGUUGAGGUCCCUCUUGCGCACGUGCUUGUCGUGGUAGAGUCGAAGUUUCUGCUGAUAUCUUGCGGAGUUGAGGAGGGCCAUGUCUCGAGCCUCCUCGAGUUGGUCGACCGCGUUUUCUUGAGCCUCCUUAUUGGAUUGCUCAUUGUAUGCCUUGAGUCGAGGUGACCCAUACUCGAGGUCUGUGGGGAGGACAGCCUCGGAGCCGUAGACCAUGAAGAAUGGGGUGUACUUUGUGGCCCUGCUUGGUGUUGUCCUUAGACUCCAUAGGACCGAGGAAAGCUCCUCGACCCAUUUCUUGCCGAAUUUCUUCAAACGAUUGUAGAUCCUUGGCUUCAGUCCUUGCAAAAUCAUGCCGUUGGCACGCUCGACCUGGCCGUUAGUUCGAGGGUGGGCUACUACAGACCAGUUCACACGGAUGUGAUGCUGAUCACAGAAGUCCAAGAACUUUUUGCCGGUGAACUGAGUGUCGUUGUCGGUGAUGAUGAUGUUGGGAAUCCCAAAUCGAUGGAUUAUGUCGCUGAAGAAAAGGACGGCCUGUUCGGAGCGGAUGUUGGUGAUGGGUCGAGCCUCGAUCCUUUUGGAGAAUUUGUCAAUGGCCACCAGCAAGUGGGUGAACCCUCCUUUCGCCUUUUGUAGAGGUCCUACUAAAUUGAGCCCCCACACCACAAACGGCCAGGUGAUGGGGAUCAUCUGAAGAGCGUGGGCGGGCAGGUGCGUCUGCUUGGCGUAGAACUGGCACCCGUGACAUGAGCGUACGAGCUCGAUGGCAUCUGCCACGGCCGUCGGCCAGUAGAAACCUUGUCGAAAAGCGUUUCCUACGAGGGUCCGUGGAGCAGCAUGGUGGCCGCAAGCCCCCGAGUGUAGGUCCUCGAGGAGUUUUCGGCCUUCUUCCACGGUGAUGCAACGCUGUAUGACCCCCGUCGGGCUUCGUCGAUAUAGCUCAUUGUCUUCGCCAUAGAUCACAUAUGACUUGGCCCGUCGAGCGAUACGACGGGCCUCUGACCGAUCUUCUGGCAGUUCGCCGCGGAUUAGGCAGUCGAGGUAUGGUGUGCGCCAGUCAAAUGGUCGACCAGGCUGCCGUUCUACCUCCAUCACUUCAGCCGCCAUCAAGAGUAUGUCGACGGUGUGGGGGCUCGAUUGGGCAGGAGCAGCGUCGAUGCCAGCCCCCGAGCCUAAGUCGACGGAUGGUUCGUGGAGGUCUCUUGAGAACGCGUCAGGUGGCACCGUGCCUCGAGUCGAUGCGAUCUUGGCGAGUUCGUCAGCUGCCUCGUUGUAGCGUCGGGCGACAUGGACAAGCUCGAGACCAUGGAACUUGUCCUCAAGUCGGCGGACUUCUUUAUAGUACGCCUCCAUUUUUGGGUCGUGGCAGCUCGAGGUUUUCAUUACUUGGUCGAUGACGAGUUGGGAGUCACCUCGGACGUCGAGGCGUCGGACUCCUAACUCAAUUGCAAUCUUGAGACCAUUGACGAGGGCCUCGUAUUCUGCGACAUUGUUGGACGCGGUAAAAUGAAUCCUGAUGACAUACCUCAUGUGGACGCCCAUGGGUGAGAUGAACAGCAGGCCGGCCCCGGCCCCCGUUUUCAUGAGUGACCCGUCGAAAUACAUUGUCCACGGCUCCGCCUGGACUUGAGUCGGGGGAAGCUGGGAGUCCGUCCAUUCCGCGACGAAGUCAACCAGGGCUUGUGAUUUGAUGGCCUUUCGAGGCGUGUAAGUGAGAGUCUCACUCAUGAGCUCGACCGACCACUUAGCUAUUCUUCCCGUGGCCUCCUUGCUCUGGAUUAUCACGCUCAAGGGGAAAGAUGAAACCACCGUGAUGGGGUGACCGAGGAAGUAAUGUUGCAGCUUGCGGCGGGCAAAGAUUACGGCGUAGAUCAGCUUCUGGAUUUGGGGGUAACGCGCCUUGGUCUCCGAAAGCACCUCACUGACGAAAUAGACUGGCCUUUGGACCGGCAGCGACCCUCCUCUUGUCUUUCAACCACCACUGCCGCACUGACGACCUGGGUCGUCGAUGCGACGUAGAGGAGUAGCGGCUCUGCAGGUUGAGGUGGGACCAGGACUGGUGCCGAGGUCAGCGUCUUCUUCAGCCUUUCGAGCGCUUCCUCGGCCUCUGGGGUCCAAGAAAAGCGCUCGACCUUCUUCAGAAGUCGAUACAAUGGUAACGCCUUUUCUCCUAGUCUCGAGAUGAAACGGCUUUGAGCCGCCAGGCAUCCCGUGACUCUCUGCACACCCUUGAUGUCUCGGAUCGGCCCCAUUCUCGUGAUGGCCGAGACAUUCUCGGGAUUGGCCUCGAUGCCGUGCUGCGAAACAAUGUAACCCAAGAGCAUGCCUCGAGGCACGCCGAAAACGCACUUCUCGGGAUUGAGCUUGAUUUGGUUGGCGCGUAAACAGCUAAAAGCAAUCUCGAGGUCCUGGAUCAGGUCCCCUCGCUGCUUUGACUUGACGACGAUGUCGUCGACAUAGGCCUCGACUGUCGACCCUAUGUGUUCACCAAAAACGUGGAGCAUGCAACGUUGGUAUGUAACUCCCGCGUUUCGAAGCCCAAACGGCAUGGUCACAUAGCAAUACAUCCCAAAAGGCGUGAUGAAAGAGGUCGCGAGCUGGUCGGACUCCUUCAUUUUUAUUUGGUGGUAACCAGAAUACGCAUCAAGGAAAGAAAGGGUUUCACAUCCCGCGGUAGAAUCGACAAUGUGAUCAAUACGUGGCAACGGAAAAGGAACUUUUGGACAUGCUUUAUUUAGACUAGUAUAAUCGACACACAUCCUCAUUUUCCCAUUCUUUUUCUUAACUAAUACAGGGUUUGCUAACCAGUCGGGAUGAUGAAUCCAGCCGUCAAAAGCUUGUGGACUUCCUCGCCAAUGAUCUUGCGUUUCUCCUCAUCGAAUCGGCGCAACCGCUGCUUCACUGGCUUGGAACCGGCUCGAAUCUCCAAGGAGUGCUCGGCGACUUCCCUCGGUAUGCCUGGCAUGUCCGAGGGACUCCAUGCGAACAUGUCGGCGUUUGCAUGGAGAAAGUCGACGAGCACAGCUUCCUAUUUGGGGUCGAGAUCGGCGCUGAUCGUCAACACCUUGCCGUCGGAGUUGUUGGGGUCGAGUGGGAUCUUCUUGGUUCCUUCUGCUGCCUGCGUGGCGCUUGGGCUCUGGAGCCUCAGCGGCCAGGGCCUCGAGCUUCACGAUGAGCUCGGUGGAGUUUUCCACUGCCUCCCCAUACUCGACGCACUCGACGUCGCACUCGUACGCGUGCUCGAAGGAGGAGCUGACGGUGAUGACGCCUUUGGGACCGGGCAUCUUCAGCUUCAAGUAGGUGUAGUUGGGUAUAGCCAUGAACUUAGCGUAACCCAGGCGUCCGAUGAUGGCGUGGUACGUGCCUCGAAAUCCAACCACUUCAAAGGUGAGGGUCUCCUUCCUGAAGUUGGCCACUGUGCCAAAGCAGACCGGCAAGUUGAUUCGACCUACUGGCAGCGCCUUUUUCCCUGGCAGGACGCCAUGAAAACCGCCGGCGCUUGGUUGGAGCUUCCCUCUAUCUAUGCCGAGGAGGUCGAGGGUCUCGAGGUAGAUGAUGUUGAGGCUACUGCCACCAUCCAUCAGUACUUUUGAGAGCCGUGUGUUGACGAUGAUCGGGUCGACGACGAGCGGGUAGACACCUGGGGCGACUACCUUGUCGGGGUGGUCCUCUCGAUCGAAAGUGAUGGGAGUGCUUGACCAGCUAAGGUACUGGGGCACCGCCAUUCUUGCCGCGAAGACCUCACGACGCUCCCUUUUGCGCUGCCUUGUGGUUAACUGAGUCGAGGGCCCGCCAUAGAUCAUGUAGCAGUCGUGGACGGCGGGGAAGCCGUCGUCAUCUUUGUUGCCACCCUUCUCUUUCUUGGAGUCGUCACGCGCAUCUUUCUUGAACCCUAGACCGUCAAAAUGCCUUUUCAGCAUACGACAGUCCUUGAGCUUGUGGUUGGCGCCUCCCUUGUGGUAAGGGCACGGCUCUUCUAGCAUCUUGUCGAAGACGCCUCCCUCCGGAGGGCCUCGAGGCUUCUUUCGUUCCAAGGCGGCGACAAGGUUGUCGUCGGAAUCCUCCCGGUGGAACUGCCGUGCUUUCUGCUUCUUUUUAUUCUUCUUGAGGCCCCGACUCGGGGUUCUAUCUUCAUCGGCAGGCCGCUUGCCUUUCCCCUCUUCACAGCUGAAGAAGGCGCCGACUGCCUCCUCCCCUGCCGCGUAGUUUGCCACUACGUCCAUCAGCUCAUCGACGGUCUGAGGGCGAUUUCGGCCCAGUUCCCACACUAAGUCUCGACUGGUGGUACCAGAGACGAAAGCCAGGAUGACGUCAUGGUCGGGGAUGUGCGGCAACUCAGUGCGCUGCUUCGAGAAGCGUCGAGCAUACUCUCGAAGAGUUUCUCCUGACUUCUGUUUGCACUUGCUGAGGUCCCAUGAGUUCCCGGGCCGUAUGUAGGUCCCUUUGAAAUUACCCUCGAAAACCCUGACCAGGUCAACCCAGUUGUGGAUCUGAUCAGCGGGAAGUUCCUCGAGCCAUCGACGGGCGGUGUCGGAGAUGAAGAGCGGUAGCUGCCUGAUGAUGGCUCGAUCGUCCCCUCGAGCUCCCCCCAACUGACAGGCCAACCUAAAAUCAGCUAACCACAAUUCUGGUUUGGUUUCACCGUUGUAUUUCGCGAUGCUGGUCGGGGGUCGGAACGGACUGGGCAGGGGUGUGCUGCGGAUCGCCCUACUGAACACUCGUGGGCCCGGUGGCUCGGGGGCCACCCGAUCUUCGUCGCUGUCGUACCUCCCACCGCGAUGUGCGCUGUAACCGCGUUCUUCCGCAUCUCCAUGCCGGCGGCGUCGAUUCUCUUCGAUGUCAUGCCGCGCGUCGUGUCGACGCUGAUUGUCGACGGGGAGAACGAGAGUGGUCUUUCUGCCUCGAGGUGGAGGCUGUUGAUGGACUGAGACCUCCUUUUCAUUUUGAGGCUGCUCGUCGUGCUUUUCAGUGGCAGCUCCUCGUCGUCGAGAAGCUGAACUUUCGGCUUGUUGAACUGCUACCACCUGGAGCAGCGUCUGUACCUCGUCUCGAAUGCGUCGAGCCUGGGAGUUCGACGGCUCUGGCAUGUUGCGCAGCAGCAUCGUCGCCGCCACUACGUUUUGGCCUGCUAGAGGGAAGCGGCUGACGGGCUGCUCUGGCUCUGCGUCUCCGACGAUUUGUCGAUGUACUUCUCGAGCACGCCUGCGAACACUUCCGCCCGGCGGAUAUGGCAAAUCUUGCUCAAGGAUUUGCUCAAGCAGGACAAGGCGCUCUCGGUCUUCGUCAAGCUUCAUCUUGAGCUCUCGCAGCUGCGCUAGCUGUGCAGCCUUGUCUUCUUGUGGAGGAGGGUCGACCUGUUCGUCGUUCCCAGGCGUCCUGGGGUCUUCUUGUGCCGCGGGGGCUCGACCGCUGUUGACGGUGGAUAUACCAUAGAAAUCCACAUACAAAACACCGUCAACAUGCCUCGGUUGCAAGGGGAAACGACAUGACAUGAACAUAUUUUAUCCAUAACUAGUUCCACUUGUACUCUUAGCUUGUUUAUGCAGGAACAACAAAUUCAAGACAUUAUUUGACAAAGCCAACAUCAGAAUCAUCAAGAGGAGAUCGAGGGGACAACAGGUGACACCCUGGGCCCACAGGGAGGGGGUCGCCCGACCCCUCUUUGGUGGGACCUAGGUGUGCCACCUAGUCCACCGACAUAAGGGACCCCUGUGGACACUGCUGGUGGGCCCAGAGGCCCAGAAGGGGGGUCGCCCGACCCCACAUCAAAGGCGGUUCCAGGGUCGGUGGCCUCCCACCGACCUUCCCCACAUGUCCCACAUGUUGAUUUGCCCCUGCCGUUGAUCAAAUGGCAGUUGUGAGGUCGGUUUGAUCCAAGGGUGGAGAGAAGAUGUCACGCGGAUCGAUGACGUGGCGAUGGAGUAACCCCUACUCCAUCUCCCUCUAUAAAAGGCAGCCUCCAUCCUUCAUUUCAAGUGUGCAAUUCCAAGGCCAAGUGCAUUACAAGUUCCAAGCAUACAAGUAGAGUAGUAGUUAGUCUAGAGUGGGAGUUAGAGUCGAGUCGAGCGAAGCUCGGGGUCUCCGGAGUCGUCUUCUGGAGAGUCUGGUAUAACUCUUGUACCUUUCUACUUUUGUAAGACUUUCCUUUUAUUAAUAUAUUAUUCUUACUUUACUUUACUGAGUUCUUACUUAGUGCAAGUCUUUUAGUCUUGUUGUGCAUUUACUUUAGUAAUAUAGUUGUCUUAGUGAAGUUAGUGACCUGUAACCACUCCUGUGUGUGCAUCAUCGUCCUAUCUUGUAUAGGAGCUCUAGCUAGCUGCAACUAGUUAGCGUUGUAGGAUUAAGUGUGAGCGUGGUGCUCAUACUUAAGAUUACCUUUGAUUACCGCUGGCUUGAACGGAAAGUAGGAGCGCACUCCCUAGUAGGUGACAGAUCGUGGGCGGCAUUAGGUUCUCCUCACGUACAGGCUAGUUCUUAAAAGGUAAGGCGUCCAUAAGCCCAAUAGUCGCUUUCGGUAAGGGGUUAGGUGAAAAACCUUCUAAGCGUCUUACCAGCUCGGCUAUCCCUCGCACACAGUUAGUAAGGCUCUAGCGUAGUUAAGACAAUUAUCUAUUAAAGUAAGUCACAGAAGUCAAGUUAGAUACAUAGGAGUCCUUUACUCACUCGUUGUCCUCCCACCUAGCUAACUCUACCAUUUACCUUUAGCAUAGGACCUUGGAUUCACCACUACCCUUCCUAUUCGUUAUUUACCACCCUUAUUCACUAGUUGAUACUAGAUAACUCAAGGAAUCUCAUUCCCCUUUUUGUUAAACACACUUAGCCGCUUUCCCUUGGGAAAAUAUAAAUUACGAUACCUUGGAAUACUCCUUGGUGAAGUGCUACAGCGGUACAUUCUGUGCGCUUGCGGAAUUAUCCAAUAGUAAAUAGAGUUACCCUACCAGGGCACUUCUGGCGCCGUCGCCGAUAUCCGGUGGUUGCGUUAAGAAGUGUCAACAAGCAUUUCUGGCGCCGUUGCCGGGGAGAGCGUCUGUCUAAGAGUUUUAACAAAAAGAGAAUCCAGAGUUUGCUAGUUAUCAAGUAGUGAUAGGGAUAACCCAUCACUUGUCUUGUCUUCCUUUAUUGUGAAGCCUGACAGUGUAUGAGCGGUUUCCAAUUGCCGUCAAACUUCGUUGAAGAUCCUGAGCAACUGUUGAGGAGAACUAGACGUCGUCAAGUUCCACCUCAAAGGUUCAUCUCGAACCUGAAUCCGUUAGAGGAAGGAGUAUCUGCACCGGUUAUCAAAGAAGCUAUGGCCCAGAAGACCAUCUCUGAGUACUCUGCGCCGUCGGCUGACAAUGUCGCCACGGGUCCGCAGCUUAACUUGGGGGAUGCGACUUUUGAGUUGAAGCCUGCGCUUAUCAAUAUGGUGCAAGCCAAUCCCUUCUGUGGAAAGCCACACGAGGAUGCCAAUGCCCAUCUCCAACACUUCUUGGAGGUGUGCGGCACCUUCACCAUCAAGAAUGUCGCCGCAGACGCCAUCCGUCUUCGCCUCUUCCCAUUCUCGUUAUUGGGGAAGGCGAAGCAAUGGUUCUACGCCAACAAGGGUGAAGUGACCACGUGGGAGAGGUGCGCCAAUGCAUUUCUCAAGAAGUUCUUUCCGAUGGGCAAGACCAGCGCCCUUCGUGGAAAGAUUUCCAGCUUCCAACAGCAAGCGGAUGAGACGAUUCCCGAAGCAUGGGAACGUCUGCAGGAGUACAUUCGCGCCUGUCCUCAUCAUGGGAUAGAGGAGUGGCUCCUAAUCCAAGGUUUCUACCAUGGCCUGACCGGUUUGGCCCGUAGUCACCUUGAUGCUGCCGCUGGAGGAGCAUUCUUGCAACACAAUGUCAAGGAUGCCAAGGACCUCAUUGAAAAGAUGGUUAUAAACCAAGGAUGGAAUGAGGAACGCCUCCAACCCAAGAGAAGAGGUGUCCAUGCCUUGAAUGAGGUGGACAUGCUCUCUGCUAAGAUUGACCUCUUAAUGAAGAAGAUGGAAGAAAGUUCCAAGCAAGAGACCAUUCAACCUUACGCCACUACACGGGCCAUUGAAUCUGAUUCAUGGUGCGAAGUGUGCGGAGGAGAUGAUCAUUCGGGAAACAAUUGUCCUGAAACAAAGGAGGAAGUGAGCUUCAUCAACAACAACAACAAUGGGUACCGGCCCCAACAACAGCAAUGGAACUCGCGCCCCUUCUACCAAGGUAAUCAAGGUAAUGGUUACAAUCAAAAUUUCAAUAAUUCUUUUGGUAACCAACCUUCUCUUAGAGAUCUUGUCUUAGGCCAAUCUAAAAUCAAUGAUAGCAUUAACAAGAAAAUGAUGGCUAAUGAUAAGAUCCUUGAAAACUUAAGUGAAAAGUUGGAUAGCUUUAACUCUGCUAUGAAAAAUCAGUUGAGCUUUAACAAAAUGCUAGAAACACAAUUAGCUCAAUUAGCAGCAGCUGUCCCAUCCUUCGAGCAAGGUAAGAUCCCAGGGAAACCUGAGGACCCAAUUGAAGGAGUUAAACUAGUUACUACGAGGUUCGGUAAGCCUCCGGUACAAUCCAACUGGAGCUAUCAUCUGGAUUCGCCCUUCAUCACCAAGAAGGACGACCCAGGCCUGCCGACCAUCACCUGUGAGAUCGGACCGCAAAUCUUCCACAACGCCUUCUGCGACCUUGGAUCGGGUGUCAACAUUAUGGCCAAGGUAACUUAUGAUAAUUUGCUAGGAGGGCCUUUGCACCCCACAUUUGUUCGUUUGCAGAUGGCAGAUCAGACGAUCAGGUUCCCUGAGGGGUUGGCAAGGGACAUACUGGUAAAGGUCCAAGACGACUACGUCCCUGCCGACUUCAUCAUUUUGGAUAUGGGAUCCAAUAAUGAUGUCUCGAUCAUCUUGGGAAGGCCUUUCCUCAACACGGUCAAUGCAGUCAUCUAUGUGGGGUCCGGCCAGAUUCACCUCCAAUUCCCAGGAUGGAAGGUAAAAUGUCCAUUCAAUGGUUAUAAAGCUAACAUGCAGGUGAAGGACAAAGAACCACCGACUAAGCCUCGCCACAUCCGACGCCGAAGGGACAAGAGAGGUAAGUCGGCCAAAAGGGCCGAAAAGAAAGAAGAGGAACCCGCUGAACCAAAAAUCAAUACCAAGCAAGUAUGGCGGGAGAAAGAGGUGCAAUCAAGGUCCACGUCUCCGGGACCAUCUGAUGCACCCGAAGGAUGAACAAGAUGGAGAGGUCCUGCUCUACGGACCUAAAACAUGGAGCCCUUGCUGAUAAGGUAAAUCAGUAGUUAUCCCAUAUUUAUUUUCUGCAUUUCAAUUUCUACUAUUCACUUUUCAAUUGCAUUCUUACUUUGAAUUUUGCAUAUCUUAUUUCGACAAAAUGUUUAGCCAUAAUAAAUAAAAUCUUGAGAAUAACUUGUCAUAAAAAUUUGAGCUGCUGGAGCUCCCAAAGGGGGGUCGCCCGACCCCACCUUGGGGCCCACUUCACCACAUUUCAACCUUGCUAGUCAUAGAGGUUCCAACCCAGCACUUGGAUGCUCUGGGAGCUCCAAUGUGGGGGUCGGCCGACCCCCAUAUUGGCCCCACUUGCCUCCUGCUGGCCACCAUUUGAAUCACAAUGGAGUCCUAUGCUUGUAACACUAGCUAAAGUUUGAAAAAGAGUGGUCCCUUGAUCCUUUACUUUAGUCAUAAGAUGCUCCUUUCAUCUUUGAUUCUUUUGGGACCACUCCACUAGCUUAAAUUCUGCAAAGUGGUCACCUAGGCAUGCUUGAGUGCUCCCAUGGUCCAUAGGAAUCACUUUAGACAUGUCUCCACUUUUGCCAUUCAUCUUUUACCUUUCACAAAGCACUAAAACAGGGAAUCUCAGAAACAAUUUGAAAACUUUUGGUCCACACCUAGCCUUUACUUUUCCGGACAAUCAAUGACACAAUGUUUAAAGUGGAGGAGGGGCUAGGAUGGGGGUCGGCCGACCCCCAUUUUGGACCAUCUCUGCAAAAUCUUGAAAGCAUGCAGAAUGGUUCCCUGUAUAAAGCUAAACUUAAAUUCAAAGUGCUUCUAGGGGGGGUCGGCCGACCCCUAUAUUGUGGGUCCACUACUUGCCCUUCUCCCCCUAUAAAUACCACAGCAUUGUGAGCUCAACUCCACACCCAAAACCACCAGAACCAUUUCGAGCUCACAAUCCUUUCUCUUCUCUCUUUGUUACAAGCCAUUUCUCAAGUUUAGUUUAGAAAUAGUCAUCAAAACAAAAACCCAAAAAGAUUCCCCUUGCAUAGUAGUAGUAGUAGGAGCUUGGUUUGCCUCACUUGUGUAGGAGGAUGAAGAAGCAUAUCUUCGGCAAGUUCAAGAAAGCAAAGGGUGAGAGCUCUUCUCAAGGCUCUCACCAUGCUCAUGGAAGGAAGGAAGAAGAAGGUUACCAUGGGAUGGUACCCUACGAGCCUCCAUCAAGGAUGAGAGAGCCCGAGAGCGGGCUCAUGUUAAGCCAAGAAGAGUUGCAAAGGUACUACAUCAUCCGAGAGGGUCUCUUCCUACACACUAGCAUCAUCGAUCCGGACCUUUUGGCCCGCACAGGUAUGGAUGUUGAAUUCGAUAAGGUGUUUAGAGCAAUUGGUUGGAGUAGUUUUUGGCAAGUGCCUGAAUUUGGAAAAGAAUUGCUUGCUAAGGAAUUUCUAUGCACCCUAAAACUCACAAAUAAUGGAAUAUCUUUUCGCAUGUGUGAGCAAGAACAUCAAUUAAAUUGGAGUUUGCUAAACACUGCUUUAGGGUGUGAACAUGAAUGUGAACUUGAUCUAGAUCAUGCCACUAGAAUGUUCGAUAAAAUUAGAUUCUGGAAAGCAAUUUCUGGCUCUAAUGAUUGUUCAAAUCCUACUCCCAUUGAAAUCCAUAAUCCAACCUUGCGCUUUCUUCACUUCUGGAUCAUGUGCACUCUAUAUCCUGGCAUGGGAACUGAUACUUUAAUUGAUGAUGAACUUAAAAUUCUCUAUGCCAUGGUUAGUAAAAUCAAGGUCUCCCCUGUGAAACUGCUAGUGAACUAUUGGCUUAACUCUAUUGAGUAUGGGAAGCCCAUCUAUUUCACAUCCUUUAUUACUCGAAUAGCCGAUACUUUUGGAUUACUUGAAUCACAUUAUUUUGAAGACAUUGGCUAUGUUAGAGGAGUGGUAGAUGAGAACUUCUUUAUCAAUGCUAACAUACUCAUAAGAGAUCCAAAUGGUGAACUUAAAAUGAUUUAUCCGGGCUAUACAACCGAAAUUCCUCUCCCAUGUGCGAGGCGCCGGUUGUAUGGGGUCCGCACACUUACCAUUAGACUAGCCCGAGUGGCAAGUCCAGAUGUUGCAGGGACACGCAGGGUGACAAGAAGGAUGAUGCAAGCCGCCCAGAUGGAGCAAGGAGGAUCCUCGCACCAUGACGUUGAAGAGGGCGAUGAAGCGAUGUCAGUGGAUGCUUCAGACUCCAUGGGUCUACCUCCACAACGCACUCCACGCCCAAGGGACAGGGCUAGGCGUCACCAGCCCACAGGUAUGGACAGUCUCAUUAAUGACAUGGGCGAAUUGCAGAUUGGGCAAGAAGCAACAUUGCAACUGGCGUUACAAAACGGCCAACAUAUCCGACGUGUGCGAGAGGAAGACGCACAACGCUGGGCCGGAUGGUACCAGAAUUUCCCGCCACCACAGUGAGCGAAGAUCUAGCUUGGGGGAGAUCCUCUCCCCCACUAAGGUAAGUAUUCUAUCCUAUUUAUUUUCAUGCAUUUUAUCAUUCUUACUUAAAAAAAAAUAAAAAAUAAAUAAAUAUUUAUUAGCAUUUCCCUUUAGCAUAUAUGCUUCAUGUAUGUUUAUAUCCCUCAUGGAAAUUAUGACUAGUUGCUUGUUAAUGUUUCUCUAGUGCCUAGUAUACAACUUAGUAUUUCUCUAAGUAUGGAUCACUUAGCUCACUUAAACUGCCAUGAACCUAAAAACUUUGUGGGUUGCAAGUGCUAGAACUAAGUCUAAGUUGUUGUGGGACAUGAGAUAGUAAGACAAGAGCUACUAUAAUAUUUUUCUAAGCAUGCAUGAUUAUCAGAGAUUUAUUCUUAAAAUGAUCAAAACCUUAAUUGUUCCUCAAUGGUGAUGAAUUCCUACCACAGCCAUAUCUACUUUACAUAAUUGCAACCUUUCCACAUAAGCUAUUUGCUUUGUGUUGAGUGUCGUCAAGUCUUGUUGACCCUUGUUAAGAGACUUUUCAUGCUCCUAAGAUCAAGAUCACGUACACACCACAUAUAUAUAUGCUGCUUCUACACUGGAAGUACGCAACCACAUGUAUUUCGCAUCCACUAAAUAGGUUGCUCCAUACUCUAAAUGUUAGAACAUCUCUCUUAACAUUAUUUGGUAAAUGAGACAUCAAAAGGGCUAGGCAAAAUGAAAUAAAAAGAUGGACAUGUGCAAGUCCACAGAAAAAGAAAAUUGAGCACAUGAAAGCUCAUAUAUAAAAAAAAAGAAGAAAAAAAUGCUAGCCAUGUCUCAAUACAUAGAGAGUCUAUCAAAUAAAGGAGCAACCUAGUCCACCAUAUAUCACACUUGCACAUCUUGAUCUGGGAGUAUGACACUUCUCUUCAAGGAUCCGAGCUUUGACUUCGCAAUACAUGCAAAGUAAGUAUGCUAUCUCCUUUCAUCCCUACCUUGAACUCCACAUAAGCCUUUUAGAAAUAGGAUGAAAUAGAGAAGGCAACUCUUACCAUAUGCCUUGGUGAGGAAUCAUACACCAUUUGAGUGACAUGAGAGAACCAUAAGAGGAACAUUUAAGCUUUCUUUUGAAAAUAUCACAAAACCUCUGAUAUGAAACUUGCUAAGAAUGAGAAAGUUAGUGCUCAAGUCAAACUGUUCUGUCUCACAACCACCUAAGACAAAGGAAAAGCCAUAAGCCCCAUAAGGGACUAAGGUAAUAGGGGUAAGUUUACAUAGCUAAAUUUUUCAUGCAAGGAGAAGAACUUUGUUGUACACAUGGUACUCUUGAAAUGUGAACAUAGUAACAAUACCUGAUCCACCGAGGCUAAGUUUGAUUGUUUGCUCGGGACGAGCAAAGGUUAAGCUUGGGGGAUCUUGUUGACGGUGGAUAUACCAUAGAAAUCCACAUACAAAACACCGUCAACAUGCCUCGGUUGCAAGGGGAAACGACAUGACAUGAACAUAUUUUAUCCAUAACUAGUUCCACUUGUACUCUUAGCUUGUUUAUGCAGGAACAACAAAUUCAAGACAUUAUUUGACAAAGCCAACAUCAGAAUCAUCAAGAGGAGAUCGAGGGGACAACAGGUGACACCCUGGGCCCACAGGGAGGGGGUCGCCCGACCCCUCUUUGGUGGGACCCAGGUGUGCCACCUAGUCCACCGACAUAAGGGACCCCUGUGGACACUGCUGGUGGGCCCAGAGGCCCAGAAGGGGGGUCGCCCGACCCCACAUCAAAGGCGGUUCCAGGGUCGGUGGCCUCCCACCGACCUUCCCCACAUGUCCCACAUGUUGAUUUGCCCCUGCCGUUGAUCAAAUGGCGGUUGUGAGGUCGGUUUGAUCCAAGGGUGGAGAGAAGAUGUCACGCGGAUCGAUGACGUGGCGAUGGAGUAACCCCUACUCCAUCUCCCUCUAUAAAAGGCAGCCUCCAUCCUUCAUUUCAAGUGUGCAAUUCCAAGGCCAAGUGCAUUACAAGUUCCAAGCAUACAAGUAGAGUAGUAGUUAGUCUAGAGUGGGAGUUAGAGUCGAGUCGAGCGAAGCUCGGGGUCUCCGGAGUCGUCUUCUGGAGAGUCUGGUAUAGCUCUUGUACCUUUCUACUUUUGUAAGACUUUCCUUUUAUUAAUAUAUUAUUCUUACUUUACUUUACUGAGUUCUUACUUAGUGCAAGUCUUUUAGUCUUGUUGUGCAUUUACUUUAGUAAUAUAGUUGUCUUAGUGAAGUUAGUGACCUGUAACCACUCCUGUGUGUGCAUCAUCGUCCUAUCUUGUAUAGGAGCUCUAGCUAGCUGCAACUAGUUAGCGUUGUAGGAUUAAGUGUGAGCGUGGUGCUCAUACUUAAGAUUACCUUUGAUUACCGCUGGCUUGAACGGAAAGUAGGAGCGCACUCCCUAGUAGGUGACAGAUCGUGGGCGGCAUUAGGUUCUCCUCACGUACAGGCUAGUUCUUAAAAGGUAAGGCGUCCAUAAGCCCAAUAGUCGCUUUCGGUAAGGGGUUAGGUGAAAAACCUUCUAAGCGUCUUACCAGCUCGGCUAUCCCUCGCACACAGUUAGUAAGGCUCUAGCGUAGUUAAGACAAUUAUCUAUUAAAGUAAGUCACAGAAGUCAAGUUAGAUACAUAGGAGUCCUUUACUCACUCGUUGUCCUCCCACCUAGCUAACUCUACCAUUUACCUUUAGCAUAGGACCUUGGAUUCACCACUACCCUUCCUAUUUGUUAUUUACCACCCUUAUUCACUAGUUGAUACUAGAUAACUCAAGGAAUCUCAUUCCCCUUUUUGUUAAACACACUUAGCCGCUUUCCCUUGGGAAAAUAUAAAUUACGAUACCUUGGAAUACUCCUUGGUGAAGUGCUACAGCGGUACAUUCUGUGCGCUUGCGGAAUUAUCCAAUAGUAAAUAGAGUUACCCUACCAGGGCACUUCUGGCGCCGUCGCCGAUAUCCGGUGGUUGCGUUAAGAAGUGUCAACAACCGCCCGCAGCGGCAUCCCGUGUCUCAUCGGUAGUUUCUACCGCCCCGUCGAUGUGAUAGCAUUCCCUUGUAGGGUCGUAGCUAUCAGUCUCGGAGUCGGAGUCCGGUUCAGCGGCGUAGAAACAUCCACGUCCUUCCUCCAGCAGCCGUUGCCUGAGCGAGGUGAUCGUGUAUCGAACGGGGCCUAGGCGGCGGAGGCCUCGCACCUGGGAGAGAUUCGGUAGUUCGGGCGUCGGCUGUGGUGCUCCUGAGUCAUGUGGGAGGACCAUUGGUCUUUCCACGUAUGUCUGGGCGUUUGGGCAUAUCGCCCUGGCGAGCGACGCCGUGGCGUUGUCCAAUCCGAAUGGCAGUGCCCUUCUUGGAGUGAACAACCCGUGUGGAAGCAGCCUAGCAGCGGUAGGGGAGAGUGCGCGAGAUGCGUCCCCUCUCGUUGUUGUGCGGUGCUGAGUCGUCACGCUCGUUGCUUCGACACAUGGUGCUGCCGACUUGUGGCCCGCUUCCUGCUUCGCACGAGUUGUUGGUCGUGAUGAAGCAGAGGGGUCGCGGUGGUGCUGUCCGCGCCUCUUCUUAGGCGGGGAGGCGUGGUGGUGAGGGUGUCUCGGGGCCCUCAACCGUGCUGGCGCAACGCGGGCUCCUCCUGGUCCUCUGACUGAGAGCAAGAUCAUGUCGUAGCCGGAGCCCGUAGACAUGAACUCGAGACUCCCAAACCAAAUCACCGUGGAGCGCGGAAUCGGUGAGGCGAGAGUGGCCAUCUGGAAAGGAGUGGGAAAUCGAUGAAAAACACGCAGGACCCCUACCUGGCGCGCCAACUGUCGGUGUUUUCCCCACGGGGGGUCACACCAAUGAGUAAAUUUGUAUGUGUGCUCCCUUUCCCAGAUGGUGAUGCAAGAAGACACGGAGAUUUAUCCUGGUUCGGGCAAGAGAAGGCCCUACGUCCAGCAGGGGGGGAGAAGUUUGUAUUAUCUUGCACCUAAGUGCUUGUACAGGGGUGAAUACAAGCAUGGUAUGAAGUGUGAGAACCCUACCGUGUAUGUGUGUAAUGUUGCGUGGUGUUGUGUCGUGAUCUCCCGUGUUCUAUUCCUGAGUCCCUCCUUUUAUAGUUCCAAGGAGAGACCCAAGGUACAUGUAUAGGCGUCAGAAUAGGAGUCGAUAGCAGUAUGGAGCGCUGACCUACUCGAGGCUUCCGUACCGGCAUGGCCUCGAGCCGUCCCAUCUUAAUAGCCUGGUGAUGAUUACGCGUGCCCCUGCAUUCUGCUCUGCGCGCUGUCUUGGAUUGGUUCAACGGAUGCACGCUUGUACGAUCCGGUGGCAAAUCCGGCGGAGUGGUUGGGAUGUAGUCAGUCGACACCCAACCCGUCCCCUGGGAGGGGACCCUGUUCGGUCGAGGGUCGGACGCCGUGUAUCAUGACGAUAUCCGGAGCACUGACCUUGGAUGUCUCGAGGAGGUCCCGAUUAGACGUCUCAUCCUUGUUUCCCGCGCCCUGUCAUGCCCUGGGUCGUUCGGCGGGAAGGCUGCAAAAAGAUCGAUGGGACGGAUGCCUGUUCCCUAUCACGUCUCCCGUGACCCGUGUGUUAGGUGGGGAAGCAUCAGGCGCAUUUAAUGCCCCGGCUCGCGUGCGCGCGUCAGGCGGCGGGCGGCGUCCUUGCGCUCGACGCCCCCCGGUUCGCGUGAGCCCGUUCCGUAUUCGACGGUAACCGGCGCUCGACGCCUGAUCGAUUCGCUCGACGCUAUUUCCGUCUUCGAGGUUGCGGCCGUCGAUGGCAGCGCAUACGUAAGAUUAGAGCGUCGAAUUGAGGGCCUCGACCUUCGUACGGGCAAUCUCGUAAUGCGCAUCGAUGAGGGUACCCCUUACUGAUACCCUCGACACAAGUUGCAAUCCCAACAUUGGCACCGUCCAAGCAGUGAACUCACACACAUCGUGUGAAGUUUGUGGUGAUGAUAGCCAUUCGGGGAACAAUUGCCCCGAAACCCAAGAAGAAGCAGCAUAUGUCAACAAUGGGUUUCGGCCACCACAACAAGGUAACAACGGGUGGAACAAUCAGCACCGCCCGCAGGGUAAUUUCUUCAAUCAGCCUUCCUUGAAAGAUCUGGUCAUAGGGCAAGCUAAAAUCAACGAGAAUCUGACCAAGAAGUUGUCCUACAAUGACAAGAUCAUUGAGAACAUCAACACCAAGCUUGAAACUCUUUCUUCAUCUGUCAAAAGUCAGACGAGUUUCAACAAGAUGAUAGAAACACAGAUAGCACAGAUAGCUGCAUAGAUUCCAGUCACUAACACAAAGAGGAUCCCAGGGCAACUGGAAACAUCUACUAAGUUCGUCCAUGCAGCCACAGAAGAAUGAAGGAAGGAAAGUCUUGCCAACGGACUAUAAAUGUUGAGCCCUUGGCGAAGGCAUUCGGUAGUUAUCUAAAAAAACUAUAUAUAAUAAAAAUAAAUUUUGUGCUAUUUGUGUCCCAAUAAAGGUAUCUGAAGGGGGCCCACGAUAUCAAGCAAGCUUGGGGGAGGUGUCCCCGCUUAGGUAUUAUGUCUUUUUAAAUUCUUUAAAUUUCGUUUUAAUUUCCCUUUUUAUAGAAAGUUUUUAUUUUUAGUUUCCAAAAGUUUCCCUUUCUAUAGUUUUAUUUUUAUUCAAAAAUAAAGUUUCUCUGAAAAUCUUAUAAAAAUUAUUUUGUGGUAGUAUAGAUUUUCCCAUUUCCAAAUCUUGUUUUUAGAUAAUUUUUGAAAACCAAAAAUAUUUUGAAUAAAUAUAUGGAAAAUCAAAGUUUGGAGCAAGAUUUCGAACCAGGUCUGAUCGUAACCAGAGAGACGUUUGGGGUGACCGUUGGAGCCAGCAGCCAAAAGGCCGGGCAGAGGUGGGCCCACCACUGGUGCGGGCGCACCAAGGUGCUGCCGUACCCUGCCCAAGGCCUGCUGGCCUCGGCCUUUGGGCAACGGCUAGUAGCCGUUGAGGGGGGCGCUCCCCCGCCUGCGAUCAACUCUAUAAAUAGAGAGGAUCCCGGGUGGAGCACCUCACCCCUCUCACACACAUUUUUUUACUCUUCCCUUCUUCACUCUCUUGCUCCACUUUGCUUCAUAGCCUACUCCACAAGCUUAGUGCAAAAAAAAAUCUGUCAAAAACUUCUUGCACACCUCCCUCUCCAAGCAAAAACACCAUACACUUGUGCUAGCUCGUCCACCAUGAAUAGAAUUUUCGGGCUUAGAAGGAGCCACCGCCAACGCGGGGAAGAUCCACCAACCCCUGCAAGGAAUGAGCAGCCGGCACAUGGAGGAGAGGAGGAGGAGCCACAUGGCCACGCCAUUGACGAGGCCGACACCCCCUUCAUCGACUUGGAAAGCGAGCGGGAGAUGCAGACAUACAACCUCGUGAAGGAACGCGAGUUCCUCCAUUCGCCGACAUUCGACCGCGCAUUAAUGCACCAAAUAUGUAUGGAUGUUGAGUUUGAUACUAUUUUUGAGCAUCUUGGUUGGAGUAGAGUUGCCCCCGUCUGUUAGCUUGGGCCACGUCUUUUGACAAUCCAAAUUUUGGGCACUCUACAAAUUGUUGAUUAUGGUAUUACCUUUCGUUGCUUUGGAAGAGAUUUUCGUAUUUAUUGGAAGGAUCUUGCCAACUGUUUGGGUUUCCACGAGCGGUACUCCAUUGACUUAGGUUUCUCCCUCGGGGGUUACCAACGUCAUGCUUUCUGGCAUUUGAACUCGGGGCAACACAUCGUUGGAAAGUUUUAGGGGCAUUCUGCCAACAUCCAUCACCCCACUCUGAGGCUUCUCCAUAAGUGGAUUGCUAGUUCGUUCUUUUCAAGAGAUGAUACGCAUCUUACUUACGACAUAGAGUUGAAGUUGCUUUAUGUUGCGCUCAAAAAGAUUAAGGUUGCACCUGUUGUUGAGCUUGUUAAUCAUUGGUUGCAUUCCAUUAAGACUUCAACUACUAUCAUGUCCACAUCUCUUAUUACUCGCCUUGCUGCAAGUGUUGAUCCCCAAGCUGCUAAUACCAUUAUUUACAUCACUACUCCUCGCAUCAUGAUUAAUGAAUCAUAUCUUUCGCAUGCACAUAUGAUUAAACACGACGAAAUGGUUAAAAAGAUUUUAUAUUAUUUUCCGGGAUAUACAAAUGAGAUCCAGUUACCUAACUUGGAUCUCGCUUUGUUUCUUGCAGGAACUCACAGAGGAGGGAACAAGAAGAGCAGGCAGCACAAGCAGCAAGGGCAGCACAGCCAGCACAGCCAGCACCUUCCACACAGCUAACACAGCACACUCCACCACCAGCUAUGCCAGAGAUGGGAUGGAUCCCUGCUAUACCUGCACUCGGAUUUACCCCUAGGUAUGGAUAUGGUAUGGGAUACAUUCCUCACCCCUACGAGGCUGGAGGUUCGAGCUGGCAGGCAGGAGGGUCAAGCUGGCAGGCACACGGAGGCGCAGGCCCAAGCGAGCCAGAGGCAUAUGGGGUAGGGGGAUCCAGGCAUCACGAGCUAGGACACUCCUCAGAUUCUAAGGGAAUGCCACCCCCUGUUCGCCCUCAGGUUACAAUGGACUUCCUCAACACUCGCAUGGGAGGACUAGAGCUCCAGAACAGGCAGAUCCAAGGUACGCUGAAUGCCCACAUCUAGACUGCUACCCAAUGGCAUCAGCAGACCCAACAGAGCUUCAUCGACCUUGAGGAUCCAAGCCGUCGCCAGCACGAGGCACAGAUGGCCUACCUGCGAUUCAUGGGACAUUUCCCUAGACCGCAGUAGUGACCUAGCUUGGGGGAGGACCCCCACAAGAGGUAACUUGUAUCUUACAUUCUUGCACUUAAUUUUAGUUCUUAAUUUUAGUAUUUAAAUUUCAGCAACUUUUCAUCAUCUUUCAAAAAAUAUUCCACUCUCAUGUGCGCUAUGAUAUGUUGCUUUCUCUUUUGUUGAAAUGAUGAAUAGUUGCUCUGUCUAUAAUUCCCUAGUAUCUAAGUUAUAAUUUAGUGUUCAUCAAGAUUUAAGUUUGUUGGCUAAAAAUGCCUCAUUCUGAGAACUUGAAAUCUUAUGGGUUGCAAAUGCAUGAUCCUUUUCUAAGUUGUUGCGAGACAUGAUAUGCUACAAAUAGAUUUUGCUAUGACUUUGUUCUAAGAGAAACUUGACAUCUGGAGUUUUCUUUUCAAAAAUUCAAAACAAAGAGUUCCUCAAUGAUUAUAAAAUACCUACCAAGGCCAUAUGACUUGCUUAGUAGUUUGUACACCUUCAGUCAUAUGCGGCUUGCAGCGCUUUGAGUUGAGUCAAAUCCCAGGUGUUGACGGUCCUUAAUGGUCACAUUUAACCGUCAACUAAUCAUGGAAAAGGACCUAUAUGCAACCAACAUCCAAAAUUAGGGUUUCAUCUGACAGAAUUCCACGAGUUUUGGUGUUUGUCUAUUUCUGCAGGGGGUUAUCAGGAAAUAUGGAGGAAAGGCCCACACGUCGGGUUUACAUAGAGAUAUUAACGUGUGCGCCAAUUUUCUAUCAUCUAGAAGACUCUAGAAGCCACGAGAACGAACGGGAGGCCAAGCAGGCCUGGGGGCAGGGCGCCCGCCCUCCCCCCUUGGCGCCCGCCCAGCUAUAGGAGCCAAUCAGGCUCCGCCUCGCGGAUCAUGCUCCACCGACCUAAAGGAUUAAGGAAAACCGUGCGAUUAAGGUCGGUUUGAUCCGACGGUACACGUUCAUUUGGAAGGGCUAUAUAAGCAGGCCCCCUGGCCCCUGGAGAACAUACCUCUUCUACAGAAUCAAAGCUAGGGUUUCAAUUAUUCAUCCAAGUAGAGAGGAUCCCUCUAGUUCAUCUAGUUCUCGCUCUAGUUCAUCUAGUUCUAGUUCUAGUUAGUUCUAGUUGUAAUCUAGAAAAUAGGGAGAGAGAAGAGGAGAGCGGAGGAGUCGGAUCUGUCGGAUCUUCCUCAACAUUGUACUUUUGCAGCAACUGGUUCGUUCUUCAUUGUUCUCCAAGUUCAUCAAUUCAUAAUUCCUAAGUUCUUUAAUUACUUUUAUUUACAUUCAAGUUAUUUAUUGGAUUCCCACUUGCAUCAAGUGCUCUACUCUUUAUAACGCUAGAGUAGUAAUUAAUAGAUUAGACGUGGUGUUUAGUCUUGCAAUUACAUGGAAUUGCACCCAAUCCUGCGGAUUGUUGUGGUAGCCCUAGGGUAGUGACAGCCCUAACGGUCGACGUAUUCCACCUCGUUCGGAUCGGUGUUUGUAGGACAGUAGUCAGAGCUUCCUAGCCCCCUUCUCAUCUCUUUCUGUGGUUAGUGUUCUGAUGUCCCGAAAUAAAUAAUCUUUGAUGUAAUUCUUAAUUCUUAGAUCAACUAGAGAACUCUUAGGAAACUUCUUCUCUUCCCACCAAAAAUAAUUAUAUAGUUAUCCUUAGGCGAUCUUGAAUCUUAAUUAGUACACUCACGUUCCCUGUGGAAAAUCGAUACUCUGGAAUACUCUCGGGUGAAAGCUACAUCGGUAUCCGUGCGCUUGUAGAUUUUUCUGUUUGCGUUCAAAAUACCCAACAAGCUUUCUGGCGCCGUUGCCGGGAAACAGUAGCUGUGCUAGUUUCGAACCAAGUCGUCUGUGUAUCCUUUUUCUUUUCUUUUUUUACCGCACUCACCUUGCCAUUUUCACCAUACCACAUGCAUUUCACUCCUAUCUAUAAAUUAUUUCCUCCAAAGGGCGAGUUAUUAGAGCCACCACCAUCAUCACAUCCAAUUCUUACAGAUGGCUACGACCUCGGCCCUGAUCUUCUGGCCAACGAUGUAUGAAGAUACAAAGGACUUUGUCAGGAGAUGCCACCGAUGUCAAAAACAUGGGAAUAUCAACUCACGAAAUGAAAUGCCUCUCACAAAUAAUCUUCAAGUAGAACAUUUCGAUGUAUGGGGCAUUGAUUUCAUGGGGCCAUUCCCUAUGUCCGGGAAAUGCGAGUAUAUCUUGGUAGCUGUGGACUACGUGUACAAAUGGGUAGAAGCCCUACCUUGUCGAUCAGCUGAUUCAAAACAUGCUAAGAGAAUGUUCCAUGAAGUAAUCUUUCCUUGCUUUGGUAUACCCCGGAUAGUCAUAGCGAUGGAGGUUCCCACUUCAUCGACAAAAUCUUCCGAAAGUACCUAGCCGAUCAUGGAGCUCGACACAACGUCACGACACCAUACCAUCCUCAGACUAGCGGUCAAGCCGAAACAUCUAACAAACAAAUCAAAAAUAUUUUACAAAAGACCGUAGAUGAGAUGGGUAAGGGGUGGAAGGAGAAACUUCCUGAUGCACUUUGGGCAUAUAUAACUGCAUUCAAAACACCCAUAGGCAUGUCACCUUAUCAACUUGUAUAUGGAAAAACUUGUCAUUUGCCUAUGGAAGUAGAGUUUAAGGCUCAUUGGGCACUCAAGAAAUGGAACAUGGAUCUCCACCUCACUAGUGAGAAUCGUCUGAUGCAACUAUCUGAGCUAGAAGAACGGAGAGAGAAAGCCUACCACAAUUCAAGGAUCUAUAAAGAGAGAACAAAACGAUGACAUGAUAAGAGAAUCAAGCACAAGGAGUUUAAGCCUGGAGAUAAGGUUCUACUAUUAAAUUCAAGAGUUAAGCUCUUUGGGCAUGGUAAGCUACGAAGUAAGUGGGAUAGACCAUGCAAGGUUAUUGACACUUCAACUCAUGGAGCCAUUACCAUCCAAGACGACAUAGGUAACACUUUUAAGGUAAAUGGUGAAUGCUUGAAAAUCUAUCUCAAGCCACAAAACAACCUGGUAGAGGAACUUGAUGUGAUUGAGUUCAUAGAAUUCUCACAUUAAGCUCUCAUAAGCUCUAGACAAUUACAUAACCUUAACAUGCUCCACGAGUUUUGUUGUCUAUUUGGGUUGUACAGGAUUUUGAGGCUUAAGAAGAGUGAGACCGAACAUGUAGGCCACAAGAGUGAACGACUAUGUCAACAUCCAGCUUGGGGAGGCACCCCCACGUGUAUCUAGAUAAGUAUUACUUUUCUUUCUUGGUUUUAUUUACUAGUAUUCAGAAAUAAAUAAAAAAUGCAUAACCAUGAAACCAAACAAAGUUUUUCUUUUGAGUAAUAUACAAUAGUUUUGUGUAAUCCUAAGUUUUAAAUAAAAUAAAAAGAAAGUUUGAUCCAAGUCUAGGUAAUUGACAAACAUGAUAUGAGAAGGUCUGAGCUACUAUUUAACUUGUUCCAAGUAUCGCUAGAGUUCUGGAGAUUUUAUCUUUUGAAAAUCUAAAAAUUCAAAAAAAAUGAAUGAGAUCCUGUUUGACAUAAUACCUAGAGUCUUAUAAGAUAUAAAUAUUAAAACUGAGGGCACUUGCUUUGUUCAAGCCAUUGUUAAUUCUUGUAGUUUUGGUUGAGAGAAUUAUCAUGCUCCAAAGAUCAAGAUCUUUUUGUUUUAAACAUAUAAAAGAUUCACUCUUCUGAAGUAUUAUUGCGUUAGAGGCUUGGGACUAUGCAAAAAUUUGAUUCGAAAAAAAGAGAGUGAGACGAGAGGUAAAAAUGGACAAGUGUCCGAAGUAGAAUUAGGGGUACAAAGAUACCCACCUGAGUGGAAAAAAAAUGGACACCUGUCCGAUAGUAGAAUUAGGGGUACUUGGUACCCACUUGGAAAAAAAGAAAAAAAAAGAGAGAGAGACUGAAAAAAGAAAGAAAAAAAUGAUAGCCCAUGGUCCCUCUAAUAAGCAAUAUGCCAGUAAAAGAUGACAAACUUUUCAAAAAGGUCAAAGGUCUUGAUAUAGGAGUAUGACAUUUGUCUCCCUUGCUCCGAGCAUUGACAUAGCAAAAUGCAAAGUAAGUAUGCUAAAAAUUUUAAAGCUCUACUUAUAUCUUUCGAGAAGAAGGCAAAUGCCUUGGUUUUAUUUUGGAAACUUACAAAAAAAUAAUCCCGAACAAAGGUAAGACAGAAGAACUUGAGAUAUAGUGCUUGACUUGAUCGUUCUGUUUUUCAAUCACUUAAGACCUUAGUGAUAACUUAAAACCCCUGUAGUAAGAGGCAUAAAAGUAACCCCUGUUUUCUUGCUGAUUUUCACUUUGCUCAGGGACGAGCAAAGGUUAAGCUUGGGGGAGCUUGUUGACGGUCCUUAAUGCUCACAUUUAACCGUCAACUAAUCAUGGAAAAGGACCUAUAUGCAACCAACAUCCAAAAUUAGGGUUUCAUCUGACAGAAUUCCACGAGUUUUCAUGUUUGUCUAUUUCUGCAGGGGGUUAUCAGGAAAUAUGGAGGAAAGGCCCACACGUCGGGUUUACAUAGAGAUAUUAACGUGUGCGCCAAUUUUCUAUCAUCUAGAAGACUCCAGAAGCCACGGGAACGAACGGGAGGCCAAGCGGGCCCGGGGGCAGGGCACCCUCUCUCCCCCCUUGGGCGCCCACCCAUCUACAGGAGCCAAUCAGGCUCCGCCUCGUGGAUCAUGCUCCACCGACCUAAAGGAUUAAGGAAAACUGUGCGAUUAAGGUCGGUUUGAUCCGUCGGUACACGUUCAUUUUGAAGGGCUAUAUAAGCAGGCCCCCUGGCCCCUGGAGAACAUACCUCUUCUAUAGAUUCAAAGCUAGGGUUUCAAUUAUUCAUCCAAGUAGAGAGGAUCCCUUUAGUUCAUCUAGUUCUAGCUCUAGUUCAUCUAGUUCUAGUAAGUUCUAGUUGUAAUCUAGAAAAUAGGGAGAGAGAAGAGGAGAGCGGAGGAGGAGCCGGAUCGGUCGGAUCUUCCUCAGCAUUGUACUUUUGCAGCAACUGGUUCGUUCUUCAACGUUGUCCAAGUUCUUCAAUUCAUAAUUUCUGAGUUCUUUAAUUACUUUUAUUUACAUUCAAGUUAUUUAUUGGAUUACCGCUUGCAUCAAGUGCUCUAGUCUUUAUAAUGCUAGAGUAGUAAUUAAUAGAUUAGACGUGGUGUUUAGUCUUGCAAUUACCUGGAAUUGCACCCAAUCCUGCGGAUUCUUGUGGUAGCCCUAGGGUAGUGACAGCCCUAACGGUCGACGUAUUCCACCUUGUUCGCAUCGGUGUUUGUAGGACCGUAGUCAGAGCUUCCUAGCCCCCUUCUCAUCUCUUUCUGUGGUUAGUGUUCUGAUGUCCCGAAAUAAAUAAUCUUUCAAGCAAUUCUUGAUUCUUAGAUCAACUAGAGAACUCUCAGGAAACUUCCUCUCUUCCCACCAAAAAUAAUUAUAUAGUUAUCCUUGGGCGAUCUUGGAUCUUAAUUAGUACACUCACGUUCCCUGUGGAAAAUCGAUACUCUGGAAUACUCCCGGGUGAAAGCUACAUCGGUAUCCGUGUGCUUGUGGAUUUUUCUGUUUGCGUUUAAAAUACCCAACACCAGGUAUCCUAGAGUGAGAUUAUGGUCAUGCACCCAUGAUAUGAGAUUCACAGACCCACCAAAUAAAGCUGACUCUCACAGUGAGAAGUUGCACACAACCCUGAGAGUUGCACCUUAACUUCCACCAAAUAAGUAUGCCAAACUCUCACCCUGAGGUUUGCGCAUUCCCAUACACAAUUUUACUCCUUACAUCACCAUCAUGACAUCUCUCCAUUUUCCUCUUUGAGAUCCCUUUGAAACAUGUGGGCAUUAGUUAUCCAUGAAAAAAAGGAAGGAAAAGCCAAAGGGCAUGGACGGGAAAAUCAAAAUCCCCGUCAGAAAAAAAUAACUUGCAUAUGUUUACAUAUUUUUAGGGCCCAUAUGUGUACAUUCUCUCAUUCUCAUCCUCAAAUAAAGAGAGUCAUGAUACAAGGAGUAACCAAAAAUAUUUAGAUAGGACUACCACCAAAAAUUCCACUCACUUGCACAUCUCAAUCAAGGUGUAUGACUUGUAUCUCCUCAUGGUCCGGGCUUUGACUUGGCAACACAAGUGUCAUAAGUAUGCCCACCUUUAUACCUUCCCAAAGCUCCAUUCUCAGCCUUAGUGGUAGGUCUUAAAGGCAAACACAAAUGCCUUUGGUGAGGAUUUCAUACACAUUGAGCGAUCGAGAGAAUCAUUCGAGGAACUUAUUUAUUUUGCAAAAAAUUAUAAAACCUCUGGAUUGAUGGUCUAUCAAGGGAUGAAUGAAUGAUGAAUCUAUUACAACCAUUCAACCUUGCAACCACCCAAGAACUUGGAAAAGCUAUAAGCCCCAUGAGAAGUCAAGAUAAAGAGUGGAUAGCAUGCCAACUUAUUUAAAUUGCAAAUGAAUGCUUUGUUAUAGGUAUGAUACUCUUGAAUUAUAUUGGCAUAGUAGCAACUCCUGAUCAACAACCAUACUUAAUUAUUUGCUCAAGACGAGCAAAGGUUAAGCUUGGGGGACUUGUUGGUAGUCAUUAUAGACCAAUCACAUAUUGCCACCUUGAUCUAAAAGGAGAAGAAGCAAUCAUAUUAUAUACACACAUGCAUUUUAUUACUAACAAGUUCCACUUGUACCAUAGUUAUUAUAUUUUGCAGGAAUUAUAGUGCAACAAGUGAAAAUGUGCCAUACCACGAAGAAAGCGCAAAGUACCAAAAGACGUAUUAAAAACUGCGCAAACCAAGAAAAUAGAGAAAGGCCCGAACAACGCAGAACUGGGUCUGAUCGUAACCACGGGAGAGAUCCAGGCCUAGAGCCAAACCGACCACGCGAAGGCGGUGGCUAGGGGGUCCCACCCAGGUUGCGGCUGCACCCUGGUGCGGGAGCACCCCUGGAGGUGGCAAAUCGGGCCCAUCUUUCUCAGGCGGUUGCAUGCCGCCAUGCAUAGGACAUUUCACCUACUACCAAAUUUAGAUGCGACGAACCGUCCUAGUUCCACUAUAAAAAGAGAGGCACUCCCCCCUUUUCAACACACACAUCAUUUGGAGUCAAUUUACCUCACACCUCUCACUUGUAUCUUUAGUCUAGAUUAGUAGUAGAGCAAGGCAAGAGCUAGCAAGGAGAGUUUGUCUCCUUGGAAGAAAGGAUCUUCUUGGUAUAAAUAAUAUUCAAUCUUCUUCCAUGAGCAAGUUCUAUUCAUCUUUAUAUGAUUAUGCAUAUGAACUAGAGUAUGGUUGUGUUCUUAUCAUGUUCAUAGUAUAUGAACUAGUUCUUAUUUCUUGUGCUAUGUUCUUGAUAUGUUCAUCAUUGUUCUUCAUUGUUCAUCAUAUUAGUAUGAUUAGGAUUAGAAUUAGGAAUGGGAUGAUGGUUUAUUGUGCUGUGAUGGUUGCUCUUAGCCUAGCCUGUCACUCCAAAGGGUUGGGGCCCACGGGGGUUAGGAGUUGUUUCCAAUUACGUGAACAUGGUGUUCAAGUAUGCGGGAAUCAGUGGAUGUGCGGGUAUCUCUCGGGUAGAGGGGUAGGUGGCAGGGUAGUGACAGCUCUGUCAUCCUUUGUAUUCCCCCACGAUCAGGUAUUCCGAUAGGAGUUUUGUAAAGUCUCUAUCGGCUGGGUAUCCAGCUGCGGGGAUCUCCCCUCAUCUCAGGCUUAGUUCUAACUCUAUUUAUUGCUAAUUAGAUGAUCCGCUAAUAGUUAUAUGCAUAGUUAUAUGUGACCCAUGCCUGCUCAAGUAGAUUUAUUUCUUUAUUCUUUAUUUAUUAUUUCUCUUCUAUUUUGUCCUUGAGGUUGAUCCAACAUGUGUCCACUAUCUUGAAUAUCAUGUUUAUUCCUGUUUACUCUAUGUCUACCAAGCAUUCAAUAAGUAAUCAUGUUUACACCAUGUUUGAACCCUUUCCCUUCCUAUGGGAAUUAUAAAUUCGACACCCUUGAAUACUCACGGGUUGAAAUGCUACAAUGAUAGUUCUGUUCGCUUGCAGUUAUAUUACUUCUUCAUUCAUGAACUAUCGAUUGGCGUACCUAAGUACCGUUACUUAAGAUUGUAAUCCUUGUGCACUUUCGAGCGUAGUGCCAUAGCUUUGCAUAUCGCAAGUAAGGAUGGUUAUGAAGGCCAAUCCGGCAUUCCUAAUUAUUGUUACCAGACUGCACUGCUAAGGCCGACGCCCUUGAGUUGCCUUGGGUUAUCUCUCUAAUGUAGCGAUAGUUAUGGUAUGCCAACACCCGACAUUUUUGGUGCCAUUGCUAAGGAUGGAACUAUGGUCUAUUUUUAGUAGUGACGCUAAGAAAUGCCAAAACAGUCGACGCUUUCUUUAGCCACGAGAAUGACAAGGGGAAGGCGCUGGGCGACGACGAUGAGGGCCCCAGUAGAGGGCCCAAAAAGAACAACAAAAAGAAGAAGAAAGCAUGGCAGAACAAGCACGAGGCCCCCGACAACAAUUUUGUCGCUGUGGUCGAGCGCAAGAAGCUUUGAGGCCACCCGGAGGGGGCGGUCUUUGAUAAGAUUCUAAAGAAGCCCUACCCUUACCACAAGGAAGGGGCCAACCACAAGCUCGAGGAUUGCCGCAUUCUAAAGAAGUACUUCAACAGCCUAGGGCUAAAGAAGGACGACCAGAGGAAGGAUAAAAGUGACGACAAGAGUAGAAGCAAAGACGAUGAGGGGUUCCCCGACGUCCAUGAUUGCUAUAUGAUCUAUAGUGGACCCUCGACACAGCUCACCUCACGACAGCACAAGAGGGAGCGCUGGGAUGUUUUUGCGGCGAGGAUGAUGGUGCUGCAGUACCUCAACUGGUCGAGCACCCCCACCACAAUUGAUCGUGAUGACCACCCCGACAGGGUCAUCACCCCUAGCGUCUACCUGCUUGUCAUCGACCCCAUAAUCGUGAACACUCGACUCUCAAAGGUAUUGAUGGAUGGCGGCAGCAGCCUCAAGAUCAUCUACCUCGAGACUCUCGACCUCCUAGGCAUCAAAAGAGCACAACUCUAGCCCAGCGCGGGUGGUUUCCACGACGUCAUACCAGGGAAGAAAGCGUUGCCGGUAGGUCGAAUCGACCUACCAGUUUGUUUUGGCACGGCGAUCAACUUCAGGAAAGAGACCCUCACUUUUGAAGUGGUGGGUUUUCAAGGUACCUAUCACGCCAUCAUCGGACGCCCGGGAUACGCCAAGUUCAUGGUGAUCCCCAACUACACCUACCUCAAGCUGAAGAUGCCCGGGCCUAAGGAAGUCAUCAAUGUCAGCUCCUCUUAUGAGCAUGCUUACAAAUGCGACGUCGAAUGCGUCGAGUAUGGGGAGGCGGUCGAGAACACCACCGAGCUCGCCUCGAGGCUCGACGCCCUCGCCGUUGAGGCUCCAGAGCCAAACCACCAUGCGGGUAGCUUCGAGCCGGCAGAAGGCACAAAGAAGGUCCCGCUCGACCCCGACAACUCCAAUGGCAAGGUGCUGACGAUCAGCACCAACCUCGACCCCAAAUAGGAGGCUGUGCUCAUCGACUUUCUUCGUGCAAACGCCGGCAUGUUUGCAUGGAGUCCCUUGGAUAUGCCUGCCAUACCGAGGGAAGUCGCAGAGCACUCCUUGGAGAUCAGAGCCGGAUCCAAACCAGUGAAGCAACGACUGCACCGCUUCGACGAGGAGAAGCGCAAGAUCAUUGGUGAGGAGGUCCACAAGCUUUUGACGGCUAGAUUCAUCAAGGAAGGUUCAUCAUCCCGACUGGUUAGCAAAUUCUGUAUUAGUUAAGAAAAAGAAUGGAAAAAUGAGGAUGUGUGUAGACUAUACCAGUUUAAAUAAAGCAUGUCCGAAAGUUCCAUUUCCUUUACCAUACAUUGAUCAGAAUGUCGAUUCCACUGUGGGAUGUGAAACCCUCUCUUUCCUUGAUGCUUAUUCCGGCUACCAUCAAAUAAAAAUGAAAGAGUCUAACCAGCUCACAACCUCUUUCAUCACCCCUUUUGGUAUGUACUAUUACGUAACCAUGCCUUUCGGACUUUGUAACGCUAGGGCGACCUAUCAACGAUGCAUGCUCCAUGUUUUCAGAGAGCAUAUAGGGUCAACAGUCAAGGCAUAUGUCGACGACAUCGUCGUCAAAUCAAAGAGACAAGGUGACCCAAUUUAGGACCUCGAGAUCGCAUUUGGCUACCUACGUGCUAAUAAUAUCAAGCUCAAUCCUAAAAAAUGUGUCUUUAGCGUGCCUCGAGGCAUGCUUUUAGGAUACAUAGUCUCCCAGCGCGGCAUCGAGGCCAACCCCGAGAAAGUCUCGGCCAUCACCAAGAUGGGGCCGAUUCGAGACGUCAAGGGCGUACAAAAAGUUACGGGCUGUCUCGUGGCACUGAGCCGUUUUAUCUCAUGGCUGGGGAAAAAGCGCUGCCACUAUACCGGCUCCUAAAAAUGCCGAGCACUUUGCAUGGACUGUCAAGGCUGAGGAAGCUCUCCAUAAACUCAAGAGGAUGUUGACCUCCGCUCUGAUCCUAGUGCCCCCUCGACCCGCAAAACCAUUGUUCCUUUAUGUUGCGGCAACGACCCAGGUUGUUAGUGCAACUGUAGUGGUUGAAAGGCUAGAGGAGGGGCACACGCUUCUAGUUCAGCGGUCGGUCUACUUCAUCAAUGAGGUGCUCUCAGAAAUACCCCCAGAUCCAAAAACUAAUCUACGCAGUGAUUCUCGCUCGAUGGAGCUCAAGUCCACGCAAAGCCAUCAAGUCUCAAGCACUGGCAGACUUCAUCGCAGAAUGGAUAGACACCCAACUCCCCCCUGCUCAAGUCCAGGCGGAACUCUCGAUGAUCUACUUCGACGGGUCACUCAUGAAGACGGGGGCUAGGGCAGGCUUGCUAUUCAUCUCAGCCCUUAGCGUCCACAAGAGGUAUGUGAUUCAAAUACAUUUUGCGGCAUCUAACAAUGUCACAGAGUACGAGGCCCUCGUCAAUGGGUUAAGGAUCGCUAUCGAGCUCGGGGUCCGACGCCUCGAUGUCCGAGGCGAUUCUCAGCUAGUCAUCGACCAAGUCAUGAAAGCCUUGAGCUAUCACAACCCAAAAAUGGAGGCUUACUACAAAGAAGUACGCAAGCUAGAUGACAAGUUCCACGGCCUCGAGCUCAACCACAUCACCCGACGGUACAAUGAAGCGUCUGAUGAGCUUGCCAAGAUUGCGUCCACUCGAGGCACUAUCCCGCAAGACGUGUUCUUGAGAGAUCUGCUCGAGCCAUCUGUCAACCACAGUGCGGGUGCUGCCGUUGAGGCACCGGCUCCCGAGCCCGUUGACACAAUCGAGGCUCUCCUAGCAGCGGCGGAGGUAAUGGAGGUCAAGCAAAUCUCUCGACACCCUAGCCGACCAUUUGACUGGCGUACGCCUUUCAGCGACUGCCUAAUCCAAGGUGAGUUACCAGAAGAUCGAGCAGAAGCUCGUCGUAUCGCUCGAUGGGCCAAAUCAUAUGUGAUCUACGGCGAAAGCAAAGAGCUGUACCAGUGAAGCCCGAUGGGGAUCCUGUAGCGCUGCAUCACCAUGGAGGACGGAUGGAAGCUCCUCGAGGAUCUGCACUCGAGGGCUUGCGCCACCACGUGGCUCCCAAAACCCUUGUCUGCAACGCCUUUCGACAAGGUUUCUACUGGCCAACAGCCAUCACUGACACCAUCGAGCUUGUUCGUUCAUGCCACGGGUGCGAGUUCUACGCCAAGCAGACCUAGCUCCCAGCUCAUGCUCUACAGAUGAUUCCCAUCACUUGGCCGUUCAUGGUAUGGGGCCUCGACCUCGUGGGUCCUCUCCAAAAGGCGGGUAGCUGGGUAUACCCAUCUGCUAGUGGCCAUCGACAAAUUCUCAAAAUGGAUCGAGGCUCGACCCAUCACGAACAUUCGCUUUGAGCAGGCCAUCAUCUUCUUCACAUGUAAUCCACCGGUUUGGGAUACCCAACGUCAUCAUCACCGACAAUGGCACACAGUUCACUGGCAAAAAGUUCUUGGACUUCUGUGAUCGGCAUCACAUCCGUGUGAACUGGUCUGCAGUAGCUCACCCUCGAACUAACAGCCACAUCGAGUGUGCUAAUGGCAUUAUUUUACAAGGGCUCAAGCCCAGAAUCUACAACUGGUUGAAGAAAUUUGGCAAAAAAUGGGUCGAGGAACACUCCUUGGUCCUAUGGAGCUUAAGAACGACGCCAAGUAGAGCCACAAAAUUCACCUUGUUUUUCAUGGUCUAUGGCUGCGAGGUUGUGCUUCCAACAGACCUUGAGUACGGAUCACCUCGACUAAAAGCAUACAACGAGCAGACGAACAAGGAGACUCAAGAGAACGCGGUCGACCAACUCGAGGAACCUCAAGAUAUGGCCCUCCUCAACUCAGCAAGGUACCAGCAGAAGCUUCGAUGCUACCACGACAAGCACGUACGCAAGAGGGACAUGAACGUGGGCGACCUCGUCAUACAUCGGCGGCAAAGUAAUCAAGGAUGCCACAAGCUAACCCCACCAUGGGAGGGUCCAUACGUGGUGGCCGAGGUCUUGAAGCCUAGGACGUACAAGCUCGCGGAUGAGAAGGGGCGGUCUUCACCAACGCAUGGAACAUCGAACAGCUACAUCGCUUCUACCCCUAGAGCUUCAAGACUUUAUAUUUCAUACACAUCUUUUACCAUCGAGGCUCUGUGAAUGAAUAAAUGAAUGAACGAAAGUAUUAUCUAAGUAUCACACAAUGUCUGCGCUAAAUAUCAACAAUAUGAGGAAGUCUUGGCUAUGCCCCAUCAUAGCCAAAACUCCCUCGGGGGCUAGCAGGGGUGGAACCCCAUAGGCUCCCAAAAACUCGAAUGUUUUUUCCAAAAAAGCUUGGUGUUAUCUUUUCCUUCUUAAAAGCCCUAAGGAAGUCCCGCACGAUCAAGUAGUAAAGACACCUCGAGCCCCUUAAGGGCCGGGGGAUGUCGAGCCUGAGAAUCCCUACGCCUCUAGGCUAUGGUAACUCUGCUCACUCCCUCACCUUGAGGCAAUCGAGGGCGUUUUUGAAAGACCGAUCGAGGUACACGAACUUAGGCAGCAAAGCAAUAAAGGAAAACUCGAGCAUAAAAAUAAACAAACAUCCACAGAAAGUACAAAUAUUAAGGCCGCUUAGGCCACAAUGCUGUUCAAAGAUAGCUACUAAGUAUAUUACAUUGGGUCUAGCUACCCAGAUUAGGCUCACAGGCCUUGGUCAUCAUUUCCACCAUCUCCACUCUCGUCCCCCUCUUCUGCGUCCACGCCGGCCUCUAGAGGAAGCACCUCUGGCUCGAACAGCUUCGCCAGCCUCUCGCCAGGACCCUCCGCUUCGUCGAUCAAGGCGUGGAGCCUCUUCUCGUUCUCCGCAUCAGUCUUGGAGAUGUCAGUGACGAAGCCAUGGGACACUACCUCCAUAUCAUAGGAGAAGCCCGAGCAGACGACCGCCAUAGCCCACUUCACCCUAGUAUGGAGCGUGUCCUGCACUCGGUCCCUGACAACAACGCCUAAGUAGCACAGCUGGUCAACCAAAGCGUUGCCUUGAGCCACCUCCCUCACCUCGUUCGCAAGCUUGAGCUUCCAAGAGGUCGAGAGGUCAUUGAUUGUCGUCCUCAGACGACCAGUCAGCGCAACCUCCCCCUCGAGCUGUGCCUUAAGAGACUGGGAGUCGACCUAGGCUGCCAGCAGAUCAUCCUUAAGCCAUGUACACACCGAAAUCGGGAAUCAGAUGAUAGAAAAAGAGCAUUGCACAAACAAAGCAAACAUAAGGGCGUAGAAGACUCAACAUGGAUCUUCUCCUCAAGAGUUAUGUUCUCAUUGACCAAGUCGGUGUUAGCUCUCUUAAUCUUCUUAUGAGAGCAGGCCAGAUCCGUCUUCUCGACCCGCAGGUCCUCGAUCAACUUGCCUGACUGCAGGAUAGCAUCUUCUUUCUCUCGCAGCGUUUUCUUCAAAUAGUCGACAUCGUCGGAAACACCACGAGAGCAGGCUCGUUCUGUCUCGAGGUCCUCACGGGCCUUCUUCUUGUCCUCUUCUAUAGUGCCUCAUGAAAUUUUGCUCUUCAGGAGCUCCUCCUUCCGCCUGGCAUAAUUUACUCGAGUGGCAGCAAGGUCCGAAUCCACCUACCUUUUCCCCUUGUCCAGCUCAAUGGCCUCGCCCUUGUACCGCGCCUCCUCUUCUUGAGCCUUGGCGGCCGCUUCCUUGGCCGAAGCAGCUUGUUCCCUUGACUAGGUGGCCUCUUCUUUGGCUUUCUCCGCGGCCUCCUUGGCAACGCGGGCAUCCUCCUCCGCCUGACAGACCUUUCCAUUCAGGCCAGACAAGGACUUCCAGGCCACGGUCAAAGCAGCCUCCUUCUUCUGCUUCUCUUCCUCAGCCACGGUGAGCUCCUUCAACACCUUGAGAAGCUUCUCCUGUGACUCGAGGAGCUUGUUCUAAAGAACGGGGAGCUACUCCCAACAGCCCUUAGUUGCAUGAAUAAAGCCCGACUUUAGCCGGGAGGUCUCUUUCAGAUCCUGUAAAAGAACACAAGGCAAUAAGCACACCAGUAGAACAAAAGACUCAAAACAACCUGAAAUAGAAGUAUCCUUAGAAACAAAGUAUGGCCUAGGCCAUUGUUGAUAAUGUCGAACAUCAGCCCCAGGACAUGCUUCAUCCAAAGACGGAGCUCCUCCAGAUGCUCCCACUUUUCAGCCACCUUGUGGUCGUCCAUCACGAUGUUCGAUUCAUCUGGAGACAUCAAACAUCAGAGGCAGAUCUUCUCGGGGCCCCAGUGCUCGAGCUCUUCCUUCGUACGUGCCUUUAUCCCCCGGAUAAGCUCCUGCACCACCUCGAGCGACCCCCCAUGACGCAGGAACAGAUCAACAAGGGAAGGGAACCGCUCGUCCUCCCUAAAGGCAGAGCCUAACGUCCCGGCCACGUCCCCCUCGCCAGCGUCUGCAGACCCAGCCACAUCCUCCCAAGGCCGUCGACCCUCUACAUAGCCUGGGGCAAUCCCCUCAACACCAUAUAGAGUCCCCUUGAAUUCUGAGCUCAGAUCCAAAGGUGUGCAUACACCGAGCGCCAACACCACGACGCCAUCCUGCCGACGUGGCUCGGCCAGGAUGGUAGGAAACCCCUAGGACGGAGCCAUGGGGGAGUCACGGGGCCAUAAACGGGCAACUCAUCUUCUUGUGCCUUGGGUCCAUGCCCCUGCUUGAGCUGCUCGAGCUGCUCCGACUGUGCCUACUGCUUCGGCUGUUGCUUCUCCUACUCGAGCCUCUGCCCCUCCUCCAGCUACUGGUGCUGCUGCCCCUGCUGCUCCGGCUGUUGUUUCUCCUGCUCGAGCCUCUGCCCCUCCUCCAGCUGCCGAUGCUGCUGCUCCUGCUGCUGCUGUUUCUCUAGCUGCUCCUCUAGCUACUGUUGCUGUUGCUGUUGUUGCUGCUGCUCAUGCUGCAACUGCUUCUCCUAGUUCUCCUGCAGCUGUUGUUGCUACUGUUGCUAUUGCUGCUGCUGAUGCUGCUCCUGCAGCUCCUGCUACCGCUGCUACUCCAGCAGGUGCUGCUUCUCCUCUUCCUAUUCCUUCUUCUUUCCCUCCUCGUCCUCUUCCUUUUGCCUCUGCUCCUCCACGGCCUUCUUCUUCUUCUCCUCGACGGCACGGAGCCCAGUGGGCCACGUUGUCCGCCCCUCGACUCGAGGGAUCUCGGCCCCUUUGUCUACGAUGCGGUCGCCCAUCGACGGCGGGCUAUCCCCAGAUUCAUCACAAAUAGUGAUUGGGUCGCCCACUCCCCCAAGCUUGGGCGACUCGGGGGCUCCCUCUUGGUCUCGAGGGCGCUGCAUCCCAUCAUGACUGGGGGGUGGUAGAUCGCUCGUCGAGACAUGGCCUCCCUCCGACGCUCGAGGCGUGUAACAUCCCGGAUUUUUACGAAAAACCAAAAUACGAGCUUUUUAAAAUUUUUCUUGUAAUCGUGUGAAUCAUAUAGUUUUUAGAUCUAACUCGAUCCUAACCCGCUAACAAAUCGUGGCAUACAUAUAGAUUUGUUUCUAGGUGAAUGCUUUUGUUCGUGAGUGGUCUUGAGUUGGGUCUUGUUUAGGGUUUUGAGUUUCUUUUGGAGUGCACAAAUCCUUAGCAAAGUACUCCCAUAUCUCCGUUGAGCCUAUCUCAAAGGCGAAGCGAAUCCUUUCUCAAUCUUUUCAUUGGAGUACGUCUCAAACUCCUUUAAUCCAUUUUGAACUCUUUUCCAAAUUCCCUUCUCCAAAACUUUUCUCUUGUUGAUCUCAUCACCAAAUCUCUGCCGCUAAAUCUAUCUUAAAUUCGUGGUGACUCAUCUCAAUCUCUUUUCCCUUUCCCGCUCAAUCAUUUUAGCAAAUAGUGGAAAAUCCUUCAAUUCCUUUCUCCAAAUAGAAAUUGGAAUAUUCUUUUCCCUCUCUGUCUCCUUGAAAUAUAAAUGGGAAGAGCAUUCUUAUUCCUCUUGGGCUCAACCCCUCAACCAGCCCACCACUCCUUCCCCCUCUUUUUCCCUCACCGCCAGCCCAGCCAACCAUCUAGCCCAGUCGGCCUCCCCAACCCCCCCGCGGCCUAGCACCCUCGCGCAGCCCACCUCCCGCAACCGGCCCAGCCAGGUCGGCCUGCCUCGCUCCCCUCUCCCUUGGCCCAAGCCACCUAGCGGCCCAGCUCCAAGCCACGCGGCCCAGGCAGAGGCCCAACCGGCGCCAUCCCCCUUCCAACCGCGCGGCCCAGCCAGCUCCCCAUCUCCACUCCACGGCCCGCGCAGCAGCCAAGGCCCACCUAGCCCAAGACCAGCACCCCUGGAACCCUAGGUGCGCCCCCUGGCUCCCAGACGCCGCCGCCGCGCCCCUGCAGCGCCGCACUCGUGCCCUGGACGCCCGUGCUGCUGCCAGAUGAGCGCCACGCGGCCCGCCCAACGGCACGGACGCCGAGGAUCACCGCCCGCAGCGCCUAGCACCCCUGGAACCCUAGGCCACGACGCGUAUAAGAGCCCGAGCCGCCGCUCUCCUCUUCUUCCCCACGACGCCGCCGCUCUGCUCCACCACCCAGCGACGCCAAGCACCACCUCGCCCCGGAGCCAGAGCCGCCGCGCCGCGCCGAGCUUCGGCCUCGCCCUCGCCCCGGCCGCCGCGACGACGCCAUCAGACCGCGUGCUCGCCACGGUCGCCACGUCCAGGAGCGACGCCGCGGCGAGUGCUCCCUUUUCGUCGAGCUCCACCACGACAGCGCCACGACCGCCGUGCGUCCUCGACCCGAGCCGCGACGCCGGACUUCGACAGCACCUCGUCAAGCUUCGCCCUCGCGCAUCCGUCGCCGCCGAGCCGAGCGUCGACGCCGAGCGUUCCGCACCGAGCAGGAGCCCAGCACGCCCACGACGGCCGACCACUGCGGGUGUGUCGCGGCAUAACCGCGGGCACGCCGAGCCCCGUCCCCGAGCCACCACGACGACGCCGUGCUCGAGCCCCAUCGCCCCCGCGUCGUCCUCGCCAAGUCGAGCAGCCGCACCACCGCCGAGCUCGCCGCGGUCACCACGUCAGCGCCGGCCAUGGUGAUCGCGAACCCGACCACGACGUCGUGCUCAGCGUGCCAUGGUGACCGCGAACUUCUCCUUUUGCUGGCCACCGUUCAUCUCUGCACGUGCAGCACAGCCUCAGCAGCAGCAGCACCCCAUCUUCGGCAACUUCCACUGCCGCUGGUGAGACAGUAGGCAAGCUUUGUUCUUCUCCUCAUUGUGGUUGACCUUGUCGCUGUCCUUGCUGAGACCGGCCUUCGUGCCGUGUUUUACUGCUGUCACAGGGAGGCCUCGGACCUGCUGCACCUUCCCACGGAAGCCGCAACGCUAGAGCUACCUUGAGUGGAACCUCGCAGCACCGCUGACCGCCUUUGCAACAUCUUGCCGAGCACCGGCCAAUGACGAAGCCGCGCGACCAAGCAUGACCACCACUUCGCUGCAUCCGAAGAACAGCAGCUGCUACCACAGCCCAUCGGCUCCAAGGUCGAGCCCCGAACCCUAGUUGGCGUCAUUCUCGAUGCCAACAAAAACCCUAUUCUGCUUUCAUUCACUUGCUAUAUGAUUCAUCUUUAUCCAUCUAUCUAUACUUGUCGAUACAUGAAUUAUUUAUUCUAUGCCUGUGCCGUGCCUUCGUGCCGGUCUGUUUAUCUAUCCGUUUAUCUAUCUCUGUUGGUCGCUAUGGAAAUGUGCUACUCUACUUUGUCUUUGUGUUGGUCGCGGCAUUGUGGUUCUUUGUGCGUUGGUUCUUGUGUCAUGUGGUUGGUUGGUUGUGAACCGUGCCUUCGAGCCGGUUGAGAGAGUGAUGUGUUUGAAUGUUGCGAUCGCGAGUUGUCUCGCCAUGGUCGUAGUGCCAAGCAUAUCCCUUCUCGGGUUGUCGUCGUUCUUUCUUUUGUUAUUUGCCUGAGGACUGAGCCUUCGAGCCGGUCGGGGAAGUGGUAGUGCGUUUGAUCAUUUCGAUCGUGGGUUCGUCCUGCCGUGAUCGCGAUGCCGAGCGUAACUCGUCUCCCCGUGUUUAGUUGACUUCGUCACGCUACGCUUGUUAGCUCCUAUCCUCGUCCCUGGGGUUUGAUCUUUGCGGACUCGAUAUUCAUAACGACGCGGUUCUUACCCGCAUCUUCGAGUUCUCUGUGAUCUAGUCUAGUGGGAUACAGAUUAGGAGCAACCCUUGUAGAACAGUCAGAAGCCAACUCGUUGGGUGAAGCUAAUGGUCGCAAGUCCACCUUGCCAUGACCAUCCGGCUUUACCCCAUUUCUCGCGUGUUUAUCCUAACCACCUCGUAUGCUUGCACCACUUCGACUAUAGCAUUCCCUCGGACCUAGCGGUGACAACCGCAUCGCUACGGGCCUUAGGAAUAGCCGUGUGCUGAUUAGAUGCACAGUCGUGGUACCCUACGAGUAGGGUUGGAUCGUGGGGUCGUAUCUCUUUCAUCCAACCGUCGUUCAUUCCAUGAUGAGUUGGUCGAAACAGUAUGGACUCCAUUCCUCUUCUCUCUUGUUCUCAAUCCCUGUAGAUCCAGUAAUAUGUGGAUUGAGCCCUUUUGUUUGUUUGGUGUUUUGAUUCCAUUUCUACGAUUCCCGCUGUUGCUAUGGCAAGUGGAUCAAAGGAAGAUGAAUCCCGUGUCCUUUCCCGCUUUUUGGUUCUUUGUGCUUAAACUCUUGUAUGCUUGUACUUAAUCAACCGUAGCAUUUCUUUGGUUCUCGCGGUGACAACCGCACCGCUAAGAACCUUAGUGAUGUCUUAGUGCAUUUAGUGCACCUAGGUUGUGGCGCCCUACAAGUAGUUUGAGCACUCGUGUCCUUGGUGUGUCACUCCCUCUUAUGCCCUGUCUUUUGCCGUGGCAUGAGUAUUGGAAGGAGUAGACCACUUCCCUUCUUCUUCUCUCUUUAUUCCACCCUCUCUUGGCUCUCGCCAACUACAAUGGCGUAUGGGUUGAGAGAGACCGGAGCUUCUCGUGCUCAUAGUCUUUACGAUUCCUGUCGAUCUCUAUGACACUUGGAUCGAAAGACUGUAAGUUGUGGUGUUUGCUUAGAAUGAGUUAGAGUCUAAGCCAUUUAAUAAAGCCGUACAGGUUGACUCAGUUAACCCGGGAAGUAACGGCUAGGCUAAGACUCCGGCUUGUACUUAGUGAACAACCAUUCCCGUUUCUUUUAGCCCAGGGAUCGGACAUCCGCCGAGAGGGCUAAGUUGUUUUCCUUUCGGUGCUCUUUUAGUGUAGUUGUUCUUCAGUGUUUUGUCGCCUCUUAUCACGAUCUUUCUAGGUCUAGUGGUUUGAUUGUUUCGCCUUGAUUGUCGUUUACGAGGUAGUUGCUUCGGUUAGCGAUGAUCGAAUCGGAACCAGUCGAAGGAAGGACAUGCAGAUAGGAGAAAGACCUUGGAUGAGUACAACUACAAGUGAACUGAGGAUCCUGGAAAUGUCACUCGACAGGUGCCACGUCCCACCCAACCUCGUAGAAUCCUAUUAGACAUGCAAUAUUAUAGAUGCUAGUGCUUUACUUUUAUGCAAAUGAACUAUGAUAGGUUGCAUGGUAGAAAUGCUUGUGAGCCAUUGCCUUGUUGCAACCUAUAACCCUCGCACACCCGCUGUUAGGUUAGAUGCUUGCAUACUACUUGCUACUGCUUCUACUACGCAUUAUAUCUGUGAUGUGAUGCAUUGUGGAGGAUUGGAUGUGAGUGGAUAAGGCACGUGUGCCGAUAACUGGUUAAGAAAUGGAUAAUGGAUAUGGGGAGAUCUUGGUGUGUGUCUUGGGUGUGUGGUGAGGGUCGAGUCGACCGAGCAGGAUUUACGACGAGUCUUGGGACAAGUCUUGCCGGGGAACGCUACCUGGGCGUUCUCCAUGAGAGAUACCUGUGGCGGGUACAUGUGACAGGGAGAUGUCCCGGAGUGGAGUGUCUUCGUGGGACGAAGCACCGGGAUGGGAGGUGCUGUAUAGCACGGGGUAGCCGGGUGUCCCGUCGAGAGGGGCAUCGGCUGGCCCCUCGUGAAGAUGUCCUGUUCGGUUACCCUAAGGACUGAGAUGUUCUGAGAACCGGUUCGUAGGAAGCCUUACACGCCACUCGCCUUAUUAUGGUGCGGGACGGAUGUACGACCAGCUAGUGCGGUGCCACUACUACUAGGUUGAUAGCGGAUAGUGUAGGGAGGUACGGGCAUGAGGACCCACACCCUCCUAAGACAGCGUAGUGACCCUUGGGGGCCUGGUACUACGCCUCACAGUCUCAGCAUGCCGGUGGUACUCCGGUGUGGCCCCAGUCUUGAGUGGUAGGGUGGCAUCGUAUUUAGUUGGAAGGCAGCCCGGUAUCAGCCUAGACGAGCCGGUUCGUCGAUGAUGGUGAUCUUGUGGUUAGUGUAAACCUCUGCAGAGUUUGGUUGAUCGAUCGAUACAUAUGCCGUCUUCUCGGCUAUGGACCUUUCCUAUGUUCCGCUUCGCUUGACUAGUGAGAGGAGUCCUUUCUACCUUCCCCUGGGUUUGUGUUGGAUCCGGCGUUGGCCGUUGAGGCAAGGCACGAGCGGGAGUCGUACUUGCCGCCUAGAGAGUGAGAGUGUGGUAAGUUGUGUGUGAUGGGAUGGAUGGAUGGAUGGACGUGUGGUUGAGAUGGUUUAAAACUUGAUGAAUUAUUAUUAUAAAAUAUUGAUGAACUUGCAUAGGAAAAACUACAGCUAUACAUAGGCCUCUUGAUAUACCCUUUGCAUUUCCACCUACCACAAAGCUACGCAAAAGCAUAGGGUGGGAGCCAGUGGCCAGUACAAAUCGUACUGAAAAUUGUUUAGCAGGUUUUGAACGUGGUCUAUGACGAUAACUACGGAGAAUAGAAGGAUUAGGUGGUCUCGCUCCUGCGCUCAAGUUUGGUUCAGAGAUGAAGGCUACGCCCGCUGAUAAACUACGCCGACUCUGAUGAUUGUCCGUGAAGGAGGAGCCUUCACCGCUGACGCGCUACAUCGACUCUGAUAAAGACUCGCGUGUGUUCUCGCUAGAAAAACGAUGUAAUAAGCUUGUUAAUCAAGAGUUGUAAAGCAAAUAUGUUGUAAUCUUGUUUCUCACGAUGUAUGACUACGAUAACAGCUGAUAUAUGAUAAUGCGAUGGUUCAAUUUUUGAAUUAUCACAUUAUAAUUCGAAUCUGUGGAUUUUUCCCUUUGUGGAAAAAUCUGGGUCGUUUCAAGGCGGGACCUCAUCGCCACCACUGGGCGUCCAUGAGUCAGGAGAGCCUGCAUACACCCCAAAGCACACGUUAGCCGCGAGGAGUCCCUAUGCUGGGCAAAACCAACACGGAAACACACGAAGGAAGCCAAUCACUUACCUAGUGCCUUGGAGCUCGCUCCUACCUUGAGCCUCUUGGUGGUCAAGGGUUGGGCCUGCUCUAGCUGCCUCUUCAACCUGAACAAGUGAAAAAACGACGUAGGCUGGUUAGUGCCAACAAACAAUGAACUAACAAAGGCAGCGUCAUGGUCUUAAGAUCUUACCCCAUAGGAAGGACGGUCCUCCUCCCAGUCCCAUGACCGGCCGGCCUCGAGCCACCACCCGUCGGGGCCCUUGGCUAUUCCAAGACAGGAGCGAGCCUCGGCUCCACUCUCCCAACCUGAUGAUCCUCAGGGCUUGCGCUUCUCCGACACCCUCCUCCCUGGCUCGAGGCUACCGCGGUAGCACGGCCUCGAGUCAGCGUCCCCGUUCCAGAGGUCUUGUCCCGAUGGCUCGGGCCGGACACUUGGGGAGGUCGUGGCGGAAGGAUGGCCUGAACCUAGGUGGUGGCAAGGGGCGUGUCAGCACGCGGACGGUGAGGUGACGUCUCCUUUUGGCGGCCCUCACGGUCUUCGCCCUACAGCCCCUUGGAAGCCCCCACAUGCGAUGAAGAAACGUUGGCUCGCGGUGGGCCUUGCAGGACUCGGUGGAGGCGGGCCGCCAUCCCCUCAGAAUCCUCGUCUUCAUCAUCAUCGUCAUCAUCAUCUUCAUUAGGAGAGUCCUCCCCGGGCCUCCCCUCAUGCCUCGCCUUAGCCCGACGCUCCUCAAGCGCCUACCGCUUGAGGUUCUUCCUCUUAUCUUUCUUCUUCUCCACAUCCAGCGUGUGAAAGGUCCUUGUUUGGUUUUGAUAAUUAAGUGACAACUUAGGUGGACUAAUAGUGUUUAUGUGAGAUACACAGGAGAUUAGUCCACAGGUGAUGAUGUGAUGAUGGAGGAGCUCAUUGCACAUUAGACAUGACAUGGAGUCAUGUGACCAAGGUGGAGAAGAUCAAGAUGAGGCUUGGCUUGAUGGACCGGUUGCAAGAGUGAAGGGAAAGUUAGAGGCUCUGAAGCGAGGGACCGCGUGUGACGGUGAAGCUUGAGCAAGACUUGGCGCCGAUAGACCGAGACAACGGUGAAGAGCAAGUGAGGUCAAGAUCGAUAAACCAAUAUGGUCACAUGAUGAUAUGAAGUGGAUCAUAUCAUUUCGUGAUUGGUUGGUGCAUGUGUUGCAUCAACAUUGGAGGAGAUGAAAUGGAAAGCGCAAGGCAAAGGUAUAACCUAGGGCAUUUCUAUUUCACCGGUCAUAGGUGUGUAGAGAAGUUUAUGACCAGAUUUAGGAUAGAUGGCCGUACUAUCAAGAGGGGCAAACUUGUUUGCAUAUCGGUCAUCUAGUGCCACUUGAGCGAUCUAACUUUGCAUACGUGUUAGGAUCGAGUGGCGUGGCAAGUUUGAGAGGCUAACUCCUUUGGGAAAAUGUUUGUGAAAAUGCUAACACACUUGCACAUGGUGGUGUACACUUGGUGGUGUUGGCACAUUUGCAAAGGAGGUGGAGUUCCUAGGGUUGAGAGGGGUUUGGGUUCCUCUCUCCCUCCCGCCGAGCUUGCGAGCCGGGAUUCAGCGCUUUUGAGAAAAUUAAGUGCAUAUUUUCUAUUGCGCCGGUGGGAAAUUUGGAGAAGGCACGGGAACCGGACGCUCUGCGUGGAGGCAUCGGACGCUAGCCUUUAGCGUCCGGUGUGCUGUCGGGUGUAGCGGAGUGCACCGGACGCACCGGAGUGAGUCCGGUGCUCAGCGUCCGGUGUGCGGGCGGUUUGGCGACCCUCUAUGUGCAUGUGUCCGGUGAGCACCGGACGCUCGGGGUGCGUCCGGUGACCGUGCGAGUUUGCGGAUCUCUCUGCGCACGGGUUCGGUGUGCACCGGUGGCGUCCGGUGUGACGCAGUAGAGCGUCCGGUGGUGCUGUGCAGGCGCACGUGCGCAGUAGCCGUUGGCGGCAACGGUCGAGUUCAAACGGCUAGUGACACAUGGCUGACGCCUGAUAGUGAUCAUCUGAUUGUGUGAGUGAGCGAUUCUAGUGCGUUGCAUUAAGAGAUUGCAUCGAGUGGCACUAGGUGUUCGUGUUGCAAGCCGGUGGUGCUUGUUACUCUUGGAGGUUGCCACCUCCUAGACGGCUUGGUGGUUUGUGACUCCGUCGAACCACGCAAGGAGAUUGUGCGGUGCUCCGGAGAAGAGAUUGUGAGGGGUACGGUGCUCACCCCGCGAGGAUCACGAAGAGCAACUCAAGUUGAGCGAGAUGUGAAGAGCGACAAGUGGUCCGGCCGGGUCAAGUGCUAGAGCUUGUGGUAAGCACUCCACGUGGGAGAGUGUGACUUGUGGGUCACCACUAGCAAGAGGACCGGCGGCAACCUUGGAGCUUGUCUCAACGGGGACGUAGCUUGGUGGCAACCAAGUGAACCUCGGGAGAAAAUCAUCGUGUCAACAUUGUUCUUCCUGUUGGUUUGCAAGUCCCUAACACAAGCUUGUGCUUACAUUCACAUACUUGUGCUUGUCUAGUUGCUCUUGUAAUUAGUUAGCUUGUGUAGCUUGCUAGUUACCUUCUUGCUUGUGUGGCUAGAAGUAGUUCCCCUUGCGUGACUAAUUUGGUUUGUGUAACCUUGUUAGUCACAUCGCUUAGUUUGUGUAGCUAAGUAUUUUGCGCUCUCUAAUUUGGCAUUGGUUGCCUUGUUAUUGAACAUUGCUAGUGAGCUUAGGAGCUUUGUGCUUUUGCUUACUAGUUGUGUAGGAGCUCCCCGGUUUGCAAAGUACUAGUGGCAUAGGUUUGUGUGACCUUGCUUCUAGAAUUGGUUAAGUGAGCUCUUGCUAAGGUAGCACCUUGUUUGCUUGUUUAGCAUCUUUUACAAGGUGCUAGAGAACUUAGAUAGAGGGGUGUAGUCUUGGCUAGACCGAUAGUUUUAAUUCCGCACUUGUUUCGGUUAGCCGACGCAAUAAGUUUUAGAAAGGACUAUUCACCCCCCCCCUCUAGUCCGCCAUCUCGACCCUUCAGCGUGGUCUUGUGCUUCUCGACAGAAGCAUGCCUCGUCUCACGCUCGGCGUCAUCCUCUUUCACUAGAGGCUUCAAGGACCUAGCAUCGAUCACCCCCUGGCACAACAAGCACAAAUCUCAGGAAAAUCGGAAAGGAAACAAAGAAACCGAAAACAAGGGGCAAGUGGCAAUGACUCGAGGGGUUUACCAGAUCGUAGUAGCCUUCAUCAGGCUUCAUGGGGAAGCUAUUCACGUGCUCCGGCUAAAAGCCACCCGAGACGGCUGCCCUAACCAUGGCAGCGACCUCCUCGUCCGGGAGCGCCUUGUUUGACAUCCGGCACGCCUCGAGGUCCUGCGAUGGAGCAUGGGGACCCAUCUCGUCAAUCCUCAGUGGUCGAGACAUCAACGGGAGUACCCAUUGAUGGUGGACCGCCAAGAGGAUGAGGGCGGCAAUCAAGCCUUCCUCGCACAGACGCCUCAGAGCCUCGAGAAGGGGGCGGAGCCGAGCCUGGUGAGUCUUGAUGAUGCCGUAAUUCUAGUUGUCGGGGCGCUCCUUGAUCAGCAGCCCAGGUAGGCAGGGAAGAGGCCAUCAUCAUUGCAGAGAUAGAACCACUUAGAGUCCCACUAGGCAUGGUUGGAUGUUAGCCUAGUACGGAUAUACUCUCGAGGCUCGUCCGCCUGUCCCAUCUUCUGGACCAAGUUGAGGAAGCCGGUCUGAACCGGCUUCCUCCCCCCAGCGGCUCCACCGGGAGCAUGGAAUAGCUCACCCCAGAAGAGGUGGAUCCACAACUCCCAGUGCGACAUCACCCCCAGGUAGCCUUCACACACCGCGGCAAAGAUUGCCGUGGUAAAGACUGCAUUGGGGGAGAGAUGCUGGAGCUCGAUGUCGUAGUGAUGAAGAAGCGCCCUCAUGAAGUGGCUUGGAGAAGACCCAAGACCGUGGUGGUGAAAUUUGACGAAGGAAACGACGUAGCCCUCCGGCAGGCUUGGCUCCCAGUGCUCCACCGACGGCGCAACCCACUCAGGCCACGUCGCGGAAGCGAGGGGGCGCAGGAGCCCCUCCUUCUCCAAAUCCCACAGCCGGCGCUCCAUCAUGGUCGACAGGCGCCACUUGUCGUUGGCGAUAAGUCUCACUGGCAUCUUCUUAGGCACUAAACAACAUGCCAGAACCCUCACUGUCUCUCCUCUCUAAGCUCUUCUCGUCUUAGUGCGUAGGGUGAAGCAGGAAGAAAAGGAGCGAAAGUGAUGGCGGAAUGCGGAAGGGCAAACAGCCAGGCGAGGCCUCGAUAUAUAUAGGCGCGCUGCAACGCACAGAUCCAGUAAUCACGGUAACUCCCUCCAUAAAUGCAUCGCCUAACGGUCCCAUUCCCCUCUCUCUGAUAGGAUGUUAUGGAAUCCGCCCAACGGAACAGCACCACAACGGCUACCUCCUAAAAAGGCACGCCCAACGGGCAGGACAACAAACCGUCACGACCCUUCCUUCCGUCGUAAGGUAAGUUCGGCGCGCACCGCCAAAGGAACCUCGAGGGAGUGUAGACUGGCCCACCGGUUGGGUUCAACGGUCGCCCUCGAGUACCCGAGUCAGGGACACCUAGUGGGACGUCGAAACAAGGCUUGCCUCGAGGACUAGCUAGGAGUAUCCAAUGCGAAGGCAAGAAGGUCGAGAGGAAUCCGCACGGAGGGAGGCGUCGAGCCAUUGGACUCUACCAAACAAGACCAGUAUCCUCGACCACACUAGCCUAGCUUUAACGAGAACACCUCUAGGCUGCAGCCAACCCCAUCGAACAGGGCACGGGUUCUCGCUUAGAUUACCCGAUAAAAGCUCAUCAAGGACGACGAUGCUCGCUCCAUCGGGGGUACAUCGUGGUCCUUGCCCAAAAGGGGACACUAGCGAAUGAGGCUCGAGCCCCCCUGAAAUUAACGCACCUCAACCAGAAGGGAAGUCGAAAACACCCAGACCCUAAAAAGCAAUAACAGCCCACGAAGGAGUCUAUGACUCCUCCAAGGCCUCGGGGCUACCCCCGCGGGGGUCGCUCGUGCGACCCCCAUGGAAAUACGACCAUUAGUGAAACCCCUGCUCGAGCACAAGUGCUCAAACAAGGGCUUGUGGGCUACCGUCGAGGGUGUCAAUAGGGGGUACCCCAACAAACAUUCAUAAUGGAAAGAUCCAAAGACAAGUCGAGGAUCAGACUCAACAAUCCAGUACAAACACAGGUUCAUCAAAGCCGCAGCUCGACCCACAACGUGAUAUCGACCCUAGCCUCGAAUAUAGAAAUAUGGUCGAGCGAAUGAUCCAGGGCUCGAUAGUCAGCGACUGUGGGUUACUGAAAGGGCGUCGAGCGAAUUGGCAGGCCUCGAGUGCAAAAGUAUUGCGCCGUAGCCUGUCGUGGGUACAGAAGCCAGGACAUUUAAUGUGGCUGACAUGGUCCCACCUAACCAGACAGUCACGGGAAGCGUGAUAGGGGAACGUGCACCCGUCAAAUCCCCACUUUUUCAGCUUUAUCCUCAAGAUUGGAGAAAAGUACAAACCGGCACAAUACAGCAGGCGUAAUAUCCCAUCAAGACACCCCUCGAGACAUUAAGGUCAGCGCUCCUGCAUAACAAAGUCGCCUGUGCCGUCGGACCCUCGAGCAUGCAUGCCCCUUCCCAGGGAAGGAUUGAGCGACAGAAGUCAGCACUCCAACCACUCUAGAAAUGGCGACAGUCGCGAUGUACAAGCGUGCUCAUGCCCAAGCCAAUACCAGACGACAUACAAGAGAUAAGAUUAGGAAACGCAUGCGCCAUCAUCACCAAAGUACCCUGUAACAAGACAGCUCGAGGCCAUGCCGGUACGGAGGUCUCGAGUAGGUCAGCGUCAUACCCCCAUCGAGGCCUACUCAAAACACCUAUACCCUGUAACCUAAGCCUCCCCUUGGAACUAUAAAAGGGGACGUUGUGGGCAACACAAGCAAGAAGAACAACAUAUGUAGAACACAAUUCAUACAUCACCACAACCAGCUAGGACAUAGAACCCCCAGUUGGAUCCACUUGUAUUCGCCCUUGUACAAGCACUUAGGUGCAAGAUAAUAUGCACUCCCCCCCGCUGGACAUAGGGCCUUCCUUUGCCCAAACCAGGAUAAACCCUUGUGUCAUUCUUGCAUAACCAUACAGAAAAGAGAGCACACAUACAAAUUCACUCGUUGGUGUUACCCCCGGGGUCAAAACACCGACAGCUAUACAACAUACAACCAAAUUCAAAUAAGUAAUUUCCACAAACCAUUGCAAUAUCGCAAGCACAAGUUUUAAAGUGCAGUACAAUUACAUGAACAUCACCUACAUCUACAACAUCACAUAACCAGUAGGAGCAAAGCAGCACACAGGCACAACAGGGCACCAGUGGCGGCGGCGCACCAGCAACAGCAUCACAAUGGCUAGCACAAUGGCUACCAACACAGAAAUGUCCUACUACACCUCACCAAAAGAGCAUAGUCUUGCUCACCAAAAUGGGUACCAGCACAAUGUUGCUAAAAUAUCAUCAAGAGCCUAAGUUUGGGAGAUUACUAGUUAACAUCAGGUGAUGAAAACCUGCUGCCAAACAAAGAGCGAAGGAAGGAUUAUAUUUUAUUUCCUUGUUGUUUCAGCUUCUCGGUUUCUUCUCCAGUCUUCAUUGCGGCCUCAUGCUAGUCCUCUACCUUCUUCUCCAGAUCUACCACCUGUGAUCGCAGCCCUACUAAUCCUUUAUUCUCAGCUUGCAAUUCCCCCUCAUGUUCUUGCACACACUUGCUCAUAGCAAUAGCUUUGGCAUUUUCCUUCAUCUGUGUGGACUCCAUGCCAAUAUUGUGGAGAAAAGAUGACUUGGGCAGAACAUGAGCUACAACUUGAAGCGAUGUCUUUAGAUCUUGCCCAUCUUCACUUGGUUGAGCAAGACACUCUUCCAUUUUAGCCUAGCAAAAAUAACAGCCAAUAAAUUCAGUCUGCAAGUUAUGCAUGUGUCCAGAACAAAAUAUAUGUAAAACAAUGGUGUCCAGAACGACAUUGACAAAUUGUACAAUAUGCCAGUUAUGCAUGUGUCGAGACCAAUAUAUAUGUAAAAAUUUACUUAUGCAUUGAUAUAUAGGCUUAUUUUCAUGAAGUGGGCUACUGAUUUCAUCUUACAAAUAUAUUCCUAUAAUUUCAGGACAACCCACAUAUAGGAAGCAUACUAUACUAUAUUACCACAACAUUACCAACUUGUACAAUAAGGAAACACUGCUUUAGUCUCAUUCUCAUUUGCAUUAUACAAUAUGAAAGCACAAGUUCAGUUUCAUUCUCAUGGACUCAUGAUAGUAAGAUAGGGAAAAAGUACUCAGGCCUUGCUCAGUUCGCGAAAUUUUUUGGAUUUCGCUACUGUAGCACUUUUGUUUGUUUGUGACAAAUAUUGUCCAAUUAUAGACUAACUAGGGUCAAAAGAUUCAUCUCGUGAUUUACAGGCAAAGUGUGUAAUUAGUUUUUGUUUUCGUCUAUAUUUAAUGCUUCAUGCAUGUGUCGCAAGAUUCGAUGUGACAGGGAAUCUUGAAAAAUUUUGGAAACUAAACAAGGCCUCACAGUGGCAUCCUUCGAGUUCUCGUGAAAACCUUACUUGCUACUACAGUGUGUGUCCUUGAAAAUAUCAAUCGCAGUUGGUGUUACAUGCUUAAAUUUAGUUUGCUUCCGAAAUUAUAGACAAGAAAGUAAAUUAUUGAAAGCAUGUGAAGAGUUAAAUGAAUAGUAGCAGCUAAAAAUCCCAUUAAUCCUCUUGUGCUAGAUCUUAACAUUAUCCAAGUUUUACCAUAUGAUCAACAAUGACACAUUAUAGGACCUAAACAUGUGUACUAAAAUGCAUUCACUAAUUUAUCACUUAAAUAAACCAUAUUAUGAGGAUUUAAGCUAGAACAAACAUCACAAUCAUUACUAGGUACACUCAGAUGUAGGACAACAGUUACUUCAAGCAAUCAUAACUGAAGAUUUAGACAUGCAACAAAGGGCAUACUAGACUCUCUAGAACACUUAAGAAUUAGGACUAAACAUUGAUCCAUUCAGACCUCAAGAUGGGGGGGAGGAAAUCCUAAGACAUCAUACCCCAUACCUUAGUGCCAUUGGAGCACUGAUGUACCCUACCAAUAGCACCAGGCCUGACAUCACUUUUGAAGUGAAUCUGCUAGCAAGGCAUAAUUCUUCUCCUACCAACAGACAUUGGACAGGAGUAGACAAAUCCUCAGAUAUGUUAAUGGCAUAAGGGAUCAUGGACUAUUUUUCCAAAGAGGAACAAGAUCUCAUAUUAUAGGAUACACCAAUGUUGGAUAUAAAUCAAAUCCCCACAAUUGUAAAUCACAAACAAGCUUUAUAUUCUUACAAAAUGGAACUACCAUAUCAUGGACAUCAUCUAAGGAAACCUUGGCAACAACGUCCACAUGAAUGCAUUUGGCUUCAUAGAAUGAUCAACCACAUAUAACAUUCAUGUGGUGUUAAAGCUAUCAUAGCUCCAACCAUUAUCUAUGAAGAUAAUGUGGCUUGUCUUACAAUAUGGAGACAGGCUAUAUCAAGAGCAAUAUCAAAAAGCAUAUCACUCCAAAGUUAUUCUAUCCUCACAAAUUACAACAAAAUAGGGAAAUUAAUAUCUUGCAAAUGAAAUCAUGUGACAACCUCGCUGAUUUAUUCACUAAGUCCCUACCUACUUCCUCAUUUGAAAAAUGUGUCAAAGGAAUUGGUAUGCAAAGACUUUGGGAUUUGUAUGGUUUAGGGGGGAGAAAUCCCCAAGACAUUGGCAUGGGUAAUAUUUAACACAAGAGUGUCAUAUUCCUUGUUUUCCCCAUAGGGGUUUUUAAAGGAGCAUCGAAGACGCAUGUUGUCCUCUAAACUACAACAUGAGUUUUCUCCUUAAAAGGUUUUCUCAUAUUAGUUUACAAUGACGCAAUGAUUAAGUGCUAUAACUUUCUCCUUCUUUUCCCAAACGGUUUUAAGGAGUUUUACUAUAGCACAUACACACAUGUAUUUUCCUCAUUUUUAUCCUACAUGAAUUUUUAGAGGAGCAAUAUGAUCCAUUUAUCUAAACAAGUGAUUCGAUCAAGGGGAAGUGUUAUGGAUAAAACCUGAGGAUGAUCUCAUAUCCUCGGGUACUUCCCCCUGGGUCCUAUCCUAACAGCAUGAAGGAGGAAAGGGGUUCCUGUAAAGACCGGUUCCCCAAUGGGACUUCCCCCAUGACUCCAAACGUGCCCAUGAAGACCGGUUCCCAAAUGGGAACUCCCCCCACAACUCCACUGCACAUGGAUCAAUGUCCGCCACAGGCCUUCGGCUCCGGGAUGUGCUUCUUCGGCUUGAGAAUGUCACUGGGGGAAGGGGGAGGAGAAGGCGCUACUACCCCACCACCACCACCGCCAACUCCUCCCCCACGUCUUCGCCGCACAUGGAUCAGCGUCCCCAUGGGCCUUUAGCUUUGGUACGCGCUUACUUGGGGGGGAGAGUUUCCCCUUUUCCCCCGACUCUGUGUAAAUAGAUGAUCAAUGGAAUAAUGAAAAUAGACCGAGUUCAUUUUACUUCCUCUUUGAUUUUCACAUUCACAAUUUUACUCACAACACAAACUACAAAAUGGUAGGUGGCCCCGGCCUUGCACAUGGCCACAACAUGUGUUGGCGCUAGAGCCCGAGUGGACAUGCAAGGAGAAGAGUGAGGACAUGCACGGAGGGCUACAGGUGUUGAUGUACACAUGAUAUAAUUAUUACUUUUCUAAGAAAAAUAGACACUUCAGACAACGUGUGUGUAUAUGUAUAUAUAUAUAUAUAUAUAUAUAUAUAUAUAUAUAUAUAUAUAUAUAUAUAUAUAUAUAUAUAUAUAUAUAUAUAUAUAUACAUGUUGUACAGUUGAGUAUACAAGAAAAUCAGUUUUUAGCAUGGCAUUGGUGUUAAAAGUGAUGUAAAGUGACAAGCAAGUUAUUAUAAGCAAUUAACAUAUUAUUAGUCACAAAAAAACACUUAACAUGUUGUUGUCAAAAGUGAUCUACUCAUAUCGAAAAAUCACUAUAGAUCACAUUAAUCUUUUCAAAAUAAAAGAAUAGGAGAAGUAAACCAUGUUAGAUUUUUCACUUUACAAAUCAAAAAAAUGUUGAAGAAAGAUAUCUUAUAUCUCAUCUACAUGUGAAUUUACAUCAAAUAGAAAAGUUAGAUCAUUCAUCUGAUAGGAAGGUGUUUUCCAUAUUUAUACUAUAUUUAACUUAUUACCUUCUAGAGAUAAGGUGUCUCUACUUUAGAUGUUAAUAUGUAUAUUUUUACUCAUGCAAUGAUUAGAUGCUCUAGAAACAUAGAAUUUAAUUAUGAUUUAUCAAGUGAAAAGUCAUUCUCUCUUUUAUUUGCUUGCAACCAUCUCGAGCUUCAAGUUUGUUGGUUGUCUCUCAUAUCUUUCUGUCCCUGAAUAAAUCAAUUCCUAGAAUCAAUGUCAGUCAAACUUUUUUAAAAUUAACUAAAAUUAUAGAAAAGAAUAAUAACAUCUAUGAUAUAAGAUGAGAAUCUUAUAAAAAUAUAUUCUAUGAUAAAUCUGAUAAUACUAAUUUGAUAUGAUAAAUUCUAACUUUUUCCCUAAAAUUUCGAUCAAGGUUUAAAAAGUUUAAUGUAACACAACUAUAGAAAUCUAUUUAUUAAGGGACGGAGGGAGUAUAAAGAGACUCAUAAAUGUUUAACUAAGGAUAUAAUUUUGCACAUAGAGAGAUUCAUAAUUAAAACUAAGAGAAAAAAGUUAGUUAUCUUGUACAUCUUCUCUUACAUCACAUGAUCAACUCCAAUACAUCUUAUACUGUCAUAAAGCAAAACCGCACUACCUAUUCCUCUCAACAUGCAAGCUAUCCAACUAAGCAAUCCACUAUCACACCCCACUACUUAUUUCUCUCAACAUAUAAGCUAUCCAGCUAGGCAAUCUACUAUUACACACAAUUAAAAUCUACUAGCUCAUGCAACUAUAAUAUCCACGUCAACAAGUUAUAUAUUUCCAUAAACAUACAAGCUGUCUAAUUAGAAAAUACACAUUCUAACAUAUUUAUAUUCCUUCUUCAUACUCGCGGUAACGUACAGUGAAUCCUCCUAGUUUUAUGUAAUUUCAUGCCGCCAAAUGGUUUCUGUGGCUUCACACUUCCUCAUGUGAAGUGCAACAGCUUAAAAGUAUAAAAGCCAUAUUUUGGCAUAGAUUUCUUAACAAUCAUGAAUUGUUUGUUCUCUUACAUGGUGACGCGGCUUGUACCGCAACAUUACAACACGCUUACAUUUGUCCUUAUAGUACCCGUGGAGUGUACGGAUACAACCUCAUGGUCUGGAAAACAGCAACGCAACCUUUUUCAAUGUCGUAUCCUGCGUUGGAACAAGCCAUACAGCUAUAAAUUUGCAUAAUAUGCUACAUUUUUUUCCAAAACAAAAUUGUUUCUUCGCGUUAAGGAAUAGUAUUGUAUCUUAAAAGCACAAAAGUUGCACUUAAUAUGACAAACUAUCACGCUUUAAAACCAAGCCAUUACCUAAAAGUUGAUUGAUAUAAAGAACAAAUAUUGUAGCUUGUUACACCUUUCCAUCAACAAACUUCUCCCGUCAAGCAAAGAAAUGGAAUCUUUUGUGACACGUGUACGAGAGUAGCUAUUGCUUAUAAAUUGCAGAAGACACCUCAAUCGAUACAUAAAACAUUCCUUCAAUUUCCAUUCUAUAUUCCCAUUAAACUUACGUCUUAAGAUCUUAAUUCUUGAGUUGCAACCAUGGACAUGGCUUUGGCAUCUAAAUCCUUCCCUCCAUCAAGUGCCACCACCGAGCAACCAAUUUCAAAGCGUGACAAAGCUAUUGCAAAUGAUUCCUCAUCGAAGGAUACAUACCUCAAUCCUAAAGCUAAUGAUGUAAGUUCUCUUUUUACAAUAAGAAUAAUGUGCUAGUAGCUUCAGAUUAAUUAUUGUCUUUUUGAUAUAAUAUGCAAACGUAGUAUCGCAACAAGCUAGGAACUCGUAUCCUUCUAAUCACCUUUUCUAAUUCUCAGUUGUGGGUACAUGAUCUUCCUCUCCCUAUUUGGUUACGUGUUUCGUGAUCGUGCGGUACGGCGUGGACCUGCGGUGUAUGAGAUCGGACACUUAGGCCUUGUUUAGAUACACCUAAAAACACAAAACUUUACAAAAUUCUUCGUCACAUCGAAUCUUGCGGCACAUGCAUGAAGUAUUAAAUAUAGCUAAAAAGAAUAACUAAUUGCACAGUUUACCUGUAAAUCACAAGACGAAUCUUUUAAUCCUAGUUACUCUAUAAUUAGACAAUAUUUAUCAAAUAAAAACAAAAAUGCUACAGUGUCAAAAUCCAAUAACUUUUUGCAUCUAAACAAGGCCUGAGUUCAAUCUCAUGGUGGAUGAGUCAAGAGCAGUCAUGAGAGAACGUUAGAAAAUGCAAAACAUUUUUUGCAUGAUUUUGCGGCUGGAGAUCCAUAAUCUGAUUACGAAUUUAUGUGAACAGGCCUUUGUCUUGCACAUGCCAUCAAAAACAAGGCAAGAACUAGGCAACUAGAAUCAUUUGCCACGAUUAAGGCCGUUCCUGUCUCUGUCUUUCUCUCUGAUCUGAAAAAUAAAUAAAUAAAUAAAUAAAAUCCCGUAGUAGGAUGAGUUAAAAUCGCACAGCCACACGAGCAGUCUGACCACCACUCCCUAUCAGAGAUCAGACCGUGUGUCAGUGUGUGGCCUCACUCACUCAUCACCGAUCCCUCGCCACGCCACAGACUCCCCGUGAGCUCCGCCGCGCGGGUCCUCGUCCUUCCCCACCGUAGGAGCAAUGGCGAUGACCGCCAUAGCCUCCCCGUCGUCCAGGACCCUGAUCCCACCGCGCCACCACGGCGCAGCGCCCUCCCCGUCCACCUCCGGCGACUCCUCGCUCCGCCUCCUCCGCGCGCACCCGCGACACGGCCGGCGCAGCCGCGGGGUGUCCGUCUCCACGCCGGCGGCGCGGAGCCGGCCGUUCGUCUUCUCGUCGCGCGCGGUGUCCGACUCCAAGAGCUCCCAGACCUGCCUGGACCCCGACGCCAGCACGGUAUGCCCCCGCCGCCCGCCUCCUGCACGGGGAAUGCGGCGGCUUCUCUUGGCGCGCCUGGCCGUCUCUCGCUUGCGGCUUGCCUCUGAUCCGUCGGGUCGCGCCUUCGAGGCGCAUUUGCCGUUCCUGAUGGGAAAUUGGGACGCGCGCGCAAAAGAUUGUUUUUCUAAUCUUUAUUUAUGAAUAACGCGUUGCUCAUCUGGAUGCGCAAAUCGGGGGCUGGGAUUGUCGCCUUCUCAAGUGCACGUUGCGUGGUUGCUACUUAUUUUCUUUUUGUAUUGUACGUACUAGGUAGGUACCGACGAAUGUGGCAAUUUUAGGAUGCUAGUUGUGAGGCUCAUGUUGUUAAGUAUGAUUCCUUGUAGCAGCCAAUAAGAAAUUGAUCAAGAUGUUGACAGGGCAGUAGUUUUAGGUAUUUUUUGGAUCAUUAUUUAUGGUUUCAUCGUUUCUUCGUCCCAUAUAAUAUUAGUUUUUCGGUCUGAUGCGGAAAUUAUAAUGGCCCACUUGCUUUUAUCCUCGAGUGGCCUAUGUUGUUUGAACUUGUCCCAUCUUUUUUUAAUCAUAUUUUUUAAAACUUGUCAUGAUGCAGCGAUUAUGUUAUUAGUUUCCAUGGAGUGCUGAUAAAUUUUGAAUUUCAGAGCUGUCCUUGUCCUUGUGUGGUGCUCAUCAGUUUACUCACUUUUGGCUGUAUACAAUAACAAACAUUUGUUGUUUGUUCAGAGUGUUCUUGGAAUCAUUCUCGGAGGUGGUGCUGGGACUAGAUUGUACCCCUUGACAAAGAAGCGUGCCAAGCCUGCAGUGCCAUUGGGUGCCAACUAUAGACUGAUUGAUAUUCCUGUCAGCAAUUGUCUCAACAGCAACAUAUCCAAGAUCUAUGUGCUAACGCAAUUCAACUCUGCUUCCCUCAACCGUCACCUCUCAAGAGCCUAUGGGAGCAACAUUGGAGGGUACAAGAAUGAAGGGUUCGUUGAAGUCUUAGCUGCACAACAGAGCCCAGAUAAUCCAAACUGGUUUCAGGUAUUAUCCCGACUAAUGUCGUGUCUUUUCUGAUUUUCUGAAAUGCAGAAUCUGGCAUUUCUUCAACAUGCACAUUUGACACCAUAUUCACGUUUUCCCCAUUGCAUAUUCUCACUUCACGCCACAUCAAAUUUAUAACCAACGGACAACAAAGGUCAUUUCAGUUGGUUAUUGAACAUGAGUUUGAAGUGUACCAUCAUGCCUCAAGCAAAUGCAUGCUAAUCUACAGGAAAUUUUGCUAGCACACUUCACUAGCUUACAUCAAGUACUGAUUUUCUUUUAUAUUUUUUUUCUCAGGGUACUGCAGACGCUGUAAGGCAGUACUUGUGGUUGUUUGAGGAGCAUAAUGUGAUGGAAUUUCUAAUUCUUGCUGGUGAUCACCUGUACCGGAUGGACUAUGAAAAGUUCAUUCAGGCACACAGAGAAACGGAUGCUGAUAUUACUGUUGCUGCCCUACCGAUGGAUGAGGCACGUGCAACUGCAUUUGGCCUCAUGAAAAUCGACGAAGAAGGGAGGAUCAUUGAGUUUGCUGAGAAACCGAAAGGAGAGCAGUUGAAAGCAAUGAUGGUACACAUAAUGUGCCUUUCCUUUCAAGCUAACUUGAUAUACAUUUGUGGACAGUCAUUUAGUAAACCUAAAAUAUUCUUGUUUAAAAUGCCUUCACAUCAUAUUGCUGUCUGAUUCAUGUAGGUUGACACCACCAUACUUGGCCUUGAUGAUGUAAGGGCAAAGGAAAUGCCUUAUAUUGCUAGCAUGGGUAUCUAUGUUUUUAGCAAAGAUGUAAUGCUUCAGCUCCUCCGUGAACAAUUUCCUGGAGCCAAUGACUUUGGAAGUGAGGUUAUUCCAGGUGCAACAACCAUUGGAAAGAGGGUAUGCAAAGAUUAUUUAACCUUUUAGCUGUUUAUUUUCUUCUGUUUACUGAUGUUUCUUUUUUAUAUAAAAAAGUACUAUGUAGCCUUUUCACACAAAUCUCAUUAUGCCAUAAGUUGGUACCCUGACAUUUCAUUUCUGAAGAAACUUACCAUUAUCUAAACACUUACAUUCAAGUGCAUAUCUGUAGUUUAUGUGUGUCAAGUGCUACCUAAGAACAGUGUGCUAGAAAGCCUAGGCAGGUAGGGUUGGCUCAAGGCAGGAGGGAGGGAAGGGUUAGCUUUCAGAAUGUUAUUUAAGACCUUGUUUUUGGCUGCAGGUUCAGGCUUAUCUGUAUGAUGGUUACUGGGAAGAUAUUGGUACCAUCACGGCAUUUUAUAAUGCAAACUUGGGAAUAACCAAGAAACCAGUACCAGAUUUCAGGUAUGCUUUCACUUCUCACUGUGCUGCAGUCAAAAGUUACAACACUGCAUGCACAUCAAGACUUAUAAUUUCAAUUAGUCCCUACUGAUUUAGUGUUUCCCUUCUAUCUGAAUACAGCUUCUAUGACCGUUCUGCUCCAAUUUAUACACAACCUCGACACCUGCCACCUUCAAAGGUUCUUGAUGCUGAUGUGACAGACAGUGUUAUUGGUGAAGGGUGUGUUAUUAAAGUAAGUAGUGUUUUGUUUUACUAUAGCAUGUUCGAAAACCUUUCUGUAGACUUUUUAUAUUUCCUCCAAAGUAAUUUCUCAUAAUUCAUUUAAUAAUACGUUUAUGCCUUGAUCUUGUGCACACAGAACUGCAAGAUACACCAUUCUGUAGUUGGACUCCGAUCUUGCAUAUCUGAAGGUGCUAUCAUAGAGGACACUUUACUAAUGGGUGCAGACUACUAUGAGGUAAAUAUAUACAAGUGUUCACUUCUGUCAAUGCAACAAGAGAGCUCACACCUUGGUGUUCUUUUUUUUCCAGACUGAAGCUGAUAAGAAACUCCUUGCCGAAAAUGGUGGCAUUCCCAUUGGUAUUGGGAAGAAUUCACACAUCAGAAGAGCAAUCAUUGACAAGAAUGCUCGAAUUGGAGACAAUGUGAAGGUAUUCCAGUUCUAACGGUCAAGAAUAUAUUGGUCUAUAUUUUUUCUUAGGAUAUUAAAUAAUACUUGAUAUGUCAUUUUCUCCUCUUAAUUUCUACAUUUAUUUUUGAAAUAUUAACUUCAAAUAUGAAUAGACUUGCAUGUUUCUUUUAUUUUUUACAUGGAAGAUGCGUAUAUAAUAUGAAUGUUCGUACUUAUCUUUCCCUAACUGCCUGCAUAAGUCUUCAUCCUGCACUUUUUGCCUGUGUUUAACUCAGGUAAUCAACCUGAGGUUGUUUUCCAAAAGAUAUCUGUCAACAAGUCAUAUAUCAGUUUUUGUUAUAAAGGCCUUGUUUACUUCCACCCAAAAAUCCAAAAUUUUUCAAGAUUCUCCGUCACAUCAAAUCUUUAGACGCAUGCAUGGAGUAUUAAAUAUAAACGAAAAUAAAAACUAAUUGCACAGUUUGGUUGGAAUUGACGAGACGAAUCUUUUGAGCCUAGUUAGUCCGUGGUUAGACAAUAAUUACCACAAACAAACGAAAGUGCUACAGUGUCGCAAAAUUUUUCCCUUCGGGAAGUAAACACGGCCAAAAAUACAAAAUAAAACCUGAAAUGCAGAGCUUCAUGUCAGUUCUUGGUUUGGCUUUGCAAUACUGCUUAUGCAUAUGGCAUUCAAGCUCCACCCAGAAACAGCUGCCAUUAUCCUGCAAUCCUGAUCCUAUUCCCUUGCUCUACUAUUGCCAUUUUUUGUUAGACCUGUUGCAUUACACUUGAUUAGUCAUAAGUCUUAGCUUGACAUGAGUCAUGACCAGAUGUGUCGGAUCAUCUGAAGAGUUCAUAAGUCUUAGCUUGUCAUAUGAUUAAACAGGAACAUUUCAUUAUUAGACUUGCCUACCAUACAUUUUCUAUGGCAUCAGAUUUUCUCACGAGACUUGUUGAUCUUGUAGAUACUCAAUGCCGACAAUGUUCAAGAAGCUGCAAGGGAGACAGAUGGGUACUUCAUCAAAGGUGGAAUUGUCACGGUGAUCAAGGAUGCUUUACUCCCUAGUGGAACAGUUAUAUGAAGUAAGCUAUACUCCUGUUCUACAAAGCUUCACUUGCGAAGCCUUUGAAAUACAUCUCAAGGUGUUAAACCAGCUAGGUUGCAAAUGCUACAUCUUUGCUUGAGUUUGCAAGUUUGCCUGUUCACAAAAUCAUUGUUUUGCACGGUGCUGCAGGUGGAUGUGGGACAUGCAGCUGAGUGUCAUUGACAAUGAUCAGCACCUGGUUACAUGCUUGAUCUGCAGAUCAGCGUGUUGGAGAUCAUCGAAACAAUAAGAGUGUCAUUCAAGGCACUUUUUCUUUCUCUUUGCUCUUUUGUGUCCUUUAAUGUUGUAGGGUAUAAUGUUGUAUCAGCAACUGUUAGUUACAUGUUGAAUCAAAAUUGGAUGCCUGGAUUUGGGAUACAUCUAAGAUGCUGUGCUGCUUUGAGCGAAGCCAUGAAGACCAUGGCAUGAUGCAUCCGUGCUCUACUUAUUGUGCGUGACGAACAGAAGCGUUGCUGGUUUGUAGAUUUUAAAGAUACUAGCAAACAUGUCGGUACGCUGCAAUGCGGAAAAAUGCGAUGGGGAAAAAAUAUUCAUGGAACGACAAUAGAAAUGCUAUAUUAUUUAUGUUUCAUCAUUUACAAAAUUUAUUAAAAGCUAUAAUUUAUUAAUAGAUUAUCGUGACAUCCAAAUUAUAAGUUAACAUUGGCAAAAAUAUGGCAACAUAUUGUUAAGUCUAUAUAAAAUUAAAAUAUGGUCUUGGUAUGGUUUUUUCUCCUAUUGCAAAGCACAUAAAUAUUUCAAUAGCUUUGAUUUUCAUUCUAUCUAUGUGUUGCUAUAGUUAAAUGUCUAGUUCUAUGACCUUUGAGAUGGCAUGGUCAUCAUAAUAAAUUAUAGCUUUCAAUAGAUUUUAUAAAUGAUGAAACAUAAAUAAUAUAGCAAUGUAUUAUUAAGUCUGUAUCAAAUUAAAAACGGUCUUGUUAUGUUUCCUUUCUCCUAUUACAAAGCACAUAAAUAUUAAACGUAAUAUAUUUUAACUUUAAUUAUCAUUCUAUCUAUGUGUUGCUAUAGUUAAAUAUCUAUUUCUAUGACCUUUGAGGAUCCACAAAAAUCUAUAAUUUAAAUCUCUAAACUCGACCAAGAGUUACUUGCCGAUGUGUCAAGGUUUUCAUUCUAUCUACGUGUUACUAUAGUUAAAUAUCUAGUUUUGUGACCUUUGAGGAUGCAUAAAAAUCUAUAACUUUAAUCUCCGAUUAAAGUCAACAAGAAGUUAGCUGCAGACGUGUCAUGUAUUGGUCACUGUCAAGUAUUGGUCACUGUCCUCUAAUGCUAGCCCUUACCAGUGAUUAUAUAGAUCGAUUUAUCUAGAUUGGAAUAGACAACAAACUAAUCAAGGUUUCUAUCCAUGUUGAUUAGUUGAACCGUCAAUUAGAAUUACAUUAACAACUUGACGGUAGAAAUUUUUUUAUCUUAGAGAAAAGUCAAUAGUUCAAAGAUCUAUAAUCGGGUGGACAGAGGCAACAAAAAACAUAAGAAAAUCCAAAAUAAAUAAUAAAAGUUGACGGAAGACGCCAAAAGAAAUCAGACAAAAACGACGAGUCUGUCUACCGAACAAUCAUGUGUUUUAGCAAAAGAUAGCACAUGGUUGUUUAUUGGCUGCAAAACACACGAUUUAUAACAGACAAAAAACCACGUGUUUUAGGACAAGUUAGCACAUGGUUGCAUGUUUUUUGAUGAAACAGGAGAGACAGAAGAGCCCCUACUGAAAUUUAUUGAAAUAAAACACAAACAGGUACAAGAGUCCAAAAAGAACAGUGUGAGAGAAUCAGACAAACAAGACUGAAAAAACUACAAGACUGAAAAGAAACUAGAGCUCAGGACACAAAGAAAGAAACAAAAAAGAUAAGCAAGAUUACACAACUUGGUCUAGCCAUUAUUCAAUCUGAGGGAAAUAUUUUUGUUUGGCCCUCCAUAAGAGCUGACCAAAAAAAUGCUUAAAGAGCUGUGAGCAUCGAAGACAAUCAGCUGGCUACUCCAGCACAUGAUCAAGAUGAUUUCCAUUGCAAAGCUUACAUUGAGCUGUUGUUUGAGGUUUUCUAACCUCAGCAGGCUGUAAGGGGUGCUGAUGAUAGCAAGGCCCAAGAGGCUCCAACAGUUUCUUGCAAAAGAGCAUUCCAAAAACAGAUGCUCAACUGUUUCUUCAGAGUUACAGCUGCAUAGAACACAGUUGAAGGAGGGCAAGUGCAUCUGCCUUCUUCUUAAGAUAUUUCUGGUGCUGAGUCUAUCAUGUACCAAUAACCAAAAGAACACCUUGUGCUUUGGAUGACAUGAGGAUUUCCAAAUCCAUUUAAAGAGAGGAUGGACAGGAGCAGAACCUUUAAGGUGCUUUUAAGCUCUACUUGCAGAAAAUUCAGAAUUCCCCCAAAUGUAUACCCACCUGUCAUUACGCUGAGAUCGAUCAUGAUCCUCCAAACACUGCACAAACUGCUGGAACUGAUUAAAGGCUUCAACUGAAAGAGGCAAGUUGAAAAGAUCAUGCCUGGCCUGAACUGCUACAGCUUUGGAUAAGGAGAUGCUAGGUUGCUUGGCAAAGGAGUGAAGCUCAGGAAAAGAGAUCCUCAAGGGCUGACCAGACCAGCAGUCGUCCCAAAGCAGACAAGUGUUACCAGCUGAAGCAACAAUAGAAUCCAUGCCUUUAUAUUUGUCCACCAAUUCUAAAACAUCCCUCCACCAAAAGGAGCCUUUUUUGUGUGAUUCGGUAAUCUUCCAUUACUAAAAAUUGCAUAUUUUUAAAAUAGGGUAAAUUGAUUUAUCCAAUUCUUUUAUGAGCACUAUAACAUAGUAAAUAAUAACUUUUAUUAAAUUAAAAUUCACUAUAAGGUCUAGAUACAUGUUUGAGCAUCCAUGCUGCUAUAUAUAUAUAUAUAUAUAUAUAUAUAUAUAUUUGCUUGAGUGGUGGUUUCAAAUUCAGAAUGGUUUUCAAAUUUCUUUUGAUUUUGCUUGACCAAAAGGUUCAAAAUAAAAAUGAAAAGAAUUUGUUUUCCCUCUCUCAUUCGCUCUCUAGUUUUGGCCCAGCCCCCCUGCCCCCUCUGCAGCCUGUUUUCCCUUCCUCCUUCUCAUUCCAGCGCAGCAGGCCGGCCCAAUCCCUAUCUCCCCCUCUCUUCCUUUUGCUUCGCGGGCCGUAAAAUCGCUUAGCCUAGCAAGCCGCACGCGCGGCCUUUCCUCCCCCUUGCUGCGCUCGCUGUCGAGAUGGUCCCACUCUCUCUCCACUGAUGACUCGGGCCCACCUAUCGGAGUCAUCUUCUUUCUCGUGUCGCAGCCGGACUCUUCCCUGAAUCGAACCCGAGCUCGCGCCGGCCACGCGAAUCCUCCGCGGUGGCGUGACCCGCACACCGAGGGGGCUUUAAAUAGCGGCCCCGACCCUGAUGAACACCCUACCCAACCCUAGAACGAGCAGCCGCAAUAGCCUCGCCGUGAAACGCCGCCGAGAUUUGCGCCAAGUUCAAAACGCCGCAGCACCGCGUCUUUGCCCCCGUGAGCUCUUAGCCAAGCUUCUGGCCGCUCGUGAGAAGUCGUCGAGUUUUUCCUUUCGCGUUUUUGUGUUCUCUUUGCAUGACUAAUCUUCGCUGAACUUAUUGCAGAGGCCGACGCCGCCGUUCUCCGUUGGGGACUAUCUUCGGCCGCUCCCUGGCUUUGAUUCUUGCCCUAGGUGAGUUCGCCUUGAGCUCCACCAUGUCCCGGUGCUUUUGGUUUGUUCUCUAGUGUCCUAAAUCAUCGUUUUGGCCAACGUCGGCCAUCAACAGCCAUGGUGCCGCCGGGUUCAGCCCCCAUCUCUCCCUCCCCACUCCGAUCUAAUCACAACCGUUCAAUCACGAUCCAGCGGUCCCAGAUGAAGGAUACCCCUUCGUCAGCAUCUUUUGCAAAAGAACCCUUGCAGUUAUUAAAGAUUUAACCCGCAGUCCAUAGCGUACUCCCUGAGUGCGUCUUACUUGGUUAAAAAUGUAUUUUCCUUUAUUCAGAUUCAAAAUAUGCUUUCUCAAAAUUAGAUUUGCCAUUGAUCCUGUUUUACUCAUAAAAUCUCCGUUUUAACUCCGUUUUGAUCCAUUCAAAUCACGUUAGAUUCAUUUUUGCGUAACCUAUAGUUUAGUGGCACAGUUAUACAUGUUCUCCACUUUUUAAUUCUGAGUUUCGAUUUAAUGUAUUAUUUUAUUAUAGGGAAUCUUGUUGAGGUCAUAACUUCUUCGUUCUAGCUAUGAUUUUAAUGAACUUUACGUCUGUGUGAUCGUAGUGCAAUGUAGAAUUGUUUUAUAAACUUUUUAUCUUUAUUUACCAUUGUUGGUGUACUGUUCUAAUUAUAUAUUUGUUUUCCUUGUAUGACUGCCUUUGAAUUAUUGUUGUUGAUGUGGUGAUUGAGUUUAGACGGUGAGCAGUUCGCGGGUGACCAAGAGUACUUCUACGAACAGGAUGAGCAGGACCAGUUUGAUCAAGGCAAGUAUAGCAUAGGAUCAUCCUUGUUUCAUAAUAACUUUAAUCACACAAUUCAUAUUGCAUGUGUCUCUUUGUUAAGGAUUUCCUAGUAUUGAUCUUAUACCUUGUCACCUAUGGUUUUGCAUUGGGUAGUUUAUGCUAGUGCUCUUGUUGAUGCAAAAAUAGAUCUGCAAACACAAAGGGCUAAUACCUGAUUCAAACGUUAAUGUAUGCCAGCCGAUUUGACCUUACAAUUGACAAAGGUGGUAACUCGAAUACUUUGGUCCCGACAACAGCGACGCGCCCGGAUGCCACGGCCAAGAGGUAUUCACGCAGAACUCGAGAAUUCGUCGAGUAUGACUCGAUGAACUCUUAAGAACUCGUAAGUAAAAGAAAAUAUGCGAGUUUGACGAAGUCGUCGAAAAAGUGGAUGCAAAAGUAGAUGUAAAACUUGUGUAUGAUAUUAAUUGGAUUGUCCUCUUACAUCGCUACUAGGCCCAUAUUUAUACUCUGUCCUAAAGAGUUACAAUCGUAUACGACUAGGAUGUAAUUCUAAACUAAAUAGGAAUCGUACAUAAAACAAAUCCUAACAAUUAUGGAAAAUAACAACCUAUCUAUCCUUGCCGAUCGGCACACCACCAUUGCCUUCUUAGCAACUCCCAUAUCUUCCUUUGUUGUCAUCGGCAUAUUCCUUGCACCUUUUCAUCAUCAUCGGCACACUCCUCAUCGACAUCAUCAAUUAUUAAUAUCAACAAUCGGCACCGCUCAGCAACCGUCACCAGACUCAGCAACAUCUUCUCCCUGUUGUCCUAUCAUCGGCAAUGUUGGCUAUCGACAAUCCUUCUAUCGGCCAGACACAUCACUUCUUUGACUAUCGAUACUAAUGUCCAAAAAUGGUGUCAACACAUGCCCCCCAAUUUCGGAGUAUGGAGUCAUUAAUGCUCCGAAAUUCUCUCCUGAUAAUGAUGACCUUUUCACAAUUAUUUCCUUCUGGUGAUAAUUAAUCACUAAAUCCAAACAACUUUAAUUCUGAUCUCCAGCAUAUACCUCGAAUCUCUCAAUCACCCAAACCAAAUCUCCUAAACACACGCUCAUCGGCAACUGUUCUGUUAGAGCUGACUGCCGAUGAGCCGACCAAAAGAUCUUGCACAGUGGAAUAUCUCCUAAUAUCAUGAUUACUCGCUGUCAAAUCACCUGCACAAUCCCUUGAUUACCGUGCGAACAGUUACCAUAUCCACCUGAAACACCCUCGAAUUUCACGGAUACGGCAAAGAGAUAAGUCAAAAAUACCCUUGCUCACUUCAACAUAUAAAUACUUCCUUCUUCAGCACUCUUUCCCCACCUUGCCAUCCCCCAUUCCCAGAUUCAUCUUCUGGCGGCGGCAUUGACGAGGAACUCAAGAGCUCGGGCAGCAAAGAACCUCCCCAGAACCUCCAAGUCUUCGACUCCUUCUUCUCCGGGAAAAAAUGGCUGUCAACUUCAUCGUGCCUUAAUACGUUCCCAUUCCUUUACUGCAACCCUUUACCUUUUUGCAAGUCUACUUACUUAGCAUUUUCCCCUCCUUUUCUUUUUGUUCUUCCAAUCUUCAAACUUUAGGAGUUGAGUGAGAAAAUUGUCAUUCCUACUGAACAACCCCACCUCCAAUGCCUUGGUCCAAUGGGUGAUCCAGAUCCCACCGAUCUGAUUAAUGCAGAAACCAAUAGGAUUCCUUUUAGGGCUGAGAAUUUUUCUUUAGAUCUAUGGAAGGACACUUUCUGAUCCUGGCCAAACCCACCAAAGGAUGGAAAGAUUGGUUUUUGAGAAUCAGCAAAACGAAAGAAGUAUAUUAGGGUGAACACAAAAUAGAUCAGUGCAUCAGGCUUUCCAUUGCCGAUAUGGAAAGAAAUGAAUCAAUGUUGAUAGCUGCCUCAUACUUAUGGUCAAAUACUUUUAAUGCUUUUAUUUUUGGCCAUGGCCCAACUUCCCCUACGCUUGUCGAUGUUGUUAUGCUCACUGGUUUGGACGUUGCUACUGCCGAUGAUGGCCAAUUAUUCGGCCGCAAAGCCGAACGUAAAGUAGAAACCCGCAACAUCAGCGGUUGGUCAGGGUAUAUUCAGAAAUAUCAACGAACGGGAUCGGUUGGUCAAAGAGAGCACGCCACUUUUCUGAAUAUGUGGUUAGAUAAAUUCAUCUUCUGCGGCCGAUCAGUAGGACCAACUUCUGUUUACUUAUCGGCAGCAGAAAGGUUAGCCGAUGGUAACCGAUUCUCCCUUGGCCGAUACCUGCUGGGUUCUGUCUAUCACCUCCUCCAUCAUGUAGUCGAGAAACUCCUGCUAGGUGAACCCAUCGGCAAUCUAGGAGGCCCUUGGUGGUUUAUCAACAUGUGGCUCAACGUCCACAUGCACAAACACCUUCGAUUUGACUUCUUUCCACAGCAGUUCCCACGAGACAUCGCCGAAGAUUAUGAACUGGUAGAUGAUGAAUCGGCAACACGCUCCCCCUCAACUAUGGUGAAGCUGUUAUAGUCCUUCGUGGUACUAGCUCCAAUGAGAAUCAGAUCGGCCGAUUCUUUCAAACUUUGUAUGAUGGCCUUUCCAAAGAUCAGCGAGCAUGGAUGCCCUAUGAAGACCCAGAGACCAGAUUUCCACUCACUUUCCACCCCUUUGAUAACGCUCUUAAUAAAGAUAAUGAUCUGAUGAUGGCAAUUAUCACCCCAAGAGCAAUCCCAGUAAACAGCUUUGGCAGCACGAAGAACAUUAACAUGACCUACGAGUUUUACAACCCAUCGGCACUAGCUCGCCAACUAGCUUUUGGUCAGCUACCGAUCAGACUUUGUUUUGCUGAUGUUGUAAAACCGAGGGAGAUGAUAACCAACGGACUUGAGUGGAUCAAAAUAGCUCGGCUCCAACCUGAUGCCGAUACGAUAGAUAUUGAUCUAUCAGCUUGGGUUCCAGCUCUCUUUAUCACCCAGUCAUACAAACGAUGGUGGGAAGAGUGGAAGGAGCAUCUAUUCAGGGUAUCGGCUCACAUGUACCGCAACAUGAUCGACGCCGAAUAUGAAGUUCCCGAUGAUGUCGUAAGUCCCUUGUCGAUACUUCAGUCCUUUUGUUAACUUUAACUUUAUCGGCAACUUACCCUUUUUCGUUUCAACAGGUUGACGACUAAGCACCGACAGUGAGCAGAAGCGAAAGGCUGAUCGACCUCCUCCAAUUAGGUCCAAUCUCUUUGAUCGGGCACAAUGCGCCAAGUCUAGCAGCUCUCAUGCACCGAAACAUUCGCUUCAAAAAGACGACCACCAAGCGAUCGAAAGUUUCUCCAUCGGUAGCUGCUGCAACUCUGGCACAAGCUUUCAAGGUAAAUUCUCAAUUCUCCCUAUCAUAUCGAUCUCAUCUCAUACUUACAUUAUCUUUUCAGGGUACAUCGGCUGCAAUGGGAACGUCAUCGGUAACUCUGUUUUACAUCCAACUUUUACUCUUUAGCAAAAUUCCACCAAUACCUUUUCUUAUAUCUAACUAAUGAAAUUUUGUUUUUUUGUAACAGCAGACCGGUGCAUCGGCAAAGACCAAGAGCACUCAGACAUCAGGUGCCGAUGCCCCCAGCCUAGUCAGGUUCCAUCUAAGAGAAAGGGUCCAAAGAGCACCAAGACCCAACCAAAGCGACAGAAGAUAGCACCAUCCUCCCCACCUCGUCUAGCAUAUCUGAUCCAAUUAACACCCUCUCCUCCUCGAUCAGAGCCCCAGACGCAAGAAGUACCUUCUCCUCCUCAACCAAUGCUCCAGACACAAGCAGGCCCAGUCGACAUGUCUGAACAGAUUACCGAUCCAAUCGACCUGGGCACAUCAUCAGUCAUUCUCCCUGAGCAGACAGUCACCAUUCCUCCUCAAGGUAAAGCACCGAUUACAGAAUCAUUACCGAUGAAUUUAUUUAUAAAUUAUAACCACUCCUGGAAAUUUUCAAUUGAAGACAUCCCAUCAGCAGCUUCAGCCGGUAUAGUGCCAGCUUCAUCCUCACACCAGAGACAAGAAAUUGCUCUAAAGCAAGUAUGUCGCGCGAUUCAUCAGAUUUUGCAUUACCAAUACUUAAGUUGGGUUAGCUUAUCCUUUUCCUUUUCCAGGAGCAAGAUUCUCCCGAUAGUCUGUUUUCCUUUGCUAUCGACAUCUCUGAUGACGAAGGCGAAGAAGCAAGCUCCUCAAAGGUAGUCGAAAUCACAUCAGCAGAGAUCAAGACCAAGCUAGAAGAUUUACUAGCUCUGUUGCAUCAAAACACAGCCCAGCUAGUGGAUGAUUCCGACCAGGCCAAAUCCAUAUUCAAGACUCUCCGUGGCCAGAUCCCAGCUGAUGUUGAAGAGAUCCUUUUUCAAGCUGCCCACCUAGAGAGUCACCAGCUUCAGUAUCAGAAAGCCACUCAGCGCCUUGCCGAUAGAGCUGCUUAUGCCCAGCUUAAAGAGGAGAUGCUGCAAGUGAAGCAUGCUGCCGAUGAGAAGCAUAAGAGCAUCGGCGUUCUGCGAUCAUCAGGCGUUGAACUCAAACCGAGAAUCUCUGAUCUAUUGGUCAAAAGGGAGGCUUUGCUGGCUGAACUCAAGUAGGUGGAGGAAGCUCUGACUCAAGCUCAACAGGAGGAAAGCCGACUACCCGAUGCGCUCAAAACUCUUCAGCAAGAAAGAGAUGUCCAAGCCCGCAAAGCGCUGCACAUGAAGAAGAAGCUGAAGCCGAUGGAAGGUUCUGCCGAUGAAGACACCCGAGAGGUAGAAGAGGCCAACCAGAUCCGUCUACGCGCCGUAUCAGCCAUCCAAGCCUUGCUGAACCUGUGAACUUUUCAUUGGCAGUUUGUUUAAUUGAAAAACUUUCAUCAUUUGGUCUAGCCGAUAGGUCUGUUAUCAGCACUGUUGAUGGUCCUUAAGUAUCAAAUUUAAUUAACAAAUAAACAAAGAAAAGGAUCGAAAUGAAAUCAACAUCCAGACUUAGGGUUUUAUCUGACAGAAUUCCACGAGUUUUGGUGUUUGUCUAGGGGGUUAUCAGGAAAUACGGAAGAAAGGCCCACACGUCGGGAUUACAUAGAGAUAUCAACGUGCCACGCAAUUAUCUUACAUCUAGAAGACUCUAGAAGCCACGGGAACGAAGCGGAGGCCCAACGGGGCCUCGCCCAGGGCGCCCGCCCCCCUUCAGAGUCCAAUCAGAACUCUCUUUCGGGACUACGCUCCACCGACCUAAUGGAUCAAGGAUAACCGUUCAACCAAUGUCGGUUUGAUCCAACGGCCCAUAUUCACUUGAAGGGACUAUAAAACCAGACCCCUGACCCCUCGAGGAGAGAGCCUCUCAAUCCUAAUUGAUUAUUCCUCAAGGGAGAAGAAGCCUCUGAUCAUGCCUAGAGCCACCACAUCAAUUAGACAUCUAGAUUAGCAUAGCUACAUUGGAUUAGAACUAGAAGGAGUCAAUCUUCGAUUGGUUUCCGGAUCUGUCAAGAGGAUUCUUGGUAAAUCUCUAAUUGUUCUUCUUUGUUCUUCAAUAUUAUGAAUAUGACUUUGUUCAACUUCAAUAUAUUGCUUAUGACUUUGCUCUACUUGUUUAUAUUCAAGAUUAUAUUGUUCUUAGUUUAUCAUAGUUAUAUACUUGGCUUAGUUAGAUUGGAUCUAUAUACAUGUUUAGGAUCGUAUAGCGUUUAUCUAUCGGAUCCAUGGGUAAAUGAUAGAAAUUGUGUAGGCGUGGUGCAUAUACCGUAUUUAUCUACGAUUGUACCCUAUAUACCAGAUCGUGGGGUAGUUCGUGGUAGUGAUAGCUCCAUUGAUUCUUAUAUAGUCCCCCUCUCGUGUAUUGGGCUGGCAGAGCAACAUUAUUAUAGGGGAGUGAUUGCGAUGUUUCAGAUAUUCCUUGAUAAUAUCACUAUGCAUGGGCGUAGUCCUGUCUCACAAUGAUUGCUAAGUAUAAUUGCACUAACUAUGAUAUGCUAGACUGUAUUGUUAAGAAUAACUUAGGAAAUAUUCUUGUAGUUCGUCCUAAUUCCAUGCUAAUGACUUGCUAGAAUAUCUAAUUGAGGUGCUUAUCAUAUUUAUAUGUGGCUAAGUUAUGCUGAUCAGAUUAAUUACCUUUGUCACCAUUCAUUACUUUAUAUAUCCUUUAUGUGACACUUAUCCCUGUAUGAAAGAGUUAGAUAAGUGUUGUCAAUUAUACAUGCAAUGAUAGAUACUCAAUCUUAUAUUCUAUUCUAUAAUCAACAUUGAUGAUUACUAAUCCCUUCCCAGUGGUAAAAAUAUAAAUAACGAUACCUAGAAUACUUCCCGGUUAAAAUGCUACAUCAGUAUUAAUCUGUGCGCUUGCAGAUCCCAUUCAUUAUUUAUUUAGAUGAGCAAUUGCAUAUUUCAAUACCGCGUCUCUCAUAUCAUGCUGGGGAUGACAACUUGGCUUAAGUGGUAUGAGAGAUAGAUUUGGCAUUUCUGGCACCGUUAUCAGAAUUAGAAAACUAAGUCUACUUUUGGUAAUGAUGUUAAGAAUACCCAACAAGCAUUUUUGGCGCCGUUGCUGGGGAAGGUUGAUUACUAAUCAAGAAUGAAUAUAGGAUUUUGAGUUAUCAUUCACAUCACUAAUAUGAUUGAGCUUAUCAAUUCUCUCAUACAGUUUUACCCCGAUAUUUUUCUAUUUAAUCUUAUGCAGGGUAAUGAAUGAAUAGAAGACAUCUUCCAGGAAAUUUUGUUGACAAUCCCGAAGCAUUAUUCAGAAAAACAAGAGCCAAGCUCAAGAAGAGAUCAACAACACUUCUGCAAGAAGCUUCGUUCAAUCAAGAAGAUCACCAGAACUUGUCUUCAGAGUUCGAAGCCAUGGCGAACAAAUCGUUCCGCGAGUUCUCAGCUCCCACUACAGACAACAUCCGCACUGGACCUGCUGCAGAGAUCGAUGGCAACUUUGAGCUCAAGCCUGGACUUAUCAACAUGGUGCAAUCCAACCAGUUCCGUGGGAAGGCACACGAAGAUGCUAGUGCUCAUCUCCAACACUUCCUGGAGAUUUGCAGCACAUUCACCAUAUCAGGAGUCUCCAGAGAUGUUAUACUACUUCGCCUCUUCCCAUUCUCACUGUUAGGAAGAGCGAAGCAAUGGUUCUACGCUACAAAGGAGAAGAAUACUACAUGGGCACUCUACUCCACGAACUUUCUAGCUAAGUUCUUUCCCAUAGGCAAGACCAAUGCUCUCCUUGUGAAGAUUACAAGUUUUCAGCAACAACAUGAUGAAUUUGUUCUAGAAGCAUGGGAGCGCUUCCAAGACUACAUCCUAGAAUGUCCCCAUCAUGGAAUGGAGAGCUGGCUACUAAUGCAGACAUUUUAUCAUGGGCUCGGCAACAGUGCCCGAGAGACCGUGGAUGCUGCAGCUGGAGGAGCAUUCCUAUCACUUACCGUAUCACAAGACACAGCUCUUGUGGAGAAGAUGGCGUCCAAUCAAGGCUGGAAUGAAGAGAGGACCCAGACACGCAAGAAAGGUGGAGGUAUGCAUCAGCUCAAGGAGGUAGACAUGCUGUCUGCAAAGCUAGACGUGCUCAUGAAGAAGCUCGAUGAUAGAGCUGGAGAUAAGAAAGAAGUCAUGCACAUCUACGACUCUCACAUGACUUGUGAGGAAUGCGGAGACACUAGACACUCAGGCAAUCACUGCCCUGAGAUACUUGAGGAUGUGAACUACAUCAACAAUAAUAACAACUACUACUACAACCGUCCACAACAAAAUCAAGGUUGGAAUCAACAGAGGCCUAACUACUCAGUUAAUUAUCAAGGUAAUAAUUCUUACAAUAAUAAUAAUAAUUUUCCACCUCUGAGAGAGUUAGUGUCUAAUCAAGGAAAGCUAAUGGAGAACCUAUCUAAGAAAUUGGCAUCUAAUGAUAAAUGCUAGAAAAUAUAAAUAAUAGAAUGGAUAAUUUCUCUACUGCCAUCAAGAAUCAAAUUAGCUUUAAUAAAAUGAUUGAAUCUCAAUUAAAUCAAAUAGCUGCUGCUGUUCCUACUACUAACCCCGGUAUACCAUCACAACAGUAAGGAUUAGAAUCUGCAAAUCUUGUAGACUUGUUUGAUGCAGGUAACUGGAGUAACCCCAUCACUGAAGUUACUACUGACCUUCUGCCGGUCAAGAGAGGCGAUCCAGGACGCCCCGUCAUCCCGAUCUCCAUCGGCAUGAUGGACUUCCCAGAAGCACUCUGUGACUUUGGCUCUAGCGUCAACAUUAUGCCCAGGGUACUCUAUGAAAAAUUCUUUACAUAUCCUUUAUCAGAAACAACCAUGUGUUUGCAGUUUGCAGAUCAGACAAUAAGUUUUCCAAAAGGAAUAUUGAAGAACCUUUGUGUCCGAGUUGGUACCUUAUAUGCCCCAACAAACUUCGUGGUGAUAGAGACCGAUAAUGAUGAGAGGGCACCCAUCAUCUUGGGGAGGCCAUUCUUGAACACCUCGGGAGCUGUCAUCUAUUCUAGUGCUGCCAAGAUCAGCUUCUACAUCAAAGGGAGAAAGGAGACGUUUUCCUUCAAGAACAAGACUACACAAAUCCCAGAGCAAUCUCGAUAUGAAUCGAGGAAGAGAACCAACAGGAGGAACAGGACCAAGCAAGUGUGGACCGAGUCAGCUAAGAUGGUCACUGCAGUUUAUGGAGGUCAAGAUCAUCAACUUAAGUCACCGUUUCUGGGUAAGAAGGACGACCCAGGAAUGCCAAGCAUCUAUUGCUCCAUAAAUGGAUACAACUUCUACAAGACGUUUUGCGACACUGGAUCGAGCGUCAACAUAAUGGCCGCAGUCACCUAUCGGCUCUUGUUCGGAACCAUGCCCUUAAAACCAACAUACAUUCAGCUCCAGAUGGCAGAUCAGACAUUUUGAGAAGUUAAAGGAAUAGUAACUGAUGUCCCUGUCAAAAUAGACGAUCAUUUUGUCUACACAGACUUUCAGGUUAUUGACAUGAGAGAAGACGAGUACGAUCCACCCAUCAUCCUUGGAAGACCGUUCCUCAGCACCGUUAAAGCAAUCAUCUACAUUGGAACCGGAGACGUCCAUAUGCACUUCCCCUCAGAAAAGGUACGUCGCUAUUUUACUGACCCUAACUAUAUUGUUGAAGACUCUAAGCAGGUCAGAAAAUGACGCAACCGCAUCCAGAGAAGGGAAAUCAUCAAGGACGGAUGGGCAGACUAUGAAGGAGAAGUGGUAAGGUCAGAAGACAUACAAUUUAAACAGAAUUAUCCAGAGGAGAUCGUGUGGAAAGAGAAGAUAACUAUACAUAAAGAGGAGGCGCCGCUGGAAGUACCGACUACGCCACCCAAUAAACCCCAGGACAACUGAGAAAACGGAGAGUUCCGUUCGGAGGACUUAAAAACACCGAACGCCUUGCCAAGAGGUAAACUUGGUAGUUAUCCUUUCUCUUUCAAUUAUUGCUUAGUUAAUCAUGUUCAUACUAUCCUAAAAAGAAAAUAAAAAUGUUAAAAAUAGUAAGCCCCAUGUGAGUAUACGAGUGGCAUGAAACACAUAAGUACAUUCACUGUGGUGGCAUAAAAAUAAAAUAAAUAUUUCUUUUUUGCUUUAUAAAAGGAAAAUAUAAAAAUAGAGAGUAACAUUUAUUGAGGAGGCUCAACAUGAUAAAGGCUAGAUAUUUAUGCUAACACUUAAUCAGUUCCACAAAGCUUUGUUGUCUAUUUGAGCUCCACAGAAUUCAAGAAUCAAGAAGACUAGGAGACAGAGGACAUUCUAAUCGCUGUCAAGAUACUGCCGACUUUCAAAUACACCUCUGCCACCUGCUAGCUACAUCAAAAGAAAUUACGUCAAAAUUCAGCUUGGGGGAGAGCACCCCCAUUUAUCCCGCUAAGUAUUUCUAUCUAUCUUUAUACUCAUACUAUAUUAAAAUAUAAAUAUACAUAAACAUGAAAAACCAAAUAAAGAUUUUAUGCUUAUAUAUAUCUUUUGCUUAGUGUGCUUAAUAAAUAAAUAAAGUGGCUAUGCUAAACUGAAUCUUAAUAAUAAAACUCUAGCAUGGAUAUGAUGAAUAGUUGCUCUGCCUAAUUUUUAAAUUUUGAAGUUCUCUCCCAAGUUUAGACAUAACUGUUAUAAUUUAAAGCUUGCUCUAAACCUAAACUUGUGGGAAGAAAACUUGAUCUAAAGUCUAAGUUGUUAACGGAUAUGAUAUGGGAAGGUUGAGCUGCUGUUUAUCUGUUCCUAAAGAUGCUAGAAUUCUAGAGAUUUUUAUCUUUGAAAAUCUUUAAAAUAUUGCAUGAUGAGUUCCUGUAUGAUGAGAGUUUAAAUUCCUACCACAGCCAUAUAUACAUGCUUGCUAGACUUUGAGCCACACAUUUACUUUUACUGCUUAUGACCGUUGAGUGUGGUCAAGCUGUGUAGACCCUUAGGAGCUUGUCAUGUGGUUAAAUCAAGAUUCACUUGCACGUUCACUCACAUAUGCUGCUUCUACUCCGGAAGUACCAUCCACAUAUAUCUAUCCAUUUCCAUCUCCAGAACCACCCAAAAAUAUUCUACUCCUAAUCCGGGAGAGAAUAGCCAAAAACAUUUUUGUUUUCCCCUGUAAAAUAAAUGCUCAAGUUGUCUUGGUUACUGCCACUUGCUAUAUUAUUUCAUGAGAUGAGUGCUCUAAAAAAAAGAUACGAGGAAAUAAAAAGGGGCAAGUGCCCGGAACCUCGAAAGAAAAGAAAAACUGAGACGAGAGGUAAAAAUGGACAAGUGUCCGACAGUAGAAUUAGGGGUACAAGAUACCCACCUGAGAGGAAAGAAAAAGAAAAUAUAGAGCAUCUCAUUCUCCUCACAAAGUUUUAAAAAGCAAGGAAGGUAUGUAUCCCCUCAAAGAGCAAAAGAAUUAGACUUUCACCAUUGUUAUCACCAUCAUCACCAUACACCAUUCAUUCGCCACACAUGCACAUCUUGAUUUGACUUAUUGAUUUGUUUCUUUGGAUCAAUGGUUUGACUAUGCAAUAAAUGUCUUGUAAGUAUGUAUACUUUAUCUCCCACCUAUGAGCUCCAGAUAUUAAAGCCUUAUUAGAUUAGGAUGAGAGAGAAGGCAAUGUCAUUAUGCCUUAUACCACAAAUACUACAUAUCUUGAGAGAAGGCAUAUACCAUCACUGCCUUGGUAAGGAUCCAGAAAUACCACAAAAGAGAGAUCUGAGAGAGUCAUACAAGGAAUCUCUACGUUUUAUUUGAAAAUCUGCAAAAACUCUAGAGCUAUAGCUGACCAAGAAUAAGAGACAUGGCACUUGACUAGACUGUUCUAUCUUUUAACUACUCAAGACAGAAGUGACGGUUACAAGUCCCAUGGUGAAAGGUAAAAUGAAUAAGUUUUAAGUCUUGACAGUUUACUCUAACUCAGAGAUGAAAUCUUAUUUAAAAGCAUGUGUACUGUCAAUUUUUAAAAGCAUUGCAGCAACUUCUGAUCCAUCACUGAGUCUAUCCUUGCUCAGGGACGAGCAAGAGGUAAGCUUGGGGGAGUUGGUUGAUGGUCCUUAAGUAUCAAAUUUAAUUAACAAAUAAACAAAGAAAAGGAUCCAAAUGAAAUCAACAUCCAGACUUAGGCUUUUAUCUGACAGAAUUCCACGAGUUUUGGUGUUUGUCUAGGGGGUUAUCAGGAAAUACGGACGAAAGGCCCACACGUCAGGAUUACAUAGAGAUAUCAACGUGCCACACAAUUAUCUUACAUCUAGAAGACUCUAGAAGCGGAGGCCGAACGGGGCCUGGCCCAGGGCGCCCGCCCUGAGGACCAGGGCGCCCACCCCCCUUCAGAGUCCAAUCAGAACUCUCUUUCGGGAUUACGCUCCACCGACCUAAAGGAUCAAGGAUAACCGUUCAAUCAAUGUCGGUUUGAUCCAACGGCCCAUAUUCACUUGAAGGGACUAUAAAACCAGACCCCCUGAACCCUGGAGGAGAGAGCCUCUCAACCCUAAUUCAUUAUUCCUCAUUGGAGAAGAAGCCUCUGAUCAAGCCUAGAGCCACCACAUCAAUUAGACAUCUAGAUUAGCAUAGCUACAUAGGAUUAGAACUAGAAGGAGUCAAUCAUCGAAUGGUUUCCGGAUCAAUCAAGAGGAUUCUUGGUAAUUCUCUAAUUGUUCUUCUAAUUGUUCAUCUUUGUUCUUCAAUAUUAUGAAUAUGACUUUGUUCUACUUCAAUAUAUUGCUUAUGACUUUGCUCUACUUGUUUAUAUUCAAGAUUAUAUUGUUCUUAGUUUAUCAUAGUUAUAUACUUGGCUUAGUUAGAUUGGAUCUAUAUACAUGUUUAGGAUCGUAUAGCGUUUAUCCAUCGGAUCCAUGAGUAAAUGAUAGAUAUUGUGUAGGCGUGGUGCUUAUACCGUAUUUAUCUGCGAUUGUACCCUAUAUGCCAGAUCGUGGGGUAGUUCGUGGUAGUGAUAGCUCCAUUGAUUCUUAUAUAGUCCCCCUCUCGUGUAUUGGGCUGGCAGAGCAACAUUAUUACAGGGGAGUGAUUGCGAUGUUUCAGAUAUUCCUUGAUAAUAUCACUAUACAUGGGCGUAGUCCUGUCUCACAAUGAUUGCUAAGUAUAAUUGCGCUAAUUAUUAUAUGCUAGACUGUAUAGUUAAGAAUAACUUAGGAAAUAUUCUUGUAGUUCGUCCUAAUUCCAUGCUAAUGACUUGCUAGAAUAUCUAUUUGAGGUGCUUAUUGUAUUUAUAUGUGGCUAAGUUAUGCUGAUUAGAUUAAUUACCUUUGUCACCAUUCAUUACUUUAUAUAUCCUUUAUGUGACACUUAGCCCUGUAUGAAAGAGUUAGAUAAAUGUUCUCAAUUAUACAUGCAAUGAUAGAUACUCAAUCUUAUAUUCUAUUCUAUAAUCAACAUUGAUGAUUACUAAUCCCUUCCCAGUGGUAAAAAUAUAAAUAACGAUACCUGGAAUACUUCCGGUUAAAAUGCUACAUCGGUAUUAAUCUAUGCACUUGCAGAUCCCAUUCAUUAUUUAUUUAGAUGAGCCAUUACAUAUUUCAAUAUCGCGUCUCUCAUAUCAUGCUGGGAAUGACAACUUGGCUUAAGUGGUAUGAGAGAUAGGUUUGGCAUUUUUGGCACCGUUAUCAGAAUUAGAAAACUAAGUCUACUUUUGGUAAUGAUGUUAAGAAUACCCAACAGACACUUAAACUCUCUAUGCAUAGCUCCAAAUACACUUGAUGUUUUGUUCAACCGAUAGGAUUGUUAUCGGCACUUAAACAUUAUGCGUCAAUCCAGAUACUAGGGUAGUAUCUCUUUAAAUAUUUUCGAUUUAAUGCUCUAGGGAAUUCAACUCCUUUGAGAGUUUCUAAAGUAUAAGCAUUGCCAGGGGCAGAUCGAUUUAUCCGAUAAGGACCCUCCCAAUUAGGAGACCAUUUUCCAAAUUUUGAACUUUUAGUCCCAAUCGGUAGAAUCAGCUUCCACACCAAAUCCCCGUCUGCAAACUCCUUGGCUUUUACCUUUUUUAUCAUACCAUUUAGCCACUCUCUUUUUAUUCUCCUCUAUACUAAUUAAAGCUCUUAGCCGAUGCCCUGCUAAAUCGUCCAACUCAUCUUUCAUCAAAGUAGCAUAGUCAUCGGCAGUUAACUCAUCCUGAGAGAAUAUCCGCCUAGAACCAGUUUUAAUUUCCCAAGGUAGCAUUGCAUCAUGCCCAUACAUCAAUUGAUAAGGUGACACUUUGGUCGAACAAUGACACGCCAUCCGAUGCCAUCGUCUAGGAUUUUCUUCAAUCUUUCGCUUAAUGAGUUUAAUAAUUCCUUUGUUAGAAGCCUCGGCCUAUCCAUUAGCUUAAGCAUAGUAAGGAGAAGAAUUCAACACUUUAAUCCCCAUACCAAUUGCAAACUCAUCAAACUCCCCUGAUGUAAACAUAGUACCCUGAUCGGUAGUGAUUGUUUGGGGAAUGCCAAAUUGGUAAACAAUAUGCUCCUUCACAAAAUCAAUCAUAUUGGCCGAUGUCACUUUUUUCAAAGGAAUAGCUUCAACCCACUUAGUGAAAUAAUCGGUGGCAACAAGGAUAAACUUAUGCCCUUUGCUAGAUGGUGGAUAAAUUUGACCGAUGAGAUCAAUAGCCUACCCCGGAACGGCCAAGGUUUAAUAAUAGGAUUCAUAGCCGAUGCAGGUGCCCUUUGAAUAUUACCAAACUUUUGACAUCCUUGACAUCCUUUGAAAUACUUGAAACAAUCUUCAAGUAUAGUCGGCCAGUAAUAUCUGUUCCUUCUAAUCAUCCACUUCAUCUUAAAAGCCGAUUGAUGUGCUCCACACACUCCUUCAUGAAUUUCACCCAUCAAGCUUUUGGAUUCAUCCUCACCUAAACAUUUAAGCAAAACUCCAUCUAUUGUUCCAUAAUAUAAUUCUUCUUCAAGGAGUACAUAUUUUGUAGCUUGAAACCUAACAUGCCUCUCAACUUUUCUAGAUGGAUCUUUCAGAUAAUCAAUAAUUUCUUUUCUCCAAUCAUCAGCACUGACUGCCGAUAAUAUUUCCAGUAUAGGUUGAUAUCCUGAGGUGUGUUGAGUCAAUCGGUUAGCUUCUUCAUUAUGCAACCGAGGAAUAUGCUCUAAUCGGACAUCUUUGAAUUCCUUUAACAAUUGUACACACCUUUCAUAAUAUGCUAUCAAAACUUCACUUCAACAUUCAUAACUUCCAGUCAACUGAUUUAUAACAAGCAUAGAAUCACCGAAAAUUUCGACAGGGCACGAACCUCUUUUAAUAAUUCUAACCCUUUGAUCAGGGCUCGGUAUUCAGCGUGAUUGUUUGUUGAUGUAGCAACAAUUGGUAAAGAAAAUUCAUAUCUCUUUCCUUGAGGAGAAAUUAAUACUAUACCGAUACCUGCCCCCCGAUCACAUGUAGACCCUUCAAAAACGAGUUUCCAAGGGACAAUUUUUAGAGCACCUACUACACCAUAAUGCUAAGUUACAAAAUCGGACAUGAUCUGCCCUUUAACUGCCUUAGCCGAUUCAUAAUGUGCGUCAAAUUCUGACAAUGCUAGUAUCCAUUUGCUGAUUCUACCACUCAUAAUCGGCAUUGACAGCAUGUAUCUGACUACGUCAUCUUUGCAUACGACAGUGCAUUCGGCCGAUAGCAAGUAAUGUCUAAAUUUGACACAAGAAAAAUACAAGCACAAGCAUAAUUUCUCAAUUGCCGAAUACCUCGUUUCAGCAUCCACCAAUCUUCUACUCAGAUAGUAAAUUACAUGCUCCUUCCCUUCAAACUCUUGAAUGAGGGCCGAACCGAUGACUGCAUCAUCGGUAGAUAAAUACAACUUGAAGGGCUUUCCAUGCUUAGGUGGAACCAAAACUGGAGGAUUUGCCAAACAAUUCUUGAUUUCAUCCAAGGCUAAUUGUUGCUCUUUUCCCCAUACAAACUCCUGAUCAGCUUUCAAUUUAAGCAAAGGGCUAAAAACACGAAUCCUACCCGACAAUUAGAUAUAAAUCAUCUGAUAAAAUUAAUCUUGUCGAUCAAUGAUUGAAGCUCAGUUUUAUUGGUGGGAGCAACUAUCUUGCUGAUGGCAUAAAGGGAUCUCCUACUGAUUUCAAUUCCUCUUUGAUGCAACAUAAAACCAAGAAACUGUCCUGCCGAUACACCAGAUGCACAUUUAUUAGGGUUCAUCUAUAAGCCAUGUUGUGCAUUCCAACACUUUUCGCAGAUCAGCUAGAUGUUUUAUGAAAUCCCCAGACUUAACCACCACAUCAUCAAUAUAGAUUUCUACCAACUUGCCAUGAACUCAUGGAAAAUAAAAUUCAUGGCCCUCUGAUAAGUAGCACCAGCAUUUUUCAAGCCAAAAGUCAUGACUAUUCAUUCAAAUAAUCCAACAUGAUCAGGACAUCUAAACGUAGUCUUGGGAAUAUCCUCUUCAGCCAUGAAUAUUUGAUUGUACCCUGCAUUGUCAUCCAUAAAACUAAUAAUUUGAUGUCCAACCGCAGUAUCAACCAACAGAUCGGCAACUGACAUUGGAUAACCAUCCAUCGGCAUGGCUUUAUUGAGAUUCCUAAAGUCAAUGCAAACACGAAGCUUUCCAUUCAUUUUGUAAAUAGGGACAACAUUAGAAAUCCAUUCAGCAUAUCGACAUUGCCGAAUAAACUUAGCUUCAAUAAGUUUUGUUAUUUCGGCCUUAAUAUCAGAAAGAAUAUUAGGAUUGCAUCGGCGUGCUGGUUGCUGAUGCGGCCAAAAUCCAGACUUAAUAGGCAACCGAUGUUCAACAAUCGAUCGGUCUAAACCAGGCAUCUCAGUAUAAUCCCAAGCAAAGCAAUCUUUAUAUUCCUUUAACAAAUCGGUUAAUUGCUGCUUACAUUCAGAAUCUAACUUAGCACUAAUAAAAGUAGGUCUUGGCCUAUCACCAUUACCUAUAUCUACUUGUAUUAAAUCAUCAACCGAUGUAAACCCCUGUCCUAACUUUCCAUCAUCGGCGAAUCUAUCCAUUAAAACUCUUCAUCAGAACCGACUCCUUGGAUCGGUGGAAUUUCAUAAUCAGCAACCUUGAGAAAAUCUUUUUCCCAAACUUCCCCUUAAAUACAACUAGUCCUCUCAUAAGUAUCUGACUCUACCGAUGCAAUGACAUAUGAAGAAUCUCCCGGGACAAUUUCAGUUUUGUCACCUACCCACUGAACAAGGCACUGGUGCAUUGUAGAAGGAAUACAACAAUUGGCAUGAAUCCAGUCUCUCCCCAAUAGUAAAUUAUAUGCACCUUUUCCACUGAUGACAAAGAAAGUUGUCGGCAAAGUCUUGCUGCCGAUGGUCAAUUCAACACAUAUAGCUUCCUUAACUAGAGACACAUUCCCUUCAAAAUCUUUCAACAUCAUAUCGGUCUUGGUCAAAUCCUGAUCCCCAUUGCCAAGUUUCCGAUAUACUGUAUAUGGCAUAAUGUUGAUUGUAGCUUCCCCGUCAAUGAGUAUCUUGGAAAUCGGCUGCCCAUCUAAGAUGCUGUCUUUCAUCAUCGGAAGGCUUCUAAAAAUAGCUGUCAUUGGAUCAAGUGCCAACUAAGCUAUCUGAUCAGGGAAACCUAUUUCUUCAUCAUCGCUAAAAGGCGCAAGAAACUCCAUCGGCAACAUAAAAACCAUGUUAACAUCUGCCGAUGGCCCUUUUCCCCUGGGAUUUGAUUGCUGCCGAUUUUCAGAAUUAGAAGAAUUUUCUUCCCUACUCAAUUCUUCUUGCCGUUCUUGCUGCAUCCUCCUCUUCUGUGUUCUCACCAAUCCUUCUAGGCACCAUUGGGGAAGCUGUGUCUUCCACACUGGUUGAUAGUGAGCCUCCCAUGACUCCAUCCGAUGAGUAUUAGCAUCUCUACAGAAUAUAAAUUCAUUGGGAACCCGUGCAUUUGUCAUUUCUUUGAGUUCCUCUUGGUUUCUUGGAAAAUGACCAACACGUUCACCAAGUCUGUCAUGCACACUAAGCCUGCCCCCCAGCCGAUCAUGAACGGACAUCCUCCCCCUAAUCGGCCCAUUAAAAUAUCGAUCAUCAUUCUGAAAUCGUCGAUCUGACCGAUCAUACCGAUUAUAACCAUUGCAUUCAGGGCAGUCUCUGAUAGUCGGUAACUUGAUAUUUUGCUCCCAACAGUGAAUGAAGAACGAGCAAUUCUAGUGAUCUUUGUGCUGAUUCCACUCUUGUCGGCGUCUUUCUUCCUCUCGGCGCCGAUCCUCUUGCUGGCGGCGACACCGAUCUUCACGUUGCUGCCAUGUCUCCCGAUGCCGCCUAUGGGUGAUCACAAUACCAGAUUGAGGAGGUCUCCCAGAGCUGCUACCCUCCUGGAUCAAGCCUUUGCCCUUGGCGUCAUCGGCAGUUACCUGAUGUUGGGGAUCUACCGAUGCGUUCUUCUCAGCUGCUUCUGAUGUUAAGACUUCAGUCUUACCUUUGGCAUCCAGCAUAUUUGCAGGGAAAGGGUGUUGAUCAAUCUUCAUCAGCUUCUGAGCUUUGGAAUUAUCAAACUUAAUCCUCCCAGAUUCUAUAGCCGAUUGCAAUUGUUGCCUAAAUACCUUGCACUCAUUUGUGUUGUGUGAUGUUGGAUUAUGCCACUUACAAUACUUGAUCUUCUUCAACUUCUCUGCCGAUGGAAUCACAUAAUUAGGUGACAAUUUAAUCCGCCCCUCCUGAAGCAAGAAAUCAAAUAUCCUAUCGGCCUUAGUGAAAUCAAAAGCAAAUUUCUCUGGUUCUUUCUGGCCAAAAGGACAAGACAUCGCCUUUUUGUUUUUCACCCACUCUGCCAAGCCAAUGACUGGUUCUUCAUCUGAUUCAGAACUCAUUGCCUCAUCAACAAAUGAUACUUUCUUAUUCCAAGCUUUCCUAGGUUCAAAAGUCUUGAUAUCCUGGCCAGAAAUCCUCUGCGCCAAAUGACUCAAACUCUCAAACUCUUGAGCAGCAUAUUUAUCUUUGAUGUGUGGCAACAGCCUUGGAAAGCCAAAUUGGCUAACUGCCGAUCACCCAGAACCAGACUGUAACACUUGUUCUUUACAUUUCUCAGCCUCUACACAAAACUUUCAACCGAUUCAUCAUUACGUUGCCUCAGUCUAACCAAAUCGGUAAUCUUCUUUUCAUGGACUCUAGAAAAGAAGUAUUUGUGGAACUGCUUUUCUAGAUCGGCCCAGGUAAUAACUGAGUUUGGAAGCAGCGAAAUAAACCAAGUAAAUGCUGAUCGUGACAAAGAUAAUGAAAAUAAACGAACUCUUAACUCAUCUCUGUUAGCAGCUUCUCCACACUAGAUGAUGAACCGAUUAACAUGCUCCAUUGUUGAUGUGUCAUCUUGUCCAGAGAAUUUAGUGAAAUCUGGUACCUUGUACCAAUUUGAAAGUGGAAUCAAAUCAUAUGCAGGAGGAUACGGUGUCCGAUAAGAAUAAGUAUUAACCUUUGGUUUUAUUCCAAAUUUAUCCCUCAUAACUUCUGCUAUCUUAUCGGCCCAAUAGGCAUCGGCAUCUUGCCGAUGUGCGGGUUGAAGUUCGAGCACCUGCUGAUAAGCUUCCACAUGUCUCUGAGGUGCACGUUCUCCAGGAAACAUAACAUUGGCCACAGCUUGUUGGCCACCAAUCUGCUAAGCUAGAUUCAUCGACUGAUUGGGUGCUUGAUUCUGAAAACCGACCUACAUCUGUCACUGCUGGAAUGCCGUAGGUUGAUGAUUCUGUUGUGUCAUUUGUGGAAAGACAAACUGCCCUGUCCAUCCAUUGUUAGCAUUCAUCGGCGCAGGCCCUACCGAUGGCUGAUAAUUGGGUGUCAUCACUGGGUUGACAUACCCUGCCUGAGUCAUAAAUCUCUGUUGAGUUGGUAGUGGAUCUGCUGAUGAAUUUGCAUUAGGUGUAAUAGAACUGUCCAAUUUAUAAGAAUUCAAGUGAAUUAGCGACCACAAAGGCAGUCAAGCCAAUUGACAUGAACCCAUAUAAACCCGGUAGUCCGACGAAACCUCAAAAGAUCUCGAUUCAACCAACAUACAACCAAGAUCAUACAUGAUCAAGCAUCACCAUUACAGAUUACACACAUUCAUCACAGAACAUAGUUUUACAACAUAUCGGAGUUCAAAUGAAGUUAUUACAAACCAGUUUAGUAGCGGAAGCAAAGUAGUUUUAAAACCACACGCACUUAGUUUAAUUACAUGCCAGAUCCAUAGUCAACCCCAACAAAAGCACAACAGAAGGUAAUAGAAGUGAUCAUGCCCAUGAUCUACUCAUCGUCCGUAGCCGGAUGAUGAUAGUUAGCACAGUAGCCAUGAUAAACGACAUCAUCUGCAACAAGGGUAAAUAAAACCCUGAGUACGAGAAUGUACUCAGCUAGACUUACCCGUCAUAAACCAGAAAUAAAGUGACACCAAGGAGUAUGCAAGGCUAAUAUUUGUGGAGUGGUUUGACUCACCUUUUGCAUAAAAAGCUUUAGACUUAAGUACGCAUACAAUAUUUUUCAGCAGCAAGUUAAUUACUUAGAUCAGCUAUCCACUAGAUUAGCACAUGUUCUAAGCACACACUUGAGUAUUUAAGCAUCACAAUAAUAACCAUAUCCGGAUCACAUAGCUAUCAACAUUCUCCACUUAACCAUCAAGUUUAUUUAGUGAGCUCUACGUUGCCGCUGCUCGAGUCAAGUUCUCACUAUUCGGGAGCGACGGCGAUUCGAAUCGAUUCCUAUCCAGCUGGAGGGGUAUUCCUAGAACUCACCCAAGCAUACCUCGUGAGGGCAGCUUGGAUCACCUUUAGCACAACUCCGGGCCAAUUCUCGGGUCCAUACAGCACUGCACCCCCAGGGACCGCCAAUCUGCCAGGGUCAGGACUCUAACCUGACACCUCGGUCUUACGCCAUUGACUCCCCGCACAUCCUUGCUACCAACCGGGGUGCGCACUUAAACCGAACGGGGUAUCCAGCCGGAGAUGCACUCGUAGGUGAUAGGGUACCGAUAUGAUUCAGUAUGAGGGUGGCCCGAUCUUCACGACAGUAGAUUAAAAAAACAAGGAUAACUUGCUGCGAACAGCGGGUAACUAGCUUUAUACCUGAGAAAGGUUGGAUGCGACCAAGCGACGGGGAGAGAGGCACCGAAACCACGAAGACUUCGACUCGAUCUCCGAACGACCGCAGAACCACAAUCCGGAACUAAGCCACACAAUACGGCGCAGCCGAACGGAAGCUGUAGAGCACGAAGUAGGGGAACCCAGAGGAUUCACUUCACAAGUCUAAGAAGAACAAGGAAGAACAAAGGUUGAGUAAGGCACUCAGCAGCGCGGCUGCAAUAUCAUGUAGUUUAUCAAAUGAUCAAAGGUUCCUGAUAGCUUAGAGGUAGGGUAUAUUUAUACUAGGAACAACCCUCCUAGAUAGGUAUGAAAAUGAAAUAGAGUUUCUGAGGGAAGACAACGUGAAAGGUCCCCUCGGAAUGGAUUCCCGAACUGGCUUCGCGUGACUGUUGGCCUCCAGAGCAGUUUCUAAUAAACUGACCAUAACUUUUUACUGGGAAGUCCAAAUGACAAACAGUUUCUUGGGUGUGAAUCUAGACUCCAAGUGUUUUCUAGCAAUAUAUGCCAUGCAUCAUGAAACGUUGUAGAUUGUUACAAUUUUACAUGGCAAGUUGUACCAACUUUCUGUCACGAUAGACUAUUGACCUUCUGAGCAGUUUGUACUCAUUCUGGUCUGUAGGUAAUAUGGAGUAUCCAAACUGGUCGCCACUAGAUUCAUUGGAAAGUAGACUCGACAUGAUUUCCAACAGGUCCUCAUGGGCCUUCAUAGCUUUUGUGAUUAAAAAGUUAUGAAGAUUUCUUUGCACUGGUCCGUUUUGACUUCUACUAGUCCGUUUUUGACUUCCACUGGUCCGUUUUCGACGUGUCUUCGAGGACUUGCACUGGUUCGUUCUUCAGGGUCCGAUUCAUCCUUCUCUUCUUCUAUAUACCUGAGUACAAUCAAGGUAGAACACUUAGGUACAAUAUAAUUCUCAUUAACAUUAAAAUGAAUCUCAUAAAGUAGCGCGUGGACCUCUUGUUGUAGCUUCUUUGCACGACUACGUGUAAUCGGUCCAUCGAUGACUUGGGCUGGUGUCGGUGUAGGUAAAACUUGAGUAGUUGUAGCUUGACUUAGAGCUUGUGACAUCUUGCUUGCUGGCAUGGUCAUAUCAUCCUCCCCUUCUUGAAAAGGAGUCGUCCUCGACUCUAACUCUUCUGAUCCAAAGAGUUGUGCUAGGACAUCAGUUUGUAAUGUUGUGAUAACAUCACAAUCUUCUUGUUCCAUGAUAGCAAGGUGUUUGAAUCUAUAAUCAUAUAAACUAAGUAGUAGCCUUGAAUGUGGAAACCUAAAUGAUUUGGAAUUAAGUUUAGCUUUCACCUUGAGUGGAUGCUUGAAUGUUGAUUGCCUUGGUAUGGUCUCAUCAUCCUCCCUCCCAUCAAGAAAAGUCGUCCACGACUUUUGUUUACCUGAAAACAGCUUAGACAAAAUAGAUGGUGGACGUACUUGAUAAUUCCAAUAAUCAUUCCUUUUGUUCUGUUCAUUUGUUUCAUUUUGAAUUAUUUUUGUAUUAUUUCCUUUUCCAUGUAAGAAACAUUCUCUCAACUUUUGUGAACCUGCAAACAGUUUAGAGGAUGGUAGCAGAAAAAUUUCUUCCAAUCCAAUCAUUUGAUUCAUGUUGUCAUGUUUUAUCUUUAGAAGAUCAAACUUUUCAUCAAAUGGGUGUUGAGAACUAAUGUUAUUCCAAAAAUUAUUGUGGCAGCAAAAUUUAUUCAAGGGUUUAGAAGUAUAAUUUUUAAACUCAAUGCUCCAAGGUGUGGAUGAACAACUUUUCGGUGUAUAGGCUUUGCUUUGCACAAGAUUUCUAUCUUUAAGUGGAUGGUAUGAACAUGUUGACAACAUGAAUUGAUCGAAACCAUAAGCACCAAGCAUUUGUUGCAUCUUAAAAGAUUUCUCACUUUGUUUAUCUCUCAACAUUUUUGAGUCUAAAUCAGCAAGCUUGUUAUAUGUUACACAAAUUGCAUGAACCUGGAAGGUAUCUACAACAUGUUCUCCAAUCAAGACAAAUGUAAACUGGAAGCUAUGAGUAGUAUUCAAUGAACUCAAAGAUGUUACGUUAGAAAUUUGCUCAAGCAUUUGUUCAAUAUUGAUAGGCAUGUUAAGAAUAGUAUAACACAAACAUUCAAGAGGAGAUAUCCUUGUAAACAAAUCAGCACAAGUAACCGACUGGAUGUGGUGUUGUUUGUUGUUAUAUGAAGUGUUGCAAGGAUCAUUCAAAGCACAAAGACACUCAUCAAAAAGAAACUCAGCACUUGCAUCAACAUGAGUUCCAGUCAAAUCAGUACAAAUGUUUUGGUUAUGUUUUAUUGCUGAAACAGUGAUAUCACGAGUACUCAGUAUGCGUUGAACAAUCAGAUUUGAUUUAUUUUUCAUGUAUUUUCAAUCCAAUGACUCUACAUGUACCAAGGUUUGAAUCUCUGAAUUUUUACCUUCAUUGUUGAUCUUAGAUUGUUUUGAUGAAUUAACUAAAGGGUUGAGAAAUGUGCAGCCAUCUCUAAUAUGUAUGAGUAUUGAAACAUAAUGCAUCGUAUCACACAUAUGAAUGCAAAUCAUCAUGUAUAUGAACCAUAUCAAACCAUAGAAAAGAUCAUGUGUGAUUGAACUUUGGUUAUCAACUUGCAAAAUUUCAGCACACGGGUGAACAUGUGAAAUAAUCAAAUCAAUGCAAAUAUUUUGUGUAUGAUUAAUCCCAUUUGAUACAUAUGUAUUAUCAUAAUUACUUGCCAUUUUAUUUUGCAAACUCAAAUCUGAUUUAUUUUCAAUAACUUUUAGACUUUUUGGUGGUGCAAGUACCAAGGAUUGCACCUCUGAAAUCUUACCGUUAUCCAUGUCAUGGUUCAGGUUUUGGGCAACACACAAUGGGUUUAGUUGAAUGGCUACCUUCUGAUUUCUCUCAACAAGUAUGGUGUUGUCUUGAGCAUCCAUCUCUUCUCUAGUCUCAUCACCAACCUGCACAUUUGUAAAGACAAAACUAGUAGUAGAGAUGAGAGUGUUAGUUUCAAAGAUAUCCUCACUUGGCCUGCAUUCUAAAUAUCUAUUUUUCUGUGGUGUAUCCCUCACACUCUCAUUGUUGACACUCUCAACCUUAUAAUGGGUGGAAUCACUCAACUCUCCUUUGUUUUCACUCUCUCUCAUUUUGGCAAUGUGACUCUCAUUCUCACAUAGGUUUUGAUGCACAAUUACUUCAACGUCUUGUGAAGCCACAUAUGCAUGUGUAUCGUUGUCAUUGACAAUCACUUGUUCUUCCUCAUCGAAGAUUGGGGGCUGAUCAUAAUUCAUAACAUCAUUUUCUUCAUGAACCUGCAUCGCAAAAGGAACAAGAAUAGAAGGUAUUAUGAUGUUAGAAGUAAAUAAUUCCUCACAUGAUUCAUCUCUUUUUUCUCUCAAUUUUUGUGGAUCACUCUCACAUAGAGUUUUGUGGCUCUCCUCAAAUAUUGUGGAAUCUCUCAUCUUCUUAUUUUGAACUCUCUCACUGAAUUUUGGUUGGUGCCACUCUUUCUCAAAUAUGGUGGAAUGUCUCAUCUUUUCCUUUUGAUUUCUCUCACUCAAUUUUGGUUGGUGGUACUGUUGCUGAUUUUUUCUUUUGGAGGACACACAGUAAUCUUCAUCAUCAAUGAGCACACGGGGGCGAAUGCUAUGCCCAUGAGCACCUCCACCAUGCUGUCCACUGUGGCCAAAGAGACCACAGCGAGAGUUGGCUGAGCUAUGUUGUUUAGCCCGACCGUGCACCACAGGAAGACGUUCAUCAAACAUCCUCUCCAUGGCCUCCACUAGUGAGUUUUGUAGUUGGCGUAACUUAGUCCGUGAAACUGGUGUUUCUUUUUCUCCAUAUCGACCACCACGAACGCUCGAAUUGGAUCCUAGCAUGUUAGCAGUUAUGCAAGAUAUAAUGGAAUGGGUAAAUUUGUGGAAUCACACAAUCUCACCUCUUACUUACCAAUGCUCUUUCCUGUUCUCAAGGACAGUGAAUUGUGCUAGUGUAGCAGCUCAACAGAAGUGACUCCGAGGUCGCAAGGAUUACGAGUCAAAUGUCCUGGUUUCAGUUUUUGGUGGAGUUAUAGGUCGCUAAAGAAGGGAGGCUACGGUACUAAAAAUCAAGUGAUUUGAUGUGCUCAAAUGAUAUAGUGUUCCUGGUAUAUAAAUCACCAAGAAUCUGAAUACGCAAACUGAUUUUUUUAGUGAGCAAACCGCAAUACAACCCCUUUUCCUCUUCUUCUAUUUUUUUUGUUCUUUCUCUUUUCUCUUCUCUGAUUUUUUUAUCACUGACUUUUUUUAUCUCUUUUUUUUAUACUAACACGAGUGCGGAUAACAAAUAAAACACAACACAAUAUAUAUAAAGAGGGUGACUAGCAAUUUGAUGAACACAAAACACAAGACAACAGUACCGUCAAAGGGCUCUAGGAUUUUUUUGUGGCUUUUUCAGUGCACUAUAGGUGAUGAACAAAACAGUAACAAAUGAUAAAUAAACUAAAGGUAGAUAUGUGGAUGAUUGUGAGAUCUACCGUGACAACGAAAUCUUUGAUAUCAGUUGAUAGGGUACCGAUAUGAAUCGGUACGAGGGUGGCCCGAUCUUCACGAUAGUAGAUCAAAAGAACAAGGAUAACUUGCUGCGAACAGCGGGUAACUAGCUUUAUACCUGACAAAGGUUGGAUGCGAUCAAGCGACAGGGAGAGAGGCACCGAAACCACAAAGACUUCGACUCGUUCUCCAAACGACCGCAGAACCACAAUCCGGAACUAAUCCACACAAUACGGCGCAGCCGAACGGAAGCCGUAGAGCACAAAGUAGGGGAACCCAGAGGAUUCACUUCACAAGUCCAAGAAGAACAAGGAAGAACAAAGGUUGAGUAAGGCACUCAGCAGCGCGGCUGCAAUAUCAUGUAGUUUAUCAAAUGAUCAAAGGUUCCUGAUAGCUUAGAGGUAGGGGAUAUUUAUACUAGGAACAACCCUCCUAGAUAGGUAUGAAAAUAAAAUAGAGUUUCUGAGGGAAGGCAAUGUGAAAGGACCCCUCGGAAUAGAUUCCCGAACUGGCUUCGCAUGACAAUUGGCCUCCAGAACAGUUUCUAAUAAACUGACCAUAACUUUUUAUUGGAAAGUCCAAAUGGCGAACCGUUUCUUGGGUGUGAAACUAGACUCCAGGAGAAUUCCAGCAAUGUAUUCCAUGCACCACAAAACGUUGUAGAUUGGUACAGUUUUGCACGGCAAUUUGUACCAACUUUCUGUCACGACAGACUGUUGACCUUCUGAGCAGUCUGUACUAAUUCUAGUCUGCAGGAAAUAUGGAGUAUCCAAACUGGUCGCCACUAGAUUCAAUGGAAAGUAGACUUGACAUGCUUUCCAACAGGUCCUCAUGGGCCUUCAUAGCUUUUGUGAUUAAAAAGUUAUGAAGAUUUCUUUGCACUGGUCCGUUUUUGACUUCCACUGGUCCGUUUUUGACGUGUCUUCUAGGACUUGCACUGGUUCAUUCUUCAGGGUCCGAUUCAUCCUUCUCUUCUUCUAUAUACCUGAGUACAAUCAAGGUAGAACACUUAGGUAGAAUAUAAUUCUCAUUAACAUUAAAAUGAAUCUCACAAAGUAGCGCGUGGACCUCUUGUUGUAGCUUCUUUGCACGACUACGUGUAACCGGUCCGAUGACUUGGGCUGGUGUCGGUGUAGGUAAAACUUGAGUAGUUGUAGCUUGACUUAGAGCUUUUGACAUCUUGCUUGCUGGCAUGGUCAUAUCAGUAGGCUUCAUGGACGGAACGACUUAUCCGGCCAACUUAGUGUUAGGCAUGCGUUCAACAUGACACGAGGACGUACAGCGAAUCGGUCCUUAGCCGACACAGACGGGGAUAGAUUCACACCCAAGACCUCCAUGCCUUGUUGCUGCACUAUUGUCAUCCCGCCCAGUCUCAAAUUCAUUAUUAGCACAUGGUUAUCUCCACGAUAGCCAAUAUAGCCAACCGUGAUUCAGUAUCCACCUAACUCUCGCAGGUGACAGGAAAUCACCUGGCUUCUACCGAGCUAAGCAUGGCUAAGCAUCAUUUCGAUCCUGGACAUACUUAGGUAAGGUAUAAGGUGGACAAGGUAGUUAAAUAUGCAGCAAGGGUGUCAUAUCAACACCUACACUUAAUGCAACAUUAUAUAACCAUAGUUAGUUGACAGCUGGAUAUGAUAACAAAAUAGUAGGAGGCUUAUAAUGCUCCGGGGCUUGCCUUCAAUGUAAGUAGAGGGACGGUGGUCAGGGCACUCUGGUAGAUCCUCCUCCUCCUCCUCCUCAGCUCCUUGAGGUGGCUCCCCUUGCUGCUCCUCCGGCUCGGGUGGUGCGAACUUCAAGACCGUCACGCCCUUGGGUACACCUAAGUAUGCAUGACAAGGUGAUAAAUAUAGGGAAUGCACAUGUGAUGCAUGAGGUUAUGAUGACCAGCCAAAGGAACAUAAAACAUAGUGCAAAUAUGAGCAUAAGCUUCUAAUAUUAAGAGAAUCAUGAACAACAAGUAAGUGCAUAGUUCUUCUCUGGUAGAGAGACUAACUAGGCAAGCUACUCAACCUUAGCUAUUCACACUUAACCACUGGUGUCCUAGACAGAUUAGCUAGUCACAAGUUUUAGCUAUAACUCGGGCGCCAUUUGGCCAAACUAAGCAAGUAUAUACUUUCUGGAAAUCUUAACAAAUUGUCUACAAAACAUCUUUAGACAUCCCAGAAGGAUUCCCAACCGAAAUAUGCUAAAACAGACAAAGUUCGCUGGCUGUCCUGGAAAAACCAGAGAACAAGCACUUCGUAGCAGCUACUUGCAACAGUCAUAACUUUUAAGCUUCUCAACCAAAUGUCAUGAAAUUUGGAGACAAGGUAGAUAAGUAAGUUAGCUACAAGUUUGUUAUAGACACAGUUUCCAGAAAACAUCAUCUUCAAGCAGUUCUUAAACAAUUGCUAUCAGCUAUACAGGAUAUGCUCUAGGAAGAACAUAAUUAGCAAAAUAAUAUUUUGACACAUACUAAGAAUGUACCAUAGGUGCAAAACCAAAUGCACUAGUAGAUAGAACAUGUCUAAGAAACACCAGAAAACAUCAUGGCAAGGUUUAAACUCAUUUCUAUCAUCACCUUUUCUAUUUAUUUAAUCAUUAAGAUGAUUUAAUGAGCAUAUAUCACAAUUGCUCCAAAAAUUCCAAUAAAAUUACAGCAUGCUAUCUAUACUACCACAAGGUUACUGUAAAAUUUUCGGGGCUCUUGCACAUGUGGAUUGUGAGAUACGAAAAUGACAAGCUAAUAAUGGAAUCAAAGGUAUAAAUGUGAAACCCUAUCAAAAAGUGUCAAACAACAGAUUUCAGAUUUUUCUUAGCUUUGUUUACACGUGAUUACAUCACUCAGCAAGUUUCACCAUAAAAGGAGUUAUAAUCUUUUUACUAAAAAUACCACAAGAAACUCCUAUUCAAACAAGAAAUAUUUAUAACUUCACUAACAGACAUGCAAAAAUCAUGAUAAAUUUAUCCGAGCCUACUCAUGUCAUAAGUAACAAUAUAUUAAAUUUGCAUGGCCAUAAGACUCACAGAUCUCAAGAUAUAAUUACCUCCUCUUUAAACCAGAUUAAAUCAUAUCUAUUUAUUUCUACAAAAACAUGGCAUGUUUUAUAUUUUUAAUAAAAACUAGACUAACUCAAGAACCUAACAAAAUUGGAAUCACUCUAAUUUGAUCUGUACAACUCGAGUUAUGAAUUUUACAAAAAAAAACAGCUCAUGCUCUGCAAAACAGUGGACCAGAGGGGAGAGAGGCAGAGACUGACCGGUGGGGUCUGCUGACAGACGGGACCCAUGCGACAGAGAGACAGAGACAGGGGAGAGCUCGUCGACGGCGAAACUCGACGACGGCGAGGUCUCGGUCGAAACCAAGGGCAUCUACGUGUUCCUUACUUCAAGGCGAACUCGUUGACCUACUUUGCUCGCGCUCUACUGGACCCUAGGGUGCUCGCCGUCGCGAAUAGCGGAGCGGCGGUGCUACGCGGCGUUACGCCGGCGAACUGAGGCAAUGGCGGCUCAGUAGAGGUUGCGGACGAGCAAGAGUGAAGCAAGGCGAAGAAUCACGGCCAGAGUUGGACCAGAGAGGUCUGGCCACGUUGCCGGUGAUCUCUGCGAACUCCGGCGAGGUGGAGCUCACGACGGAGUUGUCAAUGCGGCCUCACCAGUGCACAGCUAAGGGAAAGAGGUGGUGGAGCUCUGGGCGGGUUGGCUUGGUCGGAGAUGCGGUGAUGCGGCCAGAGCGGUGGAGCGGCGAAUGGCGCGUCUGAGGUGUCCAUCCGGUGCGUGGCGACUUGUGGGCGAUGCUGGAGCUGACAGGAGGGGCCAUCGAUGGCGUACGGGUGACAGGUGGCCGGACACGCAGCGGCGAGCGAGCUCUGUCCAAACUGAAACGUUCUCUGAAUCACCCGAUCGCAGUGACUGAAUCCCAAAGUUCAUCGAUGUUUUACUCUUGAUCCACUCGACGGUUUUGGCUCAGGUUUAUUCCACUGAGUAGAGCUACACGAGAUCUACAAGUUUGCUUACAGGAUCAAAGUCUAACUCAGCCUAGAUUUCAAACUACAAAGUUCCCAAGUACCCUAUGUCGAAACUGCAGAAUCCAGACUUAGCCAAAUUCGGCUAAGUGUGAAAACAGCCUUGAUUUUUGCCUUGUGAGCUAGUUUUGAAUGUGUUCCAAACAUUUUCAUAAAAAGUCACCAACACAACUUUUGUAGCUUAUGAAAUUUAAUACAACUUUGUUUUAGAUGUCAUUUACAUGCAUGGUUUCUAACACCAGUUUCAUAAAACAUCUUUGAAAAGAGGUUUAGGGGGUUAAUUAGGUCAACCUAGGGUUAACCAUGACUUAGGGGUAUUUUUGGGCAAAACCUCCAAUACAACCUUUGUUCAAAAUGUUAUUCUAAACAUGAUUAAAGUAUUUUGGAAGACAAUGUACACUUAUAUGCAUUGGUCACCCAUUACUAUCACACAUAGCAAGUCACACAAGCAAUUCAAUCACAUAAUGUACACACCAAAUGACAUGUGAUCAUGGUAUGAUGCUCAUGAGUGAUCAUGAUGAUGCUUAUGUUGAUGCAAUGCUCAUGGUUAACAUGCAAGCUAACACUAGGAGUGUUACAGCCCUCCCCCCUUACAAAAAUCUCGUCCCGAGAUUUGAAAGACGUACCAUUUUUCAUAGAAUGCGGGGUAAGUUACUUGUAAAUAGUCUUCCCUUUCCCAAGUGGCAUCUCUUUCACUUUGACGGUUACACAAGACCCUAAAAAGUUUAAUCACUCUCCCCCGAGUAACUCUUUCCUUGACAUCGAGAACCUGCAUAGGCUUCUCUUCAUAAGAUAGAUCUAAUUGUAAUUUAAGACCUCCUGUUUCAACUCUUUCUUCGGGCAUGCGAAGGCACUUCUUGAGUUGAGACACAUGGAAUAUAGGGAAAAUAGCUCUCAUUUCCAGAGGUAGUUGUACCUUCUAAGCCACUUUACCGCUUUUCUCAAUGAUUUGAUAGGGACCCACAUAUCUAGGAGCAAGCUUCCUUUUUACGCCGAAGCGAUUUACUCCUUUCAUGGGUGAUACCUUUAGGUACACAAAGUCACCUACUUCGAACUCGAGUGGUCUUCUUCUUCGGUCGGCAUAGGUUUUAUGUUUGGCUUGGGCAGCUUCCAUGUGUUUCUGGAUAAUGAGAACUUGCUUUUCGGCUUCAUUGACAAAGUCAAUUCCAUAGUACCUCCUUUCACCAGGUUCGACCCAGUUUAGUGGAGUUCUACAGUUGCGACCAUACAAAGCUUCGAAAGGAGCCAUUCGAAUACUCUCUUGAUAACUAUUAUGAUAAGAGAAUUUAGCUAAGGGUAGCCACUUCUCCCAUGCACCCUUGGAAGAGAUGACACAUGCCCUCAACAUAUACUCUAAUAUCUGAUUCACCCACUCAGUCUGACCAGAGGUUUGAGGAUGGUAGGCUGAACUGCGAACCAACUUUGUACCAAUGAGUGGAUGCAAAUGCUCCCAAAAGCGGGCAGUGAACUGAGGACCUCUAUGAGAAAUAAUGGUGCGGGGCACUCCGUGCAGCUUCACAAUCUGAGAGAAGUACAACUCAGCAUAGUCGGAUGGUCGGUAGGUAGAAUGUACGGGAAUGAAAUGAGCUGACUUGGUCAAGCGGUCAACAAUAACCCAAAUAGAGUUGUGUCCCUUGUGAGUAGGGGGAAGUCCAACAAUGAAAUCCAUGCUGAUUUCUUCCCACUUCCAACCCGGAAUCAACAAAGGUUGUAAUGAACCUGCAGGCUUAAGGUGAACUGCCUUUACCCUGCAGCAAGUGUCACACCUAGCAACAUAAGUUGCUAUCUCUUUCUUCAUCUUGGUCCACCAGAAACGAGGUUUCAAGUCUUGGUACAUUUUGCUACUACCAGGAUGAAUGGACAACUUGGAAGAAUGAGCUUCAUCUAAGAUUUUGUUGUACAGGUCACGGUUUUUAGGUACAUCUAAUCGAUCGUCAAACCAUAGUACACCUUUCUCAUCUACCCUGAAAUACUUGGUGUCUUGCUCUUUCAUUUUUCUCUUGAUAUGGAAGAUACCAGGGUCAGUCUUUUGGAGUUCUAUAAUUUGACUCUCUAACGAGCAACUGACUACAAUGUUAUGUAGGACCUCUGGAUGCAAUAAAUUGAAACCUUCCUCUAAGAGAGGUCCAACAUGUUGUUUCCAGCUAAGAGCGUCGGCUACGACAUUGGCUUUGCCUAGAUGAUAGUGUACUUCUAGAUUAUAGUCUUUGAUCAAUUCCAACCAUCUUCUUUGUCUCAUGUUUAGCUCGGGUUGAGUGAAGAUAUAUUUGAGGCUCUUGUGGUUAGUAUAAAUAUGACACAGAUUACCCAACAGAUAAUGCCUCUAGAGUUUCAAUGCGUGUACAACUACUGCUAACUCUAGAUCAUGAGUCGGGAAGUUAGCUUCGUGCUUCCUCAGCUGCCGAGAGGCAUAGGCAAUGACUCGGCCUUCUUGCAUAAGUACACAACCUAAGCCAGUGCCAGAUGCAUCACAAAAUACAUCAAAUAGCUUUUCAAUGUCAGGCUGUGCCAAAAUAGGAGCGGUGGUCAGCAAAUGGCGUAAAGCGGUGAAAGCGACUUCACACUCCUCAGAGCACACAAACUUCACAUCUUUUUGCAGUAGCUUGGUCAUAGGCUUGGCUAUUUUGGAGAAGUCUGGAAUAAAGCAAUGAUAAUAUCCGGCUAGACCGAGAAAACUCCGAACCUCAUGUACUGAAGUCGGGGCCUUCCAGUCUAGAACCUCCUGCACCUUUGACGGGUCAACAGAAAUACCGUCUUCAGAUAAAAUAUGGCCUAGGAAAGGCACUUUCUUCAGCCAAAACUCACACUUGCUGAACUUGGCAUAGAGCUGAUGUUCUCGCAGUCUAGUGAGUACAAUCCAAAGGUGCUUCUCAUGGUCUUGGGCAUUUUCAGAAUACACCAAUAUGUCAUCGAUGAACACUACCACAAACUUAUCCAGUUCAGGCAUGAACACCGAAUUCAUCAGGUACAUGAAAUGAGCAGGGGCAUUAGUCAGACCAAAGGACAUGACUAGAUACUCAUACAACCCAUACCUGGUAGAGAAAGCCGUUUUAGAAAUAUCUUCGGGUCGGAUCUUGAUUUGAUGAUACACUGAUCUCAGAUCAAUCUUUGAGAAUACCUUAGCCUUGGCUAAUUUAUCAAACAGAAUAUCAAUGCGAGGCAGGGGAUACUUGUUUUUGAUAGUCACGACAUUCAACGGACGAUAGUCUACACACAUACGUAGCGACUUGUCCUUCUUCUUGACAAAGAGAGCCGGAGAACCCCAUGGAGAAGAACUAGGCUGAAUAAGACCUUUCUCUAGGAGUUCUUGCAAUUGUUUCUUCAAUUCUGCCAAUUGAUUGGGUGGCAUUCGAUAUGGCCUUCUAGAGAUAGGUGUGGUACCCAUGUAACACCCCAGUGUUAUAGUUGCAUCAUUCACAUGCAUAACAUGAGCAUCAUCAUCUACUUAAGUAUGUCAUGAUCAUCAUCUACCUUGGGUCAUGUCAUUUUAUGCAAAAUUGUGAUUUAACUUGCUUAAAUAGGCUUCCUAUGCUUGUGUUGGUGUGUACCAUGCUUGUGUGUUAUUCCUUGGUAAUUAGUUUAUCUAUGCCUAACUCAACCUUAGGAACAAUGUUCAUGUGGAUCACUUCUCCAAAUUAAGCACCUAAGUCAUACUUCUUCUUAUAGGUCCUAAAAACCUCUUUUGCUUAGGCUUUUAAAAAGUGCUUUAUAAAAUAUUUGCAUGUCAAAACUUUCUACAGAAAAGUUGUAGAAAAUUUUAUAAGGAACAAUAGUUGUUUUAUGUCCAUCUCAUUACAAUGAUCACGUCUAGCUCAAAAAGUGCUUCCAAGGCAGUUUUGUGUGCUGUUUUGGCACUUAGCCAAAUUUGGCUAAGUCCAGGCGCCACGAGUUUGCUCCAUCGAUUUUGGGAGCCUCAUAUCUCUUGAUACUUGCUGAUUUGGGUCUUUCCCCAGUUCACAAUGUUGUAGAACUCAGCUAGUACUCCAACUUUGUCAACUACACCAUCUCCUAAUUCGCUUUGGUUUGGGAGAUAAUCGCUGUCAAAGUAGCUCUGUCAGUCGGUCAUCGUUUUGUCUGAAUGAGAGCCGAGCUCGUCGACGUGGCCGACCGACGACAGAACAACGGCGACAUUUGGCACCCGUACGUCGUCUCUGGCCCCGCUCGUCAGCUUCGGACGCUGCAUGACCUCCACGGCGAAACCCCGGGCAAAGUGGACACGUCCAUUUCCUCCUCCCUCUAGCUCUCUCGCCAGAAACGCGGCCGCAGCGGAGUCGCCAUCGCGAGCUCACUCAGGCGAGCUCGAACGCGCUUCUCGCUACAUCGCUGCCCACCAAAACUCAUCCACAGCUCCGCCGUGACCUGCUCUCCAACCUCCACCCGCAAAAUCGCUGUGAAAUCCUCCGGUGAGCCGACAUUUCCGACUUCCCCCAAAUCGGGUCGCCAUGACCUUCUUCUCCGGCGAACUCAAUGCUGAGCUCCUCGGAGCAUCUCGUCUCCUCUGGUUAGGUCCUAGAGGUAGCUUAGGUGCUUAGCGAACGUUUGCGCCACUUGGAGGACGCUCUACUGCACUCACCCUCUCGUGGCCAGCUCGUUCCACACCGUUUCAAGCCUAGCCACCUAUCUAGAAAGCUUCGCUGUAGUUCGCUGGUGCUGUAGGAAACCCUAGAUCACGCGCUACCGGCCUGAGAGCUCCGGCGUAUCGCCGAGCACCUCCUACGAGCUGCCAUGGUCGACGGCAAGCCUCUUCCGGUGGCUCCGCCGUGGGGAAAAGGGGGUCAAUCGGUUCACAAUGGUCUGGGGUCACGUUGGUGCCCUUGGUUUGGCCGGAGACCUCGCCGUCGCGGAGAAAUCGUCGGUGAACGUCGUCUCGGUCAUGAGGAAGACGAACCUGACAUGCGGGACCCGCUGUCAGUGACACGUCGUUUCCCUCCUUUUCUUUUAUUCAAAUCCAGAUUUCUUGCAAUCUUGCAAAAAUCAUAUCUCUAGUUCCUGUGAUCCAAAAACUGUGAAAUAAAUUUUGUGAUGUUCCUUGAGAUGGCUAGUUUUUAAUAAAAAUAUAAAAUGCACCAAGUUUUCUGGGAAAAAUAAUUGUUAUGAUUUAAUCUUGUUAUUUAUGUGUAAAUUCAUAUCUGUUGAUAUACUGCUCCUUUUGCUAUGAAAUUUUUAUGGUAGUCUCUGAGUGAUAUUACAAUGCUACGAUAAAUAUUUCAUGAUUUUUGGAGUACUGUAUCUGUGAUAUGUAAUUUAUGUUUGUGAUAUGGCUUGUUUUCAUAUUUAAAUCAUAAUAAAUGUUUGGUGCUUAUGCUGGCGCUCUACUCUGGUGUCAAGCUUGUUUAUGACAAUAGUAACAUAUAAAUAAUCUGAAAUAUGUUGUUUGACACUAUAUAAGCCAUGUUUCUUAAUUUAUGAAAUAAGCACCUUGAUACAUGUUAAAUACUUAUCUUAAGUUUGGCAUGUGCAAUUGCUCCGAACAUUUUAUGGUGAUAUCAAGAUGCUAUGCUUGUGCUGAUGUAAUUUUUGUAGAUUUUUUUAGCACUGUUGCUGGUAUCAUGUAAUUAUGUCCUUUUAUGGAAUUAAAUUAAUAAAUGGCAUGUUAUUAAAUGUUUAGGGGUCAACAUGUGAUGUUCUGUUAAUCUUAAGUUAUGCUUGUGCUGGUAAGCCCUUUGGUUGGCACUGAAUAUGUUUUGGCUUUGUCAUCAAAUAAUUAAUUAAAGGUUUAUAGCUGUCCUGGACAGCAAGGGAGUAAUUUGACGUUUGUGUGAUGAUAACUUGGUUUUCUGAGAGACUUGUUUAAAUCAAAGUUGUUGUAAAUUUUAUGAACUAGCUGUAGCUUUAGUUUGGGAUCAUUUGGUCAUGUAGUUUAAAAGUUGUGGCUUCUCCAAGUUAGGUUCCAGAAAUAGGUGUUCUCUGUCUUUCUGGGGCAGAACCUGGAACAUUGUUUAAUUGACUUGUUUAACUUAUGAAUCUUGCUGUGAUGUUUAAAGAUGAAAUGUAGACAAUUUUAUAAGCUUUCCAGAAUGUCCUCAUUCAUGUUUGUUGGAUCUGUAUAGCUCCAGUUAUGAUUUAUUCCUUGAGCUACACUGUUAUGUUGGUCAUUGCUGUUUGUAGUUUAACUUGGUAAUCUUGCUAAGUAGUUAAUCAUCUUGUGUGAACUUGUUAUGAAAGUUACUCCGUAAAUGAGUGUCCAGUGAAGUUCUAAUUAUGUUACUAAGCCUCCAUCCUCAUCUAGCAUGCACACAUUUCUUAUUCACUAUGCAUGCAAUAGGUGCACCGGAAGCGACAACUGUGUUCGAGCUCCAGGGGAACCCCGAAGGCCAGGAGAUCAAUCCGGAGGCGGAGGUCCAGCAAGCCGGACACGAGGAGCCCGAAGAGGAGGUCGAGUGCCCUAAUCACGAGCCUACAUCGUUCGUGAAAGGCAAGCCCCGGAGCAACUUAAGUCCCCCACUUUAAUUUCGAAAGUUUACUUGGCUACGUUAUAUCUAUUGAUGCAUUACGUAUAGGAGUUGUGAUGAAACCUUGUAGCAUUAUACUUAUUCCUUGUCCAGAUAUCUUACCAUUACCUGGUCAUAGAGUUAGGAUCGAGUAGCAGCUUAGUCAUGCCUAAUCGGUAGAAGUCGGGUGAUAUCCUGUGACCUGCGCGAGAUAGGGUUGUGCCGGAUCACGAUUGUCUAUAUGUGCUAUCGUGGGAAGAACAUGAUGAAAAUGACUUAAGCCGGGCGGAGUUUUGCAAGGUUGUAGUAACUCCGUCUGUGGCAGCUAAGGACCGAUCGUUGUACGUCAUCUUGUCAUGUUGAACACAUGCCUGACACUUAGUUGGCCAGAUAACUCGUUCCGACCGCGAAGCCUAGUAGUAUGACUCAGGCUGGGAGACCGGCAAGUAUAAAGUGCGCACUACCGGAGGAAGUGCGGUGUGCGGGGGACCAUUGGCGUAAGACCAAAGGCAGGUGAGUUAAAAGUCCUAACCUCCCUGGCAGAGUGGUAGCCCUGGGAGUGCGGCGCUGAUCGGAGCCGCGAUUCCUGAGUCGUACCAAAGGUGACCUGCUUGCUCUCCGACGGGGGAUGCUUGGGUGAGUGCUAGGAAUAACCCUCCAGCUGGAUAGGAGUCAGUUCGAAUCGCCGUCUCUACCGGAAAGUGAGAACUUGACAGAGCAGCGGCAAACGUAGCAUUCACUAAAGAACAAUGGUUCAUGAUAAUGAUGAUAGCAAGGAAGAGCAUAGGAAGAACUUGAUAUGGUUAUUAUUGUUUGUAUUAAUCAAAGUGAAGUGCUUUAAUACAGGUGCUAAUUUAGUGUUAGGCUAAUAAAGAUUAAUAUGAUGCCUUUACAAAUGGUAUAGUAAUCACUUGAGCUUUUGGCAAAUGUUGAGUCAAGCCAGCUACACUUUAUACUCAAGCUUGCAUGAUCCUUGGUGUCUUUUAUAUUUUACUAGACGGGUAAGUCUAGCUGAGUACAUCCUCGUACUCAGGGUUUAUUCCCACAUGUUGCAGAUGAUAUCUUUUAUGAUGGCUUCUGCAAGACCUGUCUCCAUCCCGCUGGGGAUGAGGACUAAACCGUUGGGCACGGUUCUCUAACUACUUCGUACCUGUUGCUUUUGGUGGAUGGCAUGAGACUCUGGCAGAACAAGAACUUGUGAAAUGAACUUUGGAAUGUGUGUUGUAAACUAUUUCGCUUCCGCUACUAUAAACUUGUGUUGUAAUAACUAAGUAACUCUGAUGUGGUGCCGCAUCGACAACAAUGAAUGACUAUGUAACAUUCGCUAUUUUAUGUUGAACUAUUACGAUCUUGGUUUGUUGCAAGUUGGUUUGAAGUCCAUCGUGAUUUCAGUUGACUACCAGGAUUAUAUGGGCUCAAGUAUGGAAACUUGAUUACUAGUUGAUCGUUUCUACACUUGAACUCUUAUAAUUUGGUCGGUUCUGUGACAGCUGGUAUCGGAGCAAGUUCAGCAUUAUAAAUGCAGCGUUUGUGUAUUUAAAAACAAAAGAGUUUAUAAAUAAAUUGUGAAAAUCAAUACUUAAUUAUGCCAGUGGUCGAAUCCUCCUUGCCCAUAUAAGGACUCUAGGUGGCAAUUUAAGUACUGACUGGGGGGUUUUUAUUUAUGCAUCUCCGGCAGUACUCAGGUAUUGAUGUGUGAUGACCGCACUAUGCUACCCUGUGGUCUAAUGGUAGAGGUAGCCUUCAUAUGUGAAUUAGCCACAUAUGUCGCUAGAUUUAAAUUAUGCAAACGUCGCACCAACGCUCUGGUAAGUGUGAGCUGUGAGAGCAUAAUCGUCCAAACGGCGGUCUAGGGGAGUGUUCGCGGUGGUUUUCUAGAGCGGUUACAUGUCAAACCAUGGAACCACGAAAAGAAACUUAAUUGGGGAGCAUUUAAUUUCCCGGGUAGUUGUGUUGUAAUCGUUUGUGCAUGAUGGGCAUGUAUAAGCAAUGUGCACUUAGUUUACUGCUUUCUUGAGUGAUAUAUUGGCGAAUUGUUGGGCUGCAAUGAAGUUUUAUGCAGGUACUCUAAAUAUAUGCCACCGUAUAUCCGUUAGAAUAUUGAUUUCUAAGUUUGUGAGGACGUACGGUGCGCGCAUGCAUCAUGUCGCAUUCAUACAUACAUUCCUGUCUACCCCUUCCCUUACAAUGUCGUCCCAUUUUAAUUAAAUAAAUGUUGCUUAAACUAAUCCUCUUUUACCCAUGGUUAUUCCUUUCCACAGAUGGACGUGCCCGCUUCACCUCGGCCCAGUGACGCCUUUUUGAGCGAGUUUGGCACUCCUACUUUGCUCUGGAGGGUGCUGCAGUCUGUGGGGUAUACUGAGCCACCUCAGUAUUCUUGGUGGGAGGUGGAUAUGAUAGGAGAGUUGCAGUGGUUUGCUGUGCAGGGAGUUGUCCCACCACAUGGGGGCACGCCUGCAUGGACUGGAUGGACCUGCCACUCAGAUGGGCAGACUCCAUGGGAAGCAGCUCAGGUUGCGGCCCAUGCCAUACUGCUCAACAUCUGUUAGAGGUUUGGCGAUGAGCUGACAGGAGGGCCAGCGGCCUCCAUUCCCCGUGCUAACCCAGCAGCAGCGGAGUGGAAGCAGGCCGAUGGUUGUGCUUUGGUCCGAGGCCGAGGGGAGCGAGCUGAGAGUUCUAGUCCUGCUAUGAGUACUAUGAUGGCUAUGCUCAAGCUGUUUAGUCAGUGAGAGGACACCUAUGCCUAGGUGAUGGUGGCUGUUUACCAGGCUCAGGAGAAGCAACAGAAGGCUAAAAAGCGUGCUCACAAGUUUCGCAAGCAAGCUAGACUCCCAGAGCAAGCCUAGAAGGACCGCAAUGACUGCAAAGACAUUGCGGAGUACCGUAGGCAGUAGUGGGUGAAGGCCAUUAGAGAGAGAGAUCAUAAACAGGAUCAGAUGAGUCAGUUGGCUAGGGAGAGGGAGGCAGUGCAGGAGCGCUUGGUGCAGAUCACUCAGGAGAGGGAUACUGCACUCCGCGUGUCAGAGAAGAGGCGUCGGGCAUGGGAGAUGCACCGGAUCCAGUCGCUUGAGCAGGAGAACUAUCUGCAGGAUCAGAUUAAGGCUGGUCUUGUGGAGAUUCACCGUCUCAACAACUUACUACACCCUAUUCCUCGCCCUGCACCAGUGUACCUAGAGGUGGGACCUCAGGUGAUCAUGACCGAUGAUGAUGGUAUGGAGGUAGAUGCACCGGCCGCGGCUGCACCACCUUUGCACGAGGACGUGGAGGACGAGGAGCUUGAGCCGGUUAGCGACGAGGAUGGAGAGGCGAUCUUCGACGCUGACUCGGACGACGAGCCGAGAGUGUAGUGGGUAGUUGGUAGUUAUCCUGUGAGGAUCUUUUGUAGUUUGACUGUCUGCAGUUGUGCUUUUGUAAUCAUGUUGUAAUCUGGAACCUUGAUCUUCGACUUAUUGGCCUGUACUGUGAUGGUGUAAUAACUUUAUGGACCCAAUGUUGUUUAACCUUAUCAUGUUCGACCAGAUAUGACGAUGUUUUCCAUUGUUGUGCAUAUUGCGGAUAUCUGUGUCAUGUGUUGGAUUGGUGAUGUUUUUUUGUGGAAUUGAAUUAUUGUUCCUAUUUUUGUAAAGUUAUUCUCUCGAAUACUUUCAGGCAUGAAUAUAAGUUCUUCUAGGCAAAUCUUGUCAUCAUCAAUGCUCACUAACUGUGUCUUUACAGAUGUCUCGUGGCACUCGAGGUGCGGAACAAUGUGCGAACAUGAAUCCACCCCCUCCUCCUCCACCACCAAAUCCAGCUGAGCUGAUGCAAAUGAUGGUGGAAAAUCAGAGGCUGCUCACUGAGACCAUCAAUCAGAUGGCGAAUCAGGGUGGUCGGUAUGCACCAAAUGGGCCAGCACCUAAUCAGUACAGUAGCUUCAAGGAUUUCAUGGAUACUAAGCCCCCAUCUUUCAGAGAGGCUGAAGAACCCCUUCAGGCUGAGGAGUGGCUGAACACGGUGGAACAGAAGUUCCACUUGCUUCGGCUGACCGAUGGUUUGAAGGCCGAGUAUGCAGCUCAUCAACUGCAGGGUCCGACAGGCAUAUGGUGGAAUCAGUAUCGAGAGGCUCUUUCGGAAAACACUGUGCUUGAAUGGAAUCUCUUCCGUGAAGCUUUCAAGGGGCAUUUCAUACCUCCUGGUGUCAUGGAAAUGAAGCAUACUGAGUUUAUGCAGUUGACUCAGGGCAACAAAACCCUGAAGGAGUACUUGCAUGCUUUCAAUGACCUGUCAAGGUAUGCUCCUGAGUUUGUGAGCACGGAGACGAAGAAGAUUGCUAGCUUCGAGAGGGGUCUUGGCCCCAUGUUGCUGAAGACUAUGGGCCGCACAAAGUGUGCAACUUUCAAUGAGUUGGUCAGUGAUGCUCUUACCCAAGAGAACUACAACACUGUGUACACUGCUACCAAGACUCGCUAGCAAGCUUUUAAGGCCGGGGCCCGGGCAUCUCAGUCCAAGGCUCCAGUGGCAGCUAGGCCCCAGUAUCUUGCUCCAACCCCUAACCAGCGAUAUCGCCCUCCAGCGAAGAAGAAUUAGGCGAAGACGGGAUUCCGCAAGGGUUACUCCAUUGCUCUUCCUAGGGGCAACACUGGUCCCAGCUAUGCCAAGACUCCACCUGCCAACCGUCCGUGCUGGAACUGUAAUCAGACAGGACACUGGCAAAGCAAGUGUCCUUACUCGCCAAAGAAGGGCAACCAAGGGAACGUCCGUCAGGGGCGUGUUCACUAUACAAGUGUGGAAGCAAUCCCUGCUGGUGAGGUAGUUACGGCUGGUAAGUUUCUGGUUAAUCAAUGUGAUGCACUUGUGAUUUUUGAUUCAGGAGCAUCGCAUUCUUUUGUGAGUUCGGACUUUGUGUCUAAGUAUAAUUUCAAGGCAAUUACACUUGAUAAGGGCAGUUAUUGCAUUAGUGCUGCUGGAAAUGAUAUUUCUACCAAUCAAGUGGUUUUGGGGGCAACUUUGGAAAUAGGAGACCGUCAGUUUCUUGUUGAUCUGGUUGUUCUACCCGGUGUGGGUAUAGAUGUAAUUCUAGGUAUGAAGUGGAUGAGUGGUAACGGAGUUCUUAUCGACACCACCACUCGCAUAGUGAUGUUGAGAGACCCGAAUACCAAAGGGGCGUUCUUAGUGCAACUUCCUCGAGAUAUUCAUAUCCGUAGUACGAUGAAUGCAGUUACAUCUAGGGCCAUCGAGGAUAUUCUGGUAGUGUGUGAGUUCCCGGAUGUGUUUCCUGAUGAUUUGCCCAGGCUUCCUCCAGAUCGGGAUGUGGAGUUCAAAAUUGAAUUGCUUCCAGGUACUGCUCCUAUCUCUAGAAGACCUUAUAGAAUGCCACCAAAUGAGCUAGCUGAGCUUAAGACCUAGCUGAAUGAGUUGUUAAAGAAGGGUCUUAUCUGUCCUAGUUCUUCUCCUUGGGGUUGUCCGGCUAUCUUUAUGAAGAAGAAGGAUCAGUCCUUGCGCAUGUGUGUGGAUUAUCGUCCCCUGAAUGCGGUGACCAUCAAGAAUAAGUACCCUCUUCCUCGCAUCGAUAUCUUGUUUGAUCAAUUGUCCAAAGCCAAGGUGUUCUCCAAGAUUGAUUUGCGAUCUGGGUAUCAUCAGAUCAAGAUCCGUCCUGAAGAUAUACCUAAGACAGUUUUCUCGACGAGGUAUGGGUUGUAUGAGUAUCUCGUCAUGUCCUUCGGUCUCACAAAUGCACCUGCUCAUUUCAUGUAUCCCAUGAAUUCGGUGUUCAUGCCCGAAUUGGACAAGUUUGUGGUGGUCUUCAUUGAUGAUAUCUUGGUAUAUUCUCGCAAUGAAGAAGAGCAUGCGGAGCAUCUGCGGGUAGUGUUGACGCGUUUGCGUGAGCAUCAGCUUUAUGCUAAGUUCAGCAAAUGCGAGUUUUGGCUAAAGAAAGUUCCUUUCUUGGGCCAUGUCUUAUCUGAAGAAGGUAUAUCGGUGGAUCCGGCUAAGGUGCAAGAAGUGCUGGAUUGGAAGGUUCCAACUUUGGUGCACGAGGGUCGGAGUUUUCUAGCUCUGGCUAGAUAUUACCGUCGUUUCAUUCCAGAAUUCUCAAAAAUAUCCAAGCCUAUGACUCGCCUACUCUAGAAAGAUGAGAAGUUUGUGUGGACGCCUGAGUGUGAAGAGGCAUUCCACAAGUUGAGGACAUUGCUAACAUCAGCUCCUGUCCUAGCUCAACCUGAUAUCGAGAAGCCUUUUGAUGUCUUUUGUGCCGCGUCUGGUAUCGGCUUAGGCUGUGUGUUGAUGCAAGAAGGUUGUGUUAUCGCUUAUGGCUCGCGCCAACUUCAAAAGCAUGAGGUCAAUUACCCUACUCAUGACUUAGAAUUUGCUGCAGUUGUCCAUGCCUUGAAAAUCUAGAGGCACUAUUUGCUGGGUAAUCUGUGCAAUAUUUACACUGAUCAUAAGAGUCUCAAGUACAUCUUCACUAAACCUGAAUUGAACAUGCGACAGCGAAGGUGGAUUGAGUUGAUUAAAGAUUAUAAUCUUCAAGUGCACUACCAUCCGGGCAAGGCAAACGUGGUUGCGGAUGCGUUGAGUCGGAAAGCGCACUGUCAUUCAGUUCACAUAGAAGAUCCAUUGUUGUCACGUCUUAUGCACCCACUUGUGCUCAACCAGAUUUCUCUAGAGAGUUCUCUUGCAAUCGAGUCAUCGAAUUGCAGCAAAAGGACGUAGGUAUCUACCAUAUAAAGAGGAAAAUGAAAGAAGAAGAAACCAAGCAUUUCUGAGUCGAUGAGAACGGAAUCCUAUGGUUCAAAGAUCGACUUGUGGUCCCAAAAGAUCGUAAGCUGCAAAAUCAGAUCUUAUCUGAAGCUCAUUCAUCCAAGUUGUCUAUCCAUCUUGGUACUAGCAAGAUGUAUCAGGAUCUGAAACCUCUGUUUUGGUGGACAAAGAUGAAAAAAUAGAUUGCUGCUUUCGUCGCUCGUUGUGACAAUUGUUGUUGUGUGAAGGCCGUUCACAUGAAAGCAGGCUUACUUCAACCCUUGUCAAUUCCUAGUUAGAAAUGGGAAGAACUUAGUAUGGAUUUCAUCUCUGGACUCCCAACUUUUGUUAAGGGUUAUGACUCUAUCUAGGUGAUUGUAGAUCGUUUACCAAGGUUGCUCGUUUUAUUCCAGUUUGAACUGACUAUCUUCCACAUCAGUAUGCAGAGUUGUACUUCGAGCACAUUGUCCGUCAGUAUGGUGUGCCUCGAACUAUCAUAUCAGAUCAUGGACCACAGUUCACUGCCCGUUUUUGGGAAUGUCUUCAUGAGCAGAUUGGCACUCACUUGGUUCGUAGUUCUGCGUAUCAUCCUCAAACGGCCGGCCAAACUGAACGUGUUAACCAAAUCCUAGAAGACAUGUUGAGGGCAUGCGCUCUCUCUUCAAAGGGUUCUUGGGUAAAGUGGUUUCCAUUAGCUGAGUUCUCUUAUAACAAUAGUUAUCAAGAGAGCAUGAAGAUGGCUCCAUUUGAAGCCCUGUAUGGUCGAAAAUGUCGAACCCCGUUGAAUUGGGUGGAAUCUGGGGAACGAAGGUAUUAUGGCAUCGAUUUUGUGAACGAAGCGGAGCAGCAAGUUCGUACCAUCUAGCAACAUCUGGAAGCUGCCCAAGCUCAUCAGGAAAGUUAUGCUGAUAAGAGAAGGAAGCCGAUUGAGUUUGCAGUCGGUGACCAUGUGUAUAUCAAGGUGUCUCCAAUGAAAGGCGUAUAGAGGUUCAGAGUCAAACGAAAGCUUGCACCUCGCUAUGUGGGACCUUAUUGGAUUCUCGAGAGAAAAGGGAACGUAGGAUACAAAGUUCAACUCCCAAUUGAGCUUCGAGCUAUUUUUCCUAUUUUUCCUGUAUCACAACUGAAGAAAUGCCUUCGUGUUACGGAGGAACGAGUGGAAGUUCGGGAUAUCAAGUUGAAAUAUGACUUGGUCUAUGAAGAGAAACCUGUAGCGGUUCUCGAUCGCAAGGAACGGGUGACUCGUAAUCGUGUGGUUAAGUUCUACAAAGUGUUGUGGAGUAACCACGGGGAGGAAGAUGCCACUUGGGAAAUAGAGGACUAUUUAAAAGAAGUUUAUAAAACCUUCUUCGAAAAUCAGUAAGCUUCCAAAUCUCGGGACGAGAUUUUUGUAAGGGGGGAGGGCUGUAACACCCCAGUGUUAUGGUUGCAUCAUUCACAUGCAUAACAUGAGCAUCAUCAUCUACUUAAGCAUGUCAUGAUCAUCAUCUACCUUGGGUCAUGUCAUUUUAUGCAAAAAUGUGAUUUAACUUGCUUAAAUAGGCUUCCUAUGCUUGUGUUGGUGUGUACCAUGCUCAUGUUUGUGUGUUAUGCCUUGGUAAUUAGUUUAUCUAUGCCUAACUCAACCUUAGGAACAAUGUUCAUGUGGAUCACUUCUCCAACUUAAGCACCUAAGUCAUACUUCUUCUUAUAGGCCCUAAAAACCUCUUUUGCUUAGGCUUUUAAAAAGUGCUUUAAAAACUAUUUUCAUGUCAAAACUUUCUACAGAAUAGUUGUAGAAAAUUUUAUAAGGAACAAAUGUUGUUUUAUAGCCAUCUCAUGAAAAUGAUCACAUCUAGCUCAAAAAGUGCUUCCAAGGAAGUUUUGGGUGCUGUUUUGGCACUUAGCCAAAUUUGGCUAAGUCCAGGCGCCACCAGUUUGCUCGAUCGAUUUUGGGAGCCUCAUAUCUCUUGAUCCAUGCUGAUUUGGCUCUUGCCCCACUUCUCAAUGUUGUAGAACUCAACUAGUAGUCCAACUUUGUCAACUACACCAUCUCCUAAUUCAUUUUGGUUUGGGAGACAAUCGCUGUCAAAGUAGCUCUGUCAGUCGGUCAUCGUUUUGUCUGAAUGAGAGCCGAGCUCGUCGACAUGGCCGACCGGCGACAAAACAACAGCGACAUUUGGCGCCCGUACAUCGUCUCUGGCCCCGCUUGUCAGCUACGGACGCCGCAUGACCUCCACGGCGACACCCUGUGCGAAGUGGACGCGUCCAUUUCCUCCUCCCUCUCGCUCUCUCGCCAGCACGCGGCCGCAGUGGAGUCGCCGUCGCGAGCUCACUCCGGCGAGCUCGAACACCCUCCUCGCUAAAUCGCCAAAACUCGUCCACAGCUCUACCCACCCGCAAACUCGCCGUGAAAUCCUCCGUGAGCCGACAUUUCCGACUUCCCCCAAAUCGGGUCGCCGUGACCUUCUUCUUCGGCGAACUCAAUGCUGAGCUCCUCGGAGCAUCUCAUCUCCUCUGGUUAGGUCCUAGAGGUAGCUUAGGUCCUUAGCGAACGUUUGUGCCACUUGGAGGACGCUCUACUUCACUCACCGUCGCCAGACACGACGCGUAGCGCCGCCGUGUUUCCGCCGGAGUUCGGCCCUCUCGUGGCCAGCUCGUUCCACACCGUUUCAAGCCUAGCUACCUACCUAGAAAGCUUCGCCAUAGUUCGCUGGUGCUAUAGGAAACCCUAGAUCACGCUCUAGCGGCCUGAGAGCUACGGCGUAUCGCCGAGCACCUCCGCCGAGCCGCCAUGGUCGACGGCAAGCCCCUUCCGGUGGCUCCGCCGUGGUGAAAAGGGGGUCAAUCGGUUCACAAUGGUCUGUGGGUCACGUUGGUGCCCUUGGUUUGGCCGGAGACCUCGCCGUCGCAGAGAAAUCGCCGGUGAACGUCGUCUCGAUUGUCUAAAGAGAGCGCUGCUGGAAAAAGAUGGGGCCAUCGCGCAAGCCGGCAAGGCGAUCGAAGAUCUACGUGUCGCCAACACCGAGCUGGCGCGCUCCAACAGGGAGGUCGAGAGGGCCAACACCAACUUGGUUGGCGAGAACACGGCUCUGGAGGAGAGCAUCCGGGGUACGUUUCUACUAUCGAGUUUCUUUUCUGAGGUGUGCUUGGUGUUAUCUAAUUCCUUCAUAUUGGUCCUUGCAGGGCUCAAAGAUGAGCCGCUGGCCGCCCAAGUCGAGGCCCGUUCCAUCAAGACUCUGCUCGAGGGGGAGGUCGCCUUGAAUGGCCGUCUUCGGACUGCGAUAAGCGACCUGUCGGCCUCCUGGGAGCUUGAGCCUGUUGAUGAGUUGAGGGAGGAGGCUCGAGGCGACGCACUCGUUGACCAGCUAUGCUACCUUGGUGCUAUGCUGAGGGACCGGGUGUGGGACGCUCUUCAUGUCGGAGUGAAGCAGGCGAUGGCGGUAGUCUGCUUAGGCUUUUCUUACGACAUGGAGGUGGUGUCCCACGACUUCAUCACCGACAUUUCCAAGACAGACGCAGAGAACGAGGAAAGGCUCCACGCCUUGAUCGACAACGCAGAGGUCCCAGGGGAGAGGUUGGCUACGCUGUACGAGCCAGAAGUACUUCCUCCUAAGAGUAGCUCAGGCGCGGGCGAGGAUGGUGAGGGCCGAGACGCAUACUGAGGCCUGUGAGCCUACUCUGGGUGCCUAGGCCCCUUGUAUAGUACUUUGCCAUUCUAUCUUGUGCAAUAUUGUGUUUUUAAGUGACUUACAAUAUUCGUGAAUGUUUUCCCAUCUUUCCGCUCGAGGCUCCUUUGUUUCCUUUUGCGCCUAUGUUUGUAUUACUCGUUUGGUCUUUCGUUUAAGGCGAUCUCGAUUGCCUCAAGGGUGAGGAAGCGAGUAGAGUUUCCGUAGCCCGGGGGCGUAGGAGUUCUCAGGCUCGUCGUCUCUCGACCCUUAAGGGGCUCGAGAUGCCUCUACUACUUGACCGUACGAGAUUACUGAUAGGAACGAAAGGAUUACUUGGUUUUUUUGACACUUGGGGGGGGGCAUCACCCCCUUGCUAGCCCCUGAGGGGGUAUCGACUAUGAUGGGUCAUAGUUGGUACUCCCUUCUAAGGUCGAGAUUUCAACUCGUGAAAAGGUAAAUUACACAAGGAAAAUUUCUUAUUCAUGCAUUCAUUCAUAAGGCCUUGGUACAGAAUGUACAUGGGAACAUAAAGCUUUGAAAUUCUAGGGGUAGAAUCGACGUAGCUAUUCGAUGUUCCAUGCGUUGUGAAGAUCGCCCCCUUUUCAUCCGCGAGCUUGUAUGUCCCCGGCUUCAAGACCUCGGCCACUACGUAUGGGCCCUCCCAAGGUGGAGUCAGCUUGUGGUGUCCUUGAUUGCUUUGCCGCCGCCGUAGGACGAGGUUGCCUACGUUCAAGUCCCUCUUGCGCACGUGCUUGUCGUGGUAGCGUUGAAGCUUCUGCUGAUAUCUGGCGGAGUUGAGGAGGGCCAUGUCUCGAGCUUCCUCGAGUUGAUCGACCGCGUUCUCUUGAGUCUCUUUAUUUGAUUGCUCAUUGUAUGCUUUGAGUCGAGGGGAUCCGUACUCGAGGUCCGUUGGGAGCACGGCCUCAGAGCCAUUGACCAUGAAGAAUGGGGUGUAUUUUGUGGCCCUGCUUGGCGUCGUCCUUAAGCUCCAUAGGACCGAGGAAAGCUCUUCGACCCAUUUCUUGCUGAAUUUCUUCAAGCGAUUAUAGAUCCUCGGUUUGAGCCCUUGCAAAAUCAUGCCGUUGGCACGCUCGACCUGGCCGUUAGGUCGAGGGUGGGCCACUGCAGACCAGUUCACACAGAUGUGAUGCUGAUCGUAGAAGUCCAAGAAUUUUUUGCCGGUGAACUAAGUGCCGUUGUCAGUGAUGAUGAAGUUGGGAAUCCCAAACCGGUGGAUGACGUCGGUGAAGAAAAGGACGGCCUGUUCGAAGCGGAUGUUGGUGAUGGGUCGAGCCUCGAUCCAUUUGGAGAAUUUGUCGAUGGCCACCAACAAGUGGGUGUACCCCCCUUUUGCCUUCUGUAGAGGCCCUACUAAGUUGAGCUCCCACACCGCAAACGGCCAUGUGAUGGGGAUCAUUUGGAGAGCGUGGGCGGGCAGAUGUGUCUGCUUGGCAUAGAAUUGGCACCCAUGGCAUGAUCGUACGAGUUCGAUGGCAUCAGCUACGGCUGUUGGCCAGUAGAAGCCUUGUCGGAAAGCGUUCCCUACGAGGGUCUGUGGAGCGGCAUGGUGACCACAAGCCCCCGAGUGUAGAUCCUCGAGAAGUUUUCGGCCUUCUUCUAUGGUGAUGCAGCGCUGCAAGAUCCCCAUCGGGCUUCGUCGGUAUAGCUUGUUGUCUUCGCCGUAGAUUACAUAUGAUUUGGCCCGUCGAGCGAUACGACGGGCCUUGGAUCGAUCUUCUGGUAGCUCGCAGCGGAUUAGGCAGUCGAGGAACGGCGUGCGCUAGUCAAACGGUCGACCGGGCCGCUGUUCCACCUCCAUUACCUCAGCUGCCAUUAGUAGCGCUUCGACGGUGUCAGUCUACUGGGCAGGAGCAGCUUCGACACCAGCCCCCGAGCCCAAGUCGACGGAUGGCUCGUGUAGAUCUCUCGAGAACAUGUCGGGUGGGAUCAUGCCUCGAGUCGACGCGAUCUUAGCGAGUUCGUCAGCUGCCUCAUUGUAGCGUUGGGCGACGUGGACGAGCUCGAGGGCGUGGAACUUGUCCUCGAGUCGACGGACCUCCUUGCUGUACGCUUCUAUUUUCGGGUCAUGGCAGUUCGAUGCCUUCAUCACUUGGUCGAUGACGAGCUGGGAGUCGCCUCGAACGUCGAGGCGUCGGACUCCUAGCUCGAUGGCGAUCUUCAGACCGUUGACAAGGGCCUCGUACUCCGCGACGUUGUUCGACGCGGCAAAAUGAAUCCUGAUGACAUACCUCAUAUGAACGCCCAGGGGCGAGAUGAACAGCAGGCCCGCCCCAGCUCCCAUCUUCAUGAGAGACCCAUCAAAGUACAUCGUCCACAGCUCUGCCCGAACUUGAGCCUGGGGGAGCUGGGAGUCUGUCCAUUCCGUGACGAAAUCCACCAAGGCUUGUGAUUUGAUAGCUUUACGGGGCACAUAAGUGAGGGUCUCACUCAUGAGUUCGACCGACCACUUGGCGAUUCUUUCCGUCGCCUCCUGACUUUGAAUGAUCUCGCCCAAGGGGAAAGACAAGACCACCGUGAUAGGGUGGCCGAGGAAGUAGUGCUGCAGCUUGCGCCGAACGAGGAUUACGGCGUAGAUUAGCUUCUGGAUUUGUGGGUAACGCGCCUUGGUCUCCGAGAGCACUUCGCUGAUGAAAUAGACUGGCCUCUGGACUGGCAGCGCGUGCCCCUCCUCCUGCCUCUCGACCACUACCGCUGCACUGACGACCUAGGUCGUCGAGGCGACGUAUAGAAGCAGAGGUUCUGCGGGUCGAGGCGGGACUAGGACUGGUGCAGAGGUUAGCAUUUUCUUCAAGUUAUCGAGGGCUUCCUCGGCCUCUGGGGUCCAAGAGAAACGCUCGACUUUCUUCAAGAGUCGGUACAGCGGCAACGCCUUUUCUCCUAAACUCGAGAUAAAGCGACUCAGCGCCACUAAGCAUCUCGUGACUCUCUGCACGCCCUUGAUGUCUCGGAUUGGCUCCAUUCCCGUGAUGGCCGAGACUUUCUCGGGAUUAGCCUCGAUGCCGCGCUGGGAAACGAUGUAACCUAGGAGCAUACCUCGAGGCACGCUGAAAACGCACUUCUCGGUGUUGAGUUUGAUCUGGUUGGCGCGUAAGCAACUGAAAGCGAUCUCGAGGUCCUGAAUCAGGUCUCCCCGUCGCUUUGACUUGACAACGAUGUCGUCGACAUAGGCUUCGACCGUCGACCCUAUGUGCUUGCCAAAGACGUGGAGCAUGCAGCGCUGGUAUGUUGCUCCCGCAUUUCGAAGCCCGAACGGCAUGGUUACAUAACAAUACAUCCCAAAAGGCGUAAUGAAGGAUGUCGUGAGCUGGUCGGACUCUUUCAUUUUUAUUUGAUGGUAACCAGAAUAUGCGGCAAGGAAAGAAAGGGUUUCACAUCCCGCAGUAGAAUCAACAAUUUGAUCGAUACGUGGUAAUGGAAAAGGAACUUUCGGACAUGCUUUAUUCAAACUUGUAUAAUCGACACACAUCCUCAUUUUCCCAUUCUUUUUCUUAACUAAUAUAGGGUUUGUUAACCAGUCGGGAUGGUGAACCUCCUUGAUGAAUCCAGCCGUCAAAAGCUUGUGGAUUUCCUCGCCAAUGAUCUUGCGCUUCUCCUCGUCGAAGAGGCGCAGUCGUUGCUUCACUGGCUUGGAACCAGCUCGAAUUUCCAAGGAGUGCUCGGCGACUUCCCUCGGUAUGCCCGGCAUGUCCGAGGGACUCCAUGCAAACAUGUCGGCAUUUGCACAGAGAAAGUCGACGAGCACAGCUUCCUAUUUGGGGUUGAGGUCGGCGCUGAUCGUCAGCACCUUGCCGUCGGAGUUGUUAGGGUCGAGCGGGAUCUUCUUUGUUCCUUCUGCUGGCUCGAAGCUGCUCGCGUGGUGCUUAGGCUAUGGAGCCUCUGCGGCCAGGGCCUCGAGCUUCAAGGCGAGCUCCGUGGAACUCUCGACCGCUUCUCCAUACUCAACGCAUUCGACGUUGCACUCGUACGCGUGCUCGAAAGAGGAGCUGACGGUGAUGACACCCUUGGGACCGGGCAUCUUCAGCUUCAGGUAGGUGUAGUUGGGGAUGGCCAUGAAUUUGGCGUAACCCGAGCACCCGAUGAUGGCGUGGUAUGUACCUCGGAAUCCCACUACCUCAAAGGUGAGGGUCUCCUUUCUGAAGUUGGCAGCCGUGCCAAAGCAAACCGGUAGGUCGAUUCGACCUACCGGCAACACCUUCUUUCCUGCUACGACACCAUGGAAGCCACCGGCGCUUGGCUGGAGCUGCGCCCUGUUGAUGCCUAGGAGGUCGAGGGUCUCAAGGUAGAUGAUGUUGAGGCUGCUGCCGCCGUCCAUCAGCACUUUUGAGAGCUGGGUGUUGACGAUGAUGGGGUCGACGACGAGCGGGUAGACGCCUGGGGCGACCACCUUGUCAGGGUGGUCCUCUCGAUUGAAGGUGAUGGGGGCGCUCGACCAGCUGAGGUACUGGGGCACCGCCAUUCUUGCCGCGAAGACCUCACGGCGUUCCCUCUUGUGCUGCCUUGCGGUCAACUGCGUCGAGGGUCCGCCAUAGAUCAUGUAGCAGUCGUGGAUGGCUGGGAAACCGGCAUCGUCUUUGUUGUCCUCCUUGUCUCCGCUCUUCUCCUACUUUGGGUCGUCGCGCGCGUCCUUCGUGAACCCCAGACCGUUGAAAUGCUUUUCCAGCAUACGACAGUCCUCGAGCUUGUGGUUGGCUCCUCCCUUAUGGUAAGGGCAUGGCUCCUUUAGCAUCUUAUCGAAGAUGCCCCCCUCUGGAGGGCCUCGAGGCCUUUUGCGUUCCAUGGUGGCGACGAGAUCAUCGUCGAGGUCUUCCCGCUAGAACGGCUGUGUUUUCUUCUUCUUCUUGUUCUUCUUGGGCCCUCGACUGGGGCCCUCGUCCUCAUCGGCGGGCUGCUUGCCCCUCCUCCCUUCACAGCUGAAGAAGGCGCCCACCGCUUCUUCCCCAGCAGCGUAGUUUGCCACUAUGUCCAUCAGCUCGUCGACGGUGUGAGGGCGAUUCCGGCCUAAUUCUGACACCAAGUCUCGACUGGUGGUACCAGAGACAAAGGCCAGGAUGACGUCGUGGUUGGGGAUGUGCGGCAGCUCGGUGCGCUGCUUUGAGAAGCGUCGUGCAUAUUCUCGGAGGGUUUCUCCCGACUUCUACUUGCAUUUGCUGAGGUCCCAUGAGUUGCCGGGUCGUAUGUAGGUUCCCUUGAAAUUGCCCUCGAACACCCUGACCAAAUCGGCCCAAUCGUAAAUCUGGUUGGCCGGGAGCUACUCGAGCCAUCUGCGGGCGGUGUCGGAGAGGAAGAGCGGCAGCUGUCUGAUGAUGGCUCGAUCGUCCCCUCGGGCGCCUCCUAGCUGACAGGCCAGCCUGAAAUCUGCCAGCCAGAGCUCUGGCUUGGUCUCGCCGUUGUACUUUGCGAUGCUGGUUGGCGGUUGGAAUGGGCUGGGUAGCGGCGUGCUGCGGAUUGCCCUGCUGAACACCCACGGGCCUGGUGGUUCCGGGGCCAUCCGAUCCUCGUCGCUGUCGUAUCUCCCACCGCGGUGGGCGCUGUAACCGCGUUCUUCCGCGUCUCCAUACCGACGGCGACGAUUCUCGUCGAUGUCGCGUCGCGCGUCGUGUCGUCGUUGGUUGUCGACGGGGAGGACGAGCGUGGUCUUUUUUCCUCGAGGGGGCAGCUGCUGAUGGACCGACACCUCUUUUUCAUUUUGGGCUGGCUCAUCGCGCUUUUCUGUAGCUGCCCCUCGACGUCGGGAGGCCGAGCUUUCUGCUUGCUGAACUGCCGCCACCUGGAGCAGAGUCUGCACCUCGUCUCAGAUGCUCCGUGCUUGGGAAUUCAAGGGCUCGAGCAUGUUACACAACAGCAUCGUUGCUACCACAACAUUCUGGCCCGCUCGAGGGAAGCGGCUGACAGGUUGUUCUGGCUCCCCGUCCUCGACGAUUUGUCGAUGCACCUCUCGAGCCCUUCUGCGGACACUUCCGCCAGGCGGGUAAGGCAGGUCCUGCUCAAGGAUCUGUUCGAACAGGACGAGGCGCUCACGAUCUUCGUCAAGCUUUGUCUUGAACUCUCGCAGCUGCGCAAGUUGCGCGGCUCUGUCUUCUUGCGGUGGUGGGUCGACCUGUCCAUCAUUCCCAGGCGUCCUGGGGUCUUCCCUUGCUGCGGGGGCUCGACCACCAGCAGCGGCAUCCUGUGUCUCGUCGGUAGUUUCUACCGCCCCGUCGAUAUGAUAGCAUUCCCUAGUAGGGUCGUAGCUGUCGGAUUCCGAGCCGGAGUCCGGCUCAGCGUCCUUCCUCCGGCAGCCGCUGCCUGAGGGAGGUUAUCGUGUACCGUCCAGGGCCUAGGCGGCGGAGGCCUCUUACCUGUGAGAAGUCUGGCAGCUCGGACGUCUGUCGCUGUACUCCAGGGUCACGUGGGAGGACCAUUGGUCUUUCCAGGUACGUCUGGGCAUUUGGACAUAUCGCCCUGGUGGGUGACGCAGCAACAUUGUCCAGGCCGAACGACAACGUUCUUCUUGGGGCGAAUAGCCCAUGUGGAAGUAGCCUAGCGGUGGGGGAGAGCGCGCGGGGCGCGUCCCCUCCUGUCGUCGUGCGAUCCUUAAGGCUCUGAGUCGUCAUACCCGCGGUUUCGGCGCACGGGGCUCUCGGCUCUUGUGCCACCUCCUGCCUGGCAUGAGCUGUUGGUCAUGGCGAGGUAGAAGGGCGACGGCGGUGCUGUCCACGCCUCUUCUUGGACGGGAAGGCGUGGUGGCGAGGACGUCUCGGGGCCCUCAACCGCGUCGGCGCAACGCGGGCUCCUCCUGGUCCUUUGAUCGAGAGCAGGAUCAUAUCAUAGCCAGAGCUAGUAGACAUGAACUCGAGGCUCCCAAACCAAAUCACAGUGGAGCGCGGAAUCGGUGAAGCGAGAGUGGCCAUCUAGAAAGGAUGGGAAAUCGGUGAAAAACACGCAGGACCCCUACCUGGCGCGCCAACUGUCGGUGUUUUCCCCAUGGGGGGUCACACCAACGAGUAAAUUUGUUUGCGUGCUCCCUUUUCUAGAUGGUGAUGCAAGAAGACACAAAGAUUUAUCCUGGUUCGGGCAAGAGAAGGCCCUACGUCCAGCGGGGGAGGAGAGUUUAUAUUAUAUUGCACCUAAGUGCUUGUACAGGGAUGAAUACAAGCGUGUAUGAACUGGGAUGGAGUAUGGAAGCUCUACUAUGUGUGAGUGUUGUAUCGCAUGAUGUUGUAUCUCUUCUCGGGCCUCCCCUUUCAUAGUUCCAAGGAGAAGCCUAGGGUACAAGUAUAGGCGUCAGAGUAGGGGUCGAUAGAGGUAUGGCGCGCCGACCUACUCGAGGCCUCCGUACCGGUGUGGUCUCGAGCCGUCCCGUCCGGGUAGCUUGAUGAUGAUUAUGCGUGCCCCUGUAUCCUGCUCUAUGCGCCGUCUUUGGCUGGUUUAUCUUGUUGCACGCCUGUUCGUCAUGGCGGCAGAUAUGUCCGAGUAGUUGUGGUGUUGUCAUUCGACGCCCAACCAUUCCCCAGGAAGGAAACGCGUCUGGUCGAGGGUUGGACGUCGUGUAACGCCUUGCUAGCCGGAGCGCUGACCUUGGACGUCUCGAGGGGGUCUUGAUUAGACGUUCCAACCCUGCUUCCUGCGUCCUGACACGCUCUGGAUUAUUUGGUGGGGUGGGCUGCAUAAAGAAUGACGGGACGGGUGCUUGUUAACUAUCACGCUUCCCGUGACUGGCGUGUUAGGUGAGAACGCGACAGGCGCAUUAAAUGCCCUGGUUCCCGUCCCCGUGUCAGGCGGCGGGCGGCGUCCUUGCGCUCGAUGCCUUCCGACUCGCUCGAGCCUGUUUCCGUAUUCGACGGUAGCCUGCGCUCGAGCUCUGGUUGAUUCGCUCGACGCCCUUUCCGUCUUCGAGGCUGCGGUCGUCGAUGACCGUACGCGCAACUGGACUAGGUGUUGAAUUGGAGGCCUCGAUCCGUGUGGGGAUAAUCUCGACAUGGACAUCAGUUGAGUUACCCCUUACUGAUAUCCUCGACAAAACUUGAUUACUAGUUGAUCGUUUCUACACUUGAACUCUUAUAAUUUGGUCGGUUCUGUGACAACCCGGAAUUAGAUCAAUUUUAAACUUUAUGUCUCUCUCCGGUGGCAACCCAGGCAGAUCCUCUGGAAAGACAUCCGGAAACUCACACACUACAGGAAUUUCUGCCACAGUGAGUGGUCUGAUAGCGUUUGCAGUGUGACGGAUGUCAUCAUUUUUGGGAAGUUGGACUAAGAAAGCUUCUUUACUAUUUGGCUCCCGCAACAUGACUACCCUCGUUGAGGUAUCUAUUAACACCCCAUUAUUACUCAUCCAAUUCUUUUCCAAGAUAACAUCUGUGCCCAAGCCCGGCAAAAUUACAAGAUUUGCUGAAAAGUUACGACCUUCAAUAGCAAUAUUCACAUCCUUCACUAAUUGGUUCGUGGAAAUUUGAUUCCUAGCAGCACUAAUGCAAAAUUUUCCAUUGUCAAGAUCAACUACAUGCUGUCCAUGCUUAGAUGUGAAUGCUUGGCUCAUAAAUGAAUGCGAAGCUCCAGAAUCAAACAAGAGAACUGCAGGGUGUUGAUUGACAAGAAACAUACCAGCCGUAACCACUUCUCCUGCAGGGAUUUCUUCGAUGGUGGUGUAGUGCACUCGGCCGGCACGGUUGGUAGCCGCAGCUGCAGAAUUCCUCUUAGGAUAAGGGCAAUCCCUCGCCCAAUGACCAACUUGUUUGCAAUUGAAGUAAGGACGGUUAUCAGGGGGAGUCUUGGGACCUCCUUGACCUGUAGCACCCUAGGGAAGAGCAACUGUGAAGGACUUGCGAACUCCCGUCUUCACAUUUGACUUCUUCUGUGGCGGCGUGUACCUUGUCACAGCAUUGGGCGGGCGAUUGGCCGGUUUACUUGUCGCCGGAGCCUUGGACUGCGAAGCACCUGCUUCAUAGGCCCUCUUGUGGUUCUUAGAUGCAGCGUAAAUGGUGUUGGAGUUCUCCUGGGUCAACGCAUCACUCACAAACUCGUUGAAGGUGGUGCUCUUGUUACCAGCCAUGUUCUUGGACAGCUUGGGCCCUAGUCCUCUCUUAAAACAAGCAAGCUUCUUUGCCUCAGUGUCAACAAACUGAGUAGCAUAAUGAGACAAGUUAUUGAAAGCAUGAAGGUACUCAGUUUCCAGAGGUUCAGAGGCCUCCUUGAAAACCGGUGGCUUCGUGUCCUGAAAAUCAUUGAAGUUGCUAUACUGAUUCGCUUCUCCGCCUUGGCGGGCAUGGCGACCACCCCGAUUCUGCUGUGCCAUGGUUUGCAUAGUUUCAUUUAGCAUCCGCUGGCCCUCCACAAGAGUUGCCAGGAGCUCAGCAGGCGUAGGCGAGGGAGGAGGUGGUGGUGGCGGCACCUCAUUGUGGCCGGAGCUAGUGUUGUGAGCCAUCUGCACAAGGCAUACCAAGUGACCGUUUAGGAUAACAGAUAUCAUUGCCAUGAAUCCCAACUGAUGCCGUAUAGAAUUUAAUGAAAUAAAUUCACAUAAUACAAGGCACAAUAAUCCAUGUACAACAAGGGAAUAUCAUCCACGACACUGGUUAUUCUCCCGAUCAUUCACGACCACAUUUCUCAAGGAUUAAAGACAUUGGUGGAAAUUAUUUAAGAUCAACAUAAACAUGGAGCAUCACAUACAGGUGCAUAAGGUUACACAGAGUCAUUGUCACAACUUAAGUCUUUCAGAAAGGGCAUCAUGGCCAAUACAUAAAGUCUCACUGGAAUUUCAGAUUACAUGACCAUUACAUAAAGAGAUGGAAACUGAUACAUAAUUUAAGGAAACCAUUGCGAAACUACAGUUCUUCUUUAGAUUCUCCAUUAGAGAUUAUGCCAUCAUCCUGAUCUUCCUCACCUCUUCAUGAUUAAUGGGGAUAGGGUGUGGAAUGGGGUUGAUGAUAUUGUUUAGGCGAUGGACAUCUAACUGCAGUUCAGCAAUCCUACUGAUCAGCUCUUCCUAUCUAAUCUCAGCGUGGAAUAAAGCUCUAACUCUAGCAGCUUCUCUAUUUUCAGCCAAGCGCAUAGCUUCAUCUCGCUCUCUAGUCAUUUGCAUCAUGCGAGCUUGUGCCUGAUUGCGCUCUCUAACUGCAUUUUCAACUUGGUUGCGGUGGGCUUGCAAAGCGGUAUGGUAGUUUUGAAUUUCAGCUUGUGCAUCACUAAAGGCUUUGCGGUGCUUGCGCACACGCUUGCGUAGCUUGCGCUGCCCAACUUGAGCUUGCUGAAGCGCUAGCAGGGCUUCUAUGUAGGUGUCUUGGCGUACAUAGUACAACUUAAGUACCGCUAGCAUGGCACUCAUAGCAGGGCUAGAGCUGUAUCCUAGUAUGGUUUCUCUCAUCUCCAGGGGCUCAGUUCCUAUCUGAGACACAAAGGUGUCGGUUACACUUACUCUAGGAAAAGAUCCAGCUGGGCCAUUCACUAGCUCAUCACCAUAGUGCUGGCAUAUUUCUAAUAGGAUUUCCAAGGCUGCUACUUCGGCACCCUCCGAAGGAGUUUGACCAUCGGACUCUACUAUCCAACCUAGCCACUGUGGGCUGUUUGGACAAGAAGGAACUGUAAUUUGGACAUCUACCCAAGGUAAAGAUCCUGCAAGCUCAGCCUCUGUCCAAGUGUACUGAGGAGGUUCCUCAUAUUCCAUUGAGCUUAGCACUCUCCACAACAAGGUAGGUGUGGCAAACAUGUCCAGAAAAGUCUCACUUGCAUGUGGGGCUGCCAUCUAUAGGAAAGACCACAACUUGAGCAAGGAAGAUUAAUUACAACGGAAGGUAAUUAGAUAUAGUUUCGGAAUUAUAAGAAUUGAGUAGUGCACAAGGGAUGCCUGAAUGAUUCAUGAUGCAUGCACGUUCCAUACGUCCUUACCAUUCCUAUAAGAAAGUUCUAACGGUAUAGUCGGUGGCGUACAUACGUGUACUCUUUAUACGUAAUUACACGGUCUACACGUUUCGUUGUUACUGUACCUGCAGAAACUUUUAUUUCAGCCCAUCCCCACAAGAGUAUAUGUGCAGAAAUGAAAGUCUAAUCAUCUACAACCAAGCUAGGUACUCCGAUAUAUAUCUCCGAAAAUAUAUCGCAACACACUACCCAUUUGGAACACACCCACAUAUACAUCAAACAUGUAUACGUGGCUGCACCUACUACCCACAAUUAAGUACCUUCAUAUAUACAUGUGUGAAAUAUGUAAAUAUUCCAGUAACCAAAGCUAACACUCCCGUAGACCGACGAUUGGACGGUCAUGCUCUCACAGCUCACACUUACCACAACGUAGAGGCAUAUAGAUCCAUACAUUGCCACUCAAGCAAGUGGCAUCCAUACAAUUUCACGCCGUAUGGACAACGAAAGAAAAAAAAGACAUUGCUUACCAUGGCGUAGAGGUAUCUGAUCCAUUCAUUACCACUUAAGUAAGUGGUAUCCAUAUUAUUACACGCCAUAUGGACGAUGAAAGGAAAAAUCCCCAUGUUAGUAGUAUUAAGCCACCUAAAAGUCCUUAAGCGGGCAUAAAGGGGAUGACCACUGACAUGGUAUAUGUUAUUAAAACAUUUUUAACAGCCCUAUGUAUGGUAUAAUUUGCCAAUUAGUUUGGGGAAAAACAAAUUCAUUUGUUUUAAAUACAUCUAUGAUGGUUAAAUGCUUAAUCUUGCUCCGAUACCAGCUGUAACAGAACCGUCCAAUUUAUAAGAAUUCAAGUGAAUUAGCGACCACAAAGGCAGUCAAGCCAAUGGACUUGAACCCAUAUAAACCCGGUAGUCCGACGAAACCUCAAAAGAUCUCGAUUCAACCAACAUACAACCAAGAUCGUACAUGAUCAAGCAUCGCCAUCACAGAUUACAUACAUUCAUCACAGAACAUAGUUUUACAACACAUCGGAGUUCAAAUGAAGUUAUUACAAACCAGUUUAGUAGCGGAAGCAAAGUAGUUUUAAAACCACACGCACUUAGUUUAAUUACAUGCCAGAUCCAUAGUCAACCCCAACAAAAGCACAACUGAAUGUAAUAGAAGUGAUCAUGCCCAUGAUCUACUCAUCGUACGCAGCCGGAAGAUGACAGUUAGCACAGUAGCCGUGAUAAAUGACAUCAUCUGCAACAAAGGUAAAUAAAACCCUGAGUACGAGAAUAUACUUAGCUAGACUUACCCAUCAUGAACCAGAAAUAAAGUGACACCAAGGAGUAUGCAAGGCUAAUAUUUGUGGACUGGUUUGACUCACCUUUUGCAUAAAAAGCUUUAGACUUAAGUACACAUUUAUAAUAUUUUUCAGCAGCAAGUUAAUUACUUAGAUCAGCAAUCCACUAGAUUAGCACCUGUUCUAAGCACACACUUGAGUACUUAAGCAUCACAAUAAUAACCAUAUCCGGAUUAUCACAUAGCUAUCAACACUCUCAACUUAACCAUCAAGUUUAUUUAGUGAGCUCUACGUUGCCGCUGCUCGAGUCAAGUUCUCACUAUCCGGGAGAGACGGCGAUUCGAAUCGAUUCCUAUCCAGCUGGGGGGGUAUUCCUAGCACUCACCCAAGCAUACCUCAGGAGGACAGCUCGGAUCACCUUUAGCACAACUCUGGACCAAUUCUCGGGUCCGUACAGGCCGCAUCCCUAGGGACCACCAAUCUGUCAGGGUCAGGAAUCUGUCCUGACACCUUGGUCUUACGCCAUUGACUCCCCGCACAUCCUUGCUACCAACCGGGGUGCGCACUUAAACUGAACGGGGUAUCCGGCCAGAGAUGCACUCGUAGGCUUCGCGGUCGGAACGACUUAUCUGGCCAACUAAGUGUUAGGCAUGCGUUCAACAUGACACGAGGACGUACAGCGAAUCGGUCAUUAGCCGACACAGACGGGGAUAGAUUCACACCCAAGACCUCCAUGCCUUGUUGCUGCACUAUCGUCAUCCCGCCCAGUCUCAAAUUCAUUAUUAGCACAUGGUUAUCUCCACGAUAGCAAAUAUAGCCAACCGUGAUUCAGUAUCCACCUAACUCUCGCAGGUGACAGGAAAUCACCCGGCUUCUACCGAGCUAAGCAUGGCUAAGCAUCAUUUCGAUCCUGGAACUACUUAGGUAAGGUAUAAGGUGGACAAGGUAGUUAAAUAUGCAGCAAAGGUGUCAUAUCAACACCUAACACCUAAUGCAACAUUAUAUAACCAUAGUUAAUUGACAGCUGGAUAUGAUAACAAAAUAGUAGGAGGCUUAUAAUGCUUCGGGGCUUGCCUUCAAUGUAUGUAGAGGGACGGUGGUCAGGGCACUCUGGUAGAUCCUCCUCCUCCUCAGCUCCUUGAGGUGGCUCCCCUUGCUGCUCCUCCGGCUCGGGUGGUGCGAACUCCAAGACCAUCACGCCCUUGGGUACACCUAAGUAUGCAUGACAAGGUGAUAAAUAUAGGGAAUGCACAUGUGAUGCAUGAGGUUAUGAUGACCAGCCAAAGGAACAUAAAACAUAGUGCAAACAUGAGCAUAAGCUUCUAAUAUUAAGAGAAUCAUGAACAACAAGUAAGUGCAUACUUCUUCUCUGGUAGAGAGACUAACUAGGCAAGCUACUCAACCUUAGCUAUUCACACUUAGCCACUGGUGUCCUAGACAGAUUAGCUAGUCACAAGUUUUAGCUAUAACUCAGGCGCAAUUUGCCCAAACUAAGCAAGUAGAUACUUUGUGGAAAGCUUAACAAAUUGUCUACAAAACAUCUUUAUACAUCCCAGAAGGAUUCCCAACCGAAAUAUGCUAAAACAGACAAAGUUCGCUGGCUGUCCUGGAAAAACCAGAGAACAAGCACUUCGUAGCAGCUACUUGCAACAGUCAUAACUUUUAAGUUACUCAGCCAAAUGUCAUGAAAUUUGGACACAAGGUAGAUAAGUAAGUGAGCUACAAGUUUGUUAAAGACAAGUUUUCCAGAAAACAUUAUCUUCAAGCAGUUCUUAAACAAUUGCUAUCAGCUAUACAGGAUAUGCUCUAGGAAGGACAUAAUUAGCAAAAUAAUAUUUUGACACAUACUAAGAAUGUACCAUAGGUUCAAACCAAAAGCACUAGUAGAUAGAACAGGUGUAAACACCAGAAAACAUCAUGGCAAGGUUUAAACUCAUUUGUAUCAUCACCUUUUCUAUUUAUUUAAUCAUUAAGAUGAUUUAAUGAGCAUAUAUCACAAGUACUCCAAAAAUUCCAAUAAAAUUACAGCAUGCUAUCUAUACUACCACAAGGUUACUCUAAACUUUUCAGGGCUCUUGCACAUGUGGAUUGUGAGAUACAAAAAUGACAAGCUAAUAAUGGCAUCAAAGGUAUAAAUGUGAAACCCUAUCAAAAAGUGUCAAACAACAAAUUUCAGAUUUUUCUUAGCUUUGUUUACACAUGAUUACAUCACUCAGCAAGUUUCACCAUAAAAGGAGUUAUAAUCUAUUUACUAAAAAUACCACAAGAAACUCCUAAUUAAACAAGAAAUAUUUAUAACUUCACUAACAGACAUCCAAAAAUCAUGAUAAAUUUAUCAGAGCCUACUCAUAUCAUAAGUAACAAUAUCUUAAAUUUGCAUGGCCAUAAGACUCACAGAUCUCAAGAUAUAUUUACCUCCUAUUUAAACCAGAUUAAAUCAUAUCUAUUUAUUUCUGCAAAACCAUGGCAUGUUUUAUAUUUUUAGUAAAAACUAGCCUAACUCAGGAACCUAACAAAAUUGGAAUCACUCCAAUUGGAUCUGUAUAACUCGAGUUAUGAAUUUUACAAAAACAGCUCAUGCUCUGCAAAAAAAGUGGACCAGAGGGGAGAGAGGCAGAGACUGACAGGUGGGGUCUGCUGACAGACGGGACCCACGCGACAGAGAGACAGAGACAGGGGAGAGCUCGUCGCCGGAGAAACUCGACGACGGCGAGGUCUCGGUCGAAACCAAGGGCAUCUACGUGUUCCUUACUUCAAGGCGAACUCGUUGACCUACUUUGCUCGCGCUCUACUAGACCCUAGGGUGCUCGCCGUCGCGAAUGGCGGAGCGGCGGUGCUGCGCGGUGUUACGUCGGCGAACUGAGGCAAUGGCGGCUCAGUAGAGGUUGCGGACGAGCAAGAGUGAAGCAAGGCGAAGUUGUAGGAAGAAGAAUCACGGCCAGAGGUGGACCAGAGAGGUCUGGUCACGUUGCCGGUGAUCUCUGCGAACUCCGGCGAGGUGGAGCUCGCGACGGAGUUGUCAAUGCGGCCUCACCAGUGCUCGGCUAAGGGAAAGAGGUGGACGUCGAGGUAGAGGACGUCGUGGCAGAGCUUUGGGCAGGCUGGCUUGGCCGGAGAUGCGGUGAUGCGGCCGGGAGAGCUCGCCGAAGCUCGGCGGAGCUCGCCGAGGUGAUGGCGGAGCGAAAUGUGGAGCGCUGGAGGGGCGAAUGGUGCGUCUGAGGCAUCCAUCCGGUGCGUGGCGACUUGUGGGCGACACUGGAGCUGACAGGAGGGGCCAUCGACGGCGUACGGUUGACAUGUGGCCGGACACGCGGCGGCGGGCGAGCUCUGUCCAAACUGAAACGUUAGCUGAAUCGCCCGAUCGCAGUGACUGAAUCCCAAAGUUCAUCGACGUUUUACUCUUGAUCCACUCGAUGCUUUUGGCUCAGGUUUGUUCCACUAGGUAGAGCUACACGAGAUCUACAAGUUUGCUUACAGGAUCAAAGUCUAACUCGGCCUAGAUUUCAAACUACAAAGUUUCCAAGUACCCUAUGUCGAAACUGCAGAAUCCAGACUUAGCCAAAUUCGGCUAAGUGUGAAAACAGCCUUGAUUUUUGCCUUGAGAGAUAAUUUUGAAUGUGUUCCCAGCAUUUUCUUAAAAAGUCACCAACACAACUUUUGUAGCAUAUGAAAUUUAAUACAACUUUGUUCUAGAUGUCAUUUACAUGCAAGGUCUCUAACACCAGUUUCAUAAAACAUAUUUGAAAAGAGGUUUAGGGGGUUAAUUAGGUCAACCUAGGGUUAACCAUGACUUAGGGGUAUUUUUGGGCAAAACCUCUAACACAAACUUUGUUCAAAAUGUUAUUCUAAACAUGAUUAAAGUAUUUUAGAAGACAAUGUACACUUAUAUGCAUUGGUCAUCCAUUACUAUCACACAUAGCAAGUCACACAAGAAAUUCAAUCACAUAAUGUACACACCAAAUGACAUGUGAUCAUGGUAUGAUGCUCAUGAGUGAUCAUGAUGACGCUUAUGUUGAUGCAAUGCUCAUGGUUAACAUGCAAGCUAACACUAGGAGUGUUACAUCUGCCAAGCUCACCAAGAAGAGAAAGGGUGAUGGCUCAUUGUCGGUGUUUUGACCCCGGGGGGGUGACACCAAUGAGUGAAUUUGUGUGCGUACUCCCUUUUCCGGAUGGUGAUACAAGAAUGACAUAAAGAUUUAUCCUGGUUCGGGCAAGAGAAGGCUCUACGUCCAGGGGUGAAUACAAGUAGAUGUGGCCAAGAGUUCUAAGUCUUAGGUGAUGGUGGUGUGUGUGAAUCGUAUUCUACGAGUUGUGUUCUGUGGUUGUGCUGGUUGUGUAUGUCGUCCUCAGUAUCCCCUUUUAUAGUUCCAAGGGGAGACCUCGGUUACAAGUUGUAGGCAUUAGAAUAAGCCUCAAUAGGGGUAUGCCGCGCUGACCUACUCGAGGCCUCCGUACCGGUGUGGCCUCGAGCCAUCUUGUUACAGGGUACUUUGGUGAUGAUGGCGCGUGCGCUCCCGAAUUCAGACCCUGUACAUCGUCUUGUAUUGGCUUAGGCGCGGGCACGCCAGUACAUCAUGGCAUCAAUCAUGUCUAGGGUGGUUGAAGCGCUGACUUCCAUCGCCUGAUCCUUUCCUGGGAAGGAACGUGUUUGCUCGAGGGUCGGACGGCUCGGGCGGCCUUGUUUCGUGGGAGUGCUGACUCUGUACGUGUCGAGGGUUGCCGCGAUGAGAUAUUACGCCUGCAGCACUAUGCCGAGUCAUACCUUUAUCCAUCCUAGGGGAUAAAGAUGGAAAAAGUGAAGAUUUGAUGGGUGCUUGUUCCCCUAUCAGGAUUCCCGUGACUGUCGGGUUAGGUGGGAGCAUGGUAGUCGCAUUAAAUGCCCUAGCUUCCAUACCCAUGACAGGCAGCGGAGGACGCUUUUGCGCUCGAGGCCCAUCGAUUCGCUCGACGCUAUUUCUGUACUCAACGAUUGCUGGCUAUCGAGCACCUAUCGAUUCGCUGGACCCUGUUUCUGUGUUCAAGGCCACGAUCGACACCGUGCCCUAGUGAUCACGUAUUUAUGUCAGAGCAUCAAGCUGGAGCCUAGAUUUGUUUGUGAAUCCUCUCGUUGUGAGUGUUGGCUGGGAUACGCCCUACUGACAUCCUCGACAGUAGCCCCUGAGCCUCUGUUUGAGCACUUGUGUUCGAGCAGAGGUUCUUCUGAUGGAUGAGUUUCCAUAGGGGUCGUGUGAUCGACACCCGCAGGGGUAGCCCUCGAGCCCUUGGAGGAGUCUUGUACGCCUUCGAGGGCUAUAUUUCUUUUUCAAAUGCGACUGCUCCUAAUCUUCCUUUUCACAAAAGGGCGUUUGUUUCGGAAAGGAUCCUCUGACCCUCGUUGGCUGGCUUUACCUUUUCGAGGCUAGGGGUGUGACAUACUCCCAGUGGAGCGAGCGUCAUCGUCCUGGGUGAGCUCCUACCGGGUAAUCCAACCGAGAACCCAUGCCCCGUUCGAUGGGGUUGGCUGCAGCCCAAAGACGUUCUGAUUAAAGCUGGGCUAGCGAGGUCGAGGAUACUGGUCUCAUUCGAUAGAGUCCAGUGGCUCGAUGCCUCCCUCCAUGGGGAUUCCUUUUGACCUUCUUGCCCCUGCCUUGGAUGCUCCUAGCGAGUCCUCGAGGCAUGCCUCAUUUUGACCCCUCGCUAGGUGUUCCUGACUCUAGUACUCGAGGGCGACCGUCGAACCCAUCCGAUGGGCCGGUCUGUGCUCCCUCAAGGUUCUUAUGGCGGUGUGCACCCAUCUUACCUUGCGACGGAAUGAAGAGUUGCAGCGGUUUGAUUUCCUGCCCGUUGGGCGUGCCUUUUUAGGAUGGAGCCAUUGUGGCGCUAGUUCGUUGGCGGAAUCUGUAAUGCCCUGCUAGAGAGAAAUAGAACCGUUAGGCGGUGCAUUUAUUGAAGAAGUUACCGCGUUUGUCAGAUCUACCCAUUGCGGGGCGCUUAUAAAUAUCGAGGGGCAGUCCGGCAGCCGUCUCUUCCGCAUCCUGCCAUUGCUCUUGCCCUUGCUUCCUCUGCAUCUUCUUGCGUGCUUGAAGCACAACACACCCUCGAGCAGUGAGAUCCGUAGAGUCACCCUCGACCUCCCGUCAAGAAGCCUAUGAGACUCAUCGCUGCCAACGAUUGGCGCCCGUUGUCCAUGACGGAGCGCUGGCCGAGGGAUUUGGACAAGGAGGGGCUCCUACGCCCCCAUGCUUCCUCAAUGCGGCCUGAGUGGAUCACACCGCCGGCGGAUCACUAGGAGCGAAACCCGCUGAAGGGCUAUGUCGUCUCCUUUGCCAAGUUCUACCGUCACGGCCUCGGUUCCCCUCUGAGUCACUUCAUGAGGGUGCUGUGCCAUCACUAUGGCGUCGAGCUCUAGCACUUCUCCCCCAACGCCAUCACCGCUGCAGUGAUCGUUGCUGCGGUGUGUGAGGGCUACUUGGGGGUGAUGCCUCACUUGGACCUGUAUGGCAGAACCACCCUAAUUAUAUGGCCCACAUGCACCUGUCAUUGUCCUUAAGACCUCUGACUACUGCACAUGAGAGUCAUAUAACUCGGAUAGUCUGCGGGUGCCCUCAGAGGACCCCGAAUCAUCCACAUUUUUUUUACUCAUACAGGAUCAACAUGGAGUUACCACAACAUUACAACAUUUGUUACAAAAGAACUUACAUCGGAGUAUGGAUGAUUUAUAACUCAACUUACAACAUAUGAUGGAAUAUAAACAACUAAAUUUCCAAAAGAUGUGUAGAGUAGCGGAAGCAACUUAGGUGAAGCUUCUAAGGUAGAAGUUGUGGAUAAAUCAUGUCGCGCCCACCGACAUGACCUCCAUUAGCAGCAUAAGUCAGCACCUGCAACAGGGUUUAUAAAACCCUGAGUACGGGAGUACUCAACAAGACUUACCUGGCGGAAAAAGAGGAGAAAUUAGGAAUGCAGGCUUGGGGUAAACAAGGAGUGGCUGAGCAAGGAGCCAAAUUGUUUUGCCAAAAAGCUUACUAAUAGUGCAUCCUUACUUUCAAGUUUUAUCCACGAAUUCCUCUCCUUAAGGGGUCGAGGAGUUCGAGGGCAGUCUAUCUAGUUGCUUCUCACAGACAAGUCUGCAAGUUCCAAGUCCUUAAUCAAAGUAUUAUCUAUCCAACGGCCAUAGCUUCAUGUCACUCUGAGUCCGAGAAUUGGGAUCCGAACCUCAUGAGACAUUUCCCCCUUUCUCAUUUUAUCACUUAGUCGCAUAAUUAACUACGAUGAGGGUCAGUGGAUUGAGUCUCCCAAUCGGGGAGCAACGACGAUUCGAACCGCUUAGCAAUCCAGCUGGAGUUCCUAACCACCCGACAUAUGUAGAACCAAAUCUUGCAUAUGUCAACCCAAAUCAAGCUCUCCCCAAAUUUGACUAGGUUCGCGGCACCCGAGAGCACAGUACUCCACCAUCCUACAGCCGAUCUAGAUGUUUUCCGGUCAUCUCAGAUCCGUAAGGUGGGUACACACUACUCUCGCCAUCGCUCCACGCCCAGUGCGUGAGUAGCUGUUCGCAUCGAGGGAUCACAAGACCGGGCUUACCGAGGGCAAGUGGCUAGUACUAUAAAUUCUCAACCCAUCAGGCCACCAACGGACCGGUCCUUAACCGACACAGUUGGAGACACUACUUUAAGACUCCAUUCUUAAAGCAAGUCCACCGACCGGUCUCAAAUUGAAACAUCAUUGAUCAUAAGUGUAUUCCACAACAACCCUUCAAACUUUCUUGUUUGAAAACCUAUCUAGUAGCAGGGCUAAGCAUCACUACGUGAUUUUAAAAUAAAACAGGUGCCAAGGACAAGAUAACAAAUAUCAAGGUAGUAAAUGCAGCAAGUAGGUUAACCCAAUUCUCAACUACCUAAUGCAGCAUUUUCAAUUCAUAAGUGAUAAAAUAUUUAAAACAUUCAAGGAGGGGUUAAUGCAUCCGGGGCUUGCCUUGGUUGCAGAGCUGACAGGGACCCUCAGAGACUUCCCAAGUCUCGAAUUCUACUUCCUCAAACGGAACACCGACCUUGGGGUUCGGUUCAACGGUCGCUCCUUCGGUCACGUGCACUACAUGUAAAAUGAUGUAUUCUCAUGAUAUGCUUAUGACAACUAUUUAAGAAGGACCGAGUUGAGUACAACUGGCCUUCUCGGUGCAAUACAGACUAAACAAUAAUUAAAGUUGUUUAUCAUUUUAGUUUCUUUACCCAAGAGGUUGCAUCAGUAAACUAAGAUUCCUCUUAGUUCACAAUUAUCCUUAAUUAACUAAUUAUUAAUCCUCAGGUCAUCACACAAUUCUAAAAUCACUCAAACCCUAAUAUUGAGAAUUUAACUAAUUAUUAUCUAAUUAUUCUAGAAUUAUUAUUUAAUUACUAAUUAAGGGUUUAAUAAUAUUUUAUUCAAACAUGAUCCAAAUGCCACCAAAUUUUGUGUGAAGCCUGGGAAUAAUAUUCAGAGGCUUCUCACAAUGUUUGGUGAUUUUUGGAUAUACUCACAAAUUAUGAAAAUUCAUGGAAGUUUUAUUCAUUAAUUAAAAGAGACCAUUUUUAUAUAUAUGCAAACUACCAGAAAAUAAAAUCUAAUAUUUUUCCUGUGUUCUACUCAUUUUAUGGAACCUAUACAAAAAUUUCCAUGAUUUUUGAAUCAGUACAUGAUUUGCUAUACAAAUUCAAACACCAAGUAUUUUUAAACAAAAAGGAAAAAAAGAAAGCACCCUGUGCUACGCGGCCGGCCCACUUGGUCACGGCCCAAGUCGGCCCGAGAGCCUCCUGCGUCGCGCGCGGGCGCUGCCCCUCUCACGCGGCCACUGACGGGCGGGUCCCACCCAUCAGAAGCUUCUCCUUCCUCCUGCCACCACUCCGGCGAGCUCAAGCUCAACGCCGGUGAGGCCUAGGCCUCCGCGGUAGGGCGGGCUAGCUUCCCCAACUCCACGCGCACCCACUGAGGCGUUCAAAGCACGUGCUACUCCCUCCUACUCCCCUUGCCCGCGUUCAUGGCGGACGGUGAGGCUAACGGCGCGAACACCGGUCACUGCAAGCGAAUAGAACGCAAACCAAAGGGCGCAUGAGCAUCAGGGGCUCACUGCGACUUCAAUGAAGCAAAGAGCGGUGAUGGAGUAGAGCUGGCCGCGGUGAGGCGCUUGCGGCGGCGUUCCGGCCGGGUUUGGAGUAGAACGGUCCGGUCGGGGGCUACAAGGGGUUAGAGCGCGCGACAGAGGGUCCAGGGAGUAGCUGAGCUCAAGGCGAAGCUCUGGAGGUGCUUUGGGGGCUCGGACAGGGAGUGAACACGACGAAUUUUGUGGGCGACGAAGUUCACCGGCGUCGGGCGCGAGAGAAAUAAAAGGCGCGCGUCGGCCGGUGGUGUGGCUUAUAUCGCGAACGGAGGAGAUGCCCAGCUUCCACGUCGCCUGGCGACACUGGCAGGCAAGCAGCUGCGUGCGUGCACGCAUGCACGCGGCGCUGCACGCGCGGCGGCCGCACUGGACAGGGGCGCCGUGAUCCCUAUCGGAUCACUUUAGCCGUCUAUAUCCUCCCCAUUCUGUCCCUUUGCGAAAUUCGACCAAAAGUUGAACUGGAGCCAAAUUUUAACCAAAAUGAAAGUUGUGCAAAAUUUUACAAGCUACAAAACAUAUUUUGGUGUCCAAAGCUGUUUCCAAGUGGAAAAGGGUGAAUUUGACAAAACAGUUUGAACUUCAAAUCUCAAAUUGGGGAAAUUCAAAUUUUUGAAUUGGGGCAGAUCAGAAUUUCCAAAAUUACUUUUGAUUUUCCAUAACAACUUGAAAUAUUCCCAACAUCAAAGUUGUUCAACUUUUUGAGCUCUACAACUUUCAUGUUGGUCACUUUUCAAGAUUCCGAAUAGAUUUUGAAUUGGAUAUUCAAAUUGGAAAAGGGGACACUUUCUGGAAAACUGUAUUUUCAAAAUUACUUUGAAUUUUGCAUUGAAACUUCAAAAACUCAAAACACCAAAGUUGUACAUCUUGACAAGAUCUACAACUUUGCUUUUGAACUCAACUUCAAAUUUUGCUUAGUUUUUAAAUUGCACAAAAGGGGGCAAAUCAAGGCUUUUAAAAUCAGGGUUUUUCCCCCCCGCCCAUUUUCUCGGAAAUCUUCCACCCUAGGAAUUAUACAACCAACACAAGCAUCACUUCACAACAUAAGCACACUUUAAUUCUCUAAGCACAUUCAACCAAAAUAAACUUAUUUUAAGUUGAUGCAUAAUGAUGUGCUUAACAAAUAUGCUUUGCAAUGCUUAUGAUGACAUGAUCCAGUUUUAGUGUUCGUAACAUCAGGGAUGUUACAACCUGUGGCUCCACCUGUACCGAGGUGAGCUGUUCCGCGCUCCCGGCGGGACCGCUGGGGUGAGGAAGCUGGUGCGGGCCAGCUGCCUCAACCUAGUGCAGAAAACGGGCAACACGGAGGAGCCUCGAGAGUACAUCCCCAUUGGGCUGACGUCUAACCAUGCCUAGUGGGACUCUCAGUGGUUCUACCUCCGCAACGACGAUGACCUCUUCCCCGCCUACACCGGGCGGUUGAUCUCCGAGCGCCUGGAGAACUAGAACUUUGGCGUCGUCAAGACUCUCCUGUCCUAGCUCUGUGCCCUCCCGAUGCUCUGAAGAAGUUGCGUGAGGAAGGUCUGACCGCCGCACUCAUUCUCUCGGCGGUCCACCAUCGACGGGUGCUUCUGUUGAUCUCUCGGCCAUUGAGGAUGGACGAGAUGGGCCCUGUUGUUUCGUCGCGGGACCUCGAGACAUGCCGGAUGUCUAACGAGGCGCCUUCGGAUGAAGAGGUUGCCGCUAGGGUUAGGGCGGCCGUCGCAAGCGACUUCUAGCCGGAGUAGGUGAACGGCUUCCCCAUGAAGCCUGAGGAAGGCUACUAUGAUCUGGUAAGUCCCUCGAGUUAUCGAUCUUUGUUAUUGGCUUUGCCGUUCUCUUUCUGAUUUCUCCGAGACUUAUGCCUAUUCUAACAAGGGCCGAUCGACGCUCGGUCCUCUAAGCCUCCGGUGAAAGAGGACGACGCCGAGCGUGAGAAAAGGCAUGCCUCCAUGGAGAAGCAUAAGUCCGUAAAGGACACAGAGAAGAAGAAGGAAAAGAAGAAGAACAUCGAGUAGCAAGCGCUCGAGGAAUGUCGAGCCAUGUCGAGGCAUGAGGGGGAGCCUGAGGAAGAGUCCCUAGAUGAAGACCAUAGUGACAAUGAUGACGAUGAUGAUGAUGAUUCCGAGGGGAUGGCGGCUCGCCUCGAUCGGGCCCUGCAAGGCCUACCGCAAACAGCUGUCCCCUCGUCGUGCGUGGGGGCCUCUAAGGGGCCGCAAGGCGAGCCCCACGAUGGGGGCCAAAAAGAGGCAUCACCCCGCCGCCCAUGCAGCGACACGCCCCCUGCCCCCGCCCAGGGUCGAGCCGUUCCUCCGCCGCAACCCCUUCCAGCGUCCAGCCCAGGCCGUAAGGUCAAAACCUCGACGACGGGGCCGCUGACUCGAGGCCGUGCCGCCGCGGUGGCCUCAAGCCAGGGAGAAGGACAUCGGAGGAGUGCCGGUCCCAACGUUCGUCAGCCAGGGAGAGUGGAGCCGAGGCCCGCACCUGUCGUGGAGAAGCCGGGGGCCACGACGCACGGCAGCUUUAGGCUUGCUGGUCGUGGGACCGGUAGGAGGGUCAUCCUUCUCGUAGGGUAAGGUCUUCAUACUAGGAUUUCGUCUAUGUUGUCUUAUUCGUCCACCGGCACUCACUAUCUUAGGCCCUUUCUUCCUUGCUCAGGUUGAAGAGGCCAUUGGAGCAGGCCCAGAUAUCGAUGGCUAAGAGGCUCAAGGCGGGGGCAAGCACCAAGGCUCUGGGUAAGUGGCUCACUCCUCUUUUUGUGGGGUUGGCUCUACUUAGUACAGAGACUCCCUGUGACGGAUGUGCCGUUUUGGGGCGUAUGCAGGUUCUCCCGACCCUCGAUCGCCCACUGGUGAUGACAUGACCCCGCCUCGACCGUCGGAGGGUGUGAUGGUUCUGGAAGCGUCUUACCUCCAAGGUUAGGAGGGAGCCCCCGAGCCGCCCAAGUCGAGGGGAGUGGGCGACCCCAUCACUAUUAGUGAUGAGUCCGGGGGCGGUCCGUAUUCGACGAGCACUCAUGUCACAGACGAGAGGGUCGAGAUCCUUCAGGUCAAGGGAGGGACACCAUGGCCCAUUGGGCUCCAUUCCAUUGAGGUAGUGAACAGGAGGAAGGACGAGAAGGAGCAGCAGAAGAGGAGGGAGGAGGAAGAGGGAGAGCAGCGUCGUCUGCAGGGUCAGCAGCAGCAAGAGGCGCAGGUUCAACAGCAGCAGCAGCAGGCGCAGGAAUAGCAGCAGCAACAGCAGGAGACGCAGGAGCAGCAGCAGCAAGCGCAGGAGCAGCAGGGGGAGCAGUUGCAGCUCGAGGAACAACUGGAGCAACACCGACAGCAAAAACUGCAGGAGCUUCAACUGCAGCAGCGGCAGUUGGAGGAGUUCCCCGAGCAACAGCAACCGCAGGGGCAGUGACCGCUGCAGCAUCAGCUCGAGGAGGUGCAGAGGCCUGAGACAGGGGAGGAGGAGUGAUGAGGACAUCGCCACGCUAGAUAUGUUGACACCAUCAUCUUUUCCAAGUUGCAAUUCAUCUCCAACUCAGCUACCAUGUCACUCUCGGAUUCAGCAAACAUAUCAUUAGUGUUUUGAUCAUAACUUCUUCAUACAACAUCGAAACAGGGUGCUCUUGGACUCGUUGGAAAGGGGACAACAACGCCAUCAUUUUGGAUCUGGUCCCAGCUCCAGAUCCUUCGUGGAUUAAUCGUUAUGUUCAUGCCAAGGUGCUGCAUCACCUAUUUUUGGCCAACUUUGUCAUGUAUCGAAUUCGGGCCUUAAGCCCAUGCUGUGGACGCCUCCCCCUAGUCGUCUCCAACCCUAGGUCGUUUCUCCUUUAUAUUCUACACAGCCGCCGCUGUUUAGACUUGGGUUGUGUUUAGAGUUUAGUUUUCUAUCGAGAAACUGAAUCGUUCAUUGUAACUGUGGUGACAAAUCCUUUUACAGUGAUCCAGGGCCCCCGUUCUUGAUCUCCUCCACUGUGUCGAUUAGUCCUUUGGAACUGAGUUUUUGAACCCUCAUUGAAUAUUCGCGUCAUUUUCAUCUGCAAUUUUAGAUUGCGUGUUUAUACUUUCUUGCUUGUGUUCUUCGAUUUGCUUGCAGGAACAACCUUCUUGGCGAGGUCAAUCAAGUUGUGUUUGGUUGAUAACCAAUAGAGCAGUGGUGUAACGGUUGUAGCGUUUGAAUCGUGUUGAUUUGAAGCCGGAUCGCGAACGUCGAGUUCUCCACAAUCAAAUUUAUCAACUACCUCUCGGAAGAUUGGGCCUGGUCACAUCAAUUGCAGAUAUCUCAGGUUUAUUGCGAGGUAUAAUCUCGUUUGCCCUAGAUUCAUAUUUGUUCAUUACCUACAGUCCACAAAAAGCCAAAAAAAUAUAUAGUUUAAUUUUUCUGCUGUCCUAUCACCCAUUGUGCCUUGCAAUUUCGUUUUUAGAUUUGCUUUGUUGAGUUUGUGUCCGUGGUUGAGUCUAGUUGCUGGUUUUGAUUGUGUUCAUCGUCGAAGUUCAUUGCACCGCUGUUGUUCUUAGUUUCCGCCGCUAUCUCAUACACUGUUUUUCCAAACAACAAGUCGAAGCCACCACAUUACUCGACUUGCCCCGUCUUGUGUGAUCUCUCGCCGCCGCGCUAACCCUAGAUAGUUUGCCAGCCGCUGUUAUUUUGCCUGCUUCGCAGCCCUCCUUACAACAUCAGGCGAAUACCUACUGCAGUAAGUCACAGGGACGAUUCAUCAUGUGAUCGAUGUUGGAGUUUAGGGACGCUUUGCCCUAACUGCCGCCGCCGCCGCCGACGCCGACGCCGUAUUGUGUCUUCUGAAAAAACAUAACUUGAGAUACCUUCGGUAAAACAGGCAUAACUUUUCGCUCGUUUAUCAGCGAAAUCUGAAAUUUUUACAGCAGCUUCUUGACAUCGUUUGGACCCGGGUUUCAGCAAAAUUGCCAAAAAAAAUUAUGGAAAAUAAAGAAAAAAAAUUAACAAGGGUUUUGCACGCUUUUCAGCGAACUUGCUAAAUUUUUGUAGACCACAUCUGACCUCAGUUGCAGUUGCCAAUUUUUGUGGUUAUAUCUUGUGUGAUCCUUGUUCUGAGAAAAAUAUAAAAAAUAGUGAAAAAAUAAAAAAUUUUGGUUCGUAGUAGUGCCUUUUGGAAAAAUCGAGGAAAAAAUCAGGAUAAAAGAAAAAUCUGCUCUAUUGCUUGUUUAUUGAGUUUCUUCCAUCAUACCUUGUUUUACCUUGUUGCGUUAUGUCUAGACACAUCUUAGCCACCAAUUAUGAUUUGUCCUUUGGAUACUUCUUGAACUUAGCUAGCUCUGCAUUCGAAUAUUGCUAAUCCUUGCUACUCAAAUUGUGCCUGUCCAAAGCUCCAUAUAUACUUCUGUCAGCCAAGGUUCAUCUUGCAACUGUUUACCCACGCUCAACAAUAUAUUAUUUUGCCAAUUUUGUUUUUGAUCCUGUUUGGCUUUGGUCAGAACACUUGUAAGACGGUGGUAAGCCGCUUCUGAUUUUGUAUUCCACUUUUACCACCACCACCACUUGGUUCCUUUUAGUUGAUAGGGAUAAUCCUUUGCUGUUGUUUUUCUCUAUUUUCUAACAAUGGCAGGAUCUCCGACAGAUUUCAAUGAUUUUGUGUCCAAGGGUGAACUUACAGCGUUCAUCACUGAAUAGUGCAAUCUUAUAACCCAGCUGACACGCAAUGUGAACAAUCUAGUCACCCGCAUUGAACGGGUUGAGCAACGCCCUCAUUCUCAUCAUGGUGAUGAUGAAGAUGCAGAUGGAGAUCUAUCUGAUCAAGCAGAUAUGGAUGAUAACGGUGAUGCAUGCAACCGUCACCGCUACAACUUCAAUCGUCGCGGUAUGGGAGGUAAUAACCAUGGUAAUAAUGAUCCCUUUGCUAAAAUUAAAUUUAGCCUACCUCCUUUUGCUGGUAAUGUUGAUACUGAGGCAUAUUUAGAUUGGGAGCUUGUUGUUCAACAAAAAUUUGAUUCCCAUAAUGUGCCUGCUGAGCAUAGAGUUAGACUUGCUACUAGUGAGUUUACUAAUUUUGCUUUGUUUUGAUGGAGUGAUCUUUGCAAUACUAAGAAUGCUGCUGUUGUACCUCAAACUUGGAAUGCUUUAAAACAACGUAUGAAAUCUCAUUUUGUUCCUCCUUAUUAUCAACGUGAUUUACGUCUCAUACUGCAAACUUUAAAAUAAGGAGAUAAAAGUAUAGAAGCAUACUAUCAAGAAUUGCUUAUUGGUUUAGCACGUUGUGGUGUACAUGAAGAUGAUGCUGAUGCUAGUGCUAGAUUCUUUGGUGAUUUAAAUCAUGAUAUCCAGAACAUUCUUGAUUACAAAGAAUGGCGUACUUUUUCCCAAAUGUAUCAUCUUGCUAUAAUGGCAGAACGUGAAGUACAAGGACGCAGGCAACACCAGACUUUUAGGUCUAAUAAUGGGAGAAAUUUUCAGCAGCGUUCUGAGCCAGAGACGCUCACACUCACACCUACAUUUUCUUCUAGGGUAAGUAAAUUGUCUAAUGUGCAGCCCCCACAGCUGAAGAAAGGUGCCACUCUAGGUGCUUCCACUAGUUCGUCUUCGCGCAGUGCUAAAAUCGUUUGCCAUCGAUGCAAAGGCACGGGACAUGUCAUGAAAGAUUGCCCUAGUCGUCGCACAUUCAUUGCUACCAAGGAUGGAUAUGUAAGUGCUAUUGAUGUCGAAGAUGAUUUAGCCCAUGCUGCUAACAUUGCUGCAGAUCACACCGAGGGCGAUCACAACAUGGAGACCAUCGUCAUUGACUCCAUUGCUGCCUCUGCAGGCUACCCUAGCCUUCUUGUGCAGCGUGUGUUGAGUUCACGUGUGGUACAUGAAGAAGAUAAGCAGAUUCAGCGUCACAAUUUGUUCCACAUAUAUCUUAUUGUGCAGGGUUGUCGUGUGCUCACCAUCAUUGAUAGCGGGAGUUGCAACAACUUGGUGAGUUCAGAUUUGGUUGAGAAGCUUGGCUUAACCACAUGACAACUUUCGUAUCCAUAUAAACUUCAAUGGUUCAAUAAUAGUGGUAAGACUAAGGUCACUAUAUCAGCCCGCAUUAGUUUCUUCACAGGUUGUUAUCAUGAUACUGCUGAUUUUGAUUUUGUGCCUAUGCAAGCUUGUUCAAUUUUAUUAUGACAUCCAUGGGAAUUUGAUACUGAUGCUUUACACCAUGGUAGAACUAAUACAUACACUUUUAUGCAUAAGAACAAGAACAUUACUUUGCUGCCUUUUUCGCCAAUGGAUAUUGUUAAACAUGCUAAAGAGAUUAACAAUAAAUCUUCCAUCGACAUUGAUAAAAAUAAUGAAAAUAAGUUACAUGGAGGUGCUUUACUUGCAACAACUUCUACUACUACUGCAUUAUGUGAUAAUCCAGAUGCAUCAUGUUAUACUAUGCUUUGUCAACCUAUUAUGUCUUGUGCAUAGCCUGCUGUCACUAACCUUUUGCACGAGUUUGUUGAUGGGGAAGAGUCGAGGACGACUCCAAUUUUAGAAUGAGGGGAUGAUGAGGACAUCGCCAAGAUGGAGUCGAGGACAACUCCAAUUCAAGAAGGGGAGGAUGAUGAGGACAUCGCCACGCUGGAUAUGUUGACACCAUCGUCUUUUCCAAGUUGCAAUUCAUCUCCAACUAACCUACCACGUCACUCUCGGAUUCAGCAAACAUGUCGUCAGUGUUUUGAUCAUAACUUCUUCAUACUACAUCGAAACGUGGUGAUCUUGGACUCGUUGGAAAGGGGACAAUAACACUGUCAUUUUGGAUCUGGUCCCAGCUCCAGAUCCUUCGUGGAUUAAUCAUUAUGUUCACACCAAGGUGCUGCAUCACCUAUUUUGGGCCAACUUGGUCAUGUAUCGAAUUCGGGCCUUAAGCCCAUGUUGUGGGCGCCUCCCCCUGGUCGUCUCCAACCCUAGGUCAUUUCUCCUUUAUAUUCCACGCAGCCGCUGCUGUUUAGACUUGCAUUUUGUUUAGAGUUUAGUUUUCCAUCGAGAAACUGAAUCGUUCAUUGUAACUGUGGUGACAAAUCCUUUUACAGUGAUCUAGGGCCCCCGUUCUUGAUCUCCUCCACGGUGUCGAUUAGUCCUUUGGAACCGAGUUCUUGAAUCUUCAUUGAAUAUCCGCAUCAUUUACAUCUGCAAUUUCAGAUUGCGUGUUUAUACUUUCUUGCUUGUGUUCUUCGAUUCGCUUACAGGAAUAGCCUUCUUGGCGAGGUCAAUCAAGUUGUGCUUGGUUGAUAACCAACGGAGCAGUGGUGUAACGGUUGUAGGGUUCGAAUCAUGUUGAUUUGAAGCCGGAUCGCAAACAUUGAGUUCUCCACAACCAAAGUUAUCAACUACCUCUCGGAAGAUUGGGCCUGGUCACAUCAUGGAGGAGCUACCGGUUUACGUCCCUGUGACUCCCGCGUGGCUUCGUCCUGGGGGGCCUGUUACCAUCCCUACCGAGCCACGACGGGAGGACGGUGUUGCAGCGUUGGCGUGUGCCAUGCGCACACUGGCGGAUCCCCGCUUCGAGAUCAAAGGCACCCUCUACGGCAUUGAGGGGAUCGCCCCGGGGUUCCUGGAGGGUCGACGGCCAUGGGAGGACAUGGCCGGAACUUCGGGAGCCGACGGGGAAGAGGAGGCCAGGGCUUCCGAUGGCGGCGAGGCUGGGAACUGGAGGUCUACGGAUGAUGACGGGCGGUUUCCCUCUCUCGUCGAUCUGUUCCUACGCCAUGGAGGCUCACUCGAGACGGUGCAGGAGCUUAUCCGUGGCGUCAAUGCGUGCACGGAGGAGGAGCUCAAGCACUGGGGUCCAGGAAGGAUCCGCCUUCGAGCCUCCACGUCUCCGGACGAGCCCAACAUCAUGAUGGAUGAUCGGAAGGAGGCAGAGAAGUGGGAGCACCUCCAAGAGCUUCGUAUCGGGAUGAAGCAUGUCGUGGGCCUCAUGUCCGACAUCAUCAACAACGGCCUGGUCCAGGCCUUCUUUGUAAGGAUUCCUAUACUCUUGUUGCUUUGAUUUUCUCGCUAGGCGGCCAGUAUGCUUAUCGCCUCAUGCUUUAUUGCAGGACUUGAAAGAAACAUCCCGGGUGAAGUCGGGCUUCAUUCACGUGACAAGGGGCGGCUGGGAGCAGAUUCCUCUUCUCAAGGAUCAGCUCCUUGAGUCACAAGAAAAGCUCCUUAAGGCAUACAAGGAUCUUGCUACGGCUCUGGAGGAGAAGAAGGAGAAGGAGGCCACUCUGACCGACGCUUGGAAGACCUUGUCUAGCAUGAACGACAAGGUUUCCCGGGCAGAGGAAGACGCCCACGUUGCAUGAGAGGUUCCUGAGAAGGCAAAGGAAGAAGUAGGCCAGUCAAAGAAACAGGCUAUCUCGGUCGAGGAGGCGGCUGCCAAGGCUCGGGAGGAGGCUACGCAGUAUAAGGACAAGGCCGUCGAGCUGGACAAAGGAAAGAGCCUCGUCGAGUCGAACCUUGCUGCCGCCUGGAGUGCUUAUGGCGGGGUAAAGGAGGCGCUCUUGAAGAGCAAAAUCGGCUGAGGCGCCAUGGAGGAAGCUGAAAAGAAGGCCCAUGAGGACCUUGAAGCAGAGCAGGCCCACUCUCGCAGCCUUUCUGACGAUGUUGAUCGUCUAAAGAAAGCGCUGCAAGAGAAAGAAGAAGCUAUCCUACAAUCGGGCAAGUUGAUCGAGGACCUGCGGGUCAAAAUGACGGAGCUGCCUCGUUCCUACAAGGAGAUCAAGAGGGCCAACACUGACCUGGUUCGUGAGAAUACGACUCUUGAGGAGAAGAUCCGUGGUAAGUCUUUCGUGCCCUUGUGUUUCUUUUGUUUUUGUGAUGCAACUUUUUUGUCGCUUGAGUCCUUAUCUCAAUUUCUUCAGGGCUUAAGGAUGAUCUGCUAGCCGCCCAGGUCGACGCCCAGUCUUUGAAGGCUUAGCUCGAGGGGGAGGUUGCCUUGACUGGUCGAUUGAGGAUGGCGAUCAACGACCUCUCGACCUCCUGGGAGCUCGAGCCUACGAAUGAGGUGGGGGAGGCUGCUCGAGGCGACGCCCUGGUCGGCCAGUUAUGCUAUCUGGGCACCACUCUAAGGAAUCGAGUGCUGGACGCACUCCAUUCUAGGGUGAAGCGGGCAAUGGCGGUUGUCUGCUCGGGCUUCUCCUAUGAUAUGGGGGUGGUGUCCCAUGGCUUCGUCACCGAUAUUUCCAAGACCGAUGCUGAGAAUGAGGAGAGGCUCCAUGCCUUGAUCGACGACGCAGAGGUUCUUGGGGAAAGGCUGGUGAAGCUGUUCGAGCCAGAGGUACUCCCUCCUGAGACCGGCGCGGGCACGGAAGAUGGUGGGGAAGGUAGAAGUGAAGACUAAAGGCCUGCGAGCCUAAUCUGGGUACUUAGAUCCAAUUUAAUAUACUUAGUGUUAAACAUUGUGGCCUAAGUGGCCUUGGAAUUUCUGGUUUCUAUAUAUUCUUGUUGCUUUUAUGCUCGAAUUUCCUUUGCUGCCUAAGUUUGUGUUCCUCGAUCGAUCUUUUGUUAGGACAACCUCAAUUACCUCGAGGGUGGGGGAGUGAGUAGAGUUACCAUAGCCCGGGGGCAUAGGGGUUCUCAUGCUCGAUGUCCCUUGGCCCUUAAGGUGCUCGAGGCAUCUUUACUACUCGAUCGUGCGAGAUUUCGUUAGGGUUUGAAAGGGAAGAGAUAUCGUUGAGGUUUUUGAAAAAUCAUUCAAUUGUUAGGAUCCAGUGGGGGGGGCUCCCCCCUGCUAGCCCCCGAGGGAGUGUUGACUAUGAUGGGUCAUAGUCGAGACUUCCUCCUAAUAUCGAGACUUAACUGGUAAUAACAUGCAUUACUUAAAAAAGUACUUUCGUUUAUUCACAUAUUCAUUCAUAGGGUCUCGGUACAAGAUGUGCAUGAAAAUGUAAAGCCUCGAAGCUCUAGGGGUAGAAGCGACGUAGCUGUUCGAUGUUCCAUGCGUUGGUGAAGACCGCCCCCUUUUCAUCCGCGAGCUUGUAUGUUCCUGGCUUCAAGACCUCGGCCACCACGUACGAGCCUUCCUAGGGUGGAGUCAGCUUGUUGCAUCCUUGACUGCUUUGCCGUCGACGUAGGAUGAGGUCGCCCACGUUGAGGUCUCUUUUGCGUACGUGUUUGUCGUGGUAGCGUUGAAGCUUCUACUGGUACCUUGCUGAGUUGAGGAGGGCCAUGUCUCGAGCUUCCUCGAGCUGGUCGACCGUGUUCUCCCGAGUUUCCUUGUUUGUCUGUUCGUUGUAGGCUUUAAGUCGAGGUGACCCAUAUUCGAGGUCUAUUGGAAGCACAACCUUGGAGCCGUAGACCAUGAAGAACGGGGAUAUUUCGUGGCUCUGCUUGGCGUCGUUCUUAAACUCCACAGAAUUGAGGAGAGCUCAUCGACCCAUUUCUUGUCAAACUUCUUCAACCGGUUGUAGAUUCUAGCCUUGAGCCCUUGCAAGAUCAUACUGUUGGCACACUUGACCUGGCCGUUGGUUCGAGGGUAAGCUACCGCAGACCAGUUCACACGGAUGUGAUGCCGGUCACAGAAGUCCAAGGACUUUUUGCCGGUGAACUAUGUGCCAUUGUCGGUAAUGAUGACGUUGGGAAUCCCAAACCGGUGGAUUAUGACGGUGAAGAAUAGGACAGCCUGCUCAGAGCGAAUGUUUGUGAUGGGUCGAGCCUUGAUCCACUUGGAGAACUUGUCGAUGGCCACCAACAGGUGGGUGUAUCCUCCCGCCGCCCUCCGGACGGGGCCCACAAGGUCGAGGCCCCACACCGCAAACGGCUAAGUGAUGGGGAUCAUCUGCAGUGUGUGAGCGGGGAGGUGGGUUUGCUUGGCAUAAAAUUGGCACCCGUGGCAUGAGCGAACGAGCUCGAUGACAUCAGCGAUGGCAGUUGACCAGAAGAAGCCUUGUCGGAAGGCGUUGCCAACGAGGGUUCUUGGAGCCGCAUGGUGGCCACAAGCCCCCAAGUGUAGAUCCUCAAGGAGAUUUCGACCUUCCUCUAUGGUGAUGCAGCGUUGCAAGAUCCCGGUCAGACUUCGUCGGUAUAGCUCUUUGCUUUCGCCAUAGAUCACGUAUGUUCUGGCUCGUCGAGCGAUACGACGAGCCUCAGCUCGAUCUUCCGGUAAUUCACCUCGGAUUAAGCAGUCGAAGAAAGGCGUGCGCCAGUCAAAUGGUCGACGGGGGCAUUGAGGAGUUUGCUCGACCUCCAUUACCUCUACUGCCGUCAGCGGGGCCUCGAUUGAGUCAUUAGGCUCAGGGGCAGAGGUCUCGAUGCUAGCCCCCGUGCCUAGUUUGAUGGAUGGUUUGAGCAAGUCCCUUUAGAAUGCGUCUGGUGGGACAGUGCCUCAAGUGGACGCAAUUUUGCCAAGCUCGUCGGCCGCUUCGUUGUAUCGCCGUGCGACGUGAAUGAGCUCGAGGUCGUGGAACUUGUCCUCAAGUUUGCAUACUUCCUUGCAGUAAGCCUCCAUUUUUGGGUCAUGGCAGCUUGAGGCUUUCAUGACUUGUGUUGGCAUUUCUUAGCGUCACUACUAAAAAUAGACCAUAGAUCCAUCCUUAGCAAUGGCACCAAAAAUGUCGGGUGUUGGCAUACCGUAACUAUCACUACAUCAGAGAGAUAACCCAAGGCAACUCGAGGGCACCGGCCUUAGCACUGCAGUCUGGUAACAAUAAUUAGGAAUGCCGGAUUGACCUUCCUAACCAUCCUUACUUGUGAUAUGCAAAGCUGUGGCUCUACGCUUGAAAGUGCACAAGGAUUACAAUCUUAAGUAAUGGUACUUAGGUACGCCAAUUGUCGAGGAUAUCAAUAGGGGGUAUCCCAACCAACAUCCAUAACGAGGGAAGUCGUGAGCAAAUCCAAGCUCUAACUCGACGUCCUAACCUAAACCUACAAUCACCAGGGAUCGAUAUCAACCACAGCCUCGAACACGAAAGCAGGGUCCUGCGAAUCCACAAAGGCUCGAUAAGCAGCGACCGUCGAAUAUGGAAAGUAGCUCAAGCGAAUCAUUGGGCCUCGAGCGUAGAAGCGCCUCCCGCCGCAUGUCGUGGGUACGGAAGCACGGGCAUUUAAUGCGUCUGCCAUGUUCCCACCUAACCCGACAGUCACGGGAAACGUGAUAGGAAACGAGCACCCAUCAAAUCUCCACAUUUUCCAACUUUAUCCUCCGAAAUGGACAAAGGUACGACCGGGUACAGUACAGCAGGCGUGAUAUCCCAUCAUGAUACCCCUCGAGGCAACCGAAGUCAGCGCUCCUACACCGUAAGUCCACUUACGCACCUGACCCUCGAGCGAGCAUGUCCCUUCUGUUGAUGCAAAAACUGAUCUGCAAACACAAAGGGCUAAUACCCGAUUUAAACUUUGGUCCUGACAACAGCCGAUUUGACCUUACUAUCGGCAAAGGUGAUAACUUGAAUACUUUGGUCCUGACAACAGCGAUGCGCCCGGAUGUCACAGCCAAGAGGUAUUCACGCGGAACUUGAGAACACGGCGAGCUUAAGUCGACGAAUUCUUAAGAACUCGUAAUGAAAAAGGAAAAAGUAUGACGAAGUCGUCGAAAUAGUAGAUACUGGAAUAUGAGUAAAAACUGGUGUUUGAUUGAUUGAUUGCUUGAUUACAUGGCCCUUGGGUCUAUAUUUAUACCCUGCUCAAAGAGCUACAACCAGACACGACUAGAAUUCGAAUUCUAAAUUACACAGAAUCCGUAUACAAAACAAUUUAAACAACUAAGGAAAGCAUAAAACUAUCCCCGCAUGAUAAACUGCAACACCUCCACAACCGAUCGGCAGCUUCCAGACUUUCCUUCCAUAUCAUCGGCAGACUCCCCUGUCAUAACCAUCGGCAGACUCCCCUGUCGCAGCCAUCGGCACAGAUGCAUCAUCAUUUAUGGACUUAAUCACGUCCAACCAUCCUUCCAUCGACAACCAUCUCCAUCGGCAACUUUCCCUGUAGACCAAUCACUACCGCCUUAUCUUGCCGAUCCACACUUUACCGAUCAUGGACACGUGCCCAAAAACGGUGUCAACACAUGCCUCCCAAUUUCGGAGUAUGAAAUUAAUGCUCCGAAAUUCUCUGCAGUAUUGAUGCCUCUUUCCACAAUUAAUGCUCCUAAUCUGGCAACCGACAGCCUUAAUCUGAACAACUCUGAUCCUAUCCUUCCGCAGAUCCCCCGAAAUCCUCAACUUCCCUAAACGGACAUUUCCAUUUUAAUCGCGCAUCGGCAAAAUUACCGUUACAGGGAUUUGCCGAUGUACUGACCAAGACAUCCGUGUCUUAUCUUUCCAAACGGCUAUCUCUACUUUAUUCUCUCAUCGGCAAUAUGACCGUUACAAGAUACUGCCGAUGCACCGACCAGGAGAUCGCACACAGUAAAAUAUCUUUGGAUAAUGACCGCUUCCUAUCAAAUCGCCUACACAAUCCCUUGAUUACCGUGCGAACAGUUACCAUAUCUUCUUGAGUACCCUCGGAUUUCACAGAUACGGCGAAGAGAUAAGUCAAUUUUGCCCUCGCCCGUUUUGUCCUACAAAUAGUUCCUUCUUGGGUACUCCUUCUCCAUCACAUCAUUCUACCACCACAACUUCCCUUUUCCAGCGGCAGCGCCUUUCAAGGUCUCCAAGGUCCCCGACGAAGCCUCUUCUCCACCAACUCCAGAGCCCUCGAUCGCCUUUCCACGGCAAAAUGGCCGUCAACUUCAUUGUCCCGGAGGUCAGUUCUUCGCGCCAUCUCUUGUACUUUUCUCGCACCUCUGUUCAUCCGCAAUCUACCUUACUGAACACUUUCUUUCCUCCCUUUUUCUGUAUCUUUCUUUUCCACCUUCAAAACCAUCAGGAAUCGGCUAACAAAAUUGUCAUCCCCACUGAUCGACCACACCUCCAAUGCCUUGGCCCACUAGGGGAUCCAGAUCCAACCAACCUUAUAAACGCAGAAACCAAUAGGAUCCCUUUUAGAGCAGAGAACUUUUCUUUGGACCUGUGGAAGGAUACUUUCCGUUCCUGGCCUAGCCCUAUUGUGGGGUGGACAGAUUGGUUUUUGAGGGUCAGCAAUCCAAAUGAAGUUCUAUGGGGUGAAAGAAAUCUAGCCCAAUGCAUUAAGCUGUCCAUCGCCGAUAUGCAUAGGAACGAAUCACUGCUGAUAGCUGCAUCGUACUUCUGGUCAGACACGCUCAACGCCUUUGUCUUUGGCCAUGGCCCUGUUUCCCCCACUCUUGCCGAUGUGGCUAUGCUCACCGGAUUAGAUAUUUCUUCUGCCGAUAGCACCCACUUCUUUGAUACCAAACCCAGUGCUAAGGUAGAAACCCGCUCCAUCGGCGGCUGGUCAGGGUAUAUUCAAAAAUACCGCAAAACAGGCUCUGUUGACAUAAAGGAGCAGACCUGCUUUCUGAACAUGUGGCUAGACAAAUUCGUGUUCUGUGGUCGAUCGGCAGGACCAACUUCCGUUCAUCUAGCAGCAGCAGAAAACUUGGCCAAUGGUGGCCGAUUUCCUCUCGGUCGAUAUCUGCUUGGAGCGGCCUAUCACCUCCUCCACCAAGUAACUAAGAAGCUUUUGCUUGGCCAGUCUAUCGGCAACUUGGGAGGCCCCUGGUGGUUUAUCAACAUGUGGCUCAAUCUGCAUCUGCACAAGCGCCUUGAAUUUAACCUAUUCACACAGCGUUUCCCAAGGGACAUAUCUGAAAAUUAUGUGUUGGGUGAAGAGGAAUUGGCAACACGUGCUCCCUUAAACUUCGGCGAGGCUGUCAUAGUUUUGCCUGGUUUAGGGGGUAAUCCAGACCAGGUCAGCCGAUUCUUCCAAACUCUGUAUGAGGGCUUGGCCAGAGAUGAGCGAGCAUGGUUGUCCUAUGAUGACCCAGACAGUAUGCUUCCCCUGGUUUUCAACCCAUUCGAUGAAGCUCUUGACCGAGACAAUGAAGUGAUGAUGGCAAUAGUGACUCCUAGAGCCAUACCAGUGAAUUUCUUUGGCAGUGGGAAAACCUCCCCCCAGAAUUAUGAAUUUUAUAACCCAUCGGCACUAGCCCGUCAGUUAGCUUUCGGCCAGCUGCCGAUCGCACUCUGCUAUGCUGAUGUGAUAAAGCCCAGGGAAACCAUCAACAGUCUCCUUGAAUGGAUCCGAGUAGCCCAACUGCCAUUGAGUGCCGAUACAGAUGUAGAUUUAUCGGAGUGGGUUCCAGCCGCCUUCAUAACUCAGGCAUACAAGCAGUGGUGGGCAGAAUGGAAGGAGCAUUUAUUCUGUAAACCGGCCCUCACGUACCGCGGCAUGAUUGACCCUGAGUACGAAGUUCCCAGUGAUACUGUAAGUGUCUCCAAACCGUUGGUUUCAAAUUUUUUUUUAAUUCUGUUUCUAUCGGCAAUUUACUUCUGUACUUUUCUGCAGGUUGAUGAUACUCCUCCAUCUAUCAGCAAAAGUGGCAAGCCGAUUGAUCUAUCUGCACCAGGCCCAAUUUCUUUAAUCGGCCACAACGCCCCUACCUUGGCUGCAAUCGUGCAUCGAGGUAUUCGCCUGAGGAAAGUCACCACUAGAAAAACCCAGACUCCACCAUCGGUAGCUGCUUCCACUUUAGCACAAGCUUUCAAGGUAGUUGUUAAACCUCUUCGUUUAUACCGAUCUUACCUUUACAUCGGCUACAAUUGUAUUCACAAAUUCCUCUUUGUUGUUACAGCAAACCAGUGCAUCGGCAAAAACCAAGAGCCAAGGUGCCGAUGCCCCCCAGUCCAGCCAGCCAAAGAGGAAGGGCACCAAGGGAAUCAGGGCUGCAACAAAACGCCAGAAAGUGGCAACUCCUCCUCCCCCUCCGGCAUCUCCCAUUCCGGUGAAAUCUUCUCCUUCCCCUCCAGAUGUAGAGAUCCAGCAAGCACCAUCUCCCCCUCGUCCGCAGGAAGUACCAGAAGUAGACAAACCCCAACAGGAAGAACCCCAAGCAGAAGGUACAUCAGCUGACGUAGGUGAGCAAACAACUGGCUCGGCAGGUUCAAUCACGUCAUCAUCAGUUCCCCCAAUUCAGACAAGCAUCGUCCCUCCUCAGGGUAAUAUAUUUUUAUAAUAUCGCCACCGAUGAACUUAUUCUCAUUCAUCCUCAUAACUUUUUCUAUCCCCUUUCAGUCGAUGUCGUUCCAUCGGCAACCCUGGCAGAUCAACUCUGUUUUCCUUCUAGGAACAAGAUUCUCCCGACAGCCUAUUCUCUUUCGCCAUCGACAUCUCUGAAGAAGAAGGUGAAGAAGCAAGUUCUUCCAAGACAGUUGACAUCACAUCGGCAGAGAUCAGGGCCAAGCUGGAAGAAUUAUCGGCCCUCCUUCAUCAGGACACAGCACAACUGGUUGAUGACUCCGACCCAGCCAUGGUUUUGUUCAGGAUUCUCAGAGGCCAGAUCCCAGCCGAUGUCGAAGAAAUCCUCUUCCAAGCCACACAUUUGGAGAGUCGUCAGCUGCAGUACCAGAGGGCUUCUCGGCGCCUUGCCGAUAGAGCUGCUCAGACUCAGCUCUCUGAAGAGAUGAGGAAAGAGAAGCUCCUGACCGAUGAGAAGCACAAGAACAUCGGCAUUUUGAGAUCUUCAGGAGACACACUGAAGCAGAAGAUAUCUAACCUAUCAGCAAAAAGGGAAUCCCUGUUGGUAGAACUCAAACAAGUGGAGGACGCCUUAUCCCAUGCCCAAUAGGAAGAGAGCCAACUGCCAGAGACCAUCAAGCUCCUUGAGCAAGAGCGAAACGUCCACGGUCACAAGGCACUACAGUUGAAGAAGAAGCUGAAGCCGAUAGAAGGUUCCGCUGAUGACGAUAUCAAAGAAAUAGAAGCAGCCAACCAAAUCCGGCUACGCGCCAUAUCGGCGAUCCAGGCACUGCUGAACACAUGAAGCUCUCAUCGGCGACAUACCUGUCUUUUCCUGUUCUUCUAGUCUAGCCGAUAGGACUGUUAUCGGCAUCUUUUGAAACACUAAUUCCUGCUCCCAAACAUUUAAAUCCAGCCGAUAGGAGUGUUAUCGGCACUUAAACUUUUAUGCAUCGACCCAUAUGCUGGGGUAGUAGUUCUUUAAAUAUUUGCCAUUUAAUGCUGUGGGAAGUUCAACUCCUUCGAGAGUUUCUAGAAUAUAGGCAUUACCAGGAGCCGAUCGACUUAUCCGAUAAGGACCCUCCCAAUUAGGAGACCAUUUUCCAAACUUCGAACUUUUAGUCCCGAUCGGUAAAAUUAAUUUCCAUACCAAGUCCCCAUCGACAAACUCCUUAGCUUUUACUUUCUUGUCAUACCAUCUAGCAACUCUCUACUUAUUUUCUUCUAUACUUAUCAAAGCCUUUAACCGAUGCCCUGCUAGAUCAUCUAACUCAUCGGUCAUCAAAGUGGCAUAAUCAUCGGCAGCCAAUUGAUCUUGAAAAGAUAAUCGCCUAGAUUGUUGACGGUCCUUAAUGCUCACAUUUAACUGUCAACUAAUCAUGGAAAAGGAUCCAAAUGCAACCAACACCUAGACUUAGGGUUUUAUCUGAUAGAAUUCCACGAGUUUUGGUGUUUGUCUAUUUCUGCAGGGGGUUAUCAGGAAAUAAGGAAGAAAGGCCCACCACGUCGGGUUUACAUAGAGAUAUUAACGUGCCGCGCAAUUUUCUAUCAUCUAGAAGACUCCAGAAGCCACGGGAACAAAGCGGAAGCCGAGAGGCCUCAGGGACAGGGCGCCCACCCUAGUCCUGAGUGCGCCCGCCCUCCCCUCUGGACCAAUCUGGGUGAAGUUCGGGGAUCAUGCUCCACCGACCUAAUACUUCAAGGAAAACCACACGAUCAAUGUCGGUUUGAUCCGACGGCCCAGAUUCACUUGAAGGGACUAUAAAACUAGACCCCCUAGCCCCUGGAGAUCAUACCUCUUCUACAGAAUCAAAGCUAGGGUUUCAAUUCUUCAUCCAAGUAGAGAGGAUCCCUCUAGUUCUUCUAGUUCUAGUUCCUCUAGUUCUAGUUCUAGUUAGUUCUAGUUGUAAUCUAGAAAAUAGGGAGAGAGAAGAGGAGAGCGGAGGAGGAGCCGGAUCUGUCGGAUCUUCCUCAACAUUAUACUUUUGCAGCAUUUGGUUCGUUCUUCAUCGUUCUCCAGGUUCUUCAAUUCAUAAUUCCUGAGUUCCUUAAUUACUUUUAUUUACAUUCAAGUUAUUUAUUGGAUUCCCGCUUGCAUCAAGUGCUCUAGUCUUUAUAACGCUAGAGUAGUAAUUAAUAGAUUAGACGUGGUGUUUAGUCUUGCAGUUACCUGGAAUUGCACCCAAUCUUGUGGAUUGUUGUGGUAGCCUAGGGUAGUGACAGCCUCGUUCGGAUCGGUGUUUGUAGGACCGUAGUCAAACCUUCCUAGCCCCCUUCUCAUCUCUUUCUGUGGUUAGUGCUCUGAUGUCCCGAUAUAGAUAAUCUUGAAGUAAUUCUUGAUUCUUAGAUCAACUAGAGAACUCUCAGGAAACUUCCUCUCUUCCCACCAAAAACAAUUAUAUAGUUAUCCUUGGGCGAUCUUGGAUCUUAAUUAGUACACUCACGUUCUCUGUGGAAAAUCGAUACUCUGGAAUACUCCCGGGUGAAAGCUACAUCGGUAUCCGUGUGCUUGCGGAUUUUUUCUGUUUGCGUUUAAAAUACCCAACAAGCUUUCUGGCGCCGUUGCCGGGGAACGGUAGCUGUGCUAGUUUCGAACCAAGUCGUCCGUGUAUCCUUUUUCUUUUCCUUUUUUACCGCACUCACCUUAUCAUUUUCACCAUACCACAUGGAUUUCACUCUAAGCAUUAAUGAGCAUGGAAUUUAUUUCAUAGCCACUUCAUUUACUCCAUGCUCAUAUGCAACAUCUUCACAAUCCAUUGGUCUCUCCAACAUCACCACAUUCGAGAUCUCCAACCCCCACUUCCUUUCUAUUUAUAAAAACUUUAAAAGGGCGGUUGUCAAUGCAUAUGUCUGUAAUAAAUUUUGCAGAUCUCGUUGAGUUGAUCUUGAUAUAGGUCAGCGUUGCAGGGGAAACCACUUCACUGACAUAAAUUGAUGGUUUUCCAAGGACAAGCUUAGUGUCCUAAAACAAGCACUGAUCAGAUCGUAACAUUAGUUUUUAAUUAUUUGCAACAUUACCUUGUGUAUUGAGCAUAUAAGGAUAAUUGUAAAAAAAUUCCUUCGGGUAUUCUUGUCACUAACCUUUCUAGGAUUGGAGCAAGAAGAUCGGAUGAAUGACAAGCACAAGGUAUGUACAACCAAUCAUCAUACAACAUUGAAUUAAAUUCAUCCAAACUUGAAUUUUGCAAAAUUCAAGCUUGGGGGAGUACUUGAUAUAAAAACAUCAUUUGCCAUGUUGCUAUGUUGGUUGUCCCUACCUUUGAGACAUGCUCAAUUUGUUAAAUAGUAAUCACACUACUUCAUCUCCACUUGAGUAGAUCUCUAUAAAUGCUCUCAUGCUACCUUUAUUUGCUUUAGUAUAUGUCUAGGUUUGGAGUAGUUUCAUUUAUCUCUUAAUUAAGCACGGUGCUUAGUUUAGGGCUGAUGAUCUUACUUCCAAGGGAGUUUAAAUUAAGCAUGAUGCUUAGGUUAAAAUGCCCUCCUAAAUCAAAUUAGACAUGGUGUCUAGGUUGAUCUUUGAGCUGAUAGUAUGCUAUAGUAGAUAUUGGAUAUUUUGUUGGACUAACCCCUGCAGGAAAACUUUCAAUAUCGACUUGGGAAGUCCUGAGAUAAACUCACAUUGGAGACAAAGAGAGAGACACAUGAAGUUUAACAAUUUACACAAGGAAAGCAUAGCUCACAAGAGAUGAUAAAUGGAGGGUGCCACAAACACGAUGCACAACCACUAAGAAAGGAAAGCUUCCACAAGGUGAUACUGUACCAUCACUCUUCAAGUAAGGUAACAUCUUAAGGUACUUGACUAUCACUUUUAUAAAGCUUCUCCUUGGUUCUGGCGUUCACAUGAAUAAAAGAGACAAACAUGUAUGAUUUACAACUCUAGAUUAACCAACCUAAUCAUGUUUAGUCCUUCCACCUUUGUGAUCCCAUACUCCUAAUCAUAUAAGCUAAAAUGUUGCACACUCAAUCUUUGGAAGAUAUAAAAAAAACAUAUAUAUAGAUAGAUUAUCUUUCCAUAAGGUCGAGCAAUCUAAUCUGACAAAUGUUAAAUACUACACUCAUGAUUUUAUUAUCCAUCAACUUUGUCUUGCUCACUAUGCUUGAGGUUAGAGAAGAACAAAUACACUUUUGGUUCUGUUGGUGUUUUCCACCAACAGAGCCCAUGCACUUGAUCUCUGCCUUGUCUCUAUGAGCAGGUACACUUCGAGCAAAAUAUGAAGGAGUUUUACAACUCCUAGAAGAACCUAGAUCUAUGAGCACAAACACACUGGAGAUACUGGACACUCAGGCAAUCACUGCCUUGAGAUGCUUGAGGACGUAACUACUGGAGUAACCCCGUUAUGGAAGUAAUUACUGACCUUCUGCCAGUCAAGAAAGGCAAUCCAGGAUGCACCGUCAUCCCGAUCUCCUCCGGCAUGCUUGCAGAUCGUACGCUAAGUUUCCCAAAGGGAAUAUUGAAGAACCUCUACGUCUGAGUUGGUACCUUAUACGUUCCAGCAGACUUCAUGGUGAUAGAGACUGAUACUGAUCAGAGGGCACCCAUCCUAGGGAGGCCAUUCCUGAACACCUCGGGAGCUAUCAUCUACGCUAGUGCUGCCAAGAUCAGUUUCUACAUCAUGGGAAGGACGGAGACGUUUUCCUUCAAGAACAAGACUACACAAAUCUUAGAGCAAUCCUGACAUGAACCAAGGAAGGACCAACAGGAGGAACAGGAACAAGCAAAUGUGUACCGAGUCAGCUAGGAUGGUCACUGCAGCUCAAGGAGCUCAAGAUCGUCAACUCAAGUCAUCUUUCUUGAUCAAGAAGGACGACCCUGGUGUCCCAAUCAUCAAGUGCACAAUCAACGGAUAUUAUUUUCAGAAGACACUCUACGACACCGGAUCUGACGUCAACAUAAUGGCCGUAGUCACUUAUCAUCUCCUGCAUGGAACCAUGCCCCUAAAACCGACACACAUUCAGCUCCAGAUGAUUUUAAGGUUAUUGACAUGGGAGAAGACAAGUACGAUCCAUCCAUCAUCCUUAGGAGACCGUUCCUCAGCACCGCUAAAGCAAUCAUCUACAUUGGAAUCGGAGAAGUCCACAUGCACUUCCCCUCUGAGAAGGUACGCUGCUAUUUUACUGACCCUAACUAUAUAGUUGAAGACUCUAAGCAGGCCAGGGCAAGAAGAAUACGACGCAACCGCAACUAGAGGAGGCAAAUCAUCAAGGACGGAUGGGCAGACUAUGAAGGAGAAGUCAUAAGGUCUGAAGACAUACAGCUUGAACAGAACUGUCCUGAGGAGACCGUAGCACCGAGUCAGGUGUGCAGAAAGAAGAUAGUUAUACACGAAGAGCAGGCGCCGCCGGAACCACCGACUACGCCAUCCAGCGAAUCCCAAUACGACUGAGAAAACGGAGAAUCCCUUUCGGAGGACUUAAAAACACCGAACGUCUUGCCAAGAGGUAAACUUGGUAGUUAUCCUUUUCUUUUCAAUUAUCUUAAAAUAGUUUGCUUAGUUAAUCAGGUUCAUAUCAUCUCGAAAAGAAAAUAAAAAUGUUAAAAAUAGUAAGCCCCAUGUGAGUAUGCUCAUGGCAUAAAACCCAUAAGUACAUUCACUGUGGUGGCAUUAAAAUGAAAUAAAUAUAUUCCUGUCCUAUAAAAAUAAAAUUAUAAAAAUAGAUUUAUGAUCCCACUAAAAAGUGUAAUAUUUAUUGAGGAGACUCAACAUGAUAAAGGCUAGAUAUUUAUGCUAACACUUAACUAGUUCCACAAGCUUUGUUGUCUAUUUGAGCUCCACAGAAUUCAAGGAUCAAAGAAGACUAGCAGACGGAGGACAUCCUAGUCGCCGUCAGGGUGCUGCUGACAUUCAAAUAUACCUUCGCCACCUGCUAGCUACAUCAGAAGGAAUUACGUCAAAAUCCAGCUUGGGGAGAGCACCUCCAUUUAUCCAGCUAAGUAUUCUACUCACGUUUAUAUUUUACUCAAAUAAUAAAAAGAUGCAUAAUCGUAAAAACCCAAAUAAAGAUUUUGUGCUUAUAUAUAUAUCUUUGCUUAGUUUGCUAAAUAAAUAAAUAAAUAAAAUUUGCUAUGAACCCUCAUGAUAAGCUCUCACAUGGAAAUGAUGAAUAGUUGCUCUACCAUAAUUAGUUCUCAAAAUUGAAAUCUCUCUCAAGUUUAGGCAUGACUGUUAUUAAUUAAGAUUUGCUCUAAACCUGAACUUGUGGGAAGAGUACUUGAUCUGAAGUCUAAGUCGUUAACGGAUAUGAUAUGGGAAGGUUGAGCUGUUGUUUAUCUAUUCCUAGAGAUGCUAGAAUUCUGGAGAAUUUUAUCUUUGAAAAUCUUUAAAAUGUUGCAUCAUGAGUUCCUGUAUGAUGAGAGUUUAAAUUCCUACCACAGCCAUAUAUACAUGCUUGCUAGACUAUGAACCACACAUUUACUUUACUACUUAUGAGCAUUGAGUGUGGUCAAGCUGUGUAGACCCUUAGGAGCUUGUCAUGUGGUUAAAAUCAAGAUUCACUUGCACGUUCACUCAUACAUGCUGCUCCCACUCUGGAAGUACGCAUCCACAUAUAUCCAUCCAUUUCCAUCUCCAGAACCACCCAAAAAUAUUCUACUCCUAAUCCGGGAGAGAAUAGCCAAAAAUAUUUCUAUUUUUCCCCUAUGAAAUAAAUGCUCAAGUUAUCUUGUUACUACCACUUGCUAUAUUAUCUCAUGAGAUGAGUGCUCAAAUGAAAAAAAAAGAGAAAAAAAAAAGAGAUACGAGGAAAUAAAAAGGGCCAAGUGCCCGGAACCUCGAAAGAAAAGAAAAGGUGAGACGAGAGGUAAAAAUGGACAAGUGUCCGACAGUAGAAUUAGGGGUACAAGAUACCCACCUGAGAGAAAAGAAAAAUAAAAUAUAGAGCAUCUCAUUCUCCUCAAAAAGUUUCAAAAGAGCUAGAAAGGUAUGUAUCCCCUCAAAAGAGCACAAGUAGAAUUAGACUUUCACCAUUGUUAUCACCAUCAUUACCAUGCACCAUUCAUUCGCCACACAUGCACAUCUUGAUUUGACUUAUUGACUUGUUCUUCUGGAUCCAUGGUUUGACUAUGCAAUAAAUGUCUUGUAAGUAUGUAUUAGCUGUCUCCCACCUAUGAGCUCCAGAUAUCAAAAGCCUUAUUAGAGUAGGGUGAGAGAGAAGGCAAUGUCACUAUGCCUCAUACCAAAAAUACCACAUACUUUGAGAGAAGGCAUACACCAUUACUGCCUUGGUAAGAAUCCAGAAAUACCACAAAAGAGAGACUAGAGAGUGUCAUACAAGGAAUCUCUGAGUUUUAUUUGAAAAUCUGCAAAAACUCCAGAGCUAUAGUUGAUCAAGAACAAGAGACAUGGCGCUUGACUAGACCGUUCUAUCUUUUAACUGCUCAAGACACAAGUGACGGUUGCAAGCCCCAUGGUGGAAGGUAAAUGAGUAAGUUUUAAGUCUUAACAGUUUACUCUAACCCGAGAUGAGAUCUUGUUUAAACGCAUGUGUAUCUUUAAGUUAUGAAACCACUGCAGAAAACUCUUGAGUUCAUCUUUGCUCAGGGACGAGCAAAGGUUAAGCUUGGGGGAGCUUGUUGACGGUCCUUAAUGCUCACAUUUAACUGUAAACUAAUCAUGGAAAAGGAUCCAAAUGCAACCAACACCUAGACUUAGGGUUUUAUCUGAUAGAAUUCCACGAGUUUUGGUGUUUGUCUAUUUCUGCAGGGGGUUAUCAGGAAAUAAGGAAGAAAGGCCCACACGUCGGGUUUACAUAGAGAUAUUAACGUGCCGCGCAAUUUUCUAUCAUCUAGAAGACUCCAGAAGCCACGGGAACAAAGCGGAAGCCGAGAGGCCUCAGGGACAGGGCUUCUAGAAUUCUUCAUCCAAGUAGAGAGGAUCCCUCUAGUUCUUCUAGUUCUAGUUCCUCUAGUUCUAGUUCUAGUUAGUUCUAGUUGUAAUCUAGAAAAUAGGGAGAGAGAAGAGGAGAGCGGAGGAGGAGCCGGAUCUGUCGGAUCUUCCUCAACAUUAUACUUUUGCAGCAUCUGGUUCGUUCUUCAUCGUUCUCCAGGUUCUUCAAUUCAUAAUUCCUGAGUUCUUUAAUUACUUUUAUUUACAUUCAAGUUAUUUAUUGGAUUCCCGCUUGCAUCAAGUGCUCUAGUCUUUAUAAUGCUAGAGUAGUAAUUAAUAGAUUAGACGUGGUGUUUAGUCUUGCAGUUACCUGGAAUUGCACCCAAUCCUGUGGAUUGUUGUGGUAGCCCUAGGGUAGUGACAGCCCUAACGGUCGACGUAUUCCACCUCGUUCGGAUCGGUGUUUGUAGGACCGUAGUCAGACCUUCCUAGCCCCCUUCUCAUCUCUUUCUGUGGUUAGUGCUCUGAUGUCCCGAUAUAGAUAAUCUUGAAGUAAUUCUUGAUUCUUAGAUCAACUAGAGAACUCUCAGGAAACUUCCUCUCUUCCCACCAAAAACAAUUAUAUAGUUAUCCUUGGGCGAUCUUGGAUCUUAAUUAGUACACUCACGUUCUCUGUGGAAAAUCGAUACUCUAGAAUACUCCCGGGUGAAAGCUACAUCGGUAUCCGUGCGCUUGCGGAUUUUUUCUGUUUGCGUUUAAAAUACCCAACAUAGAUCCAGUCUUAACCUCCCAAGGUAACACUGCAUCAUGUCCAUACACCAAUUGAUAGGGUGACACCUUGGUUGAUCCAUGACAAGCCAUCCGAUAGGACCACAACGCUUCAUUUAAUAAUGUAUGCCAUCGCUUAGGAUUUUCUUCAAUCUUUCGUUUGAUAAGCUUGAUAAUUCCUUUGUUAGACGCCUCGGCCUGUUCAUUGGCUUGAGCAUAAUAAGGAGAAGAAUUCAACACUUUAAUCCCCAUACCGAUUGCAAAUUCAUCAAACUCCCCCGAUGUAAACAUAGUGCCUUGAUCGGUAGUAAUCGUUUGAGGAAUCCCAAAUCGGUAAAUGAUAUGUUCUUUCACAAAAUCGACCAUAUUGGCCGAUGUGACUUUCCUCAAAGGAAUAGCUUCGACCCACUUGGUGAAAUAAUCAGUGGCAACUAGAAUGAACUUAUGCCCUUUGCUAGAUGGUGGAUAAAUCUGGCUGAUCAGAUCAAUAGCCCAUCCUCGGAACGGCCAAGGUUUUAUAAUAGGAUUCAUAGCCGAUGCAGGUGCCCUUUGAAUAUUACCAAACUUCUGACACCCUUGACACCCUUUGAAGUACUUAAAGCAAUCCUCAAGUAUAGUUGGCCAAUAAUAUUCAUUCCUCCUAAUCAUCCACUUCAUCUUAAAAGCCGACUGAUGUGCUCCACACACCCCUACAUGAAUUUCUCCCAUCAAACUCCUAGCUUCAUCAUCACCUAAGCAUCGAAGAAGAAUUCCAUCAAUAGUUCGAUAGUAUAAUUCAUCUUCAAGGAGCACAUACUUGGUCGCUUGAAAUCGAACUCGUCUUUCAACUUUCUUAGAUGGAUCUUUCAAAUAAUCAAUAAUUUCUUUCUUCCAAUCAUCGGCAUCGAUUGUCGAUACUGUAUUAAUCAUGGGCUGAUAUCAUGAGGCAUGGUGAGCUAACCGAUUGGCUUCUUCAUUAUGCAAUCGAGGAACAUGCUCUAAACGGAAAUCUUUGAAUUCCUUUAACAGUUGCAUACUCUUCUCGUAAUAAGUUAUGAGAACCUCACUUCGGCAUUCAUAGCUCCCGGUUAAUUGAUUUAUAACCAACAUAGAAUCCCCAAAGACUUCGACAGCGUCAGCACGAACUUCUCUUAACAACUCCAAUCCUUUUAUCAAAGCCUGAUACUCAGCCUGAUUAUUUGUUGAUGUAGCUACAAUUGGCAAAGAAAAUUCAUAUUUCCUCCCCUUAGGGGAAACUAAUACUAUGCCGAUUCCUGCCCCUCGGUCACACGUAGAUCCAUCAAAGAAAAGCGUCCAGGGUACAAUUUCCAAAGCCUCCACCGCACCGUAAUGUUGAGUCACAAAAUCGGCCAUAAUCUGCCCUUUAACUGCCUUAGCCGAUUCAUAAUGCAAACGACAGUGCUCGUCCGACAACAAGUAGUGCCUUAACUUGAUACAAGAGAAAUAUAAGCACAAACACAAUUUUUCAAUAGCCGAAUACCUGGUUUCAGCAUCAAUCAACCUCCUGCUUAAAUAAUAAAUUACACGCUCUUUCCCUUCAAACUCCUGAAUCAAAGCUGAACCGAUGACCAUCCCAUCGGUAGACAAAUACAAUUUGAAGGGCUUUCCUUGCUGAGGUGGAAUUAGAACUGGAGGAUUUACUAAAUAAUUCUUGAUUUCAUCCAGAGCCAACUGCUGUUCUUUUCCCCAAAGAAACUCUUGAUCGGCUUUUAACUUAAGAAGAGGACUGAAAGCACGAAUUUUACCAAAUAAAUUAGAUAUAAAUCUUCUGAUAAAAUUUACCUUGCCGAUCAAGGAUUGGAGCUCGGUCUUGUUGGUAGGGGCCACUAUCUUAUUGAUGGCAUCAAUAGAUCUUCUACUUAUUUCAAUUCCCCUUUGAUGCACCAUGAAACCAAGAAACUGCCCUGCCGAUACACCAAAUGCACACUUGUUGGGAUUCAUUUUCAAACCAUGCUUCCUUGUGCACUCUAACACCUUUCGCAGGUCGGCAAGAUGCUUUGCGAAGUCUUCAGAUUUAACCACCACAUCGUCAAUAUAAAUUUCCACCAGCUUGCCGAUGAAUUCAUGAAAUAUAAAAUUCAUGGCCCUUUGAUACGUAGCACCAACAUUCUUUAAACCAAAAGUCAUGACUAUCCAUUCAAACAAUCCAACAUGCCCAGGACAUCUGAACACAGUCUUUGGAAUAUCUUCUUCAGCCAUGAAUAUCUGGUUAUAUCCUGCAUUACCAUCCAUAAAGCUAAUUAUCCGAUGUCCUGCCGCAGCGUCAACCAGCAGAUCGGCAACAGGCAUUGGGUAUCCAUCCAUCGGCGUAGCUUUAUUGAGAUUCCUGAAAUCAAUGCAUACCCGAAGCUUCCCAUUCUUUUUGUAGACCGGAACAACAUUGGAAAUCCAUUCGGCGUACCGACACUGCCGAAUAAACUUAGCUUCAAUAAGUUUGGUGAUUUCGGCCUUGAUGUCAGGAAGGACAUUAGGAUUACAUCGGCGAGCUGGCUGCUGAUGUGGCCGAAACCCGGACUUGAUAGGUAACCGAUGUUCAACAAUUGAUCGGUCUAAACCAGGCAUUUCAGUAUAAUCCCAAGCAAAGCAAUCUUUAUAUUCCUUUAACAACUCGGUUAGCUGUUGCUUACACUCGAAAUCUAACUUAGCACUAAUAAAAGUAGGCCUGGGUUUAUCACCAUUACCUAUAUCUACUUCUACUAGAUCAUCGGCCGAUGUGAAUCCCUGGCCUAAUUUUCCAUCAUCGGCGAACCUAUCCAUUAAAAACCUUCGUCAGAACCGACUGCCUGGAUCGGUGGAAUCUCGUAAUCGGCAACCUUGAGAAAAUCCUUUUCCCAAAUCUCCCCUGAAAUACACCUAGUCCUUUCAUAGGUGUCUGCCUCUGCCGAUGCGAUGACAUAAGAAGAAUCUCCUGGGACAAUUUCAAUCUUGUCACCUACCCACUGGACCAAGCAUUGGUGCAUUGUAGAUGGGAUACAACAAUUGGCAUGAAUCCAAUCUCUUCCCAACAGUAAAUUGUAAGCACCCUUUCCACUGAUCACAAAGAAGGUUGUCGGCAAGGUUUUGCUGCCGAUAGUCAAUUCUACACAUACUGCCCCCUUGACCGGAGACACAUUCCCUUCAAAGUCUUUAAGCAUCAUAUCGGUCUUGGUUAAAUCCUGAUCCCCUUUUCCAAGCUUCCGAUACACUGCAUAUGGCAUGAUGUUAAUAGCAGCCCCUCCAUCAAUUAGAACCUUGGUUAUUGGAUGCCCAUCAACCCUUCCUUUGACAAACAGAGCCUUGACAUGUUGCCUUUCAUCAUCGGCAGGCUUCUCGAAAAUAGCUGUCAUCGGAUCUAGAGCUAACUGAGCUAUUUGGUCAGAAAACUCCACCUCAUCAUCAUUGGAUGGUGCAAGGAACUCCAUCGGCAACAUAAAUACCAUGUUGACAUCUGCCGAUGGACCUUCCCCCUCAGGAUCUAAUCGUUGUUGAUCCCCAGACUGUCUAGAGUUCUCCUCUUUGCUCAACUCUUCUCGCCUUUCGCGCUGAAACCUUCUCUUUUGAGUCCUGGUCAAUCCCUUCGGUCACCAGGGAGGAAGUUGCUGCUGGCUUCCCGACAGGCGAUGAUUCCCCCUAGACUCUACCCGAUAUGUAUUAGCAUCCCUGCAAAAUAUGAACUCAUCGGGAAUCCGAGCAUUAGCCAUCCCUUCAAGCUCUUCUUGGUUCCUGGGAAAAUAUUGAACACGAUCGCCAAGCCUAUCGUGCACGCUGAGCCUGCCCCCCAGCCGAUCGUGAACAGAUGCUCUCCCCCUAAUCGGCCCAUUGAAACGCCGAUCAUUAUCGUGAUAGCGCCGAUCGGAUCUAUCAUACCGAUCAUAACCGUGGCACUCAGGACAAUCUCUGAUAGUUGGAAGCUUGAUAUUUUCCUCCCAACAGUGAAUGAAGAACGGGCAAUUCCAGUGAUCCCUAUGUCGGUUCCAUUCUUGUCGGCGUCUUUCCUCUUCCCGAUGAUAAUCCUCCUGCCGGCGCCGAUACCGAUCUUCUCGUUGCUGCCAAGUCUCCCGAGGCCUUCUGUGAGUUAUCACAAUACCAGAUCGGGGAGGUCUUCCUGAGCUAGUUCCUUCCUGGACUAAACCUCUUCCUUUGGCAUCGACAGUAGUGACUUGAUGCUGAGGAUCCACCGAUGCACUUCUUUCAGCUGCUUCCGAUGUCAAGACCUUGGCCUUUCCCUUAGCAUCCAGCAUGUUCGUUGGGAAAGGAUGUUGAUCAAUCUUCAUCGGCUUCUGGGUCUUGGAACUAUCAAACUUGAUUCUUCCAGAUUCUAUAGCCGUUUGCAACUGUUGUCUAAAAACCUUGCACUCAUUGGUGCCAUGAGAAGUUGCAUUGUGCCAUUUGCAAUAUUUCAUCCUUUUUAAUUCUUCAGCCAAUGGGAUCACAUGAUUAGAGGACAGCUUGAUCUGACCUUCCUGAAGUAGAAAGUCAAAUAUCCUAUCGGCUUUAGCAGUGUCGAACGCGAACUUCUCUGGUUCUUUAUGUCCAAAAGGAUAAGACAUCGGCUUCUUAUUUUUUACCCACUCUGCCAAGCCGAUGACUGGUUCUUCAUCUGAAUCUGAGCUUGUUGCUUCAUCCAUGAACGACACCUUUUUGUUCCAUGCUCUCUUGGGUUCAAACGGCUUGAUGUCUUGAUCAGAGAUUCUCUGCACCAGAUGACUUAAGCUUUCAAACUCCUGAGAUGCAUACUUGUCCCUGAUGUGUGGCAACAAACCCUGGAAAGCCAAAUCGGCUAGCUGCCGAUCAUCCAGAACCAGACUAUAGCACUUGUUCUUGACUUCCCGUAUCCUCUGUACAAAGCUUUCAACCGAUUCAUCAUUACGUUGCCUUAAUUUGACCAAAUCGGUGAUCUUCUUCUCAUGGACCCCAGAAAAGAAGUAUUUGUGGAAUUGUUUCUCCAGAUCGGCCCAAGUGGUUACUGAAUUGGGAGGUAAUGAGAUAAACCAAGUGAAGGCCGAUCCAGACAAUGAUGACGAGAAUAAGCGAACCCUUAAUUCGUCCCUGUUACCAGCUUCCCCGCAUUGGAUGAUGAACCUAUUGACAUGCUCCAUAGUCGACGUGUCAUCCUGCCCAGAAAACUUAGUAAAAUCCGAUACCUUGUACCGAUGCGGAAGCGGGAUCAAAUCAUAUGCGGGAGGAUACGGUGUCCGAUAAGAGUAAGUAUUGACUUUGGGUUUUAUCCCGAAUUGGUCUCUCAUUACUUCAGCAAUCUUAUCGGCCCAAUAAGCAUCGGCAUCUUGCCGAUGGGGCGGUUGCGGAUCGGGCGCUUGUUAGUAAUCCUCCACGCGUCGAUGUGGUGCACGAUCUUUGUGAAACAUAGGGUUAAUCAUCUGACCCCCAAUCUGUGGACCACCAAACUGCUGCGCACCAAUCUAUUGUCCACCGAUCUACUGCCCAAGGUUCAUUGGCUGGUUGGGGAUCCCCUGAUUCUGGAAUCCAAGGUAGAUCUGGCCUUGUUGGAACCCUGUAGCCUGAUGAUUCUGUUGGGGCGUUUGCGGAAAAACUUGCUGCCCAAGCCAUCCACUAUUGGCAUUCAUCGGCAUAGGUCCUGCCGAUGACUGGUAAUUGGGCAUUAUCAUGGAGUUGACAUACCCUGGUUGAACCACAGAGCUCUGUUGCAUCAGCAUUGAGUCUGCCGAUGCGUUAGGCAUCUGAAACGUUGGAGCUUGAGAAUUCCUAGUGUAAGGUCUUGUAGUAGUUGUAGUAUACUGGUGACUUUGGUUCAUCGGCAUAUUGGGAGGUGCCGAUGCCAUAGGAGUCUUGCCUCUCAUAUCAGUUGUCUGCGACGUACCCGGUGUUAACUCUGGAGGCAUACCAUAACCCCACCAGUUAGGAGGAGGAGUCAAUCCCGACAUUGCCGAUGCCAUCAGAUCUGUAGCGAGUUUGAUCUGUCCAUCCGAAAUCUGUGGAUUGGUUGUCAUCGGCAUAGAUUGUACAUUAGUGACUCCCAACGUGCUCGGAGGCGUAGUAGCCUCUGUGCCUGCAGCAGCCGUGGCAGCCGAUGGACCCGUGACCACUGGCGAUCUUGGUUGAUGGUAGGCAGGGCCCGUAUAAUUUGGUGGCAAUUGUCCUUCUUUGAAUGUUCUAGCUACAGCGUUGAAAACCGUAUUGGACAGUACACCAGCUUGGUUAAUUAGAGCACGGUUGAUAGCACUGUCAACCAUCUCUUGAAGUUUACCAGGAUUGGAUUCGAAAGUAACCUGCCGUGGUGUCGGCAGCGCAUCCUUCUGGUUCACCUCACUGCUCCUGUUUAUGCUGAAGGACCUCAGGCAUUGCUGCUUGUAAUCCUCCAUGGCUUUAGCAAUAGCUUCCUUCUGCUCAUCCUAGAGACUAUCUUCUGUCAUGGGAAUAACAUUCUCCAAGUCGAACUCAGUAUUCGACAUGUUGAUCUUGAUCUUGAAUCGGUCCCACUGGGCGUGCCAAAAGAUGUGUUGAUGCAAAAACUGAUCUGCAAACACAAAGGGCUAAUACCCGAUUUAAACGUUAAGGCGUGCCACCCGAUUUGACCUUACUAUCGGCAAAGGUGAUAACUCGAAUACUUUGGUCCUGACAACAGCGAUGCGCCUGGAUGUCACGGCCAAGAGGUAUUCACGCGAAACUUGAGAACACGCCGAGCUUAAGUCAACGAAUUCUUAAGAACUCGUAAUGAAAAAGGAAAAAGUAUGACGAAGUCGUCGAAAUAGUAGAUACUGGAAUAUGAGUAAAAACUGAUGUUUGAUUGAUUGAUUGCUUGAUUACAUGGCCCUUGGGUCUAUAUUUAUACCCUGCUCAAAGAGCUACAACCAGACACGACUAGAAUUCGAAUUCUAAAUUACACAGAAUCCGUAUACAAAACGAUUUAAACAACUAAGGAAAGCAUAAAACUAUCCCCGCAUGAUAAACUGCAACACCUCCACAACCGAUCGGCAGCUUCUAGACUUUCCUUCCAUAUCAUCGGCAGACUCCCCUGUCAUAACCAUCGGCAGACUCCCCUGUCGCAGCCAUCGGCACAGAUGCAUCAUCAUUUAUGGACUUAAUCACGUCCAACCAUCCUUCCAUCGGCAACCAUCUCCAUCGGCAACUUUCCCUGUAGACCAAUCACUACCGCCUUAUCUUGCCGAUCCACACUUUACCGAUCAUGGACACGUGCCCAAAAACGGUGUCAACACCUUCUCAGGGAAGGAUCAGACGACGAAAGUUAGUGCUUCAACAACCCCAAACGUGACCACUGCCGCAACGUACAAGCAUUCUUAUGCCUAAGCCAAUCAAAGACGAUGUACAGGGGCUGAAUCCAGAAGUGCACACAUCAUCAUCACCAAAGUACACCGUAACAAGAUGGCUCGAGGCCACACCGGUAUGGAGGCCUCGAGUGAGUCAGUGCACCAUACCCAUAUCGAGGCUUAUUGUAAUACCUACACAUUGUAACCUAGGUCUCUCCUUGGAACUAUAAAAGGGGACACUAAGGGCAACAUUCAAUAGACACUACUGGUAGAAUGCGCUCCUCUCACCACCACUAGCCUAGACUUAGAACCCUUGGUAACAUCUGCCACUAUUCACCCCUGUAGAAGCACUUAGGUGCAAGAUAAUACAAAAUCUCCUCCCCCGCUAGACGUAGGGCCUUCUCUUGCCCGACCAGGAUAAAUCACCGUGUCAUUCUUGCAUCACCAUCCCGAAGAGGGAGCACACACACAAAUUCACUCGUUGGUGUUACCCCUCGGGGUCAAAACACCGACAGUUGGCGUGCCAGGUAGGGGUCCUACGUGUUUCCACCGAUUUCCCAUCUCCUUCCAGAUGGCCACUCCUGUCUCACCUAUUCCACGCUCCACGGUGAUUUGGUUUGGGAGCCUCGAGUUCAUGUCCACCGGCUUCGGCUACGACAUGAUCCUGCUCUCGAUCAAAGGACCUGGAGGGGCUCGCAUCACGCCCACACGAUCAAAGGCUCCGAGAUGGCCUCGCCACCAUGCUUUCCCGCAUAAGAGGAGGCGUGGGCAGCAUUGCCACCACCCCACCUCCACUGCGUGAUCACCACCUCAUGCGAGGCGGGCAGCAGAACAUGGGCCGGUGACCCCAGGCGCCAAGGCCAUGAGUACGACAACCCAGCGCCAGGACAGCCACAUGACAGCGUCGGGCGAAAGCGGGCCUCGCGCACCCUCACCCCCAUCCGCACUGUUACCACACGGUCUGUUCGCCGCCAGGCGGACAUACCCGUUCGGCUUAGAUAAUGUCGCGGCGUCGCUCGCCAGGACCAUAUGUCUGGGUGCCAAGACGUACAUGGAGGGACCUCUGGUCCUCUCACGCGACGCGGAGGCACGGCAGCAAGCUAGGCAAACGGCAGAACCGUUGGAUUUUUCCCAGGUACGAGGGCUCCGACGCUUAGGACCCGGGCACUACACCAUCACAUCGCUCAGGCAGCAGUUGGUGGAGGAGGGGCGCAGGUGUUUCUACAUCGCCGAGCUAGAUCCAGACUCUGAAUCUGACAGUUACGAUCCUACGAUGGAGUGCUUCAACAUCGAUGGGGAAGUGGCAACUACAGACGACACUCAAGACACCGCCGCCGGUGGUCGAGCCCCCGUAGCAAGGGAAGAUCCUAGGACACCUGGAAAUGACGGACAGGUCAACCCACCACCCCAGGAUGACAAAGCCGCGCAACUAGCGCAACUGCGAGAGCUCAAGGCCAAGCUUGAUGAGGAUCGUGAAUGCCUCACCCAACUCGAGCAGGCUCUCGAGUGGGACCAACUGCACCCGCACGGCGGGGGCGCACGUUGUCGUGCUCGAGAGGUGUACCAGUAGAUCGUCGGGGACGAGGAGCCAGAGCCACUCGUCAGUCGCUUCCUCGAGCAGGCCAAAACAUCGUGGCAGUGACCAUGCUGCUACGUAACAUGCUUGAGCCUUCGAACUCCCAGGCAUGGCGCAUUCGACACGAGGUAUAGGGCUUGCUCCUUGUUGCGGCAGCAGAACGAGUCGAGAGCUCAGCCUCUCGACAUCGACGAGCACCCAUAGAGAAGCGCGUCGAGCCAGCUCGGAAUGAGAGGGAGGCGUCGGUGCAUGAGGAACCACUCCCUUGAGGAAGGAAAGCAAUACCCGUCUAGGAGCGCCUCGUCGACAAUCGAGGGCAGCACGACACUCGACAUGACAUCAAUGAGCAUCACCGCCGCCGACACGGGGACGCGGAGGAACGUGGCUACAACGCUCACCAUGGUGGGUGUUACGACAGUGACGAAGACCGAAUGUCACCGGAACUGCCAGGCCGUCGAGUCUUUAGCAGAGCAAUACGCAGCACACCGCUGCCAAGCCUGUUUCGACCCCCAACCAGAAUCGCCAAGUACACUGGCGAAACCAAGCCGGAGUUGUGGCUAGCAGACUUCCGACUGGCAUGCCAGUUGGGAGGAGCUCGAGGGGACGAUCGAGCUAUCAUCUGCCAGCUACCACUCUUCCUCUCCGAUACCGCUCGCAGGUGGCUCGAGGAGCUCCCCGCCACCCAGAUCCACGACUGGACGGACUUGGUCCGAGUGUUUGAAUGGAACUUCAAGGGGACCUACAUACGCCUUGGCAAUUCGUGGGACCUCAGGAAGUGCAAGCAGAAAUCAGGAGAAUCCCUCUGAGAGUACGCUCGACGCUUCUCGAAGUAGCGCACCGAGCUCCCACACAUCCCCGACCACGAUGCCAUCUUGGCCUUUGUCUCAGGCACCAUAUGCAAUGAUUUGGUGCCAGAGUUAGGUCGAAACCAACCCUAGACCAUCGACGAGCUAAUGGAUGUAGUGGCAAACUAUGCCACUGGCGAGGAGGCAGUCGGCCCUUUCUUCAACCAUGAGGACGGCAAGGGGAAAGCACCAGCGGACAACGACGAGGGCCCCAGUAGAGGGUCCAAGAAGAGCAAGAAAAAGAAGAAAAUGCGACUGAUCAAGCGGGAGGCAAUUGAUGAUGAUUUCAUCGCCGCCGUCGAGCGCAAAAAGCCUCGAGGCCCCCUAGAGGGGGCCAUGUUCGACAAAAUGCUCAAGGAGCCCUACCCUUACCACAAGGGAGGGGCCAAUCACAAGCUUGAAGAUUGUCACAUGUUGAAAAAGUACUUCGACAGCCUGGGGUUGAAGAAGGACGAUCAGAGGAAAGACAAGAGCGAUGACAAGAGGGGAAACAAAGAAGAUGAAGGGUUCCCUGCCGUCCACGACUGCUACAUGAUCGACGGUGGGCCUUCGACGCAGCUCACUAUGGGACAGCGUAAGAGGGAAUGCCGCGAGGUCUUCGUGGCAAGGAUGGCAGUGACUCAGUUCCUUAACUGGUCGAGCACCCCCAUCACAUUCGAUCGUGACGACCACCCCGACAGGGUGGUCGCUCCUGGUGUCUACCCACUCGUCAUCGACCCCAUCAUCGUCAACACCCGACUCCUGUAGGUAUUGAUGGACAGCGACAGCAGCCUCAACAUCAUCUACCUCGAGACCCUCGACCUCCUAGGCAUCGAGAGAACGUAGCUCCAACCCAGCGCAGGCGGCUUCCAUGACGUUUUGCCAGGAAAGAAAGCAUUGUCGGUGGGUCAAAUCGACCUAACGGUCUAUUUUGGUACAGCGGCCAAUUUUAGGAAGGAAACCCUCACCUUCGAAGUGGUGGGUUUUUGAGGCACUUACCAUGCCAUCACCGGACGAGGCUUGCCUCGAGGCUCGAGGCUCUCGUCGCUGAGGCUCCGGAGCCUAAGCACCAUGCGUGAAACUUCGAGCCAGCAGAGGGCACGAAGAAGAUCCUGCUCGACCCCAACAGCUCCGAUCACAAGGUGCUGACGAUCAGCGCUGACCUCGACCCCAAAUAGGAAGCCGUGCUCAUCGACUUUCUCCGUGCAAAUACUGACAUGUUUGCAUGGAGUCACUCGGACAUGCCAGGCAUACCGUGUAACAGAACCGUCCAAUUUAUAAGAAUUCAAGUGAAUUAGCGACCACGAAGGCAGUCAAGCCAAUGGACAUGAACCCAUAUAAACCCGAUAGUCCGACGAAAUCUCAAAAGACCUCGAUUCAACCAACAUACAACCAAGAUCGUACAUGAUCAAGCACCGGAUUACAUACAAUCAUCACAGAACAUAGUUUUACAUCACAUCAGAGUUUAAAAGAGGUUGUUACAAACCAGAUUAGUAGCGGAAACAAAGUAGUUUUAAAACAUCACACACUCAGUUUAAAUUACAUGCCAGCUCCAUGGUCAAACCUAACAAAAGCACAACUGAAGAUAGAGAAGGUGAUCACGCCCAUGAUCUACUCAUUGUCCGCAGCCGGAUGAUGACAGUUCGCACAGUAGCCGUGAUAAACAACAUCAUCUGCAACAAGGGUAAAUAAAACCCUGAGUACGAGAAUGUACUCAGCUAGACUUACCCGUCAUAAACCAAAAAUAAAGUGACACCAAGGAGUAUGCAAGGCUGAUCUUUGUGGGCUGGUUUGACUCACCCUUUUGCAUAAAAAGCUUUAGUUGUAAGUAACCCAUUUAUAAUAUUUCAGCAGCAUGUUCAUUACUUUAACAACUAUAUAUCCACUAGAUUAGCACCUAUUCUAAGCAUACACUUGAGUAUUUAAGCAACACAAUAAUAACCAUAUCCGGAUUAUCACUUAGCUAUCAACAUACUCAUCAUAACCAUCAAGUUUAUUUAGUGAGUUCUACGUUGACACUGCCCGAGUCAUGUUCUCACUAUCCGGGAGAGACGGCGAUUCGAAUCGAUUCCUAUCCAGCUGGAGGGGUAUUCCUAGCACUCACCCAAGCAUACUUCAUGAGGGCAGCUCGGAUCACCUUUAGCACAACUCUAGACCAAUUCGCGGGUCCGUCCAGCACCGCACCCCCAGGGACCGCCAAUCUGCCAGGGUCAGGACUCUAACCUGACACCUCGGACUUACGCCAUUGACUCCCCGCACAUACUUACUACCAACCAGGGUGCGCACAGAUACACGCACACAUACAGAACGGGGUAUCUAGCCUGAGUUGCACUCGUAGGCUUCGCGGUCGGAACGACUUAUCCGGCCAGCUAAGUGUUAGGCAUGCGUUCGACAUGACACGAGGACGCACGAUGAAUCGGUCCUUAACCGACACGGACGGGGAUAGAUUCACACCCAAGACCUCCAUGCCUUGCUGCUGCACUAUCAUCAUCCCGCCCGGUCUCAAGUUAAUUAUUAGCACAUGGUUAUUUCCACGAUAGCAAAUAUAGCCAACCAUGAGGAAGUAUCCACCUAUCUCUCGCAGGUGACAGACAAUCACCCGGCUUCUACCGAGCUAAGCAUGGCUAAGCAUCAUUCGAUCCUGGACCUACUUAGGUAAGGUAUGGGGUCAACAAGGUAGUCAUUAUGCAGCAAGGGUGUCAUAUCAACGCCUAACACUUAAUGCAACAAUACAUAACCAUAGUCAAUUGAUAGCUGGACAUGGUAACAAAAUAGUAGGAGUCUUAUAAUGCUCCGGGGCUUGCCUUUGAUGUAAGUAGAGGGACGGUGGUCAGGGCACUCCGGCAAAUCUUCCUCCUCAGCUCCUCGAGGUGGCUCCCCUUGCUGUUCCUCCGGCUCCGGCAGCUCGAACUCCAAAACCGUCACGCCCUUGGGUACACCUAUGUAUGCAUGACAAGGAGAUAAAUAUAGAGAAUGCACAUAUGAUGCAUGAUGUCAUGAUGAAGAGCCAAAGGAACAUAAAGCCAUGUACAAACAUGAGUAUAAUGUUCAUGAGAUUAUGAAGAUCAUGAGAUAACAAGUAAGUGCAUACUUCUUCUCUGGUAGAGAGGCUAACUAGACAAGCUAAACAACCCUAGCUACUCCUACUUAGUCACUGGUCUCAUGGGCAGAUUAAUUAGUCUCAAGAUUCAGCAAUAACUUAAGCCUCAUUUGGCCAAACUAAAUAAAUAGAUACUUUCUGGAAAGCUUAGUAAAUUGUCUACAAUUCACUUUUAGACAUCCCAGAUCGAUUCCCAACCGAAAUAUGCUAAAACAUACAAAGUUGGCUGGCUGUCCUAGAAAAUCCAGAGAGCAAGCACUUUGCAGUAGCUAUUUAUAACAUGCAUAACUUUUAAACUACUUAACUAAACGUCUUGAAACUUGGACACGAAGUAGAUAACCAAGUUAGCUACCAGUUUAUUAUAGACAAGUUUCCCAUAAAACAUCAUAUUCAAUUAGUUCUUAAGCAAUUGCUAUCAGCUACACGGAAUUGCUCUAGGAAAGGCAUAAAUAGUAAAAAUAAAUUUUUGCACAUAACAAGAAGGUAUCAAAGGGUCAAUCCAAAUGCACCAGUAGAUAGAACAUGUCUAAGAAACACUAGAAAACAUCAUGGCAAGGUCUAAACUCAUUUCUAUCAUCACCUUUUUCAUUUAUUUAAUUAUUAAGGUGAUUUAAUGAACAUGCAUCACAAGUGCUUCAAGAAUUCUAAGAAAAUUACAGCAAGCUACUUAUGUUAACACAAGGUUACUGUAAAAUUUUCAGGGCACUUGCACAUACAGAUUGUGAGAUACAAUAAUAACAAGCUAGCGAAGGCAUGCAGGGCAUAAAUGUGAAACCCUAUCAAAAAGUGUCGAACAACAGAUUUCAGAUUUGUCCUAGCUUUGUUUACAUAUGAGUACAACACUCAACAAGUUUCACCAUAAAAGGGGCUAUAAUCUAUUUACUAAAAAUACCACAACAAACUCCCAUUUAAGCAAGAAAUAUUUAUAAUUGCACAAUCUGACCUCCAGAAAUCAUGAAAAUUUUAUCAGAGCCUAUUCAUGUCAUAAGUGACAUCACCCUAAAUUUGCAUGGCCACCAGAUCAACAGAUCUCAAGAUAUAAUUAUCUCCUAUAUAAUCAAGAUUAAAUCAUAUAUAUUUAUUUCUGCAAAAACAUGGCAUGUUUCAUAUUUUUAAUAAAAACUAGAUUAUCACAAGAACCUAGCAAAAUUGGAAUCACUCCAUUUGCAUCUGGAAAACUCAAGAUAUAAUUUUUUUCAAAAACAGCCAAGAAUCUGUUAAACUGUGAACCAGAGGUGUGAGAGAGAGACUGACAGGUGGGAUCCGCUAACACACGGGACCCACGCGACAGAGAGACAGAGACAGGGGAGACGCUCGUCACCGGCGAAACUCGACGACGGCGAGGUCUCGGUGGGAUCCAAGGGCAUCUACGUGUUCCUCUCCUCAAGGCAGACUCGGUGACCUACUUUACCCGCGCUCUACUGGACCCUAGGGUGCUCGCCGUCGUGAAUGGCGGCUCGGCGGCGCUGCGGGCGAUACGCCGGCGUGCACAGCCGAUGCCGUCCCGGUUGAGGUUCAUGCCGAGCAUCAGUGAGCCAAGGGAAAGCGAUAGGAACAAGAAUGGGGAGAAAUGGUGGAGCAGAGAGGCCUGGCCACGUCGCCGGUGAGCUCGGGCGGAACUCCGGCGAGGGAGAAUGGCUCGGAGCUCGGCAAUGCCGCCUUACCCGUGCUUGACAGUGGCCAAGGAGGUGACGCCGAGGUAGAGGAAGCUCUGGUGAAGCUUUUGGUGGGCUGGCUUGGCCGGAGACGGCGAGGGAAGCUCGGGCGAGGCUGCCGUUCCACGGCGGAGCUCGCCGAGGAGAAAUGGAGAAGGGAGAGAGCGCUUGGGAGGCGAAAUGAGGACGGCCGAGGCUCGGGGUGGCGUCGUGGUGUCCAAGUGAAGGCGUCGGAACUGACAGGUGGGGUCGCCGUCGACGUACGGCUGCCACGGGUCGUCCACGCGUCGGCCGGCCGGUGACUGACGAAACUGAAUCACGCGAUUCAGUCGUCGCCGACAGUGACUGAAACCCGAUGUUCACCGACGUUUUACUCUCAGCUCACUCGGUGGUUUUGGCUCGAAUUUGAUCCUUUGGACAGAGCUACACGAGUUCUACAAGUUUGCUUACAAGAUCAAAGCCUAACUCGGCCUGGAUUUCAAUCUACAAAGCUCCCAACAACCCUAUGUCGAAUCUGCCUAUUCUCAGACUUAGCCAAAUUUGGCUAAGUGUGGAAACAGCACUGUUUUCAGGCUUGUGGGUCACUUUUGGUCAGGUUCCAAGCAUUUUCAUGAAAAGUCAUCAACAUAACUUUUGUAGCUUAUCAAAUUUACAACAACUUUGCUUUAGGUGUCAUUUACAUGCAAGGUUUCUAACAUCAGUUUCAUAAAACAUCCUAGAAAGGAGGUCUAGGGGGUCAACUAGGUCAAUCUAGGGUUAACCAUGUCUUAGGGGCAUUUUUGGCCAAAACUUCCAACAUGAACUUUGUUCAAAAAUUUAUUCUAAACAUGACUAAAGUAUUUUGGGAGACAAUGUACACUUGCAUGCAUUUGUCACCCAUUACCAUCAACCAUAGCAAGUCAUAUAGCAAUUCAAUCACAUUGUGUAUGUAACAAAUGGCAUGUGAUCAUGGUAUGAUGCUCAUGAGUGAUCAUGAUGAUGCUUAUGUUGAUGCAAUGCUCAUGGUUAACAGGCAAGCUAACACUAGGAGUGUUACAGCCCUCCCCCCUUACAAAAAUCUCGUCCCGAGAUUUGAAAGACGUACCAUUUUGCAUAGAAUGUGGGAUAAGUUACUUGUAAAUGGUCUUCCCUUUCCCAAUUGGCAUCUCUCUCACUUUGACGGUUUCACAAAACUCUAAAGAGUUUGAUCACUCUCCCGUGAGUAACCCUUUCCUUGACGUCAAGGAUUUGUACAGGCUUCUCUUCAUAGGAUAGAUCGGAUUGCAACUUGAGAUCUCCCGUUUCCACUCUCUCUUCGGGCACACGGAGACACUUCUUGAGUUGAGACACAUGGAAUACAGGGAAAACGGUUCCUAGUUCCAGAGGUAGUUGUACCUUAUAAGCUACCUUGCCGCUCUUCUCAAUGAUUUGGUAGGGACCCACAUACCUCGGGGCAAGCUUUCUUUUUACCCCAAAGCGAUUUACACCCUUCAUGGGCGAUACCUUGAGAUACACAAAGUCACCUACUUCGAACUCGAGUGGUUUUCUUCUUCGGUCGGCAUAGCUUUUCUGUCUAGCUUGGAUAGCUUUCAUGUGUUGCUAGAUAAUGAGAACUUGCUCUUCGGCUUCUUUGACAAAGUCAAUUCCGUAGUACCUCCUUUCGCCAGGUUCGACCCAGUUUAGAGGAGUUCUACAUUUGCGGCAUACAAAGCUUCGAAAGGAGCCAUUUGGAUACUUUCUUGAUAACUAUUGUUGUAAGAAAACUCAGCUAAGGGUAGCCAUUUCCCCGAGGCACCCUUGGAAGAUAUAACACAUGCCCUCAACAUAUCCUCUAAGAUUUGAUUUACACGCUCAGUCUGACCGGAGGUUUGAGGGUGGUAGGCUGAACUGCGAACCAACUUUGUACCAAGGAGCAAAUGCAGAUGCUCCCAAAAGCGGGCAGUGAACUGAGGACCCCUAUCAGAAAUGAUGGUGCAAGGCACCCCGUGCAAUUUAACAAUCUGAGAGAAGUAUAACUCAGCGUAGUCGGAUAUUCGGUGUGUCGACUUCACAGGGAUAAAAUGGGCUGAAUUGGUCAAACGGUCAACAAUCACCCAUAUGGAGUCGUGUCCCUUUUGGGUCGGGGGAAGGCCAACAAUGAAAUCCAUGCUGAUUUCUUCACAUUUCCAUCCUGGAACCGACAAAGGUUGCAAUAAACCUGCAGGUUUAAGGUGAAUUGCCUUUACCCUGCAGCAAGUAUCACACCUAGCAACAUAAGCCGCUAUCUCCUUCUUCAUAUUGGUCCACCAGAAAUGAGGUUUCAAGUCUUGGUACAUUUUGCUACUACUAGGAUGAAUGGACAACUUGGAAGAAUGAGCUUCAUCUAAGAUUUUGUUGCGUAGGUCACGGUCUUUAGGUACAACUAGUCGAUCAUCAAACCACAGUACACCCUUCUCAUCUACCCUGAAAUGCUUGGUGUCUUGCUCUUGCAUUUUUCUUUUAAUAUGGAAAAUACCAGGAUCAGACUUUUGGAGCUCUAUAAUUUGACUCUCUAAUGAGCAACUGAUCACAAUGUUGUGCAGGACCAGAGGAUGCAAUAAAUUGAAACCUUCUUCCAGAAGAGGUCCAACAUGUUGCUUCCGGCUAAGAGCGUCGGCUACAACAUUGGCUUUGCCUAGAUGAUAGUGUACUUCUAGAUUGUAGUCUUUUAUCAACUCUAACCAUCUUCUUUGUCUCGUGUUCAACUCAGGUUGUGUGAAGAUAUAUUUGAGGCUCUUAUGGUCAGUGUAAAUGUGACAUAGAUUACCCAGCAGAUAAUGCCUCCAGAGUUUCAAUGUGUGUACAAUUGCUGCUAACUCUAGAUAAUGAGUCGGGUAGUUAGCUUCGUGCUUCCUCAGCUGCCGAGAAGCAUAGGCAAUGACUCGGCCUUCUUGCAUAAGUACACAACCUAGGCUGGUGCCAGAUGCAUCACAAAAGACAUCAAAUGGCUUUUCAAUGUCAGGCUGUGCCAGAAGAGGAGCGGUGGUCAGCAAAUGGCGUAAAGUGGUGAAAGCGGCUUCACACUCCUGCACACAAACUUCACAUCUUUUUGCAGUAGCUUGGUCAUGGGCUUAGCAAUUUUGGAGAAGUCCGGAAUAAAGCGACGAUAAUAUCUAGCUAGACCGAGAAAACUCCGAACCUCGUGCACUGAAGUUGGGGCCUUCCAGUCUAGAACCUCUUGCACUUUUGACGGGUCAAUAGAAAUACCGUCUUCAGAUAGAAUAUGGCCUACGAAAGGCACUUUCUUUAGACAAAACUCACAUUUGCUGAACUUGGCAUAGAGCUAAUGUUCUCGCAAUCUAGUGAGUACAAUCUGAAGAUGCUUCUCAUGGUCUUGGGCAUUUUCCGAAUACACCAAUAUGUCAUCGAUGAACACCACCACAAACUUAUCCAGUUCGGGCAUGAACACCGAAUUCAUCAGGUACAUGAAAUGAGCAGGGGCAUUAGUCAGACCAAAGGACAUGACUAGAUACUCAUAUAACCCAUACCUGGUAGAGAAAGCCGUUUUAGGAAUGUCUUCGGGUUGGAUCUUGAUUUGAUGAUACCUAGAUCUCAGAUCAAUCUUGGAGAAUACCUUAGCCUUAGCUAAUUGAUCAAACAGGAUAUCAAUGCGAGGCAGUGGAUACUUGUUUUUGAUAGUCACGGCAUUCAACGGACGAUAGUCUACACACAUACGUAGAGACUUGUCCUUCUUUUUGACAAAAAAGAGUCGGACAACCCCAUGGAGAUGAACUAGGUCGAAUAAGACCUUUCUCUAGGAGUUCUUGCAAUUGCUUCUUCAACUCGGCUAAUUCAUUGGGUGGCAUUCGAUAUGGCCUUCUAGAGAUAGGUGCGGUACUCGGAAUAAGAUCGAUUUUAAAUUCUAUGUACCUAUCCGGAGGCAACCCACGCAUAUCCUCUGGAAAAACAUCCGGAAACUCACAUACUACCAGAAUCUCCACCACUGUGAGUGGUCUAAUAGCAUUAGCAGCGUGACAAAUGUCGUUGCUUCUAGGAAGUUGAACUAAGAAAGCUUCUUUACUAUCAGGCUCCCUCAGCAUGAUUACCCUAGUUGAGGUGUCUAUUAACACUCCAUGGUCACUCAUCCAUUUCAUUCCUACGAUAACAUCUAUUCCCAAGCCCGGUAAGAUGACAAGAUUUGCUGAAUAAUUACGCCCUUCAAUGGCAAUAUGCACAUCCCUCACUAAUUGAUUUGUAGAGAUCUGAUUACCAGCAGCACUAAUGCAAAUUUUUCCACUAUCAAGGUCAAUUACAUGUUGCCCAUGCUUAGAUGCGAAUGCCUGACUCAUGAAUGAAUGUGAAGCUCCAGAAUCAAACAAGACAACUGCAGGGUGUUGAUUUACAAGAAACAUACCAGCCGUGACCACUUCACCUUCGGGGAUUUCUUCAAUGGUGGUAUAGUGCACUCGGCCAGUACGGUUAUUACCCCCAGCUGCAGAAUUCCUCUUGGGAUAAGGGCAAUCUCUCGCCCAGUGACCAACUUGUUUGCAAUUGAAGCAAGGGCGGUUAUCAGGCGGUAGUCUAAGGACCUCCUUGACCCGUAGCACCCCUAGGAAGAGCAACUGUGAAGGCCUUGCAAACUCCCGUCUUCACAUUAGACUUCUUCUGCGGCGGCUUGUACCUUGUCACAGCAUUGGGUGGGCGAUAGGCCGGUUUGCUUGUCACUGGGGCCUUGGACUGUGAAGCACCUGCCUCAUAGGCCCUUUUGCGGUUCUUGGACGCGGCAUACACAGCAUUGGAGUUCUCCUGAGUCAACGCAUCACUCACAAACUCAUUAAAGGUGGUACUCUUGUUACCAGCCAUGUUCUUGGACAGCUUGGGUCCAAACCCUCUCUUGAAACUAGCAAGCUUCUUGAUCUCAGUAUCGACCAUUUCAGGAGCAUAGCGAGACAAAUUAUUAAAAGCAUGAAGAUACUCAGUCAAGCUUUUAGUGCCUUGAGUCAGAUUCAUAAACUCGGUAUGCUUGAUAGUCAUUAAGCCUUGUGGAAUAUAAGUGUUCCUGAAAGCAGUUUUGAACUGAUCCUAGGUUACAACUACAUUAGCAGGCAAGCUGGUCCUGUAAUGACUCCACCAGACACCUGCUUUGCCCUCCAACUUGUGGGCUGCAUAUUCCGCCUUUAAUUCUUCAGUCACCCUCAGCAAGCGGAACUUCUGCUCGAGAGUGUUUAGCCACUCAUCCGCUUCUAGAGGUUCGACAGCCUCCUUGAAAAGCGGUGGCUUCGUGUCCUGGAAAUCCUUGAAAGUGCUAAACUGAUUUGCCUAUCCGCCUUGGCGGGCAUGGCGACCACCCCGGUUCUGUUGCGCCAUAGUCUGCAUAGCUUCGUUGAGCAUUCGUUGGCCCUCGACAAGAGUUGCGAAAAGCUCAGCUGGCAUAGGCAGGGGAGGAGGUGGUGGUGGCACCUCAUUGUGACCGGAGCGAGUGUUGCGAGCCAUCUGCACAAGCCAUACCAAGCGACCGUUUAGGAUAACAGAUAUAAUUGCCAUGAAUCUCGAUUGCUGCCAUACGGAAUUUAACAAAAUAAAUUCACAUAAUUCAAGGCACAAUAAUCCAUGUACAACAAGAGAAUAUCAUCCACGACACUUGGUUAUCCUCGCGGUCAUUCACAGCCACAAUUCACAAGGAUUAAAGACAUUGCAGAAGAUUAUUUAAGCUCAACAUAAACAUGGAGCAUCUCAAAUGAGUGCAUUGGGUUACAUAAAGUCACUGCCACAACUUAAGUCUUACAGUAGGGGCACCAUGGCCAAAUACAUAGAGUCUCAGCUGAAAUUCAGAUUACAUGUCUAUUACAUAAAGAGACGGAAACUGAUACAUGAGCAUGAAAGUUAUUGCUGGGCUACAUAUCUUCCUCAGACUCUCCAUUAGAAAUUAUGCCAUCAUCCUGAUCUUCCUCACUGGGAGCUUCUUCAUGAUUAAAGGGAACAGGAUGUGGGAUAGGAUUUAUGAUAUUAUUUAAGCGAUGGACAUCUAACUGCAGCUCAGCAAUCCUAGUGAUCAGCUCUUCCUCUCUAAUUUCAGCAUGGAACAAAGCUCUAACUCUAGCAGCUUCUCUAUUUUCAGCCAAGCGCAUAGCCUCAUCUCGCUCUCUAGUCAUUUGCAUCAUGCGGGCUUGUGCUUCAUUGCGCUCUCUAACUGCAUUUUCAACUUGGUUGCGGCGGGCUUGCAAAGCGGUGUGAUAGUUUUGGAUUUCCGCUUGUGCAUCGCUAAAAGCCUUGCGGUGCUUGCGCACGUGCUUGCGCAGUCUGCGCUGUCCAACUUGAGCUUGUUGUAGCGCUAGCAUGGCUUCUAUGUAGGUGUCCUGGCGCACAUAGUACAGCUUAAGUACCGCCAGCAUGGCACUCAUGGCGGGGCUAGAGCUAUAUCCUAGUAUGGUUUCUCUCAUCUCUAGAGGCUCAGUUCCUAUCUGAGACACAAAUGUGUCAGUCACACUCACUCUAGGAAAUGAUUUAGCUGGGCCAUUAAUUAACUCAUCACCAUAGUCUUGGCAUAUCUCCAGCAGUACUUCUAAGGCUGCUACUUGGGCACCCUCCCAAGAAGUUUGGCCAUCGGACUCUACUAUCAAUCCUAGCCACUGUGGGUUAUUUGGGCAAGGGGGAACUAUAAUCUGGACAUCUACCCAAGGUAAGGAUCCUGCAUGCUCAGCCUCUGUCCAGGUGUACUGAGGUGGUUCCUCAUAUCCCACUGAACUUAGCACCCUCCACAACAAAGUAGGAGUGCCAAACAUGUCCAGAAAAGUCUCACUUGCAUGUGGGGCUGCCAUCUGUAGGAAAGACCACAACUUGUGUAAGGAAGAUUAAUUACAAGGGAAGAUAAUUAAUUAUAUUUCAGAAUUUAAGAAUUAAGUAGUGCAUAAGGAAUGUAUGAAUGAUUCAUGAUGCAUGCAUGUUCCAUACGUCCUUUCCAUUCCUAGAAGAAAGUUCUAACGGUAUAGUCGGUGGCAUACAUACGUGCACUCCUUAUACGCAACUACACGGUCUACACGUUUUGUUGUUAGUGUACCUGUAGAAAAUUUCAUUUCAGCCCAAUCCCUCAAGAGUAUAUGUGCAGAAAUGAAAAUCCAAUCAUCAACAAUCAAGCUAGAUACUCCGAUAUAUAUUCCCAAACAUAUAUCGCAGCAUCCUACUCUUUUGGGAUACAUCCAUAUACACAUCAAACAUGUAUACAUGGCUGCACCUACUACCCACAAUUAAGUACCUUCAUAUAUACAUGUGUGAAACAUGUAAAUAUUCCAGUAACCACAGCUAACACUCCCCUAGACCGACGGUUGGACGGUCAUGCUCUCACAGCUCACACUUACCGUAGCGUAGAGGCAUAUAGAUCCAUACAUUACCACUCAAGCAAGUGGCAUCCAUACAAUUUCACGCCGUAUGGACGACGAAAGAAAAUAAUCAUUGCUUACCAUGGCGUAGAGGUAUAUGAUCCAUUCAUUACCACUUAAGUAAGUGGUAUCCAUAUAAUUGCACGCCAUAUGGACGACGAAAGGAAAAACCCCCAUGUUAGUAAUAUUAAGCCACCUAGAAGUCCUUAUAUGGGCACAAAGGGUAUGACCACUGGCAUGGUAUAAGUUAUUGAAAUAUUUUUAAAACAGCCCUAUGUAUAGUCUAAUUUGCCAAUUAGUUUGAGAAAACCAAAUUCAUUCAUUUUGAAAUACAUCCGUGAUGGUUAAAUGCUUAAUCUUGCUCUGAUGCCAGCUAUAACAGAACCGUCCAAUUUAUAAGAAUUCAAGUGAAUUAGCGACCACGGAGGCAGUCAAGCCAAUGGACUUGAACCCAUAUAAACCCGGUAGUCCGACGAAAUUUCCAAAGACCUCAAUUCAACCAACAUACAACCAAGAUCAUACAUGAUCAAGCAUCGCCAUCACGGAUUACAUACAAUCAUCACAGAACAUAGUUUUACAUCACAUAAGAGUUUAAAAGAGGUCAUUACAAACCAGAUUAGUAGCGGAAACAAAGUAGUUUUAAAACAUCACACACUCAGUUUAAAUUACAUGCCAGCUCCAUGGUCAAACCCAAGAAAAGCACAACUGAAGAUAGAGAAGGUGAUCACGCCCAUGAUCUACUCAUUGUCCGCAGCCGGAUGAUGACAGUUAGCACAGUAGGCAUUAUAAACAACAUCAUCUGCAACAAGGGUAAAUAAAACCCUGAGUACGAGAAUGUACUCAGCUAGACGUACCCGUCAUAAACCAAAAAUAAAGUGACACCAAGGAGUAUGCAAGGCUGAUCUUUGUGGGCUGGUUUGACUCACCCUUUUGCAUAAAAAGCUUUAGUUGUAAGUAACCCCUUUAUAAUGUUUCAGAAGCAUGUUCAUUACUUUAACAACUAUCCACUAGAUUAGCACUAUUCUAAGCAUACACUUGAGUAUUUAAGCAUCACAAUAAUAACCAUAUCCGGAUUAUCACUUAGCUAUCAACAUACUCAUCAUAACCAUCAAGUUUAUUUAGUGAGUUCUACAUUGACACUGCCCGAGUCAAGUUCUCACUAUCCGGGAGUGAAGGCGAUUCGAAUCGAUUCCUAUCCAGCUUGAGGGGUAUUCCUAGCACUCACCCAAGCAUACUUCAUGUGGGCAGCUCAGAUCACCUUUAGCACAACUCCGGACCAAUUCACGGGUCCGUCCAGCGCCGCACCCCCAGGGACCGCCAAUCUGCCAGGGUCAGGACUCUAACCUGACACCUCGGACUUACGCCAUUGACUCCCCGCACAUACUUACUACCAACCGGGGUGCGCACUCAUACAGAAUGGGGUAUCCGGCCUGAGUUGCACUCGUAGGCUUCGCGGUCGGAACGACUUAUCCAGCCAGCUAAGUGUUAGGCAUGCGUUCAACAUGACACGAGGACGCACAACGAAUCGGUCCUUAACCGACACGGACGGGGAUAGAUUCACACCCAAGACCUCGAUGCCUUGCUGCUUCACUAUCAUCAUCCCGUCCGGUCUCAAGUUCAUUAUUAGCACAUGGUUAUUUCCACGAUAGCAAAUAUAGCCAACCGUGAGGAAGUAUCCACGUAUCUCUCGCAGGUGACAGACAAUCACCCGGCUUCUACCGAGCUAAGCAUGGCUAAGCAUCAUUCGAACCUGGACCUACUAAGGUAAGGUAUGAGGAGGACAAGGUAGUCAUUAUGCAGCAAGGGUGUCAUAUCAACGCCUAACACUUAAUGCAACAAUACAUAACCAUAGUCAAUUGAUAGCUGGACAUGGUAACAAAAUAGUAGGAGUCUUAUAAUACUCUGGGGCUUGCCUUCGAUGUAAGUAGAGGGACAGUGGUCAGGGCACUCCGGCAAAUCUUCCUCCUCAGCUCCUCGAGGUGGCUCCCCUUGUUGUUCCUCCGGCUCCGGCAGCUCGAACUCCAAAACCGUCACGCCCUUGGGUACACCUAUGUAUGCAUGACAAGGAGAUAAAUAUACAGAAUGCACAUAUGAUGCAUGAUGUCAUGACGAAGAGCCAAAGGAACAUAAAGCCAUGUACAAACAUGAGUAUAAUGUUCAUGAGAUUAUGAGGAUCAUGAGAUAACAAGUAAGUGCAUACUUCUUCUCUGGUAGAGAGGCUAACUAGACAAGCUAAACAACCCUAGCUACUCCUACUUAGUCACUGGUCUCAUGGGCAGAUUAAUUAGUCUUAAGAUUCAGCAAUAACUUAAGCCUCAGUUGGCCAAACUAAACAAAUAGAUACUUUCUCGAAAGCUUAGUAAAUUGUCUACAAUUCACUUUUAGACAUCGAUUCCCAACCGAAAUAUGCUAAAACAUACAAAGUUGGCUGGCUGUCCUGGAAAAUCCCGAGAGCAAGCACUUUGCAGUAGCUAUUUAUAACAUGCAUAACUUUUAAACUACUCAACCAAAUGUCAUGAAACUUGGACACGAAGUAGAUAAGCAAGUUAGCUACCAGUUUGUUAUAGACAAGUUUUCCAGAAAACAUCAUCUUCAAUUAGUUCUUAAGCAAUUGCUAUCAGCUACACAGAAUUGCUCUAGGAAAGGCAUAAAUAGUAAAAAUAAUAUUUUGCACAUAACAAGAAGGUAUCAAAGGGUCAGUCCAAAUGCACCAGUAGAUAGAACAUGUCUAAGAAACACUAGAAAACAUCAUGGCAAGGUCUAAACUCAUUUCUAUCAUCACCUUUUUCAUUUAUUUAAUUAUUGAGGUGAUUUAAUGAACAUGAAUCCCAAGUGCUUCAAGAAUUCUAAGAAAAUUACAGCAAGCUACUUAUGCUAACACAAGGUUACUGUAAAAUUUUCAGGGCACUUGCACAUACAGAUUGUGAGAUACAAAAAUAACAAGCUAGCAAAGGCAUGCUGGGCAUAAAUGUGAAACCCUAUCAAAAAGUGUCAAACAACAGAUUUCAGAUUUUUCCUAGCUUUGUUUACAUAUGAGUACAACACUCAACAAGUUUCACCAUAAAAGGAGCUAUAAUCUAUUUACUAAAAAUACCACAACAAACUCCCAUUUAAGCAAGAAAUAUUUAUAAUUUCACAAUCAGACCUCCAGAAAUCAUGAAAAUUUUAUCAGAGCCUAUUCAUGUCAUAAGUGACAUCACCCUAAAUUUGCAUGGCCACCAGAUCAACAGAUCUCAAGAUAUAAUUAUCUCCUAUAUAAUCAACAUUAAAUCAUAUAUAUUUAUUUCUGCAAAAACAUGGCAUGUUUCAUAUUUUUAAUAAAAACUAGAUUAUCACAAGAACCUAGCAAAAUUAGAAUCACUCCAUUUGGAUCUCUAAAACUCAAGAUAUAAUUUUUUUUCAAAAACAGCCAAGAUUCUGUUAAACUAUGAACCAGAGGUGUGAGAGAGAGACUGACAGGUGGGAUCCGCUGACACACGGGACCCACGCGUCAGAGAGACAGAGACAGGGGAGACGCUCGUUGCCGGCGAAACUCGACGACGGCGAGGUCUCGGUUGGAUCCAAGGGCAUCUACGUGUUCCUCUCCUCAAGGCGAACUCGGUGAUCUACUUUACCCGCGCUCUACUGGACCCUAGGGUGCUCGCCGUCGUGAAUGGCGGCUCGGCGGAGCUGCGGGCGAUACGCUGACGUGCACAGCCGAUGCCGUCCCGGUUGAGGUUCACGCCGAGCAUUAGUGAGCGAAGGGAAAGUGAUAGGAACAAGAAUGGGGAGAAAUGGUGGAGUAGAGAGGCCUGGCGACGUCGCCGGUGAGCUCGGGCGGAUCUCCGGCGAGGGAGAAUGGCUCGGAGCUCGGCAAUGCCGCCUUACCCGUGCUCGACAGUGGCUAAGGAGGUGACGCCGGGGUAGAGGAAGCUCUGGUGAAGCUUUUGGUGGGUUGGCUUGGCCGGAGACGGCGAGGGAAGCUCGGGCGAGGCUGCCGUUCCGCGGCGGAGCUCGCCGAGGCGAAAUGGAGAAGGGAGAGAGAGCGCUGGGGAGGCAAAAUGAGGACGGCCGAGGCUCGGGGUGGCGUCGUGGCGUCCAAGUGAAGGCGUCGGUGCUAACAGGCGGGGUCGCCGUCGACGUACGGCCGCCACAGUCAUCCACGCGUCAGCCGGCCGGUGACUGACGAAACUGAAUCACGCGAUUCAGUCAUCGCCGAUAGUGACUGAAACCCGAUGUUCACCGACGUUUUACUCUCAGCUCACUCGGUGGUUUUGGCUUGAAUUUGAUCCUUUGGACAGAGCUACAUGAGUUCUACAAGUUUGCUUACAAGAUCAAAGCCUAACUCGGCCUGGAUUUCAACCUACAAAGCUCCCAACAACCCUAUGUCGAAUCUGCCGAUUCUCAGACUUAGCCAAAUUUGGCUAAGUGUGGAAACAGCACUAUUUUCAGGCUUGUGGGUCACUUUUGGUAAGGUUCCAUGCAUUUUCAUGAAAAGUCAUCAACAUAACUUUUGUAGCUUAUCAAAUUUACAACAACUUUGCUUUAGGUGUCAUUUACAUGCAAGGUUUCUAACAUCAGUUUCAUAAAACAUCUUUGACAGGAGGUCUAGGGGGUCAACUAGGUCAAUCUAGGGUUAACCAUGUCUUAGGGGCAUUUUUGGCCAAAACUUCCAACAUGAACUUUGUUCAAAAAGUUAUUCUAAACAUGACUAAAGUAUUUUGGGAGACAAUGUACACUUGCAUGCAUUUGUCACCCAUUACCAUCAACCAUAGCAAGUCAUAUAGCAAUUCAAUCACAUAGUGUAUGUAACAAAUGGCAUGUGAUCAUGGUAUGAUGCUCAUGAGCGAUCAUGAUGAUGCUUAUGUUGAUGCAAUGCUCAUGGUUAACAGGCAAGCUAACACUAGGAGUGUUACAUACCGAGGGAAGUCGCCGAGCACUCCUUGGAGAUUCGAGCUGGUUCCAAGCCAGUGAAGCAACGCUUGCUCCGCUUCGACGAAGAGAAGCGUAGAAUCAUUGGCGAGGAAGUCCACGAGCUUUUGACGGCCGGAUUCAUCCAGGAGGUUCGUCAUCCCGACUGGUUAGCAAAUCCUGUAUUAGUUAAGAAAAAGAAUGGGAAAAUGAGGAUGUGUGUCGAUUAUACUAGAUUGAAUAAAGCAUGUCCAAAAGUUCCUUUUCCUUUACCACGUAUCGAUCAAAUUAUCGAUUCUACCACGGGAUGUGAGACCCUUUCAUUCCUUGAUGCUUAUUCUGGUUACCAUCAAAUAAAGAUGAAAGAGUCCGACCAGCUCGCGACGUCUUUCAUCACACCUUUUGGGAUAUAUUGUUAUGUGACCAUGCCUUUUGGGCUUCGAAACACUGGGGCGACGUACCAGCAAUGCAUGCUUCAUGUAUUUGGUGAGCACAUAGGGUCGACAGUUGAGGCAUAUGUCGACGACAUCGUCGUCAAAUCAAAGAUUCGGGCGACCUGAUUUAGGACCUCGAGAUCGCCUUUAGCUGUUUGCGCGCAAAUAAAAUCAAGCUCAAACCUAAGAAAUGUGUCUUUGGCGUGCCUCGAGUAAUGCUCCUAGGAUACAUCAUCUCCCAACGCGGUAUCGAGGCUAACCCCAAAAAGGACUCAGCCGUUGCCAGGAUGGGGCCGAUUCAAGACUUUAAGGGCGUGCAGAGAUUCACGGGUUGCCUAGCGGCGCUAAGCCAUUUCAUUUUGAGGCUAGGGGAAAAGGCAUUACCAUUAUACCGGCUCCUCAAGAAAGCCAAAUGCUUCACCUGGACUUUCGAGGCCGAGGAAGCCCUCGACAAUUUGAAAAAGAAACUGACCAUCGCUCUGAUCCUGGUACCCCCUCAACCCACAAAACCUCUGCUCCUAUACGUUGCAGCAACGACCCAGGUCGUUAGCGCGGCUGUGGUGGUCGAUAGACCGGAAGAGGGGCAAGCGCUACCCGUUCAGCGGCCAGUAUACUUCAUCAGCAAAGUGCUAUCAGACACAAAGGUAUCAUAUCCCCUGGUUCAAAAAUUGAUUUAUGUCGUAAUUCUUGCUCGACGCAAGCUGCAGCAUUAUUUCCUUGGCCACCCAAUCACGGUGGUCUCGUCCUUCCCCUUGGGCGAGAUUAUCUAGAAUCAAGAGGCCACUAGGAGGAUCGCCAAAAGGUCAGUCAAGCUCACGGGUGAAAUCCUCACCUAUGCGCCUCGCAAAGCGAUCAAGUCUCAAGCACUAGCAGACUUCGUCACCGAAUGGACAGACACCCAACUUCCCCCAGCUCAGGUUCAAGCAGAACUGUGGACGAUGUACUUCGAUGGAUCCCUCAUGAAGACAGGAGCUGGGGCAGGCCUACUGCUCAUCUCGCCUCUCGGCGUCCACAUGAGGUAUGUCAUCAGAAUAUACUUCGCCGCGUCUAACAACAUUGCAGAAUACGAAGCCCUCGUCAACGGGCUAAAGAUCGCCAUCUAGUUAGGGGUUUGACGCCUCGAUAUUCAAGGCGACUCUUAGCUGGUCAUCGACCAGGUCAUGAAAGCCUCGAGCUGCCACGACCCAAAGAUGGAGGCUUACUGCAAGGAAGUGCACAAGCUCGAGAACAAGUUCCAUGGCCUCGAGCUCAUUCACAUCGCACGACGAUACAAUGAGGCAGCCGACGAGCUCACCAAGAUUGCGUCCACACGAGGCACUGUCCCACCAGAUGUGUUUUCAAAAGACCUGCACGAGCCGUCUGUCGACCUAGGCCCAGGCCUAGCGCCGAAACUCCCGCUCCCAAGCCUACCGACGCAUUCGAGGCCCUAUUAUUGGCGGCAGGAGCGAUGGAGGUCGAGCAAAUUCCCUAACGCCCUGGUCGACCGUUCGACUGGCGUAUGUCGUUCCUUGAUUGCCUGAUCCGGUGUGAACUACCAGAAGAUGAAGCUGAGGCCCACUGUAUCGCUCGACGAGCCAAAUCGUACGUAAUCUAUGGCGAAAGCAAAGACCUACACUCGGGGAAAUCUAUGGUGAAACCAUACGUAAUCUAUAGCGACGAAGCCCAACGGGGAUCCUGCAGCGCUGCAUCACCAUAGAAGAGGGUCGAAAGCUCCUUGAGGACCUACACUCGAGGGCUUGCGGGCACCAUGCGGCUCCUAGGACCCUUGUAGGAAAUGCCUUCCGACAAGGCUUCUACUGGCCAAUAGCCGUUGUUGACGCCAUUGAGCUCGUUCGCUCAUGCCAUGGGUGCCAAUUCUAUGCCAAGCAAACCCACCUCCCCGCACAUGCUCUGCAAAUGAUCCCCAUCGCUUGGCCAUUCAUAGUAUGGGGCCUCAAUCUCGUGGGUCCUCUCCAAAGAGCAGCAGGUGGAUACACACAUUUCCUGGUAGCCAUCGACAAGUUCUCCAAAUGGAUCGAGGCUCGACCCAUCACAAAUAUUCGCUCCGAACAGGCUGUCCUCUUCUUCACCGACAUCAUCCACCGGUUCGGGAUACCCAACGUCAUUAUCACCGACAAUGGCACGCAGUUCACCGGCAAAAAGUUCUUGGACUUCUAUGACUGCCAUCACAUCCAUGUGAACUGGUCCACAGUAGCUCACCCUCGAACUAACGGCCAGGUCGAACGUGCCAACGGCAUGAUCUUGCAAGGGCUCAAACCUAGAAUAUACAACCGGUUGAAAAUGUUCGGCAAGAAGUGGGUCGAGAAGCUCUCAUCAGUCCUAUGGAGCUUAAGAACAACACCUAGCAGAGCCACAAAAUAUACCCCGUGCUUCAUGGUUUAUGGCUCCGAGGCUGUGCUCCCACCAUAUCUCGAGUAUGGGUCACCUCGACUCAAAGCUUAUAACGAGCAGACAAACAAGGAGACUUGAGAGAAUGUGGUCGACCAGCUUGAAGAAGCUCGAGACAUGGCCCUCCUCAACUCGGCAAGAUACCAGCAGAAGGUCUAACGCUACCACGACAAACACAUGCGCAAAAGAGAUCUAAACGUGGGUGACCUCGUCCUGCAUCGAUGACAAAGCAACCACGGACGCCACAAGCUAAAUCCACCCAGGGAAGGCCCAUAUGUGGUGGCCGAGGUUUUGAAGCCAGGGACGUACAAGCUAGCAGACGAAAAGGGGGCAGUCUUCACCAACGCAUGGAACAUCGAGCAGUUACGUCGCUUCUACCCUUAGAGCUUCGAAGCAUCUACAUUUUCAUGCACGACUUGUACCAAAACCCUGAGAAUGAAUGUGUAAAUAAAUGGAAGUACUUUUUUAAGUAAUAUACGCUCAUUACCGGUUAAACCUCAACGCUAGGAGGAAGUAUCGACCAUAACUCAUUAUAGUCGACACUCCCUUGGGGGCUAGCAGGGGGACCCCCCUACAGGCUCUUAAAAAACCAAACAAUCUCUCCAAAAGCCUUAACGUUACUUUACUUUUUGUCAAGACCUAAGGGAACGUCACACGGUCGAGUAGUAAAGGUGCCUCGAACCCCUUAAGGGCCGGGGGAAGACGAGCCUGAGAAUCCCUAUGCCUCUGGGCUAUGGUAACUCUACUCGUGACCUCCCCCUCGAGCUGAGCCUUAGAGGGUCGGGCGUCGACUUGGGUGGCCAACAGAUCAUCCUUAAGCCCUACAAAGAUCAAGAUAGGAGACUUAGACAACACGAGAGAAAAACCCGACAAAAAGAAACACGAGAGCACGGGAAACUUACCGCGAAUCCUUUCCUCGAGAGCCGUGUUCUCACCAACUAAGUCGGUGUUUCCCCUAUCGAUCUCCUUAUAGGAGCGAGCCACAUCUGUAUUUUUGACCCGCAGGUCCUCGAUCAUCUUACCCGAUUUUAAGAUGGCUUCCUCCUUCUCCCACAACAUUUUCUUCAGACGAUCAACGUCGUCAAAAAGACCGCGAGAGCAGAUUCGCUCUGUCUCAAGAUCCUUGCGGGCCUUUUUCGCCGCCUCUUCCAAGGCGCCUUGAGCAAUCUUGCUAUUUAGAAGUUCUUCUUUUACUCAACGGUAGGCGCUCCAGGUGGCGGCGACAUCCGACUCGAUGAGGCUCUUUUCCCUGUCCAGCUCGGCCAAGAUGGCCCGCUCCCUCGACUGCGCGGCUUCCUCCUUCGCCUUCUAUGAGGCCUCUCAAGCGACUCGAGCAUCUCCCUCCGCCUGGGAGACCUUGCUGUCCAUACUAGACAGAGUCUCCCGAGCUUCGGUCAAAGCGGCCUCCCUCUCCUUCUUCUCCUCCAAAGCCGCUGUAAGAUCCUUGUAAGCCUGGACGAGUUUCUCUUGUGACUCGAGGAGUUGCUCCUUAAGAAGAGGGAGCUGCUCCCAACUACCUCUUGUCGCAUGAAUAAAGCCUGACUUCAGACGGGAGGUCUCUUUGAAAUCCUACAGCAGAUUACAAAGUAGUAAGAAUGCAAGCCUACCAAAAGCUCCCAAGUAACAAGGGUCCAAAGGUACUUACAAAGAAAGCCUGGCUGAGCCUGUUGUUGACAAUGGCAGACAUAAGGCCCACGACAUGCUUCAUCUAGAGACGAAGCUCCUCGAGGUGCUCCCACUUCUCCGCCUCCUUCCGAUCGUCGAUAAUGAUAUUGGGCUCUUCCGGACAAGUGGAGGCACGAAGGCGGAUCCUCCUGGGGCCCCAGUUUUCCAUCUCCUCCUCCGUGCGCGCCUUGACGCCUCAGAUGAGCUCCUACACGGUCUCGAGCGAGCCUCCGUGGCGCAGGAACAAAUCGACGAGGGAAGGAAAUCGCCUGUCGUCAGCCACCGACCCCCAAGUCCCGGCCUCAUGUGCGUCGCCGCCACCACAAGUCCUAGCCUCGUCUCCCACGUCGAUGCUAAGAUCCUCCCACGACCGUCGGACCCAAAGGAACCCCGGGGUGAUCCCCUCGACACCAUAGAUCGUACCUUUGAUCUCAGAUAGGGGGUCCGCCGACGUGCGCAUGGCACACACGAGCGCCACAACACCAUCAUACCACCUAGGUUUUGCCGGGAUGGAGGCUGGCCCCCCAGCACGGAGCCACGUGGGGGUCGGCGGACCAUAGACUGGUAGCUCCUCUCUCCCGAUUUCGAGCCCUUGCGGCGGUGGCAACGGGUGAUCUUGCGAACUCUAUGGCAGCUGCUCGAGCAGGUCCUCCAACCACUGUUGCCCCUGUUGCUGCUGCAGUUGAAGUUCCUACAGCUCCACCGGACGGCGCUGCCCUAGUUGCUCCUCGAGCCGCAGUUGCUGCUCUUGCUGCUGCUGCUGUUGCUGCUCCUACUGCUGCAAUUGCUACUCCAGCUGCUGUUGCUGCUAGUGUUGUUGUUGCUGUUAUUGUUGCUGCUGCACCUGUGCCUGCAGGCGGUGUUGUUGUUGUUCUUCUUUUUCUUCUUUCCUUUGCUCCUCCUCAUCUUUCUUCCUCUUCUCCUCGACAGAGUGAAGCCCAAUUGGCCAUGGCGUCCGUCCCUCAACCUGAGGAGUCUCGACCCCCUUGUCCGUGGCUCGAGCGUCUGUCAAGCGCGGGCCAUCACCAGACACAUCACUGAUAGUGAUAGGGUCGCCCAUUUCCACUGACCUGGGUGGCUCGGGGGCUCCCUCCUAGCCAUGGGGACGAGGCAUCUCGCCCCGUCCGGGAGAUGGCAGGACAAUUCCAGAGUCACCACCCUCCUCAGACGGGCGAGGCGGAAUCUGGUCGUCACCAGGGGAUGGUCGAGGGUCGAGAGAACCUGCAUACGCCCCAAAGCGGCAUGUCAACAAUUAAAGACACUCAUCGCUAAAUAAAGCAAACUCCAGAACCUCAAAAAGAGGAGUAAGUCCCUUACCCAAAGCCUUGGAGCUUGCCCCCGCUUUGAGCCUCUUAGCCAUCGAGGGCUGGGCCUGCUCCAACGGCCUCUUCAGCCUAAACAAAAAAGAAAUAGCUUAGAGGGGCGGAAGCUGAUGGGCGAGCAAAAUAGCAAAGACAAAGCCACACGUGCAAAUCUUACCCUAUGGGAAGGACGACCCUCUUACCUGUACCUCGACCAGUGGGUCUCGAGCCUGUAACACCUCAGGUGUUUGUCAUUUGCUAAGUACUAGGUAUGAGCUCAAACAUGUCAAGUUCAAUGGUAAUAAAAAGGUCAAAGUCAAUCUAUGAAAGUAAGCCCCAACUUGGACAUGGAUGAUGCACCUUUACUUACAUAUAGGCCCUUUUUUAAAGGUAUACAUGGAUGAUGCUAUUGGAACAUUUUCCAUGUGUCUCAUAUUCAUCCCAAUCUAUACAAAAUCUCCUCCCCCGCUAGACAUAGGGCUUUCUCUUGCCCGAACUAGGAUAAAUCACCGUGUCAUUCUUGCAUCACCAUCCAGAAGAGGGAGCACGCACACAAAUUCAUUCGUUGGUGUUACCCCUCGGGGUCAAAACACUGACACCAAUCGAUAGUUCAUGAAUGAAGAAGUAAUAUAAUUGCAAGCGGAUAGAACUAUCAUUGUAGCAUUUCAACCUGUGAGUAUUCAAGGGUGUCGAAUUUAUAAUUCCCAUAGGAAGGCAAAGGGAUCAAACAUGGUGUAAACAUGAUUACUUAUUGAAUGCUUGGUAGACAUAGAGUAAAUAGUAAUAAACAUGAUAUUCAAAAUAGAAGAGAAAUAAUAAAUAAAGAAUAAAGAAAUAAAUCUACUUGAGCAGGCAUGGGUCACAUAUAACUAUGCAUAGAACUGUUAGCGGAUCAUCAAAUUAGCAAUAAAUAGAGUUAGAACUAAGCCUAAGAUGACGGGAGAUCCCCGCAGCUAGAUACCCAGCCGAUAGAGACUUUACAGAACUCCUAUCGUGGAUACCUGCACAUCCACUGAUUCCCACAUACCUGAACACCAUGUUCACGUAAUUGGAAAUAACUCCAAACCCCCACGGGCCCCACCACUUCGGAGUGACAGGCAAGGCUAAGAGCAACCAUCACAGCACAGUGAACCAUCAUCCCAUUCCUAAUUCUAGUCCUAAUCAUACUAAUCUGAUGAACAAUGAAGAACAAUGAUGAACAUAUCAAGAACAUAGCACAAGAACUAAGAACUAGUUCAUAUACUAUGAAGAUGAUAAGAACACAACCAUGCUCUAGUUCAUAUGCAUAAUCAUAUAAAGAUGAAUAGAACUUGCUGACGGAAGAAGAUUGAAUGUUAUUUAUACCAAGAAGAUCCUUUCUUCCAAGAAGACAAGCUCUCCUUGAUAGCUCUUGCCUUGCUCUACUACUAAUCUAGAGAUACAAGUGAGAGGUAAAUUGACUCCAAAUGAUGUGUGUGUUGAAAAGGGGGGAGACUAGGACGGUUCGUCGCAUUUAAAUUUGGUAGUAGGUGAAACCAUCAUAUGAAUGGCGGCAUGCAACCGCCUGAGAAAGAUGGGCCCGGUUUGCCACCUCUAGGGGUGCGCCCGCACCCUGGGUGGGUCCCCCUAGCCACCGCCUUCGCGUGGUCGGUUUGGCUCUGGGCCUGGAUCUCUCAUGUGGUUACGAUCAGGCCUAGUUCUGCGUUGUUCAGGCCUUUCUCUAUUUUCUUGGUUUGCGCAUUUCUGAAUACGUCUUUUAGUACUUUGCGCUUUCUUCAUGGUAUGUCACAUUUUCACUUGUUGCACUAUAAUUCCUGCAAAAUAUAAUCACUAUUGUACAAGUGGAACUUGUUAUUAAUAAAAUGCAUGUGUGUAUAUAAUAUGAUUGCUUCUUCUCCUUUUUGAAUCAAGUUGGCAGUUUAUUAUUGGUCUAUAAUGACUGCCAACGAGUCCCCCAAGCUUAACCUUUGCUCGUCUCGAGCAAACAAUUAAGUAUGGUUAUUGAUCAGGAGUUGCUACUAUGCCGAUAUAAUUCAAGAGUAUCAUACCUAUAACAAAGCAUUAAUUCACAAUUUAAAUAAGUUGGCAUGCUGUCCACUCUUUACCUUGACUUCUUAUGGGGCUUAUAUCUUUUCCAAGUUAUUGGGUGGUUGCAAGAUAGAAUGGUUGUAACAGACUCACCAUUCAUUCAUCCCUUGACAGACCAUAAAUCCGAAGGUUUUAUAAAUUUUUGCAAAAUAAAUAAGUUCCUCGAAUGAUUCUCUCGAUCGCUCAAUGUGUAUGAAAUCCUCACCAAAGGCAUUUGUGUUUGCCUUUAAGACCUACCACCAAGGCCGAGAAUGGAGCUUUGGGAAGGUAUAAAGGUGGGUGUACUUACGACACUUGUGUUGCCAAGUCAAAGCCCGGACCAUGAGGAGAUACAAGUCAUACACCUUGAUUGAGAUGUGCAAGUGUGUGGAAUUUUUGGUGGUAGUCCUAUCUAAAUAUUUUUGGUUACUCCUUAUAUCAUGUCUCUCUUUAUUUGAGGAUGAGAAUGAGAGAAUGUAAACAUAUGGGCCCUAAAAAAAUGGAUCAUAUAUAUAUUUAUAUAUAUAUAUAUAUUCUGACUAGGAUUUUGAUUUUCCCGUCCAUGCCCUUUGGCAUUUCCAUCAUUUUUUUUAUGGAUAACUGAUGCCCAAAUGUUUCAAAGGGAUCUCAAAGAGGAAAAUGGAGAGAUAUCAUGAUGGUGAUGUAAGGAGUAAAAUUGUGUAUUGGAAUGCGCAAACCUCAGGGUGAGAGUUUGGCAUACUUAUUUGGUGGAAGUUAAGGCGCAACUCUCAGGGUAAGAGUUGGCAUAUUUUUUGGUGGAUGGAAGGAUGCAUGUUGUGCGCAACUUCUCAGUGUGAGAGUCGGCUUUAUUUGGUGGUUUCGUGAAUCUAAUAUCAUGGGUGCAUGACCAUAAUCUCACUCUAGGAUACCUAGGAUUUGACUCAACUCAAAGCGCCGCAAGCCGCAUAUGACUAAAGGUGUACAAACUACUAAGCAAGUCAUAUGGCCUUGGUAGAUAUUUCAUAAUCAUUGAGGAACUCUUUGUUUUGAAUUUUUGAAAAGAAAACUCAAGAUGUCAAGUUUCUCUUAGAACAAAGUCAUAGCAAAAUCUAUUUAUACCAUAUCAAGUCUCGCAACAACUUAGAAAAGGAUCAUGCAUUUGCAACCCACAAGAUUUCAAGUUCUCAGAACGAGACAUUUUUAACCAACAAACUUAAAUCUUGAUGAACACUAAAUUAUAACUUAGAUACUAGAGAAUUAUAGACAGAGCAACUAUUCAUCAUUUCAACAUAAGAGAAACCAACAUAUCAUAGUGCACAUGAGGGUGGAAUUUGUUUUUGAAAAUUGAUGAAAAAUUGCUGAAAUUUAAAUACUGAAAUUAAGAACUAAAAUUAAGUGCAAGAAUGUAAGGUACUUGUUACCUCUUGUGGGCGUCCUCCCCCAAGCUAGCUCACUGCUGCGGUCCAGGGAAAUGUCCCAUGGAUCGCAGGUAGGCCAUCUGUGCCUCGUGCCGGUGACGGCUUGCAUCCUCAAGGUCGAUGAAGCUCUACUGGGUCUGUUUAUGCCAUUGGGUAGCAGUCUGGAUUUGGGCAUUUAGCGUACCUUGGAUCUGCCUGUUCUGGAGCUCCAGUCCUCCCAUGCGAGUGUUAAGGACGUCUUUUGUGACAUGAGGGCGAACAGGUGGUGGCAUUCCCUUGGAAUCUGAGGAGUGUCCUGGCUCAUGAUGCCUGGAUCCCCCUACCCCAUAUACCUCUGGCUCGCUUGGGCCUGCGCCUCCGUGCGCCUGCCAGCUCGACCCUCCUACCUACCAGCUCGAACCUCUAGCCUCGUAGGGGUGAGGAACGUAUCCCAUACCAUAUCCAUACCCAGGGGUAAAUCCGGGUGCAGGUAUAGCAGGGGUCCAUCCCAUCUCUAGCAUAGCUAGUGGUGGAGUGUGUUGUGCUGGCUGUGCAGAUGGUGCUGGCUGUGCUGCCUAUGCUGCCCUUGCUGCUUGUGCUGCCUGCUCUUCUUGUUCCCACCUCUGUGAGUUCCUACGAGAAACAGAGCUCCUGCAUCCUCCAUCCCUCUCAAUGAGGGUGAAGGUGAGUGAUGGGAAAUUAUACAGAGCGAGAUCCAGGUUAGGUAACUGGAUCUCGUUUGUAUAUCCCAGAAAAUAUUAUAAAACCUUUUUACCUGUUUCAUCGCGUUUAAUCAUAUGCGCAUUGUUGAUAUUUGGUAACGCAAUCGGGAAUUAAUCCGUAAGCGCACAGAUAUCGGUGAGCACUUCAGCCGGGAUGUUAUCCAGAGUACCGUAUUUAUAUUUUUACCACUGGGAGAAAGCGUGCAUCUGACUAACCUGGUCUAUUAUUACUAACCUUUAGGCUACAACCACUAUGACUCGAUGUGAGCGAUGUAUAGAGAAGACUAAAACCGCACUCUCGUUCUAACCUUGGUAAUGAUGAUCUACUGUUCUGUUGGGGAGGCUCACGGAAUCUAGACACCGCAGAUGUCGGUGUUUUCCCCCCGGGGGGUCACACCAACGAGUAAAACUUGUGUGCGUGCUCCCCUUUCCAGAUGGUGAUGCAAGAAAAGACACAAAGAUUUAUCCUAGUUCUGACAAGAGAAGGCCCUACGUCCAGCGGGGGGGAGUGUUUGUAUUAUCUUGCACCCAAGUGCUUGUACAGGGGUGAAUACAGGCGUGGUAUGAACAGGGAUGGAGUAAGGUUGCUCUACUACGUAUGUCUUGUAUUGUGUCGUCGUCUCGUAUCCGCUCUCGGACCUCCCCUUUUAUAGUUCCAAGGAGAGGUCUAGGGUACAUGUAUAGGUGACAAAGUAGGGGUCGAUAGAGGUAUGGCGUGCUGACCUACUCGAGGCCUCCGUACCGGUGUGGCCUCGAGCCGUCUUGUCUUGGUACUUUAAUGAUGAUUACGCGUGCCCCUGUAUCCCACUCCUGUGCGCUGUCCUGGAAUGGUUUAUCUGUUGCACGCUUGUACGUUGUGGCAGCAGCUAUGUCAGAGUGGUUGAGGUGCUGUCAUUUGUCGCCUGAUCCUUCCCCAGGAAGGAAGCGUGCUUACUCGAGGGUCAGGUGCCGUGUAGCGCCUUGCCGGCCAGAGCGUUGACUUUGGGCGUCUCGAGGGGGGUCUUGAAUGGACGUUCCGACCCUCUUUCUGCGCCCUACCACGUUCUGGCUUGUUUGGUGGGGAAGACUGCAAAAAGAACGACAAGACGGGUGCUUGUUCCCUAUCACGCUUCCCGUGACUGACGUGUUAGGUGAGAGCGCAGCAGACGCAUUAAAUGCCCUGGUCCCCGUGCCCGUGUCAGGCGGCGGGCGGCGUCCUUGCGCUCGAGACCCUUUGAUUCGUAUGAGCCUGUUUCCGUAUUCUACGGUUGCCGGUGCUCGAGCCCUAAUCGAUUCGCACGGCGCUCUUUCCGUGUUCGAGGCUACGGUCGUCGAGGACCGUGCGUACAACGGGGGGGGGUCGAGUCGGAGGCCUCGACUUUCGUACGGAUGCUCUCGCUAUGUACAUCAAUCAUGGUACCGCUUACGGAUAUCCUCGACAGUAGUCCCCGAGUCUCCAUUCGAGCGCUUGCGCUCGAGUGGAGGCUCUUUUUUGUGGUUGAGUUUCCGUGGGGGCGCGCGAGCGACCCCGCGGGGGUAGCCCCCGAGCCCUUAGAGGAGUCUUUGACUCCUUCGAGGGUUAUAUUACCCAAUCUGCGGAAGCGCUCUUGAUGUCUAUUGCAGAAGGCGAGCCGGAGGCUUCGAUUGGUUCGUUUUUGCGCUGGGGUCGCGACGUACUCUCGGUGGAGCGAGCGCCGUCUACCCCAGAUUGAGCUCCUAGCGGGUAAUCCAAGUGAGAUCUCGUGCCCCAUUCGAGGGGGUCGGCUGUAGCCUGGAGUCGUCCUCAUAAAGCAGGGUCGACGUGGUCGGGGUUACUGGUCUCGUUCGAUAGAGUCCAGCGGCUCGAUGCCUCCCUUCAGGGGGAUUCCUCUCGACCCUCUCGACCUUGCCUUGGACAUCCCCAGCGAAUUCUCGAGGCAGGCCUCAAUUUUCGACCACUCGCUGGGCAUCCCUGACUCUGGUACUCGAGAUCGGCUGUCGAACCCUUUCGGUGGGUCAGCCUGCGACCUCUCGAGAUUUUAGCUGUAACGAAUGUGUACCAUAGCUUACAAGGGAAGGAAGAGACCGUGGUGGUUCGCCUUUUUGCCCGUUGGGCGCGCCUUUUCAGGCGGGAGCCGUUGCGGCACUGUACUGGAGCGGAAUUCGUAGCGUCCUGACUGUGAGAGAGAUAAGGGCCGUUAGGCGGCGCAUUUACUAGGGCAGUUACCGUAUACGCCGGAUCUGUCCGUUGGUGGAUCGCCGUCUAUAAAUAUCCUUGCGUCUCCCUGCCGUCGCUCCUUCCGCCUUUGGCCCUUGCUCUUGCCUCUGCCUUCCUGCCAUCUCCCGUGCGCGCGCCCUCGAGCUGUAGCAAAGCCGCUCUCCUUCCUCCUAAAGAUGCCGGUGCGACUCAUCGCCGAUGACUGGCGCCCAUCGUCGAUGACGGAGCGCCGUCUGCUAGAGCUCGAGAGGGAAAGGCUUCUGCGCCCCCGCACUUCGUCGUCGCGGCCAGAGUGGAUCGCGCCGGCGGCGGAUCACCGGGAACCAAGGCCGCCCAAGGGCUAUGUGGUUUCCUUCGCCAAGUUUCACCGCCACGGCUUGGGCUCUCCCCCGAGCCGCUUCAUGCGGGCGCUCUACCACCACUAUGGUGUAGAGCUUCAACACUUCUCGCCGAACGCCAUCACCGCCGCGGCGGUCUUCGCCGCGGUAUUUGAGGGCUACCUGGGGAUGAUGCCGCAUUGGGACCUGUGGCUCCUCUUGUACCUGGGUGAGUUCUUCAAUGCCCCCGGCGGAACCACAGGGGUGAGGAAGCUGGUAUGGGCCGGGUGCCUCAACCUGGUGCUCAAGACCGGCAAGUCGGAGAAGCCGCGUGAGUACAUCCCGGUGGGGUUGUCGUCGAACCAUCCCGGUGGGGUCGGCGUCUCCUAAUGGUUUUACCUGCGGAACAACGACGACCUCCUCCCUGCCUACACCGGGCGCUUGAUCUCGGAGCAUCCGGAUCACUGGAGAUACGGUGUUGUCUAGACCCACCAACCGCGGCUUGACCCCAUCCUUGACGCCUUGAAGAAGCUACGCGAGGAGGGCCUGACAGCCACGCUCGUCCUCUCAGCCGUCCAUCAUCGGAGGAUUCUCCCGUUGAUGUCUCGGCUGCUGAGGAUGGACGAGUUGGGUCCCGGCGUCUCUCUCCAGGAUCUCGAGGCAUGUCUGAUGUCCAACGAGGCCCCGACGGACGAAGAGGUUGCGGCUAGAGUCAGGGCGACCGUUGCAGGUGACUUUCAGCCUGAGCAUGUCAAUGGCUUCCCGAUGAGGCCCGACGAGGGGUCAAUUGACCUGGUAAGUCCUUUUCCCACUUACGACUUCGAUUCUUGAUUUUCUUCAGUCCUUCUUAAGACUUAUAUUUGCGUGCUCAGGGAUCGAUCGACGCUCGAUCCUCGAGGCCUCCAGUAAAGGAGGAUGAGGUCGAUCGUGUAACAGAACCGACCAAAUUAUAAGAGAUUAAGCCUAACUGCGACCAUUUGCAUAGUCAAACCAUCAGGCUUCAGCCCAUAUAAUCCCGGUAGUCCGUGAAAUCUCGAAGGAUUUCAAACCACACAUCGCAUAACAGCCAAGAUCGUAAUAAGUUUAGCGGUCGCCAUCCACAAGUACAUCCAGAUUACAACAUUCAUAAAAUACAUCGGAGUGCUUAAAGUUAUUACAAACCAAGUUCUUCAAGUAGCGGAAGCUUCAUAGUUCGAAAAUACGACACACACGCUUAGUCUGAUACAGUGCCAUAGUUCGGUCAUUCCCACAAAAGCAAAAGAAGAGACGGAGUGACCAUCGCCCUUGGUCUAGUCAUCACCCAUGGCUGGGUACAGACAGAGGAUGCAAUAACCAUAGUACAUUUGACCAUCUGCAAAACAACAUGGGAGUAGAACCCUGAGUACGAGAAGGUACUCAGCUAGACUUACCCGACAUAAACUUAAAAUAAAGACUCAUCAAGGAUCAUGAAGGCUAUAUAGUGGGGUAGCUGACAACCAUUUGCCAAAACCGCAGUAUUUCAUUAUCAUAACCUACAUAAGUAUCUCUUCUUUUAAUCUGCUCAAGUUGAAAGUAUCAUUACCUAUUAUCUAGGUUUGCGCCUGCACUAUUACAAGCAAGUAUGAGACUAUGAUAGUACCUCAUCAUAGCAUUUCUUAAAACUAUUCAUCAUUAUAACCCAAGUGUUCCAUAGUCCUUACUACGUGGACAGGGCUCAUGUCAAGUGCUCACUAUCCAGGAGUGAUGGCGAUUCGAAUCGAUUUCUAACCAGCUGGCGAGGUAUUCCCCACACAAACCACACCCACUGAUCAAGUGAGCUACAGAUCACCGUAUUACACUAUCCAGGACCAAAUCGCGGGUUCGGCAUGCACCGCCAGUACCCGAGGACCGUUCCGGCGACCGAGGUAUCCAAGGUAUACCAAGGUUGCGCGCCGCGCCCUCGUCGUUCUCCUCAACCAUCACCAUACAGCGCAUGGCGGCUCGAUUCCCAGCCCGGAUAGUGUUCAGGCUUCGCGGUCGGAACGACUUAUCCUUCCAGCUAAGUGUGGGGCAUGCGUUCAACAUGACAAGAGGGCCGUCAACGAUCGGUCCUUAAUCGACACAGGCAGGAGCACUAUGGUCAACCCACCACAAGACCCUGCCCGGUCUCCAAUUUCAUUCCACACUUGGUUAUUCUUUUCCCAAAGCAAUCACUACUUAAAUAUGUAAGUAUCCACCUAUAUCUCGCAGGUGACAGGAAAUCACCCGACUUUUACCGGACUAAGCAAGCUAAGCAUAGACUUCGCACCUAGCUACAUAGGACAAGGUAGGUAAACGAGGGGUGAUAUCAAGGAGUACCAAUGCAUCAACGGUAUCAACCAACUCCUAUCACUUAAAUGCAAUAUAGUAGAACAAGCAGAGUGUAUCCUGUAAGUUAGCGAGAAUAGGGAGACUUAGAAUGCUCCGGGGCUUGCCUUUCUCAAAGGUGCUGGGUCGGUGAUCUGGACACUCCUGCAGUUCCUCUCCGGGUUCCGGUACUUCCGGAGGUUCCUGCUCCUGAAUCUCCUCUGGCUCCUCGGGUCCCACCUCGUUCUCCUGCGAGCCUGUAUGAUGCAUGUGUGCUCAUGAGUGGAGUGCGAGAUGCCCGAGGGAUGCUUGUAUGAGAAAGUACUAAAGGAAUCAUGACAUGAUGCAUAGGUGAUGUACUUGGUCAUGCUUAAUACAAGGUAGUCAACAUCAUCCAAGAACAAUUGACUGAAUCAAGCAUCUAUUGCAUUCUCUUCUACAAAUAUUUUUCAAAUGCAACCAGCAACCCCCAUGAUGCUUCAAAGAUACACCAAACCCAACUUAUUCCAUUCAACCUACAUACACAACCAUUCAUAAUUUUCUUUAUUCAUUUCUAGGCCCAUUAAAAAUCACAUGCAAUUCUGUUCAUUAAUAAAUUCCACAAAAAUUACAGGAGACUACCAGCUAAGCAUAAAGUCUACUGUAAAUUUUUCAUAAUUUUUGGUUACUUAUUUUGAGCCACAAAAAUCACAAGAUUAAUUAAUAAGGUAAGUAUAAUCACCCUACUGUGAUAUAAGUGUCAAACAACAGAUUUCAUAUUUUUACAAUUUGUCUAAUAUCAUAAGAAACACCCACAAAAUUUUCCAGAUUUAUUGCAUGAUCCAAUUAAUUAUUAAAAAUCAUAAAUCACUGCCAUGCAAGCAUUUAAAUUACCAUAUAUUCAUUUAUACACCAAAUAAUAUGUAGUAAUAUUUUUCCAGUGAGUAAAUACUCAUACAAAGCUAACAAAACAAGUUUCACAUUUUUCAGAGCCAUAUUCUAUUUACUAUGCAUUUUCCAAAUUUAACAAAAUCAUGGAUUAAAUAUAUUCACACAGAAAAGUUACUUAAUCAUGACAUGCCAACAUACUAGGCUAUAGAUCUGGAAACAGGGAACACACCAAAAUUUAUUUUAUAAUUUUUGGAGCUAUAUUCAUCAAGAUAUGGAUUUUUGAACAUUUAAAUCAUUUCUUGGAAAAACAUUUAAAACGGAAAGCCACCUAAAACGCUAAGCGCACUCGGAUUCACACCCUCGGAGUCACUGACAGGCGGGACACGCGAGUCAGGGGACCCCACCUGUCAUCCACCCCGUGACCCCGCGGCCAAAGAUCGGCCGGAAUCUCGCCGCCGGUGAGGUUUCCGGCGACACCGUGAGCACCUACGGCUUCGCGAGAACGAUACGAGUCCAACCGUACCCUCUUUGGCACCGGACGAGCACCGGAACUACCUCGCCGUCGCGAAUGGCGGACGCAGCGGCGCUGCUCGCCGUGGUCCGGCCAUUUCACGGCGGUAGAGCGUAAGCUAGCGGUGGGAAAAGGUGCGCGAGGCCAAGGCGGAUCCAAAGCACCUACGAACGCAAGCAGAGACAGAGAGGAGAGGGAGAACCGUGCGAGCCGAGAGGUCGCCGGAGCUCCGACUCACUCCGGUGAGCUCUAGCGGGCACGCAGGGCUUACCGAGCGCGGAAGAGCGUAAGCACGCGACGCGGAAGGACGAGGCGGAGCCGGUGGUGGUCGCGAAGAGGAAGGAGAGGGCCGGAGCUGGCCGGGAGAGGAGCUCCAAGCCGUCAGCGGCUAUGGCGUGUGGCGGAGCGGCGAGCGCUGCGCGAGAGCGAGAGCGAGCAGAGAGGCGAGAGCGAGCGGUGGAGGGCGCAAAUGGGAGCGGGGGCUUCGGCGGACGUGACCAGGGGCUUCUGGUGGCCGACCAGGGCUUCUCCUCGCCGUCACAUGCCCGCCACGCGGCGGCCAGGCUCUGCCGGCGCGCCACGGCGGCACGGCGAGGCCGUCCGCGCGCACGGACGCGGGCGCGAGCGCGGGCAGGGGGAAGGGGAAGGCGCGGGCGGGCCAGGCCGGCUUCGGCCAGCGGGCCAGAAGUGAGGCCGCGGCCUGCUAGCGCCCCCUUUUCCCCUUUCCUAUUUUUUUUUGAAUUUCAUUUCUCAAAUUCUCUUAUAAAUUCAUUUUGGCCAUUUUCAAAUUAUUUUCACCACUUUCCCCCAAAGGCAAAGUUGUUCCAAACUAAAAACUCUACAACUUUGCUUUAAUAAGUAAGACCAAAUUAUAAAUAGAAUUUGAAUUACAAAUUAAACUUAGUUCUAGGUUUUUAAAUAAAUUUAUUUUGGAUAUUUUGUAUAAAUUCCUUUUCUCAAUUUCCAUGGCUCCAAAAAAUUGUACAAAAAUAUUUGAAAUUCUUCUUACACAUAAAUCAACCUAGUUUGAAUAUUUCACAAUUUUAGAAGCAAGCAUCAUAUUUUUGACAUAUUUAUAACUCAUGAAGUGAAGCACAUAAAAUCAUAAUUUGAAAAGAGUGUCAUGCUCAUGAGGCUUAUGCUUGAUGGGAAUGCUUAUGCAUGACUUUGAUGAGACUAAGUGCAUGCUUAACACCUAGGGUGUUACAGAUCGUGACAAGCGGCGUGAGUCCGCGGAAAAGCAAAAGUCCGCAAAGGACUUAGAAAAGAAAAAGGAUCUUGAGCGCCAUGUGUUAGAGACGCAUCGAGCAAAGUCUAGGCAAAGGGUGGAGCCUGAGGAAGAAUCCCCCGAUGAGGAUGAUGGCGGCAAUGGUGACGAUGAAAGCGAUGACUUCGAGGGGAUGGCGUCUCGUCUCGACCGGAUCCUCGAGGGCUCGCCUCAGACCGGCGUCGACAUCCCGCAGAUGGGAGUCCCAAUGGGGGCGCCAAGCGGAUCUCGAGAGAGUCAACAGAGGGAGUCAUCUCCACGCCGCUCCCGCGCCGACGUCCCCCCAGCGCUGGUGCAAGGUCGGACCGUCCCCCGCCCCCAACCUCCUCCCGCGUCUAAGACAGGACCGCUGACUCGUGGCCGCGCCGCGGCCUCGAGUAAGGGGGAAACGGGUCGCGGGAGUGCCAAUCCAGGCGCUGGCCAGGCGGGAGACGCCGAGCCGAGACUCGCGCCCGCUCGUGAGGGGCCCGGAGCCUCGACGCGGGGUGGCUCGAGGCCUGCUGGUCGAGGCACCGUUAGGCGGGUCGCCCUUCCUGUGGGGUAAGAUUUUCGACGUUAUGAUUCUCACCUUCUGAUGUGUGUUGACGGUUCUUAAGUAUCAAUUUUAACUAUCAAAUAAACAAGAGAAAGGACCAAUAUGCAAACAACACCUAGAAUUAGGGUUUGCUCUGACAGAAUUCCACGAGUUUUGUUGUUUAUCUAUUUCUGCAGGGGGUUAUCAGGAAAUAAGGAAGAAAGGCCCACAUGUCGGGAUUACAUAGAGAUAUCAACGCACCGCGCGAUUUUCCCCCAUCUAGAAGACUCCAGAAGCCACGGGAAGAAGACGGAGGCCGAAAGGGGCCAGGCCCAGGGCGCCCGCCCUGGUGACCUGGGCGCCCGCCCCCCUCUGGAUGCCAAUCAGGACUCUCUUCGUUCGGGAUAUUCCACCGACCUAUUGGAUCAAGAAAAACAUAGUACCACCUCGCCUAUCGACCCAAAAACGCAUAGAAGGGGAGGACUAUAUAAGGAGACCCUCCUGGCCCCUGGAGAACACAUGAAGAAAUUAUCAUAGAGACUGAGGGGUGCCCUCGAAGGAAAACCUCUUCUCUAAUUAUUAUUUCUUUUUAGGCUUAGCAAUCAAUGUAAGGUAGAAAUAGAUCUUCUAGUUUCUACUUGAUUGAGAGAGAUAGAGUGGAGGUGUAGAUUGGAGGAAGCCCGGCCUGUCGGUGUCUACUCCAAGCUUGUACCUGCAGUUUCAAGUUCUCCUAACCCGAAGCUUGCUCCUAGGAUUCUUCAGUAUUUCGACUUCUAAAUUCUAGUAAGUUCUUGUUUUAUUGUUCUUAUGGUUUAUGAGUUUACUUUAAUCUCUUCGCAUAGAGUUUAGAGUAAUCAUUGCUGUCGUAAACGUGGUGUUUAGGCUGGGGUACUCAUAGAUAUUCCCUGACUAGCUGGACCGUGGUAGUAGUGAGGAACGUGACAAUUCCGAGUUACCUUUGUAGAUCACAUCUCGUUAGCAGGAAGGAUAGGGUUUAUAGGUGCGGGUCGAACAUCCUUUGUGUUGUCUAGAUUCCGUUAGCCUCCCCAUUAGAACAGUAGAUCAUCCUUACCAAGGUUAGAAGGAGACUACGAUUGCAGUCUUCUCUAUUUAUCACUCACAUCGAAAGACAUUCUUUGUGCCUAAAGGGUUAGUAGUAAUAGACCGGUUAGUCAGAUGCACUCUUUCUCCUAGUGGUAAAAAAUAAAUACGAUACUCUGGAUAAUUUCCCGGGUGAAGUGCUCACCGAUAUCCGUGCGCUUGCGGAUCAAUUCCUUAUUGCGUUCCCAAAUAUCAACAAGCAUUUCUGGCGCCGUUGCCGGGGAGAAAGACGGUUGCUGAGAUAACCUGAGUCUUACUACUAGCUUUGUAUCUAUACUUUUAUCUUUUCUUAUUUUUUAUAUUCUUUAUUUAAUUUCUUUACUCUUACCUUAUGGAAAACCAAAAUUCUAAAUCGAUCCAUGAAUCUGCAAUCCCUUUAGCAACUGACCUUUUACCAUGGGAGUCAUCACAGCCUAUCCAAACAUCCCAGUAUAAGUUAAGUUCUAGGUUGAUUGCCAUGAUUCAAAACCUAUCUUUUUCGGGAAAGGAAGACGAAAACCCUUACCUUCAUAUUAGAGAUUUUGAGCAAACAUGUGAUUGUCUUCGCAUUGAAGGCAUUUCUGAUAAAACUUUACGUUGGAAGCUUUUUCCUUUUUCCUUAAAGGGAAAAGCUAGACAAUGGUACAGUCAGAAGGUAAGUCAACAACAAGGUGAAUGGGGAGUUUUACGAGCUAACUUUUGUCUAGAUUUCUAUUCCCUUGACCGUAUAGCCGACCUUAGACUCGAAGUCCUAUCUUUUAAACAAAAAGAUAAUGAAACUUUGGGAAAAUCCUAGAAACGUUUUUCUGAUCUUUUAGAAUCUGGUCCAAACCUUAAUCUUGAAGACCCUAUUCUUUUAUUUCACUUUUUUCGAGGUCUUCAUAAAAAUCACAAACAAAUGCUACACACAAUGUCUAGAGGUUCUUUCUUUCGCAUCCCUACUAAUGAAGCUAGAGUGAUCCUAGAUAGAAUCCUAGAAGCUGAGAUGGACAAUACCCUUCAUGAUGAAACCUACGAAGCCGAAGUAGACACUCUGCCAAAUUCUUCAUCUACUUUAGCUAUCCCAAGUUCUGAGCCACAAGAGGAAGAAAUUCCACCACCGGAUUUCAUGCUGGGUAUAGAAUCCGAUCUUUUUGCUGAUUUUGGAAAUAUUUCAAACUACCAUUCUAUUGACAAAGCCCAAAAUGGCCAGUUUAGCAUUUAUUUGCCAAGUGAAUAUCAAUUGAGAGAGCUUAUCUCAGUAAUGAGUAGCGAAUGGUUGGAGGAAUCAGAGCUUUCCUCUGAUGUGAUCCGGUUGGACACACCCUCUAUAACUAUACGCUGUGCUUAUAAUUCUGAUCGAUUUAAUGCUCUCUAUAAUCCUGUUGUGGGGAUCAACAUCAUGUCUGAAUCUUUUGCACUUAAACUAUUUAAAAAUCUUGUCUUAACCCCCAUAACAAAGGUCAUAAAGGAAUCUUCAGGAUGAUUAGUCCCCAGUCUUGGAAUUAUAAAUGUCCUACCUCUUACGGUAGAAGGCUCCUUGGUUUAUUUGAACUUCUAUAUCUUUGAUACAUGGGACUUCGACCUGUUAAUAGGACAACCUUUUAGAAGACUCCUUUAUGAAGGUCAUACUGGAAAGCUACACAUUUCUUUUGGAAAAACCUUUAAAACCCCAAUAACAAUUUCACACUCCUUAAACAAUAAGGCCGAGUUAUAUCUUUUGCCUGACCCUAUGGAGGAGGUAAAGGCUGUAUCUCUAGAGCUUUUAGAGGAACCAGACUUAGAAGACGAAACUCCUUCCUUCACUGAAGAAGAAGACGAACCUUCUGAGCCUGAACCCUUAGAUGAGUUUGCAGAAACACCUAGACCCCCCAUAGAGCUUAAAACUUUACCACCCGGUCUUACCUAUGCUUUCCUAAACAAUAAACCAGAGUUCCCUGUGAUCAUUAGCGAUAAACUCACUCAGGAUCAAACUCUGCGAUUAAUGACCAUUCUUGAAAAACAUCACUCAGUUUUUGGCUACUCACUCCAAGAUCUUACAGGAAUCAGUCCUAUGAUUUGUACCCAUCGUAUUCCAACAGAUCCUUCUGUUUCACCCUCUCGAGAACCCCAACGUAGACUUAACAACACUAUGAGAGAGGUAGUUAAAAAGGAAGUUAUAAAGUUGCUGCAUGCAGGGAUUAUAUAUCCUGUGCCGCACAGUGAGUGGGUAAGCCCAGUACAAGUUGUGCCUAAAAAGGGAGGCAUGACUGUUAUUAUGAAUGAAAAGAACGAGCUAAUUCCGCAACGCACCGUCACAGGAUGGCGGAUGUGCAUAGACUAUAGAAAACUAAACAAAGCCACGAGAAAGGAUCACUUUCCUUUACCUUUUAUAGAUGAAAUGCUAGAGCGAUUAGCGAACCAUUCGUUCUUUUGUUUCUUAGAUGGAUAUUCAGGAUAUCAUCAGAUCCCGAUCCAUCCCGAUGAUCAAAGCAAAACCACUUUUACAUGCCCUUAUGGAACUUAUGCUUACCGUAGAAUGCUUCUUUUCAAAGAUGCAUGAUGUCUAUAUUUUCUGAUAUGAUUGAAGAGAUUAUGGAAGUUUUCAUGGAUGAUUUCUCUGUUUAUGGAAAAACUUUUGAUAGUUGUCUUGAAAACUUAGACAAGGUCUUGCAAAAAUGUGAAGAAAAGCACUUAAUCCUUAAUUGGGAAAAAUGUCAUUUUAUGGUUAGGGAAGGAACAGUGCUAGGACACCUAGUGUCUGAAAGAGGUAUUGAGGUAGACAAAGCUAAAAUUGAAGUAAUUGAACAACUACCUCCACCUGUGAACAUAAAAGGAAUUCAAAGCUUUCUUGGCCAUGCUGGUUUUUAUCGUAGAUUCAUAAAAGAUUUUUCAUUUAUUGCUAGACCACUUACUCUUUCGCUAGCCAAGGAUGCUCCUUUCGAGUUUGAUGAUGCAUGUUUAACAUCUUUCAAUUUAUUAAAGAAAGCACUCAUCUCUGCACCAAUCAUUCAACCCCCUGAUUGGUCGUUGCCUUUUGAAAUUACGUGUGAUGCUAGUGAUUAUGCUGUGGGGGCAGUAUUGGGACAAACUAAAAAUAAGAAGCAUCAUGCAAUUGCUUAUGCCAGUAAAACUUUGACAGGAGCUCAACUUAAUUAUGCAACCACUGAAAAAGAGCUUCUGGCUGUUGUCUUUGCCAUUGAUAAAUUUAGAUCUUAUUUAGUUGGAGCUAAAAUAAUCGUUUACACUGAUCAUGCUGCCUAAAAUAUUUGCUCACUAAAAAAGAUGCUAAACCUCGCCUGAUUAGUUGGAUCUUAUUACUCCAAGAAUUUGACUUAGAAAUAAAAGAUAAAAAGGGAGUAGAAAAUUCUGUUGCUGAUCACUUGUCUAGAAUGUAUUUUGAGAGUCCACAGGAAACCCCCAUCAAUGAUUCACUCCGGGACGACAUGCUCUACGGGAUUAACAGGUCUGACCCCUGGUAUGCAGAUAUUGUUAAUUUUAUGGUUUCAGGGUAUGUACCACCAGGAGCAAACAAGAAGAAGCUUAUUCAAGAAAGUCGUUCACAUAUAUGGGAUGAGCCAUACCUCUUCCGGGUAUGUUCUGAUGGCUUACUUAGGAGAUGUGUGACCACUGAGGAAGGAUGGAAGAUCAUCGACAGAUGUCAUUCAUCACCAUAUGGAGGUCACUAUGGAGCAUUCCGUACACAUUCAAAAAUCUGGCAGUGUGGAUUCUACUGGCCUACAAUGUAUGAAGACACGAAGCAAUAUAUCAGAAGAUGUGGGCCAUGUCAAAGACACGGAAACAUAAAUACAAGGGAUGUAAUGCCACUCACCAACAACCUUCAGAUUGAGCUCUUUGAUGUCUGGGGAAUAGACUACAUGGGUCCAUUUCCUCCAUCAAAGAAGUGCGAGUACAUCUUGGUGGCAGUUGACUAUGUCUCCAAGUGGGUAGAAGCAUUACCUUGCAAGCAUGCGGACAACGUCAGUUCAAAGAGCAUGUUUGAAGAAAUUAUAUUUCCAAGAUUUGGAGUCCCCAGAGUAGUGAUAAGUGAUGGAGGAGCACACUUCAUCGACAAACGCUUCAAGCAAUAUCUAUCAGAAGACAGUAAAUGAAAUAGGAACGGCGUGGAAAGACAAGUUACCUGAUGCACUCUGGGCAUACCGGACAGCAUACAAGACCCCAAUCGGAAUGUCUCCAUACCAAUUGGUGUACGGGAAGACUUGCCAUCUACCUAUUGAACUAGAGUUCAAAGCACACUGGGCCAUAAAGAGAUGGAAUAUGGACCUAGAUGUUGCUGGAGAUUAUAGAAGAAUGCAACUAUCAGAAUUGGAAGAAUGGCGAGAGAAGGCAUAUCACAAUUCAAAGAUCUACAAAGAAAGAGUCCAGAGGUGGCAUGACAAGAGAAUCAAGAAGAAGGAGUUCACACCCGGAGAUAAGGUAUUACUUUUUAAUUCCAGGGUAAAGCUUUUCGGGCAUGGAAAACUCCGGAGCAAAUGGGAAGGACCAUUCAAAGUAAUUAAUUCAUCAUCCCACGGAGCUAUCACACUUCAAACUAGCGAAGGUACGUUAUUCAAGGUAAAUGGUCAACGUCUUAAAUUAUUUUUAGAGCCUAAUAAAGAAUUAGAAGAAAUAGACGUAGUCCAUUUUUACCUUCCCAUGGAGAAUUAGAGCCCAACCUUUUUAGUUUGAUGUUUAUGGGUCAUAUAUAUAUUUUUCUAAAUAAUUUCGCAUCUAGAAACGUGCUCGGGGAAGUGGGCCCACAGAGGGGCCAGAGAGAGGGCGGGCGCCUAGAUCAGGUGGGCGGGCGCCCAGCUCCUGUUCCCCCUCGGUCCCGAUUUUCUCUGUUAUGGAAAAUGCACUUAUGGUAAUCCGAAUAAUCCCUCAGAUGGAAAGUUUCCCACGUACAUCAACGGGAGCAACCCGAACAACCCAUAGAGGCACCCUUUUGACCCCUAUAUAAACAGACCCCUGACCUCAGUUUUCAAACACCAAGCCACCAAGCCUUCUCCCCUUCAAUUAGAGCUUGAUUAGUCCCUUGCUGAUCCAAUGGCCGAGAAGUACCACGAUGAUUGGGAAGUCGUCCCCUUCAACCUCAACAUGGAGCCUGUGGAAGACCCCGAUGCCCGUGCUCUCGUCCCGGCCAACACAGAGCGACAGCUAGAAGUCAUGCCAUUACGCCAACGCAGCUCCGCCCAAUCUUACCAUGCUCAACCAGUUCUCACUGCACCACCACAACCCCUACUCCUCAAAGGAUCAUCACCCAAGACAAAGACCACGAUCAAGGUGCCAACCGGCACAAGGAUCCUUCCGCCUAGACCCAAUGAGAGUGUCGUUGGAGUCAAGACCAACCGGAGCGGCGAGAUCAGCAGUGUUCGCUACACUACGGAGGAGGAAAGGCCUUACUUUGAAGGGAUUAGAGCAGCCAAAGUCCGUUUCAUCCCUCCAAAGGCCGCCCCGAAGCACUCUCUCAAUGCUUUUGAGACACCUCCCAAGCGUCGCAAGACUAUAAUGGAUAUUGAUGAGGACGUUCGCAGGCUAGAUAGAGUUAUCAUAGACCUCCAGUCCUCGUUCAACUCCCUCACUAGGCAGCUCUCUAACCACAACACUAUUAUACUAGGCCUUAGGCAGGAUCUUGCCAAUGCCAACAAGAAGAUCAAGGACUUAGAGCGCCGCUAAGUUAUCUAGAUUAGACCUUGAGUCAAUACAUCUUAGUCAUUUAUCUUUAAAUUCGGUUUAGGUUUGCUACUAUCAUCAGUUUACUAUUAUCAUCAGUUUGCUAUCAGUUUGCUACUAGUCUUUUGUAAUAAAUGCCUCAAGAUCAAUAAAGAGUAUUAUUAUUAUUAUUAUUAUGUCUUGUGUGUCUCUACUUUAUUUUUUUGUGCAAGAAACCAAAAAACAAGUAUGGGGGAGAUCCCUCGACAUGCCAAACACACUCCGACUACGCCACUCCACGAUUCAGGUACACACUCUGCACACUUUACUUUACACAUAUAUAUAUAUAUUGGAAUAUGCAGAUUAUUGUCUCUGAUAUGAUAAAAUAAAAAGAUUAAAAUAUUUCUAAUCAUGGUUAAUCUCAAUCUGUGAUAUUUCCUGAAAACUUGCAAUUAUUGAAAAUCAUUUUAAAACCCUGUGUUACUUAAGUCGUUAUGGAAUAUGUGACGGUAGAGUGUGAGUUUCUUAUUCUUGAUAUCAUUGUUGCUUGGAGAAUUUAUUUCAAAAUAUUCAAAACUCUAGCUACCAUCCUCAGUGUUUUAUGCCUGAUAAAACUGAAAAUAUUUACAAUUAUAAAAGCUUAUUCUGUAUUGAGUUUGUUCAAAAUGAGUUAGACCCUUGUUGAGAGAUUUAUCAUGCUCCUAAGAUCAAGACAUUUAUUUCAGAAAGAUUCACUCUUCCGAAGUAUUAUUGCAUUAGAGGCAUGGGCUAUGCAAAAAUAAAAAAAUAUUUUGAGGAAAUAAAAAGGAGCAAGUGCUCGACAACCUCACAGAAAAAUGGACAAGUGUCCGGUAGUAGAAUUAGGGGUACCUCGGUAUCCACUUAAAAAAAAAGAGAAGAGAAAAAAUGAUAGCCCAUGGUCCCUCUAAUAAGCAAUAUGCCAGCAAGAGUUGACAAAGAUUUUAAUUUCCAAAGUCUUUGAUCUAAGAGUAUGACAUUCCCCUCCUCGGAUCCUGUUUUGAUCAGGCAAUAAAUGCAAAGUAAGUAUGCUUGAGAAUUUUUGCAAAAUGAAACAACCUCAGUGAGAUAUAUAAAUGAUAAUGAGUGAUCUGAGAGAACCUAUGAGGAUAAAAAGGUAUGCUAACUCUCUUUCAAAAAUAUACAAAAAACUCCAAGUGACAGGAUUGAGAAGAAAGGAUCUUUACUCUUAACCAUGAACAUCCCUGACUAUAGUACACAGUGAAUUUUUUACACCCUGCAAAUAUAAAGAAUGUUUUAAAAUGUUUUACCCCAGAUAUUGUUCUUAACCAUCCUUUUCUCGAGGACGAGUAAAAGCCUAAGUAUGGGGGUAUUUGUUGACGGUUCUUAAGUAUCAAUUUUAACUAUCAAAUAAACAAGAGAAAGGACCAAUAUGCAAACAACACCUAGAAUUAGGGUUUGAUCUGACAGAAUUCCACGAGUUUUGUUGUUUAUCUAUUUCUGCAGGGGGUUGUCAGGAAAUAAGGAAGAAAGGCCCACAUGUCGGGAUUACAUAGAGAUAUCAACGCACCGCGCGAUUUUCCACCAUCUAGAAGACUCCAGAAGCCACUGGAAGAAGACGGAGGCCGAAAGGGGCCAGGCCCAGGGCGCCCGCCCCCCUCUGGAUGCCAAUCAGGACUCUCUUCAUUCGGGAUAUUCCACCGACCUAUUGGAUCAAGAAAAACAUAGUACCACCUCGCCUAUCGACCCAAAAACGCAUAGAAGGGGAGGACUAUAUAAGGAGACCCUCCUGGCCCCUAGAGAAGACAUGAAGAAAUUAUCAUAGAGACUGAGGGGUGCCCUCGAAGGAAAACCUCUUCUCUAAUUAAUAUUUCUUUUUAGGCUUAGCAAUCAAUGUAAGGUAGAAAUAGAUCUUCUAGUUUCUACUAGAUUGAGAGAUAUAGAGUGGAGGUGUAGAUUGGAGGAAGCCCGGCCUGUCGGUGUCUACUCCAAGCUUGUACCUGCGGGAUCAAGUUCUCCUAACCCAAAGCUUGCUCCUAGGACUCUUCAGUAUUUCGACUUCUAAAUUCUAGUAAGUUCUUGUUUUAUUGUUCUUAUGGUUUAUGAGUUUACUUUAAUCUCUUCGCGUAGAGUUUAGAGUAAUCAUUGCUGGCGUAAACGUGGUGUUUAGGCUGGGGUACUCAUAGAUAUUCCAUGACUAGCUGGACCGUGGUAGUAGUGAGGAACAUGACAAUUCCGAGUUACCUUUGUAGAUCACAUCUCGUUAGCAGGAAGGAUAGGGUUUAUAGGUGCGGGUCGAACAUCCUUUGUGUUGUCUAGAUUCCGUUAGCCUCCCCAUUAGAACACUAGAUCAUCCUUACCAAGGUUAGAAGGAGACUACGGUUGUAGUCUUCUCUAUUUAUCACUCACAUCGAAAGACAUUCUUUGUGCCUAAAGGGUUAGUAGUAAUAGACCGGUUAGUCAGAUGCACUCUUUCUCCUAGUGGUAAAAAAAUAAAUACGAUACUCUGGAUAAUUUCCCGGGUGAAGUGCUCACCGAUAUCCGUGCGCUUGCGGAUCAAUUCCUUAUUGCGUUCCCAAAUAUCAACAAUGUCUUGGCAUUUUCUCAGGUAACGGCUUCUCUUAUGCUUGUUCCUCUUGCCUCAGUUUGAAGCGGACGCUCAAACAGGCCCAGCCCUCAAUGGCCAAGAGGCUAAAGGUGGGAGCGGCCUCCAAAGACGCAGGUUAGCGGUUCAUUCCUGUCGUCAUGGGAGUCGUGUUGCCCUUAUGUCGAUCAUCAUGGCGACUGACUUUUUGCUUUUGAGUGCUUACAGGCUCCUCCGAUCCUCGGCCGUCGACGGGUGUUGACAGCGCCCCGCCUCGUCCAUUGGUGGGGGAGUCCACCCCGCCGUCGCCGAAGCGGGUCGAGGCGCCUCGCCCCCAAGUGUAGGAGGGAGCCCCUGAGCCUCCCCGAUCUGGGGUCGAGGGGGAUCCUAUCACUAUAAGUGAUGGGUCCGGUGGCGAUAGGCCCUCGAAGGAUGCCCGCCCCAUGGACAAGGAGGUCGAGGCUUCUCCAGUCGUGAAGCGGACGCCUUGGCCCAUCGGGCUCCACUCCGUCGAGGAGCAGAGGAAGAGAGAAUAGGAAGAACGCAAGUGGGGGACGCAGCACCCGCUGUAGGAGGGACAGCAGCAGCCGCAGCAGGAAGGACAAGAAGGAGAGGAUGGGCGGCAGCAAGAAGGAGCUCAGCUCGAGGAGCUGCUUGAGCAGGAUCGGCAGUAGGAGCUGCGGGAGCUCCAGAAGCAGCAGCAGCAGAGGAGCCAGCAGUUAGAGGAACUGCUCGAGCCACCACCCCGCAGUCCGUCCCAGCCGGUGCCGCCGUCACCACAGGGGCCUGAGACUGGAGAGGAGGGUCUGCCGGUCUAUGGCCUGCCGACCCCUACGUGGCUCCGUCUGGGAGCGCCCGCUUCCAUCCUGGCUGAGCCAGGGCGGGCGGACGGUGUGGUGGCGCUUGCCUGCAUGAUGCGCACCCCGGUGGACCCUCAGUCCGAGAUCAAGGGCACGAUCUACAGCAUCGAGGGGACCGCUCCCGGGUUUCUCCGAGAACGACGGCCGUGGGAGGAUCACAAACCCGGCGAGGACGAUGAAGCCGGGACGUCGGGUGGAGGCGCUACCGACGAGACCGGGACCUGGAAGACGGUGGACGACGAUGGGCGAUUCCCCUCCCUUAUCGACCUGUUUUUAUGUCAUGGGAGGUCGCUUGAGAUGGUCCAAGAGCUCAUCCGGGGCGUUAAGGCGCGCACUGAGGAGGAGAUGGAGAACUGGUGCCCCGACCGGAUCCGCAUCUUGGCCUCCACCGACCCAUUCGAGCCUAAUAUUUUUAUGGACGAUCGGAAGGAGGCCGAGAAGUGGGAGCAUCUCGAGGAGCUUCGCCUCUGGAUGAAUCAUGUGGUUGGGCAUUAGUUAUCGUAGGACGUUUUGGUUUUGUGUUCUUACUAUUCCACUGCUGGCUCGCAGGAUUUGAAAGAGACCUCCCGCAUAAAGUCGAGCUUUAUCCAUGCGAUGAGAGGCAGCUGGGAGCAACUCCCUCUCCUCAAGGACCAACUCCUGGAGUCGCAGGAGAAGCUCCUCAAGGAUUACAAGGAGCUUUUGGCGCUCGAGGAGGAGAAGAAGGAGAGGGAGGCCACUCUGGCAGAAGCUUGGGAGGCCUCGAGGAAGGCGGUGGAAGAGGCCACGCUGCUGAGGGAGCGGACCGUGUCGAUCGAGGAGGCUGCGUCCAAGGCCCAUGAAGAGGCAAAAUUUUAUAAGGAUGUAGCCAGAGAUGAAGGUGGAGUGUGUGAAGGGCGAGAUCACUCGGAGCACCGCAGAGGAGGCCAAGAAGAAGGCCCUCGAGGAUCUCGAGGCGGAGCGGGCUCGAUCUCGCAGCCUCUCUGACGAUGUCGAUCGUCUGAAGAGAGCGUUGUUGGAGAAAGAUGGAGCCACUACGCAGGCGGGCAAGGUGAUCGAUGACCUACGGGUUGCCAACACCGACCUGACGCGCUCCUACAAAGGGAUCGAGAGGGCCAACGCUGACCUUGUUGGCGAGAACACCGCUCUAGAGGAGAAGAUUCGCGGUACGUUUCUACUAUCAUGUUUUCUUUCAAAGGCAUGAUUUGUGUUGCCUAAUUUCUCCGCGUUGGUCUUUAUAGGGCUUAAGGACGAACUGCUAGCUGUCCAAGUCGAGGCCCGCUCUACCAAGGCUCAGCUCGAGGGGGAGGUCGCUUUGAACGGUCGGCUGCAGACUGCGAUAAGCGAUCUCUCGGCCUCUUGGGAGCUCAAGCCCGUGGACGAAUCGAGGGAGGCGGCUCGAGGCGACGCACUGGUCAAUCAGCUCUGCUACCUAGGUGCCAUGCUGAGGGACUGGGUGCGGGACGCCCUUCAUACCGGGGUGAAGCGGACAAUGGCAGUUGUCUGCUCAGGCUUUUCCUACGAUAAGGAGGUGGUGUCCCACGGCUUCGUCACCGAUAUUUCCAAGACCGACGCAGAGAACGAGGAGAGGCUCCACGCCUUGAUCGACGACGCGGAGGCUCCUGGGGAAAGGCUGGCGAGGCUGUUCGAGCCGGAAGUACUUCCUCUCGAGACUAGCUCGGGCGUAGACAAGGGUGGUGAGGGCCGAGAUGCAGACUGAGGCCUGCGAGCCUACUCUGGGUGCUAAGGCCCCUUGUACAGUACUUAUUAUUCUGUCUUAAGUGAUACUGUGUUUUUAAGUGGUUUAUAAGAUCUUUGAAUAUUUCCUUAUUCCUUUGUUCGCACUCUCUUUUGUUUCCUUUCUGCCUACGUCUGUAUUCCCCUUUUGGUCUUUUGUUAAGGCGACCUCGAUUGCCUCGAGGGUGAGGGAGCGAGUAGAGUUACCAUAGCCCAGGGGCGUAGGAGUUCUCAGGCUCGUCGUCUCUCGGCCCUUAAGGGGCUCGAGGUGCCUCUACUACUCGAUCGUGUGAGGUUUACUGGUAGGAAAGAAAAAAAAUCACUUGGUUUUUUAGAUAUUUGGGGGGUCCCCCCUGCUAGCCCCCGAGGGGGUAUCGACUAUGAUGGGUCAUAGUUGGUACUCCCUUCUAACGUCGAGAUUUCGAUCAGAGAAAAAGUAAAUUACUCGAGGGAAAGAUCUUAUUCAUUCAUGCAUUCAUUCAUAAGGUCUUGGUACAGAAUGUACAUGGGAACAUAAAGCUUUGAAAUUCUAGUGGUAGAAUCGACGUAGCUGUUCGAUGUUCCAUGCGUUGGUGAAGACCGCCCCUUUUUCGUCUGCGAGCUUGUAUGUCACUAGCUUCAGGACCUCGGCUACCACGUAUGGGCCCUCCCAGGGCGGAGUCAGCUUGUGGCGUCCUUGGUUGCUUUGCCGCCGCCGUAGGACGAGAUCACCCACGUUCAGAUCCCUUUUACGCACGUGCUUGUCGUGGUAGCGUCGGAGCUUCUGCUGUUAUCUGGCGGAGUUGAGGAGAGCCAUGUCUCGAGCUUCCUCGAGCUGGUCAACCGCAUUCUCUCGAGUCUCCUUAUUUGACUGCUCGUUGUAGGCUUUGAGUCGAGGGGACCCAUACUCAAGGUCUGUUGGAAGCACAGCCUCAGAGCCGUAGACCAUGAAGAACGGGGUGUAUUUCGUGGCCCUGCUUGGCGUCGUCCUUAAGCUCCAUAGGACCAAAGGGAGCUCAUUGACCCAUUUCUUGCCGAAUUUCUUCAACCGGUUGUAGAUUCUUGGUUUGAGCCCCUGCAAUAUCAUUCCGUUGGCACGCUCGACCUGACCGUUAGUUCGAGGGUGGGCCACUGCGGACCAGUUCACACGGAUGUGAUGCCGGUCACAGAAGUCCAAGAACUUUUUGCCGGUGAACUGAGUGCCAUUGUCGGUGAUGAUGACGUUUGGAAUCCCAAACUGGUGGAUGAUGUCGGUGAAGAAAAGGACGGCCUGCUCGGAGCGAAUGUUCGUGAUGGGUCAAGCCUCGAUCCAUUUGGAGAAUUUGUCGAUGGCCACCAGCAAAUGGGUGUAUCCCCCUACUGCCUUCUGUAGAGGCCAUACUAGGUCGAGUCCCCACACCGCGAACGGCCACGUGAUGGGGAUCAUCUGGAGAGCGUGGACGGGAAGAUGUGUCUGCUUGGCGUAAAAUUGACACCCAUGGCACGAUCGUACGAGCUCGAUGGCGUCAGCUAUGGCCGUUGGCCAGUGGAAGCCCUGUCGGAAGGCGUUCCCCACGAGGGUCCACGGAGCAGCGUGGUGGCCACAAGCCCCCGAGUGUAGAUCCUCGAGGAGCUUUCGGCCUUCCUCUAUGGUGAUGCAAUGCUGCAAGAUUCCUAUCAGGCUUCGUCGAUAUAGAUCAUUAUCUUCGCCGUAGAUUACGUAUGACUUGGCCCGUCGAGCGAUACGGCGGGCCUCAGAUCAAUCUUCUGGUAGCUCACAUCAAAUCAGGCAGUCGAGGAAUGGCGUGCGCCAGUCGAACGGUCGACCGGGUCGCUGUUCCGCCUCCAUUACUUCUGCUGCCGCUAGCAGUGCCUCGAUGGCAUCGAUUUGUUGGGGGCGGUGGUUUCGACGUCAGCCCCUGAGCCAAAAUCGACGGUUGGCUCGUGCAGAUCUCUCGAGAAUGCGUCGGGCGGGACCGUGCCUCGAGUCGACACGAUCUUAGCGAGUUUGUUGGCUGCCUCGUUGUAGCGUCGGGCGAUGUGGAUGAGCUCGAGGCCGUGGAACUUAUCCUCGAGCCAACGUACCUCCUUGCAGUAUGCCUCCAUUUUUGGGUCGUGGCAGUUGGAGGCUUUCGUCACUUGGUCGAUGACGAGUUGGGAGUCGCCUCGAACGUCGAGGCGCCGAACUCCUAGCUUGAUGGCGAUCUUCAGCCCAUUGACAAGGGCCUCGUAUUUCGCAACGUUGCUGGAUGCAACAAAAUGUAUCCUGAUAUGAACACCUAGGUGCGAGAUGAAUAGCAGGCCCGCCCCAGGUCCUGUCUUCAUGAGCGACCCGUCGAAAUAUAUCGUCCAUAGUUCUGCUUGAUCUUGAGCCGGGGGAAGCUGGGAGUCCAUCCAUUCCACGAUGAAAUCCACCAGAGCUUGAGACUUGAUAGCUUUGCGGGGCGCAUAAGUGAGGGUCUCACUCAUGAGCUCGACCGACCAUUUGGCGAUUCUUCUCGUGGCCUCCCGACUUUGGAUGAUCUCACCCAAGGGGAAGGACGAGACCACCGUGAUAGGGUGGCCGAGGAAGUAAUGUUGCAACUUGCGCCGGGCGAGGAUCACGGUGUAGAUUAGCUUCUGGAUCUGUGGGUACUGUGCCUUGGUCUCUGAGAGUACCUCGCUGACGAAAUAGACCGGCCUCUGGACUCGCAGCGCAUGCCCCUCUUCCUACCUCUCGACCACCACUGCCGCACUGACGACCUGGGUCGUCGAGGCAACGUACAGAAGCAGAGGUUCUGUGGGUUGAGGUGGGACCAGGACCGGGGCGGAGGUCAGUGUUUUCUUCAAGUUAUCGAGGGCUUCCUCGGCUUCAGGGGUCCAAGAGAAACGCUCAGCUUUUUUCAAGAGCCGAUACAGCGGCAAUGCCUUUUCUCCCAAUCUCGAGAUAAAAUGACUUAGCGCCGCCAAACAUCCCGUGACUUUCUGCACUCCCUUGACGUCUCGGAUCGGCCCCAUUCUCGUGAUGGCCGAGACUUUCUCGGGAUUGGCCUCAAUGCCGCGUUAGGAGACUAUGUAUCCCAGAAACAUGCCUCGAGGUACACCAAAGACGCAUUUCUCGGGGUUGAGCUUGAUCUUGUUGGCGCGUAAGCAACUGAAAGCGAUCUCGAGGUCCUGAAUCAGGUCUCCUCGUUUCUUUUACUUGACGACGAUGUCGUCGACGUAUGCCUCGACCGUCGACCCUAUAUGUUUGCCAAACACGUGGAGCAUGCAUCGCUGGUAUAUUGCUCCCACGUUUCGAAGCCCGAACGGCAUGGUUACAAAACAGUACAUCCCAAAAGGUGUGAUGAAAGAUGUCGCGAGCUGGCCGGACUCUUUCAUUUUUAUUUGAUGGUAACUAGAAUAUGCAUCAAGGAAGGAAAGGGUUUCGCAUCCCGCAGUAGAAUCAACAAUUUGAUCGAUACGUGGUAAUGGAAAAGGAACUUUCGGACAUGCUUUAUUUAAACUUGUAUAAUCGACACACAUCCUCAUUUUCCCAUUCUUUUUCUUAACUAGUACAAGGUUUGCUAACCAGUCGGGAUGGUGAACCUCCUUGAUGAAUCCGGCCGUCAAAAGCUUGUGGAUCUCCUCACCAAUGAUCUUGCGUUUCUCCUCAUUGAAGCGACGCAACCGUUGUUUCACUGGCUUGGAAUCGGCUCGAAUUUCCAAGGAGUGCUCCGCGACUUCCCUCGGUAUGUCUGGCAUGUCCGAGGGACUCCAUGCAAACAUGUCGGCGUUUGCACGGAGAAAGUCGACGAGCACGGCUUCCUAUUUGGGGUCGAGGUCGGCGCUGAUCAUCAGCACCUUGCCGUCGAAGUUGUUGGGGUCGAGCGGGAUCUUCUUCGUUCCUUCUGCCGGCUCGAAGCUGCCCGCGUGGUGCUUGGGCUCUGGAGCCUCUGCGGCCAGGGCUUUGAGCUUCGAGGCGAGCUCGGUGGAGUUCUCGACAGCUUCCCCAUACUCGACGCAUUCGACGUCGCACUUGUACGCGUGCUCGUAGGAGGAGCUGACGGUGAUGACGCCCUUGGGUCAGAGCAUCUUCAGCUUCAAGUAGGUGUAGUUAGGGAUAGCCAUAGACUUGGCGUAUCCCAGGCGCCCGAUGAUGGCGUGGUACGUGCCUCAGAAUCCCACCACCUCAAAGGUGAGGGUCUCCUUUCUGAAAUUGGCCGCCGUGCCAAAACAGACCGGUAAGUCGAUUCGACCUACCGGCAGCGCCUUCUUUCCUGGCACGACACCAUGGAAUCCGCCAGCGCUUGGUUAGAGCUGCACUGUGUUGAUGCCGAGAAGGUCGAGGGUCUCGAGGUAGAUGAUGUUCAGGCUGCUGCCGCCAUCCAUGAGCACCUUCGAGAGUCUAGCAUUGACGAUGAUGGGGUCGACCGGCCUCCACUUGUAUGAAGAUGCAUGCAUAAAGGGACCCGCCCCUUUAUUUAUCCGUGUCGAAAAGCGAAGCGAGCCGCGCAAGCGCGCUACUCUUCUUUUAUGAGCGAGACUCUAUCCAAAUCUACUAAUCUACGAGCGGGUAGACGCCGGGAGCGACUACCUUGUCGGGGUGGUCGUCUUGAUCGAAGGUGAUGGCGGUGUUUGACCAGUUGAGGUACUGGGGCACUGCCAUCCUUGCCGCGAAGACCUCGCGGCACUCCCUCUUGCGUUGCCUUGCGGUUAGCUGCGUCGAGGGUCCACCGUAGGUCAUGUAGGAGUCGUGGAUAGCUGGGAAACCUUCGUCGUCCUUGUCGCCCCCCUUGUCACCGUUCUUCUCUUUCUUCGGGUCGUCUUUCUUGAACCCUAGGCUGUCGAAGUGCUUCUUCAGCAUACGGCAGUCCUCGAGCUUGUGGUUUGCCCCUCCCUUAUGGUAAGGGCAGGGCUCCUUUAGCAUUUUGUCGAAGAUAGCCCCCUCUGGGGGUCCUCGAGGCCCUUUGCGCUCCAUGGCGGCGACGAGAUCGUCGUCGAGGGCUUCCCGCUGGAACAGCCGUGCUUUCUUCUUCUUUUUGUUCUUCUUGGGUCCUCGACUGGGGCCCUCAUCGUCAUCGGGGGGGCGACUUGCCUUUCCCUCCUUCGCAGCUGAAGAAGGCGCUGACCGCUUCUUCCCCUGCAGCGUAGUUUGCCACUACGUCCAUCAGCUCGUCGACGGUCUGAGGACGAUUCCGGCCUAACUCUCGCACCAAAUCUCGACUGGUGGUGCCUAAGACAAAGGUAAGGAAGACAUCAUGGUUUGGGAUGUGCGGCAGCUCGGUGCGUUGCUUCGAGAAGCGUCGAGCAUACUCCCGGAGAGUUUCUCCUGACUUCUACUGCACUUCAUGAGGUCCCACGAGUUGUCGGGCCGUAUGUAGGUCCCUUUGAAGUUGCCCUCGAAUACUCUGACCAAAUCGACCCAAUCGUGGAUUUGAUUGGCCGGGAGUUCCUCGAGCCAUCUGUGGGCGGUGUCGAAGAGAAAAAGCGGCAACUGCCGGAUGAUGGCUCGAUCGUCUCCUCGAGCGCCACCCAACUGACAGGCUAACCGGAAGUCUGCCAACCAUAGCUCUGGCUUGGUCUUGCCGUUGUAUUUAGCGAUGCUGGUCGGGGGUCGAUACGGGCUGGGCAGAGGCGUGCUGCGGAUUGCUCUGCUAAACACCCGAGGGCCCAGCGGUUCCGGGGCCAUCCGGUCCUCGUCACUGUCAUAUCUCCCGCUGCGGUGGGCGCUAUAACCGCGCUCUUCUGCGUCCCCAUAUCGACGGCGACGAUUCUCGUCGAUGUCGCGUCGUGCGUCGUGUCGUCGUUGAUUGUUGACGGGGUGGUUGAGGACGAGUGUUGUCUUCUUCCCUCGAGGGGGUGGCUGCUGAUGGACUGACACCUCCUUUUCAUUCUGGGCUGGCUCAUCACGCUUCUCCGUGGCUGCUCCUCGAUGUCGAGAGGCCGAGCUCUCGGCCUGCUGAACUACCGCCACCUGGAGCAGAGUCUGCACCUCAUCUCCAAUGCGUCGCGCUUGGGAGUUCGACAGUUCGGGCAUAUUGCGUAGCAGCAUUGUUGCUGCAACGACGUUCUGGCCCGCUCGAGGGAAAUGGCUAGCGGGCUGCUCAGGCUCCCCAUCUCUGACGAUCUGUCGAUGUCCUUCUUGGGCCCGUCUGCGAACACUUCCGCCAGGCGGGUAUGGCUGGUCCUGCUCGAGGAUCAGUUCAAGCAGGACAAGGCGCUCGUGAUCUUCGUCGAGCUUCGCUUUGAGCUCUCGUAGCUACGCAAGUUGCACGGCUCUGUCUUCUUGUGGAGGGGGGUCGACCUGACCGUCGUUCCCAGGCGUCCUGGGGUCUUCCCUUGCUGCAGGGGCUCGACCGCUGGCAGCGGCGUCUUGUGUCUCGUCAGUAGUUUCUACCGCCCCGUCGAUAUGGAAGCAUUCUCUAGUAGGGUCGUAGCUGUCGGACUCAGAGUCUUAGUCUGGCUCGGCAGCGUAGAAACACCCACGUCCCUCCUCUAGCAGCCGUUGCCUGAGUGAGGUGAUCGUGUAUCGCCCAAGCCCUAGGCGAUGGAGGCCUCGUACCUGAGAGAAAUCCGGCAGCUCGGACGUCCGUUGCCACGCUCCAGUGUCGCGUGGGAGGACCAUUGGUCUCUCCACGUACGUCUGGGCGUUUGGACAUAUCGUCCUGGCGAGUGACGCCGCGGCAUUGUCCAGACCGAACGGCAGCACUCUUCUUGGGGUGAACAGCCCAUGUGGAAGUAGCGUCGUGGCGGGCGAGGGUGCGCCGUCUCCCAAUGUUGUCGUGCGAUCCUCGUGGCGUUGGGCCGUCACACCCACGAUUUCGGCGCGCGGGGCUGUCGGCUCCUGUGUCACCUCCUGCCUGGCACGAACAGUCGGUCGUGACGAGGCAGAGGGGUGAUGGUGGCGCUGUCCACGUCUCUUCUUGGGCGGGGAGGCGUGGUGGCGAGGUCGUCUCGGAGCCCUCAAUCGUGCUGGCGCAACGCGAGCUCCCCCCGGUCCUUUGACCGAGAGCAGGAUCAUGUCAUAGCCAAAACCGGUAGACAUGAACUUGAGGCUCCCGAACCAAAUCACCAUGGAGCGCGGAAUCGGCGAAACAGGGGUGGCCAUCUGGAAAAGAAUGGGAAAUCGGUGAAAAACACGCAGGACCCCUACCUGGCGCGCCAACUGUCGGCGUUUUCCCCCCGGGGGGUCACGCCAACGAGUAAAACUUGUGUGCGUGCUCCCCUUUCUAGAGGGUGAUGCAAGAAAAGACACAAAGAUUUAUCCUGGUUUGGGCAAGAGAAGGCCCUACGUCUAGUGGGGGGAGUGUUUGUAUUAUCUUGCACCCAAGUGCUUGUACAGGGGUGAAUACAGGCGUGGUAUGAACUGGGAUGGAGUAAGGUUGCUCUACUACGUAUGUCUUGUAUUGUGUCAUCGUCUCGUAUCCGCUCUCGGACCUCCCCUUUUAUAGUUCCAAGGAGAGGUCUAGGGUACAUGUAUAGGCGACAGAGUAGGGGUCGAUAGAGGUAUGGAGUGCUGACCUACUCGAGGCCUCCGUACUGGUGUGGCCUCGAGCCGUCUUGUCUUGGUACUUUGAUGAUGAUUACGCGUGCCCCUGUAUCCCGCUCCUGUGCGCCGUCCUGGAAUGGUUUAUCUGUUGCACGCUUGUACGUUGUGGCACCAGCUACGUCGGAGUGGUUGAGGUGCUGUCAUUUGUCGCCUGAUCCUUCCCCAGGAAGGAAACGUGCAUACUCGAGGGUCAGGUGUCGUGUAGCGCCUUGCCGGCCAGAGCGUUGACUUUGGGCAUCUCGAGGAGGGUCUUGACUGGACGUUCCGACCCUCUUUCUGCGCGCUGCCAUGUUCUGGCUUGUUUGGUGGGGAAGACUACAAAAAGAACGACAAGAUGGGUGCUUGUUCCCUAUCACGCUUCCCAUGACUGACGGGUUAGGUGAGAGCGCAGCAGACGCAUUAAAUGCCCUAGUCCCCGUGCCCGUGUUAGGCGGCGGGCGGCGUCCUUGCGCUUGAGGCCCUUUGAUUCGUACGAGGCUAUUUCCGUAUUCGACGGUUGCCGGUGCUCGAGCCCUAAUCGAUUCGCACGGCGCUCUUUCCGUGUUCGAGGCUACGGUCGUCGAGGACCGUGCGUACAACGGGGGGGGGGGCGUCGAGUCAGAGGCCUCGACUUUCGUACGGAUGCUCUCGCUAUGUACAUCAGUCAGGGUACCCCAUACUGAUAUCCUCGACAAUAGAGGAUGUUCGACCUGCACCUAUAAACCCUAACGAUCCUGCUAACGGGAUAUGGGCUACAAAGGUAACUCAAAAAUGUCACGUUCCUCGCUACUACCACGGUCCGGCUAGACAGGGGAUAUCUAUGAGUAUCCUAGCCCAAACACCACGUUUACGGUAGAGAUGAUUACUCUAAACUCUACGCGAAGAGAUCGAAGUAAACUCAUAAACCAAAGAACAAUAAAACAAAGAACUAACUAGAAUUUAGAAGUCGAAAUACUGAAGAAUCCUUGGAGCAAGCCUCGGGUUAGGAGACUUGAUCCCGUAGGUACAACCUCGGAGUAGACACCGACAGGUCGGGCUUCCUCUGAUCAACACCUCCACUCUAUCUCUCUCAAUCUAGUAGAACUAAUUCUACUCUCACAUUGGAUGCUAAGCCCUAUGAGGUGGGAACCCUAAGGAACCUCUCUCUCUAAAUCCUCUAUGGAAAAUAUGCUAAUGAAAAAUGGGAUUCUCUCCUCCAGGGGCUAGGGGGCCUUGCUUAUGUAGCCUUUUCAAAUGAAUCUGGGCCGUCGGAUCAAACCGACCUUGAUUGAACGCUUCUCCUUGAUCCUCAAAGGCGGUGGAGCAUAAUCCGCGUGAUUCGCGGUGAUUGGCCACCAGAGGUGGGCGGGCGCCCAAAUGGGGAGGGCGGGCGCCCUGCCCCCGGGCCCGAUCGGCCCCCCGUUCGUUCUCGUGGCUUCUCGAGUCUUCUAGAUGUUGGAUAAUUGCGGUGCAUGUUAAUAUCUCUAUGUAAUCCUGAUGUGUGGGCCUUUCUUCCAUAUUUUCUGAUACCCCCUACAGAAAUAGAUAAACAGCAAAACUCAUGGAAUUCUGUCAGAUGAAACCCUAAUUCUAGGUGUUGCUUGUAUAUUGGUCCUUUUCCUUGUUUAUUUGAUGAUUAAAAUUGAUACUUAAGAACCGUCAACAUGCCAGCUUGACCCUCCUACCUGCCAGCUCGAACCUCCAGCCUCGUAGGGGUGAGGAACGUAUCCCAUACCAUAUCCAUACCCAGGGGUAAAUCCGAGUGCAGGUAUAGCAGGGAUCCAUCCCAUCUCUGGCAUAGCUGGUGGUGGAGUGUGUUGUGCUAGCUGUGUGGAUGGUGCUGGUUGUGCUGCCUGUGCUGCCCUUGCUGCUUGUGCUGCCUGCUCUUCUUGUUCCCUCCUCCGUGAGUUCCUGCGAGAAACAGAGCGAGAUCUGGGUUAGGUAACUGGAUCUUGUUUGUAUAUCCUGGAAAAUAAUAUAAAAUCUUUUUAACUAUUUCGUCGUGUUUAAUCAUAUGUGCAUGCGAAAGAUAUGAUUCAUUAAUCAUGAUGCGAGGAGUAGUGAUGUAAAUAAUGGUAUUAGUAGCAUGGGGAUCAACACUUGCAGCUAUCUGUGCUAUCUGUGUUUCUAUCAUCUUGUUGAAACUCGUGUGACUUUUGACAGAUGAACAUAGAGUUUCAAGCAUGGCGUUGAUGUUCUCAAUCAUCUUGUCAUUGUAGGUCAACUUCUUGGUCAGAUUAUCAUUGAUUUUAGCUUGCCCUAUGACCAGAUCUUUCAAGGAAGGCUGUUUGAAGAAAUUACCCUACGGGCGGUGCUGAUUGUUCCACCCGUUGUUACCUUGCUGUGGUGGCCGAAACCCAUUGUUGACAUAUGCUGCUUCUUCUUGGGUUUCGGGGCAAUUGUUCCCCGAAUGGCCAUCAUCACCACAAACUUCACACGAUGUGUGUGAGUUCACUGCUUGGACAGUGCCAUGUUGGGAUUUGCAUCUUGUCCGUCCAUCCUUUGCAGCAGCAAGUCUAUUUUUGCAGCAAGCACAUCUACCUCUUCGCAGAUUGCGAGCCUUUUUGUGUUUUCCUUCCUUCUCCCCAGCUUUGAUUUGCCACCAUCUUCUCGAUGAGGGCAGUAGCUUCAUUAAUGGUGAGAGAAAGGAAUGCACCUCUAGCUGCGGCAUCUACGUGCCCAUUUGACAUGGCCGUGAGGCCUUCAUAGAAGUUACGGAGCACAAGCCAGUCUUUCAUUCCAUGAUGAGGACAGGCCCGAAUGUACUCCUGGAGCCUCUCCCAUGCUUCGGGUAUGGACUCAAGUGAAGACUGCUGGAAGUUAGAGAUCUUUCACCUCAGAGCGCUGGUUCUGCUCAUGUGGAAGAACUUGGCGAGGAAUGCCAUGGAGCACUUUUCCCGUGUGUCAACAACUUCCUUGUUCUAAUAAAACCAUUGUUUCACCUUUCCAGCAAGGGAAAAGAGAAAUAGACGGAGCCUGAUGCUGUUCUACGUGACAUCCCUGAUGACGACGGUGUCGCACAGCUCAAGGAAGUUUUGAAGGUGGGCGUUGGCAUCCUCGCUUGGCAGGCCACAGAAUUGGCUUGCCUGCACCAUAGAGAUGAGGCCAGUGCGGACCUCGAAGCUUCCAUUCCCCACAUUGACAGCGGGCCCAGUCGGCACGUUGGCAACAGCGGGAGUGGAGUAGUCACGGUGUGUCUUGGCCAUAGCGAUUGGUGCGGUUGGUGCUAGAACAGUUGAUUCGCUUGUCGGUUGCGUUGCAGAAGAAGAGACGGUACGAACCCCUCUCUUCCUUAGGAGUGUUUCUGGAUCACUGUGGAAGUUUGCCGGCAAGUUGAAACCGCUCAUACACUAUCUUGUUUUCAUUCCAAUAAAAAGAGGAAGAAAACAGUAAACUUAUCCUGCUUAAUAUAUGGCUACCAAUGCUUACUAUGCAGUCAAUGUUUAUGUCAGUAUAAUUUUUGCCUUCCCCGGCAACGGCGCCAUAAAUGCUUGUUGGCAUUUCUUAGCGUCACUACUAAAAAUAGACCAUAGAUGCAUCCUUAGAAAUGGCACCAGAAAUGUCAGGUGUUGGCAUACCGUAACUAUCGCUACAUCAGAGAGAUAACCCAAGGCAACUCGAGGGCACCGGAAUUAGCAGUGUAGUCUGGUAACAAUAAUUAGGAAUGCCGGAUUGACCUUCCUAACCAUCCUUACUUGCGAUAUGCAAAGCUAUGGCACUACGCUUGAAAGUGCACAAGAAUUACAAUCUUAUGUAACAGUACUUAGGUACACCAAUCGAUAGUUCAUGAAUGAAGAAGUAAUAUAACUACAAGCGGACAGAACUAUCAUUGUAGCAUUUCAACCUGUGAGUAUUCAAGGAUGUCGAAUUUAUAAUUCCUGUAGGAAGGCAAAGGGAUCAAACAUGGUGUAAACAUGAUUACUUAUUCAAUGCUUGGUACACAUAGAGUAAGCAGUAAUAAACAUGAUAUUCAAGAUAGUGGACACACAUUGGAUCAACCUCAAGGAUAAAAUAGAAGAGAAAUAAUAAAUAAAGAAUAAAGAAAUAAAUCUACUUGAGCAGGCAUGGGUCACAUAUAACUAUGCAUAGAACUAUUAGCGGAUCAUCUAAUUAGCAAUAAAUAGAGUUGGAACUAAGCCUGAGAUGAGGGGAGAUCCCCGCAGCUGGAUACCCAGCCGAGAGAGACUGUACAGAACUCCUAUCGAAAUACCUGAUCAUGGGGGAAUACAAAGGAUGAUAGAGCUGUCACUACCCUGCCACCUACCCCUCUACCCGAAAGAUACCCGCACAUCCACUGAUUCCCGCAUACCUGAACACCAUGUUCACGUAAUUGGAAACAACUCCUAACCUCUGUGGGCCCCACCCAUUCGGAGUGACAGGCUACACUAAGAGCAACCAUCAUAGCACAGUGAACCAUCAUCCCAUUCCUAAUUCUAACCCUAAUCAUACUAAUCUGAUGAACAAUGAAGAAAAAUGAUGAACAUAUCAAGAACACAGCACAAGAACUAAGAACUAGUUAAUAUACUAUGAUCAUGAUAAAAACACAACCAUACUCUAGUUCAUAUGUGUUGACGGUCCUUAAGUACAAAAUAUAAUCAUCAAAUAACUAAUGAAAAGGAUCUAAAUGCAACCAACACCUAGACUUAGGGUUUUAUCUGACAGAAUUCCAUGAGUUUUGGUGUUUGUCUAUUUCUACAGGGGGUUAUGAGGAAAUAUGGAUGAAAGGCCCACACAUCGGGUUUACAUAGAGAUAUUAACGUGUGCGGCAAUUUUCUAUCAUCUAGAAGACUCCAAAGGCCACGGGAAUGAACGGGAGGACGAGCGGGCCUAGGGAUUUACAAACAUGUAUGAUUUACAACUCUAGAUUAACAACUCUAUGAUUUACACAUGAAUAAAAGAGACAAACAUGUAUGAUUUACAACUCUAGAUUAACCAAUCCACUUGAUUCAACAUGUUUAGUCCUUCCACCUUUGUGAUCCCACACUCCUAAUCAUAUGAGCUAAAAUGUUGCACACUCAAUCUUUGGAAGAUAUAUAAAAAACAUAAAUAUAGAUAGAUUAUCUUUCCAUUCGGUUGAGCGAUCUGAUCUGACAAAUGUUUUAAAUGCUACACUCAUGAUCUUAUUAUCCAUCAACUUUGUCUUGCUCACUAUGCUUAAGGUUAGAGAAGAACAAAUACACUUUUGGUUAUGUUGGUGUUUUCCACCAACAGGGCCCAUGUACUUGAUCUCUGCCUUGUCUCUAUGAGUGUUGAUAUUUGGGAACGCAAUAAGGAAUUGAUCCGCAAGCGCACGGAUAUCGGUGAGCACUUCACCCGGGAAAUUAUCUAGAGUAUCGUAUUUUUUUUUUUACCACUAGGAGAAAGAGUGCAUCUGACUAACCGGUCUAUUACUACUAACCCUUUAGGCACAAAGAAUGUCUUUCGAUGUGAGUGAUAAAUAGAGAAGACUGCGACCGUAGUCUCCUUCUAACCUUGGUAAGGAUGAUCUAUUGUUCUAAUGGGGAGGCUAACGGAAUCUAGACACCACAAAGGAUGUUCAACCGGCACCUAUAAACCCUAUCCUUCCUGCUAACGAGAUGUGAUCUGCAAAGGUAACUUGGAAUUGUCACGUUCCUCACUACUACCACGGUCCAGCUAGUCAGGGAAUAUCUAUGAGUACCCUAGCCAAAACACCACGUUUACACCAGCAAUGAUUACUCUAAACUCUACGCGAAGAGAUUAAAGUAAACUCAUAAACCAGAAGAACAAUAAAACAAGAACUUACUAGAAUUUAGAAGUCGAAAUACUGAAGAAUCCUAGGAGCAAGCUUCGGGUUAGGAGAACUUGAUCCCGCAGGUACAAGCUUGGAGUAGACACCGACAGGCCGGGCUUCCUCCAAUCUACACCUCCACUCUAUCUCUCUCAAUCUAGUAGAAACUAGAAGAUUUAUUUCUACCUUACAUUGGUUGCUAAGCCUAAAAAGAAAUAUUAAUUAGAGAAGAGAUUUUCCUUCGAGGGCACCCCUUAGUCUCUAUGAUAAUUUCUUCAUGUCUUCUCCAGGGGCCAGGGGGGUCUCCUUAUAUAGUCCUCCUCCUCUAUGCGUUUUUGGGUCGGUAGGCGAGGUGGUACUAUGUUUUUCUUGAUCCAAUAGGUCGGUGGAAUAUCCCGUGCGAAGAGAGUCCCGAACUGGAUCCAAUAGGGGGCGGGCGCCCAGGUCACCAGGGCGGGCGCCCUGGGCCUGGCCCCUUUCGGCCUCCGUCUUCUUCCCGUGGCUUCUGGAGUCUUCUAGAUGGUAGAAAAUCGCGCGGUGCGUUGAUAUCUCUAUGUAAUCCCGACAUGUGGGCCUUUCUUCCUUAUUUCCUGAUAACCCCCUGCAGAAAUAGAUAAACAACAAAACUCAUGGAAUUCUGUGAGAUCAAACCCUAAUUCUAGGUGUUGUUUGCAUAUUGGUCCUUUCUCUUGUUUAUUUGAUAAUUAAAAUUGAUACUUAAGGACCGUCAACAAAUACCCCCAUACUUAGGCUUUUACUCGUCCUCGAGAAAAGGAUGAUUAAGAACAAUAUUUGGGGUAAACAUUUAAAACAUUCUCUUCAUAAUUGCAGGGUGUUAAAAAUCCACUGUGUACCAUAGUCAGGGAUGUUUAUGGUUAAGAGUAAAGAUCCUUUCUUCUCAAUCCUGUCACUUGGAGUUUUUGUAUAUUUUUGAAAGAAAGUUAGCAUACCUUUUGAUCCUCAUAGGUUCUCUUAGAUCACUCAUUAUCUUUUUAUAUCUCACUGAGGUUGUUUUAUUUUGCAAAAAAUUCUCAAGCAUACUUACUUUGCAUUUAUUGCCUGAUCAAAUCGGGAUCCGAGGAGGGAAAUGUCAUACUCUUAGAUCAAAGACUUUGGAAAUUAAAAUCUUUGUCAACUCUUGCUGGCAUAUUGCUUAUUAGAGGGACCAUGGGCUAUCAUUUUUUUAGAAUUUAAGUGGAUACCGAAGUACCCCUAGUUCUACUGCCGGACACUUGUCCAUUUUUUCUGCGAGGUUGUCGAGCACUUGCUCCUUUUUAUUUCCUCGAAAUAUCUCUAUUUUUGCAUAGCCCAUGCCUCUAAUGCAAUAAUACUUCGGAAGAGUGAAUCUUUCUGAAUAAAUGUCUUGAUCUUAGGAGCAUGAUAAAUCUCUCAAAAAGGGUCUAACUCAUUUUGAACAAACUCAAUACACAGUAGAUAGCUUUUAUAAUUAUAAUUAAUAUUUUUCAGUUUUAUCAGGCAUAUAAAACACUGAGGAUGGUAGCUAAAGUUUUGAAUAUUUUGAAAUAAAUUCUCCAAGAAACAAUGAUAUCAAGAAUAAGAAACUCAUACUCUACCAUCACAUAUUCCGUAUUGACUUAAGUGACACAGGGUUUUAAAAUGAUUUUCAAUAAUUGCAAGUUUUCAGGAAAUAUCACAGAUUGAGAUUAAUCAUGAUUAGAAAUAUUUUAAUCCUUUUAAUUUAUCAUGUCAGAAACAAUAUUCUGCAUAAUCAAGAUAGUUGUGUGCGUAUAAAGUAAAGUGUGCAGAGUGUGUACUGAAUCGUGGAGUGGUGUAGUCGGAGUGUGUUUGGCAUGUUGAGGGAUCUCCCCCAUACUUGUUUUCUGCUUUCUUGCACAAAAAAUAAAGUAGAGACACACAAGACAUAAUAAUAAUAAUAAUACUCUUUAUUAAUCUUGAGACAUUUAUUACAAAAGACUAGUAGCAAACUGAUAGCAAACUAAUGAUAAUAGUAAACCUAAACCGAAUUUAAAGAUAGAUGACUAAAAUGCAUUGCCUCAAGGUCUAAUCUAGAUAACUUAGCGGCGCUCUAAUUCCUUAAUCUUCUUGUUGGCACUGGCAAGAUCCUGCCUGAGGCCUAGUAUAAUAGUGUUGUGGUUAGAGAGCUGCCUAGUGAGGGAAUUAAUCGAGGACUGGAGAUCUAUGAUAACUCUGUCUAGUCUGCGAACGUCCUCAUCAAUGUCUACUAUAGUCUUGCGACGCUUGGGAGGUGUCUCAAAAGCAUUGAGAGCGUGCUUUGGGGCUGCCUUUGGAGGGAUGAAACGGACUUUGGCUGCUCGAAUCCUUUCAAAGUAAGGCCUUUCCUCCUCCGUAGUGUAGCGUCCACUACUGAUCUCGCCGCUCUGGUUGGUCUUGACUCCAACGACCCUCUCAUUGGGUCUAGGUGGAAGGAUCCUCGUGCCGGUUGGCACCUUGAUAGUAGUCUUCGUCUUGGAUGAUGAUCCUUUGAGGAGUAGGGGUUGUGGCGGUGCGGUGAGAACUGGUUGAGCAUGGUAGGAUUGGGCGGAGCUGCGUUGGCGUAAUGGCAUGGCUUCUAGCUGUCGCUCUGUGUUGGCCGGGACGAGAGCACGGGCAUCGGGGUCUUCUACAGGCUCCAUGUUGAGGUUGAAGGGGACGACUUCCCAAUCAUCGUGGUACUUCUCGGCCAUUGGAGCAGCAAGGAACUAAUCAAGCUCUAAUUGAAGGAGAGAAGGCUUGGUGGCUUGGUGUUUGAAAACUGAGGUCAGGGGUUUGUUUAUAUAGGGGUCAAAAAGGUGCCUCUAUGGGUUGUUCGGGUUGCUCCCGUCGAUGUACAUGGGAAACUUUCCAUCCGAGGGAUUAUUCGGAUUACCAUAAGUGCAUUUUCCAUAACAGAGAAAAUCGGGACCGAGGGGGAACAGGAGCUGGGCGCCCGCCCACCUGAGCUGGGCGCCCGCCCUCUCUGGCCCCUCUGUGGGCCCACUUUCUCGAGCGCGUUUCUAGAUACGAAAUUAUUUUAAAAAAAUAUAUAUAUGACCCAAAAUCAUUAGACUAAAAAUGUCGGGCUCUAAUUCUCCAUGGGAAGGUAAAAAUGGACUAUGUCUAUUUCUUCAAAUUCUUCAUUGGGCUCUCAAAAUAAUUUAAGACGUUGACCAUUUACCUUGAAUAACGUACCUUCGCUAUUUUGAAGUGUGAUAGCUCCGUGGGAUGAUGAAUUAAUUACCUUAAAUGGUCCUUCCCAUUUGCUCCGGAGUUUUCCAUGCCCGAAAAGCUUCACCCUGGAAUUAAAAAGUAAUACCUUAUCUCCGGGUGUGAAUUCCUUCUUCUUGAUUCUCUUGUCAUGCCACCUUUUGACUCUUUCUUUGUAGAUCUUUGAAUUGUGAUAUGCCUUCUCUCGCCAUUCCUCCAAUUCUGAUAGUUGCAUUCUUCUAUAAUCUCCAGCAACAUCUAGGUCCAUAUUCCAUCUCUUUAUGGCCCAGUGUGCUUUGAACUCUAGUUCAACAGGUAGAUGGCAAGUCUUCCCGUACACCAAUUGGUAUGGAGACAUUUCGAUUGGGGUCUUGUAUGCUGUCCGGUAUGCCCAUAGUGCAUCGGGUAACUUGUCUUUCCACGCCGUUCCCAUUUCAUUUACUGUCUUCUGAAGAAUAUUCUUGAUUUGUUUGUUGGAAGUCUCUGCUUGGCCACUUGUCUGAGGAUGAUAAGGGGUAGCGACGUUGUGACGGAUUCCAUGUUUUGAUAGAUAUUGCUUGAAGCGUUUGUCGAUGAAGUGUGCUCCUCCAUCACUUAUCACUACUCUGGGGACUCCAAAUCUUGGGAAUAUAAUUUCUUCAAACAUCCUCUUUGAACUGAUGUUGUCGGCAUGCUUGCAAGGUAAUGCUUCUACCCACUUGGAGACAUAGUCAACCACCACCAAGAUGUACUCGCACUUCUUUGAUGGAGGAAAUGGACCCAUGUAGUCUAUUCCCCAGACAUCAAAGAGCUCAAUCUGAAGGUUGUUGGUGAGUGGCAUUGCAUCCCUUGUAUUUAUGUUUCCGUGUCUUUGACAUGGCCCACAUCUUCUGAUAUAUUGCUUCGUGUCUUCAUACAUUGUAGGCCAGUAGAAUCCACACUGCCAGAUCUUUGAAUGUGUACGGAAUGCUCCAUAGUGACCUCCAUAUGGUGAUGAAUGACAUCUGUCGAUGAUCUUCCAUCCUUCUUCAGUGGUCACACAUCUCCUGAGUAAGCCAUCAGAGCAUACUCGGAAGAGGUAUGGCUCAUCCCAUAUAUGUGAACGACUUUCUUGAAUAAGCUUCUUCUUGUUUGCUCCUGGUGGUACAUACCCUGAAACCAUAAAAUUAACAAUAUCUGCAUACCAGGGGUCAGACCUGCUAAUCCCGUAGAGCAUGUCGUCCCGGAGUGAAUCAUUGAUGGGGGUUUCCUGUGGACUCUUAAAGUAUAUUCUAGACAAGUGAUCAGCAACAGAAUUUUCUACUCCCUUUUUAUCUUUUAUUUCUAUGUAAAAUUCUUGGAGUAAUAAGAUCCAUCUAAUCAGGCGAGGUUUAGCAUCUUUUUUAGUGAGCAAAUAUUUUAGUGCAGCAUGAUCAGUGUAAACAAUUAUUUUAGCUCCAACUAAAUAAGAUCUAAAUUUAUCAAUGGCAAAGACAACAGCUAGAAGCUCUUUUUCAGUGGUUGCAUAAUUAAGUUGAGCUCCUGUCAAAGUUUUACUGGCAUAAGCAAUUGCAUGAUGCUUCUUAUUUUUAGUUUGUCCCAAAACUGCCCCCACAGCAUAAUCACUAGCAUCACACAUAAUUUCAAAAGGCAACGACCAAUCAGGGGGUUGAAUGAUUGGUGCAGAGAUGAGUGCUUUCUUUAAUAAUUUAAAAGAUGUUAGACAUGUAUCAUCAAAUUUGAAAGGAGCAUCUUUGGCUAGCAAAAGAGUAAGUGGUCUAGCAAUAAAUGAAAAAUCUUUUAUGAAUCUACGAUAAAAACCAGCAUGGCCAAGAAAGCUUCGAAUUCCUUUUAAGUUCAUAGGUGGAGGUAGUUGUUCAAUUACUUCAAUUUUAGAUUUGUCUACCUCAAUUCCUCUUUCAGACACUAGGUGUCCCAGCACUAUUCCUUCCCUAACCAUAAAAUGACAUUUUUCCCAAUUAAGGAUUAAGUGCUUUUCUUCACAUCUUUGCAAAACCUUGUCUAAGUUUUCAAGACAACUAUCAAAAGUUUUUCCAUAAACAGAGAAAUCAUCCAUGAAAACUUCCAUAAUCUCUUCAAUCAUAUCAGAAAAUAUAGACAUCAUGCAUCUUUGAAAAGAAGCUGGUGCAUUACAUAACCCAAAAGACAUUCUACGGUAAGCAUAGGUUCCAUAUGGGCAUGUAAAAGUGGUUUUGCUUUGAUCAUCGGGAUGGAUCGGGAUCUGAUGAUACCCUGAAUAUCCAUCUAAGAAACAGAAGAACGAAUGGUUUGCUAACCGCUCUAGCAUCUCAUCUAUAAAAGGUAAAGGAAAGUGAUCUUUUCUCGUGGCUUUGUUUAGUUUUCUAUAGUCUAUGCACAUCCGCCAUCCGGUGACGGUGCGUUGCGGAAUUAGCUCGACCUUUUCAUUCAUAAUAACAGUCAUGCCUCCCUUUUUAGGCACAACUUGUACUGGGCUUACCCACUCACUGUGCGGCACAGGAUAUAUAAUCCCUGCAUGCAGCAACUUUAUAACUUCCUUUUUAACUACCUCUCUCAUAGUGUUAUUAAGUCUACGUAGGGGUUCUCGAGAGGGUGAAACAGAAGGAUCUGUUGGAAUACGAUGGGUACAAAUCAUAGGACUGAUUCCUGUAAGAUCUUGGAGUGAGUAGCCGAAAACUGAGUGAUGUUUCUCAAGAAUGGUCAUUAAUCGCAGAGUUUGAUCCUGAGUGAGUUUAUCGCUAAUGAUCACAGGGAACUCUGGAUUAUUGUUUAGGAAAGCAUAUGUAAGACCGGGUGGUAAAGUUUUAAGCUCUAUGGGGGGUCUAGGUGUUUCUGCAAACUCAUCUAAGGGUUCAAGCUCAGAAGGUUCGUCUUCUUCUUCAGUGAAGAAAGGAAUUUCGUCUUCUAAGUCUGAUUCUUCUAAAAGCUCUAGAGAUGCAGCCUUUACCUCCUCCAUAGGGUCAGGCAAAAGAUAUGACUCGGCCUUAUUGUUUAAGGAGUGUGAAAUUGUUAUUGGGAAUUUAAAAGUUUUCCAAAAGAAAUGUGUAGCUUUCCAGUAUGACCUUCAUAAAGGAGUCUUCUAAAAGGUUGUCCUAUCAACAGGUCGAAGUCCCAUGUAUCAAAGAUAUAGAAGUUCAAAUGAACCAUGGAGCCUUCUACCGUAAGAGGUAGGACAUUAGUAAUUCCAAGAAUAGGGACUAAUCGUCCCGAAGAUUCCUUUAUGACCUUUGUUGUGGGGGUUAAGACAAGAUUUUUAAAUAGUUUAAGUGCAAAAGAUUCAGACAUGAUGUUUAUCCCCACAACAGGAUUAUAAAGAGCAUUAAAUCGAUCAGAAUUAUAAGCACAGCGUAUAGUUAUAGAGGGUGUGUCCAAACGGAUCACAUCAGAGGAAAGCUCUGAUUCCUCCAACCAUUCGCUACUCAUUACUGAGAUAAGCUCUCUCAAUUGAUAUUCACUUGGCAAAUAAAUGCUAAACUGGCCAUUUUAGGGUUUGUCAAUAGAAUGGUAGUUUAAAAUAUUUCCAAAAUCGGCAAAAAGAUCGGAUUCUAUAUCCUGCAUGAAGUCCGGUGGUGGAAUUUCUUCCUCUUGUGGCUCAGAACUUGGGAUAGCUAAAGUAGAUGAAGAAUUUGGCAGAGUGUCUACUUCGGCUUCGUAGGUUUCAUCAUGAAGGGUAUUAUCCAUCUCAGCUUCUAGGAUUCUAUCUAGGAUCACUCUAGCUUUAUCAGUAGGGAUUCGAAAGAAAGAAUCUCUAGACAUUGUGUGUAGCAUUUGUUUGUGAUUUUUCUGAAGACCUCGAAAAAAGUGGAAUAAAAGAACAGGGUCUUCAAGAUUAAGGUUUGGACCAGAUUCUAAAAGAUCAGAAAAACGUUUCCAGGAUUUCCCCAAAGUUUUAUUAUCUUUUUGUUUAAAAGAUAGGACUUCGAGUCUAAGGUCAGCUAUACGGUCAAGGGAAUAGAAUUCUAGACAAAAGUUGGCUCGUAAAACUCCCCAUUCACCUUGUUGUUGACUUACCUUCUGACUGUACCAUUGUCUAGCUUCUCCCCUUAAAGAAAAAGGAAAAAGCUUCCAAAGUAAAGUUUUAUCAGAAAUGCCUUCAAUGCGAAGACAAUCACAUGUUUGCACAAAAUCUCUAAUAUGAAGGUAAGGGUUUUCGUCUUCCUUUCCCGAAAAAGAUAGGUUUUGAAUCAUGGCAAUCAAUCUAGAACUUAACUUAUACUGAGAUGUUUGGAUAGGCUAUGAUGAUUCCCAUGGUAAAAGGUCAGUUGCUAAAGGGAUUGCAGAUUCAUGGUUCGAUUUAGAAUUUUGGUUUUCCAUAAGGUAAGAGUAAAGAAAAUAAAUAAAGAAUAUAAAAGAUAAGAAAAGAUAAAAGUAUAGAUACAAGCUAGUAGUAAGACUCAGGUUAUCUCAGCAACCGUCUUUCUCCCCGGCAACGGCGCCAGAAAUGCUUGUUGAUAUUUGGGAACGCAAUAAGGAAUUGAUCCGCAAGCGCACGGAUAUCAGUGAGCACUUCACCCGGGAAAUUAUCCAGAGUAUCGUAUUUAUUUUUUUACCACUAGGAGAAAGUGUGCAUCUGACUAACCGGUCUAUUACUACUAACCCUUUAGGCACAAAGAAUGUCUUUCGAUGUGAGUGAUAAAUAGAGAAGACUGCGACCGUAGUCUCCUUCUAACCUUGGUAAGGAUGAUCUAUUGUUCUAAUGGGGAGGCUAACGGAAUCUAGACACCACAAAGGAUGUUCAACCCGCACCUAUAAACCCUAUCCUUCCUGCUAACGAGAUGUGAUCUGCAAAGGUAACUCGGAAUUGUCACGUUCCUCACUACUACCACGGUCCAGCUAGUCAGGGAAUAUCUAUGAGUACCCUAGCCUAAACACCACGUUUAUGCCAGCAAUGAUUACUCUAAACACUACGCGAAGAGAUUAAAGUAAACUCAUAAACCAGAAGAACAAUAAAACAAGAACUUACUAGAAUUUAGAAGUCGAAAUACUGAAGAAUCCUAGGAGCAAGCUUCGGGUUAGGAGAACUUGAUCCCGCAGGUACAAGCUUGGAGUAGACACCGACAGGCCGGGCUUCCUCCAAUCUACACCUCCACUCUAUCUCUCUCAAUCUAGUAGAAACUAGAAGAUCUAUUUCUACCUUACAUUGGUUGCUAAGCCUAAAAAGAAAUAUUAAUUAGAGAAGAGGUUUUCCUUCGAGGGCACCCCUCAGUCUCUAUGAUAAUUUCUUCAUGUCUUCUCUAGGGGCCAGGGGGGUCUCCUUAUAUAGUCCUCCUCCUCUAUGCGUUUUUUGGUCGGUAGGCGAGGUGGUACUAUGUUUUUCUUGAUCCAAUAGGUCGGUGGAAUAUCCCGUGCGAAGAGAGUCCCGAACUGGAUCCAAUAGGGGGCGGGCGCCCAGGUCACCAGGGCGGGCGCCCUGGGCCUGGCCCCUUUCGGCCUCCGUCUUCUUCCCGUGGCUUCUGGAGUCUUCUAGAUGGUAGAAAAUCGUGCGGUGCGUUGAUAUCUCUAUGUAAUCCCGACAUGUGGGCCUUUCUUCCUUAUUUCCUGAUAACCCCCUGCAAAAAUAGAUAAACAACAAAACUCGUGGAAUUCUGUUAGAUCAAACCCUAAUUCUAGGUGUUGUUUGCAUAUUGGUCCUUUCUCUUGUUUAUUUGAUAAUUAAAAAUGAUACAUAAGGACCGUCAACAAUGAGCAGGUACACUUCGAGCAAAACAUGGAGGAGUUUUACAACUCCCAGACUCCACCAAGUGAAAGACCUGGAUCUACGCUCACAAACACACUAGGCAAGAUGCUGCCAACGCCGCACAUUGAACUGCUGGGCAAACGAAGAACAUGGGUGAUACCGUAUCAAGAGGUGCAGACGUCAAGGUCCACACCUGAAACAAAUGAUGCACCUAAAGAAUGAACACGAAUUCAAGGAUCAAAGAAGACUAGCAGACGGAGGACAUCCUAUAGAGAUAUUAACGUGUGUGGCGAUUUUCUAUCAUCUAGAAGACUCCAGAAGCCACGGGAACGAACGGGAGGACAAGCGGGCCUGGGAACUGGGCGCACGCCCUCCCCCCUUGGGCGUGCGCCCAGGUGUCUCAGCCAAUCAGGCUGAGUCUCACAGAUUAUGCUCCACCGCCUUUGAGGAUCAAGGAAAACCGUGCGAUUAAGGUCGGUUUGAUCCGACGGCCCGCAUUCGUUUGGAGGGUAUAAGCAGGCCCCUUGGCCCCUGGAGAAGACAACCUCUGAAUCCCUAUUCAUUAUUCAUAGACAGAGCAAAAGCUAGGGUUUGGAGAUGAGAGCUCUCCUCUCAUCUCUAAACUAGAGUAGAUCUAGAUAGUAGCGAGAUGGAGAGCGAGGGAGGAUUCGAGGAGAGGCCGACCUGUCGGUUCUUCCUCCGGUUGUACUUCGCCUUGAUCAAGCUCUAAUCAAGCUUGCUCAUGGGAUGACUCUGGUAAUCUACUUCUAUUUCAUUAUGCAAUUACUAUCCAUGUAUGUUCUGGUUCACAACUCUUUCGAGUACUUUAAUCUAUAGGACGCUAUAGGUGAGAGUUGUAGUAUAGGUGUAAGCGUGGUGCUUAGACCUAGAUUACUUGUGGAUAUCCCCUGUUAGCCGGAUCGUGUGGUAGGCCACUUAGGUGACAGCUAUGUGGUCCUUUGUAGUCCACCUCCUGUUAGUAGGACUGGUAGGAGUCCUCGACCUUAGGUAUAAGAAUCCUAUGUGUUGUUUUAUACUUGUGGUACGCCACAGACAGACAUACCCCUUUGAAGUAGAGAAACCCAAGUUAUCCUCUCUAUUCUCCUAUUAUCACCCAUAUAUUAGAUUGCUCUACUCUAUAUUCCCCCAUUAUCAUCUUACCUUUAAUAUUGUUCUUAUUCAAUUCUACCAUCUUUCCUAUUUACACCUACCUAUCUAUCUAGGUUAAGUUAGAGCGUAGAUUAGUUCUCCCGUUUCCUUGUGGAUACGAUAAAACCUUUAACCGGGUAAAAGCUACAACGGUAUCCGUGCGCUUGCGGAUUUAUCUGUGUGCAUAUAAAUACCAUAGUACACUCUAGUGCCAUGUUGGGGAUGACAACCUAGUAUUUAUGUGGUGUUAGCAGGUGUCAACAAUAUGCAUAAUCAUAUAAAGAUGAAUAGAACUUGCUCAUGGAAUAAGAUUGAAUAUUAUUUAUACCAAGAAGAUCCUUUCUUCCAAGGAGAAAAGCUCUCCUUGCUAGCUCUUGCCUUGCUGUACUACUAAUCUAGAGAUACAAGUGAGAGGUGUGAGGUAAAUUGACUCCAAAUGAUGUGUGUGUUGAAAAGGGGGGAGUGCCUCUUUCUUUAUAGUGGAACUAGGACGGUUCGUUGCAUCUAAAUUUGUUAUUAGGUGAAACCGUCCUAUGCAUGGCGGCAUGCAACCGCCUCAGAAAGAUGGGCCCAGUUUGCUGCCUCCAGGGGUGCACCCGCACCCUGGGUGGGUCCCCCUGGCCACCAUUUUCACGUGGUCGGUUUGGCUCUGGGCCUGGAUCUCUCCCGUGGUUACGAUUAGGCCCAGUUCUGCGUUGUUCGGGCCUUUCUCUAUUUUCUUGGUUUGCACAUUUCUAAAUAUGUCUUUUGGUACUUUCUUCGUGAUAUGGCACAUUUUCACUUGUUGCACUAUAAUUCCUGCAAAAUAUAAUCACUAUGGUACAAGUGGAACUUGUUAUUAAUAAAAUGCAUGUGUGUAUAUAAUAUGAUUGCUUCUUCUCCUUUUUGAAUCAAGUUGGCAGUUUAUAAUUGGUCUAUAAUGACUGCCAACAACUUGAUCGAUGACUAGCUGGGAGUCACCUCGAACGUCGAGGCAUCGGACCCCUAGCUCGACAGUGAUCCUUAGUCCGUUAACGAGGGCCUCGUAUUCUGCAAAGUUGUUAGACACGACAAAAUGAAUUCGGAUGACAUACCUCAUGUGGACAUCAAGAGGUCAGAUGAAUAGAAGGCCUGCCCUAGCUCCUGUCUUCAUGAGUGACUCGUCGAAGUACAUUGUUGUUGACACCGUUUUUGGACACGUAUCUUUGGACACAUAUCUGGGAGUUAAUGAGAUGUAGAUCGGCAGGCGAAAGAAUGUUGACUGGUUGUCAGAGGAGUUGCCGAUGGGUUAUAUUGCCGAUGACUAAACAGUCGGAUGUAGCCAAGUCCAAGGAUGAUGGUUAAUCUAUGCCGAUGGCUGAUAUUAAUGGUUGUCGAUGCCGAUGGAAGCUAGUUUGCCGAUGAUAGGAGAAGGGGCGUGGGACAUACCGAGAAAAGGAUGACGGUGCACCAACCGCCUAGGUUGAAUAAAUUAAUGUUUUCCAUAGUUAUUAGAGUCUAUUUUGCGUGCGGACUUUGUUUAGUUUGGAAGUAGAAUCCUAGUCAUGUCUGGUUGUAGCUCUUUUGGACAGGGUAUAAAUGUUGACCCUGUAGCAAUGUAAGAAGAUAUACAAUCAAUCAAACACAAGUUUUUACAUCUAUUUCAGCAUCUACUUUUUCGACGACUUUGUCAAUUCACAUAUUUUCCUUUUACUUACGAGAUCUUAGGAAUUCAUCGAGUCGAUCACAAUGAGUUCUCAAGUUCCGCGUGAAUACCUCUUGGCCGUGGCAUCCGGGCGUAUCGCUGUUGUCGGGACCAAAGUAUUCGAGUUAUCACCUUUGUCAGUUGCAAGGUCAAAUCGGCUGGCACGCCUGAACAUUGAAUCAGGUAUUAGUCCUUUGUGUUUGCAGAACUGAUAUGACCACAUCACCAAGCAAGAUGUCACAAGCUCCAAGUCAAGCUACACCCACUCAAGUUUCACCUACACCGACACCAGCCCAAGUCAUCGAUGGACCGAUUACACGUAGUCGUGCAAAGAAGCUACAACAAGAGGUCCACGCGCUACUUUGUGAUAUUCAUUUUAAUAUUAAUGAGAAUUAUAUACUACCUAUGUGUUGUACCUUGAUUGUACUCAGGUAUAUAGAAGAAGAGAAGGAUGAAUCGGACCCUGAAGAACGGACCAGUGCAAGUUCCAGAAGAAGUCAAAAACGGACCAGUGGAAGUCAAAAACGGACCAGUGCAAGAAAUCUUCAUAACUUUUUACUCACAAAAGCUAUGAAGGUCCAUGAGCACUUGUUGGAAAUCUUGACGAGUCUACUUUCCAAUGAAUCUAGUAGCGACCAGUUUGGAUACUCCAUAUUGCCUACAGAUCAGAAUUAGUACAGACUGCUCAGAAGGUCAACAGUCUGUCGUGACAGAAUAUUGGUACAACUUGCCAAUUAAAACUGUACCAAUCUACAGAGUUUCGUGGUGCAUGGCAUACAUUGAUGGGAAGCCCUUGGAGUCUAGUUUCACACCCAAGAAACGGUUCAUCAUUUGGACUUCCCAAUAAAAAGUUAUGGUCAGUUUAUUAGAAACUGCUCUAGAGGCCAACAGUCACGCGAAGCCACUUCGGGAAUCCAUUUCGAGGGGACCUUUCACAUUGUCUUCCCUCAGAAACUCUAUUUCAUUUUCAUACCUAUCUAGCAGGGCUGUUGCUAGUAUAAAUACCUCCUAAGACUCAUUGUAAUCUAAGACUUUGAUAAUUGAAAUACAGAACCCCUUUGUUCAGCUGCGUGCUAACAAAUUCAGAGAGUGACCUCUACCCCUUUGCUCUUGUGAUUUCCUCGCGGGAUUACAUAGGCGGCGGCUUCAUCCGCUCCCAAUUGGUGCUCCUACUCCCUUCAAGGUAUUCCUUGAUUGAUUGUAGGUUGUAUUGGUUGGUUCUUUGAGAGUGUGGUUGGGCGAAUCCUCGAUUCAGGUUGCCGGUUAAAGACGGUGGUUGGCUUCGAGUUUUAUUUGCCACGUUGCACUAGUUAUCGCUGCUUGCAGCAAGUUAUCCGGCUUUUCUUCAGCUAGUUAUCGGUGUUCAUCCUAUGUCAUGAAGAUCGGGACAACGUGUCGCAUCAUCUGGUAUCAAAGCUUUUGUUACCACGGUAGGAAUUUUUUCCCUAGCUACAUAUAUAUUUUGCUUCGUCCUAUCCACCAAAAGCCAGAAAAAUAUAUUGCUUAGACCUUUAUUUCAAUCUGUUAUUUUAGUGAGUUCGGUUAAGUCGCAGUCCAUUAGAGUCUUUGUUUUAGUUGCUGAUCAUUUAUCCUUCGCGUGUUCUUUGUGCCUCUUUUAUAUCUAAAAAUCCCCACAAAAAAUAUCUCUAUAACCUAUAUCAUCCUUUGUGUUAACUUUGAUCCUAUCUAGCUACUGGUUGUUGUUUUAUUUGUCUUUAGUUGUGCAAGUAUCAUAAUCUGAUCUCUGUUUUUAGUUCUACAUAAAAAAAAGUGUGUCAAAAAAAAGAAAGAAAAAAAGUGCAAAAAAAAAGUGAAGUGAAAAAAAAAGUUGAGAAAGGUUAAGAGAGAAAGUCUGAAAGAUUAGUUGGUUUAUGUGAACAAGUGCUGAAAGUUUCAUAUCAAGUUCUACAACCAGUUUGCUAUCUUUGUUUGAUGCAAAACUUUGGUUGGGUCUGAUUGCAACACUUGCAUCCCAAUCAUACUCCUUGUUUGCAUCAAUUCUGAAAUUUCUUUGCGUGUGUGUGAUCUAUUUAUACACUUCGAAUCUUUUGAUCAGCACUAGGCAGAGAACUUCUAGUUUGGAUCGUUACUUAACUUUACAACAACUAGAAUUCAGAUUGCAUUCCUUGUGUAUUACUCCCCACCAAGCUCCACAGAAAAACCAUCGUAAUCGGUACUCUCUAUUCUUGUAUUCGCCUCGCCAUCACUUUCAAUUGCCACCACACAUGUGUUUUUCUUGUAAUCUGCAGCAGAGGAAUUCAUAAGAGCUUUGGUGGUUAGAGAGGUGAGUUGUGAGGGACACCAAAUUUUCAUAUUCCACAAAUACAAAUUAUUUGUAUUCAGCUAACCUUACAGGAAGAUGGGUGCUGGAAUAGAGGAUUGUGUCACUUUGGCACAAUUUAAUGAACUCCGACAAAGCAUAGAAGAAAAGCAAGAUAGGUUGACACAAGAUCUUCAGAACCAUAUGACUGAAAUCAGAAGGCGUCGCCAACCUCAUGAUGGAGCAAGCAACCAUGGUGAAGAUAGAGAUAUGAGUGAUAGAAGUGCUGCUAGUAGAAGCUCAAGGGAACAAGGAAGGAGGAACCGAGGUAGGGGAAGAGGUCAAGGUCGAAGAAAUCAUGAUGAUGAAGAAUCUGAAAAAGAAGAAGAUGAUGAUCAUUCUCAAUAUCGAUAUGGUCGCCGACAUCGUAGAAGAGGCAAUCAUGAGGAGAGGCUGGGAAAACUGAAGUUUACCAUGCCAAAGUUUGAUGGUGGGUCUGAUCCUGAAGCUUAUUUCACUUGGGAGCUGAAAGUGGAUAAAAUCUUUCGCUUGCAUAAUUAUUCAGAAGAGAAGAAGCUGGCAAUGGCAUCUCUGGAGUUUGAAGGAUAUGCUCUGAUAUGGUGGGAGCAGCUCCUCAGUGAUCGUGAAGAAGAUGGAAGACAUCCUGUUGCAACUUGGGAUGAAAUGAAGAGAGAAAUGAGAAGUCGUUUUGUGCCGAAGCACUAUCGGCGUGAUCUUUUUGAUAAAUUGCAGAAUUUGAAGCAAGGAAGUCUCUCUGUUGAAGAGUAUUAUAAGGAGAUGGAGAAAUCUAUGAUUAGAGCCAAUGUGUAUGAAGAUGAAGAGCAAACUAUUGCACGUUUUAUGGCUGGCCUGCAUCGCAAUAUUCAGCGCAUUGUUGAGUUUCAGCCAUACCGUCAUCUUAUUGAUUUAGUACAUCAAGCAACCAAAGCUGAACAUCAAUUGCAGCAAGAUGAUAAGAGCAGCAAGUCCUUGUCCUUUGGUAUGAGGAACUUCUCUGGAGGAAGCAAAUCAAUCACCAAGUUUUCUGCUGAACCAUCCAUGGUGAAAGGCUCAAGUGGAGGCUCACGAUCUAAUUUUCAGGGUACUUUUAGUGGAAAGAACGCUGCUGUCCCAAGUUCAAAACCAGCAGCAUCAAACACUACUUCAGUAGGUUCCACUUCCAAGAGUAGUGGAAUUCAGUGCUUCAAGUGUGCAGGCCGUGGACAUGUAUCAAGAGAGUGUCCAAAUAAUUGUGUGGUCAUUGUAAAUGAUAGUGGAGAAUUUGAAUCAGCUAGUGAAGAGGAAGCUGAGGAAGAACAUGUUGGUGAGGCCAAUCAAGAUGAGGAACAUACUGGCUGUGAAUUUGAGCAUGGUGCUGCUCUUGUAGUGACUCAAAUCUUGAGUGUUCAAAUGAAAGAAGCUGAAAAUGGGCAGCGACAUAAUUUAUUUCAAACCAGAGCAAAGGUGCAUGAUAAGGUGGUGAAGGUGAUUAUUGAUGGAGGGAGCUGCCAUAAUCUUGCUAGUCGUGAGAUGGCUGAUAAACUUGGCCUGAAGCUGCUACGACACCCACAUCCAUAUCAUGUACAGUGGCUGAAUGAUUCGGGAGAUAUCAAGAUUAGAUAUAAAGUAAACGUUCCAUUCAAGAUUGGUGAAUAUGUUGACACAGUAGAGUGUGAUGUGGCACCUGUGUCGGUGUGUCACUUGCUGCUUGGAAGGCCAUGGCAAUAUGAUCGAUAUAGCCAACAUUGUGGGAGAACAAAUCAGUUUACUAUCAAUCUAACGGGAAAAAAGUUUGUUCUCAAGCCUAUGACACCCCAACAAAUCAUGGCUGAACAUUUACAAAAGAAAUCUAAAAUUGUUCCAGUGAGUAGAGAGGAAGGAGAGCAAAAGAAAUUGAGUGCCAUCCACAAUUCGGUGAGUGAGUGCCACAAGCCAAAUUUGAGGGAGAAAAAGAAAGGAGAGGGAGAGAAUUUAGUCAUGCUAGCCACAAAAUCUAAAAUGAGAGAAGUGAGGAACAACCCCGAACAAGUGCUCUUUGUACUUGUGUACAAAGACAUUUUAAUUUCGGCUAACGACAUGACCUCUCUUCCUAGUGUUGUGUCUCAUCUUUUGCUGGACUAUGGAGAUGUCUUUCCAGAAGAAACACCAGCGGGACUACCUCCAAUUCGUGGGAUUGAGCAUCAAAUUGAUCUCAUUCCAGGGGCUGCACUACCUAAUUGACCACCAUACCGAACCAAUCCAGAAGAAACAAAGGAGAUACAAAGGCAAGUGCAAGAACUUCUUGAUAAAGGUUAUGUUCGUGAAAGUUUAAGUCCUUGUGCUGUUCCUCUAAUUUUAGUGCCUAAGAAAGAUGGUUCUUGGAGAAUGUGUGUUGAUUGUAGAGCUAUAAAUAACAUCACUGUUCGCUAUCGCCACCCUAUCCCACGUUUAGAUGACAUGCUUGAUGAAUUAAGUGGUUCCACCAUAUUCACUAAAAUUGAUUUGAGAAGUGGAUACCAUCAGAUAAUAAUGGAAACAGGGGAUGAAUGGAAAACUGCAUUUAAAACAGAAUUUGGGCUGUAUGAAUGGUUAGUUAUGCCUUUUGGUUGGAGUAAUGCUCCUAGUACUUUCACGAGAUUAAUGAACCAUGUCUUGAGAGCUUUCAUUGGAAAAUUUGUUGUUGUCUACUUUGAUGAUAUCUUAAUUUACAGCAAGUCUUUUGAGGAACAUGUGAAUCAUAUUCGCCAAGUCUUGGAAGAGCUUAGAAAGGAGAAAUUUUUUGCUAAUCUUGAGAAGUGCAGUUUUUGCACAGACCAUGUUGUGUUUCUUGGCUUUGUUGUUUCAGGAAAGGGCAUAGAAGUGGAUGAAAGCAAGGUGAAAGCCAUCAAGGAUUGGCCAACUCCAACAAAUGUAAGUCAAGUAAGAAGUUUUCAUGACCUUGCUGUUUUUUAUAGGAGGUUUGUGAGAGAUUUCAGUACCAUCGCUGCUCCUUUGAAUGAAUUGAUAAAGAAAGGUGUUGACUUUAAAUGGGAAAAAUCACAACAAAAUGCAUUUCAAGAAUUAAAGAAACGUUUUGUAACAGAACCGUCCAAUUUAUAAGAAUUCAAGUGAAUUAGCGACCACGGAGGCAGUCAAGCCAAUGGACUUGAACCCAUAUAAACCCGGUAGUCCGACGAGAUCUCAAAAGACCUCGAUUCAACCAACAUACAACCAAGAUCGUACAUGAUCAAGCAUCACCAUCACAGAUUACAACAUUCAUCACAUAACAUAGUUUUACAUCACAUCAGAGUCUAAGGUGGUUAUUAUAAACCAUAGCAGUAGCGGAAACAAAGUAGUUUUGAAACAACAUCAACUCAGUUUAUAAUACAUGCCAGUUCCAUGGUCAAGUCCCAACAAAAGCAUAACUGAAGGUAGAAGAGUGAUCACGCCUAUGAUCUAUUCAUCAUCCGCAGCUGGGUGAUGACAGUUAGCGCAAUAGCCGUGAUAGACGACAUCAUCUGCAACAGGGGUAAAUAAAACCCUGAGUACGAGAAUGUACUCAGCUAGACUUACCCGUCAUAAACCAGAAAUAAGGUGACACUAAGGAGUAUGCAAGGUUGAUCUUUGUGGACUGGUUUGACUCGCCUUUUGCAUAAAAGCCUUUGUUGUAAGUAACUCAUUUAUCAUAUUUCAGCAGCAAGUUCAUUACUUAGCAACUAUCCACUAGAUUAGCACCUGUUCUAAGCAUACACUUGUGUAUUUAAGCAUUACAAUAAUAACCAUAUCUGGAUUAUCACAUAGCCAUCAUCAUUCUCAUCAUAACCAUUAAGUUUAUUUAGUAAAGUCUAUGUUGCCGCUGCCCAAGUCAAGUUCUCACUAUCCGGGAGAGACGGCGAUUCGAAUCGAUUCCUAUCCAGCUGGAGGGUAUUCCUAACACUCACCCAAGCAUACUUCAUGACGGGAGCUCGGAUCACCUUUAGCACAACUCCGGACCAAUUCGCGGGUCCGUCCAGCGCCGCACCCCCAUGGACCGCCAAUCUGCCAGGGUCAGGACUCUAACCUGACACCUCGGUCUUACGCCAUUGACUCCCCGCACAUCCUUGCUACCAACCGGGGUGCGCACUCAUACAGAACGGGGUAUCCGGCCUGAGUUGCACUCGUAGGCUUCGCGGUCGGAACGACUUAUCCGGCCAACUAAGUGAUAGGCAUGCGUUCAACAUGACACGGGGACGUACAGCGAUUCGGUCCUUAAACGACACAGACGGGGAUAGAUUCACACCCAAGACCUCCAUGCCUUGUUGCUGCACUAUCAUCAUCCCGCCCGGUCUUAAGUUCAUUUUUAGCACCUGGUUAUCUCCACGAUAGCAAUAUAGCCAACUGUGAUCAUCAUCACCUAACUCUCACAGGUGACAGGAAAUCACCCGGCUUCUACCGAGCUAAGCAUGGCUAAGCAUUACUUCGACCCUGGACCUACUUUGGUAAUGUUUAAGGUGGACAAGGUAGUCAUUAUGCAGCAAGGGUGUCAUAUCAACGCCUACCACUUAAUGCAACAAUAUAUAACCAUAGUCAUUUGAUAGCUGAACAUGAUAACAAAAUAGUAGGAGGCUUAUAAUGCUCCGGGGCUUGCCUUCGAUGUAAGUAGAGGGACGAUGGUCAGGGCACUCCGGCAAGUUCUCCUCCUCAGCUCCUUGAGGUAGCUCCCCUUGCUGUCCUUCCGGCUCCGGCAACUCGUACUCCAGCACCGUCACGCCCUUGGGUACACCUAGGUAUGCAUGACAAGGAGAUGAAUACAGAGAAUGCACAUAUGAUGCAUGAUGUCAUGAUGGGGAGUAAAAAGGACAUAAACAAGGCAUAACACGAGCAUAAACUUCUAAGAUUAAGUGAAUCAUGGAAUAACGAGUGAGUGCAUACUUCUUCUCUGGUAGAGAGACUAAAUAGACAAGUUACACGAAUUUUAGCUACUCCUACUCAGCCACUGGUUUAGUAGACAAACCAACCAGUCAAAAGUUUCAGCCAUAACUUAAGCAUCGGUUGGCCAAACUAAGUAAGUAAAUACUUUCUCGAAAGCAUAGCAAAUUGUCUACAAUUCACUUUUAGACAUCUCAGCACGAUUCCCAACCGAAAUAUGCUAAAACAUACAAAGUUGGCUGGCUGCUCUGGAAAUUCCAGAGAGCAAGCACUUUGCAGCAGCUACUUGAAAUAUGCAUAACUUUCAAACUCCUCAAACAAAUGCCAUGAAAUUUGGACACGAAGUAGAUCAGUAAGUUAGCUACAAGUUUGUUGUAGACAAGUUUCCCAGAAAAUAACAUCUUUAAUUAGUUCUCAAGCAUUUGCUGUCAGCUACACAGAAAUGCUCUAGGAAAGGCAUAAAUAGCCAAAAAUAAUAUUUUGCACAUGUUGAGAAUGUAUCAAAGGAACAAUCCCAUUGCACUAGUAGAUAGAACAUAUCUAAGAAACACCAGAAAACAUCAUGGCAAGGUCUAAAACUAUUUCUAUCAUCACCUUUUCCAUUUAUUUAAUUAUUAAGGUGAUUUAAUGAGCAUAUACUCCAAGUGUUCUAAAAAUCCUAAGAAAAUUACAGCAAGCCACUUAUGCUAUCAUAAGAUCACUGUAAAAGUUUAAGAACAUUUGCACAUACACAUUGUGAGGUAUAGAAAUAACAAGCUAGUAUAGGCAUGCAAGGCAUAAAUAUGAAACCUCAUCAAAAAGUGUCAAACAACAUAUUUCAGAUUUUUCCUAGCUUUGUCUACACAUAAGUACAACAGUCAGCAAGUUUCAUCACAAAAGGAGUUAUAACUUAAUUACUAAAACUAUCACAACAAACUCCUAUUUAUGCAAGAAUUAUUUUUAACUCCUCAACCAAGCUUCCAAAAAUCAUGAUAAUUUUAUCAGAGACUACCCAUAUCAUAAGUAACAACUUCCUAAAUUUGCAUGGCCAGCAGAUCAAUAGAUCUCAAGAUAUAAUUACCCACUGAAAAACCAAGAUUAAUUUAUAUCUAUUUAUCUCUGCAAAAACAUGGCAUGUUUCAUAUUUUUAUUAAAAACUAAACUUAUGUUGGAACCUAGCAAAAUUGGAAUCACCACAUUUGGAUCUCUACAACUUCAGAUAUGAAUUUUUCAAAAACAGCACAGGCUCUGUAAAACAGUGAACCAGAGGGGUGGGAGAGGAGAGGCUGACACCCGGGACCCGCGCGUCAGUGAGACAGAGACAGGGGAGAAGCUCGUCGCCGGCGAAGCUCAACGACGGCGAGGUUUCCGCCAGAUCCAAGGGCACCUACGUGUUCCUCUCAUCAAGGCGACUCUGUUGACCUACUUUACCCGCGCUCUACUGGACCCUAAGGUGCUCGCCGUCGGGAAUGGCGGAGCGGCGGCGCUGCGCGGCGUUACGCCGGCGGAUCCAAGCAAUGGCGACGUGGUAGAGCUUGCGGACGAGCAAGAGUAGCUCAAGCGAAGCUAUAGGAAGAAGAAUCACGGCCAGAGGUGAACCACGGAGGUCUGGCCACGUUGCCGGUGAUCUCUGUGAACUCCGGCGAGGUGGAGCUCGCAGCGGAGUUGGCAAUGCGACCUCACCGGUGCUCGGCUAAGGGAAUGGAGUGGACGUCGAGGUAGAGGACGUCAAGGCGGAGCUCUGGGCGGGCUGGCUUGGCCGGAGAUGCGGUGGAAUGGCCGGAGAAGCUAGCCGAAGCGCGGCGCAGCUCACCGAGGCGACGGCGGAGCGAAAUGUGCUGCGCUGAGCGAGUGGAGAGCGCGUCUGAGGCGUCCACUCGGUGCAUGGCGACUUGGAGACGCCGUGGGAGCUAACAGGCGGGGUCGUCGACGGCGUACGGUCGACAGGUGGCCGGACACGCGGCGGCGGGCGGCGUCUGUCCAAACUGAAUCGGGCGAUUCAGUCGCCAUGGCCAGUGACUGAAUCCCGAAGUUCGUCGACGUUUUACUCUCAGCUCACUCGGUGGUUUUGGCUGGGAUUUGAUCCUCUGGACAGAGCUACAUGAGUUCUACAACUUUGAUUACAAGAUCAAAGCCUAACUCGGUCUGGAUUUCAAACUACAAAGCUCCAAAUAACCCUACCUCGAAACUGCGUGACUCAACACUUAGCCAAAUUUGGCUAAGUGUGAAAUCAGCCCUGAUUUUUGGCUUGUGAGCAAUUUUUGGAUGUGUUCUAAGCUUUUUCAUAAAAAGUCAUCAACAUAACUUUUGUAGCUUAUGAAAUUCUCUACAACUUUGCUUCAGGUGUCACAGACAUGCAAGGUCUCUAACAUUACUUUCAUAAAAUAUCUUUGAAAAGAGGUCUAGGAGGGUCAAAAAGGUCAUUCUAGGGUUAACCAUAACCUAGGGGCAUUUUUGGCCAAAACCUUCAACAUGAACUUUGCUCCAAAUGAUAUUCUAAACAUGAUUGAGGUAUUUUGGAAGACAAUGAACAUUUGUUUGCAUUGGCUACCCCUUAUAGUCACUCAAUUCAAGUCACACAAGCAAUUUAAUCAUGUAGUGCAUAUAGCAAAUGGCAUGUGAUCAUGGUAUGAAGCUCAUGAGUGAUCAUGAUGAUGCUUAUGUUGAUGCAAUGCUCAUGGUUAACAUGCAAGCUAACACUAGGAGUGUUACAGCCCUCCCCCUUACAAAAAUCUCGUCCCGAGAUUUGAAAGACGUACCAUUUUUCGUAGAAUGAGGGAUAAGUUACUUGUAAAUAGUCUUCCCUUUCCCAAGUGGCAUCUCUCUCAUUUUGACGGUUCCACAAAACUCUAAAAAGUUUGAUCACCCUCCCACGAGUAAUUCGUUCUUUGACAUCAAGAACUUGUACAGGCUUUUCUUCAUAGGAUAGGUCGGACUGCAACUUGAUAUCUCUUGUUUCAACUCUCUCUUCGGGCACACGAAGACACUUCUUGAGUUGAGACACGUGGAAUACAGGGAAAAAAGCUCUCAUUUCGGGAGGUAGUUGUACUUUGUAAGCUACCUUGCCACUCUUCUCAAUGAUUCGGUAGGGACCCACAUACCUACGGGCAAGCUUUCUUUUAACGCCGAGGCGAUUUACUCCUUUCAUGGGUGAUACUUUUAUGUACACAAAGUCACCUAUUUCGAAUUCAAUUGCCUUUCUUCUUCGGUCAGCAUAACUUUUCUGCCUAGCUUGGGCGGCUCUCAUAUGUUGCUGAAUAAUGAGAACUUGUUUCUCGGCUUCCUUGACAAAGUCAAUUCCGUAGUACCUCCUUUCACCAGGUUCAACCCAGUUUAGAGGAGUUCUACACUUGCGGCCAUACAAAGCUUCAAAAGGAGCCAUUUGGAUACUUUCUUGAUAGCUAUUGUUGUAAGAGAAUUCAGCUAAGGGUAGCCAUUUCUCCCAAGCACCCUUGGAAGAUAUAACACAUGCCCUCAACAUAUCCUCUAAAAUUUGAUUCACACGCUCAGUCUGACCGGAGGUUUGGGGAUGAUAGGCUGAACUGCGAACCAAUUUUGUACCCAGGAGUGAAUGCAGAUGCUCCCAAAAGCGAGCAGUGAACUGAGGACCUCUAUCAGAAAUAAUAGUGUGAGGCACUCCGUGCAAUCUAACAAUCUGAAAGAAGUACAACUCAGCAUAGUCGGAUGGUCGGUAUGUAGAGUGUACAGGAAUAAAAUGAGCUGACUUGGUCAAACGGUCAACAAUCACCCAUAUAGAAUUGUGUCCUUUUUGAGUGAGGGGAAGUCCAACAAUGAAAUCCAUGCUGAUCUCUUCCCACUUCCAACCUGGAAUCGACAAGGGUUGUAAUAAACCUGCAGGUUUAAGGUGAACUUCCUUUACCCUGCAGCAAGUAUCACACCUAGCAACAUAAGCUGCUAUCUCCUUCUUCAUUUUGGUCCACCAAAAAUGAGGUCUUAAGUCUUGGUACAUUUUGCUACUACUCGGAUGAAUGGACAACUUGGAAGAAUGAGCUUCUUCUAGAAUUUUGUUGCGUAGGUCACGAUCUUUAGGUACAACUAGUCGAUUGUCAAACCACAAUACACCUUUCUCAUCUACCCUGAAAUGCUUGGUAUCUUGCUCUUGCAUUUUUCUCUUGAUAUGAAAAAUACCGGGAUCAGAUUUUUUAAGCUCUAUGAUUUGACUUUCUACUGAGCAACUGACUAUGAUGUUGUGCAGGACCACAGGAUGCAAUAAAUUGAAGCCUUUUUCUAGGAGAGGUCUAACAUGCUGUUUCCAACUGAGAGCGUCAGCUACAACAUUGGCCUUGCCGGGAUGAUAGUGCACUUCUAGAUUAUAGUCUUUUAUCAAUUCCAGCCAUCUUCUUUGUCUCAUAUUCAGCUCGGGUUGUGUGAAGAUAUAUUUGAGGCUCUUAUGGUCAGUGUAAAUGUGACAAAGAUUACCCAACAGAUAGUGUCUCCAGUGUUUCAAUGCAUGUACAACUGCUGCUAACUCUAGAUCAUGAAUAGGGUAGUUGGCUUCAUGUUUCCUCAGCUGCCGAGAAGCAUAGACAAUAACUCGGUGUCGGUGUUUUCCCCACGGGGGGUCACACCAACGAGUAAAUUUGUAUGCGUGCUCCCUUUCCCAGAUGGUGAUGCAAGAAGACACAGGGAUUUAUCCUGGUUCGGGCAAGAGAAGGCCCUACGUCCAGCGGGGGGAGGAGAGUUUGUAUUAUCUUGCACCUAAGUGCUUGUACAGGGGUGAAUACAAGCGUGGUAUGAAGUGUGGAGCUCUACUACGUAUGAGCGAGGUCUUGUGUCGUGAUCUCCCCCCGUUCUAUUCCUGAGUCCCUCCUUUUAUAGUUCCAAGGAGAGACCCAAGGUACAUGUAUAGGCGUCAGAAUAGAAGUCGAUAGCAGUAUGGAGCGCUGACCUACUCGAGGCUUCCGUACCGGCAUGGCCUCGAGCCGUCCCGUCUUAAUAGCCUGGUGAUGAUUACGCGUGUCCCUGCAUUCCGCUCUGCGCGCCGUCUUGGAUUGGUUCGACGGAUGCACGCUUGUACGAUCCGGCGGCGAAUCCGGCAGAGUGGUUGGGAUGUAGCCAGUCGACGCCCAACCCGUCCCCUCGAAAGAUCUCUGUCUGGUCGAGGGUCAGAUGCCGUACAUUGUGCUGAUAUCCGGAGCGCUGACUUUAGACGUCUCGAGGGGGUCCCGAUUAGACGUCCCAUCCUUGUUUCCCGCGCCCUGUCGUGCCCUGUGUCGUUCGGCGGGAAGGCUGCAAAAAGAUCGAUGGGACGGAAGCCUGUUCCCUAUCACACUUCCCGUGACCUGUGUGUUAGGUGGGGAAGCAUCAGGCGCAUUUAAUGCUCCGGCCCGCGUGCGCGCAUCAGGCGGCGGGCGGCGUCCUUGCGCUCGACGCCCCCCGGGUCGCGUGAGCCUGUUCCGUAUUCGACGGUAACCGGCGCUCGAUGCCCGAUCGAUUCGCUCGACGCUAGUUCCGUCUUCGUGGUUGCGGCCGUCGAUGGCGGCGCAUACGUAAGAUUAGAUCGUCGAAUUGAGGGCCUCGACCUGCGUACGGGCAAUCUCGUAAUGCGCAUCGCUGAGGGUACCCCUUACCGAUACCCUCGACACUCGGCCUUCUUGCAUAAGCACACAACCUAGGCCAGUGCCAGAUGCAUCACAAAAGACAUCAAAUGGCUUUUCAAUGUCAGGCUAUGCCAGAACAGGAGCGGUGGUCAGCAAAUGGCGUAAAGUGGUGAAAGCAACUUCACACUCCUCGGACCAUACAAACUUCACAUCUUUUUGCAGUAGCUUGGUCAUAGGCUUAGCUAUUUUGGAAAAGUCUAGAAUAAAGUGACGAUAAUAACCAGCUAGACCGAGAAAACUCUGGACUUCGUGCACUGAAGUCAGGGCCUUCCAGUCUAGAACCUCCUGCACCUUUGACGGGUCAACAGAAAUACCCUCUUCGGAUAAAAUAUGGCCUAGGAAAGGCACUUUCUUCAGCCAAAACUCACACUUGCUGAACUUGGCAUAAAGCUGAUGUUCUCGCAAUCUAGUGAGUACAAUUCGAAGGUGCUCCUCAUGUUCUUGUGCAUUUUCAGAGUAUACCAAUAUAUCAUCGAUGAACACCACCACAAACUUAUCCAGUUCGGGCAUGAACACCGAAUUCAUCAGGUACAUGAAAUGAGCAGGGGCAUUAGUCAGACCAAAGGACAUGACUAAAUACUCAAAGAACCCAUACCUGGUAGAGAAAGCCGUUUUAGGAAUGUCUUCAGGUCGGAUCUUGAUUUGAUGAUACCCAGAUCGCAGAUCAAUGUUGGAGAAUACUUUGGCCUUGGCUAAUUGAUCAAACAGGAUAUCAAUGCGAGGCAGUGGAUACUUGUUUUUGAUAGUCACGACAUUCAACCGACGAUACUCUACACACAUACGUAGAGACUUGUCCUUCUUCUUGACAAAGAGAGCCGGACAACCCCAUGGAGAAGAACUAGGCCGAAUAAGACCUUUCCCUAGGAGCUCUUGCAAUUGCUUUUUCAACUCUGCCAAUUCAUUGGGUGGCAUUCGGUAUGGCCUUCUAGAGAUAGGUGCGGUACCCGGAAUUAGAUCAAUUUUAAACUCAAUGUCUCUGUCCGGCGGCAACCCGGGCAGGUCCUCUGGAAAAACAUCCGGAAACUCACACACUACCGGAAUUUCUGCUAUAGUGAGUGGUCGAAUAGCAUUGGCCGCGUGACGGAUGUCAUUGCUUCUAGGGAGUUGAACUAAGAAAGCUUCCUUACUAUCAGGCUCCCUCAACAUAAUGACCCUAGUUGAAGUGUCUAUUAACAUUCCAUGAUCACUCAUCCAUUUCAUUCCUAGGAUAACAUCUAUUCCCAAGCCCGGUAAGAUCACAAGAUUUGCUGAAUAAUUACGCCCUUCUAUGGCAAUUUGUACAUCUCUCACUACUUGAUUUGUAGCAAUUUGAUUACCAGCAGCACUAAUGCAAAAUUUUCCACUAUCAAGGUCGAUUACAUGUUGCCUAUCCUUAGAUGCGAAUGCUUGACUCAUAAAUGAAUGUGAAGCUCUAGAAUCAAAUAAGACAACUGCAGGGUGUUGAUUUACAAGGAACAUACCAGCCGUGACCACUUCACCUUCUGGAAUUUCUUCAAUGGUGGUAUAGUGCACUCGACCCAUACGGUUAUUGCCUCCAGCCACAGCAUAUCUCUUAGGAUAAGGACAAUCUCUCGCCCAGUGACCAACUUGCUUGCAAUUAAAGCAGGGACGGUUAUCAGGAGGAGUCUUGGGACCUCCUUGACCCGUGGCGCCUCUUGGGAGAGCAACUGUGAAGGACUUGCGAACUCCCGUCUUCACAUUGGACUUUUUCUGCGGCGGCCUGUACCUUGUCACAGCAUUGGGUGGGCGAUAGGCCGGCUUGCUUGCCACUGGAGCCUUGGACUGCGAAGCACCUGCCUCAUACGCCCUCUUGCGGUUCUUGGACGCGGCAUACACAACAUUAGAAUUUUCCUGAGUCAAUGCAUCACUCACAAACUCAUUAAAAGUGGUACUCUUGUUACCAGCCAUGUUCUUGGACAACUUGGGUCCCAACCCUCUCUUAAAACUAGGGAGCUUCUUGGCUUCGGUGUCAACCAUCUCAGGAGCAUAGCGAGACAAGUUGUUAAAAGCAUGAAGAUACUCAGUUAAGCUUUUAGUGCCUUGCUUCAGGUUUAUGAACUCGGUGUGCUUGAUAGUCAUUAAGCCUUGUGGAAUAUAAUUGUUCCUGAAAGCAGUUUGGAACUGGUCCCAGGUUACAACAGCAUUGGCGGGCAAGCUAGUCCUGUAAUGACUCGACCAAACACCCGCUUUGCCCUCCAACUGGUGGGCUGCAUAUUCCGCCUUUAGCUCUUCGGUCAUCCUCAGCAACCGGAACUUCUGCUCGAGAGUGUUGAGCCAUUCAUCAGCUUCUAAAGGUUCAACGGCCUCCUUGAAAAGCGGCGGCUUGGUGUCCUAGAAAUCCUUGAAACUGCUAUACUGAUUUGCCUCUCCGCCUUGGCAGGCAUGGCGACCACCCUGGUUCUGCUGCGCCAUAGUUUGCAUUGCCUCAUUGAGCAUUCGCUGGCCCUCAACAAGAGCUGCCAAUAGCUCAGUAGGCGUAGGCGGGGGAGGAGGUGGUGGUGGCGGCACCUCGUUGUGACCGGAGCGAGUAUUGCGAGCCAUCUGCACAAGGCAUACCAAGUGAUCGUUUAGGAUAACAGAGAUGAUUGUCAUGAACUUCAAUUGCUGCCAUACGGAAUUUAAUAAAGUAAAUUCACAUAAAUUAAGGCGCAAUAAUCCAUGUACAACAAGAGAAUAUCAUCCGCAGCACUUGGUUAUUCUCGCGAUCAUUCACAGCCACACUCCACAAGAAUUAAAGUCACUGCAGAAAUUUAUUUAAGCUCAACAUAAACAUGGAGCAUCACGAUUGAGUGCAUAGGGUUACACAGAGUCACUGCCACAACUUAAGUUUUACAGGAGGGGCGCCAUGGCCAAAUACAUAGAGUCUCAACUAAAUUUCAGAUUACAUGUCCAUUACAUAAAGAGAUGGAAACUGAUACAUGAUCAUAGAUUUUAUUGCUAGACUACAUAUCUUCCUCAGAUUCUCCAUUAGAGAUGAUGCCAUCAUCCUGAUCUUCCUCACUAGGAACUUCUUCCUAAUUAAAAGGGGCUGGAUGCGGAAUAGGAUUUAUGAUAUUAUUUAAGCGAUGGACAUCUAACUGCAGCUCAGCAAUCCUAGUAAUCAGCUCUUCCUCUCUCAUUUCAGCAUGGAACAAGGCUCUGACUCUAGCAGCUUCUCUAUUUUCAGCCAAGCGCAUAGCCUCAUCUCUCUCUCUAAUCAUUUGCAUCAUGCGGGCUUGUGCUUCAUUGCGCUCUCUAACUGCGUUAUCAACUUGGUUGCGGCGGGCUUGCAAAGCGGUGUGAUAGUUCUGGAUUUCAGCUUGUGCAUUCAUAAAAGCCUUGCGAUGCUUGCGCACUCGCUUGCGCAGUUUGCGCUACCCAACUUGUGCUUGUUGGAGCGCUAGCAUAGCGUCUAUGUAGGUGUCCUGGCGCACAUAGUACAGCUUAAGCACCGCUAGCAUGGCACUCAUGGCAGGGCUAGAGCUAUAUCCUAGCAAGGUUUCUCUCAUCUCUAAAGACUCAUUCCCAACCUGGGACACAAAUGUGUCAGUCACACUCACUCUGGGAACGGAUCCCGCUGGGCCAUUCACUAGCUCAUCACCAUGCUCUUGGCAAAUCUCUAGCAAAACCUCCAGGGCUGCUACUUGGGCACCCUCCCAAGGAGUUUGGCCAUCACAGUCAACUAACCAACCUAGCCACUGUGGGUUAUUUGGACAAGGGGGAACUGUAAUUUGGACAUCUACCCAGGGCAAAGCCCCUGCAUGCUCAGCCUCGGUCCAAGUGUACUUAGGUGGUUCCUCAUAUCCAACUGAACUUAGCACCCUCCACAACAAAGUAGGAGUGCCAAACAUGUCUAGGAAAGUCUCACUCGCGUGCGGGGCUGCCAUCUGUAGAAAGACCACAUUUGAGUAAGGGAGAUUAAUUACAAGGAGAGAUAAAGAAUCAUAUUUUCAGAAUUUAAUACCCAAGUAUUGCAUAAAGAAUGUAUGAAUGAUUCAUGAUGCAUGCACGUUCCAUACGUCCUUUCCAUUCCUAGAAGAAAGUUCUAACGGUAUAGUCGGUGGCAUACAUACGUGCACUCUUUUUACGCAACUAUGCGGUCUACACGUUUCGUUGUUAGGGUACCUGCAGAAGAUUCCAUUUCAGCCCAGCCCCACAAUAGUAUAUGUGCAGGAAUGUAAAUCCAAUCAAUAGCAAUCAAGCUAGGUACUCCGAUAUAUAUUCCCGAACAUAUAUCGCAGCACACUAUCCAUUUUGGAUACACCCACCUAUACAUCAAAUAUGUAUACAUGGCUGCACCUACUACCCACAAUUAAGUACCUUCAUAUAUACAUGUGUGAAACAUGUAAAUAUUCCAGUAACCAUAGUUAACACUCCCCUAGACCGACGGUUGGACGGUCAUGCUCUCACAGCUCACACUUACCGUAGCGUAGAGGCAUAUCGAUCCAUACAUUACCACUCAAGCAAGUGGCAUCCAUACAAUUUCACGCCGUAUGGACGACGAAAGAAAACAAACAAGCUUACCAUGGCGUAGAGGUAUGUGAUCCAUUCAUUACCACUUAAGUAAGCGGUAUCCAUAUAAUUACACGCCAUAUGGACGACGAAAGGAAAAACCCCCAUGUUAGUAAUAUUAAGCCACCUAGAAGUCCUUAUAUGGGCAUAAAGGGUACGACCACUGGCAUGGUAUAAGUUAUCAAAACAUUUUUAAAACAGCCCUACAUAUAGCCUAAUUUUGCCAAAUUAGCUUGGGAAAACCAAAUUCAUUUGUUUUUAAAUACAUCUAUGAUGGUUAAAUGCUUAAUCUUGCUCUGAUGCCAGCUGUAACAGAACCGUCCAAUUUAUAAGAAUUCAAGUGAAUUAGCGACCACGGAGGCAGUCAAGCCAAUGGACUUGAACCCAUAUAAACCCGGUAGUCUGACGAGAUCUCAAAAGACCUCGAUUCAACCAACAUACAACCAAGAUCGUACAUGAUCAAGCAUCACCAUCACAGAUUACAACAUUCAUCACAGAACAUAGUUUUACAUCACAUCAGAGUUUAAGGUGGUUAUUACAAACCAUAGCAGUAGCGGAAACAAAGUAGUUUUGAAACAACAUCAACUCAGUUUAUAAUACAUGCCAGUUCCAUGGUCAAGUCCCAACAAAAGCAUAACUGAAGGUAGAAGAGUGAUCAAGCCCAUGAUCUAUUCAUCAUCCGCACUUGGGUGAUGACAGUUAGCGCAAUAGCCUUGAUAGACGACAUCAUCUGCAACAGGGGUAAAUAAAACCCUGAGUACGAGAAUGUACUCAGCUUAAAUACUCAAGAGUAUGCGAGGUUGAUCUUUGUGGACUGGUUUGACUCGCCUUUUGCAUAAAAGCCUUUGUUGUAAGUAACUCAUUUAUCAUAUUUCAGCAGCAAGUUCAUUACUUAGCAACUAUCCACUAGAUUAGCACCUGUUCUAAGCAUACACUUGUGUAUUUAAGCAUUACAAUAAUAACCAUAUCCGGAUUAUCACAUAGCCAUCAUCAUUCUCAUCAUAACCAUUAAGUUUAUUUAGUAAAGUCUACGUUGCCGCUGCCCAAGUCAAGUUCUCACUAUCCGGGAGAGACGGCGAUUCGAAUCAAUUCAUAUCCAGCUGGAGGGUAUUCCUAACACUCACCCAAGCAUACUUCAUGACGGCAGCUCGGAUCACCUUUAGCACAACUCCGGACCAAUUCGCGGGUCCGUCCAGCGCCGCACCCCCAGGGACCGCCAAUCUGCCAGGGUCAGGACUCUAACCUGACACCUCGGUCUUACACCAUUGACUCCCCGCACAACCUUGCUACCAACCAGGGUGCGCACUCAUAUAGAACGGGGUAUCCGGCCUGAGUUGCACUCGUAGGCUUCGCGGUCGGAACGACUUAGCCGGCCAACUAAGUGAUAGGCAUGCGUUCAACAUGACACGGGGACGUACAGCGAUUCGGUCCUUAAACGACACAGACGGGGAUAGAUUCACACCCAAGACCUCCAUGCCUAGUUGCUGCACUAUCCUCAUCCCGCCCGGUCUCAAGUUCAUUUUUAGCACCUGGUUAUCUCCACGAUAGCAAUAUAGCCAACCGUGAUCAUCAUCCACCUAACUCUCGCAGGUGACAGGAAAUCACCCGGCUUCUACCGAGCUAAGCAUGGCUAAGCAUUACUUCGACCCUAGACCUACUUUGGUAAUGUUUAAGGUGGACAAGGUAGUCAUUAUGCAGCAAGGGUGUCAUAUCAAUGCCUACCACUUAAUGCAACAAUAUAUAACCAUAGUUAUUUGAUAGCUGAACAUGAUAACAAAAUAGUAGGAGGCUUAUAAUGCUCCGGUGCUUUCCUUCGAUGUAAGUAGAGGGACGAUGGUCAGGGCACUCCGGCAAGUUCUCCUCUUCCUCAGCUCCUUGAGGUAGCUCCCCUUGCUGUCCUUCCGGCUCCGGCAACUCGUACUCCAGCACCGUCACGCCCUUGGGUACACCUAGGUAUGCAUGACAAGGAGAUGAAUACAGAGAAUGCACAUAUGAUGCAUGAUGUCAUGAUGGGGAGUAAAAAGAACAUAAACAAGGCAUAACACGAGCAUAAACUUCUAAGAUUAAGUGAAUCAUGGAAUAACGAGUGAGUGCAUACUUCUUCUCUGGUAGAGAGACUAAAUAGACAAGUUACACGAAUUUUAGCUACUCCUACUCAGCCACUGGUUUAGUAGACAAACCAACCAGUCAAAAGUUUCAGCUAUAACUUAAGCAUCGGUUGGCCAAACUAAGUAAGUAAAUACUUUCUGGAAAGCUUAACAAAUUGUCUACAAUUCACUUUUAGACAUCUCAGCACGAUUCCCAACCAAAAUAUGCUAAAACAUACAAAGUUGUCUGGCUGCUCUGGAAAUUCCAGAGAGCAAGCACUUUGCAGCAGCUACUUGAAAUAUGCAUAACUUUCAAACGCCUCAACCAAAUGCCAUGAAAUUUGGACACGAAGUAGAUCAGUAAGUUAGCUACAAGUUUGUUGUCGACAAGUUUCCCAGAAAAUAAUAUCUUUAAUUAGUUCUCAAGCAUUAGCUGUCAGCUACACAGAAAUGCUCUAGGAAAGGCAUAAAUAGCCAAAAAUAAUAUUUUGCACAUGUUGAGAAUGUAUCAAAGGAACAAUCCCAUUGCACUAGUAGAUAGAACAUAUCUAAGAAACACCAGAAAACAUCAUGGCAAGGUCUAAAACUAUUUCUAUCAUCACCUUUUCCAUUUAUUUAAUUAUUAAGGUGAUUUAAUGAGCAUAUACUCCAAGUGUUCUAAAAAUCCUAAGAAAAUUACAGCAAGCCACAUAUGCUAUCAUAAGAUCACUGUAAAAUUUUCAGAACAUUUGCACAUACACAUUGUGAGGUAUAGAAAUAACAAGCUAGUAUAGGCAUGCAAGGCAUAAAUAUGAAACCUCAUCAAAAAGUGUCAAACAACAGAUUUCAGAUUUUUCCUAGCUUUGUCUACACAUAAGUACAACAGUCAGCAAGUUUCAUCACAAAAGGUGUUAUAACUUAAUUACUAAAAAUAUCACAAGAAACUCCUAUUUAAGCAAGAAUUAUUUUUAACUCCUCAACCAAGCUUCCAAAAAUCAUGAUAAAUUUAUCAGAGACUACCCAUAUCAUAAGUAACAACUUCCUAAAUUUGCAUGGACAGCAGAUCAAUAGAUCUCAAGAUAUAAUUACCCACUGAAAAACCAAGAUUAAUUUAUAUCUAUUUAUUUCUGCAAAAACAUGGCAUGUUUCAUAUUUUUAUUAAAAACUAGACUUAUGCUAGAACCUAGAAAAAUUGGAAUCACCACAUUUGGAUCUCUACAACUUCAGAUAUGAAUUUUUCAAAAACAGCACAGGCUCUGUAAAACAGUGAACCAGAGGGGUGGGAGAGGAGAGGCUGACACCCGAGACCCGCGCGUCAGUGAGACAGAGACAGGGGAGAAGCUCGUCGCCGGCGAAGCUCAACGACGGCGAGGUUUCCACCGGAUCCAAGGGCACCUACGUGUUCCUCUCAUCAAGGCGACUCUGUUGACCUACUUUACCCGUGCUCUACUGGACCCUAAGGUGCUCGCCGUCAGGAAUGGCGGAGCGGCGGCGCUGCGCGGCGUUACGCCGGCGGAUCCAGGCAAUGGCGACGCGGUAGAGCUUGCGGACGAGCAAGAGUAGCUCAAGGCGAAGCUAUAGGAAGAAGAAUCACGGCCAGAGGUGAACCAGAGAGGUCAAGGCGGAGCUCUGGGCGGGCUGGCUUGGCCGGAGACGCGGUGGAAUGGCCGGAAAAGCUCGCCGAAGCGCGGCGCAGCUCACCGAGGCGACGGCGGAGCGAAAUGUGCUGCGCUGAGCGAGUGGAGAGCGCGUCUGAGGCGUCCACUCGGUGCGUGGCGACUUGGAGACGCCGUGGGAGCUGACAGGCGGGGUCGUCGACGGCGUACGGUCGACAGGUGGCCGGACACACGGCGGCGGGCGGCGUCUGUCCAAACUGAAUCGGGCGAUUCAGUCGCCAUGGCCAGUGACUGAAUCCCGAAGUUCGUCGACGUUUUACUCUCAGCUCACUCGGUGGUUUUGGCUGGGAUUUGAUCCUCUGGACAGAGCUACAUGAGUUCUACAACUUUGAUUACAAGAUCAAAGCCUAACUCGGUCUGGAUUUCAAACUACAAAGCUCCAAAUAACCCUACCUCAAAACUGCGUGACUCAACACUUAGCCAAAUUUGGCUAAGUGUGAAAUCAGCCCUGAUUUUUGGCUUGUGAGCAAUUUUUGGAUGUGUUCUAAGCUUUUUUAAAAAGUCAUCAACAUAACUUUUGUAGCUUAUGAAAUUCUCUACAACUUUGCUUCAGGUGUCACAGACAUGCAAGGUCUCUAACAUUACUUUCAUAAAACAUCUUUGAAAAGAGGUCUAGGAGGGUCAAAAAGGUCAUUCUAGGGUUAACCAUAACCUAGGGGCAUUUUUGGCCAAAACCUUCAACAUGAACUUUGCUCCAAAUGAUAAUCUAAACAUGAUUGAGGUAUUUUGGAAGACAAUAAACAAUUGUUUGCAUUGGCUACCCCUUAUAGUCACUCAAUUCAAGUCACACAAGCAAUUUAAUCAUGUAGUGCAUAUAGCAAAUGGCAUGUGAUCAUGGUAUGAUGCUCAUGAGUGAUCAUGAUGAUGCUUAUGUUGAUGCAAUGCUCAUGGUUAACAUGCAAGCUAACACUAGGAGUGUUACACGUUUGACUGAAGCACCUGUACUUGUUCUUCCUGAUUUCACUAAAACUUUUGAAAUAGAAUGUGAUGCUAGUGGAAUUGGGAUAGGAGGAGUUUUAGUGCAACAAGGAAAACCUGUAGCAUAUUUUAGUGAAAAACUAGGAGGUGCUCAACUCAAUUAUUUUGUGUAUGAUAAAGAAUUAUAUGCUUUGGUACGUGUGCUUGAAACAUAGCAGCACUACUUAUGGCCAAAAUAAUUUGUUAUUCACUCUGAUCAUUAAGCUUUGAAAUACUUGAAAGGACAGGCAAAACUGAACCGUCGUCAUGCCAAAUGGGAUGAGUUCAUCGAAACAUUUUCAUACAUUGUGAAAUCUAAGAAAGUGAAUCGCACAUUGUCAAUGUUGCUGUGAACAAUGGUGAAAAAGAACCUGAAGGUUUGGGAGGAAUGCUUGCCACAUGUGGAGUUUGCACAUAACAGGGAAGUACACUCUACCACUAAUAUGUGUCCUUUUGAAAUUAUUUAUGGGUUCAAACCUAUUGCUUUGAUAGAUUUGUUGCCCCUUCCAUUGCAGGAAAGAAUCAAUAUGGAAGCCUCCAAGCGUGCUGCAUACAUCAAGAAGGUACACGAGAAGACCAAGGAAGCAAUGGAACUCAAGGCAGGACGCAAGGCUGCAAGUAUGAACAAACAUAGGAAGAAGGUGUUAUUUGAACCCGGGGACUUGGUGUGGAUACACUUGCGCAAGGAUCGCUUUCCUCAGCAGCGCAAAUCAAAAUUGCUGCCACGAGUAGAUGGUCCAUUUCGUGUUCUUGAGAAGAUCAAUGACAAUGCAUACAAGAUUGAUCUUCCUGCAAGUUAUGGCGUGUGCAACUCCUUUAAUGUUGCGGAUCUCUCACCAUUCACAAGUGAAGACACUUUAGAGUCGAGGACGACUCCUUUUCAAGGGGGGAGGAUGAUAUGACCACAUCACCAAGCAAGAUGCCACAAGCUCCAAGUCAAGCUACACCCACUCAAGUUUCACCUACACCGACACCAGCCCAAGUCAUCGAUGGACCGAUUACACGUAGUCGUGCAAAGAAGCUACAACAAGAGGUCCACGCGCUACUUUGUGAUAUUCAUUUUAAUAUUAAUCGGAAUUAUAUACUACCUAUGUGUUGUACCUUGAUUGUACUCAGGUAUAUAGAAGAAGAGAAGGAUGAAUCGGACCCUGAAGAAUGGACCAGUGCAAGUUCCAGAAGAAGUCAAAAACGGACUAGUGGAAGUCAAAAACGGACCAGUGCAAGAAAUCUUCAUAACUCUUUACUCACAAAAGCUAUGAAGGUCCAUGAGCACUUGCUGGAAAGCUUGACGAGUCUACUUUCCAAUGAAUCUAGUAGCGACCAGUUUGGAUACCCCACAUUGCCUGCAGACCAGAAUUAGUACAGACUCCUCAGAAGGUCAACAGUCUGUCGUGACAGAAUGUUGGUACAACUUGCCAAGUAAAACUGUACCAAUCUACAGAGUUUCGUGGUGCAUGGCAUACAUUGAUGGAAAGCUCUUGGAGUCUAGUUUCACACCCAAGAAAUGGUUCAGCAUUUGGACUUCCAAUAAAAAGUUAUGGUCAGUUUAUUGAAAACUGCUCUGGAGGCCAACAGUCACGCGAAGCCACUUCGGGAAUCCAUUUCGAGGGGACCUUUCACAUUGUCUUCCCUCAGAAACUCUAUUUCGUUUUCAUACCUAUCUAGCAGAGCUGUUGCUAGUAUAAAUACACCCUAAGACUCAUUGUAAUCUAAGACUUUGAUAAUUGAAAUACAGAACCACUUUGUUCAGCUGCGUGCUAACAAAUUCAGAGAGUGAUCUCUACCCCUUUGCUCUUGUGAUUUUCUCGCGGGAUUACAUAGGCGGCGGCUUCAUCCGCUCCCAAUUGGUGCUCCUACUCCCUUCAAGGUAUUCCUUGAUUGAUUGUAGGUUGUGUUGAUUGGUUCUUUGAGAGUGUGGUUGGGCGAAUACUCGAUUCAGAUUGCCGGUUAAAUACGGUGGUUGGCUUCGAGUUUUAUUUGCCAGGUUGCACUAGUUAUCGCUGCUUGCAGCAAGUUAUCCGGCUGUUCUUCAGCUAGUUAUCGGUGUUCAUCCUACGUCGUGAAGAUCGGGACAAUAUGUCGUAUCAAGAAACGUUUUUGCAUCAACACAUCUUUUGGCACGCCCGGUGGGACAGAUUCAGAUUCAUCAUCAAGAUCAACAUGUUGAACACCGAUUUCGAUACUGAAAAUAUCAUUGCCAUAGCCGAAGCCAAUCUCAGAGAUGAACAGAAGCAAGCUAUGGCAAAAGCUAUGGAGGAGUACAAGCAGCUAUGUUUAAAGUCCUUCAGCGUCAACAUGAGCGGUGAGGUGAUCCAAAAGGAAGCAUUGUCGAUGCCUCGACAAAUCACUUUUGAAGCUAAUCCUGGUAAACUACAAGAGAUGGUUGACAAUGCUAUUAAUCGCACUCUAAUCAAUCAGUCUAGUGUGUUGUCCAAUACAGUUUUCAAUGUUGUGGCUAGAAGUUUCAAAGAAAGACAGAUACCACCAGCUUAUGUGGGCCCGGCCUAUCAUCAGCCAAGAUCAUCAUCGGUGACGGCUCCAUCAGCUACUCUAGCCGUUGCGGGUACAGAGGUUACUUCUCCUCCACGCACACCGAUGACGACUAAUCCAGCAACAUCAGAGGGACAAAUCCAACUUGCUACAGAUCUAUUGGCAUCGGCAAUGUCAGGGUUUGUGCUUAAAAAUUGUCAAGUUCAUCCCAACUGGUGGGGAUAUGGUAUGCCCCCGGACUUUGGUGCAAAUAGUUCUAGGACAUCUCAAGUGGCUGACAUGAUAGGCAAGGCUCCUAUGACAUCGGCACCCCCAGUAUCUCUGAUGACUCAGAACCCUCAGUAUUCUACAACUACCACUGCAAGACCUUUUACUGGGAAUUCUCAGAUCCCAACAUUCCAGAUGCCUAACACAUCGGCAGAUCCACUGCCGAUGCAUCAAAGGUUUAUGACACAACCAGGGUAUGUCAAUUCAAUGAUAAUGCCCAAUUAUCAGCCAUCGGCAGGACCCACGCCGAUGAAUGUUAACAAUGGAUGGACAGGGCAGUUUGUCUUUCCGCAAAUACCUCAGCAGAAUCAUUAGGCUAUGGGCUUUCAGCAGGGACCAAUGCAACUUGGGUUUCAGAAUCAAGGAUUGGUCAAUCAGCCUAUGAAUCUUGCUCCGCAAGUUGGUGGCCAACAGGCGAUGGUUAAUGCUAUGUUCCCUGGAUAUCGUGCACCGCAGAGGCACGUGGAAGCUUAUCAGCAGGUGUCAGAUCUGCAACCCGCUCAUCGGUAGGAUGCUGAUGCCUAUUGGGCCGAUAAGAUAGCUGAGGUGAUGAGAGAUCAGUUUGGGAUAAAACCCAAAGCCAACACUUAUUCUUAUCGGACACCGUAUCCUCCUGCAUAUGACUUAAUUCCGCUUCCAAAUUGGUACGAGGUGUCGGAUUUCACCAAAUUCGCUGGACAGGAUGACACGUCAACCAUGGAACAUGUUAACAGGUUCAUCAUCUAGUGUGGGGAAGCUGCUAACAGAGAUUAGUUAAGGGUUCGUUUAUUCUCAUCAUCUUUAUCUAGAUCGGCCUUCACUUGGUUUAUUUUAUUGCCUCCAAACUCAGUAAUUACUUGGGCCGAUCUAGAAAAGCAGUUUCAUAAAUACUUCUUUUCUGGAGUUCAUGAGAAGAAGAUUACCGAUUUAGUCAGGCUAAGGCAACGCAAUGAUGAAUCGGUUGAAGGAUUUGUGCAAAGACUGCGGGACGUCAAGAAUAAAUGCUAUAGUCUGGUUCUGGAUGAUCGGCAGUUAGCCGAUUUGGCUUUCCAAGGAUUGUUACCACAUAUCAACGACAAAUAUGCUUCCCAAGAGUUUGAGAGUCUAAGUCAUUUGGUACAAAGGAUUUCUGACCAAGAUAUAAAAGCUUUUGAGCCUAAGAGAGCAUGGAACAAAAAAGUGUCAUUUGUUGAUGAGGUAACAAGCUCAGAUUCUAAUGAAGAACCAGUCAUCGGCUUGGCAGAAUGGGUGAAAAUAAGAAGCCGAUGUCUUGUCCUUUUGGCCAUAAAGAGCCAGAAAAGUUUGCUUUUGACAUCACAAAAGCCGAUAGGAUAUUUGACUUUCUGCUUCAAGAGGGACAGAUUAAAUUGUCACCCAACCAUGUGAUUCCAUCGGCAGAAGAGUUGAAGAAGAUUAAGUAUUGCAAAUCGCAUAAUGCAACAUCUCAUAGUACAUAUGAAUGCAAAGUGUUCAGACAACAGCUGCAAUCUGCUAUAGAGUCUGGGAGGAUUAAAUUGGAUAGCUCCAAAACUCAGAAGCCGAUGAAGAUCGAUCAGCAUGCUUUCCCCGCAAAUAUGUUGGAUGCUAAGGGAAAGACUAAAGUCUUGACUUCGGAAGCAGUUGAGAAGAGCGCAUCGGUGGAUCCUCAGCACCAGAUCACUGCCGAUGACGCCAAAGGCAAGGGCUUGAUCCAAGAAGGUACCAGUUCUAGAAAACCUCCUCGAUCUGGUAUUGUGAUUACUCAUAGGAGACAUCAGGAAACCUGGCAGCAGCGUGAAGAUUGAUACCGUCGCUAGCAGGAAGAUCGCCGCCGAGAAGAAGAAAGACGCCGACAAGAGUGGAAUCGGCAUAGAGAUCAUUGGAAUUGCCCGUUCUUCAUCCACUGUUGGGAGCAAAAUAUCAAGUUACCAAUUGUUAGAGACUGCCCUAAGUGCAAUGGUUAUAAUCGGCACGAUAGACUAAAUCGGCAAUAUCAAGGUGAUAAUCGGCAUUUUGGUGGGCCGAUUAGAGGAAGAACAUCAGUUCACGAUCGACUGGGGGGCAGAAACAGUGUGCAUGAUAGGCUCGGUGAGCGUGUCGGCUAUUUUCCUAGAAAUCAAGAGGAACUUGAGGAGAUGGCGGAUGCGCGAGUUCCCGAUGAGUUCAUAUUUUGGUGAGGCAACCACAACUUCCCCCAUGGUAUCCAGAGGGGUUGACAAGGACACAGAAAAGAAGGCUACAUCGAGAGUGACAAGAAUAACUGAGUAGGGGAAAAGUCUGGAGAUCGACAGCAGCAGACCCCAAGGGAAAAGGCCCAUCGGUAGAUGUUAACAAGGUGUUUAUGUUGCUGAUUGAAUUCCUUGCACCGUUUAGUGAUGAUGAGGAGAUAGAUUUCCCCGACUAGAUAGCUCAGUUGGCUCUUGACCCGAUGACAGCUAUCUUUGAAAAGCCCGCCAAUGAUGAGAGUGUUCGGUAUUCUUAACAUCAUUACCAAAAGUAGACUAAGUUCUCUAAAUCUAGUAACGGUGCCAAAAAUGCCAAACCUAUCCCUCAUACCACUUAAGCCAAGUUGUCAUCCCCAGCAUGACAUGAGAGACGCGGUAUUGAAAUAUGCAAUUGCUCUGCUAAAUAAAUAAUGAAUGGGAUCUGCAAGCGCACAGAUUAAUACCGAUGUAGCAUUUUAACCGGGAAGUAUUCCAGGUAUCGUUAUUUAUAUUUUUACCACUGGGAAGGGAUUAGCAAUCAUCAAUAUUGAUUACAGAAUAGAAUAUGAGAUUGAGCAUCUAUCAUUGCAUGUAUAAUUGAGAACAUUUAUCUAACUCUUUCAUACAGGGGUAAGUGUCACAUAAAAGAUAUAUAAAGUAAUGAAUAGUGACAAAGAUAAUUAAUCUGAUCAUAACUAGCCACAUAAUAAAUAUGAUAAGCACCUCAAUUAGAUACUCUAGAAAGUCAUUAGCAAGGAAUUAGAACGAACUACAAGAAUAUUCCCUAAGUUAUUCUCAACUAUAUAGUCUAGCAUUAUCAUAAUUAGUGCAAGCAUACUUAGCAAUCAUUGCGAGACAAGACUACGCCCAUGCAUAGUGAUAUUAGCAAGGUAAAUGAGAAACAUAGCAAUGACUCCCAUGUAAUAAUGUUGCUCUGCCAGCCCAAUACACGAGAGGGGGACUAUAUAAGAAUCAAUGAAGCUGUCACUAUCAUGAACUACCCCACGAUCUGGCAUAUUGGGUACAAUCGCAGAUAAAUACGGUAUAAGCACCACGCCUACACAAUAUCUAUCAUUUACCCAUGGAUCCGAUGGAUAAACGCUAUACGAUCCUAAGCAUGUAUAUAGAUCCAAUCUAACUAAGCCAAGUACAUAACUGUGAUAAACUAAGAACAAUAUAAUCUUGAAUAUAAACAAGUAGAGCAAAGUCAUAAGCAAUAUAUUGAAGUAGAACAAAGUCAUAUUCAUAAUAUUGAAGAACAAAGAUAAUUAUAAAGCAAUUAGAAGCACAAUUAGAGAAUUACCAAGAAUCCUCUUGACAGAUCCGGAAACCAAUCGAAGAUUGACUCCUUCUAGUUCUAAUCCUAUGUAGCUAUGCUAAUCUAGAUGUCUAAUUGAUGUGGUGGCUCUAAUCUUGAUCAGGGGCUUCUUCUCCCUUGAGGAAUAAUGAAUUAGGGUUGAGAGGCUCUCUCCUCCAGGGGCCAGGGGGUCUGGUUUUAUAGUCCCUUCAAGUGAAUAUGGACCGUUGGAUCAAACCGACUUAGAUUGAACGGUUAUCCUUGAUCCUUUAGGUCAGUGGAGAUCUCCCACGAAGCAGAGUCCUGAUUGGACUCACAGAGGGGGCGGGCGCCCAGGGGAACAGGGCGGGCGCCUUGCCUCUGGCACCGUUUCGCCUCCGCUUCGGUCUCGUGGCUUCUAGAGUCUUCUAGAUGUAAGAUAUUUGCGCGGCUUGUUAAUAUCUCUAUGUAAUCCCGACGUGUGGGCCUUUCUUCCGUAUUUCCUGAUAACCCCCUGCAGAACUAGACAAACACCAAAACUCGUGGAAUUCUGUCAGAUAAAACCCUAAGUCUAGAUGUUGAUUUCAUUUGUAUCCUUUUCUUUAUUUAUUUGAUAAUUAAAUUUGAUACUUAAGGACCGUCAACAAACUCCCCCAAGCUUACCUCUUGCUCGUCCCUGAGCAAGGAUAGACUCAGCUAUGGAUCAUAAGUUGUUGCAAUCUUUAAAAAUUGACGGUACACAUGCUUUUAAAUAAGAUCUCUUCUCUGAGUUAGAGUAAACUGUCAAGACUUAAAACUUACUUACUUUACCUUCACCAUGGGACUUGUAACCGUCACUUCUGUCUUGAGUAGUUAAAAGAUAGAACAGUCUAGUCAAGUGCCAUGUCUCUUGUUCUUGAUUAGCUAUAGCUCUGGUGUUUUUGCAGAUUUUCAAAUAAAACUCAGAGAUUCCUUGUAUGAUUCUCUCAAAUCUCUCUUUUGUGGUAUUUCUGGAUCCUUACCAAGGCAGUGAUGGUAUAUGCCUUCUCUCAAAAUAUGUAGUAUUUGUGGUAUAAAGCAUAGUGGUAUUAUCUUAUCUCUCACCCUACUCUAAUAAGGCUUUAAUAUCUGGCGCUCAUAGGUGGGAGAUAAAAUAUACAUACUUACAAGACAUUUAUUGUAUAGUCAAACCAUGGAUCCAAAGAAACAAAUCAAUAAGUCAAAUCAAGAUGUGCAUGUGUGGCGAAUGAAUGAUGUAUGGUAAUGAUGGUGAUAACAAUGGUGAAAGCCUAAUUCUACUUUUGCUCUUUGAGGGGAUACAUACCUUUCUUGCUUUUUGCAACUUUAUGACGAGAAUGAGAUGCUCUAUAUUUUUUUCUUUUCUCUCAUGUGGGUAUCUUGUACCCCCAAUUCUACUGUCGGACACUUGUCCAUUUUUACCUCUUGUCUCACUUUUUUUUUCUUCCGAGGUUCCGGGCACUUGCCCCUUUUUAUUUCCUCGUAUUUCCUUUUUUUAGAGCACUCAUCUCUUGAGAUAAUAUAUCAAGUGGUAGUAACAAGAUUUCUUGAGCAUUUAUUUUAUAGGGGAAAACAGAAAUAUUUUUGACUAUUCUCUCCCGGAUUAGGAGUAGAAUAUUUUUAGGUGGUUCUGGAGAUGAGAAUGGGUGGAUAUAUGUGGAUGGUACUUUCGGAGUAGAAGUAGCAUGUAUGAGUGAAUGUGCAAGUGAAUCUUGAUUUUAACUACAUGACAAGCUCCUAAGGGUCUACACAGCUUGACCACACUCAAUGCUCAUAAGCAGUAAAUAGUAAAUGUGUGGCUCAAAGUCUAGCAAGCAUGUAUAUAUGACUGUGGUAGGAAUUUAAACUCUCAUCAUACAGGAACUCAUCAUGCAACAUUUUAAAGAUUUUUCAAAGAUAAAAUUCUCCAGAAUUCUAGCAUCUCUAGGAACAGAUAAAUAGCAGCUCAACCUUCCCAUAUCGUAUCCUUUAACAACUUAGACUUUAGAUCAAGUUUUCAUCCCACAAGUUUAGGUCUAGAGCAAGCUUUAAAUUAUAAAAGUUAUAUCUAAACUUGAGAGAACUUCAAAUUUGCAAAUUAGGCACAACAACUAUUCAUCAUAUCCAUGCUAGAGUUUUAUUAUUAAGAUUCAGAUUAGCAUAGCCACUUUAUUUAUUUAUUAAACACAAUAAGCGAAAGACAUAUAUUUAUAUAAGCACAAAAUCUUUAUUUGGUUUUUUCUAGUUUAUGUAUAUUUAUAUUUUAAUAUAGUAUAAGUAUAAAGAUAGAUAGAUAGAUAGAUAGAUAGAUAGAUAGAUAGAUAGAUAGAUAGAUAGAUAGAUAGAUAGAUAGAUAGAUAGAUACAAAUACUUAUCGAGAUAAAUGGGGGUGCUCUCCCCCAAGCUGAAUUUUGACGUAAUUUCUCUUGAUGUAGCUAACAGGUGGCAGAGGUAUAUUUGAAAGUCAGCAGCAUUCUGACAGCGAUUAGAAUGUCCUCCGUCUGCUAGUCUUCUUGAUUCUUAAAUUCUGUGGAGCUCAAAUAGACAACAAAGCUUAUGGAACUGAUUAAAUGUUAGCAUAAAUAUCUAGCCUUUAUCAUGUUGAGACUCCUUAAUAAUUAUUACUCCCUAUUUUUAUAUUUUCAUUUUAUAAAGUAGAAAAGAAAUAUUUAUUUUAUUUUUAUGCCACCACAGUGAAUGUACUUAUGGGUUUUAUGCCACUCGUAUACGCACAUGGGGCUUACUGUUUUUCAUAUUUUUAUUUUCUUUUUAGGAUAGUAUGAUUAUAACUAAUUAAGUAAACUAGUUGACAUAAUUUGAAAGGGAAAGGAUAACUACCAAGUUUACCUCUUGGCAAGGCGUUCGGUGUUUUUAAGUCCUCCGAACGGGACUCUCCGUUUUCUUAAUUGUCCUCGAAUUGGUUGGGUGGCGUAGUCGGUACUUCCGGCGGUGCCUCCUCUUCAUGUAUAGUUAUCUUCUCUUUCCAUACCUAACUCGGUGCUACGGUCUCCUCUGGAUAAUUCUGUUUAAACUCUACGUCUUCUGACCUUACAACUUCUCCUUCAUAGUCUGCCCAUCUGUCCUUGAUGAUCUGCCUCCUCUGGUUGCGGUUGCGUCGUUUUCUUACCUGCUUAGAUUCUUCAACGAUAUAGUUAGGGUCAGUAAAAUAACGGCGUACCUUCUCUGAGGGGAAGUGCAUAUGGACUUCUCCAGUUCCAAUGUAGAUAAUUGCUUUAACGGUGCUGAGGAACAGUCUUCCAAGGAUGAUGGGUGGAUCGUACUCGUCUUCUCCCAUGUCAAUAACCUGAAAGUCUAUAUAGACAAAAUGAUCGUCUAUUUUGACUAGGACAUCAGUUACUGUUCCUUUAACUUCUCGAAAUGUCUGAUCUACCAUCUGGAGCUGAAUGUAUGUUGGUCUUAGUGGCAUGGUUCCGAACAAGAGCGAUAGGUGACUGCGGCCAUUAUGUUGACGCCCGAUCCGGUGUCGCAAAACGUCUUGUAGAAGCUGUAUCCAUUUAUUGAGCAAUAGAUGCUUGGCAUUCCUGGGUCGUCCUUCUUGGUCAAAAACGGUGACUUAAGUUGAUGAUCUUGGCCUCCAUGAACUACAGUGACCAUCUUAGCUGACUCGGUCCACACUUGCUUGUUCCUGUUCCUCCUGUUGGUCCUCUUCCUUGAUUCAUGUCUGGAUUGAUCUGGGAUUUGUGUAGUUUUGUUCUUGAAGAAAAAUGUCUCCUUCCUCCCUUUGAUGUAGAAACUGAUCUUGGCAGCGCUAGCGUAGAUGAUAGCUCCCGUGGUGUUCAAGAAUGGCCUCCCUAAGAUGAUGGGUGCCCUCUCAACAUUUCCGGUCUCUACUACUACGAAGUCUGCUGGGGCAUACAAGGUACCAACUUGGACACAAAGGUUCUUCAAUAUUCCUUUUGGAAUACUUAUCGUCUGAUCUGCAAACUGCAAACACAUGGUUGUUUCUAAUAAAGGAUAUGUAAAGAAUUUCUCAUAGAGUACCCUGGUAUAAUGUUGACACUGGAGCCAAAGUCGCAGAGUGCUUCUGGGACGUCCACCAUGCCGAUGGAGAUCGGGAUGACGGGGUGUCCUGGAUCACCUCUCUUAGUAGUUAGGCCUCUGUUGAUUCCAACCUUGAUUUUGUUGAGGACGGUUGUAGUAGUAGUAGUUGUUGUUGAUGUAGUUCACAUCCUCAAGCAUCUCAGGGCAGUGGUUGCGUGAGUGUCCAGUAUCUCCACACUCCUCACAUGUCAUAUGAGAGUCGUAGAUGUGCAUCACUUCCUUCUUAUCUCCAGCUCUAUCGUCGAGCUUCUUCAUGAGCAGGUCUAGCUUUGCAGACAGCAUGUCUACCUCCUUCAGCUGAUGCAUACCUCCACCUCUGUUGCAUGUCUGGGUCCUCUCUUCAUUCCAGCUUUGGUUGGACGCCAUCUUCUCCACAAGAGCUGUGGCUUGUGAUAUAGUAAGUGAUAAGAAUGCUCCUCCAGCUGCAGCAUCCAUGGUUUCUCGGGCACUGUUGCCGAGCCCAUGAUAAAACGUCUGCAUCAAUAGCUAACUCUCCAUUCCAUGAUGGGGACAUUCUAGGAUGUAGUCUUGAAAGCGCUCCCAUGCUUCUGGAACAGAUUCAUCAUUUUGUUGCUGAAAACUUGUAAUCUUCCCACUGAGAGCAUUGGUCUUGCCCAUGGGAAAGAACUUUGCCAGGAAGUUUGUUGAGCAGAGUGUCCACGUAGUAUUCUUCUCCUUUGUAGCGUAGAACCACUGCUUCGCUCUUCCUAACAGUGAGAAUGGGAAGAGGCAAAGUAGUAUAGCAUCUUUGGAAACUCCUGAUAUGGUAAAUGUGUUGCAAAUCUCCAGGAAGUGUUGUAGAUGAGCACUAGCAUCUUCGUGUGCCUUCCCACAGAACUGGUUGGAUUGCACCAUGUUGAUAAGUCCAGGCUUGAGCUCAAAGUUGCAAUCGAUCUCUGCAGCAGGUCCAGUGCGGAUGUUGUCCGUAGUGGGAGCUGAGAACUCGCGGAUUAAUUUGUUCGCCAUGGCUUCGAACUCUGAAGACAAGUUCCGGUGAUCUUCUUGAUUGGAUGAAGCUUCUUGCUGAAGUGUUGAUGAUCUCUUCUUGAGCUUGGCUCUCGUCUUCUUGAAUAAUGCUUCGGGAUUGUCAACAAAAUUUCCUGGAAGAUGUCUUCUAUUCAUACAUUCCGCUGCAUAAGAUAAAAUAGAAAAAUAUCGGGGUAAAUCUGUAUGAGAGAAUAGAUAAGCUCAAUCAGAUUAGUGAUGUGAAUGAUAACUCAAAAUCUUUUAUUCCAUUCCUGAUUAGUAAUCAACCUUCCCCGGCAAUGGCUCCAAAAAUGCUUGUUGGGUAUUCUUAACAUCAUUACCAAAAGUAGACUAAGUUCUCUAAAUCUAGUAACGGUGCCAAAAAUGCCAAACCUAUCCCUCAUACCACUUAAGCCAAGUUGUCAUCCCCAGCAUGACAUGAGAGACGCGGUAUUGAAAUUUACAAUUGCUCUUCUAAAUAAAUAAUGAAUGGGAUCUGCAAGCGCACAGAUUAAUACCGAUGUAGCAUUUUAACCGGGAAGUAUUCCAGGUAUCGUUAUUUAUAUUUUUACCACUGGGAAGGGAUUAGCAAUCAUCAAUAUUGAUUACAGAAUAGAAUAUGAGAUUGAGCAUCUAUCAUUGCAUGUAUAAUUGAGAACAUUUAUCUAACUCUUUCAUAUAGGGGUAAGUGUCACAUAAAAGAUAUAUAAAGUAAUGAAUAGUGACAAAGAUAAUUAAUCUAAUCAUAACUAGCCACAUAAUAAAUAUGAUAAGCACCUCAAUUAGAUACUUUAGAAAGUCAUUAGCAUGGAAUUAGAACGAACUACAAGAAUAUUCCAUAAGUUAUUCUCAACUAUAUAGUCUAGCAUUAUCAUAAUUAGUGCAAGCAUACUUAGCAAUCAUUGCGUGACAAGACUACGCCCAUGCAUAGUGAUAUUAGCAAGGUAAAUGUGAAACAUAGCAAUCACUCCCCUGUAAUAAUGUUGCUCUGCCAGCCCAAUACACGAGAGGGGAACUAUAUAAGAAUCAAUGAAGCUGUCACUAUCAGAAACUACCCCACGAUCUGGCAUAUUGGGUACAAUCACAGAUAAAUACGGUAUAAGCACCACGCCUACACAAUAUCUAUCAUUUACCCAUGGAUCCGAUGGAUAAACGCUAUACGAUCCUAAGCAUGUAUAUAGAUCCAAUCUAACUAAGCCAAGUACAUAACUAUGAUAAACUAAGAAAAAUAUAAUCUUGAAUAUAAACAAGUAGAGCAAAGUCAUAAGCAAUAUAUUGAAGUAGAACAAAGUCAUAUUCAUAAUAUUGAAGAACAAAGAUAAUUAGAAAGCAAUUAGAAGCACAAUUAGAGAAUUACCAAGAAUCCUCUUGACAGAUCCGGAAACCAAUCGAAGAUUGACUCCUUCUAGUUCUAAUCCUAUGUAGCUAUACUAAUCUAGAUGUCUAAUUGAUGUGGUGGCUCUAAUCUUGAUCAGGGGCUUCUUCUCCCUUGAGGAAUAAUGAAUUAGGGUUGAGAGGCUCUCUCCUCCAGGGGCCAGGGGGUCUGGUUUUAUAGUCCCUUCAAGUGAAUAUGGGCCAUUGGAUCAAACCGACUUAGAUUGAACGGUUAUCCUUGAUCCUUUAGGUCGGUGGAGAUCUCCCACGAAGCAGAGUCCUGAUUGGACUCUCAGAGGGGGCGGGCGCCCAGGGGAACAGGGCGGGCGCCCUGCCCCUGGCCCCGUUUCGCCUCCACUUCGGUCUCGUGGCUUCUGGAGUCUUCUAGAUGUAAGAUAAUUGUGCGGCUUGUAAAUAUCUCUAUGUAAUCCCGACGUGUGGGCCUUUCUUCCGUAUUUCCUGAUAACCCCCUGCAGAAAUAGACAAAUACCGAAACUCGUGGAAUUCUAUUAGAUAGAACCCUAAGUCUAGAUGUUGAUUUCAUUUGGAUCCUUUUCUUGAUUUAUUUGAUAAUUAAAUUUGAUACUUAAGGACCGUCAACAGAGAGGUAGCACCUUAAAGCUUUAUUCGUCAAAGGUAGGGUUGAUGGGCAGCCGAUGACCAAGAUACUCGUUGAUGGUGGUGUUUAUGCCAUAUGCUGUCUAUCGGAAGCUUGGAAAAGGGGAUCAAGAUUUGACCAAGACCGAUAUGAUGUUAAAGGGUUUUUAGGGAAAUGUGUCUCCAGUCAAGGGAGCCAUAUGCGUUGAGUUGACCAUCGGCAGUAAGACCUUGCCGACAACUUUCUUUGUCAUCAGUGGAAAGGGUGCUUAUAAUUUACUGUUGGGAAGAGAUUGGAUUCAUGCCAAUUGUUGUAUCCCAUCUACAAUGCACCAAUGCUUGGUUCAGUGGGUAGGUGACAAGAUUGAAAUUGUCCCAGGAGAUUCUUCAUAUGUUAUUGCAUCGGCAGAGGCAGAUGCUUAUGAAAGGACCAGAUGCAUUUUAGGAGAGAUUUGGGAGAAGUAUUUUCUCAAAGUUGCCGAUUAUGAAAUUCCACCGAUCCAAGCAGUCGGUUCUGAUGAAGAGUCUGAAUGGAUAGGUUCGCCGAUGAUGGAAAACUAGGCCAGGGGUUUACAUCGACCGAUGGGAUGGUCAUCGGUUCGGCUCUAAUUCAUGAAUUUGAAGGGAAAGAACAUGUGAUUUAUUAUCUAUGUAGAAAACUAGUGGAUGCUGAAACAAGGUAUUCGGCAAUUGAAAAGUUAUGUUUAUGCUUAUACUUUUCUUGUAUCAAAUUAAGAUAUUACUUGCUAUCGGCCGAAUGUACUGUCAUAUGCAAAGAUGAUGUAGUUCGGUAUAUGCUAUCUAUGCCGAUUAUGAAUGGUAGGAUCGGCAAAUGGAUUUUGGCAUUGUUGGAAUUUGAUUUAUGUUAUGAAUUGGCUAAGGCAGUUUAAGGGCAGAUCAUGGCCGAUUUUGUAACUCAGCAUUGCGGUAUAGUGGAUGCCAUGGAAAUUGUUCCUUGGACGCUCUUCUUUGAUGGAUCGACAUGUGACCGAGGGGCAGGACUCGGCAUAGUACUAAUUUCUCCUCGAGGAAAAAUGUAUGAGUUUUCUUUGUCAAUUGUGGCCACAUCGAUGAAUAACCAAGCUGAGUAUCAAGCUCUGGUCAAAGGGUUGGAAUUAUUAAAGGAGGUUCAUGCCGACACCGUUGAAAUCUUCGGCGAUUCUAUGCUUGUUAUAAAUCAGUUGGUCGGGAAUUAUGAAUGCCGAAGCGAGGUUUUGAUAGCCUACUAUGAAAGGUGCAUACAACUGUUAAAUGAAUUCAAGGAUUUCCUGUUAAAGCAUAUUCCUCGGUUGCAUAAUGAAGAAGCUAACCGUUUGGCUCAGCAUGCCUUGGGAUAUCAACCCAUCUUAGACGUAUUGUCGGUAGUCAGUGUCGAUGAUUGGAGAAAGAAAAUUAUUGAUUGUCUAAAGGAUCCAUCUAAGAAAGUCGAGAGGCAUGUCAAGUUUCAAGCCACAAAGUAUGUCCUCCUUGAAGAAGAAUUGUAUUAUCGGACAAUAGAUGGAGUUUUGCUCAAAUGUUUUGUAACAAAACCAGCCAUAUUAUAAGAGAUUAAGCCUAAUGGUGACCAUUUGCACAGUCGAACCAUCGAGCUUAAGCCCAUAUAAUCCUGUUAGGCCGUGAAAUCUCGAAGGAUUUCAAACCACAAUUCGUACAUACAGCCAAGAUCGUAAUAAGUUCAGCGGUCACCAUUCACAAUUACAUCCAUUUUGCAAUAUUCAUCACGUACAUCAAAGUUACUUAAAGUUAUUACAAACUAAGUUCUCAAGUAGCGGAAGCUUCAUAGUUUUAAAAUAACACACACACAUUUAGUCUGAUACAGUGCCAUUGUUGAUCAUUCCCACAAAAGCAAAAGAGGAGGUAGAGUGACCAUCGCCCUUGGUCUAGUCAUCACCCAUCGCUGGGUACAAGCAGUGAAUGCAAUAACCAUAAUACAUCUGCCCAUCUGCAAAACAACAUGGGAAUAGAACCCUGAGUACGAGAAUGUACUCAGCUAGACUUACCCGUCAUAAACCAAAAGUAAAAUACUCUUCAAGGAUCAUGAAGGCUGUAUAGUGGGGUAGCUCAAACCUUUUUGCGUAAAAGCGUUACCCAACUAGAAGUAUAUCCUAACAUUUACCCCUUUUUAUUUAAUUAGCUCAGGUUAGGUAUUAUUACCUAUCAUCUAGGUUUGCACCUGAGCGAUUGCAAGCAAUUGUUGUGAUACGAUAGUACCUUAUCAUAGCAUUCAUGAUUCAUUAUUUAUCAUAACCCAAGUGUUCCAUAGUCCUUACUACGAGGACAGGGCUCAUGUCAAGUGCUCACUAUCCAGGAGCGAUGGCGAUUUGAAUCGAUUUCUGACCAGCAGGCGAGUUAUUCCCCACACAAACCACACUCACUAAUCAAGUGAGCUACAGAUCACCAUAUCACAGGUUCGGCAGGCACCGCCAGUACCCGAGGCCUGUUUCGGAGACCAAGGUAUCUAAGGUAUACCAAGGUUGCGCGCCACGCCCUCGUCGUUCUCCUCAACCAUCACCAAUACAGCGCAUGGCGGCUCGACUCCCGGCCCGGAUAGUGUUUAGGCUUCACGGUCAGAACGAAUUAUCCUUCCAGCUAAGUGUGGGGCAUGCGUUCAACAUGAUAAGAGGGCCGUCAACGUUCGGUCCUUAAUUGACACACUCAGGGGCACUAUGGUCAACUCCACCAUAAGACCCUACCCGGUCUCAAGUUCAUUCCCACAAUUGGUAACUUUUCCUCAUAGCAUUGACAGCUAAUCAAACAGGUGUCCACCUAUAUCUCGUAGGUGACAGGAAAUCACCUGACUUCUACGGUGCUAAGCAAGCUAAGCAUAGACUCCGAGCCUAUCUACAUAAGACAAGGUAGAUAAAUAGGUGGUAAUAUCAAGAAGUAUGCAUCAACUGUAUCAAGCAAUUCCUAUCACUUAAAUGCAACAUAGUAGAACAAUCAUAAUAUAUCAAUUAAGAUAGCGAGAAUAGGGAGACUUAGAAUGCUCCGGGGCUUGCCUUUCUCAAACGUGCUAGGCUUGUGGUCCGGGCACUCCUGCAGCUCUCCUUCCGGCUCGAGUCCUCCCGGAAGUUCCUGCUCCUAGGUCUCCUCCUGCUCCUCGGGUCCCACCUCGUUCUCCUGCGAGCCUGUAUGAUGCAUGUGUGCUCAUGAGUGGAGUGCGAGAUGCCCGGGGUGCAAUGCUUAUGCAAGUGGGUACCGGAUGAUCAUGACAUGGUGCAUAGAUGACAUAGGUGAUUAUUUCUACAAGGUAGUCAACAUCAUCCAAGAACGUGUAUUCAAAGUAAGCAUAUAUUGCAUUCUCUUCUACAAGUUGUGUUCAUGCUUAACCAGCAAGCUGACAUGAUGCUUCAAAGAUACACCAAACACCCUUUAUUCCAUUUAACUUAUCCACAACAAUUCAUAAAUUAUUUUAAUUAUUAUUAGACCUACAACAGUAGCAUAUACUUCUGAUCAUCAAUAAAUUCCACAAAAAUUACAGUAGAUUACUAGUCAAUCAUAAAGUCUACCAUAAAUUUUCAUAAUAUUUGGACACUUAUUUGGCCUACAAAAAUCACAAGAUUACUCAAUAUAAAUAAGUAUAAAUACCCUACUGUUGACCAAGUGUCAAACAACAGAUUUCAUAUUUUUAUAAAUUACUUACUAACACAGGAAACACCACCAAAAAUUUCCAAAUUAAUUGCAUGCUCCAAAUAUUUAUUAAAAAUCAUAAACUACUGCCAUACAAGCAAUUAAAUCAUUACAAAUUAAUUUAUACAGCAAAUAAUAUAUGACAUAUUUUUCCCAGAGGCUAAUCAUCCAUGCAAAGCUAACAAAACAAGUUUCACAUUUUUCUGAGUUAUAUUCUAAUUACUAUGCAUUUUCUAAAUAUCAGCAAAAACAUGGAUUAAAUAUAUUUGUACAGAAAAGUUGUUCCAACAUGACAUGCAAUUACACCAGAUGGUAGAUCUAGAAUUAUAGAACACACCAAAAUUUAUUUCACCAAUUUUGGAGCCAUGGAUCUCAAGAUAUAGAUUUAAUACCAUUUAAAUCGUUUUCUGGAAAACAUUUUCUGUAAAUUCAUUUCAAAUGCGUAUCGAAAAAUGCUAGGAGCACCCAGAUCUCUACCCGCCUCGGUCCCCUUGCGACUGAUAGUGGGCCCCCGACCCCACUAGUCAGCGUGACCGAGAGGGAGAGCACCUCCGACGAGCAGAUCUCGUCGGCGGUGAGGUCUCCGGCCACGGGGUGAGCACCAACGUGCUCUCCGCAGCGAGGUACACCCGAAGGUACCCUUGGUUUGGCCGGAGGACGACAGGAGCACCCCUGCUAGCGUGCUUGGCGGCACGGCGGCGCUGCUCGCCGUGGCCAGGCCACUCUGGCGGGGUAGAGCGUGCGCGGGGGAUCGUCCGAGCUUCCUCACCAUGUCCCGAACCUAACGCACUCAAGAGCAAGUGAAACGGGGCAGAAAUGGGAGGGUUUCGACGCGGCGGAGCGCUCUGACGAGAUCGAGGGAACUCGGCGAGAGAUUGCGGGCUCGCGGGUGGCUUUCACCUUGGUAGAGCGUGCGCAAGGGCUUACCACGGCGAAGGCGAGCACGGCGGUGGUCUUGGCGCGGAGAAUGGCUCACUGGCGCGGCCGGCGGCGAGCGGCGGAGCUCGGCCAGCAAUGGCACCGCGGCGGUCGCUGCUGCGGCUGCACUCGCGAGCGGAGAUGGAGAGGGAGCGGGGAGGGGACAGAAUGGAGCGUCUGGGGGCGCGGGUUGGCGUCUCGACCGGGUUAAGCCGGUCGGCCGGGCGGCCGCGUCCACGACGCCGGCGUACGGCCGCCACGUGGCCGGCGCCAGGUGGAGCGAGGCGGGCACAUCCGCACGCGGGAGAGGGGAGGGGGAGCUGGGCCGCGCGGCUGAGCGGGCCGAAAGGCAGGCGGGUCGGCCCAGCAGCGCCUGCCCCCUUCUUCUUUUUUUUAAUUUUUUUUCUCAAUUCUUUUUCCAAAUUCAUUUUGGCUAAUUUAAAACCUUUUCUAGCUUUAUCCCCAAAAACAAAAGUUGUCACAAAUAAAAAGUUCUACAACUUUGCUUCAAGUUGAAACCCCAAAUUCAAAAUUGAAUUUGAAAUACAACUCAAAACUAGCUAUAGGUUUUUAAAUGAAUUCAUUUUGGGGAUUUUUGUAUAAAAUGCAUUUUCUCAAUUUCUAUAGCUCCAAAAACUUCACAAAAUUACUCUUAAUUAUUCUAAAACAUAUUUCAACCUAUUUUGGUCAACACAAGAAAUUUGGAAACAAGCAUACUAUUUUUAUCAUAUUUAAAUCAUGUAACAUAAGCACAUAAAAUCAUACUUGAAUUAAUGCUAUGCUCAUGUGAUGCUAUGCUUGAUGAGAAUGCUUAUGAGACUUAAGUGCAUUCUUAACACCUAGGGUGUUACAGCCCUUCCCCCCUUAGGGAAAUCUCGUCCCGAUAUUUCGGGUUACUAACCAUUUCUUAUGAAAUUUUGGGUAAACGGUUUUUAGGUAAUCCUCGGUUUCCCAGGUGGCAUCUCUAUCAUCGUGAUGACUCCACACCACCUUGUAAGUUUUGACAAUUUUGUUCCGCGUUACCCGCUCUUUGGUAUCAACGAUACCCACCGGUUGCUCUUUAUAUUCCAAAUCUGCCUUUAUCUUAAUUCCCCGAGGUUCAAUCCUCUAUUCGGGUACUUUCAAACAUUUCCUAAGUUGGGACACAUGAAAAAUUGGAAAGAUUGAGCUCAACUCUUCAUGUAACUGAAUCUUGUAGGCCACAGGGCCUUUCUGUUCUAGUAUCUGAUACGGUCCCACAUACCUGGGUGCAAGCUUGCUUCUAACUCAGAAACGCUGAACCUUCUUCACUGGCCUAACCUUGAGGUAAACCUAGUCACCCACAUUAAACUCGAGCGGCCUUCUUCUCUUGUCGGCAAAACUUUUCUGUCGUGAUUGUGCGGCUCGCAUAUGUUGUUGUAUGGUCUGCACCUUCUUCUCAACCUCGUUCACGAAGUCGAUACCAUAGUAUCAUCUUUCACCGGGUUCGACCCAGUUUAACAGAGCCCUGCACUUUCGACCAUACAAAACUUCGAACGGAGCCAUCUUGAUACUCUCUUGAUAGCUAUUGUUGUAAGAGAAUUCAGCCAAAGGUAACCACGACUCUCAGCAUAUCCUCGAGUACUUGAUUGAGUCUUUCCGUUUGACCCGAAGUUUGGGGAUGAUACGCUGUGCUUCUUACCAGACUAGUCCCCAAACUCUUAUGCAUUCGCUCCCAAAAGUGAGCGGUGAACUGCGGUCCUCUAUCUGAUAUGAUGGUCUUGGGAAUACCAUGCAGCUUGACAAUCUCAGCUAGAUACAAAUCAGCAUACUCGGGAGGUCUGUAACGAGUCUUAACAAGAAUGAAAUGAGCCGUCUUGGUCAAUCGAUCUAUGAUUACCCAAAUCGAGUCAUUCCCCUUUCAUGUAGUCGGCAGACCAGUGAUGAAGUCCAUACUGACCUCUUCCCACUUCCACUCUGGAACCGACAACGGUUGCAACAGCCCUGUAGGUUUCAUGUGUAUAGCUUUGACUCUGCAACACGUGUCACAACGGGCCACAUAUGCUGCUAUCUCUUUCUUCAUUUUGGUCCACCAAAAGUGAGACCUCAGGUCUUGAUACAUCGUACUACUACCAGGAUGGAUAGAAAGCUUUGAGAGAUGUGCUUCAUCCAUGAUCCGACUCUUUGGUUCUCGAUUCUUUGGAACUACCAACCGGUGCUGAAUCCACAACACACCUUUUUCAUCAACUCGAAACUGAGUCUUUGGGUCAAUUUUGAUCUUCUCUUUGAUGUGAAAAAUACCGUUAUCUAUUUUCUGACCUUCGAUGACUUGACUUUCAAGUGAACAACUGAGCUGUAUGUGACAUAACACUUCAGGAUGCAUGAGAUUGAAACCGUCUUCAAACAGAGGUUGAACCACUUGAUAGUGUGGUUUGCGACUCAAGGCGUCUGCUACCACAUUAGCCUUGCCAGGGUGAUAGUGGACCUCCAGAUCGUAAUCCUUGAUCAGCUCUAACCAUCUUCGCUGCCUCAUAUUCAGCUCGGACUGAGUGAAGAUGUACUUCAGGCUUUUAUGAUCUGUGUAGAUAUGGCACUUGUUUCCCAGCAAAUAAUGCCUCCAGAUCUUCAGAGCGUGCACUACCGCUGCUAGCUCGAGGUCGUGAGUCAGAUAGUUGACUUCGUGCUUUCUUAACUGUCAUGAAGCAUAAGCUAUAACUCUGCCUUCUUGCAUCAGCACACAUCCUAAACCACUUUUCGAUGCGUCACAGAACACAUCAAAAGGCUUCUCGAUAUUUGGUUGUGCCAGAACAGGAGCGGUGGUCAGCAACUUUUGCAAGGUGCGGAAGCCUACUUCACACCCUUCUGUCCAAAGAAACUUAUGAUCUUUUUGUAGCAAACUGGUCACUGGCUUGGCAAUCUUGGAGAAUUCGGGUAUGAAACGAUGAUAAUACCCGGCUAGACCCAGAAAGCUUCGAUCUUCCGAGACAGAAGUUGGUGUCCUCUAGUCCAUGACUUCCUGUACCUUUGACGGAUCCACAACAAUCCCUUCUUCUGAUAGAAUGUGCCCGAGGAAAGGAACUUUCUUCAACCAGAACUCACACUUGCUGAACUUUGCAUACAGCUGAUGUUCUCGCAGUCGUGUUAGCACAACUCUCAGAUGCUCCGCAUGAUCUUGCUCAUUCUCUGAAUAGUCCAGAAUGUCAUUGAUGAACACCACAACAAUCUUGUCUAACUCUGGCAUAAAAACAGAGUUCAUCAGAUACAUAAAGUAUGCAGGAGCGUUCGUCAAUCUAAAGGACAUGACAAGAUACUCAUACAACCCAUAUCUGGUGGAGAAAGCAGUCUUCGGUAUAUCUUGCGGGCGGAUCUUGAUUCGGUGAUACCCGGACCUCAAGUCUAUCCUAGAGAACACCUUUGCCUUGGACAACUGAUAAAACAAGAUAUCAAUCCUUGGCAAGGGAUACUUAUUCUUAAUUGUUACCGCAUUGAGUGGACGAUAGUCCACGCACAUGCGCAACGAUUGAUCCUUCUUUUUCACAAACAACGCCGGACAACCCCAUUCCGACGAACUUGGCCGGAUGAAACCUUUAUCCAGCAACUCAUUCAGUUGAGUCUUCAAUUCAGCGAGCUCGUUAGGCGGCAUCCAGUACGGCCUUCUAGAGAUCGGUGCUGUACCUGGUAUGAACUCUAUUGCAAACUCUACUUCCCUAUCCGGGGGAAGUCCUGGCAACUCCUCCAGAAAAACAUCAGGGAACUUGCAGACCACUGGGAUUUGUGGCAAAGGAACUAUAUGAGUGGCACAAGAGAUGCUUGCGAAGUCAAACCGACGAGGUAGAGGUACUUGAAAGGAACCACUACCUUGGGGUUCUUUGAGGGAUAACACCCUUUUUCCAACAUCUAUGACAGCACCCCACUCCUUCAUCCAGUUCAUGCCCAUGAUAACAUCCAAGACUAACCCUGGCAUGACUACCAGAUUUACUCAAAACACACGGUUACUUAUAUCCAGGGUUGCCCCUCGGACCACUCUAUUUGUCAACACAUCUGCCCCUGCUAAGCUGAUGCGAUAGCCAUAACCCAGAUCUGUAACUGCUUGGUCAUGCUUUUGUGCAAAUGCUUGACUCAUGAAUGAAUGCGAUGAUCCAGAAUCAAACAAAACAACUGCAAGAUGUUGGUUGAUAGGAAACAUACCAGCUGUUACCGGUUCUCCUUCUGGGAUCUCCUCUAUCGAGGUAUGGUGCACACGGGCUGGGUAGGUUGCCUGCUGCUUCUUGGGGUAGGGGCAUUCUUUAGCAAAGUGCCCCAUCUUGUGGCAGUUAUAGCACGGCCCCUUGGUCAUGUUGUUGGCAGUGGGUGCUGCAGCUUGAUUCGCCUUAGGCUUGGCGGGAGCUAUUGCUACCUUGUACGGCUUCUGCUGUGUCAGAUGUCCUGUGUUCCUUCUCUGCGGCGGUCGGAACCUAGCACCUAGGGUAGGACAACGAUAUUGCUGACGCAUUGCCACUGGUGCCCUGGACUGAGACGAUCCGGCUUCAAAAGCCCUCUUGCAUGACUUGGAUGCCCUAUAGUUGUUAUUAUUGUUCUCCUGAGUCAGACAGUCACUGAUGUAGGCAAUGAAAGUAGCCCGGGCCCCGGUACCCAUUGUCUUCAGCAUCUUUGGGCUCAAGCCUCUCUAGAAACUAGCAAUCUUCUUGACCUCCGUGUUCACAAACUCAGGAGCGUAACGAGCGAGAUUGUUAAAAGUGUGCAGAUACUCCUUCACAGACUUGGUCCCCUGAGAUAGCUUCAUGAACUCUCCAACCUUUAUUUCCACCACACCCGGAGGAAUAUAAUUCCCCCAAAAGGCUGUGGUGAAGCAGUUCUAGGUGAUCGGGGUCCCCUCUGGGUAGGUGGUGCGAUGAUGGGACCACCAUAUCCCAGCAGGCCCCUACAACUGAUGUGCUACAUACUCUGCCUUGAGCUCUUCGGUCAUUCGAAGGAGACGGAACUUCUACUCCAUGGUGUUAAUCCAUUCAUCGGCCUCAAGUGGUUCCAGAGCCUCCUUGAAGACCGGUGGUUUGGUAUCCACGAAGUCCUUGAAAGAGCUGUUCUGAUUUACUUCACGGCCGCCUUGGUUAUCCCCACGGCGGGUGUUGUUUGUGAUAUUGCGCAAGGCUUCUUCCAUGUUGUGCUACAUCUGCUCCGUGUUGCGUUGGCUGCCCAGAAACUGCACGAAAAACACGUCCGCAAUGUACGGAGGAGGAGGUGGUGGUGGCGGUGAUGGUGCUCUCUCCUCAUUCCUGUGAGCCCCACCUCCGGUGGAACCUACUCCAAGACCGGGGUUGGUGUUACCCCUGCCACGCGUUUGCAGCAUCUACAUGUCCCAAUGAUAAGUAGUCGUUAGGAGUUGCUAUCAAUGGGUAGACAUAUAUAGAAUCAUACCGUACUGAAUUUACUAAGGAGAAUAAAUUCGCACAAUAAACAGAGGCACAACAAUUCAUCAUCCACACACAACAUCACUAACGGAUUACUUAACAUUUGAGCAACAAGGUUCACAUACAUCCAAAAUUGCCAGCAUACAUACACUGGACUUUCAGCGUUAGCACAGCUCAACACAUAGAGUCUUACACAACAACGAUCCAACAGAUUACAAGACAUGCCAUGCAACAACAACAGCAAAAGAAAGAGGACUAGCUCUAGAGCCCUAACAUCUACUCGCUAUGGUCACUGUCCAUGCCGGAGCCUUCCUCGUCCUCAUCUCCACUAGCGGCUGCCUCCAUCUCUGGAUCCUCAUCCAUCUCAUCCUCAUAAUCUAACUCAGCUGCUCCAGGCAGGUGGUGAGGGUGGAGCUGGUUAUCUAGCUGGUGGAUCUCCUCAUGUAGGUUCUCAUUGUACUCCUUAGCAUUAGCUAGGUGCUGCUCAAGCUAUAGCUGUUGGGCCCUCAAGGUGUCCACUGUUGGCGGUCCUUAAGUACCAAAUAUAUUCAUCAAAUAAAUAAAGAAAAGGAUCCAAAUACAACCAACACCCAAACUUAGGGUUUUAUCUGACAGAAUUCCAUGAGUUUUGGUGUUUGUCUAUUUUUGCAGGGGGUUAUCAGGAAAUAUGGAGGAAAGGCCCACAUGUCGGGUUUACAUAGAGAUAUUAACGUGCCGCGCAAUUUUCUAUCAUCUAGAAGACCCCGGAAGCCACGAGAACGAACGGGAAGGCAAUCGGGCCCGGGGGCAGGGCGCCCACCCUGAGUUAGAGUCCAAUCAGGACCCGUCUCGCGGAUUACGCUCCACUGACCUAAAGGAUCAAGGAUAACCAUUCAAUCAAUGUCGGUUUGAUCCGACAGCCCAGAUUCACUUGAGGGGACUAUAUAAGCAGACCCCUUGGCCCCUAGAGGAGAACAAGUUCGUUGUGGAGGAGAACAAGUUCAUUGUCGGUUCUUCCUCCGGUUGUACUUCGCAAUGAUCAAGUUCUAAUCAAGCUUGCUCAUGGGAUGACUCUGGUAAUCUACUUCUAUUUCAUUAUGCAAUUACUAUUCAUGUAUGUUCUGGUUCACAACUCUUUUGAGUACUUUUAAUCUAUAGGACCCUAUAGGUUAGAGUUGUAGUAUAGGUGUAAGCGUGGUGCUUAGACCUAGAUUACUUGUGGAUAUCCCCUGUCUAGCUGGAUCGUGUGGUAGGCCGCGUAGGUGACAGUUACGUUGGUCCCCUGUAAUCCACCUCCUGUUAGCAGGACGGGUAGGGUUUAUCGGCCUAUGGAUAAGCAUCCUUUGUGGUGUAUUCUUAUCACGUGGUUCGUCCCAGACAUAGACAUACCCCUUUGAAGUAGAGAAACCAUAGUUAUCCUCUCUAUUCUCCUACCAUCGCCCAUAUAUUAGAUUGCUCUACUCUCUAUUCCCAUAUUAUCACCCAUUGUUAUAUUACCUUUAAUAUUGUUCUUAUUCAAUUCUACCAUCUUUCCUAUUUACACCUACCUAUCUAUCUAGGUUAAGUUAGAACGUAGAUCAGUUCUCCCGUUUCCCUGGGGAUACGAUAAAACCUUUAAUCGGGUAAAAGCUACAACAGUAUCCGUGCGCUUGCGGAUUUAUCUGUGUGCGUAUAAAUACCACAGUACACUCUAGUGCCAUGUUGGGGAUGACAACCUAGUAUUCAAGUGGUGUUAGCAAGUGUCAACAGCCUCCUCAUGCCAGGCUUCAUUCCUCUGACCAAGCACAUGAACUAGGAUGCGCUCGCAGUUCCUGUGAGCGGUGGUCACCGUGUCCCUCUGCUCCCUCACUGCGAGCAGAUCCUGACUCAGCUCACUGUUCUUCUAGACUGCCUGGUCCCUCUCUAGAGUCACACAGGCCAACUCUACCUGCAGCCUCCCAACCUCACUAUCAAACUCACGCUGUAGCUGGCGCUUCUCGUCCUGAACUGUGAGAAGAGACCCAGACAAGCGUCCCAAACAACGCCCUAGACCCCCAUAGGUCUUCAUCAAGGCAAACAUAGCACUCAUAGCUGCGCUGUCACUAUGCUGAUCCUCAUCUACACUCCUCUCUAGAGCAUUCACCUCAGACUGAUCCCACACCGAAGUGUAGGGGUCACCCCGGGGAAACACCCUAGCGAAGGUAUGGGCCAGCUCCUGCGGAAACCUCUCCAUGAUAUCCCUUAGAACCGCAAAAGCAGCCCUGCUGGCACCCUAGAAAGGUGUGGUACCUCGGGACUCGUACACCCAGCCACCCCAGGCAGGGUCACCUCCACUAGUAGGGAUCACUGCCUCAAUCCCCACCAGGGUCCCGUCACCAAGCUGCUCCUUGUUCCAAUAGUAACGAGGUUCCCUCCUGUUGACGGUCCUUAAGUAUCAAAUUUAAUUAUCAAAUAAACAAAGAAAAGGAUCCAAAUGAAAUCAACAUCUAGACUUAGGGUUUUAUCUGACAGAAUUCCACGAGUUUUGGUGUUUGUCUAUUUCUGUAGGGGGUUAUCAGGAAAUAUGGAAGAAAGGCCCACACGUCGGGAUUACAUAGAGAUAUUAAUGUGCCGUGCAAUUAUCUUGCAUCUAGAAGACUCCAGAAGCCACGGGAAGCAAGCGAAGGCCGAACGGGGCCAGAGGCAGGGCACCCGCCCUCCUGCCCUAGGCGCCCGCCCUGACUUGGAGGCCAAUCAGGACUCUGUUUCGAGGGAGAUCUCCACCGACCUAAAGGAUCAAGGAUAACCGUUCAAUCUAUGUCAGUUUGAUCCAACGGCCCAUAUUCAAUUGAAGGGACUAUAAAACCAGACCCCCUAGCCCCUGGAGGAGAGAGCCUCUCAACCCUAAUUCAUUAUUCUCAAGGGAGAAGAAGCCUCUGAUCAAGAUUAGAGCCACCACAUCAAUUAGACAUCUAGAUUAGCAUAGCUACAUAGGAUUAGAACUAGAAGGAGUCAAUCUUCGAUUGGUUUUCGGAUCUGUCAAGAGGAUUCUUGGUAAUUUUCUAAUUGUGCUUCUAAUUGUUCUUCUAAUUAUCUUUGUUCUUCAAUAUUAUGAAUAGGACUUUGUUCUACUUCAAUAUAUUGCUUAUGACUUUGCACUACUUUCUUAUAUUCAAGAUUAUAUUGUUCUUAGUUUAUCAUAGUUAUGUACUUGGCUUAGUCAGAUUGGAUCUAUAUACAUGCUUAGGAUCGUAUAGCGUUUAUCCAUCGGAUCCAUGGGUAAAAGAUAGAUAUUGUGUAGGCGUGGUGCUUAUACUGUAUUUAUCUGCGAUUGUACCCAAUAUGCCAGAUCGUGGGGUAGUUCGUGAUAGUGACAGCUUCAUUGAUUCUUAUAUAGUCCCCCUGUCGUGUAUUGGGCUGGCAGAGCAAUAUUAUUAUAGGGGAGUGAUUGCUAUGUUUCUUAUAUUCCUUGCUAAUAUCACUAUGCAUGGGCGUAGUCUUGUCUCACAAUGAUUGCUAAGUAUGCUUGCACUAACUAUGAUAAUGCUAGACUAUAUAGUUGAGAAUAACUUAGGAAAUAUUCUUGUAGUUCGUUCUAAUUCCAUGCUAAUGACUUUCUAGAGUAUCUAAUUGAGGUGCUUAUCAUAUUUAUAUGUGGCUGAUCAGAUUAAUUAUCUUUGUCACUAUUCAUUAUUUCAUAUAUCUUUUAUGUGACACUUACCCCUGUAUAAAAGAGUUAGAUAAAUGUUAUCAAUUAUACAUGCAAUGAUAGAUACUCAAUCUCAUAUUCUAUUCUGUAAUCAAUAUUGAUGAUUGUUAAUCCCUUCCCUGUGGUAAAAAUAUAAAUAACGAUACCUGGAAUACUUUCCGGUUAAAAUGCUACAUCGGUAUUAAUUUGUGCGCUUGCAGAUCCCAUUUAUUAUUUAUUUAGCAGAGCAAUUGCAUAUUUCAAUACCGCGUCUCUCAUGUCAUGCUGGGGAUGACAACUUGGCUUAAGUGGUAUGAGGGAUAGGUUUGGCAUUUUUGGCACUGUUACUAGAAUUAGAAAACUAAGUCUACUUUUGGUAAUGAUGUUAAGAAUACCCAACAAGCAUUUUUGACGCUGUUGCCGGGGAAGGUUAAUUACUAAUCAGGAAUGAAUAAAGGAUUUUGAGUUAUCAUUCGCAUCACUAAUAUGAUUGAGCUUAUCUAUUCUCUCAUACAGUUUUACCCCGAUAUUUUCUAUUUUAUCUUAUGUAGGGGAAUGUAUGAAUAGAAGACAUCUUCCAGGAAAUUUUGUUGACAAUCCCGAAGCGUUAUUCAGAAGAACUAGAGCCAAGCUCAAGAAGAGAUCAUCAACACUUCAGCAAGAAGCUUCAUCCAAUCAAGAAGAUCACCGGAACUUGUCUUCAGAAUUCGAAGCCAUGGCGAACAAAUCGAUCCGCGAGUUCUCAGCUCCCACUAAGGACAACAUCCGCACUGGACCUGCUGCAGAGAUCGAUGGCAACUUUGAGCUCAAGCCUGGACUAAUCAACAUGGUGCAAUCCAACCAGUUCUGUGGGAAGGCACACGAAGAUGCUAGUGCUCAUCUCGAACACUUCCUGGAGAUUUGCAACACAUUCACCAUAUCAGGAGUUUCCAAAGAUGCUAUACUACUUCGCCUCUUCCCAUUCUCACUGUUAGGAAGAGCGAAGUAGUGGUUUUACGCUACAAAGGAGAAGAAUACUACAUGGGCACUCUGCUCAACAAACUUCCUGGCAAAGUUCUUUCCCAUGGGCAAGACCAAUGCUCUCCGUGGGAGGAUUACAAGUUUUCAGCAACAAAAUGAUGAAUCUGUUCCAGAAGCAUGGGAGCGCUUUCAAGACUAUAUCCUAGAAUAUCCCCAUCAUGGAAUGGAGAGUUGGCUACUAACGCAGACAUUUUAUCAUGGGCUCGGCAAUAGUGCUUGAGAAACCAUGGAUGCUACAGCUGGACGAGCAUUCUUAUCACUCACCAUACCGCAAGCCACAACACUUGUAGAGAAGAUGGCGUCCAACCAAGGCUGGAAUGAAGAGAGGACCCAGACACGCAAGAGAGGUGGAGGUAUGCAUCAGCUCAAGGAGGCAGACAUGUUGUCUGCAAAGCUAGACCUCCUCAUGAAGAAGCUCGAUGAUAAAGCUGGAGACAAGAAAGAAGUUAUGCACAUCUACGACUCUCACAUGACUUGUGAGGAGUGUGGAGACACUGGACACUCAGGCAAUCACUGCCCUAAGAUGCUUGAGGAUGUGAACUACAUCAACAAUAACAACAACAACUACUACAACCGUCCUCAACAAAAUCAAGGUUGGAAUCAACAGAGGCCUAACUACUCAGGAUUAGAAUCUGCAAAUCUUGUAGACAUGUUUGAUGCAGGUAAUAACUAGAGUAACCCCGUCACUGAAUUCACUACUGACCUUCUGCCGGUCAAGAGAGGCGAUCCAGGACGCCCCGUCAUCCCGAUCUCCAUCGGCAUGGUGGACUUUCCAGAAGCACUCUGUGACUUUGGCUCUAGCGUCAACAUUAUGCCCAGGGUACUCUAUGAGAAUUUUUUUACAUAUCCUUUAUUAGAAACAACAAUGUGUUUGCAAUUUGCAGAUCAGACGAUAAGUUUUCCAAAAGGAAUAUUGAAGAACCUUUGUGUCCGAGUUGGUACCUUAUAUGCCCCAGCAGACUUCGUGGUGAUAGAGACCGGUAAUGAUGAGAGGGCACCCAUCAUCUUAGGGGGGCCAUUCUUGAACACCUCGGGAGCUGUCAUCUACGCCAGUGCUGCCAAGAUCAGUUUCUACAUCAAAGGGAGGAAGGAGACGUUUUUCUUCAGGAACAAGACUACACAAAUCCCAGAUCAAUCCAGACGUGAAUCAAGGAAGAGGACCAACAGGAGGAACAGGAACAAGGAAGUGUGGACUGAGUCAGCUAAGAUGGUCACUGCAGUUCAUGGUGGUCAAGAUCAUCAACUUAAGUCACCGUUUUUGACCAAGAAGGACGACCCAGGAAUGCCAAGCAUCUACUGCUCCAUAAAUGGAUACAGCUUCUAUAAGACGUUUUGCGACACCGGAUCAGGCAUCAACAUAAUGGCCGCAGUCACCUAUCAGCUCUUGUUCGGAACCAUUCCCCUAAGACCAACAUACAUUCAGCUCCAGAUGGUAGAUCAGACAUUUCGAGAAGUUAAAGGAACAGUAACUGAUGUCCUAGUCGAAAUAGACGGAUAAUUUUGUCUACAUAGACUUUCAAGUUAUUGACAUGGGAGAAGAUGAGUACGAUCCACCCAUCAUCCUUGGAAGACCGUUUCUCAACACCGUUAAAGCAAUUAUCUACAUUGGAACCGGAGAAGUCCAUAUGCACUUCCCCUCAGAGAAGGUACGCCGUUAUUUUAUUGACCCGGACUAUAUCGUUGAAGAAUCUAAGCAGGUAAGAAAACGACGCAUCCGCAACUAGAGGAGGCAGAUCAUCAAGGACGGAUGGGCAGACUAUGAAGGAGAAGUUGUAAGGUCAGAAGACGUACAGUUUAAACAGAAUUAUCCAGAGGAGAUCGUAGCACUGAGUCAGGUAUGGGAAGAGAAGAUAACUAUACAUGAAGAAGAGGCGCCGCCGGAAGUACCGACUCCGCCACCUAACGAAUCCCAGGACAACUGAGAAAGACAGAAAGACGAAAGUCCUGUUCGGAGGACUUAAAAACACCGAACGCCUCGCCAAGAGGUAAACUUGGUAGUUAUCUUUUUCCUUUCAAUUAUCUAAAAUAGCUUGCUUAGUUCAUACUAUCCGAAAAAGAAAAUAAAAAUGUGAAAAAUAGUAAGCCCCAUGUGAGUAUACGAGUGGCAUAAAACCCAUAAGUACAUUCACUAUGGUGGCAUAAAAAUAAAAUAAAUAUUUCUUUUCUGCUUUAUAAAACGAAAAUAUAAAAAACUGGGAGUAAUAUUUAUAAAGGAGUCUCAACAUGAUAAAGGCUAGAUAUUUAUGCUAACACUUAAUCAGUUCCACAAGAUUUGUUGUCUAUUUGAGCUCCACAGAAUUUAAGAAUCAAGAAGACUAGCAGACGGAGGACAUUCUAAUCACUGUCAGAAUGCUGCUGACUUUCAAAUACACCUCUGCCACCUGCUAGCUACAUCAAGGGAAAUUACGUCAAAAUUCAGCUUGGGGGAGAGCACCCCCAUUUAUUCCGAUAAGUAUUUCUAUCUAUCUUUAUACUUAUACUAUAUUAAAAUAUAACUAUGGAAAACCAAAUAAAGAUGUUAUGCUUAUAUAUAUAUCUUUUGCUUAGUGUGUUUAAUAAAUAAAUAAAGUGGCUAUGCUAAUCUGUAUCUAAAUAAAACUCUAGCAUGGAUAUGAUGAAUAGUUGCUCUAUCUAAUUUUCAAAUUUGAAGUUCUCUCUCAAGUUUAGACAUAACUGUUAUAAUUUAAAGCUUGCUCUAGACCUAAACUUGUGGGAUGAAAACUUGAUCUGAAGUCUAAGUUGUUAACAGAUAUGAUAUAGGAAGGUUGAGCUGCAGUUUAUCUGUUCCUAGAGAUGCUAGAAUUCUGGAGAAUUUUAUCUUUUAAAAAAUCUUUAAAAUAAUACAUGAUGAGUUCCUGUAUGAUGAGAGUUUAAAUUCCUACCACAGCCAUAUAUACAUGCUUGCUAGACUUUGAGCCAUACAUUUACUAUUUACUGCUUAUGAGCAUUGAGUGUGGUCAAGCUGUGUAGACCCUUAGAAGCUUGUCAUGUGGUUAAAUCAAGAUUCACUUGCACGUUCACUCAUAUAUGCUACUUCUACUCCGGAAGUACCAUCCACAUAUAUCCAUCCAUUUCCAUCUUCAGAAUCACCUAAAAAUAUUCUACUCCUAAUCCGGGAGAGAAUAGCCAAAAAUAUCUUUGUUUUUCCUUGUGAAAUAAAUGCUCAAAUUAUCUUGUUACUACCACUUGCUAUAUUAUCUCAAGAGAUGAGUGCUCUAAAAAAAAGAAAAUAAAAGAUACGAGGAAAUAAAACGGGGCAAGUGCCCGAAACCUCGAAAGAAAAGAAAAAGUGAGACGAGAGGUAAAAAUGGACAAGUGUCCGACAGUAGAAUUAGGGGUACAAGAUACCCACCUGAGAGAAAAGAAAAAAAGAAGAGCAUCUCAUUCUCCUCAUAAAGCUUCAGAAAGCAAGGAAGGUAUGUAUCCCCUCAAAAGAGCAAAAGUAGAAUUAGACUUCCACCAUUGCCAUUACCAUUAUCACCAUACACCAUUCAUUCGCCACACAUGCACAUCUAGAUUUGACUUAAUGAUUUGUUUCUUUGGAUCCAUGGUUUGACUAUGCAAUAAAUGUCUUGUAAGUAUGUAUACUUUAUCUCCCACCUAUGAGCUCCAGAUAUUAAAGCCUUAUUAGAGUAUAGUGAGAGAGAAGGCAAUGUCACUAUGCUUUAUACCACAAAUACCACAUAUCUUGAGAGAAGGCAUAUACCAUCACUGCCUUGGUAAGGAUCCAGAAAUACCACAAAAGAGAGAUCUGAGAGAAUCAUACAAGGAAUCUCUGAGUUUUAUUAGAAAAUCUACAAAAACUCCAGAGCUAUAGCUGAUAAAGAAUAAGAGACAUGGCACUUGACUACACUGUUCUAUCUUUUAACUACUCAAGACAGAAGUGACGGUUACAAGUCCCAUGGUGAAGGUAAAGUAAGUAAGUCUUGACAGUUUACUCUAACUCAGAGAUGAGAUCUUAUUUAAAAAAGCAUGUGUACCGUCAAUUUUUAAAUAUAUUGCAACAACUUCUGAUUCAUUGCUGAGUCUAUCCUUGCUCAGGGACGAGCAAGAGGUAAGCUUGGGGGAAUUUGUUGACGGUCCUUAAGUAUCAAAUUUAAUUAUCAAAUAAACAAAGAAAAGGAUCCAAAUGAACUCAACAUCUAGACUUAGGGUUUUAUCUGACAGAAUUCCACGAGUUUUGGUGUUUGUCUAUUUCUGCAGGGGGUGAUCAGGAAAUACGGAGGAAAGGCCCACAUGUCGGGAUUACAUAGAGAUAUUAACGUGCCGUGCAAUUAUCUUACAUCUAGAAGACUCCAGAAGCCACGGGAAGCAAGCGGAGGCCGAACGGGGCCAGAGGCAGGGCGCCCGCCCUGACUUGGAGGCCAAUCAGGACUCUGUUUCGUGGGAGAUCUCCACCGACCUAAAGGAUCAAGGAUAACCAUUCAAUCUUUGUCGGUUUGAUCCAACGGCCCAUAUUCACUUUAAGGGACUAUAAAACCAUACCCCCUAGCCCCUGGAGGAGAGAGCCUCUCAACCCUAAUUCAUUAUUCUCAAGAGAGAAGAAGCCUCUGAUCAAGAUUAGAGCCACCACAUCAAUUAGACAUCUAGAUUAGCAUAGCUACAUAGGAUUAGAACUAGAAGGAGUCAAUCUUCGAUUGGUUUCCGGAUCUGUCAAGAGGAUUCUUGGUAAUUCUCUAAUUGUGCUUCGAAUUGUUCUUCUAAUUGUCUUGGUUCUUCAAUAUUAUGAAUAUGACUUUGUUCUACUUCAAUAUAUUGCUUAUGACUUUGCUCUACUUGCUUAUAUUCAAGAUUAUAUUGUUCUUAGUUUAUCAUAGUUAUGUACUUGGCUGAGUCAGAAUGGAUCUAUAUACAUGCUUAGGAUCGUAUAGCGUUUAUCCAUCGGAUCCAUGGGUAAAUGAUAGAUAUUGUGUAGGCGUGGUGCUUAUACCAUAUUUAUCUGCGAUUGUACCCAAUAUGCCAGAUUAUGGGGUAGUUCGUGAUAGUGACAGCUUCAUUGAUUCUUAUAUAGUCCCCCUCUCGUGUAUUGGGCUAGCAGAGCAAUAUUAUUACAGGGGAGUGAUUGCUAUGUUUCUCAUAUUCCUUGCUAAUAUCACUUUGCAUGGGCGUAGUCUUGUCUCACAAUGAUUGCUAAGUAUGCUUGCACUAACUAUGAUAAUGCUAGACUAUAUAGUUGAGAAUAACUUAGGAAAUAUUCUAGUAGUUCGUUCUAAUUCUAUGCUAAUGACUUUCUAGAGUAUCUAAUUGAGGUGCUUAUCAUAUUUAUAUGUGGCUGAUCAGAUUAAUUAUCUUUGUCACUAUUCAUUAUUUCAUAUAUCUUUUAUGUGACACUUACCCCUGUAUGAAAGAGUUAGAUAAAUGUUAUCAAUUAUACAUGCAAUGAUAGAUACUCAAUCUCAUAUUCUAUUAUGUAAUCAAUAUUGAUGAUUAUUAAUCCCUUCCCAGUGGUAAAAAUAUAAAUAACGAUACUUGGAAUACUUUCCGGUUAAAAUGCUACAUCGGUAUUAAUCUGUGCGCUUGCAGAUCCCAUUCAUUAUUUAUUUAGAAGAGCAAUGGCAUAUUUCAAUACCGCGUCACUCAUGUCAUGCUAGGGAUGACAACUUGGCUUAAGUGGUAUGAGGGAUAGGUUUGGCAUUUUUGGCACCGUUACUAGAAUUAGAAAACUAAGUCUACUUUUGGUAAUGAUGUUAAGAAUACCCAACACCUCCCUUCGGGAUACCCCAUCUAACUGAGCACUCUCCAAAGCAAGGUAGGCAUCCCAAACUCCUCUAGGAACUUGCUCUUAUGACGCGAGCUCCUAGAUGCCAACUGAUGGCGAGGGGCCCGUCCACCAGUGGACUUGCGAGCGGUGAGCCUAGUGCGUGCCAUUUGCUGAAAAUAGAAUACCUUGGGUAGGACUGAGGAUUAUCUUUUAUUAUCUUAAUUGAAAUUGGGACAGAUUUAAAUAAGGGGAGGAAGUAAGCAAUGUUAUGAAAUGAACAUGAUGUAUGCACGGACUUACGAUCUCACAAACUUAGAAAAGAAAAUUAAUACUAAUCGGUAUAUGCGGUGGCACACAAUGUUCUCUCGUAACGUAACUAGCGUUCUAGACGAGAACGAGGUUAACGUACCUGUAGAAAACUCAUUUCAGCCCAACCCCAGUACAAAUCACGCAGAUCAAAAAUUUAAAGCUAUACACCCCACACACAUAGACACCUCGUCUAUGCAUUUGGUGUGUUACUACCCACAUCAUCGCCCUAGUGAUGGCAUCGCCUCUCAGGACGGAAUCUCCCAACUUGUGGUAUUGUUUCCAGGCACACCAAACAUGUGUGCAUGACACAGCACCUAAAAUCACUUCCCUAGAUUGGCAGUGUAUCCAAUCAUGCUCUCACAGCUCCCACUUACCGAGGCAUAGAGGAAAGAUUGAUCCAUACAUUACCACUCAAAUGAAUGGCACUCAUACUAUUGCAGACCGUAUGAGCGACGAAAAUAGAAAUAUGAUGCAUAACCCCCAAGUCAAUACUUAACUAGCCACCUUAGAGUCCUUAACUAGGCAUUGAGGAUAUGACCAGGGCACACUGUAUAGUUUUCCAAAACACUUAUUUCAACACCUUGAUUAUCGUUAAUUUGAUAGUUAACUUGAUUAACCGGUUUAAGUUCAUUUUAGAACGUACUUAUGAAAGCUGUAACAGAACCACCCAAAUUAUAAGAGAUUAAGCCUAAUGGUGACCAUUUGCACAGUCGAACCAUCGAGCUUAAGCCCAUAUAAUCCCGGUAGUCCGUGAAAUCUCGAAGGAUUUCAAACCACAAUUCGUACAAACAGCCAAGAUCGUAAUAAGUUCAGCAGUCACCAUUCACAAUUACAUCGAGUUCGCAACAUUCAUCACUACAUCGGAGUUACUUAAAGUUAUUACAAACCAAGUUCUCAAUUAGCGGAAGCUUCAUAGUUUUAAACUAACACACACACAUUUAGUCCGAUACAGUGCCAUUGUUGAUCAUUCCCACAAGAGGAAAAGAGGAGGUAGAGUGACCAUCGCCCUUGGUCUAGUCAUCACCCAUCGUUGGGUACAAGCAGUGAAUGCAAUAACCAUAAUACAUCUGCCAUCUGCAAAACAACAUGGGAAUAGAACCCUGAGUACGAGAAUAUACUCAGCUAGACUUACCCGUCAUAAACCAAAAGUAAAAGACUCUUCAAGGAUCAUGAAGGCUGUAUAGUGGGGUAGCUGAAACCUUUUUGCGUAAAAGCCUUACCCAACUAGAAGUAUAUCGUAACAUUUGCCCCUUUUUCUUUAAUUAGCUCAGGUUAGCUAUUAUUUCCUAUCAUCUAGGUUUGCACCUGCACUAUUGCAAGCAAUUGUUGUGAUACGAUAGUACCUUAUCAUAGCAUUCAUGAUUCAUUAUUUAUCAUAACCCAAGUGUUCCAUAGUCCUUACUACGAGGACAGGGCUCAUGUCAAGUGCUCACUAUCCAGGAGCGAUGGCGAUUUGAAUCGAUUUUUGACCAGCUGGUCAGUUAUUCCCCACACAAACCACACUCACUGAUCAAGUGAGCUACAGAUCACCAUAUUACACUAUCCAGGACCAAAAUCGCGGGUUCGGCAGGCACCACCAGUACCCGAGGACCGUUCCGGCGACCGAGGUAUCCAAGGUAUACCAAGGUUGCGUGCUGCGCCCUCGUCGUUCUCCUCAACCAUCACCAAUACAGCGCAUGGUGGCUCGACUCCUGGCCCGGAUAGUGUUCAGGCUUCACUAUCGGAACGACUUAUCCUUCCAGCUAAGUGUGGGGCAUGCGUUCAACAUGGCAACAGGGCCGUCAACGAUCAGUCCUUAAUCGACAUAGGCAGGGGCACUACGGUCAACUCCACCAUAAGAGCCUGCCCGGUCUCAAGUUCAUUCCCACACUUGGUUACUUUUCCUCAUAGCAUUGACAGCUAAUCAAACAGGUGUCCACCUAUACCUCGCAGGUGACAGGAAAUCACCCGACUUCUACCAUGCUAAGCAAGCUAAUCAUAGACUCCGAGCCUAUCUACUAGGACAAGGUAGAUAAACAGGUGGUAAUAUCAAGGAGUAAGUGUAUGCAUCAACGGUAUCAAGUAAUUCCUAUCACUUAAAUGCAACAUAGUAGAACAAUCAUAAUAUAUCAAUUAAGUUAGCCAGAAUAGAGAGACUUAGAAUACUCCGAGGCUUACCUUUCUCAAAUGUGCUAGGCUUGUGGUCCAGGCACUCCUACAGCUCUCCUUCCGGCUCGAGUCCUCCCGGAAGUUCCUGCUCCUAGGUCUCCUGCUCCUCGCGUCCCACCUCGUUCUCCUGCGAGCCUGUAUGAUGCAUGUGUGCUCAUGAGUGGAGUGCGAGAUGCCCGGGGUGCAAUGCUUAUGCAAGUGGGUACCAGAUGAUCAUGACAUGGUGCAUAGACAACAUAGGUGAUUAUUUCUUCAAGGUAGUCAACAUCAUCCAAGAACAUGUAUUCAAAAUAAGCAUCUAUUGUAUUCUCUUCUACAAGUUGUUUUCAUGGUUAACUAGCAAGCUCACAUGAUUCUUCAAAGAUACACCAAACACCCUUUGUUCCAUUUAACUUAUGCACAACAAUUCAUAAUUUAUUUUAAUUAUUAUUGGACCUACAACAGUAACAUAUACUUCUGAUCAUCAUUAAAUUCCACAAAAAUUAUAGUAGAUUACUGGACAAUGAUAAAGUCCACCAUAAAUUUUUCAUAAUAUUUGGACACUUAGUUUGGCCUACAAAAAUCACAAGAUUACUCAAUAUAAAUAAGUAUAAAUACCCUACUGUUGACUAAGUGUCAAACAACAGAUUUCAUAUUUUUAUAAAUUACUUACUAACAUAAGAAACACCCCAAAAAUUUCCAAAUUAAUUGCAUGAUCCAAUUAUUUAUUAAAAAUAGUAAACUACUGCCAUGCAAGCAAUUAAAUCAUUACAAAUUAAUUUAUACAACAAAUAAUAUAUGACAUAUUUUCCCCAGAGGCUAAUCAUCCAUGCAAAGCUAACAAAACAAGUUUCACAUUUUUCUAUGUUAUAUUCUAAUUACUAUGCAUUUUCUAAUUAUCUGCAAAAAUAUGGAUUAAAUAUAUUUGUAUAGAAAAGUUGUUCCAACAUGACAUGCAAUUACACCAGACGCUAGAUCUAGAAUUAUAGAACACACCAAAAUUUAUUUCACCAAUUUUGGAGCCAUGGAUCUCAAGAUAUAGAUUUAAUACCAUUUAAAUCGUUUUCUGGAAAACAUUUUCUGUAAAUUCAUUUCAAAUCCGUAUCGAAAAAUGCUAGGAGCACCCGGAUCUCUACCCGUCUCGGUCCCCUUGCGACUGACAGUGGGCCCCCGACCCCACUAGUCAGCAUGACCGAGAGGGAGAGCACCUCCGACGAGCCGAUCUCAUCGGCGGUGAGGCCUCCGGCCAUGGGGUGAGCACCAACGUGCUCCCCGCAGCGAGGCGCACCCGAAGGUACCCUUGGUUUGGCCAGAGGACGACCGGAGCACCCCUGCUGGCGUUCAUGGCGGCACGGCAGCGUUCCUCGCCGUGGCUAGGCCACUCCGGCUGGGUAGAGCGCGCGCGGGGGAUCGUCCGAGCUUCGUCACCAUGUCCCGAACCUAACGCACUCAAGAGCAAGCGAAACGGGGUAGAAAUGGGAGGGUUUCGACGCGGCGGAGCGCUCCGACGAGGUCGGGGGAACUCCGGCGAGGUCGGGGCAGAAACGGGUGGCUUUCACCUUGGUAGAGCGUGCGCAGGGGCUUACCGCGGCGAAGGCGAGCACGGCGGUGGUCUUGGCGCGGAGAAUGGCUCACUAGCGUGGCCGGCGGCGAGCGGCGGAGCUCGGCCAGCAAUGGCGCUGCGGUGGUCGCUGCUGCGGCUGCGCUCGUGAGCGGAGAAGGAGAGGGAGCGGGGAGGGGACAGAAUGGAGCGUCUGGGGGCGCGGGGUGGCGUCCCGACCUGGUUAAGCCGGUCGGCUGGGCGGCCGCGUCCACAACGCCGGCGUACGGCCGCCACGUGGCCGGCGCCGAGUGGAGCGAGGCGGGCGCGUCCGCGCGCGGGAGAGGGGAGGGGGAGUUGGGCCGCGCGGCUGAGCGGGCCGAUAGGGAGGCGGGUCGGCCCAGCAGCGCCUGCCCCUUUUUUCUUUUUUUCUGAAUUUCUUUUCUCAAUUCUUUUUCCAAAUUCAUUUUGACUAUUUUAAAACCUCUUCAAGCUUUACCCCCAAAAACAAAAGUUGUCACAAAUAAAAAGUUCUACAACUUUGAUUGAAGUUGAAACCCCAAAUUCCAAAUAGAAUUUGAAAUACAACUCCAAACUAGCUAUAGGUUUUUAAAUUAAUUCAUUUUGGGGAUUUUUGUAUAAAAUCCAUUUUCUCAACUUCUAUAGCUCCAAAAACUUCACAAAAUUACUCUUAAUUAUUCUAAAACAUAUUUCAACCUAUUUUGGUCAACACAAGAAAUUUGGAAACAAGCAUACUAUUUUAUCAUAUUUAAAUCAUGUAACAUAAGCACAUAAAAUCAUACUUGAAUUAAUGCUAUGCUCAUGUGAUACUAUGCUUGAUGAGAAUGCUUAUGAGACUUAAGUGCAUGCUUAACACCUAGGGUGUUAUAUGUUUGAGUAACGAUGAGGCUCGAAGCUUGAUGGGUGAGAUUCAUGAGGGAGUGUGUGGAGCACACCAAUCGGCUUUCAAGAUGAAGUGGAUGAUUACAAGAAACAGAUAUUAUUGGCCAACUAUACUUGAAGAUUGCUUCAAAUACUUCAAGGGAUGCCAAGGAUGUUAGAAGUUUGGCAAUGUUCAAAGGGCACCCGCAUCAGCUAUGGAUCCCAUUAUCAAACCUUGGCCGUUUCGAGGUUGGGCUAUUGAUCUCAUCGGAUAGAUUUAUCCGCCAUGAAGCAAAGGGCAUAAGUUCAUCUUAGUUGCCACUGAUUAUUUUACUAAAUGGGUUGAAGCUAUUCUUUUGAAGAAAGUAACAUCGGCUAAUAUGAUUGAUUUUGUGAAAGAGCAUAUUGUUUACCGAUUUGGUAUUCCUAAAACAAUCACUACCGAUGAGGGUACUAUGUUCACAUCGGGAGAGUUUGAUGAGUUUGCAAUCGGUAUGGGGAUUAAAGUGUUAAAUUCUUCUCUCUAUUAUGCUCAAGCUAAUGGGCAAGCUGAAGCUUCUAACAAGGGAAUUAUUAAGCUUAUCAAGCGAAAAAUUGAAGAAAAAUCCUAGAAUGUGGCACACGUUGUUAAAUGAAGCUUUGUGGUCAUAUCGGAUGGCAUGCCAUGGAUCAACCAAAGUUUCGCCCUAUCAGUUGGUGUAUGGGCACGAUGUGGUGUUACCAUGGGAAAUUAAGACUGGAUCUAGGCGAGUGUCUUUCCAAGAUCAAUUGGCUGCCGAUGACUAUGCUACUUUGAUGAAAGAUGACUUGGAUGAUUUGGCAGAGUAUCAGUUGAGGGCUUUGAUAAGUAUAGAAGAAAAUAAAAGGAGAGUUGCUAAAUGGUAUCAUAAAAAGGUAAAAGUUAAGGAGUUUGCCGAUGGAGAUUUGGUAUGGAAAUUAAUUCUACUGAUUGGGACUAAAAGUUCAAAAUUUAGAAAAUGGUCUCCUAAUUGGGAAGGUCCUUAUCGGGUAAAUCGGUCUGCUCCUAGCAACGCUUAUAUUUUCGAAACUCUCGAAGGAGUUGAAUUUCCCAGAGCAUUAAAUGGGAAAUAUUUAAAAAAGUAUUACUCAAGUAUCUGGGUUGAUGCCUAGAAGUUCAAGUGCCGAUAACACUCCUAUCAGCUGGAUGAAAUGUAUCUGGGAUCAUGCAUGAUAUUUAAAAGUGCCGAUAACAGUCCUAUUGGCUAGACCAGAAUGAUUAAAAGUUUCUGAGGGCGGAAUAGAACGAAUUGCCGAUGAAAAGCUCACAGGUUCAGCAGAGCCUGAAUAGUCGAUAUGGCGUGCAGACGGAUCUGGUUGGCCUCUUCUAUCUCUCGAACGUCUUCAUCGGCAGAGCCUUCGACUGGUUUCAAUUUCUUCCUCAUAUGCAGUGCCUUUCGAGCCUGAGUAUCUCUCUCUUGCUGGAGGAUUUUGAGCGCUUCAGGCAGUUGACUUUCUUCUUGCUGAGCUUGGGUCAGGGCUUCUUCUACUUGCUUGAGUUCGGCUAACAGAGCUUCCCUUUUGCCCAUAAGUCAGAAAUCUUUUGCUGCAAUACAUCUCCAGAGAAUUGUAGGACGCCGAUGCUCCUGUGCUUUUCAUCGGCAGCGCGUUUUACUUACAUCAUUUCCUCUGAGAGUUGGGCGUAAGUAGCUCUAUCGGCAAGGUGCUGAGUGGCUUUCUGGUACUGCAGCUGGCGACUUUCUAGAUGAGCAGCUUGAAAGAGGAUCUCUUUGGCAUCGGCUAGAAUUUGACCACAAAGGGUCUUAAACAAAGCUUUGGCUGGGUCGGAAUCAUCAACCAACUGGGCAGUAUCUUGAUGCAGCAGGGCUAACAGGUCUUCAAGCUUAGCUUUAAUCUCUGUCGAUGAGAUUCCUACUACCUAAGAAGAGCUUGCUUCUUCGCCCUCGUCAUCAGAAAUGUUCAUGGCAAAGGAGAAUAAGCAGUCUGGAGAGUCUUGUUCCUAAAAAGAAGAGGAAAUAGGGAUAAGUUAUCUGAUGAUCAAAUGUUAAUAAUAUAAAGGAUGGAGAUCAGAUAACUUACUUGCUUCAGAGCAAUUUCACGCCUCUGACGUGGAGAUACAGCCGAUGCUAUGGGUUGAUCGGCUGGGGUUGCCGAUGGAAUAAUGUCAACUGAAAAAUUACAAGAUUAUAAUUUGUAAAGAUAACUCUAUCGGUGUUAAUUCUAUGGUCAGUACUUUACCUUGAGGGGGUGCGGUGCUUGUUUGUUCUAGGGAACAACCGAUGAUAUGCUCAGAUCAACCGGAUCGGCAAUCUGUUCAGACACAUCGGCCGGUGCUUCUUGUGGCUGAGAUGCUGGUCGAGGUGGAGAUAGCACUUGUUGUAUCUGAGAUUCUGGUGAAGAAGGUGAUGAUUCCACAUGGAUCGCUGACGCUGGACGAGGAGGAGGAGAUGGUGCUGUCCUCUGGCGUUUUGGCUGUGACUUGGUGCUUUUGGGACCUUUUCUCUUGAGUUGGCUGGGCUAGAGGGCAUCGGCACUUGUUUGAGCGCUUCUAGUCUUCACCGAUUUGCCAGUUUGCUGUUACAACAAUCAAGAUUUCAUGAGCGAAAAUAAAAGAAUAUUGAUGAGAGUUUUUGGAAAAAUAAAAGUUACCGAUGAUGUUCCCGUGGCAGUCGAUGUACCCUGAAAAGAUUGUGUGAAUAUGGGACAAAAUCGGUAUAAGCAAAGGAAAUUAAGAGUCUACCUUGAAAGCCUGCGCCAGAGUGGCAGCAGCAACUGAUGGGGACGUCUUUGACCGCUUGGUGGUUAUCUUCUGAAAAUGCACCUUCUGAUGCAUCAAAGCUGCUAGACUCGGUGCGUUAUGACCGAUCAGAGAGUUUGGACCUGAUGGGAGGAGUUCGAUCGGUCUUCCACUUCUGCUAACUGUCGGUGCUAGGUGUCGACCUGUUAUCAUAAAAACAAGUAAGUCGCCGAUAGGGUCAGAAGUGACAAAGGUACCAAGAUAUCGGUCGAAGACAUACAAUGCUAUCGGGAACCUUAUAAUUGGGAUCGAUCAUGCCACGGUUUGUCAGAGCCGAUGUGCUGAACAGGUGUUCUUUCCAUUCUUCCCACCACUGUUUGUACACCUGAGUAAUGAAGAGGGCCGGGAUCCAAGCCGAUAAAUCGAUAUCUGUCGUAUCGGCAUUUGGUUGAAGCUGGGCUACCCUUAUCCACUCAAGUCCACUGGUUAUAGUCUCCCGUGGCUUCACCACAUCGGCGUAACAAAGUCUGAUCGGCAGUUGGCCAAAAGCCAGUUGACGAGCUAGUAUCGAUGGGUUAUAAAAUUCAUAGGUGGGGUUGGUGUUCUUCCCACUGCUGAAAGUAUUCACUAAGAUGGCCCUUGGAGUGAUGAUUGCCAACAUCAAGUUGUUAUCUUUGUUGAGAGCAUCAUCCAAAGGGUGGAAGGUGAACCGGAAUCUGGUUUCUAGAUCUUCAUAAGGCAUACAUGCCCGCUGAUCUUUGGGAAGACCAUCAUACAGAGUCUGGAAGAAUCGGCUGACCUGGUCUUCAUUGCCACCAGUGCCAGGUAGAACUAUAGCAGCCUCACCAUAUUUCAGGGGUGGGCGAGUUGCCGAUUCUUCGUCAGCCAGUUCAUGAUCCUCGGUGAUAUCUCUGGGGAAUGGUUGUGCAAAGAGGUCGAACCAGUGGCGUUUGUGCAUGUGAACGUUAAGCCACAUGUUAAUAAACCACCAAGGGCCUCCUAGGUUGCCGAUGGGUUCACCCAAUAGAAGCUUCUCAGUCACUUGGUGGAGGAGAUGAUAGGCAGAACCAAGCAAGUAUCAACCAAGAGGAAAUCGGCCGCGAUCGGCUAACCUUUCUGUUGUCGAUAAGUAGACAGAGGUUGGUCCUACCGAUCGGCCACAGAAGACGAACUUGUCUAGCCACAUGUUCAAAAAAGUGGCAUGUUCCCUUUGCCCGAUUGGUCCUGUCUUCUGGUAUUUCUAGAUAUAUCCUGAACAACCGCCGAUACCGCGGGUUUCUACUUUGCGCUCGGGUUUACGGUCGUAUAAAUGGCUAUCAUCGGCAGAUGCGAUAUCUAAGCUAGCGAGCAUGAGCACAUCGGCAAGAGUAGGAGAAGCAGGGCCAUGGCCAAACAAGAAAGCAUUAAGGGUGUCUGACCAGAAAUAUGAGGUAGCUAUCAGUAGUGAUUCAUUUCUUUCCAUAUCGACAAUGGAUAGCCUGAUGCACUGGUCUAGUUUAUGUUCACCCCAUUGGACUUCAUUUGAGUUGCUAACUCUCAAGAACCAGUCCUUCCAUCCCUUAGUAGAACUGAGGCAGGACCAGAAGGUGUCUUUCCACAGAUUUAAGGAAAAGUUCUCAGCGCUAAAGGGGAUCCUAUUUGUUUCCGCAUUGAUCAGAUCGGUAGGAUCCGAAUUACCCAACGGCCCGAGACAUUGAAAGUGAGGUUGUUUAGUAGGGAUAAUGAUUUUCUCAGUCAAUUCCUAAAGGUUUGAAGGUUGGAAGAACAGAAAAAGGAAGAAAAAAAAUAAAAUGCUAAGUAAAUAGAUUUUCAGAAAAUAAAAGUACGAUAAGAGAAAGAGAAGAUAGGAUAGAAUUGACCUCAGGGACGGUGAAGUUGACGGCCAUUUCUUCCCGGAGAGGAAGAAGAUCGACGAUUCGAAGAAUUGCUGGGGAAGAUUCUCGCUGGACUUCUUGGGCUUGCCGAACAAUGCUGCUGCCAGGAAGAUGGGUCUGAGGAUGCAGAAUGACAAGGUAGAGGAAGAGUGCCGAAGAAGGAAAUAUUUAUAGGACAAAGUGAGUAGGGGCAUUUAUGACUUAUCUAUUUCAUCACGUUCUCCCAAUCUUCACGACAUAGGAAGAACACCGAUAACUAGCUGAAGAACAGCCGGAUAACUUGCUGCAAGCAGCGAUAACUAGUGCAACCUGGCAAAUAAAACUCGAAGCCAACCACCAUCUUUAACCGGCAACCUGAAUCGAGGAUUCGUCCAACCACACUCUCAGAGAACAAACCAACACAGCCUACAAUCAAUCAAGGAAUACCUUGAAGGGAGUAGAAGCACCAAUUGGGAGCUGAUGAAGCCGCCGCCUAUGUAAUCCCACGAGAAAAUCACAAGAGCAAGGGGUAGAGAUCACUCUGUGAAUAUUUGGUAGCACACAGCUAAACAAAAGGGGUUCUGUAUUUCAAUUAUCAAAAGUCUUCGAUUACAAAAAGUCUUAGGGGGUAUUUAUGCUAGCAACAGCCCUGCUAGAUAUGUAUGAAAACGAAAUAGAGUUUCUGAGGAAAGGCAAUGUGAAAGGUCCCCUCAGAAUGGAUUCCCGAACUGGCUUCGCGUAACUAUUGGCCUCCAGAGUAGUUUUUAAUAAAAUGACCAUAACUUCUUAUUGGGAACUCCAAAUGAUGAACCAUUUCUGGGUUGUCAAACUAGACUCAAACGGCUUUCCAGCAAUGUAUGCCAACCAGCACGAAACAUUGUAGAUUGGUACAGUUUUACUUGGCAAGUUGUACCAACAUUCUGUCAUGACCUUAUCAUCACCUUCAGCACCUUAUCAUGCACCUUUGCUCUGGUUUGAAAUAAAUUAUGUCGCUGCCCAUUUUCAGCUUCUUUCAUUUGAACACUCAAGAUUUGAGUCACCACAAGAGCAGCACCAUGCUCAAAUUCACACCCAGUAUGUUCCUCAUCUUUAUGGGCCUCAUCAACAUGUUCUUCCUCAGCUUCCUCUUCACUAGCUGAUUCAAAUUCUCCACUAUUAGUCACAAUGAUCAUCUGAUUAUUGGCGCACUCCUUACUUAUAUGCCCAAGGCCUCCACACUUGAAGCUCUGAAUUUCACUACUCCUGGAAGUAGAACCCAGUGAAGUAGCGGUUGAUGCUGCUGGUUUUGAACUUGGGACAGCAGUAUUCUUUCCACUAAAAGUACCCUGAAAAUUAGAUCGAGAGCCUCCACUUGAGCUUUUCAUUGUGGACGGUUCAGCAGCAAAUUUUGGCAUGGUAAAUUUCAGUUUGCCAAAUCUUUCUUCAUGGUUGCCUCUUCUAUGACAUCGGCGACCAAAACUGAGUUGGAAGCGGUUGUCAUCAGCCUGAUCUUCCGAUUCAUCAUCAUUUCUUUGACUAUAUCUUCUUCCUCUAUCAAGUGCAGCCCUCUGGUUCCUCCGACCUCCUCUUCUUCCAUCACUAUCUUCUCUAUCUCCACUAUGGUUGCUUGCACCAUCAUGAGGUGGACGAUGCCUUGUGAUUUCAGUCAUAAGAUUCUGAAGAUCUUGUGUCAACCUCUCUUGCUUUUCUUCCAUGCUUUGUUGGAGUUUAUUAAAUUGUGCUAAAGUGACACAAUCCUCUAUUCCAUCACCCAUCUUCCUGGAAGGUUAGCUGAAUACAAAUAAUUUGUAUUUGUGGAAUAUGAAAAUUUGGUGGCCCUCACAACUCACCUCUCUAACCACUAAAGCUCUUAUGAAUUCCUCUGUUGCAGACUACAAGGAAAAACAAAUGUUGUGGUGGCAACUGAAAGUGAUGGCGAGGCGAAUACGAGGACAGAGAGUACCGAUUACGACGAUUUUUAUGUGGAGCUUGGUGGGGAGUAAUACACAAGGAAUGCAAUCUGAAUUCUAGUUGUUGUAAAGUUAAGUAACAAUCCAAACUAGAAGUUUUCUACCUAGUGCUGAUCAAAAGAUUCGAAGUGUAUAAAUAGAUCACACACACGCAAAGAAAUUUUAGAAUUGAUGCAAACAAGGAGUAUGAUUGGGAUGCAAGUGUUGCAAUCAGACCGAACCAAAGUUUUGCACCAAACAAAGAUAGCAAACUAGUUGCAGAACUUGAUAUGAAACUUUCAGCACUUGUGCACAUAAACCAGCUAAUCUUCCAGACUUUCUCUCAGAACCUUUCUCAACGUCUUUUUUUUCACUUCACUUUUUUUGCACGUUCUUUUCUUUUUUUUGACACACUUUUUUUUAUAUAGAACUAAAAACAGGGAUCAGAUUAUGAUACUUGCACAACUAAAGACAUAAAUAAAACAACAACCAGUAGCUAGAUAGCAUCAAAGUUAACACAAAGGACGAUAUAGGCUAUAGAGAUUUAUUUGUGGGGAUUUUUAGAUAUAAAAGAGGCACAAAGAACACGCGAAGGAUAAAUGAUCAGCAACUAAAACAAAGACUCUAAUGGACUGCGACUUAACCGAACUCACUAAAAUAACAGAUUGAAACAAGGGUCUAAGCAAUAUAUUUUUCUGGCUUUUUGGUGGAUAGGACGCUGCAAAAAUAUAUAUGUAGCUAGGGAUAAAAUUCCUACCAUGGUAGAGAAAGCUUUGAUACCAGAUGAUGUGUCACGUUGUCCCGAUCUUCACGACGUAGGAAGAACACUGAUAACUAGCUGAAGAACAGCCGGAUAACUUGCUGCAAGCAGCGAUAACUAGUUCAACCUGGCAAAUAAAACUCGAAGCCAACCACCAUCUUUAACCGACAACCUAAAUCGAGGAUUCGCCCAACCACACUCUCAAAGAACCAACCAACACAGCCUACAAUCAAUCAAGGAAUACCUUGAAGGGAGUAUGAGCACCAAUUGAGAGCGGAUGAAGCCGCCGCCUAUGUAAUCCCGCGAGGAAAUCACUAGAGUAAGGGAUAGAGAUCACUCUCUGAAUAUUUGCUAGCACACAGCUAAACAAAGGGGUUCUGUAUUUCAAUUAUCAAAUGCCUUGCAUUACAAUGAGUCUUAGGUGGUAUUUAUACUAGCAACAGCCCUGCAAGAUAGGUAUGAAAAUGAAAUAUAGUUUUAGAGGGAAGGCAAUGUGAAAGGUGCGACACUCCUAGUGUUAGCUUCCAUGUUAACCAUGUGAAUUGCAUCAACAUAAGCAUCAUCAUGAUCACUCAUGAGCAUCAUACCAUGAUCACAUGUCAUUUGCUAUAUAUACUAUGUGAUUGAAUUGCUAUAUGACUUGCUAUGAUUGAUUGUAAUGGGUGACCAAUGCAUAAAAGUGUACAUUGUCUUCCAACAUACUUUAAUCAUGUUUACAAUAGCAUUUAGAACAAAGUUUAUGUUGGGGGUUUUGUCCGAAAGUGCCCCUAAGUCAUGGUUAGCCCUAGGUUGACCUAGUUGACCCCCUAGACCUCUUUUCAAAGAUGUUUUAUGAAACUGGUGUUAGAAACCUUGCAUGUAAAUGACACCUAAAACAAAGUUGUAGCAAAUUUCAUAAGUUACAAAAGUUAUGUUGAUGACAUUUUAUGAAAAAGACUGGAACACAGUACUGUUUUCACACUUAGCCGAAUUUGGCUAAGUCUGGGAUUCGGCAGUUUCGAUAUAGGGUUCUUGGGAGCCUUGUCGUUUGAAAUCCAGCCCGGUUUAGACUUCGAUCUUGUAAGCAAAACUGUAGAUCUCAUGUAGCUCUACCCAAUGGAACAAAUCUGAGCCAAAACCAUCGACUAAAUCAAGAGUAAAACGUCGACGAAUUUCGGGAUUCAGUCCAUGCAAUCGGGCGAUUCAGACAUCGUUUCAGUUUGGACAGUCGCCGUCCGCCGCCGCGUGUCCGGCCAGGUGUCGGCCGUACUCCAUCGAUGGUCCCUCCUGUCAGUCCCCACGGCAUCCACAAGUCGCCACGCACCGAGUGGACGCCUCAGACGCGCCAUUCGCCCCUCGAGAGCUCCACAUUGCGCCCGCCUUCGUCCUCGGCGAGCUCCGCCAUGCUUCGGCGAGCUCUUCCGGCCUCUCCAUCGCGUCUCCGGCCAAGCCAGUCCGCCCAGAGCUCCGCCUCGACGUCCUCUACCUCGACGUCCACUUCUUUCCCUUAGCCGAGCACUGGUGAGGCCACAUUGCCACCUCCGUCGUGAGCUCCACCUCGUCGAAGUUCACUGGAAACGUGGCCAGACCUCUCUGGUCCACCUCUGGCCAUGAUUCUUCUUCCUAUAGCUUCACCUUGAGUCACUCUUGGUCGUCCGCAACCUCUCCCGCGUCUCCGUUGCCUAGGUUCGAUGGCGUAACAUGGUGCAGCACCGCCGCUCCGCCAUUCGCGACGGCGAGCACCCUAGGGUCCAGUAGAGCACGAGUGAAGCAGGUUAACGAGUUCGCCUUGAGGAGAGGAACACGUAGAUGCCCUUGGAUCCGACCGAGACCUCGCCGUCGUCGAGUUUCGCCGGCGACGAGCGUCUCCCCUGUCUCUGUCUCUCUGUCACGUGGGUCCCAUGUGUCAGCGGAUCCCACCUGUCAGCCACUCACCCUCACACCUCUGGUUCACUGUGUAGCAGAUCCUUUGCUGUUUUUGAAAAAUUCAUAACUCGAGUUUUGCAGAUCCAAAUGAUGUGGUUCUAAUUUUGCUAGGUUCCUGUGGUAAUCUAGUUAUUAUUAAAAAUAUGAAACAUGCCAUGUUUUUGCAAAAAUAAAUAGAUAUAAUUUAAUCUUGUUUUAAUAGGAGGUAAAUAUAUCUUGAGAUCUGUUGAUUUGGUGGCCAUGCAAAUUUAGGGUAUGGUUACUUAUGGCAUGAAUAGGCUCUGAUAAAUUUAUCAUGAUUUUUGGAGGUCUGAUUGUGAAGUUAUAAAUAUUUCUUGCUCAAAUAGGAGUUUCUUCUGGAAUUUUUAGUAAAUAGACUAUAACUCAUUUUAUGGUGAAACUUGCUGGUUGUUGUACUCAUAUGCAAACAAAGCUAGGAAAAAUCUGAAAUAUGUUGUUUGACACUUUUUGAUAAGGUUUCACAUUUAUGCCUUGAAUGUCUUUGUUAGAUUGUUAUUUUUGUAGCUCACAAUAUAGAUGUGAAAGUGCCCUGAAAAUUUUACAGUAACCUUAUGAUAGUAGAAAUAGCUUGUGUAAUUUUCUUAUGAUUUUUGGAGCACUUGUGGUGUAUGAUCAUUAAAUCACCUUAAUAAUUAAAUAAAUAGAAAAUGUGAUGAUAGAAAUGAGUUUAGACCUUGCCAUGAUGUUUUCUAGUGUCUCUUAGACAUGUUCUAUCUACUGGUGCAUUUGGUUUGAACCCAUGUUACAUUCUUAAUACGUGUAAAAUAUUAUUUUUGCUAUUUAUGUCUUUCCUAGAGCAUUUCUGUGUAGCUGAGAGCAAUUGUUUUAGAACUACUUGAAGAUGAUGUUUUCUGGAAAACCUGUCUAUAACAAACUUGUAGCCAACUUGCUUAUCUACGUCGUGUUCAAAUUUCAUGACAUUUGGUUAAGUAGUUUCAAAGUUAUGAAUGUUGCUAGUAGCUGCUAUAAAGUGCUUGCUCUCUGGAUUUUCCAGGACAGCCAGCCGACUUUGUAUGCUUUAGUAUAUUUCGGUUGGGAAUCCUUCUGGGAUGUCUAAAAGUGAAUUGUAGACAAUUUACUAAGCUUUCCACAAAGUAUCUACUUGUUUGGUUUGGCCACCUGAUUCUUAAGUUAUAACAAAAACAUGUGACUGGUAAUCUGUAUAUGACACCAGCUGCUAUCUAGAAGUAGCUCAAGUUGAUUGACUUGUCUAGUUAGCCUCUCUACCAGGGAAGAAGUAUGCACUUUCUGGUUAUUCUGUGAUUCAAGCAAUUUUAGGAGUCUAUGCUCAUGUUUAUACCUUGCCAUGUGUUCCUUUGCUCAGCAUCAUGACAUGUUGCAUCCUAUGUGCAUUCCCUAUGUUCAUCACUUGUCAUGCAUACAUAGGAGCGCCCAAGGGAGUGACGGUCUUAGAGUAUGAGCUGACGGAGCCGGAAGGACAACAAGGGGAGCCACCUCAAGGAGCUGAGGAGGAGGACCUGCCGGAGUGUCCCGACCACCGCCCGUCCACCUACGUCGAAGGCAAGCCCCGGAACAUUAUAAGCCUCCUACUAUUUUUGUUAUCAUGUCCAGCUAUCAAUCGACUAUGGUUAUGUAUUGUUACAUUAAGUGUUAGGCGUUGAUAUGACACCCUUGCUGCAUAAUUAACUACCUUGUCCACCUCCUACCUUACCUAAAGUAGGUCCAGGAUCAAAAUGAUGCUUAGCCAUGCUUAGCUCGGUAGAAGCCGGGUGAUUUCCUGUCACCUGCGAGAGAUAGGUGGAUGCUGAUCACGGUUGGCUAUAUUUGUUAUCGUGGAAAUAACCAUGUGCUAAUAAUGAACUUGAGACCGGGUGGGAUUACGAUAGUGCAGCAACAAGGCAUGGAGGUCUUGGGUGUGAAUCUAUCCCCGUCUGUGUCGUUUAAGGAUCGAAUCGCUGUACGUCCCCAUGUCAUGUUGAACGCAUGCCUAACACUUAGUUGGCCGGAUAAGUCGUUCCGACCGCGAAGCCUACGAGUGCAUCUCCGGUCGGAUACCCCGAUCUGGUUAAAGUGUGCACCCCGGUUGGUUGUAAGGAUGUGCGGGGAGUCAAUGGCGUAAGACCGAGGUGUCAAGUUAGAGUCCUGACCCUGACAGAUUGGCGGUCCCUAGGGGUGUGGCGCCGUACGGACCCGCGAAUUGGUCCGGAGUUGUGCUAAAGGUGAUCCGAGCUGCCGUCAUGAAGUAUGCUUGGGUGAGUGCUAGGAAUACCCCUCCAGCUAGAUAGGAAUCGAUUCGAAUCGCCGUCUCUCCCGGAUAGUGAGAACUUGACUUGGGCAGCGGCAACGUAGAACUCACUAAAUAAACUUAAUGAUUAUGAUGAGAAUGUGGAGAGCCAGUGAUAAUCCGGAUAUAGUUAUUAUUGACAUGCUUAAUUACUCAAGUGUGUGCUUAGAACAGGUGCUGAUCUAGUGGAUAGUUGUUAAGUAAUGAACCUGCUGCCAAAAUGUUAUAAAUGGGUUACUUACAACUAAAGCUUUUUAUGCAAAAAGGUGAGUCAAACCAGUCCACAAAUAUAAGCCUUGCAUACUCCUUGGUGUCACUUUAUUUUUGGUUUAUGACGGGUAUGUCUAGCUGAGUACAUUCUUGUACUCAGGGUUUUAUUUACCCUUGUUGCAGAUGAUGUCAUUUAUCACGGCUACUGUGCUAACUGUCAUCAUCCGGCCGCGGACGAUGAAUAGAUCAUGGGCGUGAUCACCUCCUGUAUCUUCUGUUAUGCUUUUGUUGGGAUGACCAUGGAACUGGCUUGUAAAUUAAACUGAGUGUGUGAUGUUUCCAAAACUACUUUGCUUCCGCUACUGAACUGGUUUGUAAUAACUUGUUUCGAACUCCGAUGUGUUGUAAAACUAUGUUCUAUGAUGAAUGGAUGUAAUCUGUGAUAGUGAUGUUUGAUCAUGUACGAUCUUGGUUGUAUGUUGGUUGAAUCGAGGUCUUUAGAGAUUUCGUCAGACUACCCAGUUUAUAUGGGUUCAAGUCCAUUGGCUUGACUGCCUUGUGGUUGCUAAUUCACUUGAAUUCUUAUAAAUUGGACGGUUCUGUUACAGCUGGCAUCGGAGCAAGAUUAAGCAUUUAACCAUCAUAGAAGUAUUUAAAAACAAAUGAAUUUGUUCCCUAAAACUAAUUGGCAAAUUAGGUUAUACAUAGGGUUGUUUUAAAAAUGUUUCAAUAACAUAUAUCAUGCCAGCGGUCAUACCCUUUAUGCCCAUAUAAGGACUUCUAGGUUGCUUAAUAUUACUAACAUGGGGGUUUUUCCUUUCGUCGUCCACAUGGCGUGCAAUAAUAUGGAUGCCACUUACUUAAGUGGUAAUGAAUGGAUCAUAUACCUCUACGCCAUGGUAAGCGAUGUUUGUUUCCUUUCGUCAUCCAUAUGACGUGAAAUUGUAUGGAUGCCACUUGCUUGAGUGGUAAUGUAUGGAUCUAUAUGCCUCUACGCUACGGUAAGUGUGAGCUGUGAGAGCAUGACCGUCCAACCGUCGGUCUAGGGGAGUGUUAGCUGUGGUUACUGGAAUAUUUACAUGUUGCACACAUGUAUAUAUGAAGGUACUUAAUUGUGGGUAGUAGGUACAACCAUGUAUACAUGUUUGAUGUAUAUAUGGGUGUAUCCCAAAUGGGUAGAGUGCUGCGAUACAUGUUCGGGAACAUAUAUCGGAGUACCUGGCUUGAAUAUAGAUGAUUGCAUUUUCAUUUCUGCACAUAUACUCUUGUGGGGUUGGGCUGAAAUGAAAUUUUCUAUAGGUACACUAACAACGAAACGUGUAGACCGAGUACUUGCGUAUAAAGAGUGCACGUAUGUAUGCCACCGACUAUACCGGUAGAGCUUUCUCCUAGGAAUGGAAAGGGCGUAUGGAACGUGCAUGCAUCAUGAAUCAUUCAUACCUUUCUCAUGCACUACUCAAUUCUUAUAAUUCUGAAACUAUAUCUAAAUUAUCUUCCCUUGUAAUUAAUCUUCCUUACUCAAGUUGUGGUCUUUCCUACAGAUGGCAGCCCCACAUGCAAGUGAGACUUUUCUGGACAUGUUUGGCACUCCUACUUUGUUGUGGAGGGUGCUGAGUUCAGUGGGAUAUGAGGAACCACCUCAGUACACUUGAAUAGAGGCCGAGCAUGCAGGAUCUUUACCUUGGGUAGAUGUCCAAAUUACAGUUCCCCCUUGCCCAAACAACCCACAGUGGCUAGGAUGGAUAGUAGAGUCUGAUGGUCAAACUCCCUGGGAGGGUGCCCAAGUAGCAGCUUUAGAAGUGCUGUUGGAGAUAUGUCAAGACUAUAGGGAUGAGCUAAUUAAUGGCCCAGCUGGAUCCUUUCUUAGAGUGAGUGUGACUGACACUUUUGUGUCCCAAAUAGGAACUGAGCCUCUAGAAAUGAGAGAAACCAUGCUAGGAUAUAGCUCUUGCCCUGCCAUGAGUGCCAUGCUGGCGGUACUUAAGCUGUACUAUGUACGCUAGGACACCUACAUAGAAGCUAUGCUAGCGCUCCAGCAAGCUCAAGUUGGACAGCGCAAACUGUGCAAGCGCAUGCGCAAGCACCACAAGGCCUUUAGCGAUGCAAAAGCUGAAAUCCAAAACUAUCACACCGCUUUGCAAGCUCGCCGCAACCAAGUUGAAAAUGCAGUUAGAGAGCGCAAUGAGGCGCAAGCCCGCAUAAUACAAAUGACUAGAGAGCGAGAUGAGGCUAUGCCCUUGGCUGAAAAUAGAGAAGCUGCUAGAGUUAGAGCCUUGUUCCAUGCUGAGCUUAGAGAGGAAGAACUGAUUACUAGGAUUGCUGAGCUACAGUUAGAUGUCCAUCGCCUAAAUAAUAUCAUAAAUCCUAUCCCGCACCCUAUUCCCUUUAAUCAUGAAGAAGCUCCUAGUGAGGAAGAUCAGGAUGAUGGCAUCAUUUCUAAUGGAGAAUCCAAGGAGGAUAUGUAGCCUUGCAAUGUUUCCCAUGUUCAUGUAUCAGUUUCUAUCUCUUUAUGUAAUGGACAUGUAAUCUGAAUUUCAGCUGAAACUCUAUGUAUUUGGCCAUGGUGCCCCUCCUGUAAGACUUAAGUUGUGGCAAUGGCUCUAUGUAAUCCUAUGCACUUUUUGUGAUGCUCCAUGUUUAUGUUGAGCUUGAAUAAUCUUCUGCAAUAUCUUUAAUCCUUGUGAAUUGUGACCAUGAAUGAUCGCGGGAAUUACCAGUGUGGUGGAUAAUAUUCUAUUGUUGUACAUGGAUUAUUGUGCCUUGCAUUAUGUGAAUUUGUUUCAUUAAAUUCCGUAUGGCAGCAAUCGAGGUUCAUGGCAAUUAUAUCUAUUAUCCUAAACGGUCACUUGGUAUGCCUUGUGUAGAUGGCUCGCAAUACUCGCUCCGGUCACAAUGAGGUGCCGCCACCACCACCUCCUCCCCCGCCCACGCCGCUGAGCUCUUGGCAACUCUUGUAGAGGGCCAGCGGAUGCUCAAUGAAGCCAUGCAGACUAUGGCACAGCAAAAUCGGGGUGGUCGCCAUGUCCACCAAGGCGGAGAAGCGAAUCAGCACAGCAACUUCAAGGAUUUCCAAGACACGAAGCCACCGGUUUUCAAGGAGGCUGUUGAACCUCUAGAAGCUGAUGAACGGCUCAACACUCUCGAGCAGAAGUUCUGCUUGCUGAGGGUGACUGAAGAGUUAAAGGCGGAAUAUGCAGCCCACCAAUUGGAGGGCAAAGCAGGUGUCUGGUGGAGUCAUUACAGGACCAGCUUGCCUGCCAAUGCUGUGGUAACCUGGGAUCAAUUCAAAACUGCUUUCAGGAACACUUAUAUUCCCCAAGGCUUAAUGACUAUCCAGCAUACCGAGUUCAUGAACCUGAAUUAGGGCACUAAAAGCUUGACUGAGUAUCUUCAUGCUUUUAAUAAUUUGUCUCGCUAUGCUCCGAAAAUUGUUGAUACUGAGGCCAAGAAGCUUGCAAGUUUCAAGAGAGGAUUGGGACCCAAGUUGUCCAAGAACAUGGCUGGUAACAAGAGUACCACCUUCAAUGAGUUUGUGAGUGAUGCGUUGACUCAAGAGAACUCCAACGCCGUGUAUGCCACGUCCAAGAACCGCAAAAGGGCCUAUGAGGCAGGUGCUUCACAGUCCAAGGCUCCAGUGACAAGCAAACCGGCCUAUCGCCCGCCCAAUGCUAUGACUAGGUACAGACCGCCGUAGAAGAAGUCAAAUGUGAAGACGGGAGUUCGCAAGUCCUUCAUGGUUGCUCUUCCUAGGGGAGCUACAGGUCAAGGAGGUCCCAAGACUCCCCCUGAUAACCGCCCUUGCUUCAAUUGCAAACAAGUUGGUCACUGGGCAAGAGAUUGCCCUUAUCCCAAGAGGAAUUCUGCAGCUGGGGGUAAUAACCGUACUGGCCGAGUGCACUACACCACUGUCGAAGAAAUCCCUAAAGGUGAAGUGGUCACCACUGGUAUGUUUCUUGUCAAUCAAAACCCUGCAAUUGUUUUGUUUGAUUCUGGAGCUUCGCAUUCAUUUAUGAGUCAAGCAUUCGCAUCUAAGCAUGGGCAGCAUGUAGUUGAUCUUGACGGUGGCAAAUUUUGCAUUAGUGCUGCAGGUAAGCAAAUCGCUACAAAUCAAGUAGUGAGGGAUGUACAUAUUGCCAUCUAAGGGCGUAAUUAUUCAGCAGAUUUAGUGAUCUUGCUAGGCUUGGGAAUAGAUGUUAUCAUGGGGAUGAAUUGGAUGAGUAAGCAUGGGGUGUUAAUAGACACCUCCACGAGGGUAGUCAUGUUGCGGGAGCCUGAUAGCAAAGAAGCCUUCCUAGUCUAGCUUCCCAAGAAUUAUGACAUCCGUCACGCUGCUAAUGCUAUCAGACCACUCACUGUGGCAGAGAUUCCUAUAGUGUGUGAGUUUCCGGAUGUCUUUCUAGAGGAUCUGCCCGGGUUGCCACCAGAUAGAGACAUAGAGUUUAAAAUUGAUCUAAUUCCGGGUACCGCACCUAUCUCUAGAAGGCCAUAUCGAAUGCCAUCCAAUGAAUUGGCAGAGUUGAAGAAGCAAUUGCAAGAACUCCUAGAGAAAGGUCUUAUUCGGCCUAGUUCUUCUCUAUGGGGUUGUCUGGCUCUCUUUGUUAAGAAGAAGGACAAGUCUCUACGUAUGUGUGUAGACUACCGUCCGCUAAAUGCCGUGACUGUUAAAACAAGUAUCCACUGCCUCGCAUUGAUAUCCUGUUUGAUCAAUUAGCUAAGGCUAAAGUAUUCUCCAAGAUUGAUCUGAGAUCUGGGUAUCAUCAAAUUAAGAUCCGAAUCGAAGACAUUCCUAAAAUGGCUUUCUCUACCAGGUACGGGUUGUAUGAGUAUCUAGUCAUGUCCUUUGGUCUGACUAAUGCCCCUGCUCAUUUCAUGUACCUGAUGAAUUCGGUGUCCAUGCCUGAACUGGAUAAGUUUGUGGUAGUGUUCAUCGAUGACAUAUUGGCAUAUUCUGAAAAUGCCCAAGAACACGAGAAGCACCUUCGGACUGUACUCACUAGAUUGCGAGAACAUCAGCUCUAUGCCAAGUUUAGCAAGUGUGAGUUUUGGCUGAAGAAAGUGCCUUUCCUAGGCCAUAUUUUACCUGAAGACGGUAUUUCGGUUGAUCCGUCAAAGGUGCAGGAGGUUCUAGACUGGAAAGCCCCGACUUCAGUACAUGAGGUUCGGAGUUUUCUCGGUCUAGCUGGAUAUUAUCGUUGUUUCAUUCCAGACUUCUCCAAAAUAGCUAAGCCUCUGAAUAAGAUACUACAAAAAUAUGUGAAGUUUGUGUGGUCCCAGUAGUGUGAAGUCGCUUUCACCACUUUAUGCCAUUUAUUGACCACCGCUCCUGUUUUGGCACAGCCUGACAUUGAAAAGCCAUUUGAUGUCUUUUGUGACGCAUCAGGCACUGGCCUAGGUUGUGUACUUAUGCAAGAAGGCCGAGUUAUUGCCUACGCCUCUCGGCAAUUGAGGAAGCAUGAAGCCAACUACCCGACUCAUGAUCUAGAGUUAGCAACAGUUGUACAUGCAUUGAAACUUUGGAGGCAUUAUUUUUUAGGCAAUCUGUGUCACAUCUAUACUGACCAUAAGAGUCUCAAAUAUAUAUUCACUCAGCCUGAGUUAAACAUGAGACAAAGGAGAUGGUUGGAAUUGAUAAAGGACUAUAACCUUGAAGUACACUAUCAUCCAGGCAAAGCCAAUGUUGUAGCCUAUGCUCUGAGCCGAAAGCAACAUGUUGGACCUCUCCUAGAGGAAGGCUUCAAUUUAUUGCAUCCUAUGGUCCUGCACAACAUCGUGGUCAGUUGCUCAUUAGAAAGUCAAAUCAUAGAGCUCCAAAAGACUGAUCCUGGUAUUUUCCAUAUCAAGAGAAAAAUGCAAGAGCAAGACACCAAGCAUUUCAGGGUAGAUGAGAAGGGUGUACUAUGGUUUGACGAUCGACUAGUGGUAAAGACCGUGACCUACGCAACAAAAUUUUAGAUGAAGCUCAUUCUUCCAAGUUGUCCAUUCAUCCGGGUAGUACCAAGAUGUACCAAGACUUGAAACCUCAUUUCUGGUGGACUAAAAUGAAGAAGGAGAUAGCAGCAUAUGUUGCUAGGUGUGAUACUUGCUGCAGGGUAAAGGCAGUUCACCUCAAACCUGCAGGGUUAUUGCAGCCUUUGUCGGUUCCGCGUUGGAAGUGGGAAGAAAUCAGCAUGGAUUUCAUUGUUGGCCUUCCCCUCACCCAAAAGGGACACAAUUCCAUAUGGGUAAUUGUUGACCGUUUGACCAAGUCAGCUCAUUUUAUUCCCGUACAUUCUACAUACCGACUGUCCGACUAUGCUGAGUUAUACUUCUCUCAGAUUGUUAGAUUGCACAGAGUGCCCCGCACUAUUAUUUCUGAUAGAGGUCCUCAGUUUACUGCCCGCAUUUUGGAACAUUUGCAUUCACUCCUUGGUACAAAGUUGGUUCACAGUUCAGCCUACCACCCUCAAACCUCCGGUCAGACUGAGUGUGUGAAUCAAAUUUUAGAGGAUAUGUUGAGGGCAUGUGUGAUAUCUUCCAAGGGUGCGUGGGAGAAAUGGGUACCCUUAGCUGAGUUCUCGUACAACAAUAGUUAUCAAGAGAGUAUCCAAAUGGCUCCUUUUGAAGCUUUGUACGGCCGCACGUGUAGAACUCCUCUAAACUGGGUCGAACCGGGUGAAAGGAGGUACUAUGGGAUUGACUUUGUCAAAGAAGCCGAAAAGCAAGUUCUCAUUAUCCAGAAACACAUGGAAGCCGCCCAAGCCAGACAGAAAAGCUAUGCCGACCGAAGAAGAAAGCCACUCGAGUUCAAAAUAGGUGACUUUGUGUACCUGAAGGUAUCCCCCAUGAAAGGAGUAAACCGCUUUGGUGUAAAAAGAAAGCUAGCCCCUAGGUAUGUGGGUCCCUACCAAAUUAUUGAGAAAAGUGGCAAGGUAGCUUACAAGGUACAACUACCUCCAGAAACGAGAUCUAUUUUCCCGGUGUUCCACGUGUCUCAACUUAAGAAGUGUCUCCGUGUGCCCGAAGAGAGAGUGGAAACAAGAGAUCUCAAGUUGCAGUCCGAUCUAUCCUAUGAAGAGAAGCCGGUACAAGUUCUUGAUAUCAAGGAAAGAAUUACUCGCGGGAGAGUGAUCAAACUUUUUAGAGUUUUGUGGAACCACCAAAGUGAAAGAGAUGCCACUUGGGAAAGGGAAGACUACUUACGAGUAACUUAUCCCUCAUUCUACGAAAAAUGGUACGUCUUUCAAAUCUCGGGAUGAGAUUUUUGUAAGGGGGGAGGGCUGUAACACUCCUAGUGCUAGCUUGCAUGUUAACCAUGAACAUUGCAUCAACAUAAGCAUCAUCAUGAUCACUCAUGAGCAUCAUACCAUGAUCACAUGCCAUUUGCUAUAUAUACUAUGUGAUUGAAUUGCUAUAUGACUUGCUAUGAUUGAUUGUAAUGGUGACCAAUGCAUACAAGUGUAUAUUGUCUUCCAACAUACUUUAAUCAUGUUUAGAAUAGCAUUUUGAACAAAGUAUAUGUUGGGGGUUUUGUCCAAAAGUGCCCCUAAGUCAUGGUUAGCCUAGGUUGACCUAGUUGACCCCCUAGACCUCUUUUCAAAGAUGUUUUAUGAAACUGGUGUUAGAGACCUUGCAUGUAAAUGACACCUAAACCCCAGUUGUAGAAAAUUUCAUAAGCUACAAAAGUUAUGUUGAUGACUUUUUAUGAAAAAGCUUGGAACACAUUCAAAUUCAGCCCACAAGCCAAAAAUCAGUGCUGUUUUCACACUUAGCCGAAUUUGGCUAAGUCUAGGAUUCGGCAGUUUUGAUAUAGGGUUCUUGGGAGCCUUGUGGUUUGAAAUCCAGGCCCGUUUAGACUUCGAUCUUGUAAGCAAAACUGUAGAUCUCAUGUAGCUCUACCCAAUGGAACAAAUCUGAGCCAAAACCAUCGUGUAGAUCAAGAGUAAAACGUCGACGAACUUUGGGAUUCAGUCGCUGCAAUCGGGCGAUUCAGACAUCGUUUCAGUUUGGACAGUCGCCAUCCGCCGCCGCGUGUCCGGCCAGGUGUCGGCCGUACGCCGUCGACGGUCCCUCCUGUCAGUCCCCACGACGUCCACAAGUCGCCACGCACCGAGUGGAUGCCUCAGACGCGCCAUUCGCCCAUCGAGAGCUCCACAUUGCGCUCGCCUUCGUCCUCGGCGAGCUCCGCCGCGCUUCGGCGAGCUCUUUGGGCCGCUCCACCGCGUCUCCGGCCAAGCCAGUCCGCCCAGAGCUCUGCCUCGACGUCCUAUACCUCGACGUCCACUUCUUUCCCGUAGCCGAGCACUGGUGAGGCCACAUUGCCACCUCCGUCGCGAGCUCCACCUCGCCAGAGUUCGCAGACAUCACCGGCAACGUGGCCAGACCUCUCUGGUCCACCUCUGGCCGUGAUUCUUCUUCCUAUAGCUUCACCUUGAGUCACUCUUGCUCGUCCUCAACCUCUCCCGCGUCGCAAUUGCCUAGGUUCGCCGGCAUAACGCCGCGCAGCACCACCGCUCCGCCAUUCGCGACGGCAAGCACCCUAGGGUCCAGUAGAGCGCGAGUGAAGUAGGUCAACGAGUUCGCCUUGAGGAGAGGAACACGUAGAUGCCCUUUGAUCCGACCGAGACCUCGCCGUCGUCGAGUUUCGCCGGCGACGAGCGUCUCCCCUGUCUCUGUCUCUCUGUCACGUGGGUCCCGUGUGUCAGCGGAUCCCACCUGUCAGCCAUUCACCCUCGCACCUCUGGUUCACUGUGUAGCAGAUCCUUUGCUGUUUUUGAAAAAAUCAUAACUCGAGUUUUGCGAAUCCAAAUGAUGUGGUUCCAAUUUUGCUAGGUUUUUGUGGUAAUCUAGUUUUUAUUAAAAAUAUGAAAUAUGCCAUGUUUUUGCAAAAAUAAAUAGAUAUAAUUUAAUCUUGUUUUAAUAGGAGGUAAAUAUAUCUUGAGAUCUGUUGAUCUGGUGGCCAUGCAAAUUUAGGGUAUCGUUACUUAUGGCAUGAGUAGGCUCUGAUAAAUUUAUCAUGAUUUUUGGAGGUCUGAUUGUGAAGUUAUAAAUAUUUCUAGCUCAAAUAGGAGUUUCUUGUGGUAUUUUUAGUAAAUAGACUGUAACUCAUUUUAUGGUGAAACUUGCUGGUUGUUGUACUCAUAUGCAAACAAAGCUAGGAAAAAUCUGAAAUCUGUUGUUUGACACUUUUUGAUAAGGUUUCACAUUUAUGCCUUGAAUGUCUUUGUUAGCUUGUUAUUUUUGUAGCUCACAAUCUACAUGUGCAAGUGCCCUGAAACUUUUGCAGUAACCUUAUGAUAGUAGAAAUAGCUUGCAGUAAUUUUCUGAGGAUUUUUGGAGCAAUUGUGGUGUAUGAUCAUUAAAUCACCUUAAUAAUUAAAUAAAUAGAAAAGGUGAUGAUAGAAAUGAGUUUAGACCUUGCCAUGAUGUUUUCUGGUGUCUCUUAGACAUGUUCUAUCUACUGGUGCAUUUGGUUUGAACCCAUGUUACAUUCUUAAUAUGUGUAAAAUAUUAUUUUUGCUAAUUAUGUCUUUCCUAGAGCAUUUCUGUGUAGCUGAUAGCAAUUGUUUAAGAACUACUUGAAGAUUAUGUUUUCUGGAAAACUUGUCUAUAAUAAACUUGUAGCUAACUUGCUUAUCUACGUCGUGUCCAAAUUUCAUGACAUUUGGUUAAGUAGUUUCAAAGUUAUGAAUGUUGCUAUUAGCUGCUGCAAAGUGCUUGCUCUCUGGAUUUUCCAGGACAGCCAGCCGACUUUGUAUGUCUUAGCAUAUUUCGGUUGGGAAUCCUUCUGGGAUGUCUAAAAGUGAAUUGUAGACAAUUUACUAAGCUUUCCAGAAAGUAUCUACUUGUUUGGUUUGGCCACCUGAUGCUUAAGUUAUAACGAAAACAUUUGACUGGUAAUCUGUAUAUGACACCAGUUGCUAUCUAGAAGUAGCUCAAGUUGAUUGACUUGUCUAGUUAGCCUCUCUACCAGGGAAGAAGUAUGCACUUACUGGUUAUUCUGUGAUUCAAGCAAUUUUAGGAGUCUAUGCUCAUGUUUAUACCUUGCCAUGUGUUCCUUUGCUCAGCAUCAUGACAUGUUGCAUCCUAUGUGCAUUCCCUAUGUUCAUCACUUGUCAUGCAUACAUAGGUGCGCCCAGGGGAGUGACGGUCUUGGAGUACGAGCUGAUGGAGCCGGAAGAACAACAAGGGGAGCCACCUCAAGGAGCUGAGGAGGAGGACCUGCCAGAGUGUCCCGACCACCGCCCGUCCACCUACGUCGAAGGCAAGCCCCGGAGCAUUAUAAGCCUCCUACUAUUUUUGUUAUCAUGUCCAGCUAUCAAUCGACUAUGGUUAUGUAUUGUUGCAUUAAGUGUUAGGCGUUGAUAUGACACCCUUGCUGCAUAAUUAACUACCUUGUCCACCUCCUACCUUACCUAAAGUAGGUCCAGGAUCGAAAUGAUGCUUAGCCAUGCUUAGCUCGGUAGAAGCCGGGUGAUUUCCUGUCACCUACGAGAGAUAGGUGGAUGCUGAUCACGGUUGGCUAUAUUUGCUAUCGUGGAAAUAACCAUGUGCUAAUAAUAAACUUGAGACCGGGCAGGAUGACGAUAGUGCAGCAACAAGGCAUGGAGGUCUUGGGUGUGAAUCUAUCCCCAUCUGUGUCGUUUAAGGACCGAAUCGCUGUACGUCCCCGUGUCAUGUUGAACGCAUGCCUAACACUUAGUUGGCCGAAUAAGUUGUUCCAACCGCGAAGCCUACGAGUGCAUCUCCGGCCGGAUACCCCGAUCUGGUUAAAGUGCGCACCCCGGUUGGAAGUAAGGAUGUGCGGGGAGUCAAUGACAUAAGACCGAGCUGUCAGGUUAGAGUCCUGACCCUGGCAGAUUGGCGGUCCCUGGAGGUGCGGCGCCGUACAGACCCGCGAAUUGGUCCGGAGUUGUGCUAAAGGUGAUCCGAGCUGCCGUCAUGAAGUAUGCUUGGGCGAGUGCUAGGAAUACCCCUCCAGCUGGAUAGGAAUCGAUUCGAAUCGCCGUCUCUCCCGGAUAGUGAGAACUUGACUUGGGCAGCGGCAACGUAGAACUCACUAAAUAAACUUAAUGAUUAUGAUGAGAAUGUGGAUAGGAAGUGAUAAUCCGGAUAUGGUUAUUAUUGACAUGCUUAAUUACUCAAGUGUGUGCUUAGAACAGGUGCUAAUCUAGUCGAUAGUUGUUAAGUAAUGAACUUGCUGCUAAAAUGUUAUAAAUGGGUUACUUGCAACUAAAGCUUUUUAUACAAAAUGGUGAGUCAAACCAGUCCACAAAGAUAAGCCUUGCAUACUCCUUGGUGUCACUUUAUUUUUGGUUUAUGACGGGUAAGUCUAGCUGAGUACAUUCUCGUACUCAGGGUUUUAUUUACCCUUGUUGCAGAUGAUGUCGUUUAUCACGGCUACUGUGCUAACUGUCAUCAUCCGGCCGCGGACGAUGAAUAGAUCAUGGGCGUGAUCACCUCCUGUAUCUUUGUUUAUGCUUUUGUUGGGAUGACCAUGGAACUGGCUUGUAAAUUAAACUGAGUGUGUGAUGUUUCCAAAACUACUUUGCUUCCGCUACUGAACUGGUUUAUAAUAACUUGUUUCAAACUCCGAUGUGUUGUAAAACUAUGUUCUGUGAUGAAUGGAUGUAAUCUGUGAUGGUGAUGCUUGAUCAUAUACAAUAUUGGUUGUAUGUUGGUUGAAUUGAGGUCUUUUGAGAUUUCGUCGGACUACCGGGUGUCGGUGUUUUCCCCCUGGGGGGUCACACCAACGAGUAAAUUUGUAUGCGUGCAAGAGAAGGCCCUACGUCCAGUGGGGGAGGAGAGUUUGUAUUAUUUUGUAUGCUCUCCUUUCUAGAUAGUGAUGCAAAAAGACAUAAGGAUUUAUCCUGGUUCGGGCAAGAGAAGGCCCUACGUCCAGUGGGGGAGGAGAGUUUGUAUUAUUUUGCACCUAAGUGCCUGUACAGGGGUGAAUACAAGCGUGGUAUGGAAUGAGAUGGAGUAUGGAAGUCCUGCUGCGUAUGAGUGUCGUCGUGUGUGAUGCCUGAUGCCUGUGUUCGCUCCCGGACCUCCCCUUUUAUAGUUUCAAGGAGAGACCUAGGGUACAAGAAUAGGCGUCAGAGUAGGGGUCGAUAGAGGUAUGGCGCGCGGACCUACUCGAGGCCUCCGUACCGGCGUGGUCUCGAGCCGUCCUGUCCCGGUAGCUUGAUGAUGAUUACGCGUGCCCCUGUAUCCCGCUCCGUGCGCCAUCGCGGACUGGUUUAUCAGUUGCACGCCUGUACGUCAUGGCGGCAGAUACUUUGGAGUGGUUGCAGUGUUGACAUUCGACGUCCAACCCUUCCCUAGGAAGGAAACAUGUCUGGUCGAGGGUCGGACGUCGUGUAGCGCCAUGCUAUCCAGAGCGUUGGCCUUGGAUGUCUCGAGGGGGUCUUGACUAGAUGUUCCAUCCCUGCUUCCCGCGUCCUGACAUGCUCUGGGUUGUUGGUGCGGAAGGCUGCAAAAAUAAUGACGGGAUGGGUGUCUGUUCCCUAUCACGCUUCCCGCGACUGACGUGUUAGGUGAGAACGCGGCAGGCGCAUUAAAUGCCCUGGUUCCCGUGCGCGCGUCAAGCGGUGGGCGGCGUCCUUGCGCUCGAUGCCUCCUGGUUCGCUCGAGCCUAUUUCCGUAUUCGACGGUAGUUGGCGCUCGAGCGCUGAUCGAUUCGCUCGACGCCCUUUCCGUCUUCGAGGCCGCGGAUUGGGUAGAGCGUCGAGUUGGGGGCCUCGACUUGCGUACGGGCAAUCUUAUUAUGUGCAUCAGUUAGGACACCCCUUACUGAUACCCUCGACAGUAGCCCCCGAGUCAACAUUUGAGCGCUGGCGCUCGAGUGGAGGCUGUAUUUUCGUGGUCGAGUUUCCGUGGGGGCGCGCGAGCGACCCCGCGGGGGUAGCCCCCGAGCCCUUGGAGGAGUUUUUGUCUCCUUCGAGGGUUAUAUUGCCUAAUUCGCAGAAACGCUGUCAACACCAGUGGUGGAAGGGUCUGAUUGGCUCGUUUUGUGCGGAGGUUUCGACGUACUCUUGAUAGAGCGAGCAUCAUCCACUCCAGAUUGAGCUCCUAACGGGUAGUCCAAGUGAGAACCUGUGCCCCUUUCGAGGGGGUCAGCUGUAGCCCGGAGGCGUUCUCAUAAAGCGGGGUCGACGUGGUCGGGGAUGCUGGUCUCGUUCGAUAGAGUCCAGUGGCUCGAUGCCUCCGUCAGGAGGAUUCCUCUCGACUGUCUCGACCCUACCUCGGACAUCCCCACCGAGUUCUCAAGGCGGGCCUCGAUUUUCGACCACUCGCUGGGCAUACCUGACUCUAGUGUUCGAGAUCGGCUGUCAAACCCUUUCGGCGGGUCAGCUUGCGACCUCUCGAGGCUUUCGUGGGUGCGUUCCUUAGCUUAUAAGGGAAGGAAGAGGCCGUGGCGGUUCGCCUUUUUGCCCGUUGGGCGCGCCUUUUCAGGCGGGAGCCGUUGCGACACUGUACCGGCGCAGAAUUCGGACCGCCCCGUCUGUGAGGAGAAAAAAGACCGUUAGGCGGCGCAUUUAUGGGGGGAGUUACCUCAUUUAUCAGAUCUGUCCGUUGGUGGGUUGCUGCCUAUAAAUAUCCCAUGGCAUCGACGCCGUUCUCCCUUCCGCCUUCUGUCUUCAUUCUUGCCUUAGCCCUCUCGCCAUCUCACGCGCGCGCACCCCCUCGAGCAGUAGCGAAUCUGCCCUCUUUCUGUACAAGAUGCCUGUGAGACUCGUCGCCACCAACGACUGGCGCCCGUCGUCGAUGACAGAACACCGGUUGCUGGAGCUUGAGAGGGAGGGACUCCUGCGCCACCGCACAUCGCUGUCGUCGCCGGAGUGGAUCGCACCGCCAGCGGACCAUAGGGAGCCCAAUCCGCCCAAGGGCUAUGUGGUUUCGUUCGCCAAGUUCCACCGCCACGGCCUGGGCGCUCCUCCGAGCCGCUUCAUGCGGGCGCUCUGCCACCAUUACAGGGUGGAGCUCCAGCACUUAUCCCCAAAUGCCAUCACCGUCGUGGCGGUCUUUGCCGCGGUAUGUGAGGGUUAUUUGGGGAUGAUGCCCCACUGGGAGCUGUGGCUCCACCUCUACAGGGCGAGCUCUUUAACGCCCCCGCUGGAGCCGCCGGAGUGAGGAAACCCGUGCGGGCCGGGUGCCUGAACCUGGUGCUGAAGACGGGGAAGACGGAGAGGCCAUGGGAGUACAUCUCGGUGGGGUUAUCGUCGAACCACGCCGGAUGGGACUCCCAGUGGUUAUAUCUAUGGAACGACGACGGUCUCCUCCCUGCCUACACCGACCGCCUGAUUACGGAGCGCCUAGAGAACUGGACGUACGGCGUCGUCCAGGUGCACCAGUCGCGGCUCGACCCCCUCCUCGAUGCCUUGAAGAAGCUACGCGUGGAGGUCCUGUCUGCUGCUCUCGUCCUCUCGUCCGUCCAUCAUCGAAGAGUUCUCCCGCUGAUGUCUCGGCCGCUGAGGAUGGAUGAGAUGGGGCCCGACGCUUCAUCCCGGGACCUCGAGGCGUGCCGGAUGUCCAACGAGGCUCUGGCAGACGAUGAAGUCGCGGCCUGGGUCAGGGCAGCCGUUGCCGGCGACUUCUAGCUGGAUCACGUCAAUGGCUUCCCCAUGAGGCCAGAUGCGGGCUCGAUCGUCCUGGUACAUUCUUUUCUUGUAUAUAGCUUCGAUUCUGGAUUUCUUUCAAUCCUCUUUUGAGCUUGUCUUUGUUCUGGCAGGGACAGAUCGAUGUCCGUUCCUCGAGGCCUCCAGUAAAGGAGGACGAGGUCGAUCAUGACAAGCGGCGCCAGUCCGCUGAGAAACAAAAGUCCACCAAGGACUCAGAGAUGAAAGAGAAGAAGAAGAAGAAUCUCGACCGCCAAUCGCUAGAGGUGCGUCGAGCCAAGUCCAGGCAGAGGGGGGAGCCUGAAGAAGAAUCCCCCAGUGAGGACGACGGUGGAGACGGCGAUGACGGUAGCGACGACUCCGAGGGGAUGGCGUCUCGUCUCGACCGGAUCCUCGAAGGUCCGCCUCGAGGCGACGUCGACGCCCCGCGGACAGGAGCGCCAAAGGAGGGGCCAGGCGGAUCUCACUGCGCCCGCGCUGACACCCCUCCUGCGCCCGCGCCAAGUCGGGCCGCCCCGCACCACCAACCUCCCCCUGCACCAAAGGCGGGUGGCCGGGCUAAGCCCCAGGCGAUGGGGACGUUGACCCAUGGCCGCGCCGCGGCCUCCGAAAAGGGAGACGCUGGCCGCAGGAGCGCUAGCCCCGGCGCUUGCCCGGUGGGAGAUGCUGGACCAAGGCCCGCGCCUGCCCGUGAGGGGCCUGGAGCCUCGACGCGAGGUGGUUCGAGGCCCACCGGUCGUGGUACCGGCAAGUGAGCCGUUCUCCCUGUGGGGUAAGUUCUUCGACGCUGCGAUUCUCAUCCUCCUGUUUCCUUGCGUUUUCUCGUAUAACGGUCUUCCUUACACCCAUUUCUUUUUCCUCAGGUUGAAGCGGACGCUUGAGCAGGCCCAGCCUUCAAUGGCGAAAAGGCUCAAGAUGGGAGCGGCCUCCAAGGAUUCAGGUUAGUUGUUUUAUUCCCGUUGCUGUGGGAUUUUUUUAUAGGCUCCUCCGACCCUCAACCACCGACUGGUACCGAGAGUGCCCCUUCCCGACCCCUGGUGGGUGAGUCUGCCCCGUCGUUGCCAAAACGAGCCGAGGCGCCUCAGCACCAAGGGCAGGAGGGAGCCCCCGAGCCUCCCCGGUCGGGGGUCGAGGGGGAUCCCAUUACCAUAAGUGAUGGGUCUGGCGGUGACGGGACCUUGAGGGAUACCCGUCCUAUGGACGAGGAGGCCCAGACUUCUCUCGUUGCGAGACAGACGCCCUGGCCUGCCGGGCUUCGCUCCAUCGAGGAGUAGAAGAAGAAAGAGGAGGAGGAGCGUGAGCAAGAGACGCGGCGGCAACUGCAGGAGCAGGACCGUCAACAAGAGCCGCGGGAGCUUGAGGAGUAGCAGCAGCGGAGGGGCCAGCCGUCGGAGGAACCGUUCGUGCCUCCUCCUCACAGUCUGCCCCAACCGGUACUACCGGCGCCGCAAGAGCCCGGGAAACAGGAAGGGGGUCUGCCGGUUUUCGGCCCUCCGACCCCGGCGUGGCUCCAUCCAGGGGCGCCUGCCGCGAUCCCAGCAGAGUCGGGGCGGGCAGACGGCGUGGUAGCGCUUGCCUGCAUGAUGCGCACCCCCGUCGACCCCAAGUCCGAGAUCAGGAGUACGAUCUACGGCAUGGAUAGAAUCGCUCCGGGGUUCCUCUAGGAGCGUCGGUCAUGGGAGGACCGUAUUCCCGCUGAGGAGGAUGAGGUCGGGACAUCGGGCGGCGGCGGAGGCAGCGAAACCGGCACCUGGAAGACAGUGGACAACGACGGGAGGUUCCCCUCCCUCGUCGACUUGUUCCUGCGCCACAGGGGGUCACUCGAGACCGUCGAGGAGCUCAUCCACGACGUCAAGGCGCAGACCGACCAGGAGAUGGAGAAUUGGUGCCCCGAUCGGAUCCGCAUCCGGGCUUCCACCGAUCCGUCUGAGGCCAACAUCUUCCUGGACGAUUGGAAGGAGGCUGAGAAGUGGGAGCACGUCGAGGAGCUCCGCCUCUGGAUGAAGCACAUGGUGGGGCUCCUGUCGGACGUUGUAAACAACAGGCUUGGACCAGCCUACUUUGUAAGUAUCGUUCAGUCUUUCAAUCUUUAUGGAACUUGUUGGUUUUGUGUUCUAACUGCUCGAUCACCGGCUCACAGGACCUGAAAGAGACCUCCCGCAUUAAGUCAAGCUUCAUUCACGCCACGAGAGGUGGCUGGGAGCAGCUCCCCAUCCUCAAGGACCAACUCCCGGAGUCACAGGAGAAACUCCUCAAGGCUUAUAAAGAGCUCUUGGCGCUCGAGGAGGAGAAGAAGGAGAGGGAGGCUGCCCUGGUGGAGGCUCGAGAGGCCUCAAGGAAGGCGAUGGAAGAGGCUGUGCUGUUGAGGGAGCGUGCUCUAACGGUCGAGGAGGCUGCGUCUAAAGCCCGGGAGGAGGCCCUGUCCUACAAGAACGUCGUUGCUGACCUGGACAAGGAGAAGGGCCUCCUCAAGACUGACCUGGACUCCCUCCGAGAAUCCUUCCAGAGGAUGAAGGUGGAGUAUGUGAACAGCGAGGUCGCCAGGAGCGCCACGGAGGAGGCAAAGAAGAAGGCCCUUGAAGACCUCGAGGCGAAGUGGGCUCGAUCCCGCAGCCUCUCGGACGAUGUCGAUCAUCUGAAGAGGGCGCUGCUGGAGAAGGAAGGAGCCAUCACGCAGGCCGGCAAGGCGAUCGAGGAUCUGCGUGUCGCCAACACCGAGCUGGCGCGCUUCAACAGGGAGGUCGAGAGGGCCAACACCAAUUUGGUUGGCGAAAACAUGGCUCUGGAGGAGAGCAUCCGUGGUAUGUUUUCUGUUAUCGAGUUUCUUUUCUGAUGUGUGUUUGGUGUUAUCUAAUCCACUCUUGUUGAUUCUUGUAGGGCACAUGGAUGAGCUGCUGGCUGCCCAAGUCGAGGCCCGCUCCAUCAAGACCCAGCUCGAGGGGGAGGUCGCCUUGAACGGUCGUCUAAGGACUACGAUAAGCGACCUCUCGGCUUCCUGGGAGCUCGAGCCUGUUGACGAGUCGAGGGAGGAGGCUCGGGGUGACGCACUCAUCGACUAGCUAUGCUAUCUUGGAGCUACGCUGAGGGACCGGGUGCGGGACGCCCUCCACGUCGGAGUGAAGCUGGCGAUGGCAGUAAUCUACUUAGGUUUCUCCAAUGACAUGGACGUGGUGUCCCACGGCUUCGUCACCAACAUCUCCAAGACUGACGCGGAGAACGAGGAGAGGCUCCAUGCCUUGAUCUACGACAUAGAGGUUCCUGGAGAGAGGUUGGCUAAGCUAUUCGAGCCAGAGGUACUUCCUCCUGAGACUAGCUCAGGCGCAGGUGAGGAUGGUGAGGGCCGAGACGCGGACUGAGGCCUACGAGCCUACUCUGGGUGCCUGGGCCCCUUAUAUAGUACUCUGUUAAUUUGUAUUUAAGUAAUACAAUGUCUUUUAAGUGGUUGUCAAAUGUUUAUCUGUCUUUCCGCUCGAGGCUCUUUUAUUUCCCUUUGCGCCUAUAUUUGUAUUCCUCGUCUGAUCUUUUGUUUAAGGUGAUCUCGGUUGCCUCAAGGGUGAGGAAGCGAGUAGAGUUUCCGUAGCCCGGGGGCGUAGGAGUUCCCAAGCUCGUCGUCUCUCAGCCCUUAAGGGACUCGAGGUGCCUCUACUACUCAACCAUACGAGAUUACUCAUAGGAAAGAAAGGGUUACUUGGUUUUUUCGACAUUUGGGGGGCGGUCACCCCCCUGCUAGCCCCUGAGGGGGUAUCGACUAUGAUGGGUCAUAGUCGGUACUCCCUUCUAACGUCGAGAUUUUGACUCGUAAAAAAGUAAAUUGCCCGAGGGAAAGACUUUAUUUCUUCAUGCAUUCAUUUACAAAGCCUUGGUACAGAAUGUAUAUGGGAACAUAGAGCUUUGAAAUUCUAGGGGUAGAAUCGACGUAGCUGUUCGAUGUUCCACGCGUUGGUGAAGAUUGCUCCCUUUUCGUCCGCGAGCUUGUAUGUCCCCGGCUUCAAGACCUCGGCCACUACGUAUGGCCCCUCCCAAGGUGGAGUCAGCUUCUGGCAUCCUUGAUUGCUUUGCCGCCGUCAUAGGACGAGGUCGCCCACGUUCAAGUCCCUCUUGCGUACGUGCUUGUCGUGGUAGCGUCGAAGAUUCUGCUGGUAUCUGGCAGAGUUGAGGAGGGCCAUGUCUCGAGCUUCCUCAAGUUGGUCGACCGUGUUUUCUUGAGUCUCUUUAUUUGAUUGCUCGUUGUACGCUUUGAGUCGAGGGGAUCCAUACUCGAGGUCCAUUGGAAGCACAGCCUCAGAGCCAUACACCAUGAAGAAUGGGGUGUAUUUUGUGGCCCUGCUUGGCGUCGUCCUUAAGCUCCAUAGAACUGAGGAAAGCUCCUCGACCCAUUUCUUGCUGAAUUUCUUCAAGCGAUUGCAGAUCCUCGGUUUGAGCCCUUGCAAGAUCAUGCCAUUGGCACGCUCGACCUGGCCGUUAGUUCGAGGGUUUAGGGUUUUUGCGUUCCAUGGCGGCGACGAGAUCGUCGUCGAAGUCUUCCCGCUGGAACGGCCGUGUUUUCUUCUUCUUCUUGUUCUUCUUGGGCCCUCGACUGGGGCCCUCGUCCUCAUCGGCGGGCUACUUGCCUGUCCUUCCUUCACAGGUGAAGAAGGCGCCGACCGCUUCUUCCCCUGCCGCGUAGUUGGCCACCACAUCCAUCAGCUCGUCAACGGUCUGAGGGUGAUUUCGGCCUAAUUCCCGCACCAAGUCUCGACUGGUGGUACCAGAGACAAAGGCCAGGAUGACGUCGUGGUCGGGGAUGUGCGGCAGCUCGUUGUGUUGCUUUGAGAAGCGUCGGGCGUACUCUCGAAGUGUUUCUCUUGACUUCUGCUUGCACUUGCUGAGGUCCCAUGAGUUUCCAGGCCAUAUGUAGGUCCCUUUGAAGUUACCCUCGAAUACUCUAACCAGAUUGACCCAGUCGUGGAUCUGAUCGGUGGGACGUUCCUCGAGCCACCUACGGGUGGUGUCGGAGAGGAAGAGUGGCAGUUGUCUGAUGAUGGCUCUAUCAUCUCCCCGAGCGCCUCCCAGCUGACAGGCCAGCCUGAAGUCUGCCAGCCACAGCUUUGGUUUUGUUUCACCGUUGUACUUUGCGAUGCUGGUCGGGGGUCGGAACGGACUGGGCAGCGGCGUGCUGCAGAUUGCCCUGCUGAACACCCGUGGGCCUGGUGGCUCUGGGGCCAUCUAGUCCUCGUCGCUGUCGUACCUCCCGCCGCGAUGGGCGCUGUAACCGCGCUCUUCCACGUCCCCGUACCGACGUCAACGAUUCUCUUCAAUGUCGCGUCGUGCGGCGUGUCGACGUUGGUUGUCAACAGGGAGGACGAGCGUGGUCUUUUUCCCUCGAGGGGGUGGCUGCUGAUGGACCGACACCUCCUUUUCGUUUUGGGCUGGCUCAUCGCGCUUUUCGGUGGCCGCUCCUCGAUGUCGAGAAGCUGAGCUUUCGGCCUGCUGAACUGCCGCCACCUAGAGCAGAGUCUGCACCUCGUCUCGGAUGCGUCGUGCUUGGGAGUUCGACGGCUCUGGCAUGUUUCACAGCAGCAUUGUUGCUGCCAUAAUGUUCAGGCCUGCUCAAGGGAAACGGCUGACCGGCUGUUCAGGUUCUGCGUCUUCGACGAUCUGCCGAUGUACCUCUCGAGCUCGUCUGCGAACACUUCCACCGGGCGGGUAAGGCAGGUCCUGCUCGAGGAUCUGCUCAAGCAGAACAAGUCGCUCACGAUCCUCGUCAAGCUUUGUCUUGAGAUCUCGUAGCUGCGCAAGUUGCGCGGCUCUGUCCUCCUGAGGAGGGGGGUCGACCUAACCGUCGUUCCCUGGCGUCCUAGGGUCUUCCCUUGCUGCAGGGGCUCGACCGCCAGCAGCAGCGUCUUGUGUUUCGUCGGUAGUUUCUACUGCCCCGUCGAUGUGAUAGCAUUCCCUAGUAGGGUCGUAGCUGACGGAUUCCGAGCCGGAGUCCGGCUCGGCGGCGUAGAAGCAUCCGCGUCCUUCCUCCAGUCGCCGCUGCCUGAGGGAGGUAAUCGUGUACCGUCCAGGGCCCAGGCGGCGGAGGCCUCGUACCUGCGAGAAGUCUGGUAACUCGGACGUCUGCCACUGUGCUUCAGGGGCGCGUGGGAGGACCAUUGGUCUCUCCACGUACGUCUAGACGUUUGGACAUAUUGUCCUGGCGAGCGACGCCGCGGCAUUGUCCAAGCCGAACGGCAAUGCUCUUCUUGGGGUGAACAGCCCAUAUGGGAGUAGCCUGACGGCAGGGGAGAGCACGCGGGGCGCGUCACCUCCUGUCGUCGCGUGAUCCUCGUGGUGCUGAGCCGUCAGGCCCACGGUUCCGGCGUGUGGGGCUGUCGACUCCUGCGUCACGUCCUGCCUGGCAUGAACGGCUGGUCGUGACGGGGCAGAAAGGCGACGGUGGUGGUGUUCACGCCUCUUCUUGGGCGGGGAGGCAUGGUGGCGAGGGCGUCUCGGGGCCCUUGACCGUGCUGGCGCAACGCGGGCUCCUCCUGGUCCUUUGAUCGAGAGCAAGAUCAUGUCAUAGCCGGAGCCGGUAGACAUGAACUCGAGACUCCCAAACCAAAUCACCGUGGAGCGCGGAAUCGGUGAAGCAAGAGUGGCCAUCUGGAAAGGAGUGGGAAAUCGUUGAAAAACACGUAGGACCCCUACCUGGCACGCCAACUGUCGGUGUUUCCCCCCCGGGGGGUUACACCAACGAGUAAAUUUGUAUGCGUGCUCCCUUUUCUAGAUGGUGAUGCAAAAAGACACAAGGAUUUAUCCUGGUUCAGGCAAGAGAAGGCCCUACGUCCAGCGGGGGAGGAGAGUUUGUAUUAUUUUGCACCUAAGUGCUUGUACAGGGGUGAAUACAAGCGUGGUAUGGAAUGAGAUGGAGUAUGGAAGUCCUGCUGCGUAUGAGUGUUGUCGUGUGUGAUGCCUGAUGCCUGUGUUCGCUCCCGGGCCUCCCCUUUUAUAGUUUCAAGGAGAGACCUAGGGUACAAGAAUAGGCGUCAGAGUAGGGGUCGAUAGAGGUACGGCGCGCGGACCUACUCGAGGGCUCCGUACCGGCGUGGUCUCGAGCCGUCCUGUCCCGGUUGCUUGAUGAUGAUUACGCGUGCCCCUGUAUCCCGCUCCGUGCGCCGUCACGGACUGGUUUAUCAGUUGCACGCCUGUACGUCAUGGCGGCAGAUACAUCGGAGUGGUUGCAGUGUUGACAUUCGACACCCAACCCUUCCCCAGGAAGGAAACAUGUCUGGUCGAGGGUCGGACGCCGUGUAGCGCCUUGCUAUCCAGAGCGUUGACCUUGGAUGUCUCGAGGGGGUCUUGACUAGACGUUCCAUCCCUGCUUCCCGUGUCCUGACAUGCUCUGGGUUGUUGGUGCGGAAGGCUGCAAAAAGAAUGAUGGGACUGGUGCCUGUUCCAUAUCACGCUUCCCGCGACUGACGUGUUAGGUGAGAACGCGGCAGGCGCAUUAAAUGCCCUGGUUCCCGUGCGCGCGUCAGGCAGCGGGCGGCGUCCUUGUGCUCGAUGCCUCCUGGUUCGCUCGAGCCUAUUUCCGUAUUCGACGGUAGUUGGCGCUCGAGCGCUGAUCGAUUCGCUCGACGCCCUUUCUGUCUUCGAGGCCGCGGUCGUUGAUGACUGUAUGCGCGACUGAUUGGGUAGAGCGUCGAGUUGGGGGCCUCGACUUGCGUACAGGCAAUCUUAUUAUGUGCAUUAGUUAGGACACCCCCUACUGAUACCCUCGACACCGGGUUUAUAUGGGUUCAAGUCCAUUGGCUAAUUCACUUGAAUUCUUAUAAAUUGGACGGUUCUGUUACAAAAGGUCCCCUCGAAAUAGAUUCCCGAAGUGGCUUUGUGUGAAUGUUGGCCUCCAGAGCAGUUUCCAAUAAACUGACCAUAACUUUUAACUGGAAGUCCAAAUGAUGAACCAUUUCUUGGGUGUGAAACUAGACUCAAAGGUCUUUCCAGCAAUGUAUGCCAACCAGCAGGAAACAUUGUAGAUUGGUACAGUUUUACUUGGCAAGUUGUACCAAUAUUCUGUCACGACAGACUGUUCACCUUCUGAGCAGUCUGUACUAAUUCUGGUCUGCAGGCAAUGUAGUGUAUCCAAACUGGUCGCCACUAGACUCAUUGGAGAAUAGACUCGACAAGCUUUCCAACAAUUCCUCAUGGAUCUUCAUAGCUUUUAUGAGUAAAAAGUUAUGAAGAUUUCUUUGCACUGGUCCGUUCUUGACUACCACUGGUCCGUUUUUGACUCUUCUGGUCUUCUUUGCACCACUACGUGCAAUUGGUCCAUCGAUGACUUGGACUGGAGUCGGUGUAGGUGAAACUUGAGUGGGUGUAGCUUGACUUAGAGCUCUUGACAUGUUGCUUGGUGGUGUGGUCAUAUCAUUAUCUCUUCUCCGCAUCCGUGAAAUUUGAGGGUGUGCAGUUGGAUAUGGUAACUGUUCGCACGACAAUCAAAGGAUUGUACAAGUGAUUUGAGCGCAAGCGGUGAUUUUAGGAAAUAUUUUACUGUGCAAGAUCUCAUGGUCAGGUCAUCGGCAGUUCACUCUAACGGAAAAGUUGCCGAUGAGCGGUUGUUUAGGGGAUUUGGUUCCAGAAGUUGAGAGAUUCGAGGUGUAUGUUGGGGAUCCAGAUUAAGGUUGCUUGGAUUUGGUAAUUAAUUGCUGUCAAAGGGGAGUAAUUGCGGAAAGGCAUCAUUAGAGAAGAGAAUUUCAGAGCAUUAAUAAUUAUAUACUCCGAAAUUGAGGGGCAUGUGUUGACACCGUUUUUAGACACGUAUCUUUGGACAUGUAUCUCAGAGUUAAUGAGAUGUAGAUCGGCAGGCGAAAGAAUGUUGACUGGUUAUCAGAGGAGUUUCCGAUGGGUUAUAUUGCCGAUGACUAAACAGCUGGAUGUAGCCAAGUCCAGGGAUGAUGGUUAAUCUGUGCCGAUGGCUGAUAUUAUUGGUUGCCGAUGCCGAUGGAAGCUAGUUUGCUGAUGAUAGCAGAAGGGGCGUGGGACAUACCGAGAAAAGGAUGAAGGUGCACCAACCGCCUAGGAUGAAUAAAUUAAUGUUUUCCAUAGUUAUUAGAGUCUGUUUUGUGUGCGGACUUUGUUUAGUUGGAAAGUAGAAUCCUAGUCGUGUCUGGUUGUAACUCUUUUGGACAGGGUAUAAAUGUAGACCCCGUAGCAAUGUAAGAAGAUAUACAAUCAAUCAAACACAAGUUUUUACAUCUAUUCCAGCAUCUACUUUUUCGACGACUUCGUCAAUUCGCAUAUUUUCCUUUUACUUAUGAGUUAUUAGGAAUUCAUCGAGUCAAUCUCGAUGAGUUCUCAAGUUCCGCAUGAAUACAUCUUGGCCAAGGCAUCCGGGCGUAUCGCUGUUGUUAGGACCAAAGUAUUCGAGUUAUCACCUUUGUCGGUUGCAAGGUCAAAUCGGCUAUUAGCCCUUUGUGUUUGCAGAUCCGUUUUUGCAUCCACAAUUGUCCAUAGUUCUGCUUGGACCUGAGCUGAGGGGAGUUGGGUCUCUGUCCAUUCCGCGAUGAAAUCUGCCAGUGCCUGAGACUUGAUGGCUUUGCGAGGCGCAUAGGUGAGGGUCUCCCCCAUGAGCUCGACCAACCAUUUGGCGAUCCUCCCAGUGGCCUCUUGAUUCUGGAUGAUCUCGCCCAGCAGGAAGGAUGAGACUACCGUGAUCGGAUGGCCGAGGAAGUAGUGCUGCAGCUUCCGUCGGGCGAUAAUCACUGCAUAAAUAAUUUUUUUAAUCUGGGGGUAAUGUACUUUUAUCUCUGAGAGCACCUCGCUGACUAAGUAGACCAGCCGCUGAACUGGUAGCGCGUGUCCUUCCUCUUAUGUUUCGACCACCACGGCCGCGCUAACGACCUGGGUCGUUGCCGCGACGUAUAGGAGUAGAGGUUCUGUGUGUCGAGGGGGCACCAGGAUUGGAGCGGUGGUCAGCAUCCUUUUUAGUUUGUUGAGGGCUUCCUCAGCCUCGAUGGUCCAGGCAAAGCACUCAUCUUUCUUCAGGAGCAGUUACAAUGGCAACGCUUUUUCCCCCAACCUCGGGAUGAAACGGCUCAGUGCCGCCAGACAGCCUGUUACUUUCUGUACGCCCAUGACGUCUCGAAUAGGCCCCAUCUUGGUGAUGGACGAGACUUUCAUGGGUUUGGCCUUGAUGCCGCGCUGGGAGACUAUAUAUCCUAAAAGCAUGCCUCGAGGCACGCCAAAGACAUAUUUCUCGGUGUUGAGCUUGAUUUUGCUCGCACGCAGUCAGCUAAAGGCGAUCUUGAGGUCCUGAAUGAGGUCGGCCUGUUUCUUUGACUUGACGACGAUGUCUUCGAUGUAUGCCUUGACCGUCGAUCCUAUAUGCUCUCCAAAAACAUGGAGCAUGCACCGUUGGUACGUUGCUCCGGCGUUUCAAAGCCCAAAGGGCAUGGUCACGUAGCAGUACAUUCCAAAAGGCGUGACGAAAGAGGUCAUGAGCUGGUGGGACUCUUUCAUUUUUAUUUGAUGAUAACCAGAAUAAGCAUCAAGGAACGAAAGGGCCUCACAUCCCGCGGUAGAAUCAACGAUUUGAUCAAUGUGUGGUAAAGGAAAAGGAACUUUCGGACAUGCUUUAUUUAAACUGGUGUAAUUGACACACAUCCGCAUUUUUCCAUUCUUUUUCGUAACUAAUAAAGGAUUUGCUAACCAGUCGGGAUGAUGAACCUCCUUGAUGAAUCUGGCCGUCAAAAGCUUGUGGACCUCCUCACCGAUGAUCUUGCGCUUUUCCUCGUCGAAGCGGCGCAAGCGUUGCUUCACUAGCUUGGAACCGGCUCGAAUCUCCAAGGAGUACUCGGUGACAUCCCUCGGUAUGCCAGGCAUGUCCGAUGGACUCCAUGCAAACAUGUCGGUGUUUGCAUGGAGAAAGUCGAUGAGCACAACUUCCUAUUUGGGGUCGAGGUCAGCGCUGAUCAUCAGCACCUUGUCGUCAGAGCUGUUGAGGUCGAGCGGGAUUUUGUUCGUGCCUUCUGCUGGCUCGAAGCUACCCACAUGGUGCUUAGGUUCUGGAUCCUCCGCGGCGAGGGUCUCGAGCCUCGAGGCGAGCUCGCUGGAGCUCUCGAUAGCUUCCUUGUAUUCGAAGCACUCAACGUCGCAUUCGUAUGCAUGCUCGUAAGAGGAGUUGACGGUGAUGCCCCCUUGGGCCCGGGCAUCUUCAGCUUUAGGUAAGUGUAGUUGGGGACCGCCAUGAACUUGGCAUAUCUCGGGCGUCCGAUGAUGGCAUGGUAAGUACCUCGAAAACCCACCACCUUGAAAGUGAGGGUUUCCUUCCUAAAAUUGGCUGUCGUGCCAAAACAGACCGGUAGGUCGAUUUGACCCACCGAUAGAGCCUUUUUCCCCAGCACGACGCCAUGGAAUCGACCAGAACUGGGUUGGAGCUAUGCUCUCUCGAUGUUGAGGAGGUCGAGGGUUUCGAGGUAGAUGAUGUUAAGGCUGCUGCCGCCGUCCAUCAACACCUUCGAGAGUCGAGUGUUAACGAUGAUCGAGUCGAAAACGAGUGGGUAGACACUAGGGGCGACAACCUUUUCAGCGUGGUCGCCGUGGUCGAAGGUGAUGGGGGUGCAUGACCAAUUGAGGUACUAUGGCACUACCAUCCUUGCCGCGAAGACCUCACGGCGCUCCCUCUUAUGCUGUCUCGAGGUAAGCUGCAUCGAGGGUCCACCGUAGAUCAUGUAACAGUCGUGGACGGCGGGGAACCCCUCAUCGUCUUUAUCUCCGCCCUUGUCAUCGCCUUCGUCCUUCCUUUGGUCGUCCUUCUUCAGCCCUAGGCUGUCGAAGUACUUCUUCAGCAUGCGGUAGUCCUCGAGCUUGUGAUUAUCCCCUCGCUUAUGGUAAGGGCAGGGCUCCUUGAGCAUCUUGUCAAAGAUGGCCCCCUCUGGAGGGCCUCGAGCUUUCUUCCGCUCGACGGCAGCGACAAAAUCUUCGUUGAGGGCCUCCCGCUUGAUUUGUCGUGUCUUCUUCUUCUUGUUCUUUUUACCCCCCUGCUAGGGCCCUCGUCAUCAUCUGCUGGUCCUUCCCCUUGCCGCUCUUGUGGCAAAUGAAUGCGCCAACCGCCUGCUUGCUGGUGGCGUAGUUUGCCACUAUGUCCAUCAGCUCGUCGACGGUCUACGGGCGAUUCUGGCCUAACUCCCACACCAAAUCGUUACAAGUGGUGCCUGAGACAAAUGCAAAAAUUACGUCAUGGUUGGGGAUGUGUGGGAGCUCUGUGCGUUGCUUGGAGAAGCACCGAGCAUAUUCUCAGAGAGAUUCUCUAGAUUUCUGCUUGCACUUGCUGAGGUCCCAUGAAUUUCUAGGGCGUAUGUAAGUCCCCUUGAAGUUCCCUUCAAACACUCGAACCUGGUCCGUCCAGUCAUGGAUCUGGUUGGCGAGAAGCUCCUCGAGCCACCUGCGAGCAGUGUCGGAGAGGAAGAGCGGUAGCUGCCGGAUGAUGGCUCGAUCGUCUCCUCGAGUGCCUCCCAACUGGCAAGCCAGCCGGAAGUACGCUAGCCACAGUUUUGGCUUGGUUUCACCGUUGUACUAGGCGAUGCUGGUCAGGGGUUGGAAUGGGCUCUGUAGUGGCGUGCUACGGAUCGGCCUGCUGAAGACUCGAGGGCCCGGCUGCUCCGGAGCCAUUCGGUCGUCGUCACUGUCGUAACGUAUGCCGCGGUGAGCACUGUAGCCUUGCUCCUUAGCGUCCCCGUGUGGGCGGCAUCGACGCUCAUUGAUGUCAUGUCGAGCGUCAUGCUAUCCUCGAUUGUCGACGAGGCACUCCUGGACAGGCACUGUUUUCUUGCCUCAAGGCGGCGGCUCCAGAUGAACUGAUACCUCCCUCUCGUUUUGGGCUAGCUCGACACGCUUCUCUGUGGCUGCCCCUCGACGUCGAGAGCCUGAGCUCUCGGCUUGCUGAGCUACCGCCACGUGGAGCAGACCCUGCACCUCAUCUUGAAUGUGUCGUGCCAGGGAGUUCGAGGGUUCAGGCAUGUUAUGUAGCAGCAUGGUUGCCGCCACGAUGUUCUAUCCGGCUCGAGGGAAACGGCUCACAAGCGGCUCAGGAUCCUCGUCCCUGACAAUUUGUCGGUACACGUCUGAAGCUUGACCACAUGCACCCCCGCCAUGCGAGUGCGGUUGGUUUCGCUCGAGGGUCCAUUCAAGCUGGCUGAGGCGCUUGCGAUCCUCGUCUCGCUUGGCUUUGAUCUCUCGCAGUUGCGCAAGUUGCGUGGCCUUGUCGUCCUGAGGCGGUGGGUUCACCUUCCCGUCGUUUCCAUGUGUCCUGGGAUCUUCCCUUGCUGCGGGAGCUCGAGCACCGGCGGCGGCAUCCUGCGUGUUGUUCGUGGUAGCCACGGCUCUGUCGAUGUUGAAGCACUCCCUUGUAGGGUCAUAGCUGUCGAAUUCAGAGUCGGGGUCUGGCUCAGCGUUGUAGAAACAUCCAGGCCCUCCUCCGCCAACUGCUGUCUCAGUAUGGUGAUGGUGUAUCGCUCAAGUCCUAAGCGUCAAAGCCCACAUAUCUGGGGGAAACCUGACUGCUCUGCUACUUGUUGAGCUUGCUGCCGUGUACCUGCGUCGGGUGAGAGGACCAGUGGUCGCUCCACGCUCGUCCCGGCGCCCGGACAUAUUGCCCUAGCGAGCAACGUCGCCGCGUUGUCCAAGCUGAAUAGGAGCAUCCGCCUCGUGGCAAACAGACCGUGAGGUAGCAGUGCAGAUGGAGGCAAGGGUGCGUGGGGUACGCCACCGCCUGACACUGUCGCGUGGCCAUUCUGACGUCUGGCUGUCGUGACUAUGGUCUCGACGCAUGGAUGUUGGCAGUCAUUAUAGACCAAUUAUAAACUACCAACUUGAUCCAAAAGGAGAAGAAGCAAUCAUGUUAUAUACACACAUGCAUUUCAUUACUAACAAGUUCCACUUGUACCAUAGUGAUUAUAUUUUGUAGAAAUUAUAGUGCAACAAGUGAAAAUGUGCCAUACCAUGAAGAAAACGCAAAGUACGGUUGCAUGCCACCAUGCAUAGGACGGUUUUACCUACUACCAAAUUUAGAUGCGAUAAACCGUCCUAGUUCCACUAUAAAACAGAGGCACUCGCCCCUUUUCAACACACACAUCAUUUGGAGUCAAUUUACCUCACACCUCUCACUUGUAUCUUUAGUUUAGAUUAGUGUUGAUGCAAAAGCUAAUCUGCAAACACAAAGGGCUAAUACCCGAUCCAAACGUUAAGGCGUGCCAGCCGAUUUGACCUUACAAUCGACAAAGGUGGUAACUCGAACACUUUGGUCCCGACAACAGCGAUGCGCCCGGAUGUCACGGCCAAGAGGUGCUCAUGCGGAACUUGAGAACGCGCCGAGUUUGACUCAACGAAUUCCUAAGAACUCGUAGUAAAAGGAAAAUAUGACGUAGUCGUCAAAAAAUAGAUGGUAGAAUAUGUGUAAAAACUUGUGUUUCAUUGAUUGAUAGAUGUCUCAUUACAUUGCCACGGGGUCUAUAUUUAUACCUUGUUCAAAAGAACUACAACCAGAUAUGACUAGAACUCGAAUCCCAAAUUAAACGGAAUCCGUAUACAAAACGAAUUCUAAUAACUAAGGAAAUCAUUAAACUAUCCUUCGCAACCGAUCGGUACACCGCCACGAGUCAAUCAGCAACCCUUGCGCUUUUCUUCAUAAGCAUCGGCAGACCGCCUGUUACAGCCAUCGGCAACCAUCAGCACUAGUCAUCGGCACGAAUGCAUCACCACUCCUGGACUUGGUCAUAUUCGGUUGUUUUCCCUUCGGCACCAACCUUCAUCGGCAACUCCCCUGUAGACUAGUCACCAUUGCCCUACCUGCCGAUCUACACUUCAUUAACUCCAGGUACGUAUCCAAAGAUACGUGUCCAAAAACGGUGUCAACACAUGUCCCCAAUUUCGAAGUAUAAAUCAUUAAUGCUCCAAAAUUCUCCUCAGUAUUGACGCCUUUCCGCAAUUACUUCUCCCAAUUUGGUAAUCAGUCACCAAAUCUGAACAACCUCAACCUGAUUCUCCUACAGGUUCCUCGAAUUUCUCAACUUCCCAAGCCGAAUCUCCCCAGAAUACUUCCAUCGGCAACCUUUCCGUUAGACAAGACUGCCGAUGAACUGACCAGGAGAUCUUGCACAGUAAAAUAUCUCCAAAAUCAUGACCGCUUGCUGUCAAAUCACCUACGCAAUCCCUUGAUUAUCGUGCGAACAUUUACCAUAUCUACCUGAACACCAUCGGAUUUCAUAGAUGCGGCAAAGAGAUAAGUCAGAUUUGCCCCUACCCUCUUUAUCCUAUAAAUACUUCCUUCUUCGGUACUCUUCUUCCAUCCUAUCAUUCUACAGCCUCAUACCAACCUUUCUGGCGGCGGCAUUGCUUGAGAACAUCAAGAACUCCAGCAAGGACCUCCUCUAACAAUCCUCCGAGUCAUCGAUUCUUUCCUCUCCUUGGGAAGAAAUUGCCAUCAACUUCGUCGUCCCCGAGGUUAACUCACCACUCCCCUUCUCCCCUUCUUUUUUUCUACUUUUGUUGUAUUCCUGUUCAUCUGCAAAUCUAUUUACUGAGUACUUUUCCUUCUCCCUUUUUUCACCUUUUGAUCUUCAAACCCUUUAGCACUACAAGAAAUUCCCUUAUACAUGACGGUUUACUUUCGUCAUAGACAAGAGAAAAUGCGUCAUGGUUAACUCAUGGUGACGAUCACAAAAAACGUCAUGUAUCCCGCGUCAUACAUUUGUUGUACGAAAAUAAACCAUCACAGAUUGAUUUUUCCGUUCGUCAUGGAUGAACUGGUCAACAAUAAUAGUAUAGGGCAAUUGUCACAAAAUGAAUCGUCACAAUUCUAUUACACGUGGCUGCUAGUUGCCACAUCAAUCAGUAGGUUGGUUGUGGCCUAUUAUUCAUGCUCAUGUGUUUGUGGCACACUCAUAAAACACACAUAAACUGGAACAAAGCUCACAAUUGACAAAAUAUUGCUUAUCAUAUUCAUUGAAGCCAUCAACAUUUGUACUUGUACAAUAUUUCACACGAAAUACUAAGGGAAUAACCAAGCUACACUAAGUACCAACAAAACUAAGAUGUUGCCUUCUACAACAACUCAUAUGAUUUGCUCGCACAACAAAAUCUUUCAUGAGUAAUGAAAAUAGCCACCAUGAGCACCUUGAUCCUCUUGCCGCAAUUUACAGAUAACCUCAUCAAACAUCUGCUAAGAAUACUUGAUUAGGAAUAAAACUCAACAUGUGCAAAGGUGCUAUCUUUGAUAAAAAUGCAAGGGUCUUUUGGCUAAGUUAAAACUCCUACAUCAUAACUGUUAUUUAUUUGAAGAUUGUCAACUUAAUAUGAAGAAGACAAAAGCAUAUUGUUGGGAGUCUAGGGCUACAGGAGAUGAGGUGAACCAGUGUAACAGGCAAAAUGUAAAAAUGAUCUGUUGCCAGAUUCAUAAGAUGCAUAAGUGUUUGCCAUGCUUCCAUCAGGAAUUGGCUAAAGGCAAUUAUUUAGAAGAGUGAGAACAACAUAGCCAACAGAUCUGAGCACUCACAAGUGUGAGCACUGUUGAUAUUUGGGAACGCAAUAAGGAAUUGAUCCGCAAGCGCACGGAUAUCGGUGAGCACUUCACCCGGGAAAUUAUCCAGAGUAUCGUAUUUAUUUUUUUACCACUAGGAGAAAGAGUGCAUCUGACUAACCGGUCUAUUACUACUAACCCUUUAGGCACAAAGAAUGUCUUUCGAUGUGAGUGAUAAAUAGAGAAGACUGCAACCGUAGUCUCCUUCUAACCUUGGUAAGGAUGAUCUACUGUUCUAAUGGGGAGGCUAACGGAAUCUAGACACCACAAAGGAUGUUCAACCCGCACCUAUAAACCCUAUCCUUCCUGCUAACGAGAUGUGAUCUGCAAACAUAACUCGGAAUUGUCACGUUCCUCACUACUACCACGGUCCAGCUAGUCAGGGAAUAUCUAUGAGUACCCUAGCCUAAACACCACGUUUACGCCAGCAAUGAUUACUCUAAACUCUACGCGAAGAGAUUAAAGUAAACUCAUAAACCAAAAGAACAAUAAAACAAGAACUUACUAGAAUUUAGAAGUCGAAAUACUGAAGAAUCCAAGGAGCAAGCUUCGGGUUAGGAGAACUUGAUCCCGCAGGUACAAGCUUGGAGUAGACACCGACAGGCCGGGCUUCCUCCAAUCUACACCUCCACUCUAUCUCUCUCAAUCUAGUAGAAACUAGAAGAUCUAUUUCUACCUUACAUUGGUUGCUAAGCCUAAAAAGAAAUAUUAAUUAGAGAAGAGGUUUUCCUUCGAGGGCACCCCUCAGUCUCUAUGAUAAUUUCUUCAUGUCUUCUCCAGGGGCCAGGGGGGUCUCCUUAUAUAGUCCUCCUCCUCUAUGCGUUUUUGGGUCGGUAGGCGAGGUGGUACUAUGUUUUUCUUGAUCCAAUAGGUCGGUGGAAUAUCCCAUGUGAAGAGAGUCCCGAACUGGAUCCAACAGGGGGCGGGCGCCCAGGUCACCAGGGCGGGCACCGUGGGCCUGGCCCCUUUCGGCCUCCGUCUUCUUCCCGUGGCUUCUGGAGUCUUCUAGAUGGUAGAAAAUCACACGGUCCGUUGAUAUCUCUAUGUAAUCCCGACAUGUGGGCCUUUCUUCCUUAUUUCCUGAUAACCCCCUGCAGAAAUAGAUAAACAACAAAACUCGUGGAAUUCUGUCAGAUCAAACCCUAAUUCUAGGUGUUGUUUGCAUAUUGGUCCUUUCUCUUGUUUAUUUGAUAAUUAAAAUUGAUACUUAAGGACCGUCAACAAAUACCCCCAUACUUAGGCUUUUACUCGUCCUCGAGAAAAGGAUGGUUAAGAACAAUAUUUGGGGUAAACAUUUAAAACAUUCUCUUUAUAAUUGCAGGGUGUUAAAAAUCCACUGUGUACCAUAGUCAGGGAUGUUUAUGGUUAAGAGUAAAGAUCCUUUCUUCUCAAUCCUGUCACUUGGAGUUUUUGUAUAUUUUUGAAAGAAAGUUAGCAUACCUUUUGAUCCUCAUAGGUUCUCUUAGAUCCCUCAUUAUCUCUUAUAUAUCUCACUGAGGUUGUUUUAUUUUGCAAAAAAUUCUCAAGCAUACUUACUUUGCAUUUAUUGCCUUAUCAAAUCGGGAUCCGAGGAGGGAAAUGUCAUACUCUUAGAUCAAAGACUUUGGAAAUUAUAAUCUUUGUCAACUCUUGCUGGCAUAUUGCUUAUUAGAGCGACCAUGGGCUAUCAUUUUUUUAAGUGGAUACCGAAGUACCCCUAAUUAGAGGGACCAUGUCCAUUUUUUUUCUGCGAGGUUGUCGAGCACUUGCUCCUUUUUAUUUCCUCGAAAUAUCUCUAUUUUUGCAUAGCCCAUGCCUCUAAUGCAAUAAUACUUUGGAAGAGUGAAUCUUUCUGAAUAAAUGUCUUGAUCUUAGGAGCAUGAUAAAUCUCUCAACAAGGGUCUAACUCAUUUUGAACAAACUCAAUACAGAGUAGAUAGCUUUUAUAAUUAUAAUUAAUAUUUUCAGUUUUAUCAGGCAUAUAAAACACUGAGGAUGGUAGCUAAAGUUUUGAAUAUUUUGAAAUAAGUUCUCCAAGCAACAAUGAUAUCAAGAAUAAGAAACUCAUACUCUACCCUCACAUAUUCCAUAUUGACUUAAGUGACACAAGGUUUUAAAAUGAUUUUCAAUAAUUGCAAGUUUUCAGGAAAUAUCACAGAUUGAGAUCAAUCAUGAUUAGAAAUAUUUUAAUCCUUUUAAUUUAUCAUGUCGGAAACAAUAUUCUGCAUAAUCAAGAUAGUUGUGUGCGUGUAAAAUAAAGUGUGCAGAGUGUGUACCUGAAUCGUGGAGUGGUGUAGUCGGAGUGUGUUUGGCAUGUUGAGGGAUCUCCCCAUACUUGUUUUCUGCUUUCUUGCAAAAUAAAGUAGAGACACACAAGACAUAAUAAUAAUAAUAAUACUCUUUAUUAAUCUUGAGGCAUUUAUUACAAAAGACUAGUAGCAAACUGAUAGUAAACUGAUGAUAAUAGUAAACCCAAACCGAAUUUAAAGAUAGAUGACUAAAAUGCAUUGCCUCAAGGUCUAAUCUAGAUAACUUAGCGGCGCUCUAAUUCCUUAAUCUUCUUGUUGGCACUGACAAGAUCCUGCCUAAGGCCUAGUAUAAUGGUGUUGUGGUUAGAGAGCUGCCUAGUGAGGGAAUUAAUCGAGGACUGGAGAUCUAUGAUAACUCUGUCUAGUCUGCGAACGUCCUCAUCAAUGUCUACUAUAGUCUUGCGACGCUUGGGAGGUGUCUCAAAAGCAUUGAGAGCAUGCUUCGGGGCUGCCUUUGGAGGGAUGAAACGGACUUUGGCUGCUCGAAUCCCUUCAAAUUAAGGCCUUUCCUCCUCCGUAGUGUAGCGUACACUGCUGAUCUCGCCGCUCCGGUUGGUCUUGACUCCAACGACCCUCUCAUUGGGUCUAGGUGGAAGGAUCCUCGUGCCGGUUGGCACCUUGAUAGUAGUCUUCGUCUUGGAUGAUGAUCCUUUGAGGAGUAGGGGUUGUGGCGGUGCGGUGAGAAUUGGUUGAGCAUGGUAGGAUUGGGCGGAGCUGCGUUGGCGUAAUGGCAUGGCUUCUAGCUGUCGCUCUGUGUUGGCCGGGACGAGAGCACGGGCAUCGGGGUCUUCUACAGGCUCCAUGUUGAGGUUGAAGGGGACGACUUCCCAAUCAUCGUGGUACUUCUCGGCCAUUGGAGCAGCAAGGAACUAAUCAAGCUCUAAUUGAAGGAGAGAAGGCUUGGUGGCUUGGUAUUUGAAAACUGAGGUCAGGGGUCUGUUUAUAUAGGUGUCAAAAAGGUGCCUCUAUGGGUUGUUCGGGUUGCUCUCGUCGAUGUACGUGGGAAACUUUCCAUCCGAGGGAUUAUUCGGAUUACCAUAAGUGCAUUUUCCAUAACAGAGAAAAUCGGGACCGAGGGGGAACAGGAUCUGGGCGCCCGCCCACCUGAGCUGGGCGCCCGCCCUCUCUCUAGCCCCUCUGUGGGCCCACUUUCUCGAGCGCGUUUCUAGAUACGAAAUUAUUUAAAAAUAUAUAUAUGACCCAAAAUCAUCAGACUAAAAAGGUCGGGCUCUAAUUCUCCAUGGGAAGGUAAAAAUGGACUACGUCUAUUUCUUCAAAUUCUUCUUUGGGCUCUAAAAAUAAUUUAAGACGUUGACCAUUUACCUUGAAUAACAUACCUUCGCUAUUUUGAAGUGUGAUAGCUUCGUGGGAUGAUGAAUUAAUUACCUUAAAUGGUCCUUCCCAUUUGCUCCGGAGUUUUCCAUGCCCGAAAAGCUUCACCCUGGAAUUAAAAAGUAAUACCUUAUCUCCGGGUGUGAAUUCCUUCUUCUUGAUUCUCUUAUCAUGCCACCUUUUGACUCUUUCUUUGUAGAUCUUUGAAUUGUGAUAUGCCUUCUCUCGCCAUUCCUCCAAUUCUGAUAGUUGCAUUUUUCUAUAAUCUCCAGCAACAUCUAGGUCCAUAUUCCAUCUCUUUAUGGCCCAGUGUGCUUUGAACUCUAGUUCAACGGGUAGAUGGCAAGUCUUCCCGUACACCAAUUGGUAUGGAGACAUUCCGAUUGGGGUCUUGUAUGCUGUCCGGUAUGCCCAUAGUGCAUCGGGUAACUUGUCUUUCCACGCCGUUCCCAUUUCAUUUACUGUCUUCUGAAGAAUAUUCUUGAUUUGUUUGUUGGAAGUCUCUGCUUGGCCACUUGUCUGAGGAUGAUAAGGGGUAGCGACGUUGUGACGGAUUCCAUGUUUUGAUAGAUAUUGCUUGAAGCGUUUGUCGAUGAAGUGUGCUCCUCCAUCACUUAUCACUACUCUGGGGACUCCAAAUCUUGGGAAUAUAAUUUCUUCAAACAUCCUCUUUGAACUGACGUUGUCGGCAUGCUUGCAAGGUAAUGCUUCUACCCACUUGGAGACAUAGUCAACCGCCACCAAGAUGUACUCGCACUUCUUUGAUGGAGGAAAUGGACCCAUGUAGUCUAUUCCCCAGACAUCAAAGAGCUCAAUCUGAAGGUUGUUGGUGAGUGGCAUUGCAUCCCUUGUAUUUAUGUUUCCGUGUCUUUGACAUGGCCCACAUCUUCUGAUAUAUUGCUUCGUGUCUUCAUACAUUGUAGGCCAGUAGAAUCCACACUGCCAGAUCUUUGAAUGUGUACGGAAUGCUCCAUAGUGACCUCCAUAUGGUGAUGAAUGACAUCUGUCGAUGAUCUUCCAUCCUUCUUCAGUGGUCACACAUCUCCUGAGUAAGCCAUCAGAGCAUACUCGGAAGAGGUAUGGCUCAUCCCAUAUAUGUGAACGACUUUCUUGAAUAAGCUUCUUCUUGUUUGCUCCUGGUGGUAUAUACCCUGAAACCAUAAAAUUAACAAUAUCUGCAUACCAGGGGUCAGACCUGUUAAUCCCGUAGAGCAUGUCGUCCCGGAGUGAAUCAUUGAUGGGGGUUUCCUGUGGACUCUUGAAGUAUAUUCUAGACAAGUGAUCAGCAACAGAAUUUUCUACUCCCUUUUUAUCUUUUAUUUCUAAGUCAAAUUCUUGGAGUAAUAAGAUCCAUCUAAUCAGGCGAGGUUUAGCAUGUUUUUUAGUGAGCAAAUAUUUUAGUGUAGCAUGAUCAGUGUAAACAAUUAUUUUAGCUCCAACUAAAUAAGAUCUAAAUUUAUCAAUGGCAAAGAUCUUGGACUGAUUCCUGUAAGAUCUUGGAGUGAGUAGCCGAACACUGAAUGAUGUUUCUCAAGAAUGGUCAUUAAUCGCAGAGUUUGAUCCUGAGUGAGUUUAUCGCUAAUGAUCACAGGGAACUCUGGAUUAUUGUUUAGGAAAGCAUAUGUAAGACCGGGUGGUAAAGUUUUAAGCUCUAUGGGGGGUCUAGGUGUUUCUGCAAACUCAUCUAAGGGUUCAGGCUUAGAAGGUUCGUCUUCUUCUUCAGUGAAGAAAGAAAUUUCAUCUUCUAAGUCUGAUUCUUCUAAAAGCGCUAGAGAUGCAGCCUUUACCUCCUCCAUAGGGUCAGGCAAAAGAUAUGACUCGGCCUUAUUGUUUAAGGAGUGUGAAAUUGUUAUUGGGAAUUUAAAAGUAUUUUCAAAAGAAAUGUGUAGCUUUCCAGUAUGACCUUCAUAAAGGAGUCUUCUAAAAGGUUGUCCUAUCAACAGGUCGAAGUCCCAUGUAUCAAAGAUAUAGAAGUUCAAAUGAACCAUGGAGCCUUCUACCGUAAGAGGUAGGACAUUAAUAAUUCCAAGACUGGGGACUAAUCGUCCCGAAGAUUCCUUUAUGACCUUUGUUGUGGGGGUUAAGACAAGAUUUUUAAAUAGUUUAAGUGCAAAAGAUUCAGACAUGAUGUUUAUCAGCACAAUAAGAUUAUAAAGAGCAUUAAAUCGAUCAGAAUUAUAAGCACAGCGUAUAGUUAUAGAGGGUGUGUCCAAACGGAUCACAUCAGAGGAAAGCUCUGAUUCCUCCAACCAUUCGCUACUCAUUACUGAGAUAAGCUCUCUCAAUUGAUAUUCACUUGGCAAAUAAAUGCUAAACUGGCCGUUUUGGGGUUUGUCAAUAGAAUGGUAGUUUAAAAUAUUUCCAAAAUCGGCAAAAAGAUCGGAUUCUAUAUCCUGCAUGAAGUCCGGUGGUGGAAUUUCUUCCUCUUGUGGCUCAGAACCUGGGAUAGCUAAAGUAGAUGAAGAAUUUGGCAGAGUGUCUACUUCGGCUUCAUAGGUUUCAUCAUGAAGGGUAUUAUCCAUCUCAGCUUCUAGGAUUCUAUCUAGGAUCACUCUAGCUUUAUCAGUAGGGAUUCAAAAGAAAGAACCUCUAGACAUUGUGUGUAGCAUUUGUUUGUGAUUUUUCUGAAGACCUCGAAAAAAGUGGAAUAAAAGAACAGGGUCUUCAAGAUUAAGGUUUGGACCAGAUUCUAAAAGAUCAGAAAAACGUUUCCAGGAUUUCCCCAAAGUUUCAUUAUCUUUUUGUUUAAAAGAUAGGACUUCGAGUCUAAGGUCGGCUAUACGGUCAAGGGAAUAGAAAUCUAGACAAAAGUUGGCUCGUAAAACUCCUCAUUCACCUUGUUGUUGACUUACCUUCUGACUGUACCAUUGUCUAGCUUCUCCCCUUAAAGAAAAAGGAAAAAGCUUCCAACAUAAAGUUUUAUGAGAAAUGCCUUCAAUGCGAAGACAAUCACAUGUUUGCUCAAAAUCUCUAAUAUGAAGGUAAGGUUUUCGUCUUCCUUUCCCGAAAAAGAUAGGUUUUGAAUCAUGGCAAUCAAUCUAGAACUUAACUUAUACUGGGAUGUUUGGAUAGGCUGUGAUGAUUCCCAUGAUAAAAGGUCAGUUGCUAAAGGGAUUGCAGAUUCAUGGAUCGAUUUAGAAUUUUGGUUUUCCAUAAGGUAAGAGUAAAGAAAAUAAAUAAAGAAUAUAAAAGAUAAGAAAAGAUAAAAGUAUAGAUACAAGCUAGUAGUAAGACUCAAGUUAUCUCAGCAACCGUCUUUCUCCCCGGCAACGGCGCCAGAAAUGCUUGUUGAUAUUUGGGAACACAAUAAGGAAUUGAUCCGCAAGCGCACAGAUAUCGGUGAGCACUUCACCCGGGAAAUUAUCCAGAGUAUCGUAUUUAUUUUUUUACCACUAGGAGAAAGAGUGCAUCUGACUAACCGGUCUAUUACUACUAACCCUUUAGGCACAAAGAAUGUCUUUCGAUGUGAGUGAUAAAUAGAGAAGACUGCAACCGUAGUCUCCUUCUAACAUUGGUAAGGAUGAUCUACUGUUCUAAUGGGGAGGCUAACGGAAUCUAGACACCAUAAAGGAUGUUCAACCCGCACCUAUAAACCCUAUCCUUCCUGCUAACGAGAUGUGAUCUGCAAAGGUAACUCGGAAUUGUCACGUUCCUCACUACUACCACGGUCCAACUAGUUAGGGAAUAUCUAUGAGUACCCUAGCCUAAACACCACGUUUACGCCAGCAAUGAUUACUCUAAACUCUACGCGAAGAGAUUCAAGUAAACUCAUAAACCAGAAGAACAAUAAAAUAAGAACUUACUAGAAUUUAGAAGUCGAAAUACUGAAGAAUCCUAGGAGCAAGCUUCGGGUUAGGAGAACUUGAUCCCGCAGGUACAAGCUUGGAGUAGACACCGACAGGCCGGGCUUCCUCCAAUCUACACCUCCACUCUAUCUCUCUCAAUCUAGUAGAAACUAGAAGAUCUAUUUCUACCUAACAUUGGUUGCUAAGCCUAAAAAGAAAUAUUAAUUAGAGAAGAGGUUUUCCUUCGAGGGCACCCCUCAGUCUCUAUGAUAAUUUCUUCAUGUCUUCUCCAGGGGCCAGGGGGGUCUCCUUAUAUAGUCCUCCUCCUCUAUGCGUUUUUGAAUUGGUAGGCGAGGUGGUACUAUGUUUUUCUUGAUCCAAUAGGUCGGUGGAAUAUCGCGUGCGAAGAGAGUCCCGAACUGGAUCCAACAGGGGGCGGGCGCCCUGGGCCUGGCCCCUUUCGGCCUCCGUCUUCUUCCCGUGGUUUCUGGAGACUUCUAGAUGGUAGAAAAUCACGCGGUGCGUUGAUAUCUCUAUGUAAUCCCGACAUGUGGGCCUUUCUUCCUUAUUUCCUGAUAACCCCCUUAAGAAAUAGAUAAACAACAAAACUCGUGGAAUUCUGUCAGAUCAAACCCUAAUUCUAGGUGUUGUUUGCAUAUUGGUCCUUUCUCUUGUUUAUUUGAUAAUUAAAAUUGAUACUUAAGGACCGUCAACAAGCACCACCAAUCCCACUAUCGAUUAUCAGUAUUGUGGUUUCUUAGGAACAAAAAAAUAUCACUGUUAUUAGAUUAUCGAUCUGAGAACUCACAAGAAAUUUCAAGUUGCUGACUUUGGAGCUUUAGAUAAUUCAAAACCAGGUACAAGCCAAUAUAUAUAUAUAUAUAUAUAUAUAUAUAUAUAUAUAUAUAUAUAUAUAUAUAUAUAUAGCAGUUCACUAGUGACUUAAUAGAAGCUAGGUACAUAAACAAAACAGGUUGAAAUACACGGAGUUUGAAAUUAAAAGGUUGAAUCAUUACAUUAUACACGUAGGAACCAGUGGAGACAAAAAAAUGCAGUAGACACAAUUAGUUUUGCUUACCUUGUCUUGCUUGAUUAUGUUUUCCCAUCAUUUAUACUUGUGGGUCAGCAAUCUGCAAAAAGAAAAAGAAAAUUGAAUUCAUUUUUGCUACUGCAGUAACAUACAUAAAGCAUAUAUACAGAUGAUUUAGAGAAGCAAAUACUAAUAGAAUCAGCAAGCUACUAUACCUGACUAUUUUUUUUAAGUCUGAGAUUGAACAACUGAAAAAAAGAAGCACCUAGUGGCUGUGAAAUAAUUCAGAUUUAAACCAAUUGAUGGCUGUAUGUGAACCAGAAAAACCAUGAAAUAGAAAUAAACAAAAAUUUCAAACAAUUUGAGGGCUGUUGGUGGACUUACAUUGUGGACAUAGGUAGUUGGUUUUCUUUCAGAUAAACAAAGUUUCACCACCUACAAAACAUAAUGACAACAGGAGAGCAUAACUGAUAAGCAUAUAUACACAGAAAUUUUAGUGUAGAUCGGAACAUAUAUACUAACUGAUGGGAGCACCAUAAGUUAAAAUAGCUAGUGAAAGUUGUGUCACGAGCCCAAGGUUGUCCAUUCUCACAGCUGCUUGUAUCCAGCAAAGCUCUCUAACUAACAAAAGGAUUACGUUUAGUUAGUCGUUAAAUUGUUCCUACUCGUUGUGUUGUUAGAUUAAAAAAAAUAAACCAAGAACACAACAGCUAGAGAAUGAUUUAGGACACGCUUAUAUACUAUCUCAUACAGAACAAUAUAUAAGUUCCCAAAAGUCAUCACACUGCAGAAAAUAGAACAGGAAACUGCAAAUUUAGAAGAAUUAUUAAUUUUACUAGCUAGAAAGAUGUUUGCUUGAUUACCUUAACAAUGGCAUAAGUAGAAUGCAACUUCACACUUUCACUUGCCAAAUCCUGAAAUUAAUUUAUUAUUCAUAGAAAUUUGAAUUAUAUACCUACAAAAAUAUUGCAGACAAGAUGCAGAUUGAACUGCAGCAUCAUUAUUAUUCAAACAACAUGCAUACUGAGCAUGACUACUGAACUAACUUGCAGGUGAAAAAGAAUCCUAGAGAACCUCGAUGGCUACUGGUCAAAUACUAAAAAUAGGAUGGUACAUAUUUUUCGACAUGUAUAGCUCUGGUAAAAAAAAUAGUACUAGUCAUAUUACAAAAUUCAACCCACAUCCUACCGCAUACAUGCAUACACUUGGGAUUAGAUCAGAUCCGUUCUGAAUACGGAUAACCAAAUAGCUUAAAUUAGGGUUCAUCCUCAGUUGCACAAAACGGAAGAGAAGAGAAGGCACAGACAUACCUGGCCGCUAUUGUGGCUGCUCGUCACGCCCGACGAAGACUUCGGCGGCUAGAAGACGGGCUCAUCUCGGCCACUACAAGAAGGUUGCGCUCGAAGCUGCAAUUGCCCUGAUGCGGUUGUGCUUGGAGCAGCAGAUCUGGAUGCCGGGCAGAGAAGACGGCCGUCGAAGAGACGGGGAGGAGCGCCAAGAGGUGGCAACCGGCGGAGAGGACGCCGGAGGGGGAGGUGGCGGCAUGUGGGGGAGGAGCAGGGAGGGGCGGUGGCUGGAUGCAGAGGCAUGUGGAGGAGGAGCAGGGACGGCGGCGCUGUAUGUGAUGGAGACCGAGAGAGGGAGGCUACGGAGGGAAGGCAGCAUCAGGGGUAAGAAGGAUUGGGAAAAGUGGGUGUCGACGUUCUCUCUUGUUUUUUUUAUUUAUUUUAUCUUUUCUUUUAUCUUUUCUUUCUUUUUUGAUCUCGUGUUGUGUUCUUUUUUUCUUCUUAUUUGUUCUUUUCUCUUUCUACUAUGCAAUUAUAAUUUUUUUGUUUCCAAUUAUGAAAUUGAUUUAAAUUUCUUGGCUUUUCUAGAGUUUCGUCUAAAACUCUUUCAAUAUUUUUUAUUAAAUUUGUUGAUGCAUCAAUGAUUAAUGUUAAUGAGUACCAAAUACCUAGGGUAUUAUAAUUAAUUUGUGUUAGGAUAUUUUAAUUAAUUUGAUUUUUGAACAUUAGCUGCAACUUUAACCCACAGGGUGCCAAAAUGAUCUAUGACGUCUAACCAUGACGAAAACUUAACUGGUCGUCAUAGAGGUAUCACCUUAGGAAUGAAUCGUCACAGAUGACAGAGUUUUAUGAUGAUUUCUUAUAACAUCACUAGUGAACCGUCAUGUAUAAGGAUAUUUCUUGUAGUGUAGGAACUGGCCGAUAAAAUCAUGAUCCCUACUGAUCAACCUUACUUUCUGUGUCUUGGCCCAUUGGGAAAUCCAGAUCCCACCGAUCUGAUAAAUGCAGAGACAAAUAGGAUCCCAUUUAUAGUCGAGAACUUUUCUUUAGACCUAUGGAAAGAUACUUUUCGCUCCUGGCCUAAUUCUACCAAGGGUUGGAAAGAUUGGUUCCUAAGAAUCGGCAACUUGAAUGAAGUCCGAUGGGGUGAGCGAAAAUUAGACAAAUCCAUUAGGUUAUCCAUUGCCGAUAUGGAGAGGAAUGAAUCUCUGUUGAUAGUUGCUCAUAUUUCUGGUCUGACACCCUCAAUGCUUUUAUAUUCGGCCAUGGUCCUGCAUCUCCCACUUUAGCCGAUGUGCUGAUGCUUACUGGUUUGGACAUAUCAUCUGCCGAUGAUAACCAUCUUUAUGACCGCAAACCCGAGCGCAAAGUAGAAACCCACAACAUAGGCGGUUGGUCGUUAUACAUCCAGAAGUACCGAAAAAUAGGGCCAGUCGUUCAGAGGGAACAUGCUAUUUUUCUGAACAUGUGGUUAGAUAAGUUUGUCUUCUGUGGCCGAUCGGUAGGGCCAACCUCUGUCUAUCUAUCGGCAGCAGAAAGACUGGUCGAUGGCGGUCGAUUUCCUCUUGGCCGAUAUUUGCUUGGCUCUGUCUAUCACCUUCUCCACCAGGUAGCUGAAAAACUCCUGCUAGGCCAACCCAUCGGCAACUUAGGGGGACCUUGGUGGUUCAUCAAUAUGUGGCUCAGUGUUCACAAGCAUAAGCGCCGGAUUCGAUCUUUUUUGCACAGCGCUUUCCCAGAGACAUAGCCGAAGAUUAUGAACUGGACGAGGAAGAAUCGGCAACUCGCUCCCCCUUGAACUAUGGUGAGGCCGCCAUAGUCUUACCUGGUACUAGAGGCAAUGAAGAUCAGGUCAGCCGAUUCUUCCAGACUCUCUAUGAGGGUCUGACCAAAGACCAGCGGGCAUGGAUGCCUUAUGAGGAUACAGAAACCAGAUUCCCACGCACUUUCCACCCCUUUGAUAAUGCCCUCAACAAGGAUCACGACCAGAUGAUAGCAAUUAUUACUCCGAGAGCUAUACCAAUGAACUUCUUUGGCAGUGGGAAAACCUCCAGCAUCACCUACGAGUUCUACAAUCCAUCGGCACUGGCUCGUCAACUAGCCUUUGGACAGCUGCCGAUUGCACUCUGCUGUGCCGAUGUGGUGAAGCCAAGGGAGACCAUAACCAGCGGUCUUGAAUCGAUCAGAGUAGCUCAGCUUCCACCAAAUGCCGAUACGUUAGAGAUUGAUCUAUCGUCCUGGAUCCUAGCACUCUUCAUUACUCAAGCAUACAAGCAAUGGUGGGAGGAGUGGAAAGAGCAUUUGUUCUGCACAUCGGCUCUCAAAUACCGCGGUAUGAUCGACCCCAAGUUCAAAGUCCACGAGGACACUGUAAGUCUUCAGCCGAUGCUUCAAUCCUUUUAUUACUUUUAUUCUUAUCGGUGACUUACUCCCUUUUAAGCAGGUUGACGACACACCACCGACAGUCAGCAGGAGCGGAAAGCCGAUCGAACUUCUCCCAUCGGGCUCGAUCUCUCUCUUCGGUAAUAAUGCACCAAGCCUGGCGGCCUUAAUGCACCAGAACGUGCGUUUCAAGAAGAUCACCACCAGACAAGCAAAGACAUCUCCAUCGGUUGCUGCCACUGCUUUGGCACAAGCUUUCAAGGUAAAUCCCUGACUUCUUCAAUUUAUACCGAUUCCAUUCUAUACUUACAUAGCCUUUUCAGGACACAUCGGCUGCUAUGGGAACUUCAUCGGUAACUUUCACUGUUUCAACCAAAAUUUCAUCAAUACUCUGGUACAUUUGUACUUAUAAAACUUUUGUUGUUGCAUCAGCAAAAUGGCAAAUCGGCAAAGACCAGAAGUACCAAGACAAGUGCCGAUGCCCCCCAGUCUAGCCAUGUCAAGAGAAAAGGCCCCAAAAGCACCAAGUCACAAGCAAAAUGCCAGAAGACAGCAUCGCCUCCUCCUCCUCCUUCAGGAUCACCGAUUCAUGUGGAAUCAUCUCCUUCUUCGCAAGAAGUUCAGACACCGCAAGCACCGUCUCCACCUCAGCCACAAGAAACACCUCAGCUAGAAGAAAUAUCAGCCGAGGUACUUGAGCAGACUGCCGAUCCAGUGGGUUCAAUCAUAUCAUUGGUAGUCUCUUCAAUUCAGACAAGCACUGCACCCCCUCAAGGUAAAGUACUAUCUAUAAAAUUAUCGCCGAUGGAUUUAUUUCCCUAACUUAUAAUUACCAUUACUUUUUAAGCUGACAUCGUUCCAUUGGUAAUUCCAACCGAUCAACCUGUGGCACCAUCGGCCUCAGCUAGCUAGAGGCGAGAAAUAGCUCUGAAACAAGUAAAUCAUUUGAUCUCUAUCCUUUAUAUUACUAAUACUCGAUCAUCAAAUAACUUAUCUCAUUUUUUCUCUAGGAACAAGACUCUCCGGACAGCUUAUUCUCCUUUGCCAUCGAAAUUUCUGAUGAUGAAGGCGAGGAGGCAAGCUCUUCUCAAGCAGUAGGGAUUUCAUCGGCAGAAAUCAGAGCAAAGUUGGAAGAUUUGCUGGCCUUGCUUCAUCAGGACACUGCUCAAUUAGUUGAUGACUCUGAUCCAGCCAAAGAUCUAUUCAAAGCUCUCAGGGGUCAAAUCCCUAUCGACGCCGAAGAGAUUCUUUUCCAGGCUACACACUUGGAGAGCCGCCAGCUCCAGUAUCAAAAGGCUACCCAACGCCUUGCCGAUAGAGCCACCCAUGCCCAACUCUCAGAGGAAGUAAUGCAAGUGAAACGCCUUGCCGAUGAGAAGCACAAGAGCAUCGGCAUCCUAUAGUCCCCAGGAGAGACACUAAGGCAGAAGAUCUCCGAUCUAUCGGCAAAAAGGGAAGCCCUACUGGCAGAGCUCAAGCAAGUAGAAGAGGCCCUCUCUCAAGCUCAGCAAGAAGAAACUCAGCUACCCAAAAUGAUCAAGACCCUCCAGCAAGAACGAAACAUUCAAGCCCGCAAGGCACUGCAAAUGAAGAAGUGGUUAAAGCUAGUGGAGGGCUCUGCCGAUGAAGACAUCAGGGAGAUAGAAGAAGCUGAUCAAAUCCGUCUGCGCGCCAUAUCAGCUAUCCAAGCCCUGCUAAGUAUAUGAGCUCUCCAUCGGCGGCAUGUCUUGUUCUGCCUUUAGAAACUGCUGACUAUUUUGGUCUAGCCGACAGGAUUGUUAUCGGCAUUUCUAAAACAUCACACUCAGUCCCAGAUACAUCUUAAUCCAGCCGAUAGGAGUGUUAUCGGCACUUAAACUUUCACGCAUCGACCCAUAUGCUUGGGUAAUACUUCUUUAAAUAUUUUCCAUUCAAUGCUCUGGGAAAUUCAACUCUUUCGAGAGUUUCCAAAAUAUAAGCAUUACCGGGAGCAGACCGAUUUAUCCGAUAAGGACCUUCCCAAUUAGGAGACCACUUCCCAAAUUUUGAACUUUUAGUCCCAAUCGGUAAGAUCAGUUUCCACACCAAAUCUCCAUCGGCAAACUCCUUAGCUUUUACUUUUUUAUCAUACCACCUAGCAACUCUCUUUUUAUUUUCUUCUAUACUUAUCAAAGCCCUCAGCCGAAGCCCUGCUAAAUCAUCUAACUCAUCUUUUAUCAAAGUAGCAUAGUCAUCGGCUGCCAACUGAUCUUGAAAAGCCUCGAUCCGGUCUUAAUUUCCCAUGGUAGCACUGCACCGUGCCCAUAGACCAACUGAUAAGGUGAAACUUUAGUCGACCCAUGACAUGCCAUCCGAUAUGACCAUAAAGCUUCACUCAACAAUGUAUGCCACCUCCUAGGAUUUUCUUCAAUCUUUCGUUUGAUGAGUUUAAUAAUUCCUUUGUUAGACGCCUCGGCUUGCCCAUUGGCUUGAGCAUAAUAAGGAGAAGAAUUCAACACUUUAAUCCCCAUACCGAUUGCAAAUUCAUCAAACUCUCCCGAUGUAAACAUGGUACCCUGAUUGGUAGUAAUUGUUUGAGGAAUACCAAAUCGGUAAACAAUAUGCUCCUUCACAAAAUCAAUCAUAUUAGCCGAUGUUACUUUCUUCAAAGGAAUAGCCUCAACCCACUUGGUGAAAUAAUCAGUAGCAUCUAAGAUGAACUUGUGCCCCUUGCUUGAUGGUGGGUAAAUUUGGCCAAUUAGAUCAAUAGCCCAUCCCCGGAACGGCCAAGGCUUAAUAAUGGGAUUCAUAGUCGAUGCGGAUGCCCUUUGAAUAUUGCCAAACUUCUGACAUCCUUGACAUCCCUUGAAAUAUUUAAAGCAAUCCUCGAGUAUGGUCGGCAAAUAAUACCCGUUUCUCCUAAUCAUCCAUUUCAUCUUAAAAGCCGACUCAUGCGCUCCACAUACUCCCUCAUGAAUUUCACCCAUCAAACUUUUAGCCUCAUGAUCACCUAAGCACUUGAGAAGAAUUCCAUCUAUAGUUCGAUAAUAUAGUUCAUCCCCAAGGAGUACAUACUUGGUAGCUUGAAACCUGAUACGCCUCUCAACCCUUUUAGAUGGAUCCUUUAAAUAAUCAAUGAUCACCUUUCUCUAAUCAUCGGCACCGAUUGCCGAUAACGUGUUUAACAUGGGUUGAUAUCCCGAGGCAUGCUGAGCCAACCGAUUAGCCUCCUCAUUAUGUAACCGAGGAACAUGCUCUAAUCGGAAAUCCUUGAAUUCCUUUAAUAGUUGCAUACUUUUUUCAUAAUAGGUUAUCAGGACCUCGCUUCGGCAUUCAUAAAUUCCAGCCAACUGAUUUAUGACAAGCAUAGAAUCUAUGAAGAUUUCAACAGCAUCAGCACAAACCUCUUUUAAUAAUUCCAACCCUUUGAUUAAAGCAUGUUAUUCGGCUUGAUUAUUUGUUGACAUAGCGACAAUCGACAAAGAGAAUUCAUACUUCUUUCCCCGAGGAGAAAUUAAUACUAUACUGAUUCCUGCCCCCUGGUCACAUGUAGAUCCAUCAAAGAAGAGCGUCCAAGGAACAAUUUCCAAAGUCCCCACUACACCGCAAUGUUGAGUCACAAAAUCAGCCAUAAUCUGUCCUUUAACUGCCUUAGCCGAUUUGUAACGUAGAUUAAAUUCCAACAACGCCAAAAUCCAUUUGCCGAUCCUACCACUCAUAAUCGGCAUAGACAGCAUGUACCGGACUACAUCAUCUUUGCAUAUAACAGUGUGUUCGGCCGACAGCAGAUAGUGCCUCAACAUAAUACAUGAAAAGUAUAGGCAUAAACAUAGUUUUUCAAUUGCCGAAUACCUGGUCUCAGCAUCUAUCAGUCUUCUACUUAAAUAAUAAAUCACAUGCUCAUUCCCUUCAAAUUCUUGAAUCAAAGCCGAACCGAUGACCAUCCCAUCGGUAGACAAAUAUAGUUUGAAAGGCCUUCCAUGCUGAGGUGGAAUCAGGACUGGAGGAAUUGUUAAAUAAUUCUUAAUUUCAUCCAAGGCUGAUUAUUGCUCCUUUCCCCACACAAACUCUUGAUCGGCUUUCAAUUUAAGUAAAGGACUAAAAGCACGAAUUUUACCACACAAAUUAGAUAUAAACCGCCUGAUAAAAUUUAUCUUACCGAUCAAAGAUUGGAGUUCAGUUUUGUUGGUAGGAGCAACUAUUUUGUUAAUGGCAUCAAUAGAUCUUCUACUAAUUUCAAUUCCUCUCUGAUGCACCAUGAAACGAAGAAAUUGCCCUGCCGAUACACCAAAUGCACACUUAUUAGGAUUCAUCUUUAAACCAUGUUUCCUUGUGCACUCCAACACCUUUCCCAGACUUAACGACCACAACAUCAAUGUAAAUUUCUACCAGCUUGCCGAUGAACUUGUGAAAGAUAAAAUUCAUAGCCCUCUGAUAAGUAGCACCAGCGUUUUUCAAGCCAAAGGUCAUGACUAUCCAUUCAAACAACUCAACGUGACCAGGACACCUAAACGUGGUCUUUGGAAUAUCUUCUUCAGCCAUGAAUAUCUGAUUAUAUCCUGCAUUGCCGUCCAUAAAGCUAAUGAUCUGAUGUCUAGCCACGGCAUCAACUAGCAAAUCAGCAACUGGCAUUGGAUAACCAUCCAUCGGCGUAGCUUUGUUAAGAUUUCUGAAAUCAAUGCAGACUCAAAGCUUCCCAUUUUUCUUGUAGACUGGAACGACAUUGGAAAUCCACUCGGCAUACUGACAUUGCCGAAUAAAUUUAGCUUCGAUAAGUUUAGUUAUUUUGGCCUUAAUAUCAGGAAGAAUAUUAGGAUUACAUUGGCUAGCUGGCUGCUGAUGCGGCCGAAAUCCAGAUUUGAUAGGCAACCGAUGUUCAACAAUAGAUCGGUCUAAACUAGGUAUCUCAGUAUAAUCCCAAGCAAAGCAAUCUUUAUAUUCCUUUUAACAAAUUGGUUAAUUGCUGCUUACACUCAGAAUCCAACUUGGCACUAAUAAAAGUAGGCCUAAGCCUAUCACCAUUACCUAUAUCUACUUCUACUAAAUCAUCGGCCGAUGUAAACCCCUGGCCUAAUUUUCCAUCAUCGGUGAACCUAUCCAUUAAAACUCCUCAUCAGAACCGACUGCUUGGAUCGGUGGAAUUUCGUAAUCGGCAACCUUGAGGAAAUCCUUCUCCCAAAUUUCUACUGAGAUGCACCUGGUCCUCUCAUAAGUAUAUGCCUCUGCCGAUGCAAUGACAUACGAAGAAUCUCCUGGGACAAUUUCAAUCUUGUCACCUACCCACUGAACCAAACAUUGGUGCAUAGUAGAUGGGAUACAACAAUUGGCAUGAAUCCAAUCUCUCCCCAAUAGUAGAUUAUAAGCACCCUUUCCACUGAUGACGAAGAAAGUCGUCGGCAAGGUUUUGCUACCGAUGGUCAACUCGACACAUAUGGCUCCCUUGACUGGACACACAUUCCCCUCGAAGUCCUUCAGCAUCAUAUCGGUCUUGGUCAAGUCUUGAUCUCCUUUCCCAAGCUUCCGAUAGACAGCAUACGACAUAAUAUUGAUAGCAGUCCCACCAUCAACAAGUAUCUUGGUCAUUGGCUGCCCAUCAACACUACCUUUGACAAACAGAGCUUUAAGAUGCUGUCUUUCAUUGUCAGCAGGCUUUUCAAGGAUAGCUGUCAUCGGAUCUAGAGCCAACUGAGCUAUUUGGUCGGAAAAAUUCACCUCAUCAUCACUAGCAGGCGCAAGGAACUCCAUCGACAACAUAAACACCAUAUUAACAUCUACCGAUGGCCCUUUCCCCUUAGGAUCUGGCUGCUGCUGAUCUUCAGACUUAGCAGAAUUCUCUCCUUUACUCAACUCUCCUUGUAUUUCAUGCUGCAGCCUUCUUUUCUGUGUCCUAGUCAGCCCUUCUAGACACCAUGGAGGAAGUUGCGGCUGCCUUACCGAUUGGCGACGGUUUUCCCUUGAUUCCACUCGAUAAGUAUUAGCAUCCCUACAAAAUAUGAACUCAUCGGGAACUCGUGCAUCUGCCAUCAUCUCAAGCCCCUCUUGGUUCCUAGGAAAAUAUCCGACACGGUCACCAAGUCUAUCAUGCACACUGAGCCUGCCCCCCAGCCGAUCAUGAACUGAUGCUCUUCCCCUAAUCGGCCCAUCAAAACGCCGAUCAUUAUCCUGAUACUGCCGAUUUGGUCUAUCAUACCGAUCAUAGUCAUUGCAUUCAGAGCAGUCUCUAACAGUUGGUAGCUUGAUGUUUUGCUCCCAACAGUGGAUAAAAACAGACAAUUCCAGUGAUCUUUAUGCCGAUUCCACUCUUGUCGGCGUCUCUAUUCUUCUCGACGACAAUCCUCCUGUUGGCGCCGAUACUGAUCUUCAUGUUAUUGCCAUGUCUCCUGAUGCCUUCUAUGAGUUAUCACAAUGCCAGAUCGGGAGGUCUUCCUGAGCUGGUCCCUUCCUGGAUCAAACCUUAGCCUUUAGCAUCAUCGAUAGUAAUCUGGUGCUGAGGAUCUACCGAUGCACUUCUUUCAGCUGCCUCUGAUGUCAAGACCUUGUUUUUUCCUUAGCAUCCAGCAUAUUUGUAGGGAAAGGAUGUUGAUCGAUCUUCAUCGGCUUCCGAGCUUUGGAAUUAUCAAACUUAAUUCUCCCAGAUUCUAUAGCCGAUUGCAGCUGUUGCCUAAAAACCUUGCACCCAUUUGUGCUUUGAGAUGUUGCAUUAUGCCACUUGCAGUAUUUCAUCUUCUUUAAUUCCUCUGUCGAUGGAAUCACAUGAUUGGGUGACAACUUAAUCUUCCCUUCUUGAAGUAAAAAGUCAAAUAUCAUAUCGGCUUUGGUGAUAUCAAAUGCAAACUUCUCUGGUUCCUUAUGCCCAAAAGGACAAGACUGUUGACGGUCCUUAAGUAUCAAAUUUAAUUAUCAAAUAAACAAAGAAAAGGAUCCAAAUGAAAUCAACUCUAGACUUAGGGUUUUAUCUGACAGAAUUCCAUGAGUUUUGGUGUUUGUCUAAUUCUAUAGGGGGUUAUCAGGAAAUACGGAAGAAAGGCCCACACGUCGGGAUUACAUAGAGAUAUUAACGUGCCACGCAAUUAUCUUACAUCUAGAAGACUCCAGAAGCCACAGGAAGGAAGCAGAGGCCGAACGGGGCCAGGCACUGGGCGCCCGCCAAGUUGACUUGGGCGCCUGCCCUCCUGCCGAGCCCAAUCAGGACUCUCUUUCGGGGAACAUCUCCACCGACCUAAAGGAUCAAGGAUAACCGUUCAAUCUAUGUCGGUUUGAUCCAACGACCCAUAUUCACUUGAAGGGACUAUAAAACUAGACCCCCUGGCCCCUGGAGGAGAGAGCCUCUCAACCCUAAUUCAUUAUUCCUCAAGGGAGAAGAAGCCUCUGAUCAAGAUUAGAGCCACCACAUCAAUUAGACAUCUAGAUUAGCAUAGCUACAUAGGAUUAGAAAUAGAAGGAGUCAAUCUUCGAUUGGUUUCUGGAUCUGUCAAGAGGAUUCUUGGUAAUUCUCUAAUUGUGCUUCUAAUUGUUCUUCUAAUCAUCUUUGUUCUUCAAUAUUAUGAAUAUGACUUUGUUCUACUUCAAUAUAUUGCUUAUGACUUUGCUCUACUUGUUUAUAUUCAAGAUUAUAUUGUUCUUAGUUUAUCAUAGUUAUAUACUUGGCUUAGUUAGAUUGGAUCUAUAUACAUGUUUAGGAUCGUAUAGCGUUUAUCCAUCGGAUGCAUGGGUAAAUGAUAGAUAUUGUGUAGGCGUGAUGCUUAUAUCGUAUUUAUCUGCGAUUGUACCCAAUAUGUCUGAUCGUGGGGUAGUUCGUGAUAGUGACAGCUUCAUUGAUUCUUAUAUGGUCCCCCUCUCGUGUAUUGGGCUGGCAGAGCAAUAUUAUUACAGGGGAGUGAUUGCUAUGUUUCUCAUUUACCUUGCUAAUAUCACUAUGCACUUGUCUCGCAAUGAUUGCUAAGUAUGCUUGCACCAAUUAUGAUAAUGCUAGACUAUAUAGUUGAGAAUAACUUAGGAAAUAUUCUUGUAGUUCGUUCUAAUACCAUGCUAAUGACUUUCUAGAGUAUCUAAUUGAGGUGCUUAUUAUAUUUAUUAUGUGGCUAAGUUAUGCUGAUUAGAUUAAUUAUCUUUUUCACUAUUCAUUACUUCAUAUAUCUUUUAUGUGACACUUACCCCUGUAUGAAAGAGUUAGAUAAAUGUUCUCAAUUAUACAUGCAAUGAUAGAUACUCAAUCUCAUAUUCUAUUCUGUAAUCAAUCUUGAUGGUUGUUAAUCCCUUCCCAGUGGUAAAAAUAUAAAUAACGAUACCUGGAAUACUUCCCGGUUAAAAUGCUACAUCGGUAUUAAUCUGUGCGCUUGCAGAUCCCAUUCAUUAUUUAUUUAGAAGAGCAAUUGCAUAUUUCAAUACUGCGUCUCUCAUGUCAUGCUGGGGAUGACAACUUGGCUUAAGUGGUAUGAGGGAUAGGUUUGGCAUUUUUGGCACCGUUACUAGAAUUAGAAAACUAAGUCUACUUUUGGUAAUGAUGUUAAGAAUACCCAACAAGCAUUUUAGGCGCCGUUGCCGAGGAAGGUUGAUUACUAAUCAAGAAUGGAUAUAGAUUUUGAGUUAUCAUUCGCAUCACUAAUAUGAUUGAGCUUAUUAAUUCUCUCAUACAGUUUUAACCCGAUAUUUUUCUAUUUUAUCUUAUGCAGGGUAAUGUAUGAAUAGAAGACAUCUUCCAGGAAAUUUUGUUGACAAUCCCGAAGCAUUAUUCAGAAAAACAAGAGCCAAGCUCAAGAAGAGAUCAUCAACACUACAGCAAGAAGCUUCACCAAUCAAGAAGAUCACCGGAACUUGUCUUCAGAAUUUGAAGCCAUGGCGAACAAAUCAAUCUGCGAGUUCUCAGCUCCCACUACGGACAACAUCCGCACUAGACCUGCUGCAGAGAUCGAUGGCAACUUUGAGCUCAAGCCUGGACUUAUCAACAUGGUGCAAUCCAACCAGUUCUGUGGAAAGGCACACGAAGAUGCUAGUGCUCAUCUCCAACACUUCCUAGAGAUUUGCAGCACAUUUACCAUAUCAGGAGUCCCCAGAGAUGCUAUACUACUUCGCCUCUUCCCAUUCUCACUGUUAGGAAGAGCGAAGCAGUGGUUCUACGCUACAAAGGAGAAGAAUACUACGUGGGCACUCUGCUCGACAAACUUCCUGGCUAAGUUCUUUCCCAUGGGCAAGACCAAUGCUCUCCGUGGGAAGACUACAAGUUUUCAGCAACAAAAUGAUGAAUCUGUUGCAGAAGCAUGGGAGCGCUUUCAAGACUACAUCCUAGAAAGUCCCCAUCAUGGAAUGGAGAGUUGGCUACUGAUGCAGACGUUUUAUCAUGGGCUCGGCAACAGUGCCCGAGAAACCAUGGAUGCUACAACUGGAGGAGCAUUCUUAUCACUUACUAUACCACAAGCCAUAGCUCUUGUGGAGAAGAUGGCGUCCAAUCAAAGCUGGAAUGAAGAGAGGACCCAGACACGCAAGAGAGGUGGAGGUAUGCAUCAGCUCAAGGAGGUAGACAUGCUGUCUGCAAAGCAAGACCUGCUCAUGAAGAAGCUCGAUGAUAGAGCUGGAGAUAAGAAAGAAGUUAUGCACAUCUACGACUCUCACAUGACUUGUGAGGAGUGUGGAGAUACUGGACACUCAGGCAAUCACUGCCCUGAGAUACUUGAGGAUGUGAACUACAUCAACAAUAACAACAACAACUACUACAACCGUCCUCAACAAAAUCAAGGUCGGAAUCAACAGAGGCCUAACUACUCAGGUAAUUAUCAAGGUAACAAUUCUUACAACAAUAAUAAUAAUUUUCCACCUCUGAGAGAGUUAGUGUCCAAUCAAGGAAAGCUAAUGGAUAACCUAUCUAAGAAAUUGGCAUCUAGUGAUAAAAUGCUAGAAAAUAUAAAUAAUAGAAUGGAUAAUUUCUCUACUGCCAUCAAGAAUCAAAUUAGCUUUAAUAAAAUGAUUGAAUCUCAGUUAAAUCAAAUAGCUGCUGCUGUUCCUACUACUAACCCCGGUAUACCAUCACAACCAGAAGGAUUAGAAUCUGCAGAUCUUGUAGACAUGUUUGAUGCAGGUAAUUGGAGUAACCCCGUCACUGAAUUCACUACUGACCUUCUGCCGGUCAAGAGAGGUGAUCCAGGACGCCCUGUCAUCCCGAUCUCCAUCGGCAUGGUGGACGUUCCAAAAGCACUCUGUGACUUUGGCUCCAGCGUCAACAUUAUACCUAGGGUACUCUAUGAAAAAUUCUUUACAUAUCCUUUUUUAGAGACAACCAUGUGUUUGCAGUUUGCAGAUCAGACGAUAAGUUUUCCAAAAGGAAUAUUGAAGAACCUUUGUGUCCGAGUUGGUACCUUGUACGCCCCAGCAGACUUCGUGGUGAUAGAGACCGGUAAUGAUGAGAGAGCACCCAUCAUCUUAGGGAGGCCAUUCUUGAACACCUCGGGAGCUGUCAUCUACGCUAGUGCUGCCAAGAUCAGUUUCUACAUCAAAGGGAGAAAGGAGACAUUUUUCUUCAAGAACAAGACUACACAAAUCCCAGAUCAAUCUAGACGUGAAUCAAGGAAGAUGACCAACAGGAGGAACAGGAACAAGCAAGUGUGGACCGAGUCAGUUAAGAUGGUCACUGUAGUUCAUGGAGGCCAAGAUCACCAACUUAAGUCACCGUUUUUGACCAAGAAGGAGGACCCAGGAAUGCCAAACAUCUAUUGCUCAAUAAAUGGAUACAACUUCUACAAGACGACUUGCGACACCGGAUCAGGCAUCAACAUAAUGGCCGCAGUCACCUAUUGACUCUUGUUCGGAACCAUGCCCCUGAAACCAACAUACAUUCAGCUCCAGAUGGCAGAUCAGACGUUUCGAGAAGUUAAAGGAACAGUAACUAAUGUCCCAGUCAAAAUAGACGAUCAUUUUUUCUACACAGACUUUCAGGUUAUUGACAUGGGAGAAGAUGAAUACGAUCCACCCAUCAUCCUUGGAAGACCGUUCCUCAGCACCGUUAAAGCAAUCAUCUACAUUGGAACCGGAGAAGUUCAUAUGCACUUCCCCUCAGAGAAGGUACGCCACUAUUUUACUGACCCUAACUACAUCUUUGAAGAAUCUAAGCAGGUAAGAAAACAACGCAACCGCAACCAGAGGAAGCAAAUCAUCAAGGACGGAUGGGCAGACUACGAAGGAGAAGUGGUAAGGUCAGAAGACGUAGAGUUUAAACAGAAUUAUCUAGAGGAGACCGUAGCACCGAGUCAGGUAUGGAAAGAGAAGAUAACUAUACAUGAAGAGGAGGCGCCGCCGGAAGUACCGACUCCGCCACCCAACGAAUCCCAGGACAAUUGAGAAAACGGAGAGUCCCGUUCGGAGGACUUAAAAACACCGAACGCCUUGCCAAGAGGUAAACUUGGUAGUUAUCAUUUCCCUUUCAAUUAUUUUAAAAUAGUUUACUUAGUUAAUUAUGUUCAUGCUAUCCUAAAAAGAAAAUAAAAAUGUUAAAAAAAAUAGUAAGCCCCAUGUGAGUAUACGAGUGGCAUAAAACCCAUAAGUACAUUCACUGUGGUGGCAUAAAAAUAAAAUAAAUAUUUCUUUUCUGCUUUAUAAAAUGAAAAUAUAAAAACAGGGAGUAAUAUUUAUUGAGGAAGCUCAACAUGAUAAAGGCUAGAUAUUUAUGCUAACACUUAAUUAGUUCCACAAGCUUUGUUGUCUAUUUGAGCUCCACAGAAUUUAAGGAUCAAAGAAGACUAGCUGAUGGAGGACAUUCUAAUCGCUGUCAGAAUGCUGCCGAUUUUCAAAUACACCUCGGCCACCUGCUAGCUACAUCAAGGAAAAUUACGUUAAAAUUCAGCUUGGAGGAGAGCACCCCCAUUUAUCCCGCUAAGUAUUUCUAUCUAUCUUUAUACUUUUGCUAUAUAGAUAUACAUAACUAUGGAAAACCAAAUAAAGAUUUUAUGCUUAUAUAUGUCUUUUGCUUAGUGUGUUUAAUAAAUAAAGUGGCUAUGCUAAUCUGUAUCUAAAUAAAACUCUAGCAUGGAUAUGAUGAAUAGUUGCUCUGCCUAAUUUGCACAUUUUAAGUUCUCUAUCAAGUUUAGAUAUAACUAUUAUAAUUUAAAGCUUGCUCUAGACCUAAACUUGUGGGAUGAAAACUUGAUCUGAAGUCUAAGUUGUUAACGGAUAUGAUAUGGGAAGGUUGAGGUGCUGUUUAUCUGUUCCUAGAGAUGCUAGAAUUCUGGAGAAUUUUAUCUUUGAAAAUCUUUAAAAUAUUGCAUGAUGAGUUCCUGUAUGAUGAGAGUUUAAAUUCCUACCACAGCCAUAUAUACAUCCUUGCUAGACUUCUAUAUAUACAUGCUUAUUAGACUAUGAUGCACAGCCAUAAAUACAUGCUUAUUAGACUAUGAACCACACAUUUACUAUUUACUGCUUAUGAGCAUUGAGUGUGGUCAAGCUGUGUAGACCCCUAGGAGCUUGUCAUGUGGUUAAAUCAAGAUUCACUUGCACGUUCACUCAUAUAUGCUACUUCUACUCCGGAAGUACCAUCCACAUAUAUCCACUCAUUUCCAUCUCCAGAAUCACCUAAAAAUAUUCUACUCCUAAUCCGGGAGAGAAUAGCCAAAAAUAUUUCUGUUUUUCCCUGUAAAUGCUCAAGUUAUCUUGUUACUACCCCUUGCUAUAUUAUCUCAAGAGACGAGUGCUCUAAAAAAAGAGACGAGGAAAUAAAAAGGGGCAAGUGCCCGGAACCUCGAAAGAAAAGAAAAAGUGAGACAAGAGGUAAAAAUGAACAAGUGUCCGACAGUAGAAUUAGGGGUACAAGAUACCCAUUGUUGAUAUUUGGGAACGCAAUAAGGAAUUGAUCCGCAAGCGCACGGAUAUCGGUGAGCACUUCACCCGGGAUGUUAUCCAGAGUAUCGUAUUUAUAUUUUUUACCACUAGGAGAAAGAGUGCAUCUGACUAACCGGUCUAUUACUACUAACCAUUUAGGCAACAAAGAAUGUUUCUCGAUGUGAGUGAUAAAUAGAGAAGACUGCAACCGUAGUCUCCUUCUAACCUUGGUAAGGAUGAUCUACUGUUCUAUUGGUGAGGCUAACGGAAUCUAGACACCUGUCGGUGUUUUUCCCCCGGGGGGUCAUACCAACGAGCAAAUUUGUAUGCGUGCUCCCUUUCCCGGAUGGUGAUGCAAGAAGACACAGAGAUUUAUCCUGGUUCGGGCAAGAGAAAGCCCUACGUCCAGCGGGGGGAGAGAGUUUGUAUUAUCUUGCACCUAAGUGCUUGUACAGGGGCGAAUACAAGCGUGGUAUGAAGUGUGGAGCUCUACUACGUAUGAGUGUGGUCUUGUGUCGUGGUCAUGCCCCUUCUAUUCCUGAGUCUCUCCUUUUAUAGCUCCAAGAAGAGACACAGGGUACAUGCGUAGAUGUUAGAGUAGGGGUCGAUAGCCGCAUGGAGCGCCGACCUACUCGAGGCUUCCGUACGGCAUGGCCUCGAGCCGUCCCAUCUUGAUAGCCCGGUGAUGAUUACGCGUGCUCCUACGUUCUGCCCUGCCCGCCGCCUCGCGCUGGUUCUGAGGUCGCAUGCUUGUAUGGUAUGGCGGCGGAUCCGGCGGGGUAGCUGUGGUGUGGUCAGUCGACGCCCAACUUGUCCCUAGGAAGGGACCCUGUUCGGUCGAGGGUCGGACGCCGUGUAAUAUGCUGAUAUCUGGAGCGCUGACCUUAGGUGUCUCGAGGGGGUCCCGAUUAGACGUUCCAUCCUUGUUUCCUGCGUCCUGACACGCCCUGGGUCGUUCGGUGGGAAGGCUGCAAAAAGAUUGAUGGGACGGAAGCCUGUUCCCUAUCACGCCUCCCGUGACCUGUGCGUUAGGUGGGGAAGCAUCAGGCGCAUUUAAUGCUCCGGCCCGCGUGCGCGCGUCAGGCGGCGGAUGGCGUCCUCGCGCUCGACGCCCCCCGGUUCGCAUGAGCCUGUUCCGUAUUCGACGGUAACCGGCGCUCGACGCCUGAUCGAUUCGCUCGACGCUAUUUCCGUCUUCGAGGUUGCGGCCGUCGAUGGCGGCACAUACGUAAGAUUAGAGCGUCGAAUUGAGGGUCUCGACCUGCGUACGGGCAAUCUCAUAAUGCGCAUCGCUGAGGGUACCCCUUACUGAUACCCUCGACAGUAGCCCCCGAGCCUCCAUUUGAGCGCUAGCGCUCGAGUGGAGGCUUUGUUUUGCGGUCGAAUUUCCGUGGGGGCGCGCGAGCGACCCCACGGGGGUAGCCCCCGAGCCCUCGGAGGAGUUUUUGACUCCUUCGAGGGUUAUGUUGUCUAAUUCGCAGAAACGCUUUCGACACCAGUGGUGGAAGGUUCUGUUCGGCUUUGCCUUGCGUGGAGGUUUCGACGUACUCUCGAUAGAGCGAGCGUCUUCCACCCCGGAUUGAGUUCCUAGCGGGUAGUCUAAGUGAGAACCUGUGCCCCUUUCGAGGGGGUCAGCUGUAGCCCGGAGGCGUCCUCAUAAAGCAGGAUCGACGUGGUCGGGGAUACCAGUCUCAUUCGAUAGAGUCCAGCGGCUCGAUGCCUCCCUUCGGGGGGAUUCCUCUCGACUGUCUUGACCCUACCUUAGACAUCACCAGCGAGCCCUCGAGGCGGGCCUCGAUUUUCGACCACUCGCUGGGGAUCCCUGACUCUUGGUGCUCGAGAUCGGCUGUCGAACCCUUUCGACGGGCCAGCCAUCGACCUCUCGAGACUAUUGUGGGCGCAUACCUUGGCUUACGAAGUAAGGAAGUGGCCGUGGCGGUUCGCCUUUCUGCCCGUUGGGCGCGCCUUUUUAGGCGGGUGACGUUGCGACACUGUAUCGGCGGGGAAUUCUGAGAGUCCGGCCUGUGAGGAGAGAAAGGACUGUCAGACGGCGCAUUUAUGGGGGGAGUUACCUUAUUUCUCGGAUCUGUCCGUUGGCGGACUGCUGCCUAUAAAUACGUCGUCGCGUCGCCGCCGUUCCUCUCCCUUCUGCCUUCUCGCUCUUAUUCCCUUGUUGCCUUUGCUUUCUCGCCGUCUCACGCGCACACGCCUCCUCGAGCUGUAGUGAAUCCACCGUCCCUCCAGCCGAGAUGCCUGUAAGACUCGUCGCCACCGACGACUGGCGCCCGUCGUCGAUGACGGAGCGUCGGCUGUUAGAGCUUGAGAAAGAGGGACUGCUGCGCCGCCGCACCUCGCUAUCGUCGCCGGAGUGGAUCGCGCCGCCGGCGAGUCACAGGGGGCCUCAGCCGCCUGAGGGCUACGUGGUGUCGUUCGCCAAGUUCCACCGCCACGGUCUGGGCGCGCCCCCGAGCCGCUUCAUGCGAGCCCUCUGCUUCCAUUACGGGGUCGAGCUCCAGCACUUCUCUCCGAACGCCAUCACCGUAGCGGCGGUUUUCGCCGCCGUGUGUGAGGGCUACCUGGGGAUGAUGCCGCACUGGGAGCUGUGGCUCCACCUCUACAGGGGCGAGCUUUUCCACGCCCCCACCGGAACCACGGGCGUAAGGAAGCCCGUGCGGGCGGGAUGCCUCAAUCUGGUGCAGAAGACAGGGAAGACAGACAGGCCGUGGGAGUACAUCCCGGUAGGGUUGUCGACCAACCACGCCGGCUGGGACUCCCAGUGGUUUUACCUGCGGAACGACGACAACCUCCUGCCUUCCUACUCGGGCCGUCUGAUCUUGGAGCGUCCAGCGGACUGGACAUUCGGCGUCGUCCAAGCUCAUCAAUCUCGGCUCGACCCCCUCCUCGACGCCCUGAAGAAGCUUCGCCAGGAGGGUUUGACCGCCGCUCUCGUCCUCUCGGCCGUCCAUCACCGGAGAGUUCUCCCUCUGAUGUCACGACCGUUGAGGAUGGACGAGAUGGGCCCUGGCGUCUCCUCUCGGGACCUCGAGGCGUGUCGGAUGUCCAACGAGGCUCCGGCGGACGACGAAGUCGCGGCCCGAGUCAGGGCUGCAAUUGCCAGUGAUUUUCAGCCGGAGCAUGUUAACGGCUUCCCCAUGAGACCUGACGCAGGCUCGAUCGAUCUGGUACGCUUUCUUCUUGCGCGCAGCCUCGAUUCUGGGUUUCCUUUCUCCCCUCUCUUUUUUCUAAGUCUACCUUAGUUUUGGCAGGGUCGGAUUGAUGUCCGGUCCUCGAGGCCUCCGGUAAAGGAGGACGAGGUCGAUCGUGACAAACGGCGCCAAUCUGCCGAAAAGCUAAAGUCUGCCAAGGACUCUGCAAAGAAGGGGGAGAAGAAGAAGAACCUCGACCGCCAAGCAUUAGAGGCGCGUCGAGCCAAAUCCAGGCAGAGGGGGGAGCCUGAGGAAGAAUCCCCCAACGAUGAUGACGAUGACGACGAGGACAGCGACGACUCUGAGGGGAUGGCAUCGCGCCUCGAUCGGAUUCUCGAGGGCCCUCCUCGAGGCGACGUCGACGCCCCCCGGACGGAGGCGCCAGAGGAGGGUCGGAGCGGAUCCCGUCGCCCUCAGGCCGACACCCCUCCCGCGCCCAAGGCGGGCCAAGACGCACCGCGCCCUCCCCCAGUGCCCAGGGAGAGCGGUCUGGCUAGGACCCAGGCGUCGGGGCCGCUAACUCGUGGCCGCGCCGCGGCCUCUGAGAAAGGAGAUGCCGGCCGUAGGAGCGCCAGUCCCGGCGCCCGCCAGGCGGGGACCGACGCGCCUAGGCCAGUACCUGCCCUCGAGGGGCCUGGAGCUCUAACGCGGGGUGGCUCGAGGCCCAUUGGUCGGGGUAGCGGGAGGCGAGCCGUUCUCCCUGUGGGGUAAGCCUUUUUUGAUGUUGCGGUUUUUGUCUUCCCAUUCUUCCACCUUUCCUCAUAUGCCUACCUUUUUUUUUAGGCUAAAGCGGACCCUUGAGCAGGCCCAACCAUCCAUGGCAAAGAGGCUCAAGACGGGUGCCGCCCCCAAGGAAACAGGUUCGUAUUUUAUUUCUGGGCGUUGCGAUGUUCUUGUGUCGGUUAUCAUAACGUCUGACCCUUACCCUUUGUUUCGUAGGCUCCUCCAGCUCCCAACCUCCAGCCGGCGUCGAGAGGGCUCCGUCUCGUCCAGCGCCUACCCUAUCGCUGCCGACUGGUGGUGAGGCGCCCCAGACGAAAGCGUCAGAGGGAGCCACCGAGCCCCCUAGAUUGGGGGUCGAGGGGGAACCCAUCACCAUCAGCGACACGUCUGAUGGUGAUAGAGCGUCUGGGGGUGCCCGCCCCAUGGAGGAGGAAACGUCGACCCCUCAUGUCGAGGGAUCAACUCCCUGGCCUGCCGGCCUCCGCACCCUCGAGGAGCAGAAAAAGAAGAGGGAGGAGGAUGAACAGCGGGAGCGCGAGGGGGCGCGGCAGUCACUGGAGCAGCAGCAGCAGCAGCAACCCCAGCCGGAGGAGCAGCUGCAGCAUCAGCAGGAGGAGCAGCAGCAGCAGCAGGGGCAGCAACAGCAGCAGCAGCAGGGGGGCCAAGAGGACGAGCCACUCGAGCCCCCGCCUCAAGGUUUGGCCGAACCGGCGCCACUGGCGCCGCAAGAGCCCGGCGAUCAGGAGGAAAAUUUGCCGGUGUACGGCCCUCCCACCCCAGCGUGGCUCCUCCCGGGGGCGCCUGCCGCGAUCCGGGCAGAGUCGGGGCGAGCGGACGGAGUGGUGGCGCUCGCCUGUAUGAUGCGCACCCCCACCGACCCCAAGUCCGAGAUCAAGAGGACGAUCUACGGCAUGGACGGGAUCGCCCCAGGGUUCCUCCGGGAGCGUCGAGCAUGGGAGGACCACUUUCCCUCUGAGGAGGAUGAGAUUGGGUCGUCAGGGAGCAAGGACGGUACCUGGAAGACGGUGGAUGACGACGGGCGGUUCCCUUGCCUCGCCGACCUGUUCUUGCGCCACGGGGGUUCCCUCGAGACCAUCGAGAACUUUAUCCGCGGCGUCAAGGCGCGGGCUGAUCGGGAGAUGGAGAACUGGUGUCCCGAUCGGAUUCGUAUCCGAGCUUCCACCGACCCGUCCGAGCCCAAUAUCUUCCUCAACGACAAGAAGGAGGUCGAGAAGUGGGAGCAUGUCGAGGAGCUCCGCCUUUGGAUGAAGCACGUGGUGGGGCUCCUAUCGGACGUCAUCAACAACAGGCUCGGGCCUGCUUAUUUUGUAAGUGUUUCUCGAACUCCAAUCUUCAUGGUGCUUCCUGGUUUCUGUAUUCUAAUCCAUCCGACCCUUGAUUCGCAGGAUAUGAAAGAGACCUCUCGCAUCAAGUCCAGCUUCAUACACGCCACGAGGGGCGGUUGGGAGCAGCUUCCCCUCCUCAAGGAUCAACUCCUCGAGUCGCAGGAAAAGCUCCUUAAAGCUUACAAAGAUCUCAUAGCACUCGAGGAGGAGAAGAAGGCGAGGGAGGCUGCUUUGGCCGAGGCCCGAGAGGCCUCGAAGAAGGCGGAGGAGGAGGCGAUGCAGCUACGGGAGCGGGCUCUUACGGUCGAGGAGGCCGCGUCCAGAGCCCGGGAGGAGGCCGUGUCCUACAAGAGCGUCGUUGCGGACCUGGACAAGGAGAAGGGCCUUCUCAGGACCGACUUGGACUCCCUCCGCGAUUCCUUCCAGAAGAUGAAAGUGGCGUACGUGGACAGUGAGGUCGCAAGGGGUGCCGCCGAGGACGUAAAGAAGAAGGCCCUCGAAGACCUCGAGGCGGAGCGGGCUCGCUCCCGCAGUCUCUCUGACGACGUCGAGCGUCUGAAGGGAGAAUUGCUGGAGAAGAGUGGAGCCGUUGCUUAGGCUGGCAGGGUGAUCGAAGAUCUCCGCGUCGCCAAUACUGAGCUGGCGCGCUCCAACAGAGAGAUCGAGCGUGCCAACACCAGAUUGGUCGGCGAGAACACGGCCCUAGAGGAGAGCAUCAAAUGUAUGUUUCUUUUGUCAAAUUACUUUUUCAAGGUGUGCUUGAGUUUUUCCUAAAGCUUCUUUAUAUUGGCUUUUGCAGGGCUCAAGGACGAACUCCUAGCCGCCCAAGCCGAGGCUUGCAACGCCAAGGCUCAGCUCGAGGCUGAGGUUGCUUUGAACCGUCGAGUGCGGACGGCGAUAAGCGAUCUCUCGACCUCUUGGGAGGUCGAGCCUAUGGAUGAGUCAAGGGAGGACGCUCGAGGCGACGCCCUGGUCGACCAGUUGUGCUACAUAGGCACGACGCUGCGAGACCGAGUGCGGGACGCCCUCCACAUCGGGGUGAAGCGGGCGAUGGCGGUUGUCUGCUCGGGCUUCUCCUACGACAUGGAGGUGGUGUCCCAUGGCUUCAUCACCGACAUCUCCAAGACCGACGCGGAGAACGAGGAGAGGCUUCAUGCCUUGAUCGACGACGGGGAGGCUCCUGGGGAAAGGUUGGCCAAGCUCUUCGAGCCUGAGGUGCUCCCUCCUGAGGCUAGCUCGGGCGGAGGCGAGGGCGGUGAGGAUCGUGCCGCGGACUGAGGCCUGCGAGCCUGCUCAGGGCGCCUGAGGCCCCUUGUAUGAUACUUUAUUAAUUCUGCUGUUAGGUGAUACAAUAUCUUUUUGUGAUUGUUAAAUGCUUAUUUGUCUUUCCGCUCGAGGUUCUUUUGUUUCUCUUUGUUCCUACGUUUGUAUCCCUUGCUCGAUCUUUGGUCAAAAAACAACCUCGAUUACCUCAAGGGUAAGGAAGUGAGUAGAGUUUCCGUAGCCCGGGGGCGUGGGAGUUCUCCGGCUCGUUAUCCCUCAGCCUUUGGGGGGCUCGAGGUGCCUUAGCUACUUGAACCGUGCAAGGUUUACUAAGUAAGAAAAGAAAACUUCUUGGUUUUUUCGACGUUUGGGGGGGGGGUCGUCCCCCUGGUAGCCCCCGAGGGGGUGCUGACUAUGAUGGGUCAUGGUCGGCAUCCCCUUUUAACGUCGAGACUAUGACUCGUAACUAUUUUUGGCACAAAAAGAAGUCGCUCGAGAGAAAGACUUUAUUUAUUCACGCGUUCGUUUACAAAGUCUUCGUACAAAAUGUAGGAACGUAAGUUUAGGACUUCUAGGGGUAGAAUCGACGUAGCUGUUCGAUGUUCCAUGCGUUGGUGAAGAUUGCCCCCUUUUCGUCUGCCAAUUUGUACGUUCCUGGCUUAAGGACCUCGGCCACCACAUACGGGCCUUCCCAAGGUGGAGUCAGCUUGUGGCGUCCUUGGUUGCUUUGCCGGUGUCGUAGGACAAGGUCGCCUACGUUGAGGUCCCUCUUGCGCACGUGCUUGUCGUGGUAGCGUCGGAGUCUCUGCUGAUAUCUGGCAGAGUUGAGGAGGGCCAUGUCUCGAGCCUCCUCGAGUUGGUCGACCGCGUUUUCUUGAGUUUCUUUGUUCGAUUGCUCGUUGUAAGCCUUGAGUCGAGGUGACCCAUACUCGAGGUCUGUGGGGAGGAUAGCCUCAGAGCCGUAGACCAUGAAGAACGGGGUGUAUUUUGUGGCCCUGCUUGGUGUUGUCCUAAGGCUCCAUAGGACUGAGGAAAGCUCCUCGACCCAUUUCUUGCCGAAUUUCUUCAAUCGAUUGUAGAUCCUUGGCUUGAGUCCUUGCAAAAUCACGCUCGACCUGGCCGUUAGUUCGAGGGUGGGCUACUGCAGACCAGUUCACACGGAUAUGAUGCUGAUCGCAGAAAUCCAAGAACUUUCUGCCGGUGAACUGGGUGCCGUUGUCGGUGAUGAUGACAUUGGGGAUCCCAAACCGAUGGAUGAUGUCAGUGAAGAAGAGGACGGCCUACUCGGAGCGGAUGUUGGUGAUGGGUCGAGCCUCGAUCCAUUUGGAGAACUUGUCGAUGGCCACCAGCAAAUGGGUGUACCCUCCUUUCGCCUUUUGUAGAGGUCCUACUAAAUCGAGCCCCCAUACCGCAAACGGCCAGGUGAUGGGGAUCAUCUGAAGAGCGUGGGCGGGCAGAUGCGUCUGCUUAGCGUAGAACUGGCACCCAUGACACGAGCGUACAAGCUCGAUGGCAUCCGCCACGGCCGUUGGCCAGUAGAAGCCUUGCCGAAAAGCGUUCCCUACAAGGGUCCGUGGAGCGGCGUGGUGGCCACAAGCCCCCGAGUGCAGGUCAUCGAGGAGUUUUCGGCCUUCUUCUACGGUGAUGCAACGUUGUAAGACCCCUGUCGGGCUCCGUCGAUAUAGCUCGUUGUCUUCGCCAUAGAUCACAUAUGAUUUGGCCCGUCGAGCGAUACGACGAGCUUCUGUUUUGUCUUCUGGCAACUCGCCGCGGAUAAGGCAGUCGAGGAACGGUGUGCGCCAAUCGAAUGGUCGACCCGGUCGUCGUUCUAUCUCCAUCAUCUCUUCCACCAUCAAGAGCGUAUCGACAGCAUUGGUUGGUUGGGCGGUGGUGGCGUCGACGCCAGCCCCCGUGCCUAGGUCGACGGAUGGCUCGUGAAGAUCCUUUGAGAAUGCAUCAGGCGGCACUGUGCCUCUGGUAGAUGCGAUCUUGGCGAGUUCGUCGGCUGCCUCGUUGUAGCUUCGAGCGACAUGGACAAGCUCGAGGCCGUGGAACCUGUCUUCGAGUCGACGGACCUCCUUGCAGUACGCUUCCAUUUUUGGGUCGUGGCAACUCGAGGUUUUCAUUACUUGGUCGAUGACGAGUUGGGAGUCACCUCGGACGUCGAGGCGUCGGACUCCUAACUCGAUAGCGAUCUUGAGACCGUUGACGAGGGCCUCAUAUUCUGCGACAUUGUUAGAUGCAGCAAAAUGAAUCCUGAUUAUGUACCUCAUGUGGACGCCCAAGGGUGAGAUGAACAGCAGGCCGGCUCCGGCUCCAGUUUUCAUGAGCGACCCAUCGAAAUACAUCGUCCAUAGUUCCGCCUGGACCUGGGUCGGGGGGAGCUGGGUGUCCGUCCAUUCUGCGAUGAAGUCUACCAGGGCCUGCGAUUUGAUGGCCUUGCGAGGCGCAUAAGUGAGAGUCUCACUCAUGAGCUCGACCGACCAUUUUGCUAUUCUUCCCGUGGCUUCUUUGCUCUGGAUUAUUUCGCCUAAAGGAAAAGACGAGACCACCGUGAUGGGGUGGCCAAGGAAGUAAUGCUGCAGCUUGCGACGGGCAAGGAUUACAGCAUAAAUCAGCUUCUGGAUUUGGGGAUAACGUGCUUUGGUCUUCGAAAGCACCUCGCUGACGAAAUAUACUGGCCUCUGAACCGGUAACGCAUGUCCCUCCUCCUGCCUCUCGACCACCACCGCCGCGCUGACGACCUGGGUCGUCGACGCGACGUAGAGGAGCAGCGGCUCUACAGGUUGAGGUGGAACCAGGACUGGUGCCGAGGUCAGCGUCUUUUUCAGCCUUUCGAGUGCUUCCUCGGCCUCGGGGGUCCAAGAAAAGGGCUCGACCUUCUUUAGGAGUCGAUAUAAUGGUAAUGCCUUUUCUCCUAGUCUCGAGAUGAAACGGCUCAGAGCCGCCAGGCACCCCGUGACUCUCUGCACACCCUUGAUGUCUCGGAUUGGCCCCAUUUUCGUGAUGGCCGAGACUUUCUCGGGGUUGGCUUCGAUACUGCGCUGCGAAACGAUGUAUCCUAGGAGCAUGCCUCGAGGCACGCCGAAAACGCAUUUCUCGGGAUUGAGCUUGAUCCGGCUGGUGCGUAGGCAGCUGAAGGCAAUCUCGAGGUCCUGGAUCAGGUCUCCUCGUCGCUUUGACUUGACGACAAUGUCGUCGACGUAGGCCUCGACCAUUGACCCAAUAUGUUCGCCAAAUACGUGGAGCAUGCAACGUUGAGACGUGGCUCCCGCGUUUCGAAGCCCAAAUGGCAUGGUCACAUAGCAAUACAUCCCAAAAGGCGUGAUGAAAGAGGUCGCGAGCUGGUCGGACUCCUUCAUUUUUAUUUGGUGGUAACCAGAAUAUGCAUCAAGGAAAGAAAGGGUUUCACAUCCCGCGGUAGAAUCGACAAUCUGAUCAAUGCGUGGCAAUGGAAAGGGAACUUUCGGACAUGCUUUAUUCAGACUAGUAUAAUCGACACACAUCCUCAUUUUCCCAUUCUUUUUCUUAACUAAUAUAGGGUUUGCUAACCAGUCAGGAUGAUGAACCUCCUUGAUGAAUCCGGCCGCCAAAAGCUUGUGGACUUCCUCGCCAAUGAUCUUGCGCUUCUCCUCAUCGAAUCGGCGCAACCGCUGCUUCACUGGCUUGGAACCGGCUCGAAUCUCCAAGGAGUGCUCAGCGACUUCCCUCGGUAUGCCUGGCAUGUCCGAGGGACUCCAUGCAAACAUGUCGGCGUUCGCACGUAGAAAGUCGACGAGCACAACUUCCUAUUUGGGAUCGAGGUCGGCGCUGAUCGUCAGCACCUUGCCGUCGGAGUCGUUGGGGUCGAGCGGGAUCUUCUUGGUUCCUUCCGCCGCCUCGAAGCUGCCCGCGUGGCGCUUAGGCUCAGGAGCCUCAGCGGCCAGGGCCUCGAGCUUCGCGACGAGCUCGGUGGAGCUCUCGACUGCCUCCCCGUACUCGACGCAUUCGACGUCGCACUCGUACGCGUGCUCGAAGGAGGAACUGACAGUGAUGACGCCUUUGGGACCGGGCAUCUUCAGCUUCAAGUAGGUGUAGUUGGGUAUGGCCAUGAACUUGGCGUAGCCCGGGCGCCCGAUGAUGGCGUGGUACGUGCCUCGGAACCCCACCACCUCAAAAGUGAGGGUCUCCUUCCUGAAGUUGGCCGCUGUGCCGAAGCAGACCGAUAGGUCAAUUCGACCUACUGGCAGUGCCUUUUUCCCUAGCACGACGCCAUGGAAACCGCCGGCGCUUGGCUGGAGGCGUCCUCUAUCGAUGCCGAGGAGGUCGAGGGUCUCGAGGUAGAUGAUGUUGAGGCUGCUGCCACCAUCCAUCAGCACUUUCGAGAGUCGGGUGUUGACGAUGAUGGGGUCGACGACGAGCGGGUAGACGCCUGGGGCGACUACCUUGUCGGGGUGGUCCUCUCGGUCGAAAGUGAUAGGAGUGCUUGACCAGCUAAGGUACUGGGGCACCGCCAUUCUUGCUGCAAAGACUUCGCGACGCUCCCUUUUGCGCUGCCUCAUGGUUAAUUGAGUGGAGGGCCCACCAUAGAUCAUGUAGCAGUCGUGGACGGCGGGGAAGCCAUCGUCAUCUUUGUUGUCCUCCUUGCUGCCAGCCUUCUCUUUCUUGGAGUCAUCAUGCGUAUCUUUUUUGAACCCUGGACCGUCGAAAUGCCUUCUCAGCAUACGACAGUCCUUGAGCUUGUGGUUGGCGCCUCCCUUAUGGUAAGGGCACGACUCCUCCAACAUCUUGUCGAAGAUGCCUCCAUCCGGAGGGCCUCGAGGCUUCUUUCGAUCCAUGGCUGCGACGAGGUUGUCAUCGGAAUCUUCCCGGUGGAACUGCCGCACUUUCUGCUUCUUUUUAUUUUUCUUGAGGCCUCGACUGGAGGUCCCAUCUUCAUCGACGGGCUGCUUGCCUUUUAUUCCUUCUGAGCUGAAGAAGGCGCCGACUGCCUCUUCCCCUGCCGCGUAGUUAGCUACUACGUCCAUCAGCUCGUCGACGGUCUGAGGUCGAUUGCGACCUAAUUCCCGCACCAAGUCUCGACUGGUGGUGCCCGAGACAAACGCCAAGAUGACGUCGUGGUCAGGGAUGUGCGGCAGCUCUGUGCGCUGCUUUGAGAAGCGUUGAGCAUACUCCCGAAGAGUUUCUCCUGACUUCUGCUUGCAUUUGCUGAGGUCCCACGAGUUCCCUGGCCGUAUGUAGGUCCCUUUGAAGUUACCCUCGAAGACUCUGACCAGAUCAACCCCGUUGUGGAUCUGAUUGGCAGGGAGUUCCUCUAGCCAUCGACGGGCGGUGUCAGAGAGGAAAAGGGGUAGCUGUCUGAUGAUGGCUCGAUCAUCACCUUGAGCGCCACCUAGCUGACAGGCCAGCCUGAAAUCGGCCAGCCAUAGCUCUGGCUUGGUCUCUCCAUUGUACCUCGCGAUGCUGGUUGGGGGUCAAAAUGGAUUGGGCAGGGGCGUGCUGCGGAUCGCCCUGCUGAACACCCAUGGGCCCGGUGGCUCGGGGGCCACCCGGUCCUCGUCGCUGUCGUAUCUCCCACCGCGAUGCGCGCUAUAACCACGCUCUUCCGCGUCUUCGUGCCGGCGGCGUCUAUUUUCUUUGAUGUCGUGCCGCGCGUCGUGUCGACGUUGAUUGUCGGCAGGGAGGAUGAGAGCGGUCUUUCUACCUCGAGGGGGAGGUUGUUGAUGGACUGACACCUCCUCUUCGUUUAGAGGCUGUUCGUCGCGCUUCUCUGUGGCAGCUCCUCGUCGUCGAGACGCCGAACUUUCGGCUUGUUGAACCGCCGCCACCUGGAGCAAUGUCUGUACUUCAUCUCGAAUGCGUCGGGCCUGGGAAUUCGACGGCUCUGGCAUGUUACGUAGCAGCAUCGUCGCUGCCACUACAUUCUGGCCCGCUUGUGGGAAACGGCUGACAGGUUGCUCUGGCUCUGCGUCGCCGACGAUCUGUCGAUGCACCUCUCGAGCGCGUCUGCGGACACUUCCGCCCGGCGGGUAGGGCAGGUCUUGCUCGAGGAUUUGCUCGAGCAGGACGAGGCGCUCGCGGUCUUCGUCGAGCUUCAUCUUGAGCUCCCGCAGCUGCGCGAGCUGCGUGGUCCUGUCUUCCUGAGGAGGGGGGUCGAGCUGUCCGUCGUUCCCAGGCGUCCUGGGGUCUUCUCGCGCUGCGGGGGCUCGACCACCCGCGGCAGCAUCCCGUGUCUCGUCAGUAGUUUCUACCGCCCCGUCGAUGUGAUAGCAUUCCCUCGUAGGGUCACAGCUGUCUGUCUCGGAGUCGGAGUCCGGUUCGGCAGCAUAGAAACACCCACGUCCUUCCUCCAGCAAUCGUUGCCUGAGGGAGGUGAUCGAGUAUCGUCCGGGGCCUAGAUGACGGAGGCCUUGUACUCGAGAAAGGUCCGGCAGCUCGGACGCCGACUGCCGCGCUACAGAGCUACGUGGGAGGACCAUUGGUCUUUCUACGUACGUCUGGGCGUUUGGGCAUAUCGUCCUGGCGAGCGACGCCGCGGUGUUGUCCAAUCCGAACGGCAGUGCCGCUCUUGGAGUGAACAACCCGUGUGGAAGUAGCCUAGCUACGGUGGGGGAGAGCGCGCGAGACGCGUCCCCUCCCGUCGUCGCGCGGUGCUGAGUCGUCGUGCUUGUUGCUCCGUCACACGGUGCUGCCGACUUGUGGCCCACGUCCUGCCUCGCACGAGUUGUUGGUCGUGCUGAAGCAGAGGGGCCGCGGUGGUGCUGUCCGUGCCUCUUCUUAGGCGGGGAGGCGUGGUGGUGAGGGCGUGUCGGGGCCUUCAACCGUGCUGGCGUAACGCGGACUCCUCCUAGUCUUUUGACUGAGAGCAAGAUCAUGUCGUAGCCGGAGCCCGUAGACAUGAACUCGAGACUCCCAAACCAAAUCACCGUGGAGCGCGGAAACGGCGAGGCAAGAGUAGCCAUCCGGAAAGUAGUGGGAAAUCGAUGAAAAUCACGCAGGACCCCUACCUGGCGCGCCAACUGUCGGUGUUUUUCCCCCGGGGGGUCACACCAACGAGUAAAUUUGUAUGCGUGCUCCCUUUCCCGGAUGGUGAUGCAAAAAGACACAGAGAUUUAUCCUGGUUCGGGCAAGAGAAAGCCCUACGUCCAGCGGGGGGAGAGAGUUUGUAUUAUCUUGCACCUAAGUGCUUGUACAGGGGCGAAUACAAGCGUGGUAUGAAGUGUGGAGCUCUACUACGUAUGAGUGUGGUCUUGUGUCGUGGUCAUGCCCCUUCUAUUCCUGAGUCUCUCCUUUUAUAGCUCCAAGGAGAGACACAGGGUACAUGCGUAGAUGUUAGAGUAGGGGUCGAUAGCCGCAUGGAGCGCCGACCUACUCGAGGCUUCCGUACGACAUGGCCUCGAGCCGUCCCAUCUUGAUAGCCCGGUGAUGAUUACGCGUGCUCCUGCGUUCUGCCCUGCCCGCCGCCACGCGCUGGUUCUGAGGUCGCAUGCUUGUACGGUAUGGCGGUGGAUCCGGCGGGGUAGCUGUGGUGUGGUCAGUCGACGCCCAACUUGUCCCUAGGAAGGGACCCUGUUCGGUCGAGGGUCGGACGCCGUGUAAUAUGCUGAUAUCUGGAGCGCUGACCUUAGGUGUCUCGAGGGGGUCCCGAUUAGACGUUCCAUCCUUGUUUCCUGCGUCCUGACACGCCCUGGGUCGUUCGGUGGGAAGGCUGCAAAAAGAUUGAUGGGACGGAAGCCUGUUCCCUAUCACGCCUCCCGUGACCUGUGCGUUAGGUGGGGAAGCAUCAGGCGCAUUUAAUGCUCCGGCCCGCGUGCGCGCGUCAGGCGGCGGAUGGCGUCCUCGCGCUCGACGCCCCCCGGUUCGCAUGAGCCUGUUCCGUAUUCGACGGUAACCGGCGCUCGACGCCUGAUCGAUUCGCUCGACGCUAUUUCCGUCUUCGAGGUUGCGGCCGUCGAUGGCGGCACAUACGUAAGAUUAGAGCGUCGAAUUGAGGGUCUCGACCUGCGUACGGGCAAUCUCAUAAUGCGCAUCGCUGAGGGUACCCCUUACUGAUACCCUCGACAACACCACAAAGGAUGUUCAACCCGCACCUAUAAACCCUAUCCUUCCUGCUAACGAGAUAUGGUCUGCAAAGGUAACUCAGAAUUGUCACGUUCCUCACUACUACCACAGUCUAGCUAGUUAGGGAAUAUCUAUGAGUACCCCAGCCUAAACACCACGUUUAUGCCAGCAAUGAUUACUCUAAACUCUACGCGAAGAGAUUAAAGUAAACUCAUAAACCAAAAGAACAAUAAAACAAGUACUUACUAGAAUUUAGAAGUCAAAAUACUGAAGAAUCCUAGGAGCAAGCUUCGGGUUAGGAGAACUUGAUCCCGUAGGUACAAGCUUGGAGUAGACACCGACAGGCCGGGCUUCCUCCAAUCUACACCUCCACUCUAUCUCCCUCAGUCUAGUAGAAACUAGAAGAUCUAUUUCUACUUUACAUUGGUUGCUAAGCCUAAAAAGAAAUUUUAUUUAGAGAAGAGGUUUUCCUUCGAGGGCACCCCUCAACUCUAUGAUAACUUCUUGUCUCCUCCAGGGGCCAGGGGGGUCUCCUUAUAUAGUCCUCCUCCUCUAUGCAGUUUUGGGUCGGUAGGCGAUGUGGUACUACGUUAUCCUUGAUCCUUUAGGUCGGUGGAACGUCGUGUACGAAGAGAGUCCUGAAUGGCUUCCAGGAGGGGGCGGGCGCCUAGGUCCUCAGGGCGGGCGCCCUGGGCCUGGCCCCUUUCGGCCUCAUCUUUCUUCUCGUGGCUUCUGGAGUCUUCUGGAUGGUAGAAAAUCGCGCGGUGCGUUGAUAUCUCUAUGUAAUCCUGACAUGUGGGCCUUUCUUCCUUAUUUCCUGAUAACCCCCUGUAGAAAGAAAUAAACAACAAAACUCGUGGAAUUCUGUCAGAUCAAACCCUAAUUCUAGGUGUUGGUUGCAUAUUGGUCCUUUCUCUUGUUUAUUUGAUAAUUAAAAUUGAUACUUAAGAACCGUCAACAAAUACCCCCAUACUUAGGCUUUUACUCGUCCUCGAGAAAAGGAUGGUUAAGAACAAUAUUUGGGGUAAAACAUUUUAAAACAUUCUCUUCUAUUUGCAGGGUGUUAAAAUCCACCGUGUACUAUAGUCAGGGAAGUAUAUGGUAAAGAGUAAAGAUCCUUUCUUCUCAAUCCUGUCACUUGGAGUUUUUGUAUAUUUUUGAAAGAAAGUUAGCAUACCUUUUAUCCUCAUAGGUUCUCUCAGAUCACUCAUUAUCUUUUAUAUAUCUCACUGAGGCUGUUUUAAUUUGCAAAAAUUCUCAAGCAUACUUACUUUGUAUUUAUUGCCUGCUCAAAACGGGAUCCAAGGAGGGGAAUGUCAUACUCUUAGAUCAAAGACUUUGGAAAUUAAAAACUUUGUCAACUCUUGCUGGCAUAUUGCUUAUUAGAGGGACCAUGGGCUAUCAUUUUAUUUUUUUUCUCUUUUUUUUAAGUGGAUACCGAGGUACCCCUAAUUCUAGUGUCGGACACUUGUCCAUUUUUUUUCUGCGAGGUUGUCGAGCACUUGCUCCUUUUUAUUUCCUCGAAAUAUCUUUAUUUUUGCAUAGCCCAUGCCUCUAAUGCAAUAGUACUUCAGAAGAGUGAAUCUUUCAGAAUAAAUGUCUUGAUCUUAGGAGCAUGAUAAAUCUCUCGACAAGGGUCUAACUCAUUUUGAACAAACUCAAUACAGAGUAGAUAGCUUUUAUAAUCAUAAUUAAUAUUUUUAGUUUUAUCAGGCAUAUAAAACACUGAGGAUGGUAGCUAAAAUUUUGAAGAUUUUGAAAUAAAUUCUCCAAGCAACAAUGAUAUCAAGAAUAAGAAACUCAUACUCUACUAUCUCACAUUCCACACUAACUUAAGCAACACAGGGUUUUAAAAUGAUUUUAUAAUAGUUGCAAGUUUUCAGGAAAUAUCACAGAGUGAGUUUAAUCAUGAUUAGAAAUAUUUUAAUCUUUUUAAUUUAUCAUGUCGGAAACAAUAUUCUGCAUAAUCCAAGAUAUGUGUAUGUGUAAAGUAAAGUGUGCAGAGUGUGUACCUGACUCGUGGAGUGGUGUAGUCGGAGUAUGUUUGGCAUGUUGAGGGAUCUCCCCCAUACUUGUUUUCUGCUUUCUUGCACAAAAAUAAAGUAGAGACACACUCUUUAUUAAUCUUGAGGCAUUUAUUACAAGUAACUAGUAGCAAACUGACGAUAAUAGUAGCAAACUGAUCAUAAUAGUAAACCUAAACCGAAUUUCAAGAUAGAUAAAAAAGAUGCAUUGCCUCAAGGUCUAAUCUACAUAACUUAACGGCGCUCUAAUUCCUUAAUCUUCUUAUUGGCACUGGCAAGAUCCAGCCUAAGGCCUAGUAUAAUGGUGUUGUGGUUAGAGAGCUGCCUAGUGAGGGAAUUAAUCGAGGACUGGAGGUCUAUGAUAACUCUAUCUAGCCUGCGAACGUCCUCAUCAAUAUCUACUAUAGUGUUGCGACGCUUGGGAGGUGUCUCAAAAGCAUUGAGAGCGUGCUUCGGGGCUGCCUUUGGAGGGAUGAAACGGACUUUGGCUGCUCUAAUCCCUUCGAAGUAAGGCCUCUCCUCCUCCGUAGUGUAGUGUACGUUGCUGAUCUCACCGCUCCGGUUGGUCUUGACUCCAACGACCCUCUCAUUGGGUCUAGGUGGAAGGAUCCUUGUGCCGGUUGGCACCUUAAUGGUGGUCUUCGUCUUGGAUGAUGAUCCUUUUAGGAGUAGGGGUUGUGGCGGUGCGGUGAGAACUGGUUGAGCAUGGUAGGAUUGGGUGGAGCUACGUUGGCGUAAUGGCAUGGCUUCUAGCUGUCGCUCUGUGUUGGCCGGGAUGAGAGCACGGGCAUCGGGGUCUUCCACAGGCUCCAUGUUGAGGUUGAAGGGGACGACUUCCCAAUCAUCGUGGUACUUCUCGGCCAUUGGAGUAGCAAGGAACUAAUCAAGCUCUAAUUGAAGAAGAGAAGGCUUGGUGGCUUGGUGUUAGAAAACUGAGGUCAGGGGUCUGUUUAUAUAGGGGUCAAAAAGUGCCUCUAGGGGUUGUUCGGGUUGCUCCCGUCGAUGUGCGUGUGAAACUUUCCAUCUGAGGGAUUAUUCAGAUUACCAUAAGUGCAUUUUCCAUAAUAGAGAAAAUCGGGACCGAGGGGGAACAGGAGCUGGGCGCCUGCCCACCUGAUCUGGGCGCCCGCCCUCUCUCUGGCCCCUCUGUGCGCCCACUUUCUUGAGCGCGUUUCUAGAUGCAAAAUUAUUUAGAAAAAUAUAUAUAUGACCCAAAAACAUCAGACUAAAAAGGUCGGGCUCUAACUCUCCAUGGGAAGGUAAAAAUGGACUUCGUCUAUUUCUUCUAAUUCUUUAUUGGGCUCUAAAAAUAAUUUAAGACGUUGACCAUUUACCUUGAAUAACGUACCUUCGUCAUUUUGAAGUGUGAUAGCUCCGUGGGAUGAUGAAUUAAUUACCUUAAAUGAUCCUUCCCAUUUGCUCUGGAGUUUUCCAUGCCCGAAAAGCUUCACCCUGGAAUUAAAAAGUAAUACCUUAUCUCCGGGUGUGAACUCCUUCUUGAUUCUCUUGUCAUGCCACCUUUUGACUCUUUCUUUGUAGAUCUUUGAAUUGUGAUAUGCCUUCUCUCGCCAUUCUUCCAAUUCUGUUAAUUGCAUUCUUCUAUAAUCUCCAGCAACAUCUAGGUCCAUAUUCCAUCUUUUUAUGGCCCAGUGUGCUUUGAACUCUAGUUCAACAGGUAGAUGGCAAGUCUUCCCGUACACCAAUUGGUAUGGAGACAUUACAAUUGGGGUCUUGUAUGCUAUCUGGUAUGCCCAGAGUGCAUCGGGUAACUUGUCUUUCCACGCCGUUCCCAUUUCAUUUACUGUCUUCUGAAGAAUAUUCUUGAUUUGCUUGUUGGAAGUCUCUACUUGGCCACUUGUCUGAGGAUGAUAGGGGGUAGCGACUUUGUGACGGAUUCCAUGUUUUGAUAGAUAUUGCUUGAAGCGUUUGUCGAUGAAGUGUGCUCCUCCAUCACUUAUCACUACUCUGGGGACUCCAAAUCUUGGGAAUAUAAUUUCUUCAAACAUCCUCUUUGAACUGACGUUGUCGGCAUGCUUGCAAGGUAAUGCUUCUACCCACUUGGAGACAUAGUCAACCGCCACCAAGAUGUACUCGCACUUCUUUGAUGGAGGAAAUGGACCCAUGUAGUCUAUUCCCCAGACAUCAAAGAGCUCAAUCUGAAGGUUGUUGGUGAGUGGCAUUACAUCCCUUGUAUUUAUGUUUCCGUGCCUUUGACAUGGCCGACAUCUUCUGAUAUAUUGCUUCGUGUCUUCAUACGUUGUAGGCCAGCAGAAUCCACACUGCCAGAUCUUUGAAUGUGUACGGAAUGCUCCAUAGUGACCUCCAUAUGGUGAUGAAUGACAUCUGUCGAUGAUCUUCCAUCCUUCCUCAGUGGUCACACAUCUCCUGAGUAAGCCGUCAGAGCAUACUCGGAAGAGGUAUGGCUCAUCCCAUAUAUGUGAACGACUUUCUUGAAUAAGCUUCUUCUUGUUUGCUCCUGGUGGUACAUACCCUGAAACCAUAAAAUUAACAAUAUUUGCAUACCAGGGAUCUGACCUAUUAAUUCCGUAGAGCAUGUCGUCCCAGAGUGAAUCAUUGAUGGGGGUUUCGUGUGGAUUCUUAAAAUACAUUCUAGACAAGUGAUCAGCAACAAAAUUUUCUACUCCCUUUUUAUCUUUUAUUUCUAAGUCAAAUUCUUGGAGUAAUAAGAUCCAUCUAAUGAGGCGAGGUUUAGCAUCUUUUUUAGUGAGCAAAUAUUUUAGUGCAGCAUGAUCAGUGUAAACAAUUAUUUUAGCUCCAACUAAAUAAGAUCUAAAUUUAUCAAUGGCAAAGAUAACAGCCAGAAGCUCUUUUUCAGUGGUUGCAUAAUUAAGUUGAGCUCCUGUCAAAAUUUUACUGGCAUAAGCAAUUGCAUGAUGCUUCUUAUUUUUAGUUUGUCCCAAAACUGCCCCCACAGCAUAAUCACUGGCAUCACACAUAAUUUCAAAAGGCAACGACCAAUCAGGGGGUUGAAUGAUUGGUGCAGAGAUGAGUGCUUUCUUUAAUAAAUUAAAAGAUGUUAGACAUGCAUCAUCAAAUUCGAAAGGAGCAUCCUUGGCUAGCAAAAGAGUAAGUGGUCUAGCAAUAAAUGAAAAAUCUUUUAUGAAUCUACGAUAAAAAUCAGCUUGGCCAAGAAAUCUUUGAAUUCCUUUUAUAUUCACAGGUGGAGGUAGUUGUUCAAUUACUUCAAUUUUAGCUUUGUCUACCUCAAUACCUCUUUCAGACACUAGGUGUCCCAACACUAUUCCUUCCCUAACCAUGAAAUGACAUUUUUCCCAAUUAAGGACUAAGUGUUUUUCUUCACAUCUUUGCAAAACCUUGUCUAAAUUUUCAAGACAACUAUCAAAAGUUUUUCCAUAAACAGAGAAAUCAUCCAUGAAAACUUCCAUAAUCUCUUCAAUCAUAUCAGAAAAUAUAGACAUCAUGCAUCUUUGAAAAGAAGCUGGUGCAUCACAUAACCCAAAAGACAUUCUACGGUAAGCAUAAGUUCCAUAUGGGCAUGUAAAAGUGGUUUUGCUUUGAUCAUCGGGAUGGAUCGGGAUCUGAUGAUACCCUGAAUAUCCAUCUAAGAAACAGAAGAAUGAAUGGUUUGCUAACCGCUCUAGCAUCUCAUCUAUAAAAGGUAAAUGAACAUGAUCCUUUCUCGUGGCUUUGUUUAGUUUUCUAUAGUCUAUGCACAUCCGCCAUCCUGUGACGGUGCGUUGCGGAAUUAGCUCGUUCUUUUCAUUCAUAAUAAUAGUCAUGCCUCCCUUUUUAGGCAGAACUUGUACUGGGUUACCCACUCACUAUGCGGCACAGGGUAUAUAAUCCCUGCAUGCAGCAACUUUAUAACUUCCUAUUUAACUACCUCUCUCAUAGUGUUAUUAAGUCUACGUUGGGGUUCUCGAGAAGGUGAAACAGAAGGAUCUGUUGGAAUACGAUGGGUACAAAUCAUAGGAAUGAUUCCUGUAAGAUCUUGGAGUGAAUAGCCAAAAACUGAGUGAUGUUUUUCAAGAAUGGUCAUUAAUCACAGAGUUUGAUCCUGAGUGAGUUUAUCACUAAUGAUCACAGGAAACUCUGGAUUAUUGUUUAGGAAAGCAUAGAUAAGACUGGGUGGUAAAGUUUUAAGCUGUAUGGGGGGUCUAGGUGUUUCUGCAAACUCAUCUAAGGGUUCAGGUUCAGAAGGUUCGGCUUCUUCUUCUAUGAAGAAAGGAGUUUCGUCUUCUAAGUCUGAUUCUUCUAAAAGUUCAAGAGAUGAAGCCUUUACCUCCUCCAUAGGAUCAGGCAUAAGAUAUGACUCGGCCUUAUUAUUUAAGGAGUGUGAAAUUGUUAUUGGGAAUUUAAAAGCUUUUCCAAAAGAAAUGUGUAGCUUUCCAGUAUGACCUUCAUAAAGGAGUCUUCUAAAAGGUUGUCCUAUCAACAGGUCGAAGUCCCAUGUAUCAAAGAUAUAGAAGUUCAAAUGAACCAUGGAGCCUUCUACCGUAAGAGGUAGGACAUUAAUAAUUCCAAGACUGGGGACUAAUGGUCCCGAAGAUUACUUUAUGACCUUUGUUGUGGGGGUUAAGACAAGAUUUUUAAAUAAUUUAAGUGCAAAAGAUUCAGACAUGAUGUUGAUCCCCACAACAGGAUUAUAAAGAGCAUUAAAUCGAUCAGAAUUAUAAGCACAGCGUAUAGUUAUAGCGGGUGUGUCCAAACGGAUCACAUCAGAGGAAAGCUCUGAUUCCUCCAACCAUUCGCUACUCAUGACUGAGAUAAGCUCUCUUAAUUGAUAUUAACUUGACAAAUAAAUGCUAAACUGGCCGUUUUGGGGUUUAUCAAUAGAAUGGUAGUUUGAAAUGUUUCCAAAAUCGGCAAAAAGAUCGGAUUCUAUAUCCAGCAUGAAGUCCGGUGGUGGAAUUUCUUCCUCUUGUGGCUCAGAACUUGGGAUAGCUAAAGUAGAUGAAGAAUUUGGCAGAGUGUCUACUUCGGCUUCGUAGGUUUCAUCAUGAAGGGUAUUAUCCAUCUCAGCUUCUAUUAUUCUAUCUAGGAUCACUCUAGCUUCAUCAGUAGGGAUGCGAAAGAAAGAACCUCUAGACAUUGUGUGUAGCAUUUGUUUGUGAUUUUUCUGAAGACCUCGAAAAAGUGAAAUAAAAGAACAGGGUCUUCAAGAUUAAGGUUUGGACCAAAUUCUAAAAGAUCAGAAAAACGUUUCCAGGAUUUUCCCAAAGUUUCAUUAUCUUUUUGUUUAAAAGAUAGGACUUCGAGUCUAAGGUCGGCUAUACGGUCGAGGGAAUAGAAAUCUAGACAAAAGUUGGCUCGUAAAACACCCCAUUCACCUCGUUGUUGACUUACCUUCUAAUUGUACCAUUGUCUAGCUUCUCCUCUUAAGGAAAAAGGAAAAAGCUUCCAGCAUAAAGUUUUAUCAGAAAUGCCUUCAAUGCGAAGACAAUCACAUGUUUGCUCAAAAUCUCUAAUAUGAAGGUAAGGGUUUUCGUCUUCCUUUCCCGAAAAAGAUAGGUUUUGGAUCAUAGCAAUCAACCUCGAACUUAACUUAUACUGGGAUGUUUGGAUAGGCUGUGAUGAUUCCCAUGGUAAAAGGUCGGUUACUGAAGGGAUUGCAGAUUCAUGGAUCGAUUUAGAAUUUUGGUUUUCCAUAAUGUAAGAGUAAAGAAAAUAAAUAAAUAAUAUAAAAGAUAAGAAAAGGUAAAAGUACAGAUACAAGCUAGUAGUAAGACUCAAGGUUAUCUCAGAAAACCGUCUUUCUCCCCGGCAACGGCGCCAAAAAUGCUUGUUGAUAUUUGGGAACGCAAUAAGGAAUUGAUCCGCAAGCGCACGGAUAUCGGUGAGCACUUCACCCGAGAUGUUAUCCAGAGUAUCGUAUUUAUAUUUUUACCACUAGGAGAAAGAGUGCAUCUGACUAACCGGUCUAUUACUACUAACCCUUUAGGCAACAAAGAAUGUUUCUCGAUGUGAGUGAUAAAUAGAGAAGACUGCAACCGUAGUCUCCUUCUAACCUUGGUAAGGAUGAUCUAUUGUUCUAUUGGGGAGGCUAAUGGAAUCUAGACACCACAAAUGAUGUUCAACUCGCACCUAUAAACCGUAUCCUUCCAGCUAACGAGAUAUGGUCUGCAAAGGUAACUUGGAAUUGUCACGUUCCUCACUACUACCACAGUCCAGCUAGUCAGGGAAUAUCUAUGAGUACCCCAGCCUAAACACCACGUUUAUGCCAGCAAUGAUUACUCUAAACUCUACGCGGAGAGAUUAAAGUAAACUCAUAAACCAAAAGAACAAUAAAACAAGUUCUUACUAGAAUUUGGAAGUCGAAAUACUGAAGAAUCCUAGGAGCAAGCUUUGGGUUAGAAGAACUUGAUCCCGCAGGUACAAGCUUGGAGUAGACACGGACAGGCCGGGCUUCCUCCAAUCUACACCUCCACUCUAUCUCUCUCAAUCUAGUAGAAACUAGAAGAUCUAUUUCUACUUUACAUUGGUUGCUAAGCCUAAAAAGAAAUUUUAUUUAGAGAAGAGGUUUUCCUUCGAGGGCACCCCUCAACUCUAUGAUAACUUCUUGUCUCCUCCAGGGGCCAGGGGGGUCUCCUUAUAUAGUCCUCCUCCUCUAUGCAUUUUUGGGUCGGUAGGCGAUAUGGUACUAUGUUAUCCUUGAUCCCUUAGGUCGGUAGAACGUCAUGUGCGAAGAGAGUCCUGAAUGGCUUCCAGGAGGGGGCGGGCGCCCAGGUCCUCAGGGAUAUGGCCCCUUUCGGCCUCUUCUUUCUUCCCGUGGCUUCUGGAGUCUUCUAGAUGGUAGAAAAUCGCACGGUGCGUUGAUAUCUCUAUGUAAUCCCGACAUGUGGGCCUUUCUUCCAUAUUUCCUGAUAACCCCCUGCAGAAACAGAUAAACAACAAAACUUGUGGAAUUCUAUCAGAUCAAACCCUAAUUCUAGGUGUUGGUUGCAUAUUGGUCCUUUCUCUUGUUUAUUUGAUAAUUAAAAUUGAUACAUAAGAACCGUCAACACCCACCUGAGAGGAAAGAAAAAGAUAGAGCAUCUCAUUCUCCUCACUAUUCAAAAAAGCAAGAAAGGUAUGUAUCCCCUCAAAAGAGCAAAAGUAGAAUUAGACUUUCACCAUUGUUAUCACCAUCAUCACCAUAUACCAUUCAUUCGCCACACAUGCACAUCUUGAUUUGACUUACUGAUUUGUUUCUUUGGAUCCAUGGUUUGACUAUGCAAUAAAUGUCUUGUAAGUAUGUAUACUUUAUCUCCCACCGAUGAGCUGCAGAUAUUAAAGCCUUAUUAGAGUCGGGUG
This 393240-nucleotide long non-coding RNA is filed under the name Sorghum bicolor (sorghum). RNAcentral's name for it is "long non-coding RNA (SBIC_LNC012316)". The stretch from base 274174 to 274280 matches the Rfam family "Plant small nucleolar RNA R71". Lineage: Eukaryota; Viridiplantae; Streptophyta; Magnoliopsida; Poales; Poaceae. The record is from RNAcentral.